UCUGCCUAGAUGAUUCCCGAACCUCAUCAACUUGGUAGACAAUGUAAUGUCACUCAUGUACUACUGAAACGCCAUUAAUUUGACAUUACAAAAGUUCAGUAUGGUAAUUGCCACUCAGGUACUACUGAAACACCUGAGUUCAGUAUGACAUUACAAAAGUUCAGUAAGCUAAGGGUACACAUUGUCCUAGCUGGUUCUGCCUAGAUGUUCAUUGUCAAUCAACAUUUGUACAUGUGUGACAUGCAUCUGGAAUGAUUCAGCUCAGCUACCAUACACAGAUUUCCCGAUCGAAAAGAGAAUCGACAGAGCACGACUGACCGAACUUGCUGCUCCCCGCUAAUUAACUACGCGGAGGUGGUUCUCUCCAUGCUGUUGGUCCUCGCGUUCUCCCGCAUCUUCUCGACGAUGUGCCGGCCCUUCUCCUCCACCUGCCGCCGCUUCUCCUCCAGCUUGUCCCCCAUCUUCUUCCCCAGGUCCAUCAUCCGGCUCCGCCUCCCGCUCUUCCGCUUCGCAUCAUCUCCAACAGAGCCCGCUGCUGCCGCCACCGCCUGCUGCUGCUGCUGCUGUUCCCCCGCGGGUAUGAUGGCCCUCAGGGAGGUGUACGGUGGGGAUCCCGCCCUGCUCUCCGAUGAGUCUGCCUGGAGCUUCUCCGUGACCAGCAGCGGUUUCCUCGGUUCGUCGGCAGCGUCGGGGUGUGAAGGAGAGGCGGUUUCAACCAGGCGAGACUCUGUGUGGGAUGCUUCUGCGGAAAGAGGGUCUUCGGUUGACUCGUCAAUGGAUUUCAGUGAUUCCUCACUCCCGGCUGAGGAAGCAGGCAGACUUGGUGCUCUGCUUUUGCUGAUGGCAUCGUCCUUGGGACCAGCUUCCUCAGGAUGGGUUGGUGUGGCGGCUGCGACAUGGCUUUUGGCCUCGGUGGGUUCGUGGUUGAGCCAGAUAUAAGGUCCCUCCUUGCGGGGCACCCAGUCGUCCUUCUCUGCCAGCAUCCCUGGAAUGGAAAUGCAUUCACAGUUUGGAAGCACCAAGCUAUCACGGAGCGAAACCUGACACAGCAUGGUGUGUUUCGCUGUUAGACAUGCAAGUCAGCAAAGGAACAACAUGUUCAGAGGAAGGUCGUGUUGUUUACCUUGAUUCUGUUACCUAUAAAUGACGCGAUGCGACUGUUGGUAAUUUUCCUGUCUCCGACGGAAGAUUCCAAGUCCCACUCCAGUUCAGGCAUAGAUGUGAAUCCAUACCAGAGUUGAUCCGACGGAGGGGGCUUCAGAUGUAUGCGCAAGGUACCUCUAAAGGACGUGAUUUUUAUCGGUAGAACAUCAUCAUCGUCACUAUGCCGUCAUGCUGACGGAACUCUCCCGUCAUGCCGGAUCGGAGUUCGAGGGACGUCAUCGAGCUGAACGUGUGCUGAACUCGGAGGUGCCGUGCGUUCAUUACUUGAUCGGUCGGAUCGUGAAGACGUGCGACUACAUCAACCGCGUUGUGCUAACGCUUCCGCUUUCGGUCUACGAGGGUACGUGGACAACACUCUCCUCUCUCGUUGCUAUGCAUCACCAUGAUCUUGCGUGUGCGUAGGAAAUUUUUUGAAAUUACUAUGUUCCCCAACAAGUACUUUAAUCUGUAGCAUAAGCAGGGAACUAAUAUGAAUUGUCAAUCCCAAAAGGUCGAUUUGAUGACAAUGUAUUGUCAAUCCCAAGGUCAUCAUCUCUGAUUUUUUUGCAUAUUCAUUUCAGUAAUCCAUUUGUGUUAACCAAAUGGACUGGUUAGAAUUUGGAUCCGAAGAAUCCCAAAAGGAAUUGUGAAUGUUUUAGUUGAACCAAUGCUUUAUUAGAAUUUCUAUUAUUUACUUUGUAGGAAUUGCAACUCAACUCACUCCAUCCAUUUUUUUUCUCAACGCAUGGACAGUUACCACAAAAUAUUAUAUUACCCUACCAAAAUAAGUUUUAGUCUAACCGGUGGACAAAGAAACAAACAUAUAUACCUGACCUGAGCAUGUAGUUGUAUUUGUAGGAGGCACCCUGAAAGAAGAAAACAAAGCGCUCGCAUAUAUCUCUUUCUCGUAAACCAGAUUCGUCCACCGAUGCAUCACAGGUUCACAACCCUGCAGUGCAAACAUACACAAAGAUUUAGGUAAGCAAACCAUGGUGUGAGAAGCCAAACUAAAAAAUUAGCCAAUGCAUAAAGCAGUAUGCAGUACAAACAGUAGCAAUCUUGGUCGUGAGCACCUACACGUAAUAGUUUCCUAACGAAUGAAAUACAUGAUUCUUUCUGCUCCCUCUCAUAUUUAUUCUGUAUCUAAUCUAAUGAAAUAAUUAGGAACAGAGUGGGAGACCUUGGUGAUGCUAGCAAACUGCCUGCACGGGACAGAUGCGGAGAUGAACAAAUCUAGAAGAAGGUAAGUGGUGGGGAGGUGGGAUGAACAAGGCUGCACCUUGAUGGUUACCGCGGUUGCGGCGUGUGUGUCGGAGCUGGAUGGAGAAGCAGCUCCAUGGCGUACGUGCACCUUGGUGCCUGCCUGCAUGAGGAAGAGCAUCAGGGGAAGGAAGGGAAGGGAAGAAGCGCAGAACCAAGAGAUUGAUUGAACUCACCAAGGUCGGACCUUGACGACCAGCUCCAUGCCGUCCGUCUCCUCACGAGGCUGGUCCGGUGGGCGGAUCUGGCCACCGCCAUGGCCUGCUUGCUGGAUGUCCCCCACCUGCUGUUGGCCCAGUCCCCACGCCGAGUACUUUCCGACGACAGGCGGCGACCGACGACGAACGACGACGAUGAACGAAGCUUGCUGAGACAACGCACCGUAGCAAACUCGCCACCAAAUAUGCACAUACAAACUAGCACCCUUAUCCCUUGUCAAGGCACGUACUAGUGCUAGUUGGUAUAAAUAGCCAAAGCUAGGUAGCUAUCGAUCAGCUUGAUCGAUUCUAGCCGGCAACACAAACGUACAAUUUGAUAGCCAAAGGCUUGUCUCGAGCCUUGUUUACUUUAUUGAUCAACUCACGGUACGUUAGAUUACACAAGGGGCUGGUCCAUAUAUAGUCCAUAUAUAUAUACUAGGCUAACCUAGCUACGUACAUGACCGAGUUGGCCAGGAAUACUAAUCCUAGUUGGACUAGGAAUCCUACCAAAACACCACGUACACAUGCCGUGUACUACUAAUUCGUGUUUAAGUCUAACACCUGUCCUCUCCUCUCCUCUCCUCUCGUGGUGGCGGGGGGAGGGGAGGAGGGAGCCAUCUGGCCACCACCAUGGCCUGCCUGUUGUAGGUUCCAUGGCCGGGCGUCAAGGGUUUCCGGAGCUAUGGCUGGUACUGGUCGCCAUGGCCUUGGCCUGCGUGUGUGAGGAAGAGGGAGAGGAAGGAAAUCAAAUCGCAGCAGCAAGGUAAAAAGUGAAGAUGAGAAGGCCAUGGAAGAAGGAGGAGGAGGAGGAGAGGGAUCUGGUGCUGCACCUGCUUCCGCCUGCGGCUCGGUGGCCAUGCUAGCUGGGGUUUCAGACUCCAUGCCGCCGUGGAUCUUGGGGCUGCCUCACCUUCUCGCUCAAUCUGCGGAUGGGAGACAAGGUGAGGGGCGCGGGAGAGGAUGGAGCGGCGGCGUCGGGGUAGAGGGAGACGAGGCCACUGGCGGCGGGGUUGGGGCAGAGGAGAGUAGGAUUGGGGAAUCGUCGNNNNNNNNNNNNNNNNNNNNNNNNNNNNNNNNNNNNNNNNNNNNNNNNNNNNNNNNNNNNNNNNNNNNNNNNNNNNNNNNNNNNNNNNNNNNNNNNNNNNNNNNNNNNNNNNNNNNNNNNNNNNNNNNNNNNNNNNNNNNNNNNNNNNNNNNNNNNNNNNNNNNNNNNNNNNNNNNNNNNNNNNNNNNNNNNNNNNNNNNNNNNNNNNNNNNNNNNNNNNNNNNNNNNNNNNNNNNNNNNNNNNNNNNNNNNNNNCGCGGCUGUCGGGUGGAUUUUCUUAGCGUGGGUGAUAGUAGCGCGUUUUGCAAACCAGGCGCUACAGCUAUGUCUUUAGCAGUAGCGCUGGGUUGGUCACCCAUACUGCUACUAUGUCUUAACCCGGGGGUGUGGUGUGGUACACUUACUAGUAGCGCUGCCAAAAAAACCCACGCUGCUGCUAAGUAAUAUCAGCAGCGCGUUUUGUACCAAGCGCUACUGGUAUUUACCAGUAGCGUAGGGUCCCAAACAAGCGCUACUCGUAAAGUUCUGUGUAUAAGCAUUUUUCUAGUAGUGCUUUGUUGUGAUGUUCACAUAGUUGUGACAAUAUGCAUGCUAUAUAAUGUGUUCACAUAGCCUGUGUGGUGUUGGCUCAUUUGGGGGAUCAAUGUUGAUUAGUGGGGCUGCCAUAAUCUGUACUGCAACGAGUAGUGUUCAAGUGUAGUCCAUGCUAUUGUAUUUGGAAACAAAGAUCAUGCCUUAUUUUCUGAUUUUGUGUACACUAAAAUAAUAUAUCACAACAUAGUUACAUUUUGGCGUGAGAGGUAUUUACUAUGGAUGAUGCUCAUGCAUUCUUUGCCUCCUGCUUUUGCCUUUUCUGCCAACAUCUCUUCUCCUUUUCUUGUUUAUUUUAUUGAUUUUAUGUAUUUAUCACAGUAUCAGGUGAUGAAACCCUUAAACAAUCUUAGGACACCUUCUGACACAGUGCUGUUAUCUUGUGAAUGAGAAGUCAUAUUUUUCCUGAUGGUACUACAUGUACACAUUGUGCUCGUUGCUGCAUAUGGUUGGUCCAUGAUGAGAUUUCUGAUUAGCUCCAAAAAGCUCUUGCUCUUUUUGCAUAUUCCCUGGAACAAUUUCACUUGCUUCAAGAUCAUUUCUUUAUGCUUUCUAGUUAUUUCCGUAACAAGUUACCGUUGUCAUCUUCCAGCCUCUAAAAAUAUGUUAAAUCUUACUUUUCAGGAACUUCGUGUUGGAUCAAAUGAUCGUGCUGCAGCAGGCGAUGAAGGGAUGUUUGGGGGAUUUUUCAGCGAGUGUGGAGCUGGUGCACUAAGCCUAUCACUACUGGGCACCCAACGAGUCCCUUCAUGUUCUUGGAUGUAUAGUGUGUGUGAAGUAACAUUUUGGUGCAUGUAUAGUUAACAUGCUGGUACAUAUUUGGUGAUGUAGGAAACUGUAGUUGAACUACAACAAGCAUGUACAUGCAUGCUGGUCGAGAUGUUUAUUGGUUAGCUGUAGCAAACACUAGCUAUAGCUUAUUUUUGGACAAACUUGAUGGCUGGUGAUUUGCAUCUGAUGUAUGCAUGUGAUGAUUGAUAUCUAGAGAUAUCUAUAUUAAUUAUGAAAUGUUAUUUUGGGUCAGAAUUAUGGCUCCUAUUUGAAAUAUUCUAGUUGUGGAUUCAAAUUCAAAUUGCAAAUUGGAAUUAUGGCACAUAUGAAUCUGGUGUUUCCCUACGGUAUAAUUCAAAUUUGGUAGGGACAUAGCUCUAGGGAAAGUGUAUGAUGAUGUGACAUUGCAAAAGGGUCCCAUGAUCUUUCCCUAGAGCUGGCUAUAGGUGAAACAAACUUUACACGUUGGAUGCAUCAGCCGUGUGAAAUUCUUUCCCUAGGGCUUGUGCCCCUAGGUAAAGAACUAGCCCUAGGGCUGGUUAGAUGCACCCUAGGGAAAGGAGUCUUUCCCGUCUAGACUUUACCUAGGGCAAACCCAAGGUAAAGUCUUUACCUAUGGUUUUCCCUAUUUCACCUAGGGUAUAUGGCCAUAGGUAAAAUCGCAGUUUCUAGUAGUGGCAUCUGGACGAUGCAUGCAUCCAUUUUAUUAAUUGUUCACACAAGACCUUACAAAGUAAUACAACAGUAAGACUAAAGCCACCGUCUAGAAAACAUCUGUCGUUACUCCUAUCCAAUUGAUGAAUGGGUGCUGAUAGUCUGGGCCUAAUACACAACAGACCUCGCAGCCAAACCUACCAUCUAAGACCUGAGGUCCCAUCCAGGACGCUUGCCGGGUAUGGGGCACCCCCCCGGUCCGGCGCACUCCUCAACUAGGACGCCUGCCAGGUAUGAGGCCGCCGCAGCCACCUGCCACCAAUCCAUCUUCGGAACUGUACUACUGCAUCUACAUUGCCCGGUCUAGCUGCCGUCGACGCCACCACGACGCCAGACCGCGUCACCCUCCUGCGCAAGUCCAUCUGCGCGCAUUGGAUGCCGAUUCACCACAACGCCAUGCCGCCGAGAUCCGCAGCCAUCAAUCAGUGAGAUGACGCACCACUCCAUCAAAGAAUCCGUCCUCUGUUCCCUCGAUCACGUGUGUACCUCCAAGAAUGAAGCCCCGAAGGGGUAACGACAAUAGAGCGCCGCCGUCAUCCGAUCAUCCGAUCUAGGGUUCCCCCCGGAGGUAGCAGAGAGUGGCCUUGAGCUUCUCCACGGCAAUGCCUUCAAGAAGGGAACAAUGCAGAUAGCGCCGCCACCGCCGGCCUUGACAAUAGCCGAAAGCAAGUUUUCACCCAGAUCUGUUCGAAGGAAUCCAACUCCCGUGCACGGCCGCCGCCACACCGGGAUAAGCAAUCGCCGCCGCCGGCACCUCCACGAUGCCUAGAGGCUGCGAGACUUGCCGCCACCACGCCUAUGCCACUGGCCACCGCUGCCAACACCAACCCCACCAUCCAGCGGAUCUGGGCAGGGAUCCCAGAUCCAUCCCCCACCACCCACCACCACAGAGGGGAGGAGGCGGCUCUAGCGAGGGACGCCGGGAGGGGGAGGAGGAGCCGAGGCAGGGCCAGCCCGACGCCCGACACCACCAGGUAGAUGGGAACGCCCCGCGGAGUACCCAACUGCGUGCGGAAGAGAGCCGCCCCGCCGCCGCCAACGCCACAUGGCCUUUGGCCGGCGACGCCCCAGGCGGCGGCGAGGGAGGGGGUUGAGGCGAAGGGGGCGGCGCUAGGGUUCCUCCCGGGGGCGCCCGCGGGAGUGCCUCGGGGAGGGGAGCGGACGUAUAGAAAAUCUGCAGUACACGUUCCAUUUGCGAGUAGCAAAUUUAUAUUAGCAGGACCAGAAGCAUAAACACACGCUCCUAUCCUUAUCCUUGUCCUCGGCCACAAAUUUAGAACCAGACAUAUGCUGGUAGUUGAAAGAAAUCAUAGGAAAAUUAUGUUAUGCGUCCAUUAAUAAUUAAAAUCAAGCUAGUCUUUGCAUUGCAAGGCCUGGUGUUUCCGAGCUGCUAUCUGUCGUCGACGCCACCACGACCUGAGACCGCGUCACCCUCCUGCGCGAGUCCAUCUCCGCGCAUCAGACUCCGAGUCAUCACAGCGCCAUGCCACCAAGGUCCGCCGCCAUCAAUGAGUGAGAUGACGCACCGCUCCACCAAAGAAUCCGUUCUCUGGUCCCUCGAUCACGUGUGUACCUCCAAGAAUGAUGCCCCAAAUUGGUGAACGACACUAGAGCGCCGCCGUCAUUCGAUCAUCCGAUCUAGGCUUUCCCCCGGAGGUAGCAGAGAGUGGCCUUGAGCUUCUCCACGGCGACGCCUUCAAGAAGGGAACAAUGCAGAUAGCGUCGUCACCGCCGGCCUUGGCAAUAGCCGAAAACAAGUUUUCACCCAGAUCUGUUCGAAGGAAUCCAACCCCUGUGCACGGCCACCGCCACCACCAGGCUAAGCACUCGCCGCCGCAGGCACCUCCACGAUGCCCAGAGGCCGCGGGACUGACCACCACCACGCCUGUGCCGCCAGCCACUGCUGCAAUACCAACCCCAGCAUCCACCGGAUCUGGCCAGGGAUCCCAGAUCCAUCCCCCACCACCCACCACCACGGAGGGGAGGAGGCGGCGCUAGCGAGGGACGCCGGGAGGGGGAGAAGGAGCCGAGGCAGGGCCAGCCCGACGCCCGACACCACCGGGUAGAUGGGAACGCCCCGCGGAGUACCCAAUUGCGUGCGGGAGAGAGCCGCCCCGCCGCCGCCAACGCCACAUGGCCUUUAGCCGGCGACGCCCCAGGCGGUGGCGAGGGAGGGGGUUGGGGCGAAGGGGGCUGCACUGGCGCUAGGGUUCCUCCCGGGGGCGCCCGCGGGAGUGCCUCGGGGAGGGGAGUGGACGUAUAGAAAAUCUGCAGUACACGUUCCAUUUGCGAGUAGCAAAUUUAUAUUAGCAGGACCAGAAGCAUAAACACACGCUCCUAUCCUUAUCCUUGUCCUCGGCCACAAAUUUAGAACCAGACAUACGCUGGUAGUUGAAAGAAACCAGAGGAAAAUUAUGUUAUGCGUCCAUUAAUAAUUAAAAUCAAGCUAGUCUUUGCAUUGCAAGGCCUGGCGUUUAUUCGGCAGCAACGACAGGCGACAACCGCGCGCGGGUCAGCCGACGACCGUCACAUCCCAUGGGACCUGCAUCACCGUCGUGCUUUUAAUCCUCGAUGGGUACUUACAGAGGCAAGGCAGCAUAUAUGUACACAUGCAUUGUGAAUGUCUAUCUACUGUUGAUCUUAUAGCCCGGACAUAACACAAAACCAACUACCAAACUUGCCGGAGACCGGAGUAAGCGUACGAUGAGGGCGAUCAUUACCGCCGCCGUGUCCUUGUUGGCGUGCUUGGCAGGGUAAACACGGACAAGAGCGGACACCGCCCCUUCCGCCGAUCCAAACGAACAAAAAUCGGAUCAAAUCCGUGUCCGUACGCGUCGGCCGGUUGGAGUUGGCCUAGGCAAAUUUGACAAAUUUGACCUAUAGACGAAAUCAAAUCAUAGAAUGAACUAUCCGUGAAACUAUUUCACGCGGCUGACCUUUUUGUGUGACGCCCGCCACGAAGGUGCCACACUACACUGUGCAACGCCUCAGAGAUAGGCGCUACACGGUCAGCGUCGCACACGUGUGAUCAGAAAAUUACUAAGUGGUGUGCAGCGCCUGAGAGCUAGGCGCCACACUAUACAAUAUAGCGCCUAGCUCCUAGGCGUUGCACUAGUGCAGCGCCUAGCUCCCGGGCGUUGCCUGAGAGCUAGGCGCCACGGGUCAACUGCGUGAAAUAAUUUUACAGACAGUUCAUUCUGUGAUUUAAUUUCAUCUAUAGGUCAAAUUUAUCAAACUUGCCGUUGGCCUAAGGGCUUGUACGGAGGUGUCCACUCAGCCAACCGUCUGUAACACCUGCCACAUUCGAUAUUUCUAUGCUAGUUAUCGAUAGCCUACUGCCCUACUCCCGGUAUACGCUCAGACGUCUUUUCUUUUUGCAGGGAACUUUAGAGAGCUUUAUUCAACAAAAGAAUUUCUGAGCAGCCGUACGCUUAGACGUGUAUCGGAUUGUUUGGUUGUUCCCUCCGCCUAACCAUCGUAUUUUAAAUCAACAAUAUUUCCUAAUUUUUGUGAGCUACAGAUAGUAAAAGAGACGGCCUACUGUACAGGCUGUUUUUACAACUAUCUACAGCUGACGUGGAGGACAGCUAUAGAAGACUGGUAUCUACCUAAAGUUCUAAACUAACAUAUACUCCUUUCUUUUUUAUUUAUUUCGCAUAUUAGUUUUGGUCAAAGUUAAACUUUAUAAACUUUAACAAGUUUUAUAGACAAAAAUAUUAAUAUAUACAAUAACAAAUCAACACCAUUACAUUCAUUAUUGAAUAUACUUUCACCUCAUAUAGUUGAUCCCGCGGAGCCUACCCAAAGGUUCAGGCCGGAUUGUAGGAAGUGGGUGAUACGUGUUUGUAUAUCUAUGAGAAGAAAUGCGGCACCCACGAUUCCCAGUAGUAAGUCGUCGGCAUAUCGCGCAGAUUUGUUAUUGUAAAUGUUCAUAAAUUUUUCUAUAAACUUGGCCAAACUUUAAUAAGUUUGACUUCAGUCAAAUUUAAUAUGCAAAGUAAAUAAAAACAAAAGAGUGCUCAGGAACAAAGAUUUGCUGGGCUAUUAUGCAGAAUUUUCUUGGAGGGGUACGAGAAAGUGCUCAGGAACAAAGAUCUGCUGGGCUAUGAUGCAGAAUUUUCGUGGACUAAUGAGUGCGGUGGGUGAGUGGCAGCGUCAACUAGCAAUGAAGUAUACUUCAAAUGUGAAAGCGUAUGUGUAUGUCGACGCAUCGCGGUCGAUCCGUCGACAUAGAAUUAAUCGACGAUUGUGAAGUUUAAACUAGCAAGUACUAGUACGUUACCAUGCAUGGAUAUGAGGCCUACAUGUACGGAAAACUGUAAACUUGGACCCAUUAUUAUCUCAACAGAACCUACUCAAAUGCAAGUUACUCCCUCCGUUCCUAAAUAUAAGUGUUUUUAGAGAUUUCAUUAUGAACUAUAUACAAAACAAAAUGAAUGAAUCUACACUCUAAAAUAUUUUUAUAUACAUUCGUAUGUAGUCUCUUAUUACAAUCUCUAAAAAAAAUUUACAUUUAAGACAAGAGGCCCAAGCCCACUUCAUCGUCCAACGACUCUUCGGUUUCUCCNNNNNNNNNNNNNNNNNNNNNNNNNNNNNNNNNNNNNNNNNNNNNNNNNNNNNNNNNNNNNNNNNNNNNNNNNNNNNNNNNNNNNNNNNNNNNNNNNNNNNNNNNNNNNNNNNNNNNNNNNNNNNNNNNNNNNNNNNNNNNNNNNNNNNNNNNNNNNNNNNNNNNNNNNNNNNNNNNNNNNNNNNNNNNNNNNNNNNNNNNNNNNNNNNNNNNNNNNNNNNNNNNNNNNNNNNNNNNNNNNNNNNNNNNNNNNNNNNNNNNNNNNNNNNNNNNNNNNNNNNNNNNNNNNNNNNNNNNNNNNNNNNNNNNNNNNNNNNNNNNNNNNNNNNNNNNNNNNNNNNNNNNNNNNNNNNNNNNNNNNNNNNNNNNNNNNNNNNNNNNNNNNNNNNNNNNNNNNNNNGUUCUUCAUCGCUGUCAUUCCAAGGCUGCUUCUUCGUUUCCACCUUCGGCACAUUCGUCUACGGCGGCCCCGGCGAACACUGCGCCGGCUCUUUUGAUGAUGUCGGCGCCACAGACUUCGACGCCGCCGACUCUGACUCAGCUAGCGGCACCGCCUCGCCCGAAGAGGGGAGCCAGGACCGGACUCACUUUGAGGGGUUGGCACCUGCGGAGGCUCCUGUGUGCGCGGCCUCGCCGCCACCAUCGUCCAAACCUACGUCACCUACCGGACGAGGAGUGAUUUUCUCCCCGUCUGUUAGGGACGACCAUGAGCCGGCGAUGGCAGAGUUGCGAGCUUUGUCCUCUUCGCCUCCGACACCGGGAGGGGCGCCCGCUUCCAGGGCUCUCGUGGAGCCGGAGGUUGAUAUGCAGCCCUCACGGUCUUCUUCAUCGUCGCCGCACCCGUCUACUCCACCACUCGGGGUCACCGGGACUGCCACUACUGCCAACCUCGUUCCAUCAUCGCUGAGGCGCAGCGGUCAUCACUCCAUCGGUGUUGAUGGUACAAUAGCCACCGAAGAGGACUCUUUGGUGAGGGUCAUGUGCAGGACAGCUGCCCGCAACCUCGACUUUGAAGGUACCUCUUCUCGUCAAUCAUUUUUGUCUUUUGAUAAAUCCAAAGUGCAUUCAAAUACUGCUAGCCUUCGAGUUUCAUUAGGACGUAGUGAGAAAGAGGUUUCUGUUAGGGCUCUUAAACAAGUGGAGUUCAACCGACUUACAGUUGCUUGUAAGUUUUCGACAUUUGCGGACCCUCUCGUGUCAGAUGAGGAGGAUGAGGAUGCUGAUGCCAAUCAUGAAGGCAAGCUUCUCUCCCAUCUAGUUAAAGACACAACUGCGGUAGACUUGGAUGAUAAUGUACGUGAUACUAUGCUAUGUGAGCUUGUGGCGUUGGUACGAAAGAACAAUUCUAAUUCAGCAAAGAAAAGAGGGUGUCCAUCUAAGAGGACAAAGGCCUCUAAACAACAACAAAAUGGUUCAUCAUGAGAGGCAUGUUUUGGAAUAGCAGAGGUCUUGGUGACUUGGCUAAACACAAACAUAUUGUCGAUUGUGUAAAGGAUCAUGAAUUGGACUUUGUGGCUAUCACUGAGUCGGGCAAACGUGACUUCCCAACACGUGAUCUUAACCACUUUUCAUGUGUUUACUAUUAUGAAUGGCACGUCUUACCCACGUCUGGGAGGUCCGGUGGAAUCUUGCUAGGCAUCCAUUCCACGUACUUGGAACAUUUGUCCGCGCCAAAGGGGGAAUAUCAUAUCAAAUUUCACCUUCGAAAUAAGUCUGACAACUUCCUUUGGAGCAUCUUGGCUGUAUAUGGCGUCGUCCAGGAGGAGUUUAAGUCUACUCUUCUAUAGCAACUUGUUAAUACCUGCCAAGACAAUCCCCAUCCCAUGUUAAUGGNNNNNNNNNNNNNNNNNNNNNNNNNNNNNNNNNNNNNNNNNNNNNNNNNNNNNNNNNNNNNNNNNNNNNNNNNNNNNNNNNNNNNNNNNNNNNNNNNNNNNNNNNNNNNNNNNNNNNNNNNNNNNNNNUGGCUAUUCCUCUUCAAUGCUAUUAUUGACAGCCUAUACCUGCGGGAGCUCACUAUGUCUGGCCAUCAAUAUACCUGAGCGAAUAACCGAGCAGUUCCAAUCUUUGAAAAACUUGACCGGGUGCUUGUUACCAUCGACUGGGAAUAUAAAUAUCCCCUAGCCUCGGUACAGGCACUAGAAAGAAUUGAGGCCUUGUCGGAUCACACUCCGUUGCUAACGGAUUUUGGACAAACAACUCCAAGUUCUAACUAUCAUCAGUUUAAAUUUGAACUGGGAUGGCUAACUAGAGAGGGACUUCUCGACCUGGUCAAGAAGGUGUAGGCGCGUCAACCUCGCGGUAACAUGCCCAUUCAACAAUGGAAUAAUCGAAUUCGCGCCUUGCACCGAUUCCUUCGUGGAUGGGCUAAGCACACUGCUGGCAUUUACAAAAAAAAGAAAAGUUGCGACUAUCUACUUUAAUCGAUACCCUCAAUAAAAUUGCGAAGGUGAGGCCUCUUUCUGCUGCUGAGAUUGAGCAAAAAAGCCAUCUAAAUGAGCAUAUUGCCCGCCAGCUCCAUGAGGAAGAGAUUAAAUGGUACCAACGUUGCAAUGCCGACUCGCUCGUUCAAGGUGACGAUAAUACAAAAUACUUACAAAUGCUGGCUAAUGGCAGACAUAGAAACAAACAUAUCUUUGCUCUUGACCAGGAGGAAGGCCGUAUCGAGGGGGACGCACCGCUCAGAGACUAUAUUACUAAGUAUUACAAAGAGCUUUUCGGUCCUUCCACUCAAACACUUUUUGAGUUGGACACAACAAGUUUUGGAAGCGGAAAAUGAAUUCUUAACUUCUGCGUUCUCUGAGGAGGAAAUUCGAACCGCGGUCUUUCAAAUGGAACAUAACAAGGCUCCGGGAUCGGAUGGUUUUCCGGCGGAGUUUUAUCAAUGCUUUUGGGACAUAAUCAAGGCAGAGACUUGGUUCAGUUGUUUAACCAAUUGCGUACUGAAGACCUUGAUAUUUCGCGCUUAAACUUUGGGAAAUUAUCCUUCUACCUAAGAUUAGGAGGCCAGUUGUAUUCAAUAAUAUUGACCGAUUUGCCUUCUAAAUGUAAGAUUCAAAAUCUUUACGAAGGUCGCAACUAAUCGGUUGAACGGGGUGGCUGGCCAUGUCGUCAAGCCCACUCAAUCAGCAUUUAUGCAAGGACGCAACAUACUAGAUGGAAUUGUUGUGCUGCAUGAAACUGUACAUGAGCUUCACCGUAAAAAGUUGAAUAGAGUGAUCUAUAAAAUAGAUUUCAAAAAGUCCAAUGAUAAAGUUAGAUGGCCCUUUCUGUUGAAAACUUUACGCAUGAAGGGGUUUUCACCAAAAUGGUGUCGAUGGGUAGAGAGUUUUGUAUCUGAAGGUAGUGUGGCCAUCAAAUUUAGCGAUGAGGUUGGCAACUAUUUUCAGAUAAGUAAGGGGCUUCGUCAAGGGGACCCCACAUUACCCAUUUUGUUUAAUAUUGUGGCCGACAUGUUAGCUACCCUUGUUGAGCGGGCUAAGGUGGCCGGUCAAGUUAGCGGUGUCAUACCUCAUUUGGUAGAAGAGGGUCUAUCUAUUCUACAAUACACGGAUGACACUAUACUUUUCACGGAUCAUGAUCUAGAUAAAGCAAGAAACCUCAAGCUGCUUUUAUAUGCUUUUAAGGAACUCUCCGGCCUCAAAAUAAAUUUUCAUAAGAGCGAACCUUUUUUUGCUUUGAAGAUGCUGCAGAAUCUGCGCUUGAGUACGCUGACAUUUUUGGAUGCCAGCUGGGCAGUUUCCGAUUCGGUAUAUGGGUAUUCCCAUACACUAUCGGUGUUUAACUAUUGCUGAGUGGAAGCACGUGGAAGAGAGACUUAAGAGACGACUAGCCAGUUGGAAAGCCAAACUCGUGUCAUAUGGGGGGCGAGUGAUAUUGAUCAAUUGCAUCCUCAGUGACAUGGUUUUAUAUAUGUUGUCAUUCUUCCAUCUUCAGAAGGGGUUCUUUAGCGUCUCGGUUACUUUAGAUAUAGAUGUUUUUGGCAGUGUGAUAAUGAAUCCAAGAAAUAUCGACUGGCUAGGUGGACUGUGUUAUGUCGACCUAAAAGUAAAGGGGGACUUGGAAUUCAAGACCUUGAGAUUAAAAAUAUUGCUCUUCUCAGUAAAUGGAUUUAUAAACUACUAAGUGAGAAUGGAGUAUGGCUGGAAAUCAUUCGUAACAAGUACGUGGGAUCCAAAGUCAUUUCUCAAGUCUAUUGGAAACCUGGUGACUCACAUUUUUGGUCUGGCAUCAUGAUGGCCAAAGAAUUCUUUUUCCAAUUUGGGACUUUCUCGGUUAGGGUUGGUUCCCAGGUUCGAUUCUGGGAAGACACCUGGCUAGGGACCGGACCACUCAUGGUGCAACACCCGAGCUUGUACAGGAUUGUUAGACAUAAAUUUGUCACCAUCAAACAAGUUUUGGGGCAAAAAAACCCUGAUAUUUCUUUCCGUAGGGACCUUUUAGGACCUCGCCUGGCAGCUUGGAAUGAGUCACUCAUAUGUCUGGAGGCUAUUCAGCUGUCAGAUGAACCGGACAUCUUUCAGUGAAAUUUGCAUCAGAAUGACAAGUUUACAGUCAAAUCCAUGUAUGAUCCAAUGGUUCAUUAUGAUGUUCCGGUUGAUAACUGGAAAUUGUGGAACCUUAAAAUCUCUCUAAGAGUGAAGAUAUUUCUUUGGUUCCUAAACAGAGGGGUCAUCUAAACUAGAGAUAAUCUGGAACGACGCAAUUGGCAAGGCACCAAGACAUGUGUCUUUGCCGACAUGACGAGUCUAUCAAACACUUAUUUUCUGAGUGUAAGUUCGCUCGUUCGGUUUGGGCCAUAGUUCAAGUAGCUUCAAAUUAUGCCCCCCACGUAGUGCACGUAACAUGUUCGGCAACUGGUUGAGGGGUAUUGAUAAACAAUUUUCUGCACAUAUUCUUGUGGGGGCGGCUGCCUUAUGCUGGGCAUUGUGGCUUACCAGGAAUGAUGUGGUUUUUAAUAAAAAGUGAGUUUCAUCUCCUAUGCAGGUUAUUCAUGUAUGUAUGCGAUGGCUCCGUACUUGGUCUAUCCUGCAGAGGCCGGAGGACAGAGAGCUAUUUAUGAUGUCGUCUAUGCGGCUGGAGCGUACGACCAGAGAGGUUUUCUACCCGUUGGAUGGCGGUGUGAUCUCCAAAUAGGAUCUGCCAUAUCAUAAGCGGGACUGAUUUAUUUAUUUUAUAAGCUGUAAAACCUUUUUUAUUUUUAGGACGGUUGGACUUAUUGGCUGCGUGCAUCAAGCUAUGCAGAAGCCGGGUAUUCAUUCGAAUGCGAUUGUAUCACCUCGAUAUAUCAAUUCAAUGAAAUAUCCUUUAUCAAAAAAAGAACGGAGAGAGUAUUAGCUAGCGAGACUACUCCGCUCUAGUGAUGGAGCAGGCGGAGCGCUUGGGAAUGCCAAAUCCGCCGUCUAUGCCUUGCAGCCCGGAGUCCGGGCGGCGUCACAAGGCCUUGUCCUAUUGAGAAACAGUAUAAUGGGGCGAGCUAGGAGCCUCCACAGCGAUUCACGUCUCUCAGCCGUUGGAUCACUCAAAUAGACGAUGCAGAUCAAGUCGGUCAUCCCACGUCGUCCACACGUUCGAUGAACCGUCUCACGGGAUGCUGCUCCGCAGAACGAGCUCCUGUUUCUCUCCUUAUAAGGGGGCCGUCCAAGGCCCAGGCCAGGCCGUCCAAGUUCCAGCCCUAUUCCCCCGAACGAACAGCCCCUCUAUUUCCUUCCUACGCGAGGCGCCGCCAUUUGGCCUCCGCGAUGCACCGUGGCCGUCAGGAAGCUUCUACUGCAUGAGCACGACUGAGUCCGCGUCGGUGCUGUUCACCCUCAUGUACUCUUCCUCCGGAUCCCCUUCUUUACUUGUUUUUAAUUUCAUGUCUUGCAGCGCUCCUCCAUGGCAGCGCGGCGCCCGCCUCCGUCAUUGUUGUCCAUCACCGACUGUCCUUCUACUGCAUCCGCCUCCAUGCCUUGCAGCUGUACGGCGCAUCUGUUCCCAUCCCAUAACUGAAGCUGACAUGCGUCAUCACUAAUCUCAGCUUCAUAGGUAAACAUAUUUCUCCAUACACUUUUCUGGAUUGCUGUGGAAUCACAUACUGAUUGCUUUGAGUCCUCGUUUUGCGGUCUGUUGAGAAGAAAUCUUGCCCCGUUAAACAUUAUUCAUUUUUUCUUCUGUGAGUUCCAUGCUUGUAUUGGUUUGCUUUGAUCAUGUUUAUUUUUCAUGUUGGGAUGGAGAAUUCAGAAAUAAAUCAAUGAAUUCUAACAUAAAUAGAUACGGAAGUUAGGGGGCUGGAAUACCAUUUGCCUUUCAUCAUGAUGCUGUUAAGCAUGUGAUCUUGAGUAGAGAGAGAGAGAGAGACUAGCUAUGUUCAAUUCUAUAACCUAGCAAGUAUCUCAGGUGGUAAGAAAUUAUGUGUGUUGAGUCAGUGCGGUAAGAUCUGGCAGAUGUUGAUUGCUUGCCGGCUUCCACGUUGCUUAUUGCGCCAGCCACUAUUGGUGCAUAAUGGUUAGGCUCACACUGCAUUGCUCAUCUCCAGGUGUAAUGCAUGCAUCGUAGGCAAAGUCUGAAGGUAUUCUCCUACAUCCUGAUAAUUCCUUGUGAUAUUGUAGUAGUGGAAAAUAUUCCCUUCUAUUGCCAAUUUUCAUUUGCCAGUUGUGUUCUUGUUUGAUUAAUUUCUCAUUCUAGACAUUGCAGAUGAAUUUAGAACUUGCAGGUAUUUCCUGAGUGACAAAAAGGAAGUAAGCAUGGAAAUUAAGGGACAAUUACACUACGUGAGCUAUGCCCCUCCACAACAUUUUGACAUCCUUAGUUCGAUCUAUAGAAGCAUGGUCGUGAUUUCUUUUGGGUUUUAUUAGUAUGACUCUCCUCCCCUUGUAGCAUUGAUUAGCGGACAUUGAUUAUUAUUUUAAAAUAUGGUUCAAACCAUUUUAGCUUACUAAGGUUGAACUAGGGAAAGCAUGUGAAGGCAUAUUUCUCAACAAUUUUAAAGCUUGCAUCUAUAUUUUCAUUAAGGGACGGGCGCGGCAAAGCGCGCCUUUAUGAUCUAGUUCUGAAGUUACAACGGCACCUUUUGAGUACUCCCUCCGGCCCACUUUACUCCUUGUAUUGGAUUUGUGUCAGGGUCAAACUAAAGUUUGACCUAAUAUACACUAAAAAAUAUCAACAUAUACAAUACCUAAUAUAUAUACCAUGAAAACUAUAUUUUGUAAUGAAUCUAAUAAAAAUGAUUUGGCAUUGUGAAUAUUGAUGAAGUUUUCUACUCCCUCCAUUCCACAAUGUAGUGCGUUUGUGCUUCCCGAGAUUCAAGUUUCACCGUAAAUUUAAUCAAUGAGACUGACUGCGGCGGGAACAAAAAUUAUACCACUGAAUUAUAUCGAAACUACGAAUUCAGUGGUAUAAGUUUUGCUCCCGCCGGAGUCGAUCUCGUUGGUUAAAUAUACGGUCAAACUUGGAUAUCGGAAAAUGCGGCGCACUACAUUAUGAAAUGGAGGGAGUAUAAGUUUAGUCAAACUAGAGAUACUUUGACUUUGGACAAAACUUCUAUGCAGAUUAAAAAGGACCGAAUGGGGUACUAAACCAAGAUGGAGUCUGGUAAGAGCUACUACCUCCGUUUCAGUUUACAAGUCCUACGCGUAUACCUAGGUUGCCAAUUUUAUCACCCUAAUAUAAAAUAUAUAUAUAACACAAAAAUUAUAGCGUUUGAAAAUAGAACAUCUGGAGUCUAUAUUUGUAUAUUUUUUGUAAUAUAUGACUUGUCUUAGGUUGGUCAAAUUGACGACUUAGGGGUACGCGCACGCCCUGUAAUCUGAGAGAGAGGUAGUACAACAAAAUAAAUAUCUCCACUCAAAAGCUUUGUGACAAGUGACUUUAAUAUCAUCAGAUUUUUUCCUUUUUGGGAAUCAUUGAUGGGUUUUCCUUUUCCAGGUAGGGGUGCCUUUUCUGGUUGGCAUGUAUCUAUUUCUCCAUUAUGGGAAUACACUUUGUUGGGUGACUCACCUCUUUGUCAGAAAUAAACCCUACCGGACAAUAUUGUCUAGAUAAACCAUGUGCCGUCAGGCAAGUCUAUGUUCAGUCGGUUUGGACGGUAGUCCAGCAAUAGAAUUGAUGCUGCAUAGGUGUAUUAUUUAGUUUCAAUUGUUGUUGCCGAAGCCUCGAUAUUUUACAUUUUUACUUUUUGUAUGACUUGAUGUACAAUAAAAGAUUAUUGUAUGAAUCAAUCCAUGCAGAGGCCAUGUAUUAUUUUCUUUUACAAUAAUGAAUAGUUCCGAACUAUACAAGAGCCCAAGGAAGCACACUUUCCCAGUUCCAGUGAGCACAAUAGAGUCGACAUUAAUCCAUUACUUGACCCAAAUUAGUGUCACCCGCGGUGGUGCGUGGCACCACCGCAUGACAGCCAGUUGGCCAAGCCAAGUGUAGAGUGUGCGUGUGAGCCAGCUGUAUGCGUGUGUGUGGCCAGGGUGCUGGGUACUUAACCCCUGGAGGGGCGAUGUAUUGGACGGGCUGUUGUUGAGUAAUCAGAUUCCCUCACCUCGCUUUCUCUCGCGCUCAUCCCCUUCCUCACGCCAUCCUCGCCCCCCGUUCCCUCUCCUGCCUACUCUGGUCUACUCGAUCCAGAUCAGGGCAUGACAUUUGGUUAUCAGAGCCACCGAAUCCUGACGCUGGGCGAUCAGCAGCUGGUGACCGACGUCUAGCGCCGCACGAUGUCGAAGCUUGUCGGCCUGCAGUUCAAGUUUCAGUACAAGCGCGACAUUGACAAUGGCGCAGCAGACGCGCUAUCCCGUGUGGGCAGCCACUUCAGCACCAACGCCCAGUCACUUUGUCAGCCCGCGUGGAUCCAGGAGGUGGCCAAUUCCUAUACCACUGAUCCGGACGCGCAGGAACGACUGCAACAACUGGCCCUGCACAGUCCAUAUGACGAUGAGUAUGAGUUGUACCAUGGGCUCAUCCAUUGCCAGGGCAGGCUGUGGAUUGGUGCCAACACAGCUCUGCAUACAAAGCUCAUCAGCGCGAUGCACGACAGCGUCAUGGGCGGCCGCUCAGGUGCCACCGCCACCUAUCACCGCGUCAAGAAGGCUUUUGAGUGGAGGGGCAUGAAGUAGGAUGUCGACGACUUUGUUUGGCAAUGCCAAGUCUGCCAGCAAGCCAAGCAUGAACUUCGCAAGCCCGCGGGCAAACUAGCACCACUGUCAAUUCCCUCCGCACCGUGGCAAGACCUGACCAUGGAUUUCGUCGAAGGAUUGCUCAAGUCAGAGGGAUAUGAUGCGAUCAUGGUGGUGGUCGACCGUUUCACACUAUUUGCUCACUUCAUGCCCUUACGGCACCCAUUGGCGACACAGGUGGGGCGCAUGUUCUCGGACAAUGUCGUCAAGCUCCAUGGCAUCCCCAAGUCCAUCGUCAGCGAUCGGGACAAGGUUUUCACUAGCGCGCUGUGGCGCGAACUGCUGGCCGGCGCUGGCACCAAGCUCCUCUACUCCACGGCCUAUCACCCGCAGACCGACGGCCAAAGUGAACGCGUCAACCAGUGCAUGGAAAUGUACUUGCGCUGCACGGUCCACGACACUCCCUGGCAAUGGCGACGCUGGCUCCCCUCUGCUGAAUUCUGGUACAAUUCCUCUUUUCACUCCUCGCUGGGUUGCUCUCCUUUCAAGGCGCUGUACGGGGUUGAAGCCAACGAGGGGAGUAUGGCCACCUGGCUGGCAUCCCACCCAUCCUUGCCGGACGGCGAACAGUGGGACUGGUCGCUGCAUCAGGAGAAACUGCGCACACACCUGGCACGGGCGCAGAGCAAGCACAAGAAAUUUGCUGACCGAAACCGAACGGAACGAGUGUUUCAAGAAGGAGAACGGGUUCUUCUGAAGCUUCAACCCUAUGUUCAGAAAUCAGUGGCAAGUCUUCCCUGUCCCAAGCUUGCAUUCAAGUUCUUCAGCCCUUUCUCCGUGGUCGCGAAGAUUGGACCCUCAGCGUACAAGAUGGACCUACCUGGUGAGAGUCGAAUACACCCAGUGUUCCACAUCUCGCUGUUGAAGCCAUUCACGCCCAACUACAGUCCGGUGUUCUCCAAACUGCCUGUCACUACUGAUCUGUCGACGGGCGAGACCAUGCCAGUGGAGAUUGUGGACUGAAGGAUGAUGAAAAGAGGCAAUGCGCCUGUGGUGCAGCUGCAAGUAGCUUGGGACACGGUGCAGCCGUCUACGACAUGGGAGGACUAUGAUGUGCUUCGCAGGAGUUACCCGCACGCAAGCAUUUGGGGAGAUGACGCAGUGGAGGAGGGAGCGACUUCUCAAGGAGGGGAGAAUGUCACCACGGUAGUGCGUGGCACCACCGCGUGACAGCCAGUUGGCCAAGCCAAGUGUAGAGUGUGCGUGUGAGCCAGCUGUAUGCGUGUGUGUGGCCAGGGUGCUGGGUACUUAACCCCUGGAGGGACGAUGUAUUGGACAUGUUGUUGUUGAGUAAUCAGAUUCCCUCACCUCGCUUUCUCUCGCGCUCAUCCCCUUCCUCACGCCAUCCUCGCCCCCCCCCCUUUCCCUCUCCUGCCUACUCUGGUCUCCUCGAUCCAGAUCGGGGCGUGACAAUUAGAUUGAUGUGCAUGUGGUUUCAUUGUUGGCAGGAGGCAGGAGCGUUCGAAUUCCUCUACGAGUCAGGGUUGGGUGUCGGUAAGGGGAGCUCAGAUGGAUUCCAGCCACUGCAUCACCCUGACCCGGCAGCAGCUGCAUGCCACCUCCUUUUCUGCUCCAACGGCUACUGGGUCUUCCAAGUUAUCUCAGUUGUUUCUUAUAUCCCUGGUGAAUCAUGCCCAUUGUCUUUGUGGAUUUGCAUGUAUACCUACAUAAUUGUCAAAUAUCAAUGUUGCUUAUGUAAAUUGUACUAGUAUAGUUUUUUUGUUUACCUCUGAAAAUAGAGGCAUUUGUUUAGCGGUUUCAUAUUGAAUUAUACUACUCCCUCUAUCACGGUUUAGACGGCACACUUCAGUUUUCACGCAUUUUCAGAAUAUAAGAGAAUUAAGGUGUGUGGGCAAUUAAUGUUGAGUUAAUUAGGUCACUUAGAGUGCGUAUAGGCUGCAUCCCAUGCAUGUGGUCCUUUUUCUCCACCACUCAUGCGCUAAGACUGCAAACUUGCAGUGGGGCACACUGUGAGUUAAUUUUUCUGUUAAUUUGGGCAUCGUAGUUAAUAAUCGAUGCUACUUUCAGUACUCCCUCUCUCUCAGUUUACAGGGCAUACGCGUACCCCUAGGUCGUCAAUUUGACCAACCUAAUACAAGUCAUAUAUUACAAAAAAUAUAACAAUAUAAACUUCAGAUGUUCUAUUUUCAGAAGAUAUAAUUUUUGUUUUAUAUAAUAUAUAUUAGGGUGAUCAAAUUGGCAACCUAGGUAUACGCGUAGGACUUGUAAACGGAAAUUCAGGGAGUACAACCAAUCACUAACCAUCUUGGUCCUAAAUAUUUUUCCCGUGUGCCCCGUAAACUGUGACAGAGGGAGUAUAGAAAUGAGCACAGUUGUUCCAAUGAGCACAAAUAGAAAUGUGGGGAACUACUAAUGGACAAUGCUGGUUGGGGGUCUGUAUGGUUGGUUGACUCCUAAUUGAAGUCCGGCGCAAAAUAAAAAUCUUAAUUAAAGUGGGAUUGUGGGACACUUGAUUUCAUGGUUGAUUGCAUGCCGGGAUUAAUUGCACUCUGAUUUCAUUCAUGGCUGAUUGCAUGCUUCAUGUCACUCUUAAUAGGACAACAGUUGCUACAUGCAAAUUAAGAUCUAUGAUUGAUGAAGUUUAAAGAGAAGUCACCAGUGAUAGUUGUUCCAAAUGACUUUAAAGAGAAGCCAACAGGAAAGAAGAAUAGGGAAAAAAAUGGAGUGUGCUACAUGUUUUUAAAAUUAUUUCCUUUUUCAAUGUAUAUUCAUAUAGAAUUUGCAAAAAUUGGAUAGAAGAAAUGGCGCGCAAUCACGUUUAGUGAAAUGAGCAAGAUAUCACUUCUCAUUAAAUUUGAAUCCACGUCAAUUUUUUCUCUCGUUACAACACACAGGCAUCUAUGCUAGUUUUCUUUAAACCAAAAAAAACACGCAGAAAACAACAACAGACUCUGGGCAGUCGGUUAGCCCAGAAAAAUAAUACCAGUUGAUGUAAAAACUAUUUAAAAAAGGUUUGACAAUAGCAUAUAAAAGAAUAAAAAAUAUAGAUACAUUUGAGGCAUAUCAGCGAUCAAGGCGGUGGUGCAACCAUCGCCUUACGGGAAAAAGGGGCAGUGUGGCAGGCGCCUUAGUGAGAAGAGAAAAUGCAGAGGAAUGAUUCCCCCUCUUCCCUCCCGCGACGCUCCUGUGAGCGCCGGGGGGGGGGGGGGCUAGCUGCCAGCCUCACCGUCCCCACCUCUCCCCCUCCUCCCCUGCCACCGCCGGCUGGCGCUGAUGGGCAAUGCCCGGUUGGCGCGGCGUUGGCGGGCCCCCUUCUUCUCUUCCGCUCGGAGUGGCCGGCGCAGGACGACGGCUUCUGGUGGCGACGCGGGGCCCUGCGGUAAGGCGGCAGGAGCGUGGUGCGGCGGCUGAUGAGGACAUGUAUUAGGGGUAGGGUAACAGGCCUGACCUAAAGGCCCUACCCAUGGACACCGUAUACUUUGUACUGGGCCCCUGGGCCAGAUCACCGUCUAGAUGUACCGCAACUUGAAAGUCACUCAGACGGCGACAACCACUGGGAGCACGGCACUUUACUCGACGAGCUCAUUCCACUCGGCCGUGUAACUCACUCGGAUAUGCAAAGACCAAUAGUCAGCAUGUCGGUUUUGUAGUGGGCAGGCAUUACGGCAUUGAUGCUCCAUCGUGUAACAUAAGGGGUGAGGGGGUGGCGCACUCUAUAUAAGCCACCCCCCACCACUAGACUAGGGGGUUCUUUUCUUCCACCUUUCUCUCUUUUCACCAUUAGUCUCAGGACUUAGCUCAGGCAUGGGGAUCCGUUCCUCUCUCUCACACACACACACAUUGUAAUCUCCAGAUAUAUACUCAGAUAAAACAAAGCCUCUCCGGAGCACGAGACGUAGGGUUGUUAUCUCCACCGUGAGAGGCCCGAACUCGUUAAAACCACCGUGUCACCCAUAUGCAUCUCGAUAGAUCAUGCUCCGUUAUCCUACCCCUCUCUUACUGUCGGAGUCGUUCCCAUGACAGUUGGCGCCCACCGUGGGGCAUGGCGUCUAUCGAGCCAUGAUGCAAAUGGUUUUAUUUCUUCGAUCUUCGUCCGUCGACCAACAAUCAUCAAUGGAGGGUUCGAUCCAGGAUGCUCCGGACAUCACUCCAUUCACAGGAGAGACAUGACACUCUCCGUACAGAGGGAUUAGGAAGUACCAUUCCAUACUAUCUUGUUCUUUACAAUCGAUCAUCAAUCUAACAAUGGUUGUUUUUUCUUUUGUAUGUACAUGCACGAGCAAAGCAUGGGAAACAGAGGAAACAAACAUCCAUCCAAGCACAUACAAGGAGAACCAUCCACCUUCAGGUUGAUUUGCCUCACGUCUGCGUGAGAUGACCACCUGAAUCGGCGUUUUGGACAUCGCCAAUAGCAGCAACGACGGCAUGAAAGCAGUAAACCGACUGCGCCUCCACGCACGGCCAUCGGCACCGAUCGCUUCAUCGUCGUCCCUGACCUCGGCACCACCAACUGCGCCUCCACACACGUCCACCGGUGUCGUCCGCCUCUUCAUGGUCACGCACGACCGCCGGCGUCGUUGUCACGCACGGCCGCCGGAGCCGUUCGCCUCGUCGUCGACUUCGGCCUCGUGUUCGCGGCUGCUCGGCGACGACCUCCGCAGUGGAGGCGCAGGCCCGACGGAGCGUAGGCGUGCAGUGCUUCUUCCUCCGGCGCCGGUCGCCGGCGACGGUCUCGGAGGCGGGGGUGCGCUGCAGCGACGGCCUAGGAAACGGCCUCGAUCCGCAAGCAAUGGCCCUUCAUCCGAAUUAAAGGAGUCAACGCCUGGUAAGUGCAUGCAUAACGUUGGUUGUUUCCUCAAUCAAUUAACUGCAUGCAGGGAAAAACAAGGAAACGGAAGGACGACUCCCACCAAUAGGCAACCCCGCUGGCUCCGCUUUGUCAAGGUAUAAUUGCCUCAUUAAGCGGCCAAUUGGUGAGGAUUUACAACGUCAGUUACCUAAUUAUUGCAGCCAUAAGUGCGUUGCUUCAGCGCUAGUUAAUUGGUGCAUGCAUGCAUGCAGUUAACUCGGCCGCUAUGCUGGCUAUACUUGCUAACUUGCAGGGAAGCGCUGGGACAGCAAAAUAUAUUUGUAGCUGUACAUGUACUUGCUAACUUGCAGGCACUGAGACGAACAACGUCGCCCCAUCGACUCAUCAUUUUUUCCACUCGGCUGAUGGCGUGGCGACCGGAUUGCUGCCUAGCUGUGGUUCACUCAGCCGAUUGACCAUUUCACUCGGCCGGUUAACGAACUGGUUCACUCGGCCAGCCAGCCCGGAGAUGAUUUCUGCACUCUAGAUAAUUAACAUGUCGAUUACACGGUUGGUUGGCUUCAGCGUGCAGCCACCGGCGCCAUUCGUCUCGUCACCGUCUCUGGCUUCGCCUGCGAGGCCAUUAUCAAACCUCCGCACACGGCCACUGGCGCCGUCCAGCUUGUCGUAGUCUCCAGCCUCAUCUGCAACAUCAUCGAGAAUCCCCUCAUACGGCUCCUCCGAACGCGUUGUCCACCGCCCCGCAGCAGCCUCCGCGGUGGAGGCACUCGACAGAGAUGAAACCAAAGGAAACGUCAUCCACAACCACUCGGAAGAAAAGAUCAAGGACAUUUGGCUACCCGUCACUCGGAUGCCCCGCGAGUCGUCGCUCCGCGGGAUGCGUCUACUUCACUACGCCCCGCGCAUCGCCAUUUCGCGGGACACGUUUACUUCACACGGACGACCCGCGGCUCGUCACUUUGCGGGAUGCGUCUACUUCACUCGGCCGCCCCCCGCGUCGCCAUACGGUUGGUCACCUCAUCACCACUAGGCCGCUCCGCGCGUCGCCACACGAUUGGUCACCUCAUCACCACUCGGCUGCUCCGCGCAUCGCCACACGGUUGGUCACCUCAUCACCACUCGGCCGCUUCGCGCGUCGCCACUCGGUUGGUCACCUCAUCACCACNNNNNNNNNNNNNNNNNNNNNNNNNNNNNNNNNNNNNNNNNNNNNNNNNNNNNNNNNNNNNNNNNNNNNNNNNNNNNNNNNNNNNNNNNNNNNNNNNNNNNNNNNNNNNNNNNNNNNNNNNNNNNNNNNGGCCGCUCCGCGCAUCGCCACACUCGGUUGGUCAUCUCAUCACCACUCGGCCGCUCCGCGCGUCGCCACUCGGUUGGUCACCUCAUAACCACUCGGCCGCUCCGCGCGUCGCCAUCGGUUGGUCACCUGAUCACCACUCGGCCGCCCUGCGCGUCGCCGUCUCCAAAAUCCCCCAGUGGGUGACUUAACUGCGAAUCUGUUUCGCCUAAGUUCAAGAAAUCCUACCGAGUGGAGAGCAAACCUUCCACUUGGGGGCUUAGAUGCAGUCCAGUACUCGCCUAAGUUUGAAAAAAUCCUACCGAAUGGAGAGCAAACCUCCCACUCGGGGGCUUAGCUGCAGUCCAGUACUCGCCUAAGUUUGAAAAAAAUCCUACCGAGUGGAGAGCAAACCUCCCACUCGGGGGCUUAGGUGCAGUCCAGUACUCGCCUAUGUUUGAAAAAAUCCUAUCGAGUGGAGAGCAAACCUCCCACUCGAAGACUUAGCUGCAGUCCAAUACUCGCCUAAGUUUGAAAAAAAUCUUACCGAGUGGAGAGCAAACCUCCCACUCAGGGGCUUAGCUGCAGUCCAGUACUCGCCUAAGUGUUUGAAAUCCUACCGAGUGGAGAGCAAGCCUCCCACUCGGAGGCUUAGCUGCAGUCCAAGGACUCGCCUAAGUAGCCAAAAUCCGACUGGGACAAGAGCAAACCUCUAAUUCAAGGAGCUGCAUCACAAGUAUAAUGUGCUCUCCAUCCCUAUCCGCAAGGACACCGAGACGAAGGUCGACCGUCACCAUCGCCUCAUCAUCACUCGGCCGCCCCGCGUGUCGCCGCUCGGUUGGUCGCCUCAUCACCACUCGGCCACUCGUGCACCUUCAGACAGCUAAGUCAUUUUACAUUCCGUCUUCCCGAGUAUCCCGUAAUUCACACAUCACGUUCACUCGGAGGCCACGCCACCGAGUGUACCUCUACUCUCGGUUGCUUAUUUUCACAUACUUGCUUAGUACUGGUUAUGUGACUCCCGAGUCCAACUUCCAUUUUUUUCGCAUACAUCAUUCAUGAACACCAUGUGUCGUUCUUCAUUUCGAGUUUGCAUCGGUCCUCCGGGGCUGCAACUUAGUCUAAACACUACACUUUCGUUUUAUUUUAGCCAGUAUUCCAACGAGUUCAGUAGGAUCUCUCGCUUCGAUAAGUUCAAACGAAUCCUUUGCUCUUUUAGACUCUUGCUGGUUAACCAGCAAGCCCCUUGCACUCCCAGCGGGUGUCUAUGGAUGUUAUUCACACAAAUCAUUUCAGCACACAUCAAAUUUCCUCAAGAAAUUAUUUUGUUGACUUGUGCCUUUUUUACACAAGUUACGUGAUCACUCGACGGCCCUACGCGCCAAUUUCAUCGCUGCUCGGACUCGGUCACCAUACUGGUCCUAGCGCACCACACCACUGACCUUGUCGCUCUGUUGGCUUCAAGCACAUCCGGCCAACCCCUCCGUGGAAUCCUCUUCAUCGAUAAUAUAGACCUCGUCAGGCAUGAGACAGGUAAGUCCCUUUUAUAAUUAAACUUCACACAUCACUCUUUUUGCGAGUUUGCCUCUUUCGAGCAUCCCUCGGAAAUUUCUCCUCAUCCUUACCCGAGUCCGACUCGAUGGAUUGCAAAUUAUCCAUUCAACACUAUAUUUCCCGUAUUCCGACAUGUCCGUUGUUGAAGCCUGUAGUACGCUCGGGAGCUACGCCGCUCUCGGAGGCUGCAACUCAUUUGGAAUAACACUCUCCUGAGUGGUCGAGUGCUUCAUCACCAGUUAGAUCCUUCACUUCAACAAGUGCAUUCGACCCACCACUUUGACAAGUUUUAUAAUCACCCAAACGCUCUGCGCGCCAUCUUCAUUCCUACUCAGACUCAGUUGUCACGCCGGUCUUGUUGCGUCGCAACCACACUACAUCAACCUCGUCGCUACAUUAACUUCGAAAGCAUCUGGUGUCGUGGUUCUAAGCCUGACAGUAGAGUGGGGGGUAGGUAUGGAGAGGCAAGGUCCUAGCUACGGAGAGGUUGUAAGCACAAAGGAUGUACGAGUUCAGGCCCUUCUCGGAAGAAGCAACAUCCCUACGUCUCGGAGCCCGGAGGCGGUCGAGUGGAUUAUGAAUGUAUGGAUUACAAGGUCACGAACCUUUCUGCCUGUGGAGGGGGGUGGCUUAUAUAGAGUGCGCCAGGACCCCAGCCAGCCCACGUAGGAGAAGGUUUAAGGUGAGUUAAGUCUGGGGCGUUACUGGUAACGCCCCACAUAAAGUGCCUUUACUAUCAUAAAGUCUACUUAAUUACAGACCGUUGCGGUGCAGAGUGCCUCUUGACCUCCUGGUGGUCGAGUGUGUCUUCGUGGUCGAGUCCUUCAAGCAAGUCGAGUGUGUCCUCGUUGGUCGAGUGAGUCCUCGUUGGUCGACUGGAAGGCGACCUCUUCUAGGGAUGUCCUAGGGUAAGUUACUUGGGACAGGUCCGUGACCCUACCCUAGGUACUUAACCCCAUCAUUAGCCCCCGAAUGGAUUGAGGCUUCGAGUGAAGAAGGCGUUGAUGUCGUUUUCGAUUAACCUUUGCGCUCUAGUUGUGCGCUGUUCUGGAUCAAAAAUCUCUUCGUUGACAGGGAGCAAUUUGUCUUCGGUCGACUCGAUCCAUUCUAUUUUUUCGUCGAGUGAUCUUUCGAGCUUCGACGAUCUCCGAGCGACGGAUCGCCGGAAACACCGCGUCUGACAGACUGAUUUGUUGCUCGCGGAUUCCGCGGGGUGCGAAAUUUGGGGGCGCGCGCGAAGCGGGGCAGACCGUGGCGUUCGGAUGGGAUGGGGCAUAGACGCCUCGAUCUCCGCGCCGCCUUUUUCGCCACGUAUCCAGUCCUCAUAACUGCUCCCAGAUAUGAUUAGAUCGACCGGGCCCACAUGUCAGCCACUCGGAAGAGACCUUAUAAAUGCGCCCGGUGGGGAUUUCUGUGCUGCGCCUCAGCAUUCUCCCUCUCUCCCUCUGCCUCCUUCCUCUCUGCUCAGCGCGCUCGCUCUCACCUCCGCACCACUUUCCUUCGCGCAUUUCGCCGGCGACCAUGGCCAAGGAGAAGACGGCGGCGCUGGAGCGUGCCAAGAAGGCGUCGGCAUCGGAGAAGGCGAAGGGGAGAUCCACCACCCGCAGGGGGUCCUCGUCCAGAUCCCGCCUGCCGAAAGGCUGGGUCCAAGGAGACUGGAUCCAAUCGACCAUCACGGAGAAGGACCUCCUCGACAUGGCCAACGAGGGCUUGAUCCCUCACGGAGCUGCGAGGUUGCCAGGGAAGGAGUGGCAGCCACAACCAGAAGAGGGUGAGUGCGUGCUCCUGGCCACUCAUGUUGACCGAGGGUUUUCCUUGCCGCCCAGCAUUUUCUUCCGUGGCUUCUUGAAUUUCUUUGGAGCGCAGCUCCACCACUUUACCCCAAACUCCAUUGCCUAUCUUGCUGCAUUCGUGUCCAUGUGUGAGGAUUUCUUGGGCUGCCGACCGCACUGGGGUUUGUUCAAACGCAUCUUCACGUGUCGCUCUCAGACCGUGAAGAAGGCUAGCCCAGGUGACGAGAAGACCCGAGUCGUCCAAAUGUGUGGGGGCCUGGGGAUUCAGGUGAGGAACAAUAGCACCUUCCCGCCCAUGUCCUUUCCCGAGUCCGUCAGGGGCUGGCAGUCGACUUGGUUCUACUGGCAGGUCCAAUCGACGCCAGGGCAGUCGAGUGGACUUCCUCCGUUUUCCAUGGACCGAGUGAGCAAGCCCUCCCCUCUGAAGCUGAUUCCGGAGGAGAAAGCCGACGUGAAGAUGUUGAUGGAGCGCGUGGUGCAGCUGGUUCGGGACGGUGUGACAGGCAUGGACCUCCUGGAGGUUUUCCUCAAGCGCCGCAUCCAGCCUCUCCAGUUCAGGAGCCACUGCAUGUGGUUGUACUGCGGGCCCGAAGACGAGACUAGAGUCCAUCCAGAAGAAGUCGACGAUGUCACUCUGGAGAGAUGGAUGGCAGCCGUUACCGGAAACAGGGAUAACCCGCGCGGAGCCAGAAGAAUUCCUCCACUCGACCACGACAGCAUCCCAAACAAGGUAUACUUGCUCUGCUUUCCAUUGUGUCUUUGUCGUAUUCACUCCUGCUAACCCUGUCGACUGGUCGACUGAUCCUUGUUUCUGCGACUGCUAGGCCUUCACCGAGCUGUACUCGAUGCCCAAUGGGGCACAAGCUUCGACUGAGGAAGGCGAGGCGAGUGGGGGCGAGGCGAGCGGGGGCGAGAGCCAGGAAGAGGAGGAAUGGGACUCGGAUGCCGCAGGGGGUGAUGAUGACGAUGAUGAUGAUGAAGAUGAUGAAGAUGACAUCAAGGACGAGGAAGAAGAGGAAGAGGAGGUCGUUCCACCGCGCUCAGAAAGGCGGUCGAAGCUUGUCCACGACCCUUCGACCGAACGUGGCAAGGGGGUUGCGACCGCCACCCAGUCGACCAAGCGCCCCCGGACCACCUCUCCAGCGCCGACUGAAAAGGCGCCGAAGCAGCCCAGGGCGGCCUCAUCGAAGCCGACCAAGCUCCUGCCGAAGAUGAAGGUGUCCAUCCCCACCAUUUCAGGGUAAUUGUGUUGCUCAUAUUUUCUUAUUCUUAUGCGAACUUUAUCUCUGGUCGACACCGAGGUUAGUCGACUGAUCCUUUGGAGUUGCAGCGCUGCUACUUCUGAGACCUCGGCCCGGGCCGAUGACCACGAGAUGGAGGAUGCAGCCACUUCGAAUCCAGGUGCUGUGUUCUUAAUACCAUUCUUAGUCGACUGACUCGCGAUCUCUGAUCCUGACCCUUUUCCGCAGCUCCACCCAACACUGUUAUCGAUCUUCCUGACGACGACGAGGAUGAAGAACUGCUGGCACGCAGGGAGAGUCGGAAAAUGCCCGCUAGUAAGGUGCCUCAGGAUGCGACGGCGCCUGAGACUCUGACUGUGGAGGAAGGGAACACCACUCGACACACGGUGUCCUUCGCGAGUCCACUGACGAGUGCUCAGCCGCCCUCCCUCUUCACGACUCACCACGUCCCAGAGGACCAAGCUGGCGCAGCGAAGGAGGCAAUACGCCAGGCGGGAUUCAUGAUGAAGCAGCUGAAGACUAUCCGGGACGCGAGCCAGGCAGCUUAUGACGCCAGCUCUGCCCUCCAAAGCAAUGUCCAGGUCAGUCGACUGCUGUUUGUUCUGUUGGAUAUGCUACCAAAAGCUUUUCUUUUCCGGGAUUUAUAUUAGUCACCCACUGGGUGUGUCGAAUAAACUCCGUGUUAGCGGGGGCACGCUUAGUGCACCCGCUGGGUGUAGUCCCCAAGGCUAAGGUCGACUGCUGGCAGUCGGCCUUAGGCUUUAUGAUGUCAAUCUUUCUGUCAGUCGACUGGUCGACUGGAUUUCGCAAACCGGUGGGGGCACGCUGAGUGCACCCACUGGGUGUAGUCCCCGAGACUGUGGUCGACUGCUUGCAGUUGAUCACAGUCUUAGAGAAUGCGUCUCGCGCACUGUUUUUUUUUUUUGAGGUCGACUGGUCGACUUUGUCUUCAACAGGAUUAGUGGGGGCACGCUGAGUGCACCCACUGGGUGUAGUCCCCGAGACUACGGUCGAAUGCUUGUAUUCGGCUGUAGUCUUAGAAACUUGUGUUUUUCCCUUUUUCACUCGGAAGUGAAUUAUUUUUGACGUUUAGUCGAUUGGUUCUUCGCAGAACUCCUGUGAUCUUGUGGCUCGCUACUCAGAGCUAGAACAGAAACAUACUCAAGUCGAGCUGAGCUUGAAGUUGGUUCAGGAGAAGCUGACAAAGGCGAAGGAGGAGACUGAAGGUAUGUUUGGUGAGACCUUGACGACUGCUUUUCCUCUUGCUAGUUUCGGCAUCUGAUCUUGCUGUAACUUGCAGGUAAGGUAAGGGAGGCCCAGCAGAAGAAAGACCUUGAGCUAGCUGAGAAGAUCAAGCUUGCUGACGAGAAGUUGGCUUCAGUCACCAAGCUCGAACAAGACAAUACCAAUCUGAAAACUGCUCUUGGGAUUGCCAACAAGGAGGUCAGUCGACUGAGAACUGACAAAGCUGCCCUGACCGACCAAGUCAGCAAAUUGACUGAGAAGAAAACUGAACUGGAAACCUUCCUGAGUGGCCUUGCCAAGAAGCUGUUUCUUAUGCUUGAAGGUAAAUCUUCAUGUUUGGCAAAUAUUUCCAUUCGACUAUCUCUUUGACUUAAUGAUCAUCCUUGCAGAAUUUUGUCAAAACUUUGAAGAUGAAACCAGCCGACUGGAGCCAAACCUUGACCCCGUCAAUUCUCCGGUGAACGACGAAGUUGCCAUGGAUGUCUUCCGACUGGAGUCACGUGUUGCAGCUGUCGUGGACUAUCUCGCAAGGCUGAAGGCCGCCACAUCUCGCAUCGACUCGACGCUCUGGCCUGAGGAGACACUUCAGAAUGACCUUGAGUCGCUGAUGGCCCGCUUGAACACGAUCCCUGGUCGAGUGCAAGAGUGGAAGAAGUCCUCGGCUCGAUGUGGUGCAGAUGUCGCUCUGUGUCUGGCCCCAGUCCACUGCAAAGAUGCACGAGAGGAGAAGCUGGCGGCCCUUCGGGUGGCCAAUACCAAGAAGCACGACUUCAGGUCCUUUAUGGAGACUUUCCUUGCAGCUGCCACUCGGAUCGCUGACGGAAUUGACCUUGAUGAAUUCGUUGCACCUUCCAGCCCUCCGCAGGAGGGGUAAAAAACUUCUUCUGGCUCGACUCUUUAAAUUUGCCUCGGUAUGCUGAGUGGAAUUGUAACCGACAAACUUUAACAGGCUUGACGCCUGAGCACUUUCGGUUCCUUUAAAUGUCGAUUCAAACUUGAAUUUGGCGCUUGAAUAUGACUGCCUUUGGCUCAAAAUGUCUUAUGCAGAUUCAGAGCAAGGUGCCUGUGCUUAGGCGAGCGCUUGGACUGCAGCUAAGCCUCCGAGAGAGAGGGUCGCUCUUCACUCGGUAGGAUUUUUGUAACUUAGGCGAGCACGAGGCCGCAGCUAAGCCUCCGAGUGGAAGGCUAUCUUACCACUCGGUAGGAUUUUUAUAACUUAGGCGAGCACGAGGUCGCAGCUAAGCCUCCGAGUGGAAGGCUGGCUUACCACUCGGUAGGAAUUUGAUAAACUUAGGCGANNNNNNNNNNGCAGCUAAGCCUCCGAGUGGAAGGCUGGCUUACCACUCGGUAGGAUUUUGAUAAACUUAGGCGAGUGCUUGGACUGCAGCUAAGCCCCCGAGUGAGAGGAUCGCUCGUCACUCGGUAGGAUUUUUAUAACUUAGGCGAGCACGAAGCUGCAGCUAAGCCUCCGAGUGGAAGGCUGGCUUACCACUCGGUAGGAUUUUGAUAAACUUAGGCGAAACGGAUUCGCAGCUAAGCCUCCGAGUGGAAGGCUGGCUUACCACUCGGUAGGAUUUUGAUAAACUUAGGCGAAACGGAUUCGCAGCUAAGCCUCCGAGUGAGAGUCUGGCUCACCACUCGGUAGGAUUUUUACAAACUUAGGUGAAACGGAUUCGCGGCUAAGCCACCCACUGAGGGGGAGUUUUUAUAUGGACAAAGAUAAAAAGUGAUGACACUAUUAUUUCUAAACCCAUGAACUACAGAAGUACUUUAUUGCAACUCAUCCGAGUGAUAACACUUAAGUGUAAAAUGGGCGGAGUAGCUCCGCGUUCCAAGCUCGGGGUUCGUCGAUAUUAUGCUCGACGUUGUAAAGACGGUACGCCCCGUUGUGGAGAACCUUAGUGACGAUGAAGGGGCCUUCCCAAGAAGGAGCAAGCUUGUGUGGUUUGUGCUGAUCCACUCGGAGAACCAGAUCCCCUUCCUGGAAGGCUCGACCUCUCACAUUUCGGGCGUGGAAACGGCGCAGAUCUUGUUGGUAGAUGGUCGAGCGGAUCAGAGCCAUCUCCCUUUCUUCCUCCAAAAGGUCGACUGCGUCCUGCCGCGCUUGUUCAGCUUCUUCUUCGUUAUAGAUUUCGACUCGAGGAGCAUUAUGCAGAAGGUCACUCGGCAAGACUGCUUCAGCUCCAUAGACCAAGAAGAAUGGAGUUCUUCCGGUCGACCGAUUGGGCGUGGUCCGCAGUCCCCAGAGUACAGAUGGAAGUUCGUCGACCCAAGCUCCAGCCGCGUGUUUGAGAUCACGCAUCAGUCGCGGCUUCAGUCCCUUGAGAAUCAGUCCAUUAGCUCGCUCUGCUUGUCCAUUCGACUGCGGAUGGGCGACUGAUGCGUAGUCGACCCGUGUGCCCUGGGAGUUGCAGAAGGUUCUGAAUUCCUCUGAGUCAAAGUUUGACCCAUUAUCCGUAAUGAUGCUGUGCGGGACUCCAUAUCUGAAUAUUAGUUCCCUGAUGAAGCUAACAGCAGUACCGGUGUCGAGGCUCUUGAUUGGCUUAGCCUCGAUCCACUUGGUGAACUUGUCGACUGCCACCAGUACAUGUGUGAAGCCACUUCGUCCUGUUCUCAAAGGGCCGACCAUGUCCAGCCCCCAAACCGCAAAAGGCCAGACGAGUGGGAUGGUCUUCAAAGCUGACGCAGGCUUGUGCGACAUAUUCGAGUAGAACUGACAUCCCUCGCACUUAUCCACUAUCUCCUUUGCCAUCUCAUUCGCCUUGGGCCAGUAAAAUCCGGCUCGGUAUGCCUUGGCCACGAUGGUCCGAGAGGACGCAUGGUGACCGCAGGUCCCUGAGUGAAUAUCAUUGAGGAUGAGUCGACCUUCUUCUGGCGUUAUGCACUUCUGAGCGACUCCAGUCGCACUUUCUCUGUAUAAUUGUCCUUUGAUUACGGUAAAGGCUUUAGAUCGACGGACGAUCUGUCGAGCCUCUUCCUCAUUCUCCGGAAGCUCUUUCCUCAGGAUAUAUGCGACGUACGGAAUCGUCCAGUCGGGAACGACCACCAAAACCUCCAUGACCAAGUCGACCACUGCUGGGACUUCCACUUCAGUCGGAUCUGCGGCGCUCUUAGGCUGUGGAGUUCCUUCUGUGAAAGGGUCUUCUUUGACUGACGGAGUAUGUAUAUGCUCCAAGAACACGCCACUCGGAAUGGCUUCUCUCUUGGAACCUAUCUUUGCUAGAUCAUCAGCUGCUUGAUUCUUCAGUCGGGGUAUAUGAUGGAGCUCCAACCCCUCGAACUUUUUCUCCAGCUUCCUCACUGCAUUGCAGUAUCCAGUCAUGGCUGGGCUUCUCACGUCCCACUCUUUCAUCACCUGAUUGACCACUAAAUCCGAGUCGCCAUAGACCAUUAGGCGACGGACGCCGAGUGAAAUGGCCAUGCGCAACCCAUACAGGAGGGCCUCAUAUUCUGCCUCAUUGUUGGAGGAAUCAAAGUGAAUCUGGAGCACAUAUCUGAGCUUAUCUCCUCUGGGGGAAACCAGGACAACCCCAGCACCGGAACCAUUCAACAUCUUAGAACCAUCGAAAAACAUGGUCCAAUGCUCCGAGUGAACUUCAGUCGACUGCUGUUGUUCGAUCCACUCGGCGAGGAAAUCUGCUAUUGCCUGGGACUUAAUGGCUUUCUUUGCCUCAAACUUGAUAUCAAGGGGAAGAAGUUCAAUCGCCCAUUUGGCCACUCGACCAGUUGCAUCUCUGUUGUGCAAAAUCUCUGAUAGUGGAGCGUCGCUGACGACUGUGAUUGAAUGGUCAGAGAAAUAAUGAGCAACCUUCUUUGUGGUCAUGUAUAUUCCGUACACAAGCUUCUGAUAAUGGGGAUAUCUUUGCUUGGAUGGAGUCAAGACUUCAGACAAAUAAUACACUGGGCGCUGAACUUUGAGAGCUUUUCCUUCUUCUUCCCGCUCGACCGUUAGCACAGUACUGACGACUUGUCCUGUGGCUGCGAUGUAGAGCAACAGAGGCUCUUUGCUGAUUGGAGCAGCAAGCACCGGCUGGGUGGAGAGCAGAGCUUUUAGCUCGGCAAACGCUGCAUCAGCUUCUGGAGUCCACUCGAACUUGUCAGCCUUCUUCAUCAGUCGGUAAAGAGGCAAUGCCUUUUCACCGAGUCGUGAGAUGAAUCGACUUAAUGCGGCCAAGCAUCCAGUAAGCUUCUGGACAUCGUGCACUCGCACAGGGCGUUUCAUUCGGAGAAUAGUGCCAAUCUUUUCUGGGUUGGCGUCAAUUCCCCGUUCGGAAACGAGAAAACCGAGUAACUUGCCACCAGGAACUCCAAAUGUGCACUUUGAUGGAUUGAGCUUGAUAUCAUACCUUCUGAGGUUGGCAAAUGUUUCAGCAAGGUCAGCGAGCAGGUCGGAACCUUUUCGUGACUUGACAACAAUAUCAUCCAUAUAAGCUUCCACAUUCCGACUGAUUUGAGUGAGUAGACACUUCUGGAUCAUUCGCAUAAAUGUGGCUCCGGCAUUCUUGAGACCGAAUGGCAUGGUGAUAUAGCAGAAGCACCCGAAUGGAGUGAUGAAAGCUGUUUUUACUUCAUCGGGCCCAUACAGACGGAUCUGGUGGUACCCGGAGUAAGCAUCUAAAAAAGACAACCUCUCGCAUCCCGCGGUCGAGUCAACAAUUUUAUCUAUGCGAGGGAGAGGAAAGUGAUCUUUCGGGCAGGCCCGGUUGAUGUGCUUGAAAUCAAUGCACAUUCGGAGCGUUUUGUCCUUCUUAGGAACCAUGACGACAUUAGCGAGCCACUCGGAGUGGAAUAUCUCUCGGAUAAAUCCUGCCGCCAACAGUCGAGCCACUUCUUCGCCGAUGGCCUUUCUCUUCUGGACGGCGGACCGCCGAAGAUGUUCUUUGACUGGUUUUGCAGACUUGUCGACUCUUAGGCGAUGCUCAGCCAGUCCCCUGGGAACACCUGGCAUGUCAGCGGGCUUCCAUGCAAAAAUGUCCCAGUUCUCACGGAGGAACUGGAUGAGCGCUUCUUCCUAUUUUGGGUCGAGUGUUGUGGAGAUGCGGGUCGGAGCGGCAUCGGGGUCGGUCGGGUGAAUGUGAACAGGCUUUGUCUCACCGGACGACUGGAAUGCAGAUUCUGUGGCGGGCUUCUUGGAUCGCAGCAAGUCACUCGGAUCUGCGCUUUGCUUGUAUUCUUCGAACUCGACCGCUGUCACUUGGGAAUCGGCAAUUUUGGAGCCCUUCUGAAAGCACUCUUCUGCCUUUUUCCUAUCACCGGUGACAGUGAUCACACCUUUGGGACCGGGCAUCUUCAAUUUGAGGUACACGUAACAUGGUCGAGCCAUGAACCGUGCAUAGGCUGGCCUCCCCAAAAUGGCAUGAUAUGCACUUUGAAAAUCCACGACCUCAAACGUCAACUUUUCUUUGCGAAAAUGCUUUGAAUCGCCAAACACUACGUCCAAAGCUAUCUGGCCGAGUGACUCGGCCUUCUUCCCGGGUAUAACUCCAUGGAAGCUCAUGUUACUAGUGCUCAGUCGGGACAUCGGAAUGCCCAUACCUUUCAACGUGUCUGCAUAUAACAGAUUCAGCCCGCUUCCACCGUCCAUCAGCACCUUUGUCAGUCGAGUGCCUUCGACAACUGGAUCGACCACCAAAGCUUGCCUCCCAGGGGUGGCAAUAUGGGACGGGUGAUCAGCUUGGUCGAAUGUGAUGGGCGUUUGAGACCACUUCAGAUAACUUGCCUUUGCUGGGGCAACCAUGUUAACCUCUCGGUUAAUCACUUUCAGUCGACUUCUGCUUUCCACAUCUGCGAAGAUCAUCAGAGUGGAGUUGAUAUGCGGGUAUCCUCCCUCACUGUCCUCUUUGUCUUCGGCUUUGUCUGGCUCCUUCUCCUUGUCCUUAGACUGUUUUCCCUGAAACUGCUGGAUCAGGAGUCGACAUUGGCGAGUGGUGUGCUUUGGGUAAAUGAUAUUCCCCUCUUCAUCUUUCUUCGUGUGGAUGUGGCACGGCAUAUCCAUCACGUCGUUCCCUUCUUUAUCCUUCACCUUCUUGGGGUUCCAGGAUCCUUUUGGUUUCCCCUUAGACUUUCCUUGAGUCACGGCCAGAGCCUCCCCAGGAGCUGCCGGUUCGGCCUUCCGCUUCUGUUUCCGACUGGUGUUCCCUUUUUCCGACUGACUCGGCUUGUGCUUGCCGCUUCGGAGUCGGUCUUCUUCUUCGCCGUUGGCGUACUUGGUAGCAAUCUCCAUCAUCCGACUCAAGGUCAUGUCACCGGUUCGACCAAAUUUCAAACUCAGUUCUCUGUUCUUGACACCAUCCUUGAAGGCGCAUACUGCCUGAUGGUCAGAGACAUUUUCCACAGUGUGGUGCAAAGUGAUCCACCUCUGAAUAUACUCUCUGAGAGUCUCAUUGGUUUUCUGCACGCAGACUUGCAACUCUGUCAAUCCCGCUGGUCGCUUGCAAGUCCCUUCAAACGUUCUGACAAACACUCGGGACAGAUCUUCCCAAGUGUAAAUGCUGCUAGGAGGUAAUUGAGUCAACCAUGCCCUGGCAGAACCUUCCAACAUGAGGGGCAAAUGCUUCAUGGCCACCUCGUCGUUCCCACCACCGAUCUGAACUGCCACUCGGUAGUCUUCAAGCCAAGUUUCAGGCUUGGACUCACCAGUGAACUUGCUGACUCCUGUUGCCAGCUUGAAAUUGGGGGGGGAUAACUGCGGCUCUGAUAGCUCUGCUGAAACAUUCAGGACCAGAAACAUGUACUCGACUGCUCGUGGGCGCAUCUCUGUCGAGUGCGCCUCGAUGGGCUCUGUUCCGGUCAACCAACCCUUGCACGAUAAUGGAUCGCGCGUCGAAGCCUGGCUCUCUAUGGUCAACUGGAACCCUACGCCCUGUACUGUACUGACGCCUAUCAUCUGGCCGCCGAGGAGCGUAAGACCCACCCCUCGGAGGGGAAUAGGGCACUCGACGCCUAUCAUCUCGGUCGAGUCCGUCGCCAUAUUGAUCUCGCCGAUUCUCACGCCCUUCGCGCCGCGGAGGCGAUCUGGGGCUGUGAGCCGACUGAACCGUAUUCACAGUGACAGAUCGACUGUGAAUUCUGUUGCGCGACUGAGACACGGCCGAAUUCUGAUCUCCUGUUGCCCGGAGCAGAUCCCUGAUCUGCAGCAAACCUCUGCCAGCCUCUGACUGCGAAGGCUGAAUGGACUCUGCUAUACGGGUCGCAGCUGCUAAAUUCUGAAUUGGGGUUCGAUAUACCUGAGUCGGCGGGAAGAGUUGACGUCGACUGGAGUCGGGAACUCGUUGCCGUGCGCGCUCGUCGAGUGCUCGCUGAAGGUUCUCCAGUCGAGUGCGCUCGGCCAAGUUGGCUAGACGCGCCUCCUCCAAGGCACGAGCCUCGGGGGUUUCUCCCGCGAUGGGAAUACGCAGGGGGUCCUCGUUCCUGCGGCGAAGCUCUUCUCUUUGCAGAGAGUCGAGUGGCUCGGGCUGGUACUCUUCGUAGCCUCGAGCAGGGUCUCCGCCGUCGCCUGCUCCACCACCGCGGGCGAAGCCAGGAGGGCUGUGGGACCCGUCGACCAUCAAGAUUUCCGCCGCUGGAUCACUGCUUCCGCACUCGGAUGCAGUCUCUCCGGAGCCAGUCGACUGAUCGAACAAGCCGUAGAGAGAUUCGUUGGGCUCGAUUGCCGCAACUUGUGUAGUGGUCGACUGGCGAGCCAUCGCGUGACUCACCCAUCGCUGAAGCCUCGACCGGCCCGAGCGCUUGCGCUGGCGGGAGACCGGGAGGGUGGAAGACGGAGGAGCCGACCGGUACUGGGUCGAUGGCUGCCGCAGCAGAACGCCGCGGACACAUGCGCGAAAAUGCGUCGCACCGCGGAUGGGGAGCGCAUCCACGUCGAGUGGAGCCUCUUGGAGCCAUGCGGAGUCGUCGGCGAUGAAGGUGAGAGCGCCGAGACGGAUCUCUUGGCCCUCGACCAAAACUCCAGCAGACACCAUGAUGGAAAUACUCGGAAGAAUCGCAACUUCUCCGAAAAAUCGCUAAAACACCUGCCCCACGGUGGGCGCCAACUGUCGUGGUUCUAAGCCUGACAGUAGAGUGGGGGGUAGGUAUGGAGAGGCAAGGUCCUAGCUACGGAGAGGUUGUAAGCACAAAGGAUGUACGAGUUCAGGCCCUUCUCGGAAGAAGCAACAGCCCUACGUCUCGGAGCCCGGAGGCGGUCGAGUGGAUUAUGAAUGUAUGGAUUACAAGGUCACGAACCUUUCUGCCUGUGGAGGGGGGUGGCUUAUAUAGAGUGCGCCAGGACCCCAGCCAGCCCACGUAGGAGAAGGUUUAAGGUGAGUUAAGUCUGGGGCGUUACUGGUAACGCCCCACAUAAUGUGCCUUUACUAUCAUAAAGUCUACUUAAUUACAGACCGUUGCGGUGCAGAGUGCCUCUUGACCUCCUGGUGGUCGAGUGUGUCUUCGUGGUCGAGUCCUUCAAGCCAGUCGAGUGUGUCCUCGUUGGUCGAGUGAGUCCUCGUUGGUCGACUGGAAGGCGACCUCUUCUAGGGAUGUCCUAGGGUAAGUUACUUGGGACAGGUCCGUGACCCUACCCUAGGUACUUAACCCCAUCAUCUGGCUAAAUCCUUCGAAGACAAUUUCACCCGUUGGCUGGACACGUAAUCCUUCACUCGGCCACCUCGUGUAUCUUCACUCGGUCGUCCCGCACAUCGCCACUCGGUUGUGCACGUCUUCACCACUUGGCCGCUCCGCGCGUCGCCUCUCGGUUGUACAUGCCUUCGCCACUCGGCCGCCCCGCGUGUUGCCACUUGGUUGUGCAUGUCUCGACCGCCACGCGCGUCGUCACUCGGUUGUACACAUCAUUGCCCCUUAACCACCUCGCGCGUCACCAUCAGUUGGACAUGUCUUUACCUCUACACCCCCAACACGGGAACAACUAAGUUACUCAUAUGAUCAAACCUCAUAUCACAUUCUGUAGCAAGCUUGCCUCUUUCGAGCAUCAGUCGGGGGCUACACACAGCCGUUGGCCAUGCCGCCCUCAGGGGUUACACCCAUUCAAUCAACCCAUUGAUCACAUCAGGAAUAUCUUUCUAACCAUACUUGCCCGGUCUGCCGAAAAUCUAUAAGGGUAGUACUGUCCACUCGGACGAUCGCCCAAAUCAUUACCUAAAGUCAUCUUCAAGACUGCAAAAGGGUGAAAACAACGCUCCUCUACGGAUAACUUGGCCCUAUCCUAGGUUCCAAGGCGCCAGUUUCACAAACUUGGACCCAGAGAUGGCACGUGCUGGUGUUCCCCCGGGAUAAUGAGUGGCCUCUCCCCGGAGAGUCAGCCUACACACUAGCCUCGUCACUCGGGUUUCAUGGCGCGUCCAUGUCAGACCACUAGUCUAUCUCCUGCGGGAGACAUACAAGUGCCACUAAGUCUUUCCUUGCAGUCAACGUACCUCGAUCAGUCGGGAAGCACGUCCACUCGGACAAAUACCCCUUUCAUGCAAAAGGGUGAAAAUGAAGCUCCUCUGCGGAUACAAUUGUCCAACUUUUUCUACAGUCGGCAGUUUCCAAGCCGAAUUCAUUCACCGUGCCGAGAGCACGAAGAUUCACCUACUUGACCGAGUUCCAGGCUGAAUUUAUUCCGUGUCGAGUGCACGAAGAUCAUUCCGACCGACUCAGCUCCAGGUUGAGCUUAUUUACCAUGUCAAGCACCUAAAGAUGCAUCCGAUUGACUCAGUUUUAGACUAAAAGAUAUUUACCGUGUCGACUGCGUGGAGGUUUACCAGGAGACUUAAACCCUCUGCCCGACUCAUCUAGUCCGACAGAGGCUCGGGGACUACACCCAGCGGGUGCACUCAGCGUGCCCCCACUGGAAGAGAACUCAGAAAGAAACAUUUUGCUCGAUGCAAAACCAGCUCCAGAAUUACUCGACCUCCAAGUCAGAGAAGAACAAGUUCGAUCAGUACCAUCUAAGAAGAGUUUUAGUUCUCUCAGACCCCUGCCGACUGCCCGCAGUUGAUGGUGGUCUUGGGGACUACACCCAGUGGGUGCACUCAGCGUGCCCCCACUGGAGUAAUCUCCACUCGGUACGGCCUGACCAGUCCGAGUGAUGAACACAACAACAAAAACGACAGGCUCUAAGACUCCCACCGACUGCCCGCAGUCGACGGCAGUCUCUGGGACUACACCCAGUGGGUGCACUCAGCGUGCCCCCACUGGAAUGGUAUCCACUCGGAACGGUCCGCCCGGUCUGAGUGACGGCCAAACAACAAAAAAGACACGUUCCAGACGUGAAGAAAUUCUGAGGACCAGCUCCAAAUCACUCCAACAAAAAAAAUUGCUAUAAGGUGAGUUUAACGCUCCUCCGUGGUCCCGUUUGAGCUCAUUUCACUCGGACACCAUACAAUUUGGAAUCCAUCAAGGCAACAUGCGGACAUAAGGUCGCCGGGUGACCAAAGGGAGUUCAUAAGGGCCUCCGCAGCACUCGACUCAUCUGGGAAUUCACCUCGACUCGACCCGCUCAACCUCGACCGAUUCGGGGGCUAAUGAUGAGGACAUGUAUUAGGGGUAGGGUAACAAGCCUGACUUAAAGGCCCUACCCAUGGACACCGUAUACUUUGUACUGGGCCCCUGGGCCAGAUCACCGUCUAGAUGUACCGCAACUUGAAAGUCACUCAGACGGCGACAACCACUGGGAGCACGGCACUUCACUCGACGAGCUCAUUCCACUCGGCCGUGUAACUCACUCGGAUAUGCAAAGACCAGUAGUCAGUAUGACAGUUUUGUAGUGGGCAGGCAUUACGGCAUUGAUGCUCCAUCGUGUAACAUAAGGGGUGAGGGGGUGGCGCACUCUAUAUAAGCCACCCCCCACCACUAGACUAGGGGGUUCUUUUCUUCCACCUUUCUCUCUUUUCACCAUUAGUCUCAGGACUUAGCUCAGGCAUGGGGAUCCGUUCCUCUCUCACACACACACAUUGUAAUCUCCGGAUAUAUACUCAGAUAAAACAAAGCCUCUUCGGAGCACGAGACGUAGGGUUGUUAUCUCCACCGUGAGAGGCCCGAACUCGUUAAAACCACCGUGUCACCCAUAUGCAUCUCGAUAGAUCAUGCUCCGUUAUCCUACCCCUCUCUUACUGUCGGAGUCGUUCCCACGACAGCGGCGGGUGGUGGCGCGUCGGCGUUGGGCGUCUGGUGUAGCGCAGCGGCUGCGGUGCUCCGGAUUGGGAGGCGGCAUGCGGGCGAGAUUCUAGCCAGAUCCGGCCGAUCUGGCGCGGGGGCUCGGUCGGCGGCGACGGAGGGUGACGGCGGUGGCGUGCUCCGCGAGCGUCGGGUCUUGCAGGGGCCGGUGCAGGGGCGGCGUUGUUGCUUCGGGGGCGAGGCUUCUAUUCCGGUCGUCCUUGGGUGACGAGCGCGGGCCGGGUCUGGUGGCUGGCACGAGAUAUGGUGACCGGCGGCCUGAGGUGUUGUUGUGGUUCCUUUCGGCGGCGUGGAGGCAAGGCAGAGGGUGUUCGAUGGUGAUCAUGGUGUUGGACGGCGGGGAAGGAGCUUGCUUGAGGAGUCGAUGACGGGCCGGGGCACAGGAGUGGAUACUCGGCGGCCGGAGUUGCCGGCGGCCGGUGUGUCCCUCUUCCAUUGCAGCGGUGUCCGCCUCUCUGGGUGCGUUUGCUGGCAGUGGGCCGACGGCGCAGGCUGGUCGUCAGGGCAGGAGUUUGACUCGGUCCUCCUGCCCGGGACUGGUUGCUCCUCGUGCAGCUCCGGGUCUGCUUCGUCCAUCCCAAGAUGGGCAAUUGCUGUUGGUAGGGGUGGUGUCUUCUCGUUGGCAUCGGUGGAGCUCCGUGGUAGUGGCGGAUGGGACCUUGGGUUGCCGACUGGCGGAUCAGUGCUUCAGACUGCGGACUUGGCAUCGUCGGAGCUGUCUCUCCGCGACGGCCGUCGGCAGUCACUGGGUAAUGCCCCCUCCGGUCCAUUGGGACUGGCGGGGAGUCGGGGACUAUAGGCAUGGGCACCCCUAUGGUGGAGGUGCUAACCCUGACUCGGUAACUGAUGUCGGGCUUUUCCUGCCACGGAUUGUGCACUGUGAGGCGGGUGGGUGACAAGGUCUCGGGGCAUCGAUGCCGGGGCGGCGGCCCUGGAAGGCGGUCCACAUGGUUGGCCCUUCGGCGGGCACCAUCGCGGCGGUGGUGGCUCUGUCUCUUGGCCGUGUGGGCGGUGAAGGCUAUGGCGGAAGGUGACUCGGGCGCUCCCUGCCUCUGGAGACAGUGGCGCCCUGAUCCGGACCUGGGGAACUGAUCUCCUCACCGUCUCCCUCGAGACCUUGUGGUGGCACGGGUGGGUUGCCACGAGCGAAAGCUCUGCGCUUGGUCGCCAACGAUGGCGACGCCUGCGGGCGUUGUUCUCUACAUAAAGACGUCGUUGUGGGUCUUCUCUCCGUGUUCGGCUUCAGGUGAAAAUCUUUGUUCUUGGACUCGACAUCGGGGUCGCCUCACGUCGUUCUCGCUCUUGAGGGCGGUGUUGUGGAGUGUAGGUGGGUAGGUGUAGUGUGGCGGUGUUUUCAGCUCAUCUUGUACUUCUUUUCGGUUGUGUCGCGUGCUCAUGGCCUGGUCAUCUUAGGAUCGGCAUUGUUUAAGGGUUAUUCAUCAUUUUGUAUCGUUUGGCCGUGUACUUUGAUGUGUGGUUGCUUUAUAUAUAAAAUGGGACGAAAGCCUAUUUCAGAAGAGAGAAUGCAAUAAUUGAGUCGCAUUCGAUGAUGCUGUAUGCACACCAUCAGGUGGCAAAAGCCCGUAUAAAUAGGAGACCAUAAAGUAGUACUCCAACAAGACCCACCACGCAGGCCAGGCGCACGACCGAGCCCCGAAAAUGGCAGCCACGCCGACGACACCAUAGGUGCACAAUGAGUCCGUACAGACGGGCUUGCCGACUCGCGCCGUUGAGCCGGACAGGACGCGCUACAUCGCCGUGGCCGCGCCGCCGCUCCCGGAGACCGCGCUGCAGCGGCGCCUCCGUGUGGUGCUGUACUACAACGCCGAUGAUCACGCGCCGUGGGAGGAAGGUAUAUGGGUAAGGGAGUCGCUGAGCGAGGCGCUGUGCUUCUUCCCGGAGAUGGCGGGCAGGCUCCGGCGCCGGGCCGACGGGGACGGGUCGUGGGAGGUGAAGCUGAACGACGCAGGGGUGAGGUUCCAGCAGGCGACGGUGGAGAUGAGCAUGGAGGAUUUCCUGGCGGACAAGGACCGGGCGCGGAAGGAAGCCGCGCUGGCGCCGUGGGUCGACGUGAGCGCCGAGGAUCCUGAUAUGUGCUCGCUCCUCUUUGAAAGAUAAUGAGCGUUCCCUACUCCCUCGAGGGAAGCCACGGUUCUGUUUAUAUUGAUGCGGCCGAAGCCAAGCUUGGAGUAUAAGAAAGAUUACAGGGAGUUUGAGUAGGAGAAGGAAAGGAGUUUGAGAUGCUACGGAAACAUAUUCUCUAACACCCUCCCUUAAUCUUAACUAUCCUAGAUUAAGAUUACUCUUGAACUCCUCAAAUGGUCUUGAUGACAAUGCCUUUGUAAAGCCGUCUGCUACUUGAUCCUUGGAGGGAAUAAACCGUAUCUCAAGUUUCUUGGCUGCAACCCUUUCUCGCACAAAGUGAAAAUCAAUUUCGAUGUGCUUUGUCCUUGCAUGAAACACAGGAUUUGCAGACAAAUAUGUUGCUCCCAAGUUAUCACACCAUAAACAUGAGAUACGAUUCUUCUUGAUUCCCAAUUCCUCAAGAAGUGAUUCAACCCAAAUGAUUUCUGCAGUUGCAUUUGCCAAGGACUUAUAUUCAGCUUCUGUGCUUGACCGUGACACGGUGGCUUGCUUUCUAGCACUCCAAGAAAUAAGGUUAGACCCAAAAAAUACUGCAAAGCCUCCAGUUGAUCUUCUGUCAUCACUGCAUCCUGCCCAGUCAGCAUCAGAGAAUGCACUCACAAGAGAGGAAUUUGACCGUUUGAAAUGGAGUCCUAUUCCCAUAGUAUGCUUUACAUAUCUCACAAUUCUCUUGACAGCUGACCAAUGUGCAAAAGUAGGUGCAUGCAGAUAUUGAGAAACCUUGUUGACAGCAAAUGAGAUAUCUGGACGUGUGAGAGUUAAAUAUUGUAAUGCUCCCACAGUACUCCUAUACCUUGUACUUUCCUCCUCCUGAAGUGGCACACCUUCAUAUGCUGAAAGUUUUUCUGAGGAAGACAAAGGUGUAGGAACUGGCUUGCAAUUCUUCAUCCCCAUGCGAGACAGAAGCUCAGAGAUAUAUUUCUCCUGAUUUAACACAAUUCCAUCUUGAGUUUUCUUGACCUCAAUGCCUAGGAAGAAAUGCAAAUCACCUAGGUCUUUUAAGGCAAACUCUGAGCUCAAAUCAUGCAGAAGUGCAUUAGUAGCAUUUUGUGAAGAACUUGCAACUAUGAUAUCAUCAACAUAUAUAAGCACAAAAAUGACUACUCCAGCCUUGUUAUAGAUAAACAAAGAUGUAUCAGCUUUGGAGGCAAUGAAACCAAGAUAUUUCAACUGUAAGCUCAAUCUGGAGUACCAUGCUCUGGGUGCUUGUUUUAAACCAUAGAGUGCCUUGUCAAGCUUGCCAACAUAAUGUGGUGACUUCUUGUCCUCAUAACCAGGUGGUUGUCUCAUAAACCCUUCCUCUUCUAGAAUGCCAUGCAAAAACGCAUUAUGUACAUCUAGCUGUCGUAGACUCCAACCCUUGGAUACAGCAAUGGCUAGCACAAGUCUGAUAGUUGCAGCUUUAACAACGGGACUGAAAGUGUCCUCAUAAUCAAUACCAUAACAUUGUUUAAAACCCUUUGCAACGAGACGUGCUUUGUACCUGUCAAUGGAGCCAUCUGCCUUCUUUUUAAUUCUGUAAACCCAUUUGCAAUCGAUGAUAUUUUUACCUUUCUGAUUUGGCACAAGAUGCCAUGUCUUGUUCCUCAUAAGUGCAGAAUAUUCCUCAUCCAUUGCCUUCUUCCACUUAGGAUCAUUAAGUGCACUAUUCAAUAUUGUUGGUUCUCCUGAAAUACACAACAUUCCAUACGGUAUAGUCCCAUCUUUUCUUAUUUUAGGAUUUCGUAUACCUUUCUGUAAUCGAGUCAUAACUCGUGAAGGAACUGUUGGAUGGACCACAGGAGCACUCGCCGCAGAAGAUCCCGAGGAAGCUGCAUGUGAUGACACAGGCGAAUCUGGCGCCACCUGCACAGAGGAUCCUGUAGCCGUUGGUGUGGCCGCCUGUGUGUCCGCCACACGGGUGCCAGCCGCCCGAGCCGGCACAACGGAUCGACCGCCCGACCGCGAUUGCAGGCGCACGCUGGGCGAGGGAGAUUCGGCCCCACGACUGGUCCCGCCUGCUGCUGAGGUGGCGGCGUGGGAGUGGCGCGCGCUGGGCGAGGCGGAUUCGGCCCCGCAACCAACCCCGCGGCUGGUCCCGCCUGCUGCUGAAUCAGCGCUGCGGUUGGUGGGAGCGCGAUCCGAGGCUGAUUUGGCCGCGGGAUCCGAGGUCUGCGCGCGAACAGGAGUUGCGGGCGCCACCGGAUCAGCUUCGUCGUCUGUGCCAGGUUCGUCUCCUUCCUCAGCAUGAAAUAUAAGAUGAUCUUGAGCUUGAUUUUCGAAAGUUUGAUCAUUUUGAGCGCCGUUUUCACCAGGGACCUGCACAGGCAACAGAGAAGAACCAAUACCAGCAGGAAUAUCAUCACUUUGGUUUGUACAACUGUCGCCCCCAUGAUCAAAAGACCGAAGAUGUGGAGGAAGAAGAAGGAUUUCCUUGCGGAGAAGUGCACCAGCAUUGGGAUGAAGGGAAGCAAAAGGGAACACAGACUCAUCAAAAACUACAUCUCUGGAUAUGUAGACCCUACCAGUAGGAACAUCUAGACAUUUAACUCCUUUAUGCAUGGGACUAUAGCCUAAGAAGACACACUUUUUGGAGCGAAAAGCGAGUUUGCGUGUGUUGUAGGGUCUGAGGUUGGGCCAACAUGCACAACCAAAAACACGAAGAGAUGUGUAGUUGGGUGUGACACCGAGGAGUCGUGUAAUGGGUGUUUCAAAUUUGAUGACUUUACUAGGAAGCAAAUUGAUAAGAUAUGUAGCGGUUAAGAAUGCUUCAUCCCAGAAUUUGAGUGGCAUGGAUGCAUUUGCUAGCAAUGCUAGCCCCAUAUCAACUAUGUGACGGUGCUUUCUUUCAGCAGACCCGUUUUGUUGGUGAGCAUGAGGGCAAGAAACAUGAUGUGAAAUACCAAGUUUUUGGAAGAAAGAGUUCAAUUUUUCAUACUCACCACCCCAGUCACUUUGCAUAGCAAUGAUCUUGGAGUUCAGUUUGCGUUCAACAAGGUUUUGAAAAUUGAUAAAGACUUGGAAUACAUCAGACCGUUUUCUUAACAAGUAAAUCCAAGUAAAUUUACUAUAGUCAUCAAUAAAGCUUACAUAGUAAGAAAAUCUCCUAACUGAAGUAGGGGCUGGCCCCCAUACAUCUGAAAAUAUAAGUUGUAGAGGAGCAGUAGACACACUAGUAGAGAUGGGAUAGGGUAAUUGAUGACUUUUUGCUUGUUGACACGGAUCACAAACUGACUCAACACUAUUCUCAUAAGAGAGUUAUUUUUGCUAAGAACAUAUUUAACUAUGACUGAAGAUGGAUGACCUAAUCGACUAUGCCACCUUGAUGAUGAUGGCUUGGUGACAAUAUUUGCUUGUUUAUUGGACCACGAAGAUGAUGAUGAUGAUAUGAGUGGAUAGAGGCCUCCCACGCACCGUCCUCUAAGAAUGAUUCUCCUUGUGCUCAAAUCCUUAACCAAGAAAAAGUAAGGAUAGAAUUCUAUAAGAACAUUAUUAUCAAGGGUGAAUCGAUGAACAGAAACAAGAUUUUUGGAAGUUUGAGGAACAUGCAAGACAUCUUUAAGGUGCAAAUUUUUCAUGGGGUUUUGAACAAUUGAACUACCAAUGUGGGUGAUAUUCAUACCAGAACCGCUUGCCGUGCGAAUUUGGUCGCCUCCGUUGUAUUUCUCCCGUACUGUCAGCUUGUCAAGUUCACCUGUGAUGUGAUUUGUUGCUGCACUGUCUGCGUACCAAUUAGUGUCCAUGCCAUAGGAGACAGCAUGCGCCUCCUUCUCUUCUUGAUCAUUCUCUUCAUAGCGCCACCAGCAGACACGUGCACCUCCUGGAUGAUGUCUAUAGCAUAUCUGGCACUCAGGAUAGUCAUGCUGCUGCUCGCGUACCUGCUGUUGCUGUUGCUGUCGAGGGCGUCCUCUGAAUCCGCCGCCUUUAUUUGCAGGAGAAGGCUGGCGGUCACCGCGGUCACCGCGGCCGCGCCCUCUUCCUCCUCGCCCACGGGAUCUGCCACGGGACUGGCCGCGGCCUCUGUAGAUGGUGUUGGCAGAUGAAUGAAACCCGCCUGAAGACGAGUCUCCCAGCAUCUCCAUCCUCUGAUCAAAGGCGGAGAUCUGAGCGAAGAGGUCAUCGGCGGUGAUUGUGUUCUUGACAGCGCCGAUCGCCACCACCACGGAGUCGUAGUCGCGGUCGAGUCCUGCGAGUAUGUAGUCCACCAUCUCCGGAUCAGAGACGGGACGACCAGCGGCAGCUAGUUCAUCCCCAAGGCUCUUCAUCUUCGCCAUAUACGCCGAGCUCGACAUUGUGCCCUUCUUGGUGUUGGUGAUCGCGAUCCUUAGAUUGGUGAUCCGGGACUGUGAUUGCGAGGCGAAGAGAUUGUUCACCAUCGUCCAGAGCUCAUAGGUGGAGUCCUUCCCGACGACUUGCGCAAGGAUUUCUGGAGACAUGGAAUUGAGAAGAUAUGACAGGACCUGCUGGUCUUUGGCGAUCCAGGGCCCGUACAGAGGGUUCGGCUCGAGGGCCGUCGUCUUGUCCGCCUUCGUGACCUCUACAGUCUUGGGUGGAGCGGCGUCAGAGUUGUCCAGGAGCCCGGUUACCUGCGCACCUCGCAGGGCUGGGAGCACCUGGGUCUUCCAGAGGAUGAAGUUUCCUCUUGCUAGCUUCUCAGAUGGCGGCGAUCCGAGGUUGAGGCCGACGCCGGACGAAGAAGCCAUGGAGACGAUGAUAUGUGGUUCUAGGGUUUUGAUUUGUGGCUAGAUGUAGGAGAAGAGGUGGCUCUGAUUACCAUGAAAGAUAAUGAGCGUUCCCUACUCCCUCGAGGGAAGCCACGGUUCUGUUUAUAUUGAUGCGGCCGAAGCCAAGCUUGGAGUACAAGAAAGAUUACAGGGAGUUUGAGUAGGAGAAGGAAAGGAGUUUGAGAUGCUACCGAAACAUAUUCUCUAACACUCUUCAUGCAGGUAUUUGCACGCGCAUUAGGAUACUUGUGAAGUUUAGUUUUUUUUUGUUGAAUUUGUUCAAUUUCUCAUCUUUUAGAUCAACGUCUAACUAUAAUAUCAUUUUCAUAUACUCCCUUCUUUCUAUAUUAAAUUUUGGCUAAAUGAAUAUAUCUGGUACUGAAAUACGUCAUGAUUUACAAAAGUAGAAACUAACAACUUGCUAAAUUUGCACACUUUAUUUGGAUGUCCGAAAACUUUAAUAGGGAGAAUUAGCUAAAAGAUUACGAUGAAAUGUAUUGCCCAAAUGAUUUUGGCCAAUUAUUGCGAAAAUAGAGGGUUAUCUGUUGCAUUUAAGUGGAUGCCGACGGAUCCCACCGUUCAUCCGUGGCGUCCAUUAUAGAUCUGGUGGCCCAUGUAGGAAUUUUUGGAUUUUCACUAGGAAACCAUUUUUAUUAGAUACUUUGCCUUCAACUAAAGUCACAUAAAGGGGUUUGAUACAAUUCAAGAGAAGUUGCCUUAGCAAACCAAUAUGUGGUUGGAUGGUUAGAGGGACCGUGGUAUCUCCAUCCCACCAGGGUUCAAAUGCUGGUGCUUGCAUUUAUUCCGGCGAUGCACAUUCAAUGGAAGGAGACGUUCCUGUCGACGACGAGACGCCUACGGUGACUUCGUAAAUCUCAAGAUGAUAUGCCGGCUCAGUCUUUCGGAGGUGCUCAUAGGGGUAGGGUGUGCGUGUGUGUGUUCAUAUGGGUGAGUGUAUGCGCGUGUAUAUGAGCGCUUGUGUCUGUACUGACGUUCAACAAAAAAAGAAAAGUUGCCUUAAAAAAGUUAUACAUGUGUAAUAUCUGAACUCUAACACACGCCUCACUCACACUACAGCCACCCACAGACUGAGCUUCUAUUACUUAACUGCACUUGCCUUUGGAUGUAUGACACAAGUAUUUCCGGACGGAUGGAGUACGUAAUAUUUAUUUAUUUUAUUUUGCAAAAAUUAUAUUUGUAGUGAUUGUAUUAUGUACGAGUACUUCUGUUUAGCCAAAAAAAAAAGAAGUGCAUGAAUUCUGAUGCCCUGUCCACUACAGCUGAAUCGGUUCCAGGACGGGGGAUACGCCAUGGGAGUGAGCUGCACGGCGCUGCUGUGUGACCCGCUGUCGCUGGCGCGGUUCCUCCUCACGUGGGCGCGCACGCACAAGGAGAUCAAGGAGCAAAACAAGCUCCUCCUCAGGCCGAUGAUGCAGUACAUGGCAUACUUCGAGCGCCCGGAGAUCUGCUGCAGGCGCAUCAGCUCCUUCCCCAUCGACUCUGUCGCCGCCGACGGUGUCCACGCCCAGACCGGGCUCUUCAGGACCACUGCCGGCGCCGAGACCAGCGACCUCGACACGCUCGCUGCGGCCUGUAUCGCCCAGGCGAGCGAGGAGCUCGAGGUGGACAGGGCGUCACGGUUCACGCUCGUCGUCGCCCCCCGAGACUCCGCCCGCGGAGCGACGACCAUCGAGACGUCGGUCACGGCGGAUGGCCUGAAGAAGGGUGGCGCCGGCCAUGCGCUGGAAGCCGCGGAGUGGAGCGAGCUGAGGCUGGAGGAGCUGACUCUCAGGGGCGUCAAGCCCGUGCAUGUGUCGUACAGAAUUGUGGCGGGCGGAGACGAAGGGCUCGUCGUCGUCAUGCCUGACGGCGAUGGUUUCCUCGUCACGGCGACUAUUCCGGAGUAGGCGCUGGCUAGGAAUAGGAGGUGAUGGUUUCCGUAUUUCGUCAAGGCGCCAAAGUUUGGAAAUCAUCAUGGUUAGUUGUUUCCCUGUUUUUGUUUAUUGAUAGAUGUGCAUGUUACCUUGAUUAAAGGAUUUGAGUGGUGCUGUGCGACUUGCUAAACAAAUCUAAAAAACGAGAUAAAUGGGCAGGAGAGGCGUGAUGCCUCCCGUAGGCAUACGUGGACCAUUUCAUAUUAUAGCCACUUGGUCAGGGUGUGGAGGUGAGCACACUGUCGCGGUGACUACGGCCCUGUUUGGUUGAUAAGUUUUAGGAUUUUUUUUAGUCCCAACUUAUAGUCCAAGUCCCUAAAAAGUCCUUAUCUGUUUGGUUCCUGAGACUUAUAAGUCCCUAUAAGACCAUAUUACAACUAUAAGUCCCUAUAAAACUCUUCUUGAGAGUCUUAUUUCAUAAGUCCCAAAUGCCCAUUUUAAAUUCCUAUAAGUUCCUCCUGUUUGGUUUAGAUGAGACUUAUAGGAAUUUUUUUAAAUUCCUAAACCAAUAAGUCCCUGGAAACAAACACCCUCGACAAACUUGUUCCACUUUCUCUAACUUGAUGGGCAAAUAAAAAAUGCCGUGCCAUGAUGGUGCUAAUGUUUGGUGAAUACGUAAUUAGAUGGUAAUCUAAUACUGUCAAACCCGGAUGACCUAAGCAGUUAAACUUGCUUCGUGCCCGGUGACAAAACGUGGGCGAACGUGAGCGUUGGAUGGACGGCGGUAAUCCACGUCCUCGCUUUCAUUUGGUGAACCUGCAGCGCGGCAAUUUUCGCCGCCAAUAUGCUUCCCCGUUUCGUUCCAUGGUCCAAUGCUCGUCAUCAAAACUAAAACGCUCAAUCACGCGCGACGGGCAGUUCAUCACGAAAAGGAUAUAUGGACCCCUCCCCUCCCCUCCCGUCCAAGAGGAAAAACGAGAGAUGAGUCCAACUGAAUCGCAUUCUUCGCUAGAUUUCCCUUGCUCUUCAUCCCGUUGCAAGGGGAGGAUGAAGUAGAUCUUUCAGAUGAGCUGAAGGAUUUGGGUAUGAACUAACUAUUGUAUGCAGUGGCGAAACUUGCUAAAAAAUCAAUCUAAGCUCGCCCAAUUUUUUUUCCUUCACAACUUGAUCCAAGGCUGGGGGCCAAUGCCCCCCUCCCCUGGUCGUGCACGAUCUUCCGCGUGAACGAGGGGUUUCGUGAGAAGAGCGUUGAUGAAGCAGGGCUAACGAUCUUCUACCCAGAUGGCGACGCUGUUGCAGCAUUCGUCCCGAGGUUCAACAAACUCACCGUCGAUGGCCAGGCCGAUGCUUCGGCAACGAUCUUCAUUCUGCACACGCUCUCUGCUCGUUGUACAACCGCAACCGUGCUCCUCUCUGAUCGUUGUUGGCGUGCACAAGCAUGGCUCCCGCAACUGUGGUCCUGGUGGUCGUGCUCACCGUCCUCGCCGCCGCCCGGAACAUCGAGGAAUACGCUUCCAGGCGAGCACGGCGAGGAGCAGAUCGAGGCCACUAUCGUGAGCAGCCAUGGAACUACCUCGACGCCCGCGCCACCUCCUCCUACCUCCUCAGCUCUCCCGCCCGCCCGCCUCCACCUUCCCGAUGAGACACUAGUGCAGAAUCAGGCUUUAGUCCCAGUUCGUAAGGGCCUUUAGUGCCGGUUCACCAACUGGGAUUAACGGGUGCGGACUAAAGCCCCCCUCCCCUUUAGUCCCGGUUCGUCACAGCCCGGGACCAAAGGUCCACCACAUGGCACGAGCCCGCGCCGGGUGCUGGGGGGCCUUUCGUCCCGGUUGGUGACACCAACCGGGACUAAAGGUUUAGGGGUUUAGGGUAUGGAUUUAUGAAUUAUUGUUUAUUUUUCCUUUCGUUUUGUAUGCGUUCGAGACCACGCCCGUAAGUACGUACGUGGUCGUCUUUUUUGCAGCAUGACUGUUGUAUGUGUACAGGAUUUAAACGGGAUUGCCUAAACAACUACCGCUCCUUACCGGGCCACGGUUCAUCGUGGCAGACAGACCGAUGGACCAGUAUGUACGUACAUGUUUGCGACCAGAAUGACAACGCUACAUACGCUUUGACCGGGUGGGUUCCAGUUGUCACGGAAGAUAAGGAGACACUUCCUUGCGUGUGAAGAUAUAGGUGGUGGGCCUGAGCUGUCAGGGGGAGGAUUCAUUUUUUUGCGCGUAAUAAGAAGACACUUCCUUGCGUGUGAAGAUAUAGAUGGUGGGUCCGAGAUGUCAGGAGGAUUCAUUUUUUUGCGCGUAAUAAGGAUGCACUUGCAUGCGUCCAUGGACCAUAUGGGUCCCUACUGCCAGCCUCUCCACGUACAUCCCUCUUCUGAUGUUGUCGUUUAUUGACAACGUUGACCACACCGUGCCGAGAACACCAACACGAUGGACGACGGCGAAACCCAGGAAGGGAAUGACUCAGGGGCGGCGAAGCCACAACAAUGAAGGGAUGUGGUUGAGUAGAUGGAUGGCCUGGUCAGUGGUGGGUGUAGUAGGGGCGGUGAAGCCUGCAUGGCAGCAUAGCCGGCCACGGGAGGUAAAAAAUUUAAACGAAAUUUCGCAUAUUUUGGUGGGGUACAAAAUAUUUUUAAUAAUGAAAUGUCGAGCCAGAUUUAAAGUACUUUCAUGAUAUAUUUAAAUUAGUUUCAAACCCAAUGAAAUUGGAAUAUGAAAAUGCGAAAAAAAUCAAAAAUGUGAAAACUAUUGCCAAUUUGUCGUGUGUCUUUUAUAUUUACAGCCCAUUUCAUAUUACUUUUAAGAUUUGCAGUCGUCUUGAAAGAGUUGCAGCCUAGCAUGGCCGAGAAAAAUAAGUAGGCCUGGGUUGGAUAUGCCUAGAUUGGGUAUUCUUCAGAAAAAAUAAACUGGUUUAGCCAUUUUCACAAAGAAAAAAAUCUAGGUUGGUCAUGUGUUGUACGUAAAUUGGAAGCCUGGGCUCGAUGGGCCACAAUCCAGUUAAAACCCUACUCCGUCUCAACAAUAACAAAAAGAAAUUACUGCUCAAGCAGCUACGUCCUAGGUGUCAGCCGUUCUUGUGUAGUUCUCUUUUCUAUUGACUAUACGCUAAAAAUGUCGUGGGUCCCAGACGUCGGCAAACCAUUAAGAGGUGGCAUUUUCUUUUUCUAUACGCUGAAUAUGGAGUAUAUAACAAAAAAAGGGGAACUUGCUUGCGUACGGCCAUGGACAUGGUGCGUCCCUACUGUCAUCCUCACCACGUACAGUCAUCUUCCGAUUCCUCUCGUUUGUUGACCAUGUUGACAACGCGAAAGGGCGGCGCCGCGGCAGCGCACCAAAGCGUGUGGAGGACAACGGCGCGGCCUCGGACGGGAACAAACUGGAGCCGGGAAAGAUGCAGCGGUGAAGUCGCGGGCGAAAGGGAGUACAAGGGUUGACUAGUUCGGGUGUGGGAUGGGGUUGACGUCGACAUUAACGAUUCGGGAGACGAUGGGGCGACGAUGCGUGCGCUGAGGCGCAGUCAGCCAUGGAAGGCGGGAGCAGGCGGCCCCGCCAGCGUUGGUUUGAUAUUGACGGCUGGAGGAAGACGAGACUGAAGAAACAUGAUAGACUGUAAAAGCAGCAGGAGUACUUAACAUCCUGAAGAGGUUGUUUGGGUAGCUGGUUUAUAGAUAAUCAGUUAUAUAUAAACCCGUUUGAGGCUCUAACAAACUUAAAACUCUGUUUGGCUAAUCUAACUAAUUCCUGGAUAAGCAAAAAUUGGUUGUCGUAAUACCCAAAAUAGGAAUUUUUGGAAAAACGGGUCCCAGACGUUUUUAUGAACAUGCCUUCCGAGAAAGCCGGGCGGGCUGCAUCGUCGACUCGCCGUAACACCUACACGCCCGCCCCUUUAUUCCUGCUACUUCCUGCUGGUAUCCUAGCCACAUCGCCGCAGUAUGGAUCGAUUGAUGCAGAGGCCGGGGGUCUCAACCUCCUUUUUCAUGAUACAGAGGCCGGGGGUCUCAACCUCCUUUUUCAAAAAAAAAAAAAGCCACAUCGCCGCAGAUUAGCUCAUCUAAGGUGAGUAGUAUUGCCUCCCAAAGCCAUGGACGAACACCUCGACGGAGCGGCGCACGGUGCAACAACGCGCUUGGAGGCAGGGAUGUACGAUUACGUCAAGGCCUCCAAGAUGUUGCUUGACGUGGCCAUGGGCGGUCGGCCCUACGACUUUGGCUCCGCGCUAGCCGGGUUCAUGGCUUGCUCACCAGAGCGGACGUAUAUAACCUCUCGGCUCGAGGUGCUCACCGACAUGCAACGGUUUCGCGACCGACGGCUCCUGAUUUCCGCCGUUGACCGUCGCGUCGAUGGUUAAGAACAGAUCAUGCGACUACGCGCAUAGGCUCGUCGACCAGGCUGUCUGUGGUUAACGACCGCACCAGCAGCACUGCAGCUUGUGAACAAAAGACUGUAUGUACGUGCAUCAAUGCAUUAGAAUAUUCGCAUGUUGAAAAGUUUAAAGUUUGUUCAUCACAUUUGACAAAAUGUUCACUGGCAUUAAAAGAUACUCAUGUAGUGUAGAAAUAUCUGUUUGCCCCAUUUUCACAAAUAUUGGUACCCAUUAGAAAAUAUUCACAACAUCUAAAAAUGUUCGUAUGUUUAAAAUUUUGUUCAUGAAAUUUGAAAAAAUUCAUAUAAAUCUAAAUAUUUGCUCACAUUGUUUGAAAAAAAUGUUUGCAGCACCCAAAAUUGUUCGUAAAAAAUAUUGACGCUUUUAAAAAUAAUUCUUGUGAUAUUUUAAGAAAAAGUUCAUGAAAAUACAAAAAGUUGUUCAAGAAAUAUUAUAAACAGUUGAAGAUGUGUUUAGAAAAUGUUUAACGUAUAUUAUACAAAUGUUCAACAUGUAUUGAAUAAAAAAUUUAAGUGUAUCUACAAAAUAUUCAACCUAUAUAUGAAAAAUGUUUAGCACGUAUUAAAAGAGUCAACAUGUAUUUUGCAAAUGAAAAACAAAAUAACAAAGGAAAACAAACAUACAAAAAACCAUAAUAAAAAUUGAUUAAGAAAAACAGAAAAAAGCAAGGAGCAACUAAUCAGGGUUUACCCCUUGGACGGUACCCGAAGCGUUAACUUUCUUAGGCCCGGGAGCAUGCCAAGUGGUGCAUCCAGCCGCCACCACAUGUUGUUGCACAAGGCGCACCUUGGGGAUUUCGAUUUUUUUCCACACGCGUUUCUGGGUUUACUUUGAAUACAGAUUUCUGGUUUUUCGACUUUUUGUUGGUUCUACAUUUUACAUAUUUUUAGAGCUCAUUUGUUGCAUGUUCUCUACAUAUAUCAUCUCACGCUGAACCUAAUAUGUGUCCAUCAUGCAUGAUUUUUGGGUUUUACUCUUUUCACUAGGAGCACUAGCAUGUUAGUGUUAUUAUUUUUCUUUUACUAGUGUCCUUUGUUCUUUCAUGUCUAUUAGUGUUUUGGAGCAACAUAGGACCUAACACGAUGAAAGGGACAAGGUUGGAUUCAUUAUGGAGGACUUCCAACACCAGAUUUAGAUCUUUUCAAAGUUCCCCAAAUCAAGAUCGAAUACCACUGGUGCGUAGAGGCGUUGCUCUCAUGGUUCCAAUGGACCCAUCUCGAGCAUUUCAAAGAGAGAUGGGGCUCAGAUGGGUAGUGUUUGUGGUGUGGCCGACCGACUUUAAAUAGCAAGCUCCUAGGUAGGCGAAGCAGGCGCUUCAAUGCGGGCCCCCGAGUUGGCUUCUCAUUCAGAGCGUGUCGGUUUGAAUGCCGGGCAGGCGUUAACUGGCAUGAUUGCGGUAGAAAUCCUUCAUGUCGUCCCGUCCGCUCUGAAUCACGCGUGGAGAGCGAGCGGACACGGCGAGAGAGGAGGAAGAGUUUUUUUGGAUGGUCCAAAACCCGCAAACUUUCCUCAACUUUGAUUCUGAUUUGUGAGAUUUUGAACAUCCAAACACGUCCGGAUAGAUUUGAUGACCGAUAUUGGAUGGAAAAAAAUGGUCGAACAAUCCGAUCCAGACAUUUGGGGGCGCUUUGAUGAACUGCGUCAGUGUUGAGUGUUGUAUACCUGUUCAUGACCACGUUGCACAUAAACAAGACGAAUACCAAGAAACCACAAUAGUUUGAUUGUAAAUUUUGGAUGACCACAAUUUUCCGGGGCAAUGCAAUUGGAGUGAAUAUCAUAAAACUACCACAAUUCGCGUUAGGGUUUCAAAAAGAACACCAAAAAUUUAUUUGUGACUAAUAACUACGAGAGUCGGCGUCGGUUGUCUAAAAAAACUCAAACCCCCAUUGCUAAGAAAUUAAACCGGCUUAUGACAUGUCGCACCCCCGCACCUAAACGAACCGUCUGUUUGGCCGUUAACUGACAUGUGAGGCCCACAUGUCAAUCAUCUCUUCUUCUUCUUUUCCUCCUCUCCUCCUUAUCCCUCUCUCUCUCUGCACGAGCCCGCCGAAUAUGCACACCGGCCGCCCCUCCUCCUGCCUUUCUCCCUCUCCGUGAGCUAGCCCUACUUUCCCCGGCCGACCCUCCUCUCCAUCUCCCCAACUGGCCGGAGCACGGUCUCCCGCAGGGUGGCGGUGAGCCCCUACAUUGCACGUGGCGGCGCCCCUCUGGCCAAGCGCGACGGUGCGCCCCUAUGUCCGGAACAUGACGGCGGUGAGCCCCUCCAUUGCAUGCAGCGGCGCCCCUCUGGCCAAGCGCGACGGUGCGCCCCUAUGUCCAGAACACGACAGCAGUGAGCCCCUCCAUUGCACGCGGCGGCGCCCCUCUGGCCAAGCGCGAUGGUGCGCCCCUAUGUCUGGAACACGACGGCGGUGUGCCCCUCUAUGCUGGCCGGCAAGGUAAGGAGCAACAACAACGGUGGCCGGCAACGCAUAGCAUCAGGCGCAGCCGGCAAGAAGCAGCAGUGUAGCCAGCAAGCAUCAGCAGGAGUAGCAGGCGCGACCGGCAAGGAGGUCCAUCUGGACCGAGCCCGUCACCUGCCUGGAGGAGCCCCGCCUCCGCGCCGAGGCCAGUGCCACCAGCUCGAGCGGGCGCCGCCAUGGACAACUGCGGCUGCCAGCCACAGCCACAGUCGGCUUAUACAAGGACUGGAUUGUUUUUUUUUUGAAAAAUGAUGAGGGACCCGAUCGCUUUUUAAAAAUCUUUGCAGGGGUUAUGCUGUAAAAAUGAGGACACAUUUUAAAAUCUAUAAAAGAACCAGGGGUUGAAGAAAAAAUUUACAUGAGAUUUUUUAUGAGUAAGAGACACAGACAUGUGGGCCCCACAUGUCAGUUAACGGUCAAACAAAUGGUCAAAAUAGACGGUUCUUUUAGGUGGGGGUCCGAAUUGUCAUAAACCGGUUUAAUUUCUUAGCGACGGGUGUUUUGGGUUUUUUGAGACAGCCAAUGCUGAUUCUAGUAGUCAUUAGUCACAAAUAAAUUUUCGGUAGUUUUUUUGUAACUCUAACAUGAAUUGUGGUAGUUUUAUGCUAUUCACUCAAUGUAAUUGACAUGUUUUUGACCGUUGUGACCCAAAAGUCAGGCCAUGGCGAUUAGAACAACAGCCCCGCCUAAAACGGCAGAUGUGGCCAUGGAUGUGGAAUUGCAUCGGCAUUGAUAUGUAUCACCUGUAGUGAUAACAAGCUCCCACUCAUCGCUCAGGGCAUGUACAAUGAUCGAUAAGGUAGUUUUAUCUUAAAUCUUGCAUGUAAUUUAGAGAUGACAAAAAAACAUAUCUACAAUAGGUCAUCUCUUAGCCUUAUCUUUUAAUAACUAGUUAUUUCUGAAAACAUGAUGAGACAUAUUGUGCUAAGAGAUCAUCUCGUGUCUUCUCUUAAUUAAGAGAAGACAAACCUUCUUUUAUAAUUUGUUUCUCCUUCACCUCAUCAUUUAUCCUACGUGACAUUACUAAGAUAGAGCCAUUGUACGUGCCCUCACGCCUCAGAGAGCUCCUAAUUUGCACUCUUUGCGCCAGUUAACGAGCCGACGCUCACGCGCGCCACAGGCUGGGCCAGCCUAACACGUGAGCUCAUCGCACGUUCAAUCGUUGGCUGACAGUUUGACGGUUGACCGGUUGACUCUUGACUUUUAAGAACAAAAUUGUAGAUUCGGAAAAGUUCAUGAUAUACCAAAAAUAUUCACGAGUUUGAGAUAACAUUAUGGAUUGAAAAAAAUUGUGCAGUUGAAAUUUGUUUCCGAUUGAAAAAGUUCAUGCAUUUAAAAAAAAGUUGACGAAUUUUAAAAUAUUGAAUGUGGCAGGUGUUACUGACGGCUGCAUAGGCGGCUGACCUUUUCUAAGAUCAACCCAGAAGCAUAAACGUACGCUGGCAGUAGAAAGAAACCAGAGGCAAACUAAGUCAUGCGUGCAUGCAUUAAUCAAGCUAAUCUUUGCAUUGCAAGGCCUGGCCGGUGUUUUCGGGCGGCUAGCAUCAUCGGCCAUUACUCGGUAUCAAUGACAGCCGACGACCGCCCGUGGGUCCGGCGACGACCGUCACAUCCCAUGCAUGGGACCGGCAUCGGCGUCAUGCUUUAAUCCUUGGUUGAUCGAUAUGCACAGAUCCAAGUCAGCAUAUAUACAUGUGAUUCUCAAAAAAAAAAAGCAUAUAUACAUGUGCACUGUGAACGUCUAUGGUUUUUUUCUAUCUACUGUUGAACUUACAUCCCGGACAUAACUGUAUGAUUGCACGAUAUAUUGCUCUUCGUGCAUAGGCACGUAUAUAUGAUGUACAUAGGUGGGCCACGGACCUCAGUUGUACANNNNNNNNNNNNNNNNNNNNNNNNNNNNNNNNNNNNNNNNNNNNNNNNNNNNNNNNNNNNNNNNNNNNNNNNNNNNNNNNNNNNNNNNNNNNNNNNNNNNNNNNNNNNNNNNNNNNNNNNNNNNNNNNNNNNNNNNNNNNNNNNNNNNNNNNNNNNNNNNNNNNNNNNNNNNNNNNNNNNNNNNNNNNNNNNNNNNNNNNNNNNNNNNNNNNNNNNNNNNNNNNNNNNNNNNNNNNNNNNNNNNNNNNNNNNNNNNNNNAGACUGAACCGGAACUCCUCAAAUGACGCCAUAGGCAAGCCCUUGGUCAUGAUAUCGGCAAAUUGUUGGGAAGUAGGGACGUGUAAAAGACGAAUAUGGCCAAGGGCCACCUGUUCCUGAACAAAGUGAAUAUCCAACUCAAUAUGCUUGGUCCGUCGAUGAUGCACCGGGUUAGCGGAGAGGUAGACCGCCGAGACGUUGUUGCAGUAGACCACCGUGGCACGGUCAACAGGACAAGAGAGCUCCUGAAGCAGCUGGCGAAGCCACGAACACUCGGCGAAGGCGUUAGCCACCGCACGAUACUCAGCCACAGCACUGGAACGAGAGACCGUAGGUUGCCGCUUGGACGACCACGAGAUAAGUGAGGGUCCAAGGUAGACACAAUAGCCCGAAGUGGAGCGACGAGUGUCAGGGCAGCCCGCCCAGUCUGCAUCGGAGUAGGCGGUGAGGGUGGUGUCGGCGGAGGCGUGAAGCAUGACACCAAGAUCCAUAGUGCCACAGGUAUAGCGAAGAAUCCGCUUGAUGGCAGCCCAGUGAACGUCUCGAGGAGCAUGCAUAUGAAGACACACCUGCUGCACGACAUACUGGAUCUCCAGUCGAGUCAGAGUGAGGUACUGGAGAGCACCAAUGAUAGACCGAUAGAAAGCAGCAUCCGAAGCAGGAGAACCAUCCGUGGCAGAAAGCUUGGCCGUCGUAUCAACAGGCGUAGCGGCGGGCUUGCAGUUAAGCAUGCCGACGCGCUCCAGGAGCUCGUGAGCGUACUUCCGCUGAUGAAGAAAGAAGCCAUCCGGACGGCGCACCACCUCGAUGCCGAGGAAGUACUGCAAAGGACCCAAGUCCUUGCUGGCGAACUUAGCGCGAAGACAAGCCGUGAGCUGACUAAGGAGACCAGCCAUACAUGCCGUUAGGAUGAUGUCGUCGACAUAGAGCAGCAAGUAGGCUAUGUCAGAGCCCUAAUGGUAGACAAAGAGCGAGGCGUCCGAGCGGGUAGAGCGGAACCCAAGCUAGUGGAGAAACGCCGCGAUGCGCUGGAACCAAGCGUGCAGAGCCCGCUUGAGUCCGUACAAGGACCACAAAAGAAGGCACAUGUGGUCAGGAAGCGCCGGGUCAACAAACCCUGUGGGCUGCUGGCAGAAGACCUGCUCCUCGAGGUGACCAUGGAGGAAGGCAUUGGAGACGUCCAUCUGGUGCACCGACCAAGCACGGGAGACCGCUAGGUGGAGAACCAUGCGUAUCGUGCCGGGCUUGACGACCGGAGGAAGGUGUCGAUGCCAGCACGCUGUCGGAAGCCACGGACGACCCAACACGCUUUGUAGCGAUCCAGGGUACCAUCAGGACGGAGCUUGUGUUUAAAGACCCACUUCCCGGUAAGCACGUUGGCGUGCCGGGGACGGGGAACAAGUUGCCACGUCCGGUUGCGCAAUAGGGCAUCAAACUCCUCUUGCAUCACAGCCAUACAGAGCGGGUCAUGAAGAGCGGCUCGAACGGAGGACGGAAACGGCGACGGCUCAGAGGUGGACGCUGCAUGGACGUAGUCAUCCGAGGCGUAGCGCGAGCUCGGACAAAAAACGCCCGUAUGGGUGCGGGUGACCGGAACGGCCAUAGGCGCUGGGGGGCUACAGGCACCGGGGGUGCCGGGGGGGGGGCGGGCGCCGACAGGGCCGCGGGGGCCGUGGGUGCCAACGUCAGGGGCGCCGGGGGAGGCACUGCAUGCGGGGGCGGGCCUCAAAGCCAGGGGGCGAGCCAAGAGAGGCGCGCGAGCGCCCUGGGAGAGGCAUCGAGGAGCCCGCAUCACCGGUGGCGGGAGGAAUAGCCGAGGGUACCUGCUGAAAUGGAAAGAUAUGCUCAUCAAAGUAAAUGUGCCGGGAAGUGAAAACACGGUGGGAGACGGGAUCGUAGCACCAAUAUCCCUUGGAGUUGGAGGGGUAGUCGAUGAAGAUGCAAGCGACAGAACGAGGUGCGAGUUUGUGAGGAGAGGAGUCGGCAAUGCUAGGAUAGCAAAGGCACCCCAAAAUAUUCAAGCCAUCAUAAGAUGGGGGCGUACCGGAGAGAAGAUGGUGAGGUGUAUAGUUCCACUGUGGACAGUAGGGGCGAAGGUUAAGGAGAAGUGAAGUAGUAGCGAGUGUGUCCGACCAGAAACGAGGCGACACAUUAGCAUGGAACAGGAGCGUGCGAAGGCAGUCGUUCAGAGUGCGAAGGACGUGUUCAUCUCGACCAUUCUGCUGUGAAGUAUACGGGCAUGUGACAGAAAAGUCCGGAAAGCAAGGUUGUCGAACUCUUUUCCAUUGUCAGUCUGAAGAGAAAGGAUGGGGCGCCCAAACUGCGUCUGACAUAGGAGUAAAAAGCCGUCAAAGUGGAGAGUGCAUCUGACUUUCGUCGUAAAGGAAACGUCCACACAUAGUGAGAAUAAUCAUCAAGGAUAACCAGAUAAAAUAAGUAGCCCGAGUUACUGAAGGAAAUAUGCCCUAGAGGCAAUAAUAAAGUUGUUAUUUAUAUUUUAUAUCAUGAUAAUUUUUUAUUAUUCAUGCUAGAAUUGUAUUAACCGGAAACUUAGUACAUGCGUGAAUACAUAGACAAAACAUAUAUUCCCUAGUAUGCCUCUACUUGACUAGCUCGUUAAUCAAAGAUGGUUAUGUUUCCUGACCAUAGACAUGUGUUGUCAUUUGAUGAAUGGGAUCACAUCAUUAGGAGAAUGAUGUGAUAGACAUGACCCAUCCGUUAGCUUAUCAUUAUGAUCGUUACAAUUUCAUUGCUACUGCUUAAUUCAUGACUUAUACAAGUUCCAAAGACUAUGAGAUUAUGCAACUCCCGAAUACCAGAGGAACACCUUGUGUGCUAUCAAACGUCACAACGUAACUGGGUUAUUAUAAAGAUUCUCUACAGGUGUCUCCGAAGGUGUUUGUUGGGUUGGCAUAGAUCGAGAUUAGGAUUUGUCACUCUGUAUUUCGGAGAGGUAUCUCUGGGCCCUCUCAGUAAUACUCAUCACUAUAAGCCUUGCAAGCAUUGUGACUAAUGGGUUAGUUGCGGGAUGAAGUAUUACGGAACGAGUCAAGAGACUUGCCGACAACGAGAUUGAACUAGGUAUGAUGAUACCUACGAUCGAAUCUCGGGCAAGUAACAUACUGAUGCCAAAGGGAACAACGUAUGUUGUUAUGCGGUUUGACCGAUAAAGAUAUUUGUAGAAUAUGUAGGAGCCAAUAUGGGCAUCCAGGUUCUCCUAUUGGUUAUUGACCGGAGAUGUGUCUCGGUCAUGUCUACAUAGUUCUCGAACCCGUAGGGUCCGCACGCUUAACAUUCAAUGACGAUUUGUAUUAUGAGUUAUGUGAUUUGAUGACCGAAGUUUGUUUCGAGUCCCGGAUGAGAUCACAGACGUGCCGAGGAGUCUCAAAAUGGUCGAUACAUAAAUAUCGAUAUACUGGAAGGCUAUAUUUGGACGUCGGAAAGGUUUCGAGUGAUUCGGGUAUUUUUCGGAGUACCGGGGAGUUAUGGUAAUUCAUCGGGAGAAGUAAUGGGCCUUAUUGCGCUUUAGUGGAGAGAUGGGAGAAGGGCCAAGAGGUGGCGCGCGCCUCCCCCCUUCCCAAACCGAAUUGGACAAGGGGUGGGGGCGCAACCCCGCUUUCCAUCUCCCUAUCCCUCUCGUUGAUAUGCAUCUCCUAGAUAGAUCUUGCGUGAUCGUAGGAAUUUUUUUGAAAUUGCCGCGUCCCCCAACAGUGGCAUCCGAGCCAGGUCUAUGCGUAGAUAUUAUAUGCACGAGUAGAACACACAGAGUUGUGGGCGAGAAUAGUCAUAAUGCUUACCACCAACGUCUUACUUUGAUUCGACGGUAUUGUUUGAUGAAGCGGCCCGAACCGACAUUACAUGACCGCGUUCAUGAGACCGGUUCUACUGACGUGCUUAUGCACAUAUGUGGCUAGCGGGUGUCUGUUUCUCCAACUCUAGUUGAAUCAAGUUUGACUACGGCCGGUCCUUGAUGAAGGUUAAAACUGCACCCUUGACGAAAAAUCGUUGUGGUUUUGAUGUGUAGAUAAGAACGGUUCUUUCUAGAAGCCCGUAGUAGCCACGUAAAACUUGCAACAACAAAGUAGAGGACGUCUAACUUGGUUUUGCAGGGCUUGCUAUGAUGUGAUAUGAUCAAGGCAUGAUGUGAUAUAAAUUGUUGUAUGAGAUGAUCAUGUUUUGUAACAAACUUAUCGGCAACUGGCAGGAGCCAUAUGGUUGUCGCUUUAUUGCAUGCAAUGCAAUCGCCAUGUAAUUGUUUUACUUUAUCACUAAGCGAUAGCGAUAGUCGUAGAAGCAAUAGUUGGCGAGGCGACAACGAUGCUAUGAUGGAGAUCAAGGUGUCGCACCGAUGACGAUGGAGAUCAUGACGAUGCUUCAGUGAUGGAGAUCCCGAGCACAAGACGAUGAUGACCAUAUCAUGUCACAUAUUUUGAUUGCAUGUGAUGUUUAUCCUUUAUGCAUCUUAUUUUGCUUAGUACGGUGGUAGCAUUAUAAGAUGAUCCCUUACUGAAUUUCAAGGUAUAAGUGUUCUCCCUGAGUAUGCACCAUUGCAACAGUUCUUUGUGCUGAGACACCAUGUGAUGAUCGGGUGUGAUAGGCUCUACGUUCACAUACAACGAGUGCAAGCCAGUUUUGCACAUGCAGAAUACUCGGGUUAAACUUGACGAGCCUAGCAUAUGCAUAUAUGGCCUCGGAAUACUGGAGACCGAAAGCUCGAGCGUGAAUCAUAUAGAAGAUAUGAUCAACAUAGUGAUGUUCACCAUUGAAAACUACUCCAUCUCACGUGAUGAUCGGACAUGGUUUAGUUGAUUUGGAUCAUGUGAUCACUUAGAUGAUUAGAACCGGGACUUCAAAAAUGUUUUUGAAACGUCACGGAGCAUAUGAGAUGUUCCAAGAGCUAAAAAGGGUAUUUCAGACUCAUGCUCGUGUCAAGAGGUAUGAGACCUCCAACAAUACUUCGCCUAAAAGAUGGAGGAGAAUUGCUCAGUUAGUGAGCGGGUACUCAGAAUGUCUAGGUACUACAAUCACUUGAAUCAAGUGGGAGUUAAUCUUCCAGAUAAGAUAGUGAUUGACAGAGUUCUCUAGUCACCAUCACCAAGUUACUGGAACUUCGUGAUGAACUAUAGUAUGCAAGGGAUGACGAAAACGAUUCCUGAGCUCUUCGUGAUGCUGAAAUCGACGAAGGUAGAAAUCAAGAAAAAGCAUCAUGUGUUGAUGAUUAAACAAGACCACUAGUUUCAAGAAAAGGGCAAAGGGAAAGAAAGGGAACUUCAAGAAGAAUUGCAAGCAAGUUGUCACUCCCGUGAAAAAGCCCAAAGCUGGACCUAAGCCUGAAACUGAGUGCUUCUACUGCAAAGGAAAUGGUCACUGGAAGUGGAACUGCCCCAAAUAUUUGGUGCGAUAAGAAGGAUGGCAAAGUGAGCAAAGGUAUAUUUGAUAUACAUAUUAUUGAUGUGUACCUUACUAGUGUUCGUAGUAAUCCCUGGGUAUUUGAUACUUGUUUAGUUACUAAGAUUAGUAACUCGAAACAGGAGUUGGAGAAUAAAUAGAGACUAGUUGAGAAUGAAGUGACGAUGUGUGUUGGAAGUGGUUCCAAGAUUGAUAUGAUCAUCAUCGAGCACUCCCUAUACUUUCGGGAUUAGUGUUGAACCUAAAUAAAUGUUAUUUGGUGUUUGUGUUGAGCAUGAAUAUGAUUAGAUCAUGUUAAUUGCAAUACGGUUAUUCAUUUAAGACAGAGAAUUUUUGUUAUUUUGUUUACAUGAAUAAAACCUUCUAUGGUCAUACACUGUCAGAGUAAUGGGCCAUGGGUAGCCUCACCCGAGUCCCUGAACCUGUCAAAACUCCGGGCCGGCUUUUCCCCGUAAUACCCAAAACUGAAGUUUCGCCUUCUGGAGACCGGCUGGCUCAAUGGCCGGCCACCGAAGGAUGGCCAACUACCAGCAGACGGCACCAAGAGCGGCCGGCUCCAGUCAGCCGGCCUCUAGAGAGGAUGGCAUCGUGUAGGCGGCCACCUGGCUCCCUCAGAGUCUGCACCCCCAUCAAGAGGACGAGACAGGGCGUGGCUACAGUGAAGUCCCUCACCCCUGAAUCUUGGGCUUGGCGUGGCCACAGUGCCUCGUACAGGUAGAGAUCUCCACACGGCGCGGCACUGUUGCCACUCCCCCCUUGACGUCACUCCAGACAGGCGGAGCCCUGUUCCCCAUGACAACCUGUCGGUAGGGCCUGCGGGCUGCGGGCCCUAUCAGGCAAUGAUAGCCCGGAAGACAGCGGAUGCCGGACCAGUCGUACGUGGGGAAGGACGGCCUCCAGCAGGCGGUCGUCCCCUUCCUCGAAGUAAGUGCACCAUUAACCUGAUGAGACAAGGUGUGGCUACAGUGAUCUCCCAAUAGGCAGCGGGACUGUAGCCACACUGAGCUGACCAAGCCCGCGUCAUUAGCAGCACGGCUAUAGUGAACAGCCACCAACCAAACCCGCCAGUGGCGGGAACGGCCUGUUGGCUCCGUACCGAACCAGGUGGCGGGCACCAGUAGUCGGCAGAGAAGCCGGAGACCAGAGACACUUACAGCCGGGACCAGCACCCGGCCAGUUUACCAUUGUACCCCUGGGGGGUAUGCCUAUAGAAACACCCCCAGGGCGCCCAUGCAAAGGGUUCCCACUCCAUCAGAACUAGCCACUCCUCUAGAGCAGGAAGAGAGCUAGCCUUGCCUCCUUCUGCCUCUAGCACACAGCUCAAGGAGCACCAUUGUAUCACUUGUGCCUUAGUGAUCAUGCGGAGACCCCGCAGAGCAGGACUAGGGGUAUUAUCUCCUAGGAGAGCCCCAAACCUGGGUAAAGUGCGUCGGUGUACAUGUCUACGCCUUAUCCCGCUUCCAGGCACCGGCGACAUUCUAAUCGCUCCCACCAUGAUAAGCCAUCCUUUGGCAUAUGUCGCACCCAACCCACAACAUUUGGUGCCCACCGUGGGGCGAGGUGCACCAUCUCCCGGAGACCUGCUCUGGACAGGAACAUUGUUCCUUCCUGGCGAGCGAAGCCAGCCCAGCACACUCGACGGCGUCAGCCUUGACGCGCUGCACGACGCAAAGAUCGCCUGCGCAGCGAGCUACCUGAUACGUCUCCAACGUAUCUACUUUUCCAAACACUUUUUCCCUUGUUUUGGACUCUAACUUGCAUGAUUUGAAUGAAACUAACCCGGACUGACGUUGUUUCACUUCCAUGAUGUUGUUUUAUGUGUAGAAAAGAAAAGUUCUCGGAAUGUCCUGAAAAUCCACGGAGGAACUUUUUGGAAUUAAUAAGAAUUUCUGGGCGAAAGAAAUACACCAGGGGGCCCAGGGCCUGUCCACGAGACAGGCCCCCCCUGUAGUGCGCGCCCCCUAUCUCGUGGGCCCCCUGGACCUCCACCGACCUCAACUCCAACUCCAUAUAUUCAUGUUCAGGGAGAAAAAAAUCAGAGAGAAAGUUUCAUCGCGUUUUACGACACGGAGCCGCCGCCAAGCCCUAAUCUGGAGGGCAGAUCUGGAGUCUGUUCGGGGCUCCGGAGAGGGGGAUUCGUCGCCGUCGUCAUCAUCAACCAUCCUCCAUCACCAAUUUCAUGAUGCUCACCACCGUGCGUGAGUAAUUCCAUUGUAUGCUUGCUGGACGGUGAUGGGUUGGAUGAGAUUUACCAUGUAAUCAAGUUAGUUUUGUUAGGGUUUGAUCCCUAGUAUCUACUAUGUUCUGAGAUUGAUGUUUCUAUGACUUUGCUAUGCUUAAUGCUUGUCACUAGGGCCCGAGUGCCGUGAUUUCAGAUCUGAACCUAUUAUGUUUUUAUGAAUAUAUGUGUGUUCUUGAUCCUAUCUUGCAAGUCUAUAGUCACCUAUUAUGUGUUAUGAUCCGACAACCCCGAAGUGACAAUAAUCAGGAUACUUCUCGGUGAUGACCGUAGUUUGAGGAGUUCAUGUAUUCACUAUGUGCUAAUGCUUUGUUCCGGUUCUGUAUUAAAAGGAGGCCUUAAUAUCCCUUAGUUUCCGCUAGGACCCCGCUGCCACGGGAGGGUAGGACAAAAGAUGUCAUGCAAUUUCUUUUUCAUAAGCACGUAUGACUAUUUACGGAAUACAUGCCUACAUUACAUUGAUGAACUGGAGCUAGUUCUAUAUCACCCUAUGUUAUAGCUAUUACAUGAGGAAUCGCAUCUGGCAUAAUUAUCCAUCACUGAUCCAUUGCCUACGAGCUUUUCAUAUAUUGUUCUUCGCUUAUUUACUUUUCCGUUGCUACUGUUACAACUACUACUAAAACCCAAAAACAAUUAUCUUUACUUUUGCCACCAUUACCUUUAUUAUCAUACCACUUUUGCUACUAAAUACUUUGCUACAGGUACUAAGUUAUCCAGGUGUGGUUGAAUUGACAACUCAACUGCUAAUACUCAAGAAUAUUCUUUGGCUCCCAUUGUGUCGAAUCAAUAAAUUUGGGUUGAAUACUUUACCCUCGAAAGCUGUUGCGAUCCCCUACACUUGUGGGUUAUCAAGACUAAUUUCUGGCGCCGUUGUAGGGGAGCAUAGCUCUAUUCUCUGAGUCACUUGGGAUUUAUAUCUGUUGAUCACUAUGAAGAACUUGAAAGACGACCGAACUACUAUUUUGCCCUCAAUUGUGAGGGGAGGUAAGGAACUACCAUCUAGCUCUGCACUAGACUCUCCUUCUGUUAUUAGUAAGCUUGCGACACCUAAACCUGCUACUGCUAUGAAUUCUGAUAUGUCACAUGUUAUUGAUGAUGCCACUUCUGCUAUGCAUGAUGAAACUACUUCUGUGUGUGAUACUACUUUGCCAUUAGGUGAAUUUCUUGAUGAACAACUUGCUAGAGUUAGGGGGAAUGAAAUUACUGAAGAACCUAUUAUUGAUGAUAGUGAUGAUGAAGGUUCUCCCAAUGAUUAUGUAUUACCUGUUGUUCCUAAGGGUUAUGUUAUGAAUGAAGAAGCUGCUAGGGAAAUCUUUGCUUGCAAUGAUAGAUAUGAUCUUAAGAAAUUAUUAGCUAAAUGGAAGCAGCAGUCUCUUAAUGCUAGAAUGAAACCCGAUCCUGCUUUUGCUACUUCACCUAACUGUGUUACUGAUAAGGAUUAUGAAUUCUCGGUUGAUCCUGAAAUUAUUACUUUAGUUGAAUCUAAUCCUUUUUAUGGCCUUGAAUCUGAAACUGUUGUGGCACAUCUUACCAAGUUGAAUGAUAUAGCUACCCUGUUUACUCAUGAUGAGAAGUCUCGCUAUUAUUAUAUCCUUAAGAUAUUUCCGUUCUCAUUAAAGGGUGAUGCUAAGACUUGGUAUAAUUCUCUUGCUCCUGGUUGUGUGCGUAGUCCCCAGGAUAUGAUUUAUUACUUCUCUGCUAAAUAUUUCCCUGCUCAUAAGAAACAAGCUGCCUUGCGGGAAAUAUAUAAUUUUGUGCAAAUCAAAGAAGAGAGUCUCCCACAAUCUUGGGGGAGGCUUCUCCGGUUACUUAAUGCUUUGCCUGAUCAUCCUCUCAAGAAAAAUGAAAUACUUGAUAUCUUCUAUAAUGGACUAACCAAUGCUUCCAAGGACUACUUGGAUAGUUGUGCUGGUUGUGUUUUCAGGGAAAUGACAGUCGACGAAGCUGAAAUACUAUUGAAUAAUAUGUUGACUAAUGAAAAUAUUGGACUCUUCCUGAGCCAAUUCCUGAACCAAUUGAGCCAACUCCAGAGCCUAUUCCUAAACCUACUCCGAAGAAGCGAGGUGUUUUAUUUCUCAGUCCUGAAGAUAUGCAAGAGGCAAAGAAAUCAAUGAAAGAAAAAGGUAUUAAAGCUGAAGAUGUUAAGAAUUUACCACCUAUGGAAGAAAUACAUGGUCUUAAUAUACCGCCUGUUGAAGAACCAUAUUGUCUUGACAACCCGACACAGGUAGUAAAGGUAAAUUCUCUCUAUAGAUAUGAUAAAGUUGAAAUCCCCUCUACUAAAUUUCAUAGCCCAUGCUUAGAUGAAUUUGAUGACUUUAUGGCUAGACAAGAAAGUUUUAAUGCUUAUGUUGCUAGAGAGUUAAAGAAUAAUGCUUUCGAGAUAGGACGUGCAAACGAUAAUCUGGCUAGAGUUAAAGAUGAACUCAAACACGUUAGCAAAUUUGCUUCUAGGGUUGCUACUCAAGCUGAGCAAGUACUCAAAGCUCAAAAUGAUUUGCUUGAUGAAUUAAAUAAUAAAAAUGACUUUGUUGUUAGAGUGGCUACUAGAACUGGUAGAAUGACUCAGGAACCUUUGUAUCCUGAAGGCCACCCUAAGAGAAUCGAGCAAGAUUCUCAGGGAAAUAAUUUAGAGGCACCUAGUUCUUCUAAGAAGAAGAAAAAUAAAAACGAUAGAACUUUGCAUGCUUCUAGUGAACCUACUGUAGACACACAUGAGAAUCCCAAUGAUCUUUCUUUUUCUGAUGCUAAAACACAAUCGGGUGAUGAACAUGAACCUAGUGAUAAUGUUAAUGAUAAUGUUCAUGUUUAUGCUCAACCUAGCAAAAAAAUGUUGUAGAGAUUGAACCUGCUGUUGAUCUUGAUAACCCACAAUCAAAGAAUCAACGUUAUGAUAAGAGAGAUUUUGUUGCUAGGAAGCACAGUAAAGAAAGAGAACCAUGGGUUCAGAAACCCUUGCCCUUUCCUCCUAAACCAUCCAAGUCAAAGGAUGAUGAGGAUUUUGAGCGCUUUGCUAAAAUGAUUAGACCUAUUUUCUUACCUAUGCGCUUAACUGAUAUGCUGAAAGUAAAUCCUUAUGCUAAGUAUAUGAAGGAUAUCAUUACAAAUAAAAGAAAGAUACCGGAAGCUGAAAUUUCCACCAUGCUUGCUAAUUACACUUUUAAGGGUGGAAUACCAAAGAAACUUGGAGAUCCGGGUGUACCAACUAUACCAUGCUCCAUUAAAAUAAAUUAUGUUAGAAUUGGUUUAUGUGAUCUUGGAGGCGGUGUUAGUGUUAUGCCUCUCUCUUUAUAUCGUAGACUUGAAUUGAAUAAGUUGAGACCUACUGAAAUAUCUUUGGAAAUGGCUGAUAAAUCAACUGCUAUACCUGUCGGAACUUGUGAGGAUGUGCAUGUUGUGGUUGCAAAUGUCACUAUCUUAACGGACUUUAUCAUUCUUGAUAUUCCCGAGGACGAUAAUAUGUCGAUUAUCCUUGGUAGACCUUUUUUGAAUACCGUAGGGGCUGUUAUUGAUUGCAACAAAGGCAAUGUCACUUUUCAUGUUAAUGGUAAUGAGCAUACGGUACACUUUCCGAGGAAACAAUAUCAAGUUCAUAGCAUCAAUUCUAUUGGAAAAGCUCCAACUAUUACUAUUGGAGGUUUUGAGUUUCCUCUCCCUAGUGUCAAGAAAAAGUAUGAUAUUCUUAUUGUUGGGGAUUUUCAUAUCCCCGUUGAGGUAACUUAGUGUUAUUCGAAAUUUCUCCAGUUCCGUGUUAUUCGGAAUGAGUUUGUUAACAAUACUUGAUCAACCUUGUUAGUGGAUUCAUUUCAAUGAUCACAAGAUGGAUGAAACUAGAAGGCACAACCUUCUGCACCCACUUUUUACUUUCUGUUAUUUAGAAUAAAUAAAGAAAAAAUAGUAUUAUCUGUCUGUUGUCUGAAUUAUCCGUGCAUUAAAAAAUAGUCCGGAAAUAAAAGUGCUCCAAAUGCCCUGCAAAUUUAGUAUGAUUUUUUUCUGGAAUAUUUGAGGAUUUUAGGCACUGAAAAGACCGCAGGAGGGGCAAGCACCAGGCCACGAGAGUGGAGGCCCCCCCCUUUAGGGCGCGCCCCCUGUCUCAUGGGCCCCUGGUGGCCCCCCUCCAUUUACGCCAGCACCCACACACUUCCUCUUCUACCCAAAAAAAUCCCCAUCCAGCUCAAGCACGAGUUCUAGCUCAUUUUGCUGCGAUUUUCGAUCUCCUUGCUCAAAGCUCCUUUCACAAAACUGCUUUGGGAGAUUGUUGCUUGGUAUGUGACUCCUGCAUUGGUCCAGUUAGUUUUUGUUCUAGUGCUUUAUUCAUUGCAAAUUUUUGCUGCACAGGUGACCAUGUUCCUGAGCUUGCAUGUUAAAUUUAUGAGGUCCCAAGCAAUUCUAAUGCAUGAUAUAGGCUCUAGGCACUUGUAGGUGUAGUUGCUACCAAUCUUGUUUAGUUUUAUUCACUUUUAUUUUGAAGUUACUAAAAUUUCAGAAUUUUUUAGAAUAAGAAUUAUGCUUAGAAGAAUGUACCAAGGUGGUUCCUCGGCAAAGAAAGGGCCAGGGAUUGCUAUACGUGAGCAAGAUGUUGAAUUGCCAAGGGAUGCGGAUGUACGAGCUUGUGAGUGGCCAUCCAAUGAUUUUAUGGUCGAAGCAGGCUUCAAGGAGGAAUUUGACGCGUAUGUGCGUAAUGCCGAGCUGGAGGACUUCUUACAAGAUAAGUGUCCUCAGUACUAUCAAUUGACUGAUUCCUUUGUGCGGAGGUUCCAAUAUAACUGUGCGCGUAAUUCUCCUAGUGUCAUGUUUGAUAUUUAUGAUACAUCUUAUACCAUGGAUUUAGAGGAUUUCACAACUGCUUGCAAACUCCCGCAGUGGUGUAAUAUUAAUGAUCCUGGCAAAUCUGAAUUUAGAGAUUUUCUUGCUAGUAUUACUGUGGGAGAAUCUAGGGACAUAGCACAAGCUACAAUAGGGAGCAUUUAUUUUCCUGCUAUACAUUAUUUUGCUCUCUUUAUUGGUAGAUGCAUUAACGGUAAGGAUGAAGCAUGUCACAUGUGUGUCCCUGAUCUUUGUGUCCUCCAGAGUGCUGUGUCAGGUUAUAAAGGUUAUAACUUGGUGGUAAUAGUUGCACGUAGGUCGCAGAAUAAUAGAAGAAAGGGGGAUUUAUUUGGAGGAAUUUAUGCAACCCAUGUGGCUAAUUAUCUUAAUAUAGCCCCACGAGAGGGCGAUAUGAUUUUACCCCCAAUUUAUUUGGAUAAAGAAGCUAUGUUCAAUCAUCAAUUUCUUGCGAGGAAUGAACAAUUCCUCCAUUAUCGACUAAUCUAUGACAGACGCAACGUCGUCCCUGUUACUCUUCCUGCUUCCUACCUUUUUGAUUAUCAGGCAAAAGGAAGAUAUGUUGUCACCCGGGAGGAAGCAGCUGAACAUGAGAGGGGAGCGGAGGCAGCUCGCCAACACGCUGCUGCUCAGGAGGCGGUUGCCGCUGCAUCUCAGUAUGGCCCCGGUUUCACUUAUGGAUAUCAGCCAGGCGGUCCUUGGUACUAGACCAACUUAGGCCAAAAGCCUAAGCUUGGGGGAGUACGUAUUUCUCACCGACUUUACAUUCAUGUUCACACACUAGUCGUCGGUGCUCAUACUCUUUCAUUGUGUUAUCCAUGCUAGUUUAAAUUUCUUUUUCUAGUUUUCUUCCUGUGUGUUUGAUAAACUUUAAGAAAAAUCAAAAAAAUUAGUUAGUUUAAUUUCCAUGCUUGUAGUAGAAUUAAAAUAAAACCCAAAAAUAUCUCUAGUUCUUCUUCUUACUUGUUGGGAGCUUUCCCGUGUAAACACUUUUAUUUUCUUUUCUUUCUUUUGAGGGUCGAGAAGACCGUAUUGAAAAUGAUUAGUGGCUCUUAUAUGCAUGAUUGUUUAUUUAACAUAGAGCCCAUAUUACUUGUCUUAUCCUUUGAGUUGAAUGCUUGCAGAUUCCAGCUUAGCCCAAUGGACGUGCACACUUAUUAUUAUACACAUUGUUCGGUCAUGCAAGUGAAAGGUAAUAAUGACGAUAUAUGAUGGACUUAUUGGGAUGAGAAAAGCUAGUAUGAACUCGACCUCUCUUGUUUUUGUAAUUAUGACGAGUUCAUCGUUUCUGAUUCAGCUUAUUAUGAAGUAAACAUAUUUGCAAUGACAUUUAGAGAUUAUAGUUUAUUGUGUCAUGCUUGAUUAGCUAUGAGUUAUAAUGGUUUACCUUGCGUGCCAACAUGCUAUUAGAAUGAUUAUGAUGUGGUAUGAUGGGAUCGUAUCCUCCUUUGAAUGAAUUGAGUGACUCGACUUGGCACAUGUUCACGCAUGUAGUUGAAUCAAAUCAACAUAGCCUUCACGAUAUUUAUGUUCAUGGUGGAUUAUAUCCUACUCAUGCUUGUAUUCGGUGUAAAUUAAUUUUAAUGCAUGUUUACGACUGUUGUCGCUCUCUCAGUUGGUCGCUUCCCAGUCUUUUGCUAGCCUUCACCUGUACUAAGCGGGAAUACUGCUUGUGCAUCCAAACUCCUUAAACCCCAAAGUUGUUCCAUAUGAGUCCACUAUACCUUCCUAUAUGCGGUAUUUACCUGCUGAGGGAGUCCUGGACUAGGGGGUGUCCGGAUAGCCGGACUAUCAUCAUCGGCCGGACUCCAAGACUAUGAAGAUACAAGAUUGAAGACUUCGUCCCGUGUCCGGAUGGGACUUUCCUUGGCGUGGAAGGCAAGCUUGGCAAUACGGAUAUGUAGAUCUCCUACCAUUGUAACUGACUCUGUGUAACCCUAGCCCUCUCCGGUGUCUAUAUAAACCGGAGGGUUUUAGCCCAUAGGACGAACAACCAUUACAACAAUCAUACCAUAGGCUAGCUUCUAGGGUUUAGCCUCCUCGAUCUCGUGGUAGAUCUACUCUUGUACUACCCAUAUCAUCAAUAUUAAUCAAGCAGGAGUAGGGUUUUACCUCCAUCGAGAGGGCCCGAACCUGGGUAAAAACAUCGUGUCCCUUGUCUCCUGUUACCAUCCGCCUAGACGCACAGUUCGGGACCCUCUACCCGAGAUCCGCCGGUUUUGACACCGCAUUGGUGCUUUUACUGAGAGUUCCUCUGUGCCGUCAUGAUCAGGAAGGAUGCCUAUUCCCGUCUUUAGAGACGGUAUCAUCGCCAAAGGAGCCUUGGCCGCCGGCCAAACUAUCCGGCUAGGUGGUUUUCUCAUGACCGCCUGUUCGGCCACCGCUCCAACGAUGACCUCUCGGGUCAUCAAAGGCAAUCUUCACGUCAACUCGGAAUUCGCCGAGCAGCUGGAUCCAAUAGAGCUCUCGUCCGUAAACGAGCUCUUGGAUCGCAUCGCCGCCCUGGGAGUCGCUACAGACUACAAUCAAAUUGGGCUUAAAACCGAUCUGAGAGAGAUUAACUCUCCCCAGGUUACCCACCACGUUGCGGUGGUAGAGGAACAAAGCGGCGACUCUUCUUCUGUACUAAAAACUAGUUAUGUCCGGACUCCCGAACCCUCCAUGCCGGAUUCCCUCGGAGGGACGGACAUCGAUCAAGCACUGAACCUAAAGUCAAGCAUCGGACCAGACUCGUUGGACAACGUCCAGCAAUCCAUGCUUCCAAAUUCGGAAACUUUUCGGCCCUUGAGCCUCGAGAUGGGCAGGGUUCCGGACUCAAUUCCACCCACCCACCCAAACAUAUGCGAUCUAUCUCAAAACCGGCAAGAGCCCGCCGAAACAGUACAUCAUUACUGGGCCAGAUUCCUCCUGGUUAUGGACAGGAUAAAAGACUGCAGUGAGGAAAACGCAAUUUCAAUUUUCUGCAAUAAUUGCACGGACAAGGGAAUCUUGAACGCCGUAAGUCGUCGUGAAAUUACACGCUUCGCCGACCUGGCGUCCAUAGUACGAAAGUACUGUGCGAUGGAGAGUUUCCGGAAAACCAAAACUAAGUUUUGGGACAAUCCGGCUCCGAAUACAACCCUAGUCCGAAACAAAAGGGUGCAUCAUGCUCAGGCACCAGGUAAAAAAACCAAAAAGCAAAAACCCCAUAAAGGGCACGGAACCGUACUGGAGGGAUGGCUCAGCGGACCCUGUAAAAUUCAAAGUACUGAUGGUGCCACUCCAACACAUAGCCUUCGAGCAUGUUGGAUACUGCGGCAGGUGGCCAAAAGUGGCGAAGAGCUUCUAGCCCCCGAGAACCACUCCAGCAGUACCAGUACGGUGUCAACAGUCUUCGAGACUUUCGCAUCAAAUAAUAUGCGGAAACGAACAAUCCGCAGCCUCGCCGAAGUCUACCAAGUAGCAACAACAAAUCCAUGGAGCGACACGGCCAUCACCUUUACCGCCAGCGAUGAACCUAAAUUCCGAACAGCCCGACCACCAGCCGCAUUGGUCCUCAGUCCAAUAGUGGACGACUUUCGUCUUACCAAGGUACUCAUGGAUGGCGGCAGGGGAUUAAACCUCAUCUACGAGGAAACCCUUCAAAAAAUGGAAAUAGACUAGAGCCGCAUUGAGCGAAGCAGCACAACCUUUAGAGGAAUAAUCCCUAGCCGGGAAGCACGCUGCACAAGAAAAAUCACACUUGAUGUGGUGUUCGGCUCGCCGGACAAUUACAGGUCCGAGGAGGUCAUGUUCCAAGUGGCCCCGUUCAGCAGCGGAUAUCACGCUAUAUUAGGACGAGAGGCAUUCACAAUUUUUCAAGCCAUACCCCAUUACGGGUACAUGAAGCUUAAGAUGCCCGGGCCCAGUGGAAUAAUCACUCUUGUCAGUGAUCCGGACACAGCACUCCGCGCCGAAAACAAGAUAGCCGCACUAGCCCUAGAGGCACUAUCCGAAGCCUUAGCAGCAGAGGAGCUCACGGCGCUGCGCUCCACGGUGAACAGGGAUGAUGUGAUACUCAAUAAGAGGUCCAAGUCCACCUCUUUUAAACCAGCGGACGAAAUAGUAAAAUUCUAGGUCCAUCCAACAGACCCAACAAAGACGGCCUCCAUUGGGGCACAGUUAAACCCUGAUGUAGAUGCGGCACUACGAGAAUUCCUUCAGGAGAAUUGGGACAUCUUCGCCUGGCACCCUUCAGAUAUGCCAGGAAUCCCAUGCAGAUUGGCAGAACACAGCCUAAACAUCCUAAAAGGAUUCAAGCCAGUCAAACAGGCUCUUCGGCGAUUUUCCAAACCCAAAAGACAGGCAAUGGGAGAGGAGCUAGCCAAACUAUUGGAAGCCGGAUUCAUCAGAGACAUCAAACAUCCGGACUGGCUAGCAAACCUGGUAAUGUGUGACGCCCCCGAUUUAAUCGUACACUAAUCAUGCACGCAAAUGUGUACGAUCAAGAUCAGGGACUCACGGGAAGAUAUCACAACACAACUCUACAAAUAAAAUAAGUCAUACAAGCAUCAUAAUACAAGCCAGGGGCCUCGAGGGCUCGAAUACAAGUGCUCGAUCAUAGACGAGUCAGCGGAAGCAACAAUAUCUGAGUACAGACAUAAGUUAAACAAGUUGCCAUAAGAUGGCUAGCACAAACUGGGAUACAGAUCGAAAGAGGCGCAGGCCUCCUGCCUGGGAUCCUCCUAACUACUCCUGGUCGUCAUCAGCGGGCAGCACGUAGUAGUAGGCACCUCCGGUGUAGUAGGGGUCGUCGUCGACGGUGGCGUCUGGCUCCUGGACUCCAGCAUCUGGUUGCGACAACCAGAAAGAAAGGAAAAUGGGAAAAAGGGGGGAGAAAGCAACCGUGAGUACUCAUCCAAAGUACUCGCAAGCAAGGAACUACACUACAAAUGCAUGGGUAUAUGUGUAAGGAGGCCAUAUCAGUGGACUGAACUGCAGAAUGCCAGAAUAAGAGGGGGAUAACUAAUCCUGUCGAAGACUACGCUUCUGGCAGCCUCCGUCUUGCAGCAUGUAGAAUAAAGUAGAUUGAAGUCCUCCAAGUAGCAUCUCCAAGUAGCAUCUCGAGUAGCAUAAUCCUACCCGGCGAUCCUCUCCUCGUCGCCCUGCGGAAAAGCGAUCACCGGGUUGUCUGUGGAACUUGGAAGGGUGUGUUUUAUUAAGUAUCCGGUUCUAGUUGUCAUAAGGUCAAGGUACAACUCCAAGUCGUCCUGUUACCGAAGAUCACGGCUAUUCGAAUAGAUUAACUUCCCUGCAGGGGUGCACCACAUAGCCCAACACGCUUGAUCCCAUUUGGCCGGACACACUUUCCUGGGUCAUGCCCGGCCUCGGAAGAUCAACACGUNNNNNNNNNNNNNNNNNNNNNNNNNNNNNNNNNNNNNNNNNNNNNNNNNNNNNNNNNNNNNNNNNNNNNNNNNNNNNNNNNNNNNNNNNNNNNNNNNNNNNNNNNNNNNNNNNNNNNNNNNNNNNNNNNNNNNNNNNNNNNNNNNNNNNNNNNNNNNNNNNNNNNNNNNNNNNNNNNNNNNNNNNNNNNNNNNNNNNNNNNNNNNNNNNNNNNNNNNNNNNNNNNNNNNNNNNNNNNNNNNNNNNNNNNNNNNNNNNNNNNNNNNNNNNNNNNNNNNNNNNNNNNNNNNNNNNNNNNNNNNNNNNNNNNNNNNNNNNNNNNNNNNNNNNNNNNNNNNNNNNNNNNNNNNNNNNNNNNNNNNNNNNNNNNNNNNNNNNNNNNNNNNNNNNNNNNNNNNNNNNNNNNNNNNNNNNNNNNNNNNNNNNNNNNNNNNNNNNNNNNNNNNNNNNNNNNNNNNNNNNNNNNNNNNNNNNNNNNNNNNNNNNNNNNNNNNNNNNNNNNNNNNNNNNNNNNNNNNNNNNNNNNNNNNNNNNNNNNNNNNNNNNNNNNNNNNNNNNNNNNNNNNNNNNNNNNNNNNNNNNNNNNNNNNNNNNNNNNNNNNNNNNNNNNNNNNNNNNNNNNNNNNNNNNNNNNNNNNNNNNNNNNNNNNNNNNNNNNNNNNNNNNNNNNNNNNNNNNNNNNNNNNNNNNNNNNNNNNNNNNNNNNNNNNNNNNNNNNNNNNNNNNNNNNNNNNNNNNNNNNNNNNNNNNNNNNNNNNNNNNNNNNNNNNNNNNNNNNNNNNNNNNNNNNNNNNNNNNNNNNNNNNNNNNNNNNNNNNNNNNNNNNNNNNNNNNNNNNNNNNNNNNNNNNNNNNNNNNNNNNNNNNNNNNNNNNNNNNNNNNNNNNNNNNNNNNNNNNNNNNNNNNNNNNNNNNNNNNNNNNNNNNNNNNNNNNNNNNNNNNNNNNNNNNNNNNNNNNNNNNNNNNNNNNNNNNNNNNNNNNNNNNNNNNNNNNNNNNNNNNNNNNNNNNNNNNNNNNNNNNNNNNNNNNNNNNNNNNNNNNNNNNNNNNNNNNNNNNNNNNNNNNNNNNNNNNNNNNNNNNNNNNNNNNNNNNNNNNNNNNNNNNNNNNNNNNNNNNNNNNNNNNNNNNNNNNNNNNNNNNNNNNNNNNNNNNNNNNNNNNNNNNNNNNNNNNNNNNNNNNNNNNNNNNNNNNNNNNNNNNNNNNNNNNNNNNNNNNNNNNNNNNNNNNNNNNNNNNNNNNNNNNNNNNNNNNNNNNNNNNNNNNNNNNNNNNNNNNNNNNNNNNNNNNNNNNNNNNNNNNNNNNNNNNNNNNNNNNNNNNNNNNNNNNNNNNNNNNNNNNNNNNNNNNNNNNNNNNNNNNNNNNNNNNNNNNNNNNNNNNNNNNNNNNNNNNNNNNNNNNNNNNNNNNNNNNNNNNNNNNNNNNNNNNNNNNNNNNNNNNNNNNNNNNNNNNNNNNNNNNNNNNNNNNNNNNNNNNNNNNNNNNNNNNNNNNNNNNNNNNNNNNNNNNNNNNNNNNNNNNNNNNNNNNNNNNNNNNNNNNNNNNNNNNNNNNNNNNNNNNNNNNNNNNNNNNNNNNNNNNNNNNNNNNNNNNNNNNNNNNNNNNNNNNNNNNNNNNNNNNNNNNNNNNNNNNNNNNNNNNNNNNNNNNNNNNNNNNNNNNNNNNNNNNNNNNNNNNNNNNNNNNNNNNNNNNNNNNNNNNNNNNNNNNNNNNNNNNNNNNNNNNNNNNNNNNNNNNNNNNNNNNNNNNNNNNNNNNNNNNNNNNNNNNNNNNNNNNNNNNNNNNNNNNNNNNNNNNNNNNNNNNNNNNNNNNNNNNNNNNNNNNNNNNNNNNNNNNNNNNNNNNNNNNNNNNNNNNNNNNNNNNNNNNNNNNNNNNNNNNNNNNNNNNNNNNNNNNNNNNNNNNNNNNNNNNNNNNNNNNNNNNNNNNNNNNNNNNNNNNNNNNNNNNNNNNNNNNNNNNNNNNNNNNNNNNNNNNNNNNNNNNNNNNNNNNNNNNNNNNNNNNNNNNNNNNNNNNNNNNNNNNNNNNNNNNNNNNNNNNNNNNNNNNNNNNNNNNNNNNNNNNNNNNNNNNNNNNNNNNNNNNNNNNNNNNNNNNNNNNNNNNNNNNNNNNNNNNNNNNNNNNNNNNNNNNNNNNNNNNNNNNNNNNNNNNNNNNNNNNNNNNNNNNNNNNNNNNNNNNNNNNNNNNNNNNNNNNNNNNNNNNNNNNNNNNNNNNNNNNNNNNNNNNNNNNNNNNNNNNNNNNNNNNNNNNNNNNNNNNNNNNNNNNNNNNNNNNNNNNNNNNNNNNNNNNNNNNNNNNNNNNNNNNNNNNNNNNNNNNNNNNNNNNNNNNNNNNNNNNNNNNNNNNNNNNNNNNNNNNNNNNNNNNNNNNNNNNNNNNNNNNNNNNNNNNNNNNNNNNNNNNNNNNNNNNNNNNNNNNNNNNNNNNNNNNNNNNNNNNNNNNNNNNNNNNNNNNNNNNNNNNNNNNNNNNNNNNNNNNNNNNNNNNNNNNNNNNNNNNNNNNNNNNNNNNNNNNNNNNNNNNNNNNNNNNNNNNNNNNNNNNNNNNNNNNNNNNNNNNNNNNNNNNNNNNNNNNNNNNNNNNNNNNNNNNNNNNNNNNNNNNNNNNNNNNNNNNNNNNNNNNNNNNNNNNNNNNNNNNNNNNNNNNNNNNNNNNNNNNNNNNNNNNNNNNNNNNNNNNNNNNNNNNNNNNNGCUGCCCCGAUCCGAUCGGGGAAAGGGAGAGCGGCGUGGGGCGGGGAAGUGGGGAUCGAUCCCGAUCCAGAUCGGAUCGGGAGAGGGGGGGGGUGGGAGCGAGUGGGGAAUGGUUAGGGUUUCGGGUGUCGUGGGGGGGGGGCAUGUGUAGGCCAGGGGUGGGUGUGGGCCGGCCUGGCAGGCCACUGGUUGGGCCGAGGCCCAGUUGGCCUGGGGGAUUUUCUUUCCCCCCCCCUUUUUUUUUGUUAGUUUUCUUUUCUGGUUUUGUGUUUUCUUUUCUGGUUUUUAUUUUCUUUUAAUUUCUGUUUUACAAAAUAUAAAUACAACUCCUAAUUUAAUGUUAUAAUUUAUUCUACUGCCCCAAAAGUUUGACACCUAAUUAAAACAGUUUGCAUUAUUAUUAUUUUUAAAAGGCAUUUAAUUAAUUGUUAUAGCUGCUAUUUUAAUUAGUUUAGAGCCUAUAAACAUUUUAUAAAAUUUGUGGUUUCUCCACCAUAAUUACCGCUGCAUUAUUUAGUUCACUCCGAACAUUUUAGUUUUAAAGUUUGAAAACUUUUGUUGUUUGCCUAUGUUUUAAAUUUGAAUUUGAAUCGGGUUCGAAUCAACGUGAGUUUAAUCACAGUAAUGGAGGUGACGUGGCAUCAUUAGCUUGGGAUUACUGUAGUCUAAUUAUCCGGGCGUCACAAUUCUCCUCCACUACAAGAAAUCUCGUCCCGAGAUUUAGGAUCGGUUAUAAGGGGGAAGGGGUCUGGUUACGAAAUUCUAACGAUUCUUCUCAGUCUUGGUUGCUCUUCUCGAAGAGGUCGACCCAUUAUAUUGAUGUCUUCAUUUCUCCGCUUUAGGUCAUCAUGAUGAAGUCGGCAUCCUUUCUUCAGGAUCUUCAUCGUAUUUACGAAUAGGUAACGAGGCAUAUUGGCAACGAUAGUAUGUUAUAAGGGUAAUGAUCUGGGAUUAACCCAUGAAUGAGCAUAUGAGUACCUCUCGAGUUGAACAAAUAAACACUUCGAGGGUAAAGUUGGAAGGUACAAUAAGAAGUUUCAGGCAGACAGGCAAUCGUUCAAUGCCUAGUCAGAAGGUGAAAGUGGUUUUAAAACCACGGAAUAAUUAUUGUGUCUGAAGCCAGAAUUGACGAUCUCAUCGGAAGGUGGCUCAUGAAUUACAUACGAGCCCACGCGGGAGGAAUAACUUUGGAAACAGGGGGUGUACAGGAGAGUCAGGUUUCGAUCCUGUGGAACUGUGGGUUAUAGGCCCACCAUGUGGUUUUUUUUUUGUAAUAGGAGCAGUGACAUCUUUCACGGUCAUGAUAGCAAGGCAUGUCAGAGAGUACCAAGCCAGUUAUGUCGGCAACAACGUUGGUACCAAGGGCGAGGGACGAAGAGAACCAUUUUCCUGCUCGUUGAAACGAGGCGGACCAAUAGGCAAGGUUCCCGUCCAUCGGUGGUUACCGGAAUGUCAUCAACAAUAGUAACAAGGUCUUACUGACAGAGUUGUACAUCGAGGUGUUUGCACAAGCAGUGGAUUAUUACUGCUUAUAUCAUAUAGAUCAUAGAAAAGGUUUAACAAACCAAUGGAAGGAAAAUAUGAUCAUCAGAUUAAACAGAACAAUGGAAAGGAAAAUAUGUUUAAACACAUAUUUCGAGGGUAUAUCCUUCCCAAGGACAAGCAGAGCAAGAUAUCCAUGACAGGAUAUAAAGUAGAAAACCAUUUAGGUAAGGGGGGAGGAAUCUCAUGAUAUUACUCAUACAACGGUGUUAGGAUAAUUGAUAAUUAACAUUUAGCAUCAUGCUUCAAAUGUUCCUGUUGAAAAUCGGAGUACCAUUGACAUGCUUCGAGAUAGCAGUGACAUGGUCUUCAGGUGAAGAUCAGACUUUGGAAACACGAAGGAUCCAUCAGGAAUAACUUGUAGAUUAAGUCUUACAAUUUCCUCAUGGAUGAACGGAUAACCUUGCUGAAAAGGAAUCUAUAAUGAUAGGUCCUCCAGCCAGGGGGGGGGUGCUAGGCAUGACAUCAUGUUACCGGGUCAUCAACGGAUCAACAUCAUAACUCUUGGAAAAAAUGUUCCAACCAUCAUAUCUGACCGAGAUUCAGAUCCGAUUGGUGUCAGGAUACCUGAGACUCAGGAUGUCCGAGAAGAAAAGGCGCAACACAAAUCGUUGAAAUGGCAUUGCAAGCUUCUCGGGAAAUGAACUAUGGGAGCGGUUUUCUGAAGCAAUAGUUCACCAUUAAACCAGGGAGAGGACAAGGAGGUGUCUGGUGAACUCAACGGCAGUUCACCGAGAUUCCCAAAAGAUGGAUUUCCACCAUUAAGUGAACAAGGAGAUAACAUUUGUCAGAUCAACUGAUAUAAGGAAGUAUGCUCGAGGAAAACAUACACAAUUAAACAUUGGUUGAAAUGUGCGCCCGAAAUAUGGGUUGGGUUGCACGACCAAUGUUAGAAUGGUGAUUCAAUCAGCGAAGGACUUAGAAUGAACUAUCGCCCAUUCACUUCAAAGCAAUAGGGUUGUUAGAAGUUUUGAAUUCACACGUCAUAGCUCCAUUGUCGGUAUUCCGGUUGAAAACAAUACGGGGACCAAGGAAUGAACGAAGAUGGCAAGAAGUAUUAUGAUAUCAAGAAUUAUUAAGAGGUGGUGAAAUUCUCACCACAUUCCUGACAAAAGAGAUGGUAAUACUUCCGAGGUAAGGAAGAUCAACUGCUGGGUAGCAGUGAUCUCAAGGUUUACACCAAACACGAACAAGUUGUGUUGAACGGAAGGCAAUAAAGUGGUCGAUGAGAACAGGAAUCAUCGAGGGGCAAGGAUGGUAUUACCCAUCAUGAAUUCAAUUGAAUUCCUGGAAGAGCUCAUAAGGUUGAUGAUGAUCACGACACAAUCGUCGAGAGAAUUUCAUGCAGAUGUAGUCAAUCAGCGACGACAUCCAGUCAAAGGAAUGAUGAAGCAAGAGGUUAUUGGAACCACACUUACGACACGAACUCGCACUCAAGCUUGUUGUUUAAGGCGAAAUGAUAUGACGAUGAGGAUCGACGUAAGGUUAGUUCAUCGUCGAAAAUUGUGCUCCGAGAAGAAGGGUCGGGUAACACAGUUAAAAUCAUCACGAUAAAGAUAUAGCCAAACAGGCUAGGAAUGAUGGGAAGGAAUAUUAAACUCAUAAGCAACGAAAAUUACUUAGGGUUAUCGAACCGAAAUGUGGAAUCGGUGUUCUCGAUUGACGACAACCCAGAACCCGAGAAAAUUGGAAUCAGUGAGAAUUAAUAGUUGAUGAAGAACCCAUAAUAAGUUAUGCAGUUCCAUGAUAUUCUUAAGAUACCAGAGCUUAAUACUCAACAGUAGAGCAAAGUAAAGGUUGGACAGGUGCGAUGAUCUGCAGAAGACAAGUACUUCAACUUGUCCAAGAAACGGUAUUAAAAAGGAGAACGUGGCCGGGACCACGAUUGUAAAAGGCCAUACCCCAGAUAUAAGAUGAACUUAUGUCAAGGGAAUAAUUAAUUUUUAAAAGAAGCUUCGAUGAGAAGAUGUACAUCGGGUCCAUGGGCAUGAACACAAAGUUCAAGGUCGACUCCCACUUCCUCAAUGCAUAAUCUUCCAUUCACCUCUCGUAUUUCGAAGAUGACAUUAGUUGUUGAAAGCUUUACCUGGUGCAAUACCAGAUAAGUAUGACUCGUGAAAACUUUCGGGUUCACACAUACUAAUGAAGGCAUAGGUUCAACCCAUCGGGGCAUCUUAGAAUCAUAUACCAGAAUCUUUAGAAAUAAUUAACUCAAGCUCGAAGGCAGAGUAUGGUUGAGAAGCAGAGGAUACAAUUUACCAAAGGCAUUAUGUAUCAGAGGAAAGGCUCACAAGGUUAUUGAAUAUGAAGGGCGUUGUCAGAUAAAAUCCAACAAAGGAACCGAUGGUCCACAACGGAGCUGGUGUGGGUAUCGGUACUCUAUCAAAGGAAGAAGGAAUGCAAGUGCACCGGAUUAUAGAAACAACUGACUAACUCAAUUGUCAAAUGCAAAGGAAUUAUGAUUCCCAAAUCAAGGGACCAGAAGCAAUGCUCGGAUUAGGGGUGGAUAAGUUGAAUAGCCUUAGGGUACAAUCAAAGACAAUUCGAUUGGUCGAGAACCAAUUCUAGUUAAAAGAAUGGCAGCUUAGCCGGAGAAGUAAUUUAUAAGGAUCAAUGAUGUUUGCGGGUAUUCGCAAACAUAUUGAGUCAACAGACUCAAAAUGAUAAUGACAAGGAAUGUCAUUAAGACUACGAGACUUAUGGGAUUAACCAUAAUGCAAGCAAGCAAGAAUUUCAAGAGCCAAAGGCUCCAGAGGAUUUUUGGAAGAUCGAAUAUUAUUUUGAAGACUUUUGUGUAACACAUGAACAUCAGGGGAUGAGCGGAUACUCGACAAGUGCGAGUAUUUAUUUGAGGGGGUAUUCAUGUAGUAAGGAACUGCUAGGCAGUAGGCACAAAGUAUUCUCGGAUCAAUAGAGAAAACUUCGGGGUAUCUUGUAAUAACAAGAUCACUGGGCGAUGAUCGUAUGAAUGGCAAGUGUAAGUAGUUAUCCAUACGGAUUUAUCGGUGGCCAGGAAUAGCAAAAGUGAUGGGCACAAAGUCUCGAGAGGAUAUCAAAGAGUAUCUCCGAAUUCUUCUGAUUAGCAGACGAUCAUCUGAAGUGAGGGGCUCUUCGGGAGAAAGUACUCGCGAGAACCUAAAGUUAGUUUUGUUAUUAGCAAAAUCGUUUAACCCGAAUAGAAGAGAGUUCAGAAUCCCAGAGUAAAGGUCGAGGAGUAAAAGAUCCUACUACCACCCAAUGGCGACGUGGGCCCAUGGGCCGCACAGCCAUGUUAGUAAAAGUUUUGUAAAGUCUAGACUCGACUUCGGCCAAGGAGUUGGAAGGGGGAUUCCUACAGGCAGUCGGCUCUGAUACCAACUUGUGACGCCCCCGAUUUAAUCGUACACUAAUCAUGCACGCAAAUGUGUACGAUCAAGAUCAGGGACUCACGGGAAGAUAUCACAACACAACUCUACAAAUAAAAUAAGUCAUACAAGCAUCAUAAUACAAGCCAGGGGCCUCGAGGGCUCGAAUACAAGUGCUCGAUCAUAGACGAGUCAGCGGAAGCAACAAUAUCUGAGUACAGACAUAAGUUAAACAAGUUGCCAUAAGAUGGCUAGCACAAACUGGGAUACAGAUCGAAAGAGGCGCAGGCCUCCUGCCUGGGAUCCUCCUAACUACUCCUGGUCGUCAUCAGCGGGCAGCACGUAGUAGUAGGCACCUCCGGUGUAGUAGGGGUCGUCGUCGACGGUGGCGUCUGGCUCCUGGACUCCAGCAUCUGGUUGCGACAACCAGAAAGAAAGGAAAAUGGGAAAAAGGGGGGAGAAAGCAACCGUGAGUACUCAUCCAAAGUACUCGCAAGCAAGGAACUACACUACAAAUGCAUGGGUAUAUGUGUAAGGAGGCCAUAUCAGUGGACUGAACUGCAGAAUGCCAGAAUAAGAGGGGGAUAACUAAUCCUGUCGAAGACUACGCUUCUGGCAGCCUCCGUCUUGCAGCAUGUAGAAUAAAGUAGAUUGAAGUCCUCCAAGUAGCAUCUCCAAGUAGCAUCUCGAGUAGCAUAAUCCUACCCGGCGAUCCUCUCCUCGUCGCCCUGCGGAAAAGCGAUCACCGGGUUGUCUGUGGAACUUGGAAGGGUGUGUUUUAUUAAGUAUCCGGUUCUAGUUGUCAUAAGGUCAAGGUACAACUCCAAGUCGUCCUGUUACCGAAGAUCACGGCUAUUCGAAUAGAUUAACUUCCCUGCAGGGGUGCACCACAUAGCCCAACACGCUUGAUCCCAUUUGGCCGGACACACUUUCCUGGGUCAUGCCCGGCCUCGGAAGAUCAACACGUCGCAGCCCCACCUAGGCAAAACAGAGAGGCCAGCACGCCGGUCUAAACCUAAGCGCGCAGGGGUCUGGGCCCAUCGCCCUGAGCACACCUGCACGUUGCGUACGCGGCCGGUGAGCAUACCUAGCAACCUCCAUUACAAAGGAAGUUGCGUUAAUGCAGUCCAACCCGGCGCGCGCCGCUCCGUCGCUGACGUCUGAAGUGCUUCGGCUGAUACCACGACGUCGGGAUACCCAUAACUACUCCCACGUAGAUGGUUAGUGCGUAUAGGCUCGUAGCCAGACUCAGAUCAAAUACCAAGAUCUCGUUAAGCGUGUUAAGUAUCCGCGAACGUCGAACAGGGCCAGGCCCACCUGUCUCCUAGGUGGUCUCAACCUGCCCUGUCGCUCCGCCACAAAGUAACCGUCGGGGACCGUCGGGAACCCAGGCCCACCUCUACCGGGAUGGAGCCACCUGCCCCUUCAGCCCCCAACUCCGAACAGUAUCACCAGUAACGUAUCAGUGUAAAGUAUAUAGUAUAUGCCCGUGAUCACCUCCCGAAGUGGUCACAGCCCAGUAGUAUAGCAAGGCAGACUGACAAGAAUGUAGGGCCAAUGAUGAUAAACUAGCAUCCUAUACUAAGCAUUUAGGAUUGCAGGUAAGGUAUCAACAGAUGUAGCGACAAUGUCAGGCUAUGCAUCAGAAUAGGAUUAACGAAAGCAGUAACAUGCUACACUACUCUAAUGCAAGCAGUAUAGAGGAGAAUAGGCGAUAUCUGGUGAUCAAGGGGGGGGGGCUUGCCUGGUUGCUCUGGCAAGAGAGAGGGGUCGUCAACUCCGUAGUCGAACUGGGCAGCAGCAGCGUCGGUCUCGUAGUCUACCGGAGAGAAGAGGGGGAAGAAAUAAUGAAUACAGAGCAAACAAGCAUCACAAAAUAUAACAAGGCAAUCCGCGGUGUUCGGUAUGCCCUAACGCGGUAGUAAGUGAUACCGACGAAAGGGGGAAACAUCUGGGAAAGUAUUCCCGGUGUUUCGUGUUUUCGGGUAGAGGAGCCGGAGGGGGAAAGUUGCGGGUUCGAUAGGUUAGGGGGGUGUGGCGGACGAACGGACUGCGUAUCCGGAAUCGUCUCGUCGUUCUGAGCAACUUUCAUGUUGAAAUUAUUUUAAUCCGGAUUACGGAUUAAAAGAUAUGAUUUAUAAAAGAUUUUAUUAAUUUCUGGAAUUUUAAUUAAUUAUUUAAUUAAUUUCGAAAUUGCAUUUAUGACAUCAGCAUGAUGUCAUGCUGACAUCAUCAGUCAACAGGGUUGACUAAGUCAACCCGGACAGGUGGGUCCCGCAUGUCAUUGACUGUUAACUAACCUAAUAGAUUAAUUAACUAACUAGGUGAUUAGGUUAAUCUAAUCAGGAUCAAUUAAGUUAAUUAUUUCUUUAAUUAAUUAACUAAUUAAUAUUUUAAUUAUUUUAAUUAAUUAUUUAUUUAUUUUAUUAAAUCUUUUUUUUUUAAUUUUCGUUAUAGGGCGUGGGACCCGUUUGUCAUGGGCCCAGAGGGGCCUUAGCGGGUCGUGUGGGCAGGUAGGUCUCGGGCGACGGGCGGGCGCUGGUUGCGGGCGCUCGUGCCCGAGGGAGCGUGGCGGUGCAAGGCCACCGGGGCACGGCGGCAGAUCAAGGCCGCGGCGCAGCAACGGUUGAGGCGGGACGGCGCGGUAGUAGCGGCCAGGGGGAGCGGCGGGCACCCGCGGCAAGCUGCGCGGGGCCGACGAGCUAGGCGAGCAGCGGGGGACGAGGCCGCGUCGGNNNNNNNNNNNNNNNNNNNNNNNNNNNNNNNNNNNNNNNNNNNNNNNNNNNNNNNNNNNNNNNNNNNNNNNNNNNNNNNNNNNNNNNNNNNNNNNNNNNNNNNNNNNNNNNNNNNNNNNNNNNNNNNNNNNNNNNNNNNNNNNNNNNNNNNNNNNNNNNNNNNNNNNNNNNNNNNNNNNNNNNNNNNNNNNNNNNNNNNNNNNNNNNNNNNNNNNNNNNNNNNNNNNNNNNNNNNNNNNNNNNNNNNNNNNNNNNNNNNNNNNNNNNNNNNNNNNNNNNNNNNNNNNNNNNNNNNNNNNNNNNNNNNNNNNNNNNNNNNNNNNNNNNNNNNNNNNNNNNNNNNNNNNNNNNNNNNNNNNNNNNNNNNNNNNNNNNNNNNNNNNNNNNNNNNNNNNNNNNNNNNNNNNNNNNNNNNNNNNNNNNNNNNNNNNNNNNNNNNNNNNNNNNNNNNNNNNNNNNNNNNNNNNNNNNNNNNNNNNNNNNNNNNNNNNNNNNNNNNNNNNNNNNNNNNNNNNNNNNNNNNNNNNNNNNNNNNNNNNNNNNNNNNNNNNNNNNNNNNNNNNNNNNNNNNNNNNNNNNNNNNNNNNNNNNNNNNNNNNNNNNNNNNNNNNNNNNNNNNNNNNNNNNNNNNNNNNNNNNNNNNNNNNNNNNNNNNNNNNNNNNNNNNNNNNNNNNNNNNNNNNNNNNNNNNNNNNNNNNNNNNNNNNNNNNNNNNNNNNNNNNNNNNNNNNNNNNNNNNNNNNNNNNNNNNNNNNNNNNNNNNNNNNNNNNNNNNNNNNNNNNNNNNNNNNNNNNNNNNNNNNNNNNNNNNNNNNNNNNNNNNUUUUUUUUGUUAGUUUUCUUUUCUGGUUUUGUGUUUUCUUUUCUGGUUUUUAUUUUCUUUUAAUUUCUGUUUUACAAAAUAUAAAUACAACUCCUAAUUUAAUGUUAUAAUUUAUUCUACUGCCCCAAAAGUUUGACACCUAAUUAAAACAGUUUGCAUUAUUAUUAUUUUUAAAAGGCAUUUAAUUAAUUGUUAUAGCUGCUAUUUUAAUUAGUUUAGAGCCUAUAAACAUUUUAUAAAAUUUGUGGUUUCUCCACCAUAAUUACCGCUGCAUUAUUUAGUUCACUCCGAACAUUUUAGUUUUAAAGUUUGAAAACUUUUGUUGUUUGCCUAUGUUUUAAAUUUGAAUUUGAAUCGGGUUCGAAUCAACGUGAGUUUAAUCACAGUAAUGGAGGUGACGUGGCAUCAUUAGCUUGGGAUUACUGUAGUCUAAUUAUCCGGGCGUCACAUAAUGGUACCAAAGAAGGACAAAUCCUGGCGCCUAUGUGUCGAUUUUAAAGACCUCAACAAGGCUUGUCCAAAGGAUCCUUUCCCCCUUCCCCGCAUCGAUCAAAUAAUCGAUGCUACUGUAGGGCACGAUUCAUUGUGCUUCCUCGACGCAUACUCCGGCUACCAUCAAAUCAAGAUGGUGGAGGCGGACCAAGCCGCAACGGCAUUCAUUACUCCAUAUGGACCAUUCUGCUUCAACACGAUGCCCUUCGAACUCAAAAACACCGGCGCAACAUAUCAGCGCAUGAUUCAGACAUGUCUGGCUACCCAGAUCGGCAAAACAAUAGAGGCAUACGUAGACGGCGUGGUCGUCAAGACCAAACACGUCAAAACUCUAGUAGACUAUUUGAGGCUCACAUUCGAUAACCUCCGAGCAUAUGACAUAAAGCUGAACCCAGAAAAAUGCGUUUUCGGCGUACCAGCCGGAAAGCUCCUGGGCUUCAUUGUAUCCGGUAGAGGAAUUGAAGCAAACCCAGCCAAGAUCCAAGCUCUAUCACAGCUGGAUAUUCCAAAAGACCUCAAACAAAUACAAAAAUUGACUGGAUGCGUGGCGGCUCUAAGCCGCUUCAUCUCCCGUUUGGGAGAAAAGGCAUUGCCCCUCUAUCGCCUCCUCAGGCGCACCGAACACUUCGAGUGGAAGGAUGCCGCCACGGCCGGACUAGAAGAAAUAAAGGCCAUACUGGCAACAAAUCCGGUCCUGGCCGCGCCUAACCUGGGCGAACCAAUGUUAUUAUAUAUCGUGGCAACACAUCAAGUUGUCAGCGUGGUACUCAUUGUCGAACGAGAAACAGAAGAACACUAAUUCCCUCUUCAAAAACCAGUGUACUACGUAUCCACUGUCUUAACUCCAUGCAAGUCCCGGUACCCGCAUUAUCAAAAGAUAGCAUACGCGGUGCUCAUGGCAUCCCGGAAGCUGCGACACUACUUUCAAGAGUGUUCGAUAACAAUGGCCACCGAAGUACCCCUCAACGACAUUACAGACAACCGCGACGCGACGGGCAGGAUUGCGAAAUGGGCCAUCGAGCUCUUACCAUUUGACAUAACCUAUAAACCACGACGAGCUAUAAAUUCGCAAGUUUUAGCGGACUUCAUCGCUGAAUGGACCGAAGCAGAACUCCCUAAAGAGUACGGCGCAUACUCCAAUUGGAUUAUGCAUUUCGACGGCUCCAAAAUGUUGGCCGGCUUGGGGGCUGGCGUCGUAUUGACAUCCCCGACCGGAGACACAGUCCAAUACGUACUUCAGAUAAUGUACACCGACUCCAACAAUGCAGCCGAAUAUGAGGCCCUCCUACAUGGUCUCCGGAUGGCAAUCUCCAUGGGUAUUCAACGCCUAGAGGUGCGCGGGGAUUCAAACCUUGCAAUAUCAAAAGUAAAUGGAGACUUUGAUGCCAAGGAUCCGAAAAUGGCAGCCUAUCGUAACGCUAUCCUAAAAAUGUCAGCUUGGUUCGAAGGACUCGAAUUCCACCACGUAGCCCGGGAUAAUAACCAGGCAGCCGACGUGUUGGCACGCAUCGGCGCAAAACGCGACGCCGUCCCUCCAAACAUCUUCCUGGAGCGGCUCUUUAAGCCAUCUGUACUAUGGGAAGAGGAGUCCGGAAAUAACAACCCGGAAUCAACCGCACCACCCAACACAGAACAAUCUGACAUAAUCGGCGGCUCAGCCGAUGAAAUAACACCUUCAGCCCACGAAAUAAUGGCGGUAAUUGCCCCGUGGACAGAACCAUUCCUAGCCUAUUUAAUUAGGCAGGAACUUCCCGAAGACCAAAAUGAGGCCAGCUGCAUAGUUCGGCGAUCUAAAGCCUACAAGGUCCAUGAGGGAGAACUUUAGAAGAAAAGCACAACUGGAGUCCUUCAAAGGUGCAUCUCUGAAGAGGAAGGGCGCAACCUUCUGGCUAAAAUUCACGCCGGACUAGGCGGACACCACGCUGCAGCCCGGGCCCUCGUAGGCAAGGCCUUCCGUACAGGAUUUUAUUGGCCGACGGCCCGGGCAGAUGCUCAGGACUUAGUCCAACGAUGCGUCGGUUGUCAGCUCUUUGCUAAUCAGAGCCACAUGCCACCCACCGCCCUCAAAACUAUACCCAUCACCUGGCCGUUCGUGGUCUGGGGGCUUGACAUGGUUGGACCCCUUAAAGGGGGAACCCACAAGCAAAAGUACCUAUUGGUCAUGGUGGACAAAUUCACCAAAUGGAUAGAGGCCAAGCCAGUUAAAACGGCCGAAUCCGGACCAGUGAUAGACUUCAUAUCCGGGGUAGCACACCGUUAUGGCGUCCCCCACAGCAUCAUCACCGAUAACGGCACGAACUUCACGGCCGACGAGGUUAAACUCUGGUGCAAAAAUUGUUGGAAAUAUGCCCUAGAGGCAAUAAUAAAUUAGUUAUUAUUAUAUUUCCUUGUUCAUGAUAAUCGUUUAUUAUCCAUGCUAUAAUUGUAUUGAUAGGAAACUCAGAUACAUGUGUGGAUACAGAGACAACACCAUGUCCCUAGUAAGCCUCUAGUUGACUAGCUCGUUGAUCAAUAGAUGGUUACGGUUUCCUGACCAUGGACAUUGGAUGUCGUUGAUAAUAGGAUCACAUCAUUAGGAGAAUGAUGUGAUGGACAAGACCCAAUCCUAAGCCUAGCAUAGAGAUCGUGUAGUUCGUAUGCUAAAUCUUUUCUAAUGUCAAGUAUCUUUUCCUUAGACCAUGAGAUUGUGCAACUACCGGAUACCGUAUGAAUGCUUUGGGUGUACCAAACGUCACAACGUAACUGGGUGGCUAUAAAGGUGCACUACAGGUAUCUCCGAAAGUGUCUGUUGGGUUGGCACGAAUCGAGACUGGGAUUUGUCACUCCGUGUAAAUGGCGAGGUAUCUCUGGGCCCACUCGGUAGGACAUCAUCAUAAUGUGCACAAUGUGACCAAGGGGUUGAUCACGGGAUGAUGUGUUACGGAACGAGUAAAGAGACUUGCCGGUAACGAGAUUGAACAAGGUAUCGGUAUACCGACGAUCGAAUCUCGGGCAAGUACAAUACCGCUAGACAAAGGGAAUUGUAUAUAGGAUCGAUUGAGUCCUUGACAUCGUGGUUCAUCCGAUGAGAUCAUCAUGGAACAUGUGGGAGCCAACAUGGGUAUCCAUAUCCUGCUGUUGGUUAUUGACCGGAUAACGUCUCGGUCAUGUCUGCAUGGUUCCCGAACCCGUAGGGUCUACACACUUAAGGUUCGAUGACACUAGGGUUAUGAAGGAAGUUUGUAUGUGGUUACCGAAUGUUGUUCGAAGUCCCGGAUGAGAUCCCGGACGUCACGAGGAGUUCCAGAAUGGUCCGGAGGUAAAGAUUUAUAUAUGGGAAGUCUUAUUUUGGUCGCCGGAAAAGUUUCGCACUUUAUCGGUAUUGUACCGGGAAUGCCGAAAGGGGUCCGGGGGUCCACCGGGGGGGUCCACCUGCCCCGGGGGGCCACAUGGGCUGUAGGGGGUGCGCCUUGGCCUAUAUGGGCCAAGGGAACCAGCCCCAAGAGGCCCAUGCGCCAAGAUAUAAGAAAAAGGGGAGAGUCCUCAAGGGGCAAGGCACCUCCGAGGUACCUUGGGGAGGAUGGACUCCUUCCCCCCCCCUUGGCCGCACCCCUUCCUUGGAGGAAGGGGCAAGGCUGCGCCUCCCCCCUCUCCCUUGCCCCUAUAUAUAGUGGAGGGGAGGGUGGGCAGCCGCACCUGAAGCUCUGGCGCCUCCCUCCCUCCCGUGACACCUCCUCCUCUCCCGCAGGUGCUUGGCGAAGCCCUGCAGGAUUGCCACGCUCCUCCACCACCACCACGCCGUCGUGCUGCUGCUGGAUGGAGUCUUCCUCAACCUCUCCCUCUCUCCUUGCUGGAUCAAGGCGUGGGAGACGUCACCGGGCUGUACGUGUGUUGAACACGGAGGUGCCGUCUGUUCGGCACUAGGAUCUCCGGUGAUUUGGAUCACGACGAGUAUGACUCCUUCAACCCCAUUCUCUUGAACGCUUCCGCUUAGCAAUCUACAAGGGUAUGUAGAUGCACUCUCCUUCCCCUCGUUGCUGGUUUCUCCAUAGAUAGAUCUUGGUGACACGUAGGAAAAUUUUGAAUUUCUGCUACGUUCCCCAACAGUGGCAUCAUGAGCUAGGUCUAUUGCGUAGAUUCUUUGCACGAGUAGAACAGAAAGUAGUUGUGGGCGUUGAUGUUGUUCAAUAUGCUUACCGUUACUAGUCCAAUCUUGUUUCGAUGGUAUUGUGGGAUGAAGCGGCCCGGACCGACCUUACACGUAUUCUUACGUGAGACAGGUUCCACCGACUGACAUGCACUUGGUGCAUAAGGUGGCUAGCGGGUGCCAGUCUCUCCCACUUUAGUUGGAACGGAUUCGAUGAAAAGGGUCCUUAUGAAGGGUAAAUAGCAAUUGGCAUAUCACGUUGUGGUCUUGCGUAGGUAAGAAACGUUCUUGCUAGAAACCCAUAGCAGCCACGUAAAACAUGCAAACAACAAUUAGAGGACGUCUAACUUGUUUUUGCAGGGUAUGCUAUGUGAUGUGAUAUGGCCAAGAAGAAUGUGAUGAAUAUAUGUGAUGUAUGAGAUUGAUCAUGUUCUUGUAAUAGGAAUCACGACUUGCAUGUCGAUGAGUAUGGCAACCGGCAGGAGCCAUAGGAGUUGUCUUUAUUUAUUGUAUGACCUGCGUGUCAUUGAACAACGCCAUGUAAUUACUUUACUUUAUUGCUAACCGGUAGCCAUAGUAGUAGAAGUAAUAGUUGGCGAGACAACUUCAUGAAGACACGAUGAUGGAGAUCAUGAUGAUGGAGAUCAUGGUGUCAUGCCGGUGACGAUGAUGAUCAUGGAGCCCCGAAGAUGGAGAUCAAAAGGAGCAAAAUGAUAUUGGCCAUAUCAUGUCACUAUUUGAUUGCAUGUGAUGUUUAUCAUGUUUAUGCAUCUUAUUUGCUUAGAACGACGGUAGUAAAUAAGAUGAUCCCUUACAACAAUUUCAAGAAGUGUUCUCCCCUAACUGUGCACCGUUGCUACAGUUCGUCGUUUCGAAGCACCACGUGAUGAUCGGGCGUGAUAGAUCCUUACGUUCACAUACAACGGGUGUAAGACAGAUUUACACAUGCAACACACUUAGGGUUAACUUGAUGAGCCUAGAAUGUACAGACAUGGCCUCGGAACACGGAGAUCGAAAGGUCGAGCAUGAGUCGUAUAGUAGAUACGAUCAACAUGAAGAUGUUCACCCAUGAUGACUAGUCCGUCUCACGUGAUGAUCGGACACGGCCUAGUUGACUCGGAUCAUGUAAUCACUUAGAUGACCAGAGGGAUGUCUAUCUGAGUGGGAGUUCAUAAGAUGAACUUAAUUAUCCUGAACAUAGUCAAAAGACCUUUUGCAAAUUAUGUCGUAAGCUCGCGCUUUAGUUCCAUUGUUUAGAUAUGUUCCUAGAGUAAAUAUAGUUGAAAGUUGAAAGUAGCAAUCAUGCGAUCAGUAGAAAGCUUAUGUCCUUAAUGCACCGCUCAGUGUGCUAAACCCCAAACGUCGUCUGUGGAUGUUGCGAACAUCGGACAUACACGUUUUGAUAACUACGUGAUAGUUUAGUUAAAUGGUUUAAGUAGAGGCACCAAAGACGUUUUCGAAACGUCGCGGGACAUAUGAGAUGUUUCGAGGGCUGAAAUUGGGAUUUCAGUCUCGUGCCCACGUCAAGAGGUAUAAGACCUCCGACGAUUUUCUUAGCCUGCAAACUCAGGGAGAAAAGCUCAAUCGUUGAGCUUGUGCUCAGAUUGUCUGAGUGCAAGAAUCACUUGAAUCGAGUGGGAGUUGAUCUUCCAGAUGAGAUAGUGAUGUUUCUCCAAAGUCAUUGCCACCAAGCUGCUAGAGCUUCGUGAUGAACUAUAACAUAUCAAGGAUAGAGAUGAUGAUCCUUGAGGUAUUCGCGUUGUUUGACACCGCGAAAGUAGAAAUCAAGAAGGAGCAUCAAUUGUUGAUGGUUGGUGAAACCACUAGUUUCAAGAAGGGCAAGGGCAAGAAGGGAUACUUCAUGAAACGGCAAAUCAGCUGCUGCUCCAGUGAAGAAACCCAAGGUUGAACCCAAACCUGAGACUAAGUGCUUCUAUGAUAAGGGGAACAGUCACUAGAGCGGAAUUACCCUAGAUACUUGGUAGAUGAGAAGGCUGGCAAGGUCGAUAGAAGUAUAUUGGAUAUACAUUAUGUUAAUGUGUACUUUACUAGUACUCGUAGUAGCACCAGGGUAUUAGAUACCGGUUCGGUUGCUAAGUGUUAGUAACUCGAAAUAAAAGCUACGGAAUAAAUGGAGACUAGCUAAAGGUGAGCUGACGAUACGUGUUGGAAGUGUUUCCAAGGUUGAUGUGAUCAAGCAUCGCACGCUCCCUCUACCAUCGAGAUUGGUGUUAAACCCAAAUAAUUGUUAUUGGUGUUUGCUUUGAGCAUAGACAUGAUUGGAUUAUGUCUGUCGCAAUACGAUUAUUCAUUUAAGGAGAAUAAUGGCUACUCUGUUUAUUUGAAUAAUACCUUCAAUGGUCUAGCACCUAAAAGGAAUGGUUUAUUGAAUCUCUAUCAUAGUGAUACACAUUUUCAUGCCAAAAGGAUAUAAGAUAGUAAUGAUGGUACCACCUACUUGUGGCACUUCCAUGUAAGUCAUAUUGGUAUAAAACGCAUGAAGAAGCUCCAUGUUGAUGGAUCUUUGGACUCACUCGUUUUUUUGAAAAGUUUGAGACAUGCGAACCAUGUCUAUUGGUGUAUAUGCAUGAAGAAACUCCAUGCAAAUGGACCGUUUGGACUCACUUGAUUUUGAAUCACUUGAGAUAUGCAAAUCAUACCACAUGGGCAAGAUGACUGAAAAGCCUCGUUUUCAGUGAGAUGGAACAAGAUUGCAACUUGUUGGAAGUAACACAUCUUGAUGUGUGCAGUCCAAUGAGUGCUGAGGCAUGCAGUGAAUAUCAUUAUGUUCUUACUUCACAGAUGAUUCGAGUAGAUGUUGAGUAUAUUUACUUGAUGAAACACAAGUCUGAAUUAUUGAAUGGUUCAAGUAAUUUCAGAGUGAAGUUGAAGAUCAUUGUGACAAGAGGAUAAAAUGUCUAUGAUAUGAUCAUAGAGAUGAGUAUCUGAGUUACAAGCUUUGGCACGCAAUUAAGACAUUGUGGAAAUUGUUUCACAAUUAAUACCGCCUGGAACACCAUAGUGUGAUGGUGUGUCCGAACAUCAUAGUUGCACCCUAUUGGAUAUGGUGCAUACCAUGAUGUCUCUUAUCGAAUUACCACUAUCAUUCGUGGGUUAGGCAUUAGAGACAACCGCACUCACUUUAAUAGGGCACCAUGUAAUUCCGUUGAGACGACACCAUUUGAACUAUGGUUUGGAGAAACCUAAAUUGUUGUUUCUUAUAAGUUUGGGGCUGCGACGCUUAUGUGAAAAAGUUUCAGGUUGAUAAGCUCGAACCCAAAGCAGAUAAAAUGCAUCUUCAUAGGACACCCAAAACAGUUGGGUAUAUCUUCUAAUUCAGAUCCGAAAGCAAUAGAGAUUGUUUCUUGAAUCGGGUCAUUUCUCGAGGAAAAGUUUGUCUCGGAAAGUUGAGUGGGAGGAUGGCGGAGACUUGAUGAGGUUAUUGAACCGCCAAUUCAACUAGUGUGUAGCAGGGCACACGAAGUUGUUCCUAUGGCACCUACACCAAUUGAAGUGGAAGCUUAUGAUAGUGAUCAUGAAGCUUCAGAUCAAGUCACUGCCGAACCUCGUAGGGUGACAAGGAUGCGUACUACUUCAGAGUGGUACAGUAAUCAUGUCUUGAAGGUCAUGUUGCUAGACAACAAUGAACCUAUGAGCUAUGGAGAAGCGAUGGUGGGCCCAAAUUCCGACAAAUGGUUAGAAGCCAUGAAAUCCGAGAUAGGAUCCAUGUAUCAGAACAAAGCAUGGACUUUGGUGGACUUGCCCAAUGAUCGGCAAGCCAUUGAGAUAAAUGGAUCUUUAAGAAGAAGACGGACGUGGAUGGUAAUGUCACCAUGUAUGAAGCUCGACUUGUGGCAAAGAGUUUUUCACAAGCUCAAGGAGUUGACUACGAUGAGAUUUCCUCAUCCGUAGCGAUGCUUAAAGUCAGUCGGAUUCAUGUUAGCAUUAGCUGCAUUUAUGAAAUCUGGCAGAUGGAUGACAAAAUGAGUUUCCUUACUAGUCUUCGUAUGGAAAGGUUGUAUGUGAUACAAUCAGAAAGGUUUUGUCGAUCCUAAGGAUGCUAAAAGGUAUGCUAGCUCUAGCGAUCCUUCUAUGGACUGGAGUAAGCAUCUCGGAGUUGGAAUGUACGCUUUGAUGAGAUGAUCAAAGAUUUUGGAUUUAUACAAAGUUUAUGAGAAACUUGUAUUUCCAAAGAAGUGAGUGGGAGCACUAUAGAAUUUCUGAUGAGUAUAUGUUGUUGACAUAUUGAUGAUCAGAAAUGAUGUAGAAUUUCUAGAAAGCAUAUAGGGUUAUUUGAAAGGUGUUUUUCAAUAGAAAACCUGGAUUAAGCUACUUGAACAUUGAGCAUCAAGAUCUAUGAGGAUAGAUCAAAAACACUCAAAUGAGCACAUACCUUGACAUGAUCUUGGAGGUGUUCAAGAUGGAUCAGUCAAAGAAGGAGUUCUUGCCUGAGUAGUAAGGUACGAAGUUAAGACUUAAAGCUCGACCAAGGCAGAAAAGAGAGAAAGGACGAAGGUCGUCCCCUAUGCUUCAGACGUAGGCUCUAUAGUAUGCUAUGCUGUGUACCGCACCAGAAGUGUGCCUUGCCAUGAGUCAGUCAAGGGGUACAAGAAUGAUCUAGGAAUGGAUCAUUGGACAGUGGUCAAAAAUUGUCCUUGGAGUAAAUAAGGACAUGUUUCUCGAUUAUGGAGGUGAUAAAGAGUUCAACGUAAAGGGUUACGUUGAUGCAAGCUUUAACACCUAUCCGAAUGGCUCUGAAUAGCAAACCGGAUACGUAUAGUGGAGCAACCAUUUGGAAUAGCUCCAAGUGGAGAAUGGUAGCAGCAUUUACAAUAUGACCUAGAGAUUUGCGAAGUAUAGACGGAUCUGAAUUUUGCAGACCCGUUGACUAAAACCUCUCUCACAAGCAAAACAUGAUCAUACCCCAGAACUCAUUGAGUCUUAAUCACAUGAUGAUGUGAACUAGUUUAAUGACACUAGUAAACUCUUUGGAUGUUGGUCACAUGGUGAUGUGACGUGUGAGUGUUAAUCACAUGGCGAUGUGAACUAGAUUAUUGACUCUAGUGCAAGUGGGAGACUGUAGGAAAUAUGCCCUAGAGGCAAUAAUAAAUUAGUUAAUAUUAUAUUUCCUUGUUCAUGAUAAUCAUUUAUUAUCCAUGCUAUAAUUGUAUUGAUAGGAAACUCAGAUACAUGUGUGGAUACAUACACAACACCAUUUUCCCUAGUAAGCCUCUAGUUGACUAGCUCGUUGAUCAAUAGAUGGUUACGGUUUCCUGACCAUGGACAUUGGAUGUCGUUGAUAACGGGAUCACAUCAUUAGGAGAAUGAUGUGACGGACAAGACCCAAUCCUAAGCCUAGCAUAGAGAUCGUGUAGUUCGUAUGCUAAAGCUUUUCUAAUGUCAAGUAUCUUUUCCUUAGACCAUGAGAUUGUGCAACUCCCGGAUACCGUAGGAAUGCUUUGGGUGUACCAAACGUCACAACGUAACUGGGUGGCUAUAAAGGUGCACUACAGGUAUCUCCGAAAGUGUCUGUUGGGUUGGCACGAAUCGAGACUGGGAUUUGUCACUCCGUGUAAACGGAGAGGUAUCUCUGGGCCCACUCGGUAGGACAUCAUCAUAAUGUGCACAAUGUGACCAAGGGGUUGAUCACGGGAUGAUGUGUUACGGAACGAGUAAAGAGACUUGCCGGUAACGAGAUUGAACAAGGUAUCGGUAUACCGACGAUCGAAUCUCGGGAAAGUACAAUACCGCUAGACAAAGGGAAUAGUAUACGGGAUCGAUUGAGUCCUUGACAUCGUGGUUCAUCCGAUGAGAUCAUCGUGGAACAUGUGGGAGCCAACAUGGGUAUCCAGAUCCCGCUGUUGGUUAUUGACCGGAUAACGUCUCGGUCAUGUCUGCAUGGUUCCCGAACCCGUAGGGUCUACACACUUAAGGUUCGAUGACGCUAGGGUUAUAAAGGAAGUUUGUAUGUGGUUACCGGAAUGUUGUUCGGAGUCCUGGAUGAGAUCCCGGACGUCACGAGGAGUUCCGGAAUGGUCCGGAGGUAAAGAUUUAUAUAUGGGAAGUCUUAUUUUGGUCGCCGGAAAAGUUUCGCACUUUAUCGGUAUUGUACCGGGAGUGCCGAAAGGGGUCCGGGGGUCCACCGGGGGGUCCACCUGCCCCGGGGGGGCACAUGGGCUGUAGGGGGUGCGCCUUGGCCUAUAUGGGCCAAGGGCACCAGCCCAAGAGGCCCAUGCGCCAAGAUAUAAGAAAAAGGGGAGAGUCCUCAAGGGGGAAGGCACCUCCGAGGUGCCUUGGGGAGGAUGGACUCCUUCCCCCCCUUGGCCGCACCCCUUCCUUGGAGGAAGGGGCAAGGCUGCGCCUCCCCCCUCUCCCUUGCCCCUAUAUAUAGUGGAGGGGAGGGAGGGCAGGCGCACCUGAAGCCCUGGCGCCUCCCUCCCUCCCGUGACACCUCCUCCUCUCCCGCAGGUGCUUGGUGAAGCCCUGCAGGAUUGCCACGCUCCUCCACCACCACCACGCCGUCAUGCUGCUGCUGGAUGGAGUCUUCCUCAACCUCUCCCUCUCUCCUUGCUGGAUCAAGGCGUGGGAGAUGUCAGCGGGCUGUACGUGUGUUGAACGCGGAGGUGCCGUCCGUUCGGCACUAGGAUCUCCGAUGAUUUGGAUCACGACGAGUACGACUCCUUCAACCCCGUUCUCUUGAACGCUUCCGCUUAGCGAUCUACAAGGGUAUGUAGAUGCACUCUCCUUCCCCUUGUUGCUGGUUUCUCCAUAGAUAGGUCUUGGUGUCACGUAGGAAAAUUUUGAAUUUCUGCUACGUUCCCCAACAAAAAUAUGGGCAUUAAGCUCGACUACGCUUCAGUCUAUCAUCCUCAAACCAACGGUCAAGUUGAAUGAGCAAAUGGUCUAAUAAUGAGCGGCAUCAAACCCAGACUAGUGCGAUCCCUUACGGAAUAUAACAUGCACUGGGUAGAGGAGCUCGACUCCGUACUCUGGGGGCUGCGGACCACACCAAACCGUACUACCGGAUUCACACCAUUCUUUAUGGUAUACGGCGCAGAGGCAGUUUUGCCCUGCGACAUAAUUCAUGACUCACCUCGAGUGCGCAUGUACGAAGAAAGAGAAGCCGAGUUGGAUCGGCAGGACAGCUUGGACGCAUUAGAGGAAGAGCGCGAUGUAGCAAAGGCUCGUUCCGCAUUCUAUCAGCAGUAGGCUCGAUGGUAUCAAAGCAGAGAAGUACGGGCUAAAACUUACAAUGUUGGCGAACUAGUUCUACGCCUGUCGGACAAGAAAAAGGACAAACUCAAGCCCAAACGGGAAGGUCUCUUCAUCAUCGACCAAGUCCUGACCGGUGGAGCAUACCGUCUGCGAAACGCAUCAGACAACCGACUCGAGCCAAACCCAUGGAACGCAGCCCGCCUUCGAAGAUUCUACGCCUAGCGCCGGACUCAAAGUUCGUCUCCUUCCCCCGUCCACAUUUUAUACUUCAGUUGCCUUCUGUUUCUCUCUUUUAUCCCACCUUUUUCAUAAAGCCCUUGAGGGCCAAUUUGCGCAUUGUUCGCACACACUUGAUGUGCUACCCGCACUCAUUAUACCUGGGGGCUUCCUUAACAGAAGCUUACUUAUACGGGCUUCAUGCCCAACACAUGUGUCAAACUUCCACAUGUACCUUUCAUUCACCAUUAUAUGCAUCGAUAUGACUUAAGUUUUGGCCAAGCUGGGUUGCCUGGCUCCUGUGCUUACCCCUACGUUCCCGAUUGUUCGGCUAGGAGGUAAAGCGAGCACCUCUGUGAUUGUUACUGCCGGAUCAGGCGGAUGUGUACCUCAGACUGGGUGAAGCCGAAAGCUAGCGUUCUUAAGGGAAUAUUCGGUCGGUGACUUGAAAGAUGAUUUUUUACCUAUUUAUUUAUCUGCCCCCAGAUGUUUUCCUGCUCUUUUUGCAGUCCGGACAUGCACUUUAGGGCAUGCCUCCCAGGGAAAGGAACCCUUAACGAAACUAUUCUCCCUGGAAGAUGUUUCUUACUAACCAUGUAAUAUAACAUAACUAGUUGGGCACUUGUCUGAUAAAGCACUAAUGACCCCUACGCCUGGUCUCCAUGCAUGCCCCGGUUUUUUCAUAACCGAGAAGGUAUUCGGACACACUCCAGACUCUAGGGUCCCGAGGUUGAAGCGAAAAGGUCGGCAAAGACAAACGAUCUACAAUCCGGCUAGAAGGCAUUUUACAUGUCAUUUUAAAUACAUCAUCAAAUCGACUGACUGUACUCCUCCUCAAUCCCGUCUAACAGGUUGUCUAAUUUACAGUCCCGUUGGGAAUACUUAGCGGCCAACUCUACCUGGCCGUACACUAAGCUCACAGGGAUCUCCUUCCCAUCGGGCCCCACAGGUCCGACCUCGGCCAUGUGGUUUGGAUCCGCCUUCUUGUACCGCGUCUUCACCAUGGCCCAGGCCUCCCUGGCACCUUGACGGCAGGCCGAUAUAUUCCAUAAAUGGAUGCGCUGCGUGCUCCCUGAAGCUUCUCCGCAAGCUCUCCAAGGCCCUCAGGUAGGGAGACGGACGGCCAUAAGGCCUGGAAGAUGCCACUCAUCGCCUGCCGAACAUGUUCGAGCAGUUGCACCAGCUCGAGAAGUUGGUCACCCGUUAAACCGGGCAUUUCCUCCGCAGGGCGACCUGUGAGCACACCUACAGAAAUAUUUCUGUCAAUUGACUUCCUCGCCGAACUCUUCUUUUCAAAAGAGUUUGCUCAAGCACUUACUAUAGAUGCUGCGACAAAGCCGCUGAUUCUCCUUCACGGAGCCAGACAGCUCGGCCCGAACACCUUUUAGCUCUUCUCUAAGCUGGGUGUGGGCAUCCUGGAGUUUUUUCCUCUCCUGCUGCACCUUCAUAAGCACCCUCUCGCCGACCUUCAGCUGGCGCACUAGCUGUUGCUUGUCCGGAUCAAGUCCGGCAACAUCUGCAAUAUCAUUGUCUGACUUAUAUGCACGCCGCACACUGCUUAUCCUUUUGAAAUAUGUGUUACCGGAGGGGGUCUCGGUGUCUCCUCCUGCGGCGGCUAGAGCGGCCUCAAGUUGGGCCUUGCACCCUUGUAGCUCCUGAGACAAUUGGGCAUUCUUCUCUGUAAGAUCCUGCAUAUCAAAUGAUCCUUAAAUCAGUUAUUUUAACUACUUUAAGUCUCGGGGGCUACUGGCAUAUACAACUAUUAAAAUCCCUUACCCGUAUGUCUUUUACAUACUGCUCCGUGGCUCUGGUUAAACCAUCUUGAGCAGCACGGAGGUGCAUGUCUCCCGCGUUAAAGGCAUUCAACGCCUCUGGGGAGAACACGCGUCACGCAGAACUGUCCGGCGACGCCUAUGAUUCAUGGUGCUCUCCACCUCAGACCUGGUGGCGGACAGCCUGUCGGCAUCCUCCGUUGGAGGAGUACCCAGCUCGCGCCUUGCGCUCGCCUCCCCCUCCGGACUAGGUGUUGGAGCCUGGUUGGCGGAGGUUUGGUUGGCAACCUCUCCGGGCACAGUCUGGCGAGUGCUCUUUCUCCUGGAGAAGUCAUGAGCAUUAAUAGACCUCCUAGGAAUCUUUUCCCUAAAUAACGGUCGCGAGCUAUACCGUUGCGGUGACAUUUUGAUUCGCAGCGCACCCCUCUUCCGCCUUCUGGGCCGGACUGACCCUUGUUGGUCAGCCCCCACGGGUUCGGCUUCCUGCCUUGAAGGCACAUCCUGCGAGACACCGUUGUAUACGGUGGUCAGAAAUAUGCAAGGACGAAGUAAUGGUGUCAGGACUCCGGUCAUAAUUACUUGGGAAGCCGCUGUUAAGUCGGGGUAGUUAGCCGUAAUGGCGACUAGAGCAUUGUCCAUGCUGAGUUGGUGGAACACCCCGUCAAUUAGCUCCACCUUUAUGUCCGGAUCCUCUUCGGAGGCCAGAUCAAGGGAUCUUCCCGGAUCCUCGGGUUGUGGAGCCGGACUAUGUAUGCCCUCCACAUCCCGAUGCAGUUCCUGCGUCGAAAUCAUAAAGUAAGGUACUUAACUUUGAAAGCAUGGGUCGGAUAAAUAAAUGUCCGCUUACCCAGCUCCGAGGGUUAUUCAUGGAGAACCCAUUCAAUGGGAUCGUCUGGAGGUAGUCCUCCUUCUCCCCCUUGUACAGGCCGGACAGAAUCUUCACCAGAUCUGCGGCCGAUCCCGGCCCCUUUCGGCCAUGACGGGUGGCAUCAUUCUCCCCGUUGAAUUCCCACAUAGGGUGGCCCCUAUAUUGGAGCGGCUGCACCCCUCGCAUAAUGCACGUGGCCAUGACUCCAAUCAUGGUCAAUCCAGAAUGGGCCAGCAACCUUAUCCGGCGCAUCAAGUAAUGGACGCUCAUGUCUUCCUCCUGUCGAGGGCUCCGCGGGCGCCAACUUAGGCGUUUCUUUAGAGGAGCCUUGUUGAACUCCGGAAGGCCGAUCCGAACUGGGUCCGGCGGUGGAGCAUCUUCCACAUAAAACCAUUCUGAGGGCCAGUCUUCGGACGCUUUCUUUGGGGUUCCGGAUAGAUAUCCGGUCCCGGCGAUGCGCCAUAUUUCAGCUCCGCCCACUUGAUAUAUUGACCCCUCGUGAGAACGGGGUACGAGGCAAAAUAAUCUCUUCCACAAUGCAAAAUGGGUCUUGAUGCCCAGGAACAGCUCGCAAAGAGCUAUGAAACCCGCGAUGUGCAGAAUAGAGGCGGGCGUGAGGUGAUGAAGCUGGAGUCCAUAGAACUCCAGAAGCCCCCGGAGAAACGGAUGUAUGGGAAAUUCGAGCCCCCUUAUUAGAUAAGGGACGAAGCACACCCGCUCUCCUUUGGAGGGACUAGGGGUGGCCUCCGCUUGCUUUCCACCUUUAUGCGUGGCCAGCCCGGCUCGAACCAGGACCAUAAAGGCCGGAGGAAGGUAUCCCUCCUCUUGGAGCGUCACCAGCUCGUUGUGCGGAACUGAACAUCUCCUCCAAUCUCCUGGCUGAGGGCUAGGAGCGCGAGAGGAGGAGCCGCGUCGACGGUCCAUGAUAGAAUGGAUUUUUGGUUAGAAGCGCUCCGAUGAGUACUCGUGGAAGGAAGAUGGUGUGAUUUGGAUCUGGAUUCUUGCCUCUCUUAUAGGCAGAUUAUUGGGCAGCUAGGGGGUAAAAUAUAAAAAUACCCUGGCCUUUCGCAUUCGUGCGACACGUGGAAGAGGGCCAUUAUUGGGCGUGGGAGCCAAGGAGCGCAACAUUUGUAAGGAAGCCGGACACUAUUCGGCAAACACAUGGAAUUUGGAGGAGAACCCGCCUUGCAACGCCGAAGACAAUAUACGCGCCGGACUCGUCGUCAUUGAAGCCUGGUUCGGGGGCUACUGAGGGAGUCCUGGACUAGGGGGUGUCCGGAUAGCCGGACUAUCAUCAUCGGCCGGACUCCAAGACUAUGAAGAUACAAGAUUGAAGACUUUGUCCCGUGUCCGGAUGGGAUUUUCCUUGGCGUGGAAGGCAAUCUUGGCAAUACGGAUAUGUAGAUCUCCUACCAUUGUAACCGACUCUGUGUAACCCUAGCCCUCUCCGGUGUCUAUAUAAACCGGAGGGUUUUAUCCCAUAGGACGAACAACCAUUACAAUAAUCAUACCAUAGGCUAGCUUCUAGGGUUUAGCCUCCUCGAUCUCGUGGUAGAUCUACUCUUGUACUACCCAUAUCAUCAAUAUUAAUCAAGCAGGAGUAGGGUUUUACCUCCAUCGAGAGGGCCCGAACCUGGGUAAAAACAUCGUGUCCCUUGUCUCAUGUCACCAUCCGCCUAGACGCACAGUUCGGGACCCCCUACCCGAGAUCCGCCGGUUUUGACACCGACACCUGCCGUUCCAAGUAAAUUUGUAUGUGCCAAAUUCCAAACCUUCAAAUGAAAUUCUGUUUUGUAUGCUCGAGCAGCUCAUGUUACAACUAGGGCUGCCUAUAUCUUCUUUGGUAGGUGGGUUAUUCUCACGAGGAGUGGACUCCGCUGCUCUUUCACGAGAAAGGGCCGGUAACCGGGAUGCCUAGUCCCAUGAUCCAAAAAGAUCAAAGCAAAUCAAAAUAAUUAAACAAAACUCCCCCAGGGCUAUUGUUAGUUGGAGGCACUCGUUGUUUCGAGAAAGCCAUGGAUUGAUGCUUGUUGGUGGUUGGGUGAGUAUAAACCUUUACCAUUCUGUUUGGGAACUGCCUAUAAUGCAUGUAGUGUAGAAGAUACAGCCAUCUCAUAGUUUUUGCGUUGACAGUGAAAGUAUGCCGCUCAAAAUGUUAUUCAAUCUCUAUUUUAAAAUCGAGCUCUGGCACCUCUACAAACCCCUGCUUCCCUCUGCGAAGGUCCUAUCUAUUUACUUUUAUGUUGAGUCAUCACCCUUCUUAUUAAAAGAACCCGCUGGAGAGCACACUGUCAUUUGCAUUCAUUACUAUUGGUUUAUAUUGGGUAUGAAUUGACUGGAUCUCUUUUAUCAUGAAUUACAAUGUUUAGUCAGUCCUUGAUCUUUAAAGGUGCUCUGUAUUUAUGUUUUGCGGUCUCAGAAAGGGCUAGAGAGAUACCAUUUUGUUAUAUCAUGUUAUGAUUAUUUUGAGAAAGUGUUUUCAUCCGAGUUUUAUUAUUAUGGCUCGCUAGCUGAUUAUGCUAUUGAUAUGAGUAAUUGUGAGACCUAGGUGUUAUUGUUAGUAUGGUUAGUUCAUAAUAUUUACUGAAACUUGAAUGUUGGCUUUUCAUGUUUACAACAACAAGAGCAGACAGAGUUUGUAAAAGUUUUUCUUUAUCACUUUCAGUUUAUCAACUGAAUUGCUUGAGGACAAGCAAAGGUUUAUGCUUGGGGGAGUUGAUACGUCUCCAACGUAUCUACUUUUCCAAACACUUUUGCCCUUGUUUUGGACUCUAACUUGCAUGAUUUGAAUGAAACUAACCCAGACUGAUGCUAUUUCAGCAGAACUGCCAUGAUGUUGUUUUAUGUGUAGAAAAGAAAAGUUCUCAGAAUGUCCUGAAAAUCCACGGAGGCACCUUUUGGAAUUAAUAAGAAUUUCUGGGGAAAAGAAAUACACCAGGGGGCCCAGGGCCUGUCCACGAGACAGGGGGGCGCGCCCCCUUGUAGGGCGUGCCCCCCUAUCUCAUGGGCCCCCUGGACCUCCACCGACCUGAAGUCCAACUCCAUAUAUUCACGUUCGGGGAUAAAAAAAUAAGAGAGAAAGUUUCAUCGCGUUUUACGACUCGGAGCCACCGCCAAGCCCUAAUCUCUCUCGGGAGGGCUGAUCUGGAGUCCGUUCGGGGCUCCGGAGAGGGGGAUUCGUCGCCGCCGUCAUCAUCAACCAUCCUCCAUCACCAAUUUCAUGUUUCUCACCGCCGUGCGUGAGUAAUUCCAUCAUAGGCUUUCUGGACGGUGAUGGGUUGGAUGAGAUUUACCAUGUAAUCAAGUUAGUUUUGUUAGGGUUUGAUCCCUAGUAUCUACUAUGUUCUGAGAUUGAUGUUGCUAUGACUUUGCUAUGCUUAAUGCUUGUCGCUAGAGCCCGAGUGCCAUGAUUUCAGAUCUGAACCUAUUAUGUUUUCAUGAAUAUAUGUGUGUUCUUGAUCCUAUCUUGCAAGUCUAUAGUCACCUAUUAUGUGUUAUGACCCGACAACCCUGGAGUGACAAUAAUUAGGAUACUUCUCGGUGAUGACCGUAGUUUGAGGAGUUCAUGUAUUCACUAUGUGCUAAUGCUUUGUUCCGAUUCUCUAUUAAAAGGAGGCCUUAAUAUCCCUUAGUUUCUGCUAGGACCCCGCUGCCACGGGAGGGUAGGACAAAAGAUGUCAUGCAAGUUCUUUUCCAUAGGCACGUAUGACUAUUUACGGAAUACAUGCCUACAUUACAUUGAGGAACUGGAGCUAGUUCUAUAUCACCCUAUGUUAUAGCUAUUACAUGAGGAAUCGCAUCCGGCAUAAUUAUCCAUCACCUUUCCGUUGCUACUGUUACAACUACUACAAAAACCUAAAAACAAUUAUCUUUACUUUUGCCACCAUUACCUUUAUUAUCAUACCACUUUUGCUACUAAAUACUUUGCUGCAGAUACUAAGUUAUCCAGGUGUGGUUGAAUUGACAACUCAACUGCUAAUACUCAAGAAUAUUCUUUGGCUCCCCUUGUGUCGAAUCAAUAAAUUUGGGUUGAAUACUUUACCCUCUAAAGCUGUUGCGAUCCCCUACACUUGUGGGUUAUCACUGCCUCGUCGACCUUGUUGGCAAGAUUCACCUCUCCGACGGGCCGACCACUAACGCGGGCACUGGCUGCCCCGAAAUCCGUCUCGUCAUCCUCCUCGACUAGCUUCACGUCACCAACAAGCCUACUAUGGACCUGGAGUCUGUUGGCUCCACCGAACCGAUGAUCGUCGACUCUGACACGGCGUCACUUGACGCCUUCCCCACUAACGUGGUGAUCUACGACGAGUCGCCUCCUUGUGAGCACAGCGGCAGGAGCACCGUCAUGGAGGUGCUCGUCAUCAACAGUGGCGAGCGCUCGGCCAUAGACGCUAGAGACCCACUUGAUGCAGCGCUGCGAGACCUGUCGGCGCCUAUUCCAGAGGAUGCAAACGCUGAGAUGCUGGAGGCACGCCGCGUCCAGCUCCUCGAAAGCGCUGGCCGACUGGCCAGCAUGCGACGCCUCUCGGACGCCUACCGGCGUGAGAUGGACCGGGCCGUUGGUAGCACGCCGGCUCCUGAGGGGCCUAGCCGCAUCGGCUCGAUCCGGCAGCAUGGCGCGACCAUUGCCAGCAUGUUUGGGCAAAACGCCCCAUAUACGCUACGCCUGUAGAGAACAUCCGGCCCACCCAGGCGGUGACGGAUGAGCUGGACAAGUAUGAGGGCGACGAGCGUCGCCACAUGACGGAGCGAGUCCAGCAGCUCCUAGACGCGGCUGUCGCGCAGCACGAAGCCGGCUAUCGCGCUGAAGUGCCCGCCCAGCGGAACGAUGAACCGCCCCCUUGCCAGGACCAUGGCGCGACGUCCCGGACGCCGACUGGUGGCGCCCAUGGAAGAAGAGGCAACAAGCUGGCUGCCAGCCGCAGCCGUACUUGCCUCUCCAUCGAGCGUGACGAAGACAGCCGCCCUCGAGCGGUGGAGCGGCGAGGCGACCCGCCUCCUCCUCCGCCUCAUUGAGCAAGGCAUCCUACUCCGCCGCCUGUCACGCACCCGACACUCAGCGACCGCCUUGGUCGCCGAGAGGGAGUCGGAGAGAACGACGCUCGCCAUCGGAUCGAUCAUCUCAACCGAUCCCUGGCACUAGAAGAAGACGACGCAUUGGGCCCGCCCUAUUUUAGCCCACAAAUCCGAGAUGAGCCCUUUCCCAAAGGGUUCACGCUCCCAAGAGAUGCGCCCAAGUACACCGGCUCCGUGAAGCCGGAGGACUGGCUGGUCAACUACUCCACGACCGUCAGCAUAGCGAACGGCAACAAGUGCGUUGCCGUGAAGUACGUCCCGCUCAUGCUUCAAGGCACAACCCGGAUGUGGCUCAACAGCCUGAAGCCUCGUAGCAUCAACAGCUGGGUUGAUUUCACCGAAGCCUUCAUCCGCAACUUCACCAGCACAUACAAGCGGCCUCCCAUGCCCCGAUAGCUCUCCUUGUGCGUCCAAGGGCCCAGCGAAUCGACUCGCGACUAUCUCACACGCUGGGCCGAGCUGCGCAACUCCUGCGAAGGCGUGCACGAGGUGCAGGCAAUCGAGUACUUCAUCGCCGGGUGCCGAGAGGGCACCCUCCUCAAGCACCGACUUCUCUGCGACGAGCCUGCGACUCUCGACGAACUGUUGAUCAUCACCGACAAGCACGCCACGACCGACUCCUCCAUGAAGGCGGAGAUCUUAGUUGACACGUCUGGCAAGGUGGCACCUCAGGCCCCUCGGACUCCGGCUGGUGACACCAGUCGGCGACAGCAUCCAAGCGACAACAAGCGGAAGGCCACCCAACCGGCUUCCACCAGCCGGCAGGUGGCGACAGUUGAGGACUAGCAGCCGGAGGGGCAGCCAGCGCCCAAGCGUCAGAAGGGAGGCAAGCCCAAUUGGAUGCCCGCUUUCUCUUACGAGCAGACCCUAGAUGCACCCUGUAAUUUUCAUAGUGGCGCGAAGCCGUCCAACCAAACCACGCGGAAGUGCCAUUGGCUCACCAGGAUAGCCAAGGGAGAUGGACUCCCGCCUCCUCCGCCUGCCGGCCCGCCGCCUCCUCUGCCCCAGCAGCCAGCGGCCCGGCCAGUCGGCGCCAUACAAGACAAGUAUCCAGAGGAGCACGGAGCUUAUGUUGUGUUCACCAGCAUGGCCGAUAACAGACGCAGCAGACGGCAGCAGCAGCAAGAAGUACAGGCGGUGGCCUCAAAUGCUCCAGAAUUCAUGCAUUGGUCUGAGAAGCCCAUCAGUUGGAGCAGGGCCGACCACCCGGAGGUAAUUCCCUCCCCCGGUUCCUACGCCCUGGUCCUUGAUGCUACUUUGCAACGAAGUGGCGGGCAGCUCGUUUCUCCAGAGUCCUGAUAGAUGGCGGCAGCAACAUCAAUAUCCUGUAUCGUGACACGAUGGAGAAGUUGGGAAUCAAGCAGAAGCAGCUCCUCCCCAGUCGGACUGUAUUCCAUGGCAUAGUCCCUAGCCUUCACUGCUCACCAAUCGGUAAGACCCAAAUUGAUGUUCUCUUCGGAGACAAGAAUCAUUUCCGCCAUGAGCCAGUUUGGUUUGAAGUGGUGGACCUUGAAAUCCCCUACCAUGCGCUGCUUGGCCGGCCUGCCCUAGCCAAGUUCAUGGCGGUCCCCCACUAUGCUUACCUCAAGAUGAAGAUGCCGAGUACCAAGGGGAUCCUAACCGUAAUCGAAGACUACAAGAAGUCGACCUCCUGCACCGUGGACAGCAGCCGGCUGGCCGAGUCCCUCGUGAUUGCAGCUAAGAAGCGGCUCCUUGACAGGGUGGUGGCGAUGGCAGGCAAUAAGACGGAAAUGUCACCCAUCCCCAAGGAGUCGGAGGUUGAGGGCUCGUUCAAGCCGACAAAGGAAAUGAAGAAGAUACCCUUGGACCCGGAGCACCAGGAGAGGCACGCUGUCAUAGGUGCCACCUGGACAGCAAAUAGGAAAGCGAGCUCGUCGAUUUCCUCCGUGAGAAUCGGGACAUCUUCGCAUGGUCUCCCAAAUACAUGCCGGGUGUUCCGAUGGAUUUCGCCGAGCACAAGUUACAUGUUCGACCUGACGCCAAGCUGGUCAGGCAGCCCUUGCGCCGCCUGUCAGAAGAGAAGAGAAGAGUUGUCGGAGAAGAGAUAGCCCGACUUCUAGCAGCCGAUUUCAUCAUGGAAGUAUUCCUUACAGAGUGGCUGGCCAACCCAGUUCUUGUGUUGAAGAAAAAUAAGCAGUGGCACAUGUGUAUUGAUUAUACCAUCCUCAACAAAGCUUACCCCAAAGAUCCCUUUGCCCUGCCAAGAAUUGACAAAGUGAUAGACUCCACAGCCGGAUGCGAGCUCUUGAGUUUUUUGGAUGCAUACUUAGAGUAACAUCAGAUAAAGCUGAACCCGGCCGACAGGCUGAAGACCGCCUUCAUCAUGCCAUUUGGAGCCUUCUACUACCUGACCAUGACGUUCGGCUUGCAAAAUGCCGGCACCAUGUUUCAGCGUUGCAUGCAGAAGUGUCUCCUCAAGCAUCUCGGCAGAAAUGCCCAUGUCUAUGUGGAUGAUGUGGUGGUGAAGACAGAGAAGCGUGGCACGCUGCUGGAAGACCUCAAGGAAACUUUUGAGAACCUGCGCCGAUUCCAGAUCAAGCUCAACCUAGAGAAAUGCGUCUUUGGAGUACCAACCGGCCAGCUCCUCGGCUUUCUGGUCUCAGAGCGUGGCAUAGAAUGCAACCCAGUGAAGAUCAAGGCCAUUGAGAAGAUGGAGGUGCCCACCCGACUGCUGGACGUGCAGAAAUUCACCGACUGCCUGGCAUCUAUCAGCCGUUUCAUCAGUCGGCUGGGCGAGAAGGCUCUCCUCCCGUACCAGCUCAUGAAGAAGACCACUUUUUUCGAGUGGAACGACAAGGCGGAUGAAGCUUUUCUCUAACUCAAGAAGAUGUUGACCACCCCGCCUAUCUUGGCGGCUCCAACUGAGAAAGAGCCCAUGCUCCUCUACAUCGCCGCCACCAGUCGGGUGGUCAGCACAGUCAUAGUGGUAGAACGCAAGGGGGAGGGCAGAGCAUUGCCGGUCCAGAGACCGGUAUAUUACUUGAGUGAAGUAGUGUCCGCUUCCAAGCAAAACUACCAACACUAUCAGAAGAUGUGCUAUGGUGUGCACUUUGCCACCAAGAAGCUCAAGCCUUACUUUCAAGAGCACCCAAUAACCGUUGUCUGCACUACUCCGCUUGCUGAGAUCAUUGGAAGCCGAGAUGCUUCGGGCCGAGUGGCCAAGUGGGCUAUUGAUCUGGCCCCUUAUACCAUCUACUACCACCCUCGCACUGCCAUCAAGUCACAAGCACUGGCGACUUCCUUGUCGACUGGGCCAAGACCCAGUACUUGCCGCCAGCACCAGACUCCACCCAUUGGCGGAUGCAUUUUGAUGGUUCAAAAAUGCGCACCGCUCUGGGAGCCGGCAUUGUCCUCACCUCUCCCAAAGGCGACAAGCUCAGAUAUGUGCGGCAAAUCCAUUUUGCCGCCUCCAACAACCUAGGCGAAUAUGAGGCACUCAUACACGGGCUCCGGCUUGCCAAGGAACUCGGCAUUCGCCGGAUCCUGUGCUAUGGUGACUCUGACUUGGUGGUCCAGUAGUCGUUAGGUGACUGGGACGCCAAGGACGCAAAUAUGGCAAGCUACCGCUUCCUCGUGCAGCAACUCAGUGGAUACUUUGAUGGGUGCGGGUUCCUCCAUGUGCCAAGAAAUGACAACGAGCAAGCAUAUGCCUUGGCACAGAUCGGCUCCACCCGGCAGGCGAUACCCGCCGGCGUCGCCCUGCAGCGCCUCCUCAAGCCGUCUGUCAAGCCAUCACCAGAGUCCGACUCCAUCUUUGUGCCGGCCCCUCCCGAAGUAGUCGGAUCCGACUUGAGGACCCCAGAAGCCGGCGCGGGGACUUUGGCAGGCGGCGCGGGGACUGCAGCCGUCGCACCUGGCUCAGGGACUUCAGAACCUGGCCUAGGGACUGCAGCAAUUGGCCCGGGGACUUCUUCAAGGCAGCAGGCGGCAGUCGACUCCAACCCGCUGCCUCCCGGCCCAACCGCCCUUGUACAAAUUGCAGUCGUGGAAGUCAGAGAGAUAGCAGCACCCUCAUGGGCUCAACCCAUCCUCGACUUCCUGGUGAACAAAGAGCUGCCGACCGAUGAGAUACUAGCCCGGCAAGUGCAACGGCGGGCAGCAGCAUAAACCAUAGUCAACAAAGAACUGGUACGGCGCAGUGUCACUUGUGUGUACCAGCGCUGCGUGGAGCCCAACCAGGGUCAAGCAAUCCUCAAAGAUAUUCACCAAGGCGAAUGUGGUCACCACGUGGCUUCAAGAUCACUUGUUGCCAAAGCUUUCCGCCAUGGUUUCUUCUGGCCGACUGCUCUAGAAGACGCCAAAGAGUUGGUACAGAAGUGCAAAGGGUGUCAAAAGUUCUGCUCCAAGACACACUUGCUAGCUUCUGCACUCAAGACCAUUCCCAUUGCCCGGCCCUUUGUUGUUUGGGGUUUGGAUAUGGUGGGGCCAUUCAAGACAGCUUGUGGAGGCAUGACUCAUCUGCUUAUCGCUGUGGACAAGUUCACCAAGUGGAUAGAGGCAAAGCCAAUCAAGAAGCUGAAUGGGCCGACUGUCGUGACUUUCAUCGCCCACUCGGUACGACAUACCACAUAGCAUCAUCACCGACAACGACACAAACUUUGCCAAAGGAGCCUUGGAUCGUUUCUGCGCGACGCAGGGCAUCCGAGUAGACUUUGCGUCCGUUGCCCAUCCGCAGUCAAACGGCCAAGUUGAGCGAGCAAACGGCCUCAUUCUAUUCGGCAUCAAGCCCCAACUGGUCGAGCCUCUGGAGCAUUCAGCCGGCUGCUGGCUCCAUGAGCUGCCGGCCGUCCUCUGGAGCCUGCGCACGACUCCGAACAAGUCGACCGGCUUCACGCCCUUCUUCCUCAUCUACGGUGCUGAAGCCGUCAUCCCGACAGACAUAGAGUUCGACUCCCCAUGAAUCACCAUGUGCACCAAGGCGGAUGCCAAGGAGGCGCGAGAAGACGGCGUCGAACUGCUGGAGGAGGGCCGGCUGUUGGCACUCAGCUGGUCCGCCAUCUACCAGUAGAGUCUGCGCCGAUACUACAACCGCAAGGUGAAGCCAAGAUCCUUCUAAGAGGGAGACCUUGUGCUCCGGCGGAUCCAGUGAACAGCCGGCCAGCACAAGCUCUCUGCGCCUUGGGAAGGCCCUUUCAUCAUCAGCAAGGUGCUGGGCAACAAUUCAUACUAUCUGAUCGACGCUCAGAAGCCCAGAGCACGCAAAAGAGAUGACUCAGGCAAGGAGACGGAGAGGCCAUGGAACGCAAACCUCCUCCAAAGAUUUUACAGUUGAAAGCAGUAUGUAUCACGCUACCUUUUUUAUUAUGUACGAAGACUCCGGAUCCCCCGAGAAGAACUCGGGGAAUACCCUCCUUUUAUCUAUAUGAUAAGUGUUAUGCCUAUGAGUGUGUAUUGUUUUAUUAUUUCCGCCUGGCACCGGGUUCGACUAGUCGGCCCGGAGGCUCGCUGGCUUCUGCUAUAUGCCGCCUCCUACAGUCGGAGAAGUAGUGUGUUGGCACCAAAAACUUCCCCUAUCAGAAGCCGCAGCUCGUAGAGCGACUGAAUGGCGGGCAGGGGUUGCAAAACAGUGCCCACAUGAAAAAUAGCUAAGGAAAAACACAUAUAGUCGAGGCCGGCAUCGCGCCUGUUCGGCCGGCUUCUGCUUGUCUUGCCAACACUCCGAACGGCUAAGUACUUGCUCUCCCAUCAAAGCUAAGUACUCGACCCAGCCGCAUUCUGCAGACCGGCUGCUCGGCUGGCAAGAGGAUAGCCGAGGGAGGGCGGCAAAGGAAAAAAGCAAGGAGAUUAAGAGCAAAAAAAGUUAGAAGCCGACAAAGCAAAGCAUGAAUUGUGAUAGAAUAUUUACAUAGAUAAAGGCCUAUCCGCCAGCAUUCAACAGAGCUUCGAUAUACACCCCGUGGGUGGAAUUGUGCAAAUUUAACCAAGUUGUCCAGACUAGUGAGCAGAAAAAGAAAAAGAUAACAUCCUAAGGGGCAGCAGAAGGCUCCGGCUGGACGGUGGAGUCAGCGGUGUCGGUUGGUGCAGCAGAAGGCUCCGGCUGGACGGUGGAGUCGGCGGUGCCGGUUGGUGCAGCAGAAGGCUCCGGCUAGACGGUGGAGUCGACGACACCAGUUGGGGCGGCGCAUGGCUGGAUGGCAAAGUCGACGGCGUCCGUUGGUGGAACGGGCGGUUGGUCGGUCUCCGCCUGGCCACCUCCAGUAGCAGUCGGCGCUUUGGAGCGCGGAUCAUUGCUUUAGGCCUGGUCAGGUCGAGGCUGACCAUCCGCUCCAACCUCCGGCACAUCGUCUUCGCUUUCCUCCUCCUCCUCCUCCUCCCCUUCAUCGCUGGAGUCGAUUACUUCGGCCGAAUCCUCGAUGUCCUAGGGGUUCAGCCCGAGCCACUCCAGCGGUGCUUCGGCGCCUUCUUCGACCAUCUUCGGGAUGAAGACGCUGGUGUCGGUGUAGUCGGCGAUCGCCGCCGCCCUGCUGAUAAGUUCGGCUUCCACCGCCACCAGCUCCUCCUGCGCCUCCAGCCGAAACGUGGUCUGCUGGGCUAGAUCUAGCCCAGGGUACCAUGCCUUGACGAACUCCAAGGCUCGGCGCGCUCCUGCCCGGGCUGCAGAGCCCUUCCAGGCCUCCAGGCGGCCGGCCGCCACCUCCAGCCAGUCGGCAGUCUGACUGGGGGUGCGCGGAGCCUGCACACCUGGCCAGAGGGCGGAGAUCGCCUGGGCCCCGACGCACUGAAGGCGGUGCAACAUAUGAUGGGCAGGCCGAAGGCGGGCCUGGAUGCUGAGGAGCUGCUCAUUGAGGGUCCGAGGGGCGUCAGCGCAAUCCGCACGCCUUAUGCCCUCCGCUCCUAGCGUUGGGCCUCGAUGAUCUGUUUCGCGGCGACGGAGUGGCCUGGGAAGAAGUCUGUUUGGACAGAAGGCAAGAAAAGCCAAAGGUCAGAAACUAAGCAGUCGGCCUAGAUAAGGGCUGGCAACUCAAAAACAAGAAAGAAAAGAAAAUGAAGCUCACCAUCGACCAAGUCUUCGAUGCUGCUAAAGCAAGCAGUCAUCUGUGCCUCCUUGUCGGCCCAGGCGGAGUGCUCGAUCUUGAACUCAGUGAGGAGGUCGGUCUCCUUCGCCUUCGCCUCUCUCUGAGCCGUCUUGAGAGCCUCCGCCUGCUCCGCGAGCUGAGUGACCUGCAGGUCACGCUCUUCGGCCAGUUUGCUACACUCCGCCUCCUUGCCGCGCAGAGCGGUGUUGGCUUCGCCCAGCUGGUUCUGCAAGGCGGCGUUGGCCUCUGUAAAAAGGGAAGAAGAAAGAAUGUCAGGCAAACAACAAAGAAGGGAUGCAGUUGCCGGGAAGAUCCGGCCCGAUUGCUCAGCAGUCGGCCCGCAUCUCGGGGACUACAGCCCGCGGGUGCGCUAUCGCGCCCCCGCGGAGAAAAAGUCACUCGCAAAAAUAAAGUCACUGGAAAGAUUCGGCCCGACUGCUCUGCAGUCGGCCCGAACCUCGAGGACUACAGCCCGCGGGUGCGCCAGCGCACCCCCGCGAAGAAAGGAAGUCGAAACUUACUUCGGCUCUCGGACAAGUUGGCGGUCUGCUUCUCCAGCUCCCGGACCCCGAAGUUGAAGGUGUCCGCGUGAAGAUUGUAGUAAUCCUGCAAAGGGAUAUCAGACAAAGUUAGAAUUCGAAACCUACAAGUUAAAAAGUUCCGGGCCGCCUGCUCAGCAGCCGGCCCGAAACUUGGGGACUACAUCCAGUGGGUGCGCUGGCGCGCCCCCACGAAGGAAGCAAGAAGAUAAAAAUAAAGAGAAGUAAAGAAACUUACACGGAUGGCUGCCCGCGAAUCCAGGAAUGCCUCGUUGCAUCGCUUGAGGGCUUCGGCCUCAGCCCGGAGUUUGGCCUGGACGUCGAGGGCCGCCUGGUUCAGGGCGCCCGUCCCGCAUCCGCGUACCCAGCCAGCGGGCGCGGCGCUGGUCGCCUCGGUGUUGGGACCGAUGAGCUCGCGGCACUGGCCUCCAGCGGCCGCUGUGCCGAGGCCGCCUUUGCAAGACGGCGGUGCGCGGGCGUGCGGACCUCAGGAGUCAGGUCCAUCACCAUGUUGUUUCCGGCUGGUGGCACCAGCGGGGCAGAAGGCUGCUCAUCCUGCAUUCCGCCGGUUGGCGGUGGCGGCGGCACGAUGACGUCCGGCAUGGCCACGUCGCUGCCCUCCCUCUUCAUGACCGGUUGUUCGCCGCCGGCUCCCCCAGUCGUCGCCACAAACUCCGGCGGAGGUGGCGCAGUGUUCAGAGGAUUCACGAGUAGUGGCUCCUGGCGGCGCGCGGCCUCUGCAAGCCGCUCUGCCUCCAUGGCGUCAGCCUUCACCUGUGCCAGCUUCCUCGUCGCAGAUGUUGCGGCCUUGUCCGCCUCUGCCUUCGCCAGGCGGUCAGCUUCCUGCUCCUCGCGCGCCUCCCGCGCGUUCCACUCCUGCGCCUCUCGGAGGUCGGCGGCCGGGUCGAUUUUCCGGCUGGUGGUAGAGGUCUCCGCCGACCUGAUGACCGAGGCGGCGGCCGACUUCUCAAGGGUGAGCGGGGCCCUGAGAUAGGAAGGCAGGAUAAAGAAGUUUCCUAGGCCAGAUCGGCAAAGAGGAAUAAGCGUAAGAGGAACACUUAGGCCGACACCAUGAGCGGCACCUUCGGUUGCCUCUGGACCUUGGCCACCUUGGCCGCGGCCUCUUUCCGCCUGGUCGCCAUGGCCGGGUUCUUGGGCUUCUUCGGUGCGCUGCCGAACAGGGCGGUGAUACAUCUCCAACAUAUCUAUAAUUUUUGAUUGCUCCAUGCUAUAUUAUCUACUGUUUUGGGCAAUAUUGGGCUUUAUUUUCCACUUUUAUAUUACUUUUGGGACUAACCUAUUAACCGGAGGCCCAGCCCAGAUUUGCUGUUUUAUGCCUAUUUCAGUGUUUCGAGGAAAAGGAAUAUCAGACGGAGUCAAAAUGGAACGAAAUCAAUUGGAGAAGUUAUUUUUGGAAGGAAAGCCACCCGAUGGACUUGGAGUGCACGUCAGGAAAGAAGGGAGGUGCUCACGAGGGUGGGGGGCGCGCCCACCCCCCCUGGGGCACCCCCUGCCUCGUGGCCCCACCUUCCGUCCACCAACGUACUUCCUGCACCCAUAUAUACUCACGUACCCUAAAACUUCCAGAACAGAGAUUAGAUCGGGAGUUCCACCGCCGCAAGCCUCUGUAGCCACCAAAAACCUCUCGGGAGCCCGUUCCGGCACCCUGCCAGAGGGGGAUCCCAUCACCGGUGGCCCUCUUCAUCAUCCCGGCGCUAUCCAUGACGAGGAGGGAGUAGUUCACCCUCGGGGCUAAGGGUAUGUACCAGUAGCUAUGUGUUUGAUCUCUCUCUCUCUCUCGUGUUCUCUCUCGUGCUCCCUCUAUGGCAUGAUCUUGAUGUAUCCCGAGCUUUGCUAUUGUAGUUGGAUCUUAUGUUUCUUCUCCCCCUCUACUCUCUUGUGAUGAAUUAGUUUCCCCUUUUGAAGUUAUCUUAUCGGAUUGAGUCUAUUAUGAGAACACUUGAUGUAUGUCUUGCCGUGUUUAUCUGUGGUGACAAUGGGAUAUCAUGUGCCACUUGAUGUAUGUUUUGGUGAACAACUUGCGGGUUCCGCCCAUGAACCUAUGCAUAGGGGUUGGCACAAGUUCUUGACUCUCCGGUAGAAACUUUGGGGCACUCUUUGAAGUACUUUUAUGUUGGUUGGAUGAAUCUGAGAUUGUGUGAUGCAUAUCGUAUAAUCAUACCCACGGAUACUUGAGGUGACAAUGGAGUAUCUAGGUGACAUUAGGGUUUUGGUUGAUUUGUGUCUUAAGGUGUUAUUCUAGUACGAACUCUAGGGCUGUUUGUGGCACUUAUAAGAAUAGCCCACCGGAUUGAUUGGAAAGAAUAACUUUGAGGUGGUUUCGUACCCUACCAUAAUCUCUACGUUUGUUCUCCGCUAUUAGUGGCUUUGGAGUGACUCUUUGUUGCAUGUUGAGGAAUUGUUAUAUGAUCUAUCUAUCUUAUUAUUGUUGAGAGAACUUGCACUAGUGAAAGUAUGAACCCUAGGCCUUGUUUCCUAUCAUUGCAAUACUGUUUACGCUCACUUUUAUCAUUAGUUACCUUGCUGUUUUUAUUAUUUCAGAUUACAAAAAACCUAUAUCUACCAUCCAUAUUGCACUUGUAUCACCAUCUCUUCCCAAACUAGUACACCUAUACAAUUUACCAUUGUAUUGGGUGUGUUGGGGACACAAGAGACUCUUUGUUAUUUGGUUGCAGGGUUGUUUGAGAGAGACCAUCUUCAUCCUACGCCUCCCACGGAUUGAUAAACCUUAGGUCAUCCACUUGAGGGAAAUUUGCUACUGUCCUACAAACCUGUGCACUUGCAUGCCCAACAACGUCUACAAGAAGAAGGUUGUGUAGUAGACAUCAAGCUCUUUUCUGGCGGCGUUGACGGGGAGGCUAGGUAAGUGAAGGUAUAUCUUUAAAUCUUGUAAUCGUAUCUUUUUGUUUCUUGUUUUAGCACUAGUUAGUCUAUAAAAGAAAAUUACAAAAAAAUGGAAUUGAGUUUGUCUCAUACGCUUCACCUUUUUAAUAUCUUUCGUGAGAAUGAUGGAAAGGAAAAUUGUGCCAAAGUGCUAGAAGAAGAAUUACAUAGAAUGCUUGGCAUGAAAUAUGUGAAUGAUGAGCAUGAUUGCAAUGUUGUUAGUAUGAAUUCCUUGAAUAUCCAUGAUGCUAAUGAUAUGCAAAGCCACAAGCUUGGGGAAGCUAUGUUUGAUGAAGAUGAUAUUUUUUGUCCCCCAAGCUUUGAUGAGCAAAUUUACCAUGAUGAAAGCAUGCCUCCUAUCUAUGAUGAUUAUUGUGAUGACAUGUAUGCUUUAAAGAAUAAUGAUAACCAUGAAAAUUGUCAUCUUGAUCUUAAUCUUCAAUCAUAUGAUAGUUAUUUUGUUGAGUUUGCUCCAACUAUUAUUCAUGAGAAGAAUUUUGCUUAUGUGGAGAGUAGUAAAAUUUCUAUGCAAGUAGAUCAUGAAAAGAAUGCUUUAGGUGCUGGUUAUAUUGUUGAAUUCAUUCAUGAUGCUACUGAAAAUUAUUAUGAGGGAGGAACAUAUGCUUGUAGGAAUUGCAAUAAUAUCAAGUUUCCUCUCUAUGUGCUUAAAAUCUUGAAGUUAUGCUUGUUUUACCUUCCUAUGCAAGUUGAUUCUUGUUCCCAUAAGUUGUUUGCUCACAAAAUCCCUAUGCGUAGGAAGUGGGUUAGACUUAAAUUUGCUAGUCAUAUUCUUCAUGAUGCUCUCUUUAUGUUUCAAUUCCUAUCUUUUAUGUGAGCAUCAUUGAAAUCAUAAUGCCUAGCUAGGGGCGUUAAACGAUAGCACUUGUUGGGAGGCAACCCAAUUUUAUUUUAGUUUCUUGCUUUUUGGUCCUGUUUAGGAAUAAAUAAUCCAUCUAGCUUCUGUUUAGAUGUGGUUUUAUGUCUUAAUUAGUGUUUGUGCCAAGUAGAACCUUUGGGAAGACUUGGGUGAAGUCUUUAUGAUCAUGCUGUAAAAAACAGAAACUUUAGGGCUCACGAGAUUAGCUAGAACUUUUUACUGGAGAGUGCUAUUUAGUUGAUUCUUUUUGAAGAUGAUUACUAGACAAAUUCCUCAGGUCCACCAAUUUAUUUUAGAAUUUUUAGAGUUCCAUAAGUUUGCGUUAGUUACAGAUUACUACAGACUGUUCUGUUUUUGACAGAUUCUGUUUUUCGUGUGUUGUUUGCUUAUUUUGAUGAAUCUAUGGCUAGUAAAAUAGUUUAUAAACCAUAGAGAAGUUGUAAUACAGUAGGUUUAACACCAAUAUAAAUAAAGAAUGAGAUCAUUACAGUACAUUGAAGUGGUGUUUUGUUUUCUUUCUUUAACGGAACUCACGAGUUUUCUGUUAAGUUUUGUGUUGUGAAGUUUUCAAGUUUUGGGUAAAGAUUCGAUGGACUAUGGAAUAAGGAGUGGAAAGAGCCUAAGCUUGGGGAUGCCCAAGUCACCCCAAGGUAAUAUUCAAGGACAACCAAGAGCCUAAGCUUGGGUAUGCCCCGGAUGGCAUCCCCUCUUUCGUCUUCGUUCAUCGGUAACUUUACUUGGAGCUAUAUUUUUAUUCACCACAUGAUAUGUUUUUUCUUGGAGCGUUAUUUUAUUUUGUUAGUAUUUUCUUGCUGUUAUUUAGAUUAAUGUUUUGCAUCUUUAGUUUCAAUAAAAAAGUCAAGGAUAGCCUUUGCCAUGCUUAUUUUUGCUACUAUACAUGUUGCUGUUUGAAAACAGAAAGUUUACCGCUGUUGCAAAAAUUCCCUAGAAACUUCAAAGAAUGAUAUAAUGAUUAAACCUUUUGCAUAUUGAGCUCUGAUAAAUUUAUUACAGUGGGAAUUUUAUUUCAUGUUUUUUGGAGUUAGGGAAGUAUUGAUACUCUUGCAUUCUUCACAGGUUGUACUGUUUUGGCAGAUUGCUGUUAUGUUUGCAUUAUUUGCAUUGUUUGCAUAUGUUUUCUUGUUUAAUGGUUCUAUUUGAGGAUAGGAGUAUUAAAUAUGCAGAGGCAUUUAGUAUCAAAUGUUUAAUAAUAAUGUUAGUGAUUUGUUACAGUAGAAAAUGAUAAGGUUUUGCAUUGGUCUAUACUAACCUAUCUCACGAGUUCUUGUUGACUUUGUUGUGAAUGAAGCUUUUGAUAAAAAGAGAAACCAUGAUAUGAGAGGAAUUAAGGAGACAUAAAAGCUCAAGCUUGGGGAUGCCCAAGGAACCCCAAGAUAAUAUUUCAAGAAGUCUCAAGCAUCUAAGCUUGGGGAUGCCCCGGUAGGCAUCCCACCUUUCUUCUUCAACAACUAUCGGUUAGUAUCGGUUGAGCCGAAGUUUUUGCUUCUUCACAUGAGUUGUGCUAUCCUUGGAAUGUCAUUUUCUUUAGCUUUGCUUCCUGUUUGAAUAAAAUACCAAGAUCUGAAAUUAUUAAAAGGGAGAGUCUUCACAUAGUUGUAUAAUUAUCCGACUACUCAUUGAUCUUCACUUAUAUCUUUCGGAGUAGUUUGUCAUUUGCUCUAGUACUUCACUUAUAUCUUUUAGAGCAUGGUGGUAGUUAUAUUUUGAAGAAAUAGAUGAACUCUCGUGCUUCACUUAUAUUAUUUUGAGAGUCUUAAAUAGCAUGGUAAUUUGCUUAAAUAAUCAUAAUAUGCUAAGCAUACAAGAUUUGUAAGAAUUCUUAUGAGUGUGUUGAAUACUAAUAGAAGUUUGAUGCUUGAUGAUUGUUUUGAGAUAUGAAGAUGGUGAUAUUAGAAUCAUGCUAGUUGAGUAGUUGUGAAUUUGAGAGAUACUUGUGUUAAAGUUUGUGAUUCCUGUAGCAUGCACGUAUGGUGAACCGUUAUGUGAUGAAGUCGGAGCAUGAUUUAUUUAUUGAUUGUCUUCCUUAUGAGUGGCGGUCGGGGACGAGCGAUGGUCUUUUCCUACCAAUCUAUCCCCCUAGGAGCAUGCGCGUAAUACUUUGCUUUGAUAACUUCUAGAUUUUUGCAAUAAGUAUAUGAGUUCUUUAUGACUAAUGUUGAGUCCAUGGAUUAUACGCACUUUUCCUUCCUUCCAUCAUUGCUAGCCUCUCUAAUACCGCGCACCUUUCGCCGGUAUCAUACACCCACCAUAUACCUUCCUCAAAACAGCCACCAUACCUACCUAUCACAGCAUUUCCAUAGCCAUUCCGAGAUAUAUUGCCAUGCAACUUACCAUUGUUCCGUUUAUUAUGACACGCUCCAUCAUUGUCAUAUUGCUUAGCAUGAUCAUGUAGUUGACAUCGUAUUUGUGGCAGAGCCACCGUUCAUAAUUCUUUCAUACAUGUCACUCUUGAUUCAUUGCAUAUCCCGGUACACCGCCGGAGGCAUUCAUAUAGAGUCAUAUUUUGUUCUAAGUAUCAAGUUGUAAUUGUUGAGUUGUAAGAAAAAUAAAAGUGUGAUGAUCAUCAUUAUUAGAGCAUUGUCCUAGUGAGGAAAGGAUGAUGGAGACUAUGAUUCUCCCAUAAGUCGGGAUGAGACUCCGGACGAAAAAUAAAAAAAGAAAAAAAAAGAGGCGAAAAAAAGAAGAGAAAAGGCCCAAAUAAAAAAAUAAAAAAAGAGAGAAAAAGAGAGAAGGGGCAAUGCUACUAUCCUUUUACCACACUUGUGCUUCAAAGUAGCACCAUGAUCUUCAUGAUAGAGAGUCUCCUAUGUUGUCACUUUCAUAUACUAGUGGGAAUUUUUCAUUAUAUAACUUGGCUUGUAUAUUCCAAUGAUGGGCUUCCUCAAAUGCCCUAGGUCUUCGUGAGCAAGCGAGUUGAAUGCACACACACUUAGUUUCUUUUGUUGAGCUUUCAUAUACUUAUAGCUCUAGUGCAUCCGUUGCAUGGCAAUCCGUACUCACUCACAUUGAUAUCUAUUGAUGGGCAUCUCCAUAGCCCGUUGAUACGCCUAGUUGAUGUGAGACUAUCUUCCCCUCCUUUUGUCUUCUCCACAACCACCAUUCUAUUCCACAUAUAGUGCUAUAUCCAUGGCUCACGCUCAUGUAUUGCGUGAAGAUCGAAAAAAGUUUUGAAAAUGUUAAAGUAUGAAACAAUUGCUUGGCUUGUCAUCGGGGUUGUGCAUGAUUUAAAUACUUUGUGUGGUGAAGAUAGAGCAUAGCCAGACUAUAUGAUUUUGUAGGGAUAAGUUUCUUUGGCCAUGUUAUUUUGAGAAGACAUAAUUGCUUUGUUAGUAUGCUUGAAGUAUUAUUAUUUUUAUGUCAAUAUGAACUUUUGUCUUGAAUCUUUCGGAUCUGAAUAUUCAUAUCACAAGUAAUAAGAAUUACAUUGAAAUUAUGCCAACUAGAAUUCCACAUCAAAAAUUAUCUUUUUAUCAUUUACCUACUCGAGGACGAGCAGGAAUUAAGCUUGGGGAUGCUUGAUACGUCUCCAACGUAUCUAUAAUAUUUGAUUGCUCCAUGCUAUAUUAUCUACUGUUUUGGGCAAUAUUGGGUUUUAUUUUCCACUUUUAUAUUACUUUUGGGACUAACCUAUUAACCGGCGGCCCAGCCCAAAUUUGCUGUUUUAUGCCUAUUUCAGUGUUUCGAGGAAAAGGAAUAUCAGACGGAGUCAAAACGGAACGAAAUCAACUGGAGAAGUCAUUUUUGGAAGGAAAGCCACCCGAUGGACUUGGAGUGCAUGCCAGGAAAGAAGGGAGGUGCUCACGAGGGUGGGGGGCGCGCCCACCCCCCUGGGACGUGCCCCCCUGCCUCGUGCCCCCCCCCCUUCGGUCCAUCAACGUACUUCCUGCACCCAGAUAUACUCACGUGCCCUAAAACUUCUAGAACAGAGAUUACAUCGGGAGUUCCCCCGCCGCAAGCCUCUGUAGCCACCAAAAACCUCUCGGGAGCCCGUUCCGGCACCCUGCCGGAGGGGUAUCCCAUCACCGGUGGCCAUCUUCAUCAUCCCGACGCUAUCCAUGACGAGGAGGGAGUAGUUCACCCUCGGGGAUGAGGGUAUGUACGAAUAGCUAUGUGUUUGAUAUCUCUCUCGUGUUCCCUCUAUGGCACAAUCUUGAUGUAUCCCGAGCUUUGAUAUUGUAGCUGGAUCUUAUGUUUCUUCUCCCCCUCUAUUCACUUGUGAUGAAUUGAGUUUCCCCUUUUGAAGUUAUCUUAUCGGAUUGAGUCUUUUAUGAGAACACUUGAUGUAUGUCUUGCCAUGUUUAUCUGUGGUGACAAUGGGAUAUCAUGUGCCACAUGAUGUAUGUUUUGGUGACCAACUUGCGGGUUCUGCCCAUGAACCUAUGCAUAGGGGUUGGCACACGUUCUUGACUCUCCGAUAGAAAAUUUGGGGCACUCUUUGAAGUACUUUUAUGUUGGUUGGAUGAAUCUGAGAUUGUGUGAUGCAUAUCGUAUAAUCAUACCCACGGAUACUUGAGGUGACAAUGGAGUAUCUAGGUGACAUUAGGGUUUUGGUUGAUUUGUGUCUUAACGUGUUAUUCUAGUACGAACUCUAGGGCUGUUUGUGACACUUAUAGGAAUAGCCCACCGGAUUGAUUGGAAAGAAUAACUUUGAGGUGGUUUUGUAUCCUACCAGAAUCUCUACGUUUGUUCUCUGCUAUUAGUGGCUUUGGAGUGACUCUUUGUUGCAUGUUGAGGGAUUGAUAUAUGAUCUAUCUAUCUUACUAUUGUUGAGAGAACUUGCACUAGUGAAAGUAUGAACCCUAGGCCUUGUUUCCUAUCAUUGCAAUACCGUUUACGCUCACUUUUAUCAUUAGUUACCUUGCUGUUUUUAUUAUUUCAGAUUACAAAAACCUAUAUCUACCAUCCAUAUUGCACUUGUAUCGCCAUCUCUUCGCCGAACUAGUGCACCUAUACAAUUUACCAUUGUAUUGGGUGUGUUGGGGACACAAGAGACUCUUUGUUAUUUGGUUGCAGGGUUGUUUGAGAGAGACCAUCUUCAUCCUACGCCUCCCACGGAUUGAUAAACCUUAGGUCAUCCACUUGAGGGAAAUUUGCUACUGUCCUACAAACAUGUGCACUUGCAGGCCCAACAACGUCUACAAGAAGAAGGUUGUGUAGUAGACAUCAGGCGGCACCUUGCUUCCACUUGCGCUUGCCGCCUCGGGCAGGCGGCUCGGUAGAGGGGCCUGCGCCGGUGUUCGCAGUGCUCAGGGAGGGCGCGGCUCGUGUUUGUCGUCGUCGUCAUCGGGCCAGAUCUCCACGCCGCCGCCCUCCUCGCAGCCGCCUUCUCCGUUGCCGCCACCUGCUGCGUCGUCCUCCAAGGCGGCCGCCCCCAAGUCAGGGUCGUCCACGUCGCUCACUGCCCGGUCCGGCAGGUAGUCAUCACCCGGCCCCACGAUGGCAGCUGUCGCCGUGGACAUAUAAAUCUGUGCUCUAGAAAAGGAGUUGCGUCACACCAGGAACAAGAAUAAAAGUCAGAACUAAAAGAAGAUAUCGAGGGACUUACGGCAGGUGGUAGGUUGUCGCGGGAAUACAGCCGUUUCCCGAACCGCCAGUCUCCCUCUGACACCUUGAGGUCGGAAAUCUCGUUCACCAUCGUCGCAACCUCAGCAGUUGGCAUCUCCCUCGUGCACAACCUGCUCGGGUCACGGUGCCCGCUCAUCCGACAGAUCAGAUGAGGGCAGCCCUGAAGCGGGAGGACCCGACGCUCAACGAAGGCGAUGAGGAGGUCGGAGGCCACGAGGCCCUCCGACUCCUGGAGCACCCGGAGUCGGCCGAUGGCGGCUGCCACGUCCGCCGACACCGGCUUCGGCUUGUAGCCCCAGUUGGGCCGAAGCCCUACAGAGGGGGCCUGCCUCGUAGGCCAGAAGGUUGAUGAAGUCGAUAGCCGGGUCGACAUUCUCAACGUAGAAAUAAGACUGCUGCCACAGUUUCACCGACUGUGACAGCUUGAUGAUUGGGAAGGCAUUCCUCUUCGCCAGCCGGCGCACGGCGACUAAUCUGCCGCGCUCGGCCGCCGUCUCCUUGGAGGAGGUGCCCAGCUUGCCGUAGAAGAACGCCCCCCACAGCUCGAGUGUGGGAGGAUGCCGAGGUAUCCCUCGCACACCGUGACGAAGCCGGAGAGCAGAGUCACGGUGUUGGGCGUCAGGUGAUGCGGCUGGAGGUAGUUGAAGUCCAUGAACGAGCGGAGGAAGCCGCUCGCCGGAAGGCCGAAGCCGCGGAGGAAGUGCGAGCGGAAGACGACCCAGCGGCGAAAUCUCCUCCGCCGGUGGCACCCGCGCCUUGAUGAAGGCCGCGUUGGGCAUCUGGCGCGUGUUCCGGAGGAAGGUGAGGUGGUCUUCGAUCACCGUCGAGCCGUCCCAGUCGCCGCCCAUCUCGCGCGCCAUGGCCUCGGAUGGACCUGCGAGGGGAGGAGGAGCACCAUGGCGAGCACUAAAGCAGCAUCAGCAGUAGUGGCGGAGAGAGCAAGAGGAGGAAGAGAGUGUGGGGAGGAGGGCGCGCGUGCUCCGCCGCUCCCCUUCCUCCCCCUGCUUAUAGCCCUCGGGCUGCGAAGCCGAGGGGGCGGGGCGUGGUAUCGUGGGAUUAACUGCGUCCAUGACCCCACGACCCCCCCCCGAUUACUGCGUGAAGAUACUUCACCUUAAACGCUCGCGGGAAUCGCACCGCCCACCUCGGCCGCAGCGGAUCCGCCCGCGUGCCGAGGCCCGGUAGUGGCGGGCCCGGCCCACUGUCACGUCCUAUCAGGAGCGUGGGAUGGCAGGCUGGCCGGGCUGACGUGCGUCGCGUGGCGUUCUUGUGGCGGGCGGCGGGCCUGCGAAGCUUAGCAGGCACGCCACCUGUUUCCUGCCUUGGAGUUCAAAAUUUUUGUUUUUGUUUUUAAUAGUAAUAGCGCGGAUCGCACCCACGCUACUACUAACACACGUAGUUGUAGCGCGGCGCACCUGCGCUACUACUACAAGUUAGUUGUCGCGUCGUAGUAGUAGCACGGAUGCCUGCGCUACUACUAGGUAUUUAACCCGCGCUACUACUAGGCUUUUCCCUAGUAGUGUAUGAUUGCACGAUGUCUUGCUCUUCGUGCAUAGGCACGUAUAUAUGAUGUACAAAGAUGGGCCACGGACCUCAACUAUACAAGGAACUAGGAGGCGGGCCCAAUACACAAUAUGCACAUAACACAUAUACUCAACAAUAACCACUAUGGUCUUCGGCCUAUAUCCCGGAGACAAUGGAAUCUAUACCUAUGCUAUCCACUUCGACGUCAGCAUGAAACCAGGUAUGAACGACGCCUAUAACAUGUCAUGGGAGGCCCCUGUUAAAGGUCUUAUGGCCUCUGAACAAACAAGCUUGUUCGUUGUUGGUUGUGGUGUGGGUGUCUUCUUGUUUGGCCAUAAUACCAACGAUCCCAUCAGCAGUUGCAUGAGUAUUUGCCUAGACGACAAAAUGGCCAUGGAGGAGGCAAAUCUAACAACGACAAAGUGGCCAUGAGUAUUUUAAGAAAGGGUCAAAUAAAAAAUUCUCUUUGAAGUAGAAGGGCGGCAAACCCGAAGAUAAGGAGCAAGGCCGACCCUAGGUCCAUUGGGCUUGAGCAAACCAAACCAUAUACUUGAACGUUGAACAGCUCAGCGCUCUCUUUGGGCCUGUACUCACUCACUAGGGUACAUGCAUGUGGCCUCAGAUUGCAAGGUGAUGGUGGAGGACUUGAAGAAGGAUAACUCUUCAGUUUACGGAGCUAUCAUACAUGAAAUAAUUCAUCACUCGUCGGAUUUUGCUUUUUGUAAAUUUGGUCAUGAACUUAGGAGCUCAAAUGUUGAAGUUCACAACUUAAUAAGGUAUGUUUUAUCUCUCGGGGUGGCCGUCCUGUGUGGUUGAACAUCAUGGAGAUCUUUCCUCCGUCCCUGUAAACAUUGUAACGAAUUAUUCACUACUACAAAAACACCUAUUAGUCCCGGUUCGUAAGGGCCUUUAGUCCCGGUUCAUGAACCGGGACUAAUGGAUCGUUACUAAUACCUCCCCCCUUUAGUCCCAGUUCUAACACGAACCGGGACAGAUGGUCCUCCACGUGGCCGGUGGGCCGAGCCCAGGCAGGGGGGCCUUUGGUCCCGGUUGGUGGCACCAACCGGGACCAAAAGGCAUCCACGCGUCAGCAUUCCAGUGGCUGGGGUNNNNNNNNNNNNNNNNNNNNNNNNNNNNNNNNNNNNNNNNNNNNNNNNNNNNNNNNNNNNNNNNNNNNNNNNNNNNNNNNNNNNNNNNNNNNNNNNNNNNNNNNNNNNNNNNNNNNNNNNNNNNNNNNNNNNNNNNNNNNNNNNNNNNNNNNNNNNNNNNNNNNNNNNNNNNNNNNNNNNNNNNNNNNNNGGGGGUUAAUUUAGGUGUUUCAUAUAUUGUGUUAGCUAGUUAAUUAAUAGAGAGAAGUGUCCUCUCUUAUGUCCGUCCUUGGUCGACGCUACGUACUAUAUACAUAUAGCCCUCGACACGCUAGCUAGUAAUAAAAUGAAGGGAACCAUCGAGUAGAGAAGUUCGUCAUGCAUAUCGAGAGAAAUGAUCGAUCAACCUCUCCUUCUCCGAGAGAUUGGUCGAACAACAAGUUUUCGUAUCAUGUACGUCCGACGCUACUAGCUACAUACAUGUACAAUAUAUAAGAUCUCUCAAUUACAGUCCCCUAGCAUUUGAAAUCAACUUCCACAUGGUAUUCUCCGGCUUUAUUAAUGACGUGGUCAAGAAAGAAUCCCGCCAAUUCCUCUUGAAUUGCUUUAAUGCGAUCUGGUUCUAGGAGUUCAUUCCGCAUCUGCCACGUCUAAUUUGAAGAAGGGGGUUAAUUAAUACAUAUAUAUGAAUGAAACUCAACAGAAAUGAUGGUGUAAUAAAAUGAAAUUGUGAAUAUUAUUAAUUGCUUACGCACUUCAUAUUGUCUUUGAGAGUAGCCCCGCUUAUUUUUCAAAGUCGCAUUGUAGAUGAACUCACACACGUAGUAUCCACAGAAAUCAUUCCCUUAUUCCUGUCACAAGCACUUUACGAGAAAUAGAGGUCAAUCAAACUGAUAAUGAAGCAUUAUAAAUGGCAUUGAUGAAAGUAUAGCUAUAGAAUCAACGAGAGAUGCGCACAACUAGCUAGCUAGUAGUACUUACUUUCGGGUAUGUAUAUCGCAGCUCCUUCGGCAGUCCCGGAGCUACUGCGGUGAACUGUUUCCAAACCCUACAAGACAAAGAAAAUAAUUAUUAUUACUUGAGAUAUCAGGAAAUGAACAAAAAGUUGCCGCUAUCACUACACCACAACACUUGAUUGGGGGCAGUUAACUGCCGGGAGAAAUAGCGGAACAAGGGCAAAUGAACUGCCGGGACAUUUGUUACUGCCGGCAGAAGUACCUCGAGGCACAGAAACUGCCGUUAGAACCUGAGCAACGCGGGCACAAACACUGCCGGUACAUUUUAAGGCACACAAUCUGCCGGGACAACCCAAACCUGGCCCAUUUAUUGCCGGGGACCCUCUUGGGCGCGAGACCAAAAAUAUAAUGGGCCUGAGCGCGCGCUGGCGACGGAAAGCGCGCGAGAGAUGAAAUUUUCUAGCCCAAAUGAACUAUAGACGCGCCGGCCCUCCACCCACAGAGGCCGCAGCCGCCCCCAAAUCGACGCCCCACUCCUACCCUCGACCAGAUCGCAUCUGCCGCCGGCCGCCCCCCACCCGACCACUUCUGCCGUCGCCCUCCGCCACCACAGCUCUGUCGUUGGUCCCCACACCGACCACCGCCGCUGCCGCCCCCAACUACCCCAUAGUAGCGCCGGCNNNNNNNNNNNNNNNNNNNNNNNNNNNNNNNNNNNNNNNNNNNNNNNNNNNNNNNNNNNNNNNNNNNNNNNNNNNNNNNNNNNNNNNNNNNNNNNNNNNNNNNNNNNNNNNNNNNNNNNNNNNNNNNNNNNNNNNNNNNNNNNNNNNNNNNNNNNNNNNNNNNNNNNNNNNNNNNNNNNNNNNNNNNNNNNNNNNNNNNNNNNNNNNNNNNNNNNNNNNNNNNNNNNNNNNNNNNNNNNNNNNNNNNNNNNNNNNNNNNNNNNNNNNNNNNNNNNNNNNNNNNNNNNNNNNNNNNNNNNNNNNNNNNNNNNNNNNNNNNNNNNNNNNNNNNNNNNNNNNNNNNNNNNNNNNNNNNNNNNNNNNNNNNNNNNNNNNNNNNNNNNNNNNNNNNNNNNNNNNNNNNNNNNNNNNNNNNNNNNNNNNNNNNNNNNNNNNNNNNNNNNNNNCCGCCACUGACCGCCCUCUACCCUGACCACUGCCGUCGUCGCCCCCAAGCACCCCAACUGACAAGGACAACCGCCACUCCACUGGCGACGACCCUCCUCCGUCGAACGCGGUCCCUCAUGACCACCCUACUUCGUGAGCCACCCCCCUCCCUCCCUCCCCUGAGCAAGCCUCCUCCCUAGGUGCAUGGCCACAGAGCAGAAUCGAGGGCGCAAAGAUUGUUACGCUGGUAUGGCGCGUGCGACGAAUACCUUGUUGCCCUCAUUUUCAGAUUCUGCCUUUGUCCUAGAUGAUGUUGUUGAUGCUACUAUUUUUCUUAUAAUGAUCCUCGUGCAGUCGAUUGAGCCAGGAGUUCUUCAGAUGGGAUUGGUGAGUGCAAUAGUGCUGGAGUGUGUGGACUUUGUUUUUCUCCAGGGAAGUCAAAUCAGUGGUGGUUCUGUUAAUUGCACUGACGUAAUAUUUGUAUUCUCUGAAGGUGACGGUUCUGAUUUAAUCACUUUGAACCCAAGUGAGGUUUAUAGCCUAAAUAAAUGUUUGCUCUACGUAACAUAACAUAUAUAACUUUUGUAUUUAGCCUUCGGUUGCAUCAGGGAGCAAACAAGUGCUAUCUUGUCUAAGUUUUACUUAUAUCGUAGAGUGCUUGAUUGUAGGACUACACAUGUUGAAUCGUUAUAACUGUGGCAUUAGGUUUCUCAAAGCCAAAGUUCAAUUUUUACCACCCUACUGAGAUGCUAAUGUAGAUCUGUUGGAGUGAGAAAUAUACCUCAUAGUAGGACAUAUAUAGAUGGAACACCCGUUCCUACAAUUUAGCAACCAAAGUGUGUUCCUUUUCCUUCCAUAGUUACUUGCUUAUCUACUUGAAAUCUAAUUUGUCAAUUAUAAUGUGCCAUGAAUUUUCUUUUAAGCAAAAAGAAUGGAAAAAGGGAAGAGAUGAAGAUGAUGCUGAAGCACGAGUGCAAGAGAGGCUAGGAAAACUUAUAUCAAUGAAUGGUGCAGACUUUGAACGUUUUGGGUCCUAAAAUAUAAAUGAAGAUCCUGGAGGCCGAGCCAGUCAAUGACAAACUAACAGGAGGAAGGUGAUAUAACAUGCUUCUGUUUGGUUACUGCAUCAAUUAUAAAACUGCAUCUACUACUUCAGUUUUGAGGCACUUUAUACACCAUCUUGUUUGGUUAUUUGUAGCGCACUGCAUAAAUGCCUACUGUUGAAGUAACUCGAGUUCUUAGGUCCAAAACGACUAGAGAUGUUGAAGACAAAUACAUGUCAAAAGAAGGAAUGUGACCACAAGCAAGCUAGGAGGUAUAUACAUGUUUCUCUUGGCUAUCGCCAUGUGAUACUAUUUCUUUGUUGUUUGACAUUCAAUCGUUAUCUUGAUAAAUUUGGAAGGAACUCAAAGCCUCUCAAUCAUGAUAAUACUAUUUCUUAUAAGGAGUACCUUAUAAGAUGCAUUGAUCACUUCAGAAAGAGCUAAGCUUAUAAGAUGCAUUGCUUAUACUGCAUGCACCUUUGUUUGUGAUGUUAGGCGAUUUAAAAUAUUGAAACAGGAAAUAUUGGCCAAGUCAGACCUCUUAGUUUUGCUUGUCACAUCGGAACCCUGCUCUGUUAGCUUACUGCUAGUAUUACCUCGUAGAAUCAAAUUGGAAGUGAUAAAAUGCAGAUUUGAAUGGCAGUCUACCUAGAUAGCGAUGCUUUGCUCAUUUCCUAAAAUUUUCUCUAUGAGUAGGUCCCUGAUCUUGUUUAUCUUCUGCUCUGGGUUGUGUGAUUUGUACUGUACAUUUGUUCUAUGGAGAACUCUAUCCCGUUAUUUUCUCUGUAUUCUACCCUCAUGGUUCGUAGGUAACAAGCACAGUAUUUGGAUGUGAUGGCAUUAACUAUUGGUCGCUUAUUUGUAUGCCUAACAAGUUGGGUGAAAAAUGCUCAUUUGGUAAAAAUUUCUUCAUAGGUAGGUCUUUCAUAUUGUUCAUGUGCUAGUCUGGGUUAGGUGACAAGCUCGUUUUCUUUGCUUAACAAUAUUAGAAGCUUCGCAAAACACAGUUCUCUAUUUAUUAUCUGUUAUUUUCACUUGUCCAGUUUUCCAUCUGAUGUUCACUUGUCCAACUUAAUAAUAUUAGCAGCAUCAUAAAACACAGUUCUCUAUAUCGAUAUUCUGUCAUUCUUUUUCUUGAUGGAUGUCUAUUUUUGCAUAAUAUGCUUACUUAGGCCCUGUUAGGCAAAAUACCACAACCACAAAUCCUCAACUUGAUCACUCAUCACCAACCGCCAGCUUCCUAGGCAAAAACUCGGUUUGAGGGGAUGAGUAAUAGUUUCCCCCCUCUUGUUCUCCUAUUUAACUAUGUACAUAGAGCAUACAGGGAGCUUUUGAUCACUACAAAACUGUACUCUUGCAAAGGAAAUAUAUACGUAAAUUUUGAAAGUAGCAUGACAAAUAUUGAGAAUCAUGAACAUCGAGUUUUGGACAUGUCAUAGAACAAAGGCCUCACAUUUAGCUUCGUGUUUAUAUUGCUUUCUCAACUGCUUCCUUACGCUGCCAUAGCUAUAAUCUCCAGCAAUUGCUUCCUCCAGAUUCCCUGUGGUCUCGGUCAAUGGUUGCUUUAAAACUAAAUUACUCUAUAUUUACAUUGGUUGCUCAAAGUAAAAAUAUGUACUCUGCACUGAAUAUUAACCUGUGGUCGUGUUUUUUAGAAGGGAACAAUAUCGAUGUUAGAAGUAGUAACAAGAAGCAAUAUCAGCUUAUCCUACAUCCACUAAUGUCACUUAAAUCCCAAAAGCACUUAUAUGCCGCUGACGAAAAUAAAGCUUUCAUUAGUAAGUUGUACUUGACAUAUUGUUUUUCCAUGGAAUCCUGCUUAUAUUCACUAGGUAUUACUUUGUCUACUUAGAAUUAGCUCUUGGUAUGUUUGGUGUAAAUCAAUUAUGUACAAAUUUCUGGUUUGCCAAAUUUUACCAUGGAUAAUAUUUGUAUGUGCAGGGCAAAUGAUUCUUGCUUGAUCUAAUUAUGUGAUUUUGCUUGCUGUGAUGAUGAAGUGCAACACAUUUAGAAGAGUUUUAUUUAUGCUAAUGAGUUAAAUUGCUACAUGUCAAAAUCUUUAAAUUGUCUCUUCAAAAAUCUGAAACAAGAGCUUCAUUUUGAGUUUCCAAUCUAUUGCAGGUUUCCGAAAGGCACACAAGUUGACGGACGUUUGAAAGACCUUCAAGCCAUUGAAGAUUUGGAAGACCUGUAAUUAAGUUGGUGGGGUGAUAAUGUCAUAUGCCUUGUUGAACCUGGAGACUUGCUCUGCCCAUUUUGGUUGUGUGGCACAUCUAGAAAUAUAUGUACUUCUCCAUUUGUGGCACUACUUCAUUUUGGUUGUGUGGCACAUCUAGAAACGUAUAUGUACUUCUCCAUUUAUGGCACAACCUCCUUAUAUAUGAUUGUUAUAUAUGUUUAUUGACUCAACUUUAAGGGUUUUGAUGAGGCCUAUAUGUUACUUUGAUUGAUGAAGUGAAUGUAUAAAUUGUGUGGUAUGUCAUGAUUGCUUGAAUAAAAUGAAUGGAUAUUACUUUAGGGAUGCCUAGAACAGUUUGCUAGUGAAAUCAAUGUACUGGCAUAAAAACUGUCGGGUAAAGAUACUUGUGCUGGCAGUAGAACUGCCGGCAGUAGAACUGCCAGCAGUAGAACUGCCAUUAAUUGUAGUUGCAUGUCCCUUGACCAAUCUGCCGGGAGAAAAUGGACUGCCGGCAAAUAGAUGGGCAAGGGCAAACAAACUGCCGGGAGAAGUUUAUCUGCCGGGACAAGUAAUCCCCGGCAGCCGUUCUCGUGGUGGUUCUAUUUGCCGGGAGAAAGACUGUCCUGGCAGUUUAUCUGCCCUAUAAAGUGUCUUUUCCUGGCAGUUUUUCUUUCCUUGCAUCAGUGUUGUGGUGUAGUGUAUGGUGCGAUAAUGAUCGAUUGAACUUACUUGCUGAGCAUUUCAGUCAUGUCCGCAUAGGUGCUGGGAUAUUUCCGUCUCGAGUCUAAGACGGUUACUAGUCCACGCUCAAGCUUAACCUCCAGAAGAAUAUAGUGGUACCUGCGCACGCAUGCAUAACUCAUCAAUUACAUUACUAUAACCUCGCUCGAGUAAUAAGGGAAACCGAAUAUGCAAACGAUCAGUAACACUCACUUGCCGUUGUAAGGAAAGAGUAUGGUAUUUUUGUUUUGAUUUUUGAUCAACGAUUGUAGCAAGUUGUCCUCGGCCUCUUUGACGUGCUUUUCAACCAGAAAUACAUCUAUGAUAUUUGUGUUAAUGAACCCAAUAUCAUAGAUUUCAUUUUUUUUGCACUCGACGAUCUUCAAUCUGCAUAAUAUAUUGAGGAUAAUUAAUUAUAAAUACAUGCAAUGAAAGAGCUGAGCUAUAUAUAGAGACUUAAUGACAGAAAUAGUACUUAUAGGUAGUAGCAAAAGACCGUUAAUUUAUCGAGGGCCUUUUGAUUGAAGAACGCGAAGAACUCCUCAAAUGGAACACACAACAGAUCAGUUCCAACGAGGUCGUGCUCCUCUUUAAUGUGCAGAUACAAACUAUUCAUCCCCCCAGACUCUCUGCAGGUUUUCAUGUACCAAGUAUGGAAUCUUCGCAUCAUCGUUGUUAGAGAUUUUUCAUCUUUGACGAGAGGCUUCCCGUACUCCUAUCUAUGUUCUUCCACCUUCAUGAAUUCAGGAACUGCAUUGUCAGGCAGGUAAUCUUGUGGAUUGCCAUAACCGGCCACCAUCCCCAGAACAUUAGCAACGAUGUUGCCGCUAGACACAUUGAGCGGGGGGCACGAUUGGUUUGGUUGUUCGCCGAGCUGGUCAAUUUUUUCGCAGCUGCUCGUUCUUUUGUUCUUUGAUGUCUGACAGUACUUCCCGACCGCUCCGCUUGGAGAUAUGUCUGUUCUGUAAUGCGCUCAUAGUUGGUUCUCGGUGGAGACUUUGUCGGUUUCCUCAGGGCAGCCAGAGUGCGCUUCGCUUUCACCGGAUCUACCUUCUCCUCUAGAGGUGGAUGUCUCUUUGCUUUCAACCCUGCAAACCAGUCAUCCACUUCGGUCUGCGCGAUCUUCGCAUUUUCCUCCUCGGUCCUCUCGUACGGUAACUUCUCUGGAGUCUUCAGACAAGGACCGAAUCUGUAUUUCCUCCCGCCUUUGGUUGUACUGCUAGAUGCCGGCAGAGCAGACGGAGUGGAUGCCUUCUUUGCUUGCUUUUUGCGAGGCGGAGGAGAAGGACUACGACGCGCCGGAGUAGCCGGAGCGGCGGUGGAUUUCUUCCGCCCUUGCUGACGAGGCGGAGAAGGAGGAGGCUGGCUGCUCGGGCGCGCCGACGCAGGCGGAGAAGGAGGCGGAGUGCCGCCACGCGCCGGAGAAGGAGGCGGAGUGCCACCACGCGUGCCCUGAUCGUCACUCGCCGGAGGAGGAAGCGGUGGAGGAGACGGAGUGCCCUGACUCGCCGGAGGAGGAGGAGGCGGAGGCGUCCAGUUCGGAAGGUUGAUGAGCUCCUUCCGCCAUAGGCAUGGUGUUGGGGAACGUAGUAAUUUCAAAAAAAUUUCCACGCACACGCAAGAUCAUGGUGAUGUAUAGCAACGAGAAGGGGAGUGAAUCUUCAUACCCUUGAAGAUCGCUAAGCGGAAGCGUUUAUCAACGCGGUUGAUGUAGUCGUACGUCUUCACGAUCCGACCGAUCCAAGUACCGAACGCACGGCACCUCCGAGUUCUGCACACGUUCAGCUCGAUGAUGUCCUUGCCUUCUCGAUCCAGCAAGACGGGUAAAUUAGUAGAUGAAUUCCGGCAGCACGACGUCGUGGUGACGGUGUUGGUGAAGAACAAUCUCCGCAGGGCUUCGCCUAAGCACUACGAAAACUAUGACGGAGGAUAAACUAGAGGGGACGGGGUUGCCGGCACACGGCUUGGUGUUUCUUGAUGUCUCUUUGGUGCUAGCCCUGCCCCUCUAUUUAUAUGUUGAGCCUUGGGGUCGAAACUUGGAGUAAAAGCCUCCACAAAGUCGGUUUCUCCCGAAAGGCAAGAGUCCUUCUCGGACUCCAGGGCCAGACGCCAGGGUUCCCGGCGUCUGGACCCAGACGCCAGGGCCCCUGGACUCCGCAAAACUUCCUUUUGCAGUUUCCAAAAACCUUGUGGGCUUUCCCCUUUAGCCCAAAUAAUGUGUUCUCGUACCCAAACAUUUCGGGAAACAUCUGGAACCCCUUCCGGUGAAUUCCGGAACCCUUCCGGAGAUCAAACACUAUUAUCCCAUAUAUCAAACUUUAUCUCCGGACCAUUCCGGAGUUCCUCGUCAUGUCCAUGAUCUCAUCCGGGACUCUGAAUAACAUUCGGUUACCAACAUGCAUAACUCAUAUAAUACUAUAUCGUCAACAAAAUGUUAAGCGUGCGGACCCUACGGGUUCGAGAACUAUGUAGACAUGACCGAGACACGUUUCCGGUCAAUAACCAAUAGCGGGACCUGGAUGCCCAUAUUGGCUCCCACAUAUUAUACGAAGAUCUUUAUCGGUCAAACCGCAUAACAACAUAGGUUGUUCCCUUUGUCAUCGGUAUGUUACUUGCCCGAUAUUCAAUCGUCGGUAUCCAAUACCUAGUUCAAUCUCGUUACCGGCAAGUCUCUUUGCUCGUUAUGUAAUGCAUCAUUCCGUAACUAACUCAUUAGCUACAUUGCUUGCAAGGCUUAUAGUAAUGUGCAUUACCGAGAGGGCCCAGAGAUACCUCUCCGACAAUCGGAGUGACAAAACCUAAUCUCGAAAUACGCCAACCCAACAUGUACCUUUGGAGACACCUGUAGUACUCCUUUAUAAUCACCCAGUUACGUUGUGACAUUUGGUAGCACCCAAAGUGUACCUCCGGUAAAUGGGAGUUGCAUAAUCUCAUAGUUACAGGAACAUGUAUAAGUCAUGAAGAAAACAAUAGCAAUAUACUAAACGAUCAAGUGCUAGGCUAACGGAAUGGGUCAUGUCAAUCACAUCAUUCUCCUAAUGAUGUGAUCCCGUUAAUCAAAUGACAACUCUUUUGUCCAUGGCUAGGAAACAUAACCAUCUUUGAUAAACGAGCUAGUCAAGUAGAGGCAUACUAGUGACACUAUGUUUGUCUAUGUAUUCACACAUGUAUUAUGUUUCCGGUUAAUACAAUUCUAGCAUGAAUAAUAAACAUUUAUCAUGAUAUAAGGAAAUAAAUAAUAACUUUAUUAUUGCCUCUAGGGCAUAUUUCCUUCAGUCUCCCACUUGCACUAGAGUCAAUAAUCUAGUUCACAUCGCCAUGUGAUUUAACACCAAUAUUCACAUCUGUAUGUGAUUAAUACCCAUAGUUCACAUCAUCAUGUGAUCGACACCCAAAGGGUUUGUUCACAUCGAUAUGUGAUUAACACCCAAAGAGUACUAAGGUAUAAUCAUGUUUUGCUUGUGAGAGAAGUAUAGUCAACGGGUUUGUCAUAUUCAGAGCCAUAUGUAUUUUACAAAUAUACUAUGUCUACAAGGCUCUGCACGGAGCUACUAUAGCUAAUUGCUCCCACUUUCAAUAUGUAUCCAGAUUAAGACUUAGAGUCAUCUGGAUCAGUGCCAAAACUUGUAUUGACGUAACCCUUUACGAUGAACCUUUUUGUCACCUCCAUAAUCGAGAAACAUGUCCUUAUUCCACUAAGGAUAAUUUUGACCAAUGUCCAGUGAUCUACUCCUAGAUCACUAUUGUACUCCCUUGCGAAACCAGGGCAGAGUAUACAAUAGGUCUGGUCCAUAGCAUAGCAUACUUUUAUAGAACCUAUGACUGAAGCAUAGGGAAUGACUUUCAUUCUCUUUCUAUUUUCUGAUGUGGUCGGGAUUUGAGUCUUACUCAAUUUCAUACCUUUGCAACACAGGGAAGAACUCUUUCGUUGACUGUUUCAUUUUGAACUACUUCAAAAUCUUGUCAAGGUAUGUACUCAUUGAAAAUCUUAUCAAGCGUCUUGAUCUAUCUCAAUAGAUCUUGAUGCUCAAUAUGUAAGUAGCUUUACUGAAGUCUUUCUUUUAAAGAACUUCUUUCAAACACUCCUUUAUGCUUUGCAGAAUAAUUCUACAUUAUUUUUGAUCAACAAUGUGUCAUUCACAUAUACUUAUCAGAAAUGUUGUAGUGCUCCCACUCACUUUCUUGUAAAUACAGGCUUCACCGCAAGUCUGUAUAAAACUAUAUGCUUUGAUCAACUUAUCAAAGCGUAUAUUCCAACUCUAAGAUGCUUGCACCAGUCCAUAGAUGGAACGCUGGAGCUUGCACAUUUUGUUAACACCUUUAGGAUUGACAAAACCUUCUGGUUGCAUCAUAUACAACUCUUCUUUAAUAAAACCAUUAAGGAAUGCAGUUUUGACAUCCAUUUGCCAGAUUUCAUAAAAUGUGGCAAUUGCUAACAUGACUCGGACGGACUUAAGCAUCGCUACAGUUGAGAAAAUCUCAUUGUAGUCAACACCUUGAACUUGUCAAAAAACCUUUUUGCGACAAGUCGAGCUUUGUAGAUAGUAACACUACUAGCAACGUCCGUCUUCCUCUUGAAGAUCCAUUUAUUUUCUAUGGUUUGCCGAUCGUCGGGCAUGUCCACCAAAGUCCACACUUUGUUCUCAUACAUGGAUCCUAUCUCAGAUUUCAUGGCCUCCCGCCAUUUUGCGGAAUCUGGGCUCAUAAUCGCUUCCUCAUAGUUCGUAGGUUUAUCAUGGUCUAGUAACAUGACUUUCAGAACAGGAUUACCGUACCACUCUGGUGCGGACCGUACUCUGGAAGACCUACGAGGUUUCUGUAGUAACUUGAUCUAAAGUUUCAUGAUCAUCAUCAUUAGCUUCCUCACUAAUUGGUGUAGGAAUCACUAGAACUGAUUUUAGUGAUGAACUAUUUUCCAAUUCGGGAGAAGGUACAGUUACCUCAUCAAGUUCUACUUUCCUCCCACUCACUUCUUUCGAGAGAAACUCCUUCUCUAGAAAGGAUCCAUUUUUAGCAACGAAUAUCUUGCCUUCGGAUCUGUGAUAGAAGGUGUACCCAACAAUUUCCUUUGGGUAUUCUAUGAAGACACACUUCUCCGAUUUGGGUUUGAGCUUAUCAGGAUGAAACUUUUUCACAUAAGCAUCGCAGCCCCAAACUUUAAGAAACGACAACUUGGGUUUCUUGCUAAACCACAGUUCAUAUGGUGUCGUCUCAACGGAUUUAGAUGGUGCGCUUUUAACGUGAAUGCAGUUGUCUCUAAUGCAUAACCCCAAAACGAUAGUGGUAAACCGAUAAGAGACAUCAUAGAUCGCACCAUAUCCAAUAAAGUGCGGUUACGAUGUUCGGACACACCAUAACGUUGUGGUGUUCCAGGUGGCGUGAGAUGUGAAACUAUUCCGCAUUGUUUUAAUUGAAGACCAAACUCGUAACUCAAAUAUUCGUCUCCGCGAUCAGAUCACAGAAAUUUUAUUUUCUUGUUACAAUGAUUUUUCCACUUUGCUCUGAAAUUCUUUGAACCUUUCAACUAUUUCAGACUUAUGUUUCAUCAAGUAGAUAUACCCAUAUCUGCUCAAAUCAUCUUGUGAAGGUCAGAAAAUAAUGAUACUUGCCACAAACAUCAACACUCAUUGGAUCGCAUACAUCGGUAUGUAUUAUUUCCAAUAAGUCAGUAGCUUGUUCCAUUGUUCCGGAGAACGGAGUUUUAGUCAUCUUGCCCAAAAGGCACGGUUCACAAGCAUCAAAUGAUUCAUAACCAAGUGAUUCCAAAAAUCCAUUUUUAUGGAGUUUCUUCAUGCGCUUUACACCGAUAUGACCCAAACGGCAGUGCCACAAAUAAGUUGCACUAUCAUUAUUAACUUUUCAUCUUCUGGCCUCAAUAUUAUGAACAUGUGUAUUACUAUGAUUGAGAUCCAACAAACUAUGUUUAUUGGGUGUAUGACCAUCGAAGGUCUUAUUCAUGUAAACAGAAUAACAAUUUAUUCUCUAACUUUAAAUGAAUGACCGUAUUGCAAUAAACAUGAUCAAAUCAUAUUCAUGCUCAACGCAAACGCCAAAUAACAUUUAUCUAGGUUUAACACUAAUCCCGAAAGUAUAGGGAGUGUGCGAUGAUGAUCAUAUCAAUAUUGGAACUACUUCCAACAUUCAUCAUCACUUCACCCUCAACUAGUCUCUGUUUAUUCUGUAACUCCUAUUUCGAGUUACUAAUAUUAGCAACCGAACAAGUAUCAAAUACUCAGGGGCUACUAUAAACACUAGUAAGGCAUACAUCAAUAACCUGUAUAUCAAAUAUACCGUUGUUCACUUUGCCAUCCUUCUUAUCCACUAAAUAUUCAGGGCAUUUCCGCUUCCAGUGACCAUUUCUUUUGCAGUGUAAGCACUCAGUUUCAGGCUUUGGUCCAGCUUUGGUCUUCUUCGCGGGAGUGACAACUUGUUUGCCAUUCUACUUGAAGUUUCCCUUUCUUUCCCUUUGCCCUUUUAAUGAAACUAGUGGUCUUGUCAAUCAUCAACACUUGGUGCUCUUUCUUGAUUUCUACCUUCGUCGAUUUCAACAUCACGAAGAGCUCGGGAAUCGUUUUCGUCAUCCCUUGCAUACUAUAGUUCAUCACGAAGUUCUAGUAACUUUAGUGAUGGUGACUAGAGAAUUCUGUCAAUCACUAUCUUAUCUGGAAGAUUAACUCCCACUUGAUUCAAGCGAUUUAAGUACCCAGACAAUCUGAGCACAUGCUCACUAGUCGAGCGAUUCUCCCCCACCUUUUAGCUAUAGAACUUGUUGAAUACUUCAUAUCUCUCAACUUGGGUAUUUGCUUGAAAUAUUAACUUCAAUUCCUGGAACAUCUCAUAUGGUCCAUGACAUUCAAAACAUCUUUGAAGUCCCGAUUCUAAGCCGUUAAGCAUGGUGCACUAGACUAUCAAGUAGUCAUCAUAUUGAGCUAGCCAAACAUUCAUAACGUCUGCAUCUGCUCCUGCAAUAGGUUUGUCACCUAGCGGUGCAUCAAGGACAUAAUUCUUCUGUGCAGCAAUGAGGAUAAACCUCACAUCACGGAUCCAAUCCGCAUCAUUGCUACUAACAUCUUUCAACACAGUUUUCUCUAGGAACAUAUCAAAAUAAACAUAUGAAAGCAACAACGAAAGCUAUUGAUCUACAACAAACAUAGACAAGCAAAAUACUAUCAGGUACUAAGUUCAUGAUAGAUUUAAGUUCAAUUAAUCAUAUUACUUAAGAACUCCCACUUAGACAGACAUCUCUCUAGUCAUCUAAGUGAUUACGUGAUCCAAAUCAACUAAACCAUGUCCGAUCAUCACGUGAGAUGGAGUAGUUUCAAUGGUGAACAUCACUAUGUUGAUCAUAUCUACUAUAUGAUUCACGUUCGACCUUUCGGUCUCCGUGUUCUGAGGCCAUAUCUGUAUAUGCUAGGCUCGUCAAGUUUAACCUGAGUAUUCCGCGUGUGCAACUGUUUUGCACCCGUUGUAUUUGAACGUAGAGCCUAUCACACCCGAUCAUCACGUGGUGUCUCAGCACGAAGAACUUUCGCAACGGUGCAUACUCAGGGAGAACACUUCUUGAUAAUUAGUGAGAGAUCAUCUUAAAAUGCUACCGUCAAUCAAAGCAAGAUAAGAUGCAUAAAGGAUAAACAUCACAUGCAAUCAAUAUAAGUGAUAUGAUAUGGCCAUCAUCAUCUUGUGCUUGUGAUCUCCAUCUUCAAAGCACCGUCGUGAUCACCAUCGUCACCGGGGCGACACCUUGAUCUCCAUCGUAGCAUCGUUGUUGUUACGCCAUCUAUUGCUUCUACGACUAUCGCUACCGCUUAGUGAUAAAGUAAAGCAAUUAUAGGGUGUUUGCAUUUCAUACAAUAAAGCGACAACCAUAUGGCUCCUGCCAGUUGCCGAUAACUCCGGUUGCAAAACAUGAUCAUCUCAUACAAUAAAAUAUAGCAUCACGUCUUGACCAUAUCACAUCACAACAUGCCCUGAAAAAACAAGUUAGACGUCCUCUACUUUGUUGUUGCAAAUUUUACGUGGCUGCUAUGGGCUCAGCAAGAACCGUUCUUACCUACGCAUCAAAACCACAACGAUAGUUCGUCAAGUUAGUGCUGUUUUAACCUUCGCAAGGACCGGGCGUAGCCACACUCGGUUCAACUAAAGUGGGAGAAACAGACACCCGCUAGUCACCUGUGUGCAAAGCACGGCGGUAAAACCAGUCUCGCGUAAGCGUACGCGUAAUGUCGGUCCGGGCCGCUUCAUCCAACAAUACCGCUGAACCAAAGUAUGACAUGCUGGUAAGCAGUAUGACUUGUAUCGCCCACAACUCACUUGUGUUCUACUCGUGCAUAUAACAUCUACGCAUAAAACCUAGGCUCGGAUGCCACUGUUGGGGAACGUAGUAAUUUCAAAAAAAUUCGUACGCACACGCAAGAUCAUCGUGAUGUAUAGCAACGAGAAGGGGAGUGAAUCUUCAUACCCUUGAAGAUUGCUAAGCGGAAGCGUUUGUCAACGCGGUUGAUGUAGUCGUACGUCUUUACGAUCCGACUGAUCCAAGUACCGAACGCACGGCACCUCCGAGUUCUGCACACGUUCAGCUCGAUGACGUCCUCGCCUUCUCGAUCCAGCAAGACGGGUGAAGUAGUAGAUGAGUUCCGGCAGCACGAAGGCGUGGUGACGGUUUUGGUGAAGAACAAUCUCCGCAGGGCUUUGCCUAAGCACUACGAAAACUAUGACGAAGGAUAAACUAGAGGGGAUGGGGUUGCCGGCUCACGGCUUGGUGUUUCUUGAUGUCUCUUUGGUGCUAGCCCUGCCCCUCUAUUUAUAUGUUGAGCCUUGGGGUCGAAACUUGGAGUAAAAGCCUCCACAAAGUCGGUUUCACCCGAAAGGCAAGAGUCCUUCUCGGACUCCAGGGCCAGACGCCAGGGUUCCCGGCAUCUGGACCCAGACGCCAGGGACCCUGGCGUCUGGCCCCUGGACUCCGCAAAACUUCCUUUUGCGCUUUCCAAAAACCUUGUGGCCUUUCCCCUUUGGUGAAGGAAAUAUGCCCUAGAGGCAAUAAUAAAGUUAUUAUUUAUUUCCUCAUAUCAAGAUAAAUGUUUAUUAUUAAUGCUAGAAUUGUAUUAACCAGAAACACGAUACAUGUGUGAAUACAUAGACAAACAUAUAGUCACUAGUAUGCCUCUACUUGACUAGCUCAUUAAUCAAAGAUGGUUAUGUUUCCUAACCAUAGACAUGUGUUGUCAUUUGAUUAAUGGGAUCACAUCAUUAGGAGAAUGAUGUGAUUGACAUGACCCAUUCCGUUAGCCUAGCACUUGAUCGUUUAGUAUAUUGCUAUUGCUUUCUUCAUGACUUGUACAUGUUCCUGUAACUAUGAGAAUUAUGCAACUCCCGUUUACCGGAGGAACACUUUGGGUACUACCAAACGUCACAACGUAACAGGGUGAUUAUAAAGGAGUACUACAGGUGUCUCCGAAGGUACAUGUUGAGUUGGCGUAUUUCGAGAUUAGGUUUUGUCACUCCGAUUGUCAGAGAGGUAUCUCUGGGCCCUCUCGGUAAUGCACAUCACUAUAAGCCUUGCAAGCAAUGUGACCAAUGAGUUGAUUAUGGAAUGAUGCAUUAUGUAACAAGUAAAGAGACUUGUCGGUAACGAGAUUGAACUAGGUAUUGGAUACCGACGAUCGAAUCUCGGGCAAGUAACAUAGCGAUGACAAAGGGAAUUCAUAGAAUAUGUAGGAACCAAUAUGGGCAUCCAGGUUCCGCUGUUGGUUAUUGACCGAGAAUAGUUCUAGGUCAUGUCUACAUAGUUCUCAAACCCGUAGGGUCCGCACGCUUAACGUUACGAUGACAGUUUUAUUAUGAGUUUAUAAGUUUUGAUGUACCGAAGUUUGUUCGAAGUCCCGGAUGUGAUCACGGACAUGACGAGGAGUCUCGAAAUGGUCGAGACAUAAAGAUUGAUAUAUUGGACGACUAUAUUCGGACACCGGAAGUGUUCCGGGUGAUUUNNNNNNNNNNNNNNNNNNNNNNNNNNNNNNNNNNNNNNNNNNNNNNNNNNNNNNNNNNNNNNNNNNNNNNNNNNNNNNNNNNNNNNNNNNNNNNNNNNNNNNNNNNNNNNNNNNNNNNNNNNNNNNNNNNNNNNNNNNNNNNNNNNNNNNNNNNNNNNNNNNNNNNNNNNNNNNNNNNNNNNNNNNNNNNNNNNNNNNNNNNNNNNNNNNNNNNNNNNNNNNNNNNNNNNNNNNNNNNNNNNNNNNNNNNNNNNNNNNNNNNNNNNNNNNNNNNNNNNNNNNNNNNNNNNNNNNNNNNNNNNNNNNGGAAGAUAGAGGGGCGGCCAGGGUGGGCCGCGCGCCCCCUCUCCCUCUGGUCCGAAUUGGACUAGGAGGGGGGGCGGCGCCCCCCUUUUUCCUUCCCCCUCUCCCCCUUCAUUUCCCCUCCUAGUAGGAGUAGGAAAGGAGGAGUCCUACUCCUACUAGGAGGAGGAUUCCUCCUCCUUGGCGCGCCCCAAGGGCCGGCCGGCCUCCCCCCUUGAUCCUUUAUAUACGAGGGCGGGGGGGGCACCCCAUAGACACACAAGUUGAUCUACGGAUCGUUCCUUAGCCGUGUGCGGUGCCCCCCUCCACCGUAUUCCACCUCGGUCAUAUCGUCGCGGAGUUUAGGCGGAGCCCUGCGCCGGUAGGACAUCAUCAUUGUCACCACGCCGUCGUGCUGACGGAACUCAUCUCCGGAGCUUUGCUGGAUCAGAGCCCGGAGAUCGUCAUCGAGCUGAACGUGUGCUGAACUCGAAGGUGCCGUACGUUCGGUGCUUGGAUCGGUCGGAUCGUGGACACGUACGACUACAUCAACCGUGUUGUGUUAACGCUUCCGCUUAUGGUCUACGAGGGUAAGUGGACAACACUCUCCCCUCUCGUUGCUAUACCAUCACCAUGAUCUUGCGUGUGCGUAGGAAUUUUUUUGAAAUUACUACGUUCCCCAACAUUUGGCCCAAAUAAUGUGUUCUCGUACCCAAACAUUUCGGGAAACAUCCGGAACCCCUUACGAUGAAUUCCGGAGCCCUUCCGGAUAUCAAACACUAUUAUCCCAUAUAUCAAACUUUAUCUCCGGACAAUUCCGGAGUUCCUCGUCAUGUCCAUGAUCUCAUCCGGGACUCCGAACAACAUUCGGUUACCAACAUGCAUAACUCAUAUAAUACUAUAUCGUCAACGAAACGUUAAGCGUGCGGACCCUACGGGUUCGAGAACUAUGUAGACAUGACCGAGACACGUUUCCGGUCAAUAACCAAUAGUGGGACCUGGAUGCCCAUAUUGGCUCCCACAUAUUGGUUCCCUUUGUCAUCGGUAUAUUACUUGCCCGAGAUCCAAUACCUAGUUCAAUCUCGUUACCGGCAAGUCUCUUUACUCGUUAUGUAAUGCAUCAUUCCGUAACUAACUCAUUAGCUACAUUGCUUGCAAGGCUUAUAGUAAUGUGCAUUACCGAGAGGGCCCAGAGAUACCUCUCCGACAAUCGGAGUGACAAAACCUAUUCUUGAAAUACGCCAACCCAACAUGUACCUUUGGAGACACCUGUAGUACUCCUUUAUAAUCACCCAGUUAUGUUGUGACAUUUGGUAGCACCCAAAGUGUUCCUCGGGUAAACGGGAGUUUCAUAAUCUCAUAGUUAUAGGAACAUGUAUAAGUCAUGAAGAAAGCAAUAGCAAUAUACUAAAUGAUCAAGUGCUAGGCUAACGGAAUGGGUCAUGUCAAUCACAUCAUUCUCCUAAUGAUGUGAUCCCGUCAAUCAAAUGACAACUCUUUUGUCCAUGGCUAGGAAAUAUAACCAUCUUUGAUAAACGAGCUAGUCAAGUAGAGGAAUACUAGUGACACUAUGUUUGUCUAUGUAUUCACACAUGUAUUAUGUUUCCGGUUAAUACAAUUCUAGCAUGAAUAAUAAACAUUUAUCAUGAUAUAAGGAAAUAAAUAAUAACUUUAUUAUUGCCUCUAGGGCAUAUUUCCUUCACAUGGAGUCUUCCGAGCAGAACCCAACCUAGUCUCCCCUUCACCGGUAGGGUGGUCAAGCAGGAGGUCCUCAAAUCACUCUGUUAUUUCAUCCACCAUCACCUUAGCAUAUCCUUCUGGAAUCGGCUGGCAGUGAUAAGUUGUGCCGGGGCCACUAGGAUAAAUUUGGCCAACAGCCGCCUUGACCUUCAAAUUCAUCCAUCGCGCCAUAAUGUGGCAAUUUUGAGACUCCGUGAUACCAUCCACGGGAUAGCUGGCAGGAGCCGUCAAGACAUGCUCCGGCUGAAGCAGCUUGGUGGAAGCCACGCUGCUUCUCCGCUGAGAUGGCGGGGUAGCUUCGGGGGAAGCUUCGGCAGGUCGUUUGCUGUGAUCUGCUGCUUCUCGUUCCUCUAGCCCCAUUACCCUUUCGUGCAGCGCCUGCAGUUGGUCCUGCUCUAGUUUCUUCCUCCUCUCGUGGGUUUUGUAACCCCCUGCGUCCGGAAAACCAACCUUCCACGGAAUGGAUCCUGGCGUGCCUCGUGUCCGUCCAGGGUGCUCAGGAUUGCCAAGGGCCAUUGUGAGCUCGUCCUUCUCCCUGUUUGGAAGGAACGUCCCUCGCUGCGCUGCAUCGAUAUAGUGUCGAAGGUUCUUGACUGGUAUUUGCAGUUGCUCGUCCGUCCACUGGCACUUCCCUGUUACAGGGUCCAAGGUUCCGCCAGCCCCGAAGAAACAAGUCCGGCAACGGUCUGGCCAGUACAUUGUCUCUGGUUCGAUCCCUUUUUCAAGCAGAUCAUGCUCAGCCUUGGACCACUUAGGUCGGGCUUUGAGGUAGCCACCUGACCCCGUGCGAUGGUGAAGCUUCUUCUUCGCAGCAUUUUGCUUGUUUGUCGCCGACAUCUUCUUACUCUUUUCCGAUGUCUUGUGGGCCACAAAUGCGGGCCAGUGAUCUUUGAUCUUCUCAUAUUUGCCGAUGAAUUCUGGUGUCUUUUCUUUCUCGACAAACUGGUUCAGCUCUUUCCUCCACCUCCUCAUUAGGGUUGCCAUCUUCUUAAGAGCACAAGACUUGAUUAAUUGCUCUUUAAGUGGAUUCUCCGGAUCCUCCUCUGGCGGUAGGGUGAAAUUUUCCUUCAGCUGAGUCCAAAGAUCUUCUUUCUGCAUAUCAUUGACAUAAGACACCUCAGGGUCUUUCUCCUUAGGCUUAUACCAUUGAUGGAUGCUGAUCGGGAUCUUGUCCCUAACAAGAACCCCGCACUGAGCAAAAAUUCCUUCCUUGUCCGGAUGGGUUCAAUCGGUUCGCCGUCAGGCGCGAUUUCUAUGAUCUCAAACUUUUCAUCCGAGCUCAACUUUUUCUUCGGGCGUCGUCUCCUUACCGAAGUUGUGCUCGAUCCGGAGGGCUAGAAAUUAUAAGGAAGAAAGAAGAGAGUAAUUAAUAUGUGUACAUAUACCAAAACAAUGGAUGCAUCAAUUAACUAGUCAGCACGGGCUUAACUAAUAUAUAUAUACCUGGCCGGACUCGGUUCGGUCACCGGAGCAGUCAGCACGGUCUCCUUCUUGUACCUCCAUUGUGUCACCGGAGCCAUCAUGAACAUAGUCCUCUUCUUGUACCGGCAUUAAUGGGUCGAAGCCAUCAUGAAGAUAGCCCUCUUCUUCACCCAGUCCUUCCUGACCAUCGGUGUCGUUGAGAAAUGACGCAACUUCAUCACUUCCUUGUGCGAUUAUGUGCCCCAACAUCGCUUCUGUUUCUUCGUCUCGGGAGUGCUCCAUAGUUUCUGCAAAUAUUUACAACAUGUCAAUUAUUAUUCAAACAUGGUAUAGAUGGAUAUAUAUAUAUAUAUAUAUAUAUAUUAGUGGCAAACGUAGAACUAGCUAGCUAAUCACAAUAAGGAAUCAUGUUAGUCGCCUCGACGCUGCUUCUCUAGGGUUUGGGGUCGCCUCGACACAACGCUUCAAGGGUUUGGGGUGGCCUCAACGACAACGCUCUUUUAACUUGGUAAAUUUGGGUGGCCUCGAGAGAGUUAAUUUGUCGGGUAGGGGCGCGGCGGGAGGGGGUAGGAGACCAACAUCGUUUUCUCUCUAGGGUUUGGGUGUCCUCGAGAGUUUUGGUCAAGCGAGAGGGCCAAGGGGGGUGCUACCGUUGUAUAAGUUAUCACGGUCGAGAGGGGUUAUAUAUAUCGACCGCCCCUCAUGUCGAAGUUAUCUCGAGGGGGUUAUAUCGACAACGAUGCGACAUACAUAUACAAGGGAAAAUAAUGUUAUCGGGCAGGGGGUAUCGGUACCCCCCCUCGUGUUGAAGUUUCUUCCUUCUCCUCUAUUCCUUUCUUCUUCUACUACUCUUCUUUUUCUUCUUCUCCCUCGAGAAAGGAAAAUAAGGAAAAUGAAGAAAAGAGGAAGAAGGAAGAAGAAAAAAAGAAGAAAAAAAUGGGGAGAAGAAGAAAAAUAGAACUAUUUUUCUUCUUCUCCUCUUCUUUUUUCCUCUUCUUAUUAAUUUAUCCUCUUCUUCCUCUCCUCUUCUUCUCCUUUCUUCCUCUUCUUAUUUUCCUUUGUCCUCUCAUUCUUUUAGUAUUGCUUGUUUUAAAAAAAAUGUUCAAAUAGAAAAUUUCGAAAAAAAACAAAGGUUUUGCCUAAUGCAUUGUUCAUAUGAAUAUACAAACAUUUGCAUAUUCUACAAUAAUUAAUAUCACCAAAAAAAUCUAUGAACAGAAAAAAAAACCUAACUUUUGCAUAUAUGAAAAAUUAAUGCACAUAUGAACAAAAAAUACAUAUAUGAACAAAAACAUGCUCUNNNNNNNNNNNNNNNNNNNNNNNNNNNNNNNNNNNNNNNNNNNNNNNNNNNNNNNNNNNNNNNNNNNNNNNNNNNNNNNNNNNNNNNNNNNNNNNNNNNNNNNNNNNNNNNNNNNNNNNNNNNNNNNNNNNNNNNNNNNNNNNNNNNNNNNNNNNNNNNNNNNNNNNNNNNNNNNNNNNNNNNNNNNNNNNNNNNNNNNNNNNNNNNNNNNNNNNNNNNNNNNNNNNNNCGGGGGCGGGAACGGGCAGGGGCUCGGGGCGGCGCGCGGGGGCGGGACGGGGCGCGGGCUCGGGGAGGCCGGUGACAAGGACGGCGCAGGCUCGGGGAGGCCGGUGACGAGGACGGCGCGGGCUCGGGAGGCGACGGCCUUGGCGGUGGCGGCGGCGACGGCAAGGUGGAGCAGCCUGGCGGCGUCGAGGAGGGUCGGCGUCGUCGGGGGCAACUGGCGAUGAGAUUCUGAAUUUUUGCAAAGUGUUUGCUUAUAUAGCAAAGCCAUUGGUCCCGGUUCGUGAAACCAACCGGGACUAAUACACCCUUUAGUCCCGGUUGGUGCCACCAACCUGGACCAAAGGCCUCUUUUUGGCAGCCCAAAGGGCGAGAAGCGGCGGCCUUUGGUACCGGUUGGUGCCACGAACCGGUACCAAUGCCCCCCCCUUUAGUCCCGGUUGGUGCCACCAACCGGGACCAAAGGCCCCUGUGCUGCCCGCGUCGGGGCCAAAGUUUAGUCCCACCUCGCUAAUUGAGAGGGGCGCGCAGUGCUUUAUAAGCCCCACUGCCGCACCCCUCUCGAGCUCCUCUCCACCGCAGGCUUUCCGGCCUACUUGCUAAACUUUGCCUGAAGGUCCUUCUGGGCCUACUGCGGGCCUGAAUCCUGGCCCAUAGUAGGGUUUCAUGUCGUAUUCAGGCCGUGGAGGCCCAGUAGGAGGCAUUUUUUUGUUUUUUUGUUUUCUUUACUUAUUGUUGCUAUUUUUAUUUUUUUUCUAGUUUUUUGUUUUGUUUUCUGCAUUAUUUAUUUUCUUUUGUUUUUUGCUUUAUUUUUUAAUUCUUUUUGCUUUUAGUUUUAGGAAAAUUAUAAACUUUCUGUUAGUGCCAUUAGUUUUCAAGUUUGAAAACACUUUUUUUGUUUUUUGUUUUCUUUCUUGCUUUAUUUAUUUUAUUUUGUUUCUACUUACAACAAAAUACUUAUUGUUGUUUUUUUGUUUUGAUUUCUGCAUUAUUUAUUUUCUUUUGUUUUUUGCUUUAUUUUUCAAUUCUUUUUGCUUUUAGUUUUAGGAAAAUUAUAAGCUUUCUGUUAGUGCCAUUAGUUUUCAAAUUUGAAAACACUUUUUUUUGUUUUUUGUUUUCUUUCUUGCUUUAUUUAUUUUAUUUUGUUUCUAUUUACAACAAAAAACUUAUUGUUGCUAUUUUUAAUUAUUACGAGGGCCGAACCAUAAGCCAUUAAAGCAUUUCAAAUGAACUCUGAAAAAGUUGAAAGUUGGCAUGGUAUCAUAAAUUGACCCACAUAGCAUGUGCAUGUACAAAACGGACAAUGGUAUCAUACUCGUCAGUUACAAAGUUGGCAUGGUAUCAUCAUAAUAGUUGCGGGAGAAAGUCUUCACUUUUUUCUUCGCUUGUGUCAUUUGCUUAUUGCGCCGUAACCAUGGGUAAUUUUCAUCGUUUAUCAGGAUGCUGGGGUCAGCCUUGACUUUAAAGGGAGGAAUUUCAUGAAACUUUUCAUAAUCUUCAGACAUGUCUGUCUUGUCCUCCACUCCCACGAUGUUACUUUUUCCUGAAAGAACUACGUGGCGCUUUGGCUCAUCGUAUGAUGUAUUCGCUUCCUUAUCUUUUCUCUUUCUCGGUCUGGUAGACAUGUCCUUCACAUAGAUAACCUGUGCCACAUCAUUGGCUAGGACGAAUGGUUCGUCAGUGUACCCAAGAUUUUUCAGAUCCAAUGUUGUCAUUCCGUACUGUGGGUCUACCUGUACCCCGCCUCCUGACAGAUUGACCCAUUUGCACUUAAACAAAGGGACCUUAAAAUCAUGUCCGUGGUCAAGUUACCAUAUGUCCACUAUGUAACCAUAAUAUGUGUCCUUUCCCCUCUCGGUUGUUGCAUCAAAGCAGACAUCGCUGUUUUGGUUGGUGCUCUUUUGAUCUUGGUCAAUCGUGUAAAAUGUAUUCCCAUUUAUCUCGUAUCCUUUCCAAAUCAAUACAGUCAAAGAUGGUCCCAUGGACAACAAGUACAGCUCAUCACAAACAGUGUUGUCACCUCUGAUACGUGCUUCCAACCAACUGCUGAAAGUCCUGAUGUGUUCACAUGUAAUCCAGUCGUCGCACUGCUCCGGGUGUUUGGAGCGCAGACUGUUCUUGUGUUCAUCGACAUACGGGGUCACCAAGGUGGAGUUCUGUAGAACUGUGUAGUGUGCUUGAGACCAAGAAUAUCCGUCCCUGCAUAUUAUUGAGUCCCUUCCAAGCGUGCCUUUUCCAGUCAGUCUCCCCUCAUACCGCGAUUUAGGGAGACCUAUCUUCUUAAGGACAGGAAUGAAGUCAACACAAAACCCGAUGACAUCCUCUGUUUGAUGGCCCAUGGAGAUGCUUCCUUCUGGCCUAGCGCGGUUACGGACAUAUUUCUUUAGGACUCCCAUGAACCUCUCAAAGGGGUACAUAUUGUGUAGAAAUACGGGGCCCAGAAUGACAAUCUCGUCCAAUAGAUGAACUAGGACGUGCGUCAUGAUAUUGAAGAAGGAUGGUGGGAACACCAGCUCGAAACUGACAAGACAUUGCACCACAUAAGUCCUUAGCCUUGGUAUGAUUUCUGGAUCGAUCACCUUCUGAGAGAUUGCAUUGAGGAAUGCACAUAGCUUCACAAUGGCUAAUCGGAUGUUUUCCGGUAGAAGCCCCCUCAAUGCAACCGGAAGCAGUUGCGUCAUAAUCACGUGGCAGUCAUGAGACUUUAGGUUCUGGAACUUUUUGUCUGGCAUAUUUAUUAUUCCCUUUAUAUUCGACGAGAAGCCAGUCGGGACCUUCAUACUAAGCAGGCAUUCAAAGAAGAUUUCUUUCUCUUCUUUCGUAAGAGCAUAGCUGGCAGGACCUUCAUACUGCUUCGGAGGCAUGCCCUCUUUUUCGUGCAAGCGUUGCAGGUCCUCCCGUGCCUCAGGUGUAUCUUUUGUCUUCGCAUACACGCCCAAGAAGCCUAGCAGGUUCACGCAAAGGUUCUUUGUCACGUGCAUCACGUCGAUCGAAGAGCGGACCUCUAGGUCUUUCCAGUAGGGUAGGUCCCAAAAUAUAGAUUUCUUCUUCCACAUGGGUGCGUGAUUCUCAGCGUCAUUCGGAACAGCUAGUCCACCGGGACCCUUUUCAAAGAUUACGUGUAAAUCAUUGACCAUAGCAAGUACGUGAUCACCGGUAUGCAUGGCGGGCUUCUUCCGGUGAUCUGCCUCGCCUUUGAAAUGCUUGCCUUUCUUUCGACAUUGAUGGUUGGUCGGAAAAAAUCGACGAUGGCCCAGGUACACAUUCUUCCUGCAGCUUGCCAGGUAUAUACAAUCGGUGUCAAGUAAACAGUGCGUGCAUGCGUGGUAUCCCUUGUUUGUCUGUCCUGAAAGGUUACUGAGAGCGGGCCAAUCGUUGAUGGUCAUGAACAGCAAUGCCUUUAGGUUAAAUUCCUCCUGUUUGUGCUCAUCCCACAUACGUACACCGUUUCCAUUCCACAGCUGUAAAAGUUCUUCAACUAAUGGCCUUAGGUACACAUCAAUGUCGUUGCCGGGUUGCUUAGGGCCUUGGAUGAGAACUGGCAUCAUAAUGAACUUCUGCUUCAUGCACAUCCAAGGAGGAAGGUUAUACAUACAUAGAGUCACGGGCCAGGUGCUGUGAUUGCUGCUCUGCUCCCCGAAAGGAUUAAUGCCAUCCGCGCUUAAAGCAAACCAUACGUUCCUUGGCUCACUUGCAAACUCAUCCCAGUACUUUCUCUCGAUUUUUCUCCACUGCGACCCGUCAGCGGGUGCUCUCAACUUCCUGUCUUUCUUGCGGUCCUCACUGUGCCAUCGCAUCAACUUGACAUGCUCUCCGUUUCUGAACAGACGUUUCAACCGUGCUAUUAUAGGAGCAUACCACAUCACCUUCGCAGGAACCCUCUUCCUGGGGGGCUCGCCGUCAACAUCACCAGGGUCAUCUCGUCUGAUCUUAUACCGUAAUGCACCGCAUACCGGGCAUGCGUUCAGAUCCUUGUACGCAUCGCGGUAGAGGAUGCAGUCAUUAGGGCAUGCAUGUAUCUUCUUCACCUCCAAUCCUAGAGGGAAUACGACCUUCUUUGCUGCGUAUGUACUGUCGGGCAAUUCGUUAUCCUUUGGAAGCUUCUUCUUCAAUAUUUUCAGUAGCUUCUCAAAUCCUUUGUCAGGCACAGCAUUCUCUGCCUUCCACUGCAGCAAUUCCAGUACGGUUGCGAGAUUUGUGUUGCCAUCUUCGCAAUUGGGGUACAACCCUUUUUUGUGGUCCUCUAACAUGCGAUCGAACUUCAGCUUCUCCUUUUGACUUUCGCAUUGCGUCCUUGCAUCGACAAUGACCCGGCGGAGAUCAUCAUCAUCGGGCACAUUGUCUGGUUCCUCUUGAUCUUCAGCAGCUUCGCCCAUUGCAGCAUCAUCGUGCACAUCGUCUGGUUCCUCUUGAUGUUCAGUAGCAUCACCGUAUUCAGGGGGCACAUAGUUGUCAUCGUAGUCUUCUUCUUCGCCGGCUUCCAUCAUAACCCCUAUUUCUCCGUGCCUCGUCCAAACAUUAUAGUGUGGCAUGAAACCCUUGUAAAGCAGGUGGGUGUGGAGGAUUUUCCGGUCAGAGUAAGACUUCGUAUUCCCACAUAUAGGGCAUGGACAACACAUAAAACCAUUCUGCUUGUUUGCCUCAGCCACUUCGAGAAAAUCAUGCACGCCCUUAAUAUACUCGGAGGUGUGUCUUGAACCGUACAUCCAUUGCCGGUUCAUCUGCGUGCAUUAUAUAUAAUUGUGUGUCAAAAAUCAUUACAGAACAUCAUGAAUAGAUAAUUAAGUGACCAAAUUAAUAGAAGUUCAUCAUCACAUUAAAACCAAAGUACAUACAUAGUUCUCAUCUAACAACAUAAAGCUCUGCAGAGCAUCUAAAUUAAUUAAACCAUACACUGAAACUAUGUAAAACAUUUCAAUGCGAAAACAAAUGCGAUCAUAAUCGCAACAAAUGUAACAACUGAUCCAACGGCAUAAUGAUACCAAGCCUCGGUAUGAAUGGCAUAUUUACUAAUCUUUCUAAUCUUCAAGCGCAUUGCAUCUAUCUUGAUCUUGUGAUCAUCGACGACAUCCGCAACAUGCAACUCCAAUAUCAUCUUCUCCUCCUCAAUUUUUCUAAUUUUUUCCUUCAACAAAUUGUUUUCUUCUUCAACUAAAUUUAACCUCUCGACAAUAGGGUCGGUUGGAAUUUCCGGUUCAACAACCUCCUAGAUAAAUAAAAUCUAUGUCACGUUGGUCGGCAUAAUUGUCAUAAACAAUAAAUUAACCAAUAGUUAUGAAAAGAUAAUAUAUACCACAUCCGAAUCAUAGACAGGACGAGGGCCGACGGGGGCGGAUACCAAAACCAUCGCACUAUAUAAGAUGCAAUAAUAAAAGUACGAAAAUUAUACAAGUAUCUAUAUAAACAUACAAGUAAGAAUUUUUUUUUCCUUUCAGAAAGAAGAUAAGAACAAGAGGCUCACCACGGUGGUGCUGGCGACGAGAUCGGCGCGGGUGAUCGACGGCGGUGAAGAUGGGGACGGGACGUGACGGACCGCUAAACCUAGACAAAUAUUAAGGAAAAUGGAGCUUGGAGGUCGAGCUUGGAGAGGAGAAAGCUUAAGUAGUGUGGCACGGACAUUCCAUCGAACACGUCGUGUGCAUUGGAGGUGAGCUAGAGCACCACAAAGCUCUCCCCUCGCCGGCCACGAAAAACAAAGCACUGGGAGUGCUCUGCUCGCGGGCGAGGGGUAUAUAUAGGCAACUAAUUGGUCCCGGUUCGUGACUUGAACCGGGACUAAAGGGCAGUCUUUGAUCCCCGUUUGUUCCACCAACCGGGACCAAUGGUGGUGGGUCAGGAGCGAGGCCCAUUGGUCCCGGUUCGUCCCAUCAAUCAGGACCAAAAGGUCCAGACGAAUCGGGACCAAUGGCCCACGUGGCCCGGCCGGCCCCCGGGGCUCACGAACCGGGUCCAAUGCACCCAUUGGUCCCGGUUCUGGAUUGAACCGGGACUAAUGGGCUGGCCGGGCCUGGACCAUUGCCCCCUUUUCUACUAGUGAUGAAAAGCUUCACGAGGUUGUCUAAAAAAAAGUAGUGGUACAUGAAGGGCACGCUCGCAUGUCUUUCAGUUUCAGAUGGACGUACAUGUGGAAAAUCUGUAUAAUUUGCGACUAGACCCGUCGAGGUGGCCCGUGGAUUAAUUGGAUGGUUCUCAGUAGUUCCCUGCACCGCACGGCCACAAGCAUAAACGUAUCCUUCUCCUUGGCCACAAAACCAGACGUACCUUGACUGUAAUUUUUUUGCCAGGCGUAGCGUUCCCAAGCGGCUACCAUCAGCAGCUGGCCAAGCCCAACAGGCAGCGACAGCCGACGACCGCGCGCGCGGGUCAUGCACGUCGUAAGUCCUGGUGGCAACUUCCCCCAAAAAGUAAAAAUAAAAAAUAUAAUUCCUUGUGGUAACUAACCCGGGGACGACCGUAGACUACCCUGCAUGGCAUCCUGCUUUUAAUACGCGAUCCAUACACGCUCAAUAGCAUCGAUCGGUGUAUCCAUCUACUAUCUGUUAUUGAUCCUAUAUAUAUGGCCACCAUAACACGAAACCAACCACCAACACCUAGAAAAAAUUUGCCCGCCUCCGGAGCCACGAUGAUCGCCGUGUCCUUUUUGUUGGCGUGCUUCGCGGCAGCUCUGCAGCCAACGUCGGCCGGCGAGGCUGGAAGGGGUGGGAUCUGGCAUAUCCCUUUUGCGGCCGACCUGGCUCGGGCUCGCUGCCCUUCCAGAUGCGGUGGUGUUGCCAUUCACUAUCCGUGGGGGAUAGGGCCGGGCUGCUUCCGGCAAGGCUUCGAGCUCACCUGCAACAACACCGCUGGUCAUAAGAGGCUCUUUCUGGGCAACAGUACCACUGAGGUCCUUGAGUUGUCUCCCGGAGAAAACGGACUUCGAGUCUCUCCUAUCCACUUCAACGUCACCAAGAAACCAGGUAUGAACGACACCUAUAACAUGUCAUGGGAGGCCCCUGUUAAAGGUGUUAUGGCUUCUGAACAAACUGGCUUGUUCGUUGUUGGUUGCGGUGUGGGUCUCUACUUGUUCGGCCAUGAUACCACCGACCCCAUUGGUUAUUGUGUGAGUGUUUUGCCUAGACGACAAAGAGGCCAUGAAGGAGGCAAAUGCAAACCAGUAUGGCGAUGUUGGGAUGGGUUAUUGUUCCAUUUUUUUGCCGCAGGACAUGCCAGCAUUUGGGUUCACAGUUGACCGCCUCAAAGGCGUCUCAGCACUAUCAGGUCAAGCUCAAGUACUCUCUAAUACUAUCAAAGUUUUCCUGGCGGAGGAUUACAAUUUUCAUGUUGCCGACAUCUAUUCAAGUCGGGUAGACAAAAGAAACAUUGAUGUGGCAGUGCUUCGAAUAGUCAUCACGGAUCAACCAAGCUGUGAAAGUGCUCAGAAGAAAAAGUCAAGCUAUGCUUGUGGCGAUAGCAGCGAUGGCGUCGGUGUACCAUCUGGAGGCUACUCCUGUAGCUCCCGCCCUGACACAACCGGCAACAACCCGUACCUUAUGGAUGGUUGUCAACAAGGUCAGUAAUUUACUCUUCAAAAUCAGGAAUAUAAAAGUACUGAACUGCCAUGUCAUGAACACUGGACUCAUAUAUGCAUGAUUGAAUAUUAUGGUAUUUUUUGCACCAAGAUUGUCACUUUUCCUCUCCAUUUCUAUGCUCUUCAUCAUUUUAUAGAAAAAACAUUUUUUCCUUUCUAGUUAAAAUAUAAUCAGUUCCACGUACAACAAAGCAAACACUAAUUGUUUCUUGCCCAAUAGAAGUUUGAAAAUUAGGACACACCUUUUCUCCAGAUUCUUUGAUAAAUUUGGAUGUACUACUGUUAUUGAUUAUAUUUUUUACUAGUGCCACAUGGUGUAACUUAAUUCCCAGUUCACAUAUUGUUGGGGAUAUACAUAACAGGUAGGCUCACGAAGGGUCGAAAUAUCAUGAAGCGUGGGGUCCACACAACAUGUGGGUCCAGGUCAAUUUCAUACAGACACACUGUCCACUCGGACAAGUAGCAUACUAUCCACUCGACCAAGCAACAUACCAUCCACUCGGAUGACAGUUCACCACUCGACCGUACGACUCACUCGGAUAUACGAAGACCAGCAGGCAGCAAAGCAGUCGGCAUCUUUCUAAUAGUGAAGGCUUAAUAGUGGGCUGUCAUUAUAGCAUUCAUACCCCACUUUGUAAAAUAGGAGGUGAGGAGGUGGCGCACUCUAUAUAAGCCACCCCCACCACUAGACUUGGGGCUUCUUCUUCCACCUCUCUCUUUUUUCACCAUUAGUCUCAGGACUUAGCUCAGGCAUGGGGAUCCGUUCCUCUCUCUCACACACAUUGUAAUCUCCGGAUAUAUACUCAGAUAAAACAAAGCCUCUCCGGAGCACGAGACGUAGGGUUGUUAUCUCCACCGUGAGAGGCCCGAACUCGCUAAAACCACCGUGUCACCCAUAUGCAUCUCGAUAGAUCAUGCUCCGUUACCCUAUACCUUAUUAUUGUCGGAAUCGUUCCCACGACAGUUGGCGCCCACCGUGGGGCUUGGCGUCUAUCAAGCCAUGGUGCAAAUGGUUCUUUCUUCAAUCUUCGGCAGCGGAUCAACGACCAUUGCCAGAGAAAUUGGCCGAUGGAGUUCUGGCGAUUGCAACAUUCGUACAAACAAAAGAAUCAAGGAAGUAUCCAUUCCAUAUACUCUUUUUACAAUAAAUUGUCUAACAACAGGUUUGUCUUUUCCUCCUGUAGGAUCAGACGCACCCAUGCAUAUCAUGAAGCAGAGAAGAAAAGAAAAGAACAACUCGUUUCCCAUAUUUCUUGCCUUCUUCCGAGAUCAUCAUCAACGGUGACCGCAAAAUCGGCCAUCGACGUGAUCCGUCCUCGUCCUCACCGGCCUUGUGUCUGGCACCGUCGUUGAGCUCCUACACACGGUCACCGGUGCGGUCCGUCCCGUCGUCUUCGACGUCGUCCGCGAACGCUGUUGCUGCUGCUUCGUGCACGACCGCCUCGCAUGCAGCGCGGUCGAGGAGGCGAAGGGAUCGGACCCGUCUGAUUCCCGGAGCAGUGAAGUGUUGUGCCGUGCUCAUCGGCCCGAGUCAUGCUCACAGACCUCAAGCCACGCACGCCUGCCCUGAGACAUGCUCGUCUGCCAAGCGCCGCGCUCGCCCGCCUUGCGACACGCUCGUCGGGGCCGCCCCGUGGCACGCACGGGGCCGCCUCAAGACGCGCUUGCCGGCCCUCGCUUGCAUCGCCGGCUGCACGAGCCACCCGGCCGCCUGGGUCUUCUUCAUCUGCGUCGUCUACAUCGGAUGGUACGUUGCCUCCUACCCCAUAACGUGGCCCUCUUAAUCCUUCGUAAAGUGGCCUGGUAGUUUCCUCAAAUUAAUCGCCUGAUUAAACGCCCAUUAAAUGAGGGUUUCCAGCACCAAUUACCACAGCCGUUUAAUGCUCCUUGCAUGCAUCCAUACACUCCCGUAUGGUUGUGCUAGUGCGUGCAUGCACUCAAUUGGCAAAUGCACUUAACCCAAUUGGGUGCCAUGUGCCAUUUACCAUUUCUUUAAGAUAAAUAUCUCAUGAAGUGGCCAAUUAGGCAAGGAUUCCAUUACCUAGUUAAGGUGAUUGAUUGCCUCCGCUUCUUCCGCAAUUUAAUGGCUUAAUUGCGUACCUUUCGUUUUUCAUGCUGAUUAAAUUUGUGCAUGUAUGCACAACCAUCCAUGGUCUUUAAUCCUUGCAAAAUAGCAUCUGUGCAGGUCCACUUUAGUCCAGCAAAACAAUAUUCGUGGCUACUAACCUGCAGGGUCACUCGUCCGUCAUGGCCCUCGGACAGCAGUUCAUUCGGACCAACAUUUUGUUUCAAGCGACUAACAUCAUAUGCAGAUUAACUCAGAUGAAUUUGCGUCCAGACGAUUAAUGUGGAGUGACUUGGACGCCUGCACGCCAUCACUCUGUUGGACACAUCUUCGUUACCUUAACUGACUCGACUGCUCCGUGUGUCGCCGCUCGAUGAGACACUCGACCGCCCGUGCGUUGUUGUCUCUCGGAUGCCCCGCGCAUCGUCACUUCGCGGUCGCGUCUACAUCACUGGACACCCCGCGCAUCACCACUUGGCUGGAUACGCAUUCCUUCACUCGGCCACCUCGAGCAUCCUCACUCGGCCAUCCCGCGCGUCGCCACUCGGUUGGUCACCUCAUCACCACUCGGCCACCCCGCGCGUCGCCACUCGGUUGGUCACCCCAUCACCACUCGGCCGCCCCGCGCGUCGCCACUCGGUUGGUCACCUCAUCACCACUCGGCCGCCCCGCGCGUCGCCACUCGGUUGGUCACCUCAUCACCACUCGGCCGCCCCGCGCGUCGCCACUCGGUUGGUCACCUCAUCACCACUCGGCCGCCCCGCGCGUCGCCACUCGGUUGGUCACCUCAUCACCACUCGGCCGCCCCGCGCGUCGCCACUCGGUUGGUCACCUCAUCACCACUCGGCCNNNNNNNNNNGUCACCUCAUAACCACUCGGCCGCCCCGCGCGUCGCCACAGGUUGGUCACCUCAUAACCACUCGGCCGCCCCGCGCGUCGCCAUCGGUUGAUCACCUCAUCAGCACUCGGCCGCCCCGCACGUCGCCAAUCGGUUGGUCACCUCAUCACCACUCGACCGCCCUGCGCGCCUUCAGACACCUAAGUCAUUUUACAUUCUGUUAUUUUCGUCUUCCCGAGUAUUCCAUAAUUCACACAUCAGGUUCACUCGGAGGCCACACCACCGAGUGUACCUCUACGCUCGACUGCUUAUUUUCACAUACUUGCUUAGUACUGGUUAUGUGACUCCGAAGUCCAACUUCCUUUUUUUCGCAUAUAUCAUUCACGAACACCAUGUGUCGUUCUUCAUUUCGAGUUUGCAUCGGUCCUCCGGGGCUGCAACUCAGUCAAAACACUACACUUCCGUUUUAUUUUAGCCAGUAUUCCAACAAGUUCAGUAGGAUUUCUUGCUUCGACAAGUGCGAACGAAUCCUUCGCUCUUUUAAACUUUUGCUGGUCAACCAGCAAGUCCCUUGCACUCCCAGCGGGUGUCUAUGGGUGUUAUUCACACAAAUCAUUUCAGCACACAUCAAAUUUCCUCAAGAAAUUAUUGUGUUGACUUGUGCCAUUUUUUACACAAGUUACCGCGAUCACUCGACGGCCCUACGCGCCAACUUCAUCGCUGCUCGGACUCGGUCUCCAUACUGGUCCUAGCGCACCACAACACUGACUUUGUCGCCCUGUUGAUUUCAAACACGUCCGGCCAACCCCUCUAUGGAAUUCUCUUCAUCGUAUUAAUGAUAUAGACCUCGUCGGGCAUGAGACAGAUAAGUCCCUUUCAUAAUUAAACUUCACGCUUCACUCUUUUGCGAGUUUGCUUCUUCCGAGCAUCACUCGGAAGCUUCUCCUCAUCUUUACCCAAAUCCGACUCGAUGAAUUACAAAUCAUCCAUUCAAAACUAUAUUUCUCAUAUUCCGACAUGUCCGUUGUCGAAGCCUGUAGUAUGCUCGGGGGCUACGCCGCACUCGGGGGCUGCAUCUCAUUUGGAAUGACACUCUCCUAAGUGGUCGAGUACUUCAUCACCAAUCAGACCCUUCACUUCAACAAGUACAUUCGAUCCGUCACUUUGACAAAUUUCAUAAUCACCCAGACACUCUGCGUGCCAUCUUCGUUCCUACUCAAAUUCAGUCGUCACACCGGUCUUGUUGCGCCACAGCCACACUACACCGACCUUGUCGCUACAUCAGCUUCAAAAGCAUCUGGCUAACUCCUUCAAGGACCAUUUUUGCCACUCAGCUGGACACUUAGUCCUUCACUCGGCCGCCCCGCGCGUCGCCACUCGGUUGUGCGCGUCUUCACCACUCGGCCGCCCCGCGCGUCGCCACUCGGUUGUGCGCGUCUUCACCACUCGGCCGCCCCGCGCGGCGCCACUCGGUUUUGCACGUCUUCACCACUCGGCCGCCCCGCGCGUCGCCACUCGGUUGCGCACGUCUUCAUCACUCGUCCGCCCCGCGCGUCUCCACUCGGUUGUGUGCGUCUUCACCACUCGGCCGCCCCGCGCAUCGCCACUUGGUUCUGCACGUCUUCACCACUCGCCCGCCCCGCGCGGCGCCACUCGGUUUUGCACGUCUUCACCACUCGGCCGCCCCGCGCGUCGCCACUCGAUUAUACACGUCCUCGCCCCUCGGCCGCCCCGCGCGUCACCAUCAGUUGGACAUGUCUUUACCUCUACACCCCCAGCACGGGAACGGCUAAGUUACUCAUAUGGUCAAACCUCAUAUCACACUCUGUAGCGAGCUUACCUCCUUCGAGCAUCACUCGGGGGCUACGCGCGGCAGUUGGCCAUGUCACCCUUAGGGGUUACGCCCAUUUGGUCAACCUGUUGAUCACAUCAAGAUAUUCUUCUGACCAUACAUGCUCGGUUCGCCGAAGAUCUAUAAGUGAAGCACGUCCACUUGGAUAAAUACCCCUUUUCAUGCAAAAGGGUAAAAAUGAAGCGCCAUCGUUGAAUCGUACAGGCGACCUUACUCAUCGUUCGUACAACCACCUCGUUACGCAUCCAUCCGAUUGAUUCAAUUCCAGACAAAGAUAUUUGCCAUGCCAACUGCAUGGAGGUUUACCGAGAGACUUAAACCCUCUGCCAGACUCAUCUAGUCCGACAGAGGCUCGGGGACUACACCCAGUGGGUGCACUCAGCGUGCCCCCACUGGAAGAGGACUCAGAAAGAAACAUUUUGCUCGAUGCAAACCCAUCUCCAGUAUUACUCGACCUCCGAGUCAGAGAAGAACAAGUUCGAUCAGUACCAGCUAAGAAGAGUUUUAGUUCUCUCAUACUCCCGCCGACUGCCCGUAGUCGACAGCAGUCUCGGGGACUACACCCAGUGGGUGCACUCAGCGUGCCCCCACUGGAAUGGUAUCCACUCGGAACGGUCCGCCCAACCCGAGUGACGGCCAAACAACAACAAAAAGACAGGCUCUAAGACUCCCCCCGACUGCCCGCAGUCGACAGCAGUCUCGGGGACUACACCCAGUGGGUGCACUCAGCGUGCCCCCACUGGAAUGGUAUCCACUCGGAACGGUCCGCCCAACCCGAGUGACGGCCAAACAACAACAAAAAGACAGGCUCUAAGACUCCCGCCGACUGCCCGCAGUCGACAGCAGUCUCGGGGACUACACCCAGUGGGUGUACUCAGCGUGCCCCCACUGGAAUGGUAUCCACUCGGAACGGUCCGCCCAACCCGAGUGACGGCCAAACAACAAAAAAGACACGUUCCAGGCGUGAAGAAAUUCCGACUAAUCAGUUACUCGAUGCAGGCCCAGCUCCAAAUCACUCCAAAAAAUAUUCUAUAAGGCGAGUUUAACGCUCCUCCGUGGACCUGUUUUGAGCCUUCUUCUAGGACUCAAAGUGUGAAACUCACAAGUGUGGAUCUAAAACCGACUCGUAUUGACGUUCCUCCGGGAUAAGAAUGGCAUCUCUCUAAGAGAACAGUCCAUGUGUCAAUCUGGUCGCACAGAUUUAGUGACACACCCAUACUCAGAUCACGAGUUAAACCUCUUCCGAGAGAUGAACGAAUGUCACCAAGUUGCUCCACACAGACACAUACCUCGAUCAGUCGGGAAGCAUGGUACCGGAAUCCAUUGAGAUUUUGUUCAAACCUUGGUUGUCUGAAAGCGUGACGACAUGUACCGAGUAUUUCUGUAAUCACUCGGACCAAACUGUGUCUUACACCAACUCGUUCUGCAAAAUCGCAAUCAAUUCGGGGGCUAAUGUUGGGGAUAUACAUAACAGGUAGGCCCACGAAGGGUCGAAAUAUCAUGAAGCGUGGGGUCCACACAACAUGUGGGUCCAGGUCAAUUUCAUACAGACACACUGUCCACUCGGACAAGUAGCAUACUAUCCACUCGACCAAGCAACAUACCAUCCACUCGGAUGACAGUUCACCACUCGACCGUACGACUCACUCGGAUAUACGAAGACCAGCAGGCAGCAAAGCAGUCGGCAUCUUUCUAAUAGUGAAGGCUUAAUAGUGGGCUGUCAUUAUAGCAUUCAUACCCCACUUUGUAACAUAGGAGGUGAGGAGGUGGCGCACUCUAUAUAAGCCACCCCCCACCACUAGACUUGGGGCUUCUUCUUCCACCUCUCUCUUUUUUCACCAUUAGUCUCAGGACUUAGCUCAGGCAUGGGGAUCCGUUCCUCUCUCUCACACACAUUGUAAUCUCCGGAUAUAUACUCAGAUAAAACAAAGCCUCUCCGGAGCACGAGACGUAGGGUUGUUAUCUCCACCGUGAGAGGCCCGAACUCGCUAAAACCACCGUGUCACCCAUAUGCAUCUCGAUAGAUCAUGCUCCGUUACCCUAUACCUUAUUAUUGUCGGAAUCGUUCCCACGACACAUAUUGUCUCUAAUAGUGGAGAAUUCGUGACAAGGUGUUAGUAAGACUUAUGAUGUUUUUGUUACUCCCUCCAUCUCGGUGCAUAAGGCAUACUCGUAGUUCUAGGUCGUAAAUCUUACUAGCUAAAUGUGAAUUAUAUGUGGUAAUAAAAAUAUAUAUUUAGAAACAAUAUUUGCAUAUGAAUCCAAUGAUAUACUUUUCAUGACAUGUAACAUUGUUUUAGGUUGAUGCUGCUAGCUACUUUACUAAAAUGGAUGUGGGCAUUGUUUGAUGCAGAGACCGGGGGUAAUCCUCUUUUUCGAAGAAAAAAAACACUGCUUUAGGUAGUCAAAUCAAUGACCUAGAACUACGUGCAUGUCCUAUGCACCGAGACGGAGGUAGUAGUCUUUACCCAGUUAAUGGGAUUUGUUUUCCACAAGUAGUAGCUGGUUUCUUUAUAAUGUUUUAGCUAGCAAUUAGACUUGGUAUUAUAAUUUAAUGAUUUAAUACAUUGUAGAUCUAGUCUAAAUAGGAUGACCAUUAAUUCGUAUAAUCUUAAUGUAACUUCUCCUGUGGCAGUCUCCCAGUGUGACUUCUUCCUAUGUCAAUAUACUUGCAGAGCAAUACAAUCCCAAUCAUAGAGGAGGUUGCACCAAAUUUUGCGGGAACACAAGUAUGCACUUCCCUUUUGGGCUUGAAAAAGGUUGCUACGCUGCUGAAAAGUUUUGACUUAACUGUACAUCAGAGAACAUCACAAUUCUUGAUCGAGGGGGUAACAAUAUUAAUGAAGGCGCCAAAUUAAUUGUGGACAACAUUUCAGUGAAUGAAGGAUAUCUUAAUGUUAGAGAAACAAAGAAUAACUUAAGGUAUGGUAAUGAAGAGCUCGCGGUAAUAGGUUAUAGAAGCAAUGGGGACUAGGAAGUAGAAGACAUCUCUUCAGAUGGUUUUCAUUUAUCCGAAGAAUACGGUAUGAAGUUGUUGUGGUCUGUCGAUAAUUUGACCUGUUCGAAGGCUAUGAGCAAGCAAAUAAGUGCUACAUAUGCAUGUCGUAGCAGCAAUAGCACUUGCAUUAUUGUCAACCAACCAGGCUACAAGAAUGUGACAAUGCAGCUCGGCUAUCGUUGCCAGUGCUCUCAAGGUUUUUAUGGAAAUCCAUACAUACUGAACGGAUGCCAAGGUAAAUAGUACAUUACAACUGCAGUACAAAUUAUCUUCCAACUACACGGACGAUUUUCCAAGUACAUGAAAUGAUUGACUAAAAUAUUGCAAUGAUAAAUCUGGCAGGAUUCAUGUGAUGCAAUCUGUCGGUCACCUUGAUCCAAAGAAUUUAUUUCCUUUUUAGAGGAUUUAUGCUAGACAUGCUACUCAAAUCAUACAACUCAUUAAUAUGUCUCAUUUUGGUUAUGUGCAUCACACGAUGUAGAGACUAGAAGAAUUAUACAUUAUGCACUAGUAGCAAAACGACCUUUAAUACUGGUUUGUAAGGGCCUUUAGUCCCGGUUCUGGAACCGGCACCAAAGGGUGGGGACUAAAGGUACCCCCCCCUUUAGUCCCGGUUCAACACAAACCGGGCCAAAGGCCCACCACGUGGCACGAGCCCACGCCGGGGGCCGUGAGACCUUUAGUACCGGUUGGUAACAUCAAUCGGUACUAAAGGUUUUUCUAAAAAAAUGUUUUUUUAAAUUGAAUUUUUUCUUCUGAUUUUCAAAUUUCUGAAUUAUUUGAGGAUUUAAUCUCUAAUCACCCCUCAUCAUUGCUCUAAUCACCCCUCAUCAUUCCAAUUCGUCUAACUUUCCGGCCGGUCACCCAUCCUCUCACUACUCCAGUCUGAGCACGCUUAACUUCCAAGUUCUAUUCCCGCUAGUUUCCAAGUCUGCACUUGUUGUUUACCUGACAAGUAAGCUGUCAAUCCUAUUAACCCUCGGGAGUUUAGCUUCAGUAUGAAGUCACACAUUUCACCGUUUGAGUUUGAAACUAUUACUCUAAAAAAUAAUUAUUAUUUAGUAACACUAAUAUUUCUUGAAUAAGUAGUUUGACCACAGUUUGACAAUAGUUUGCCCACAGUUUGACCAAAAUUAAAAAAGACUAAAAUAGUUAUUUAGUAACACUAAUAUUUCUUGAACGAGUAGUUUGACAAUAGUUUGACCACAGUUUGACCAGAUUUAACAAAAAUUCAAAAAAACUAAAAUUUGAGCAUAUCUUUUUUUCCUUUCAGAAUUUGAGGAUUCUAAAAAUCUGCAAACAGGCCUAUGGCCGUCAAAAUCGGAUGCGUAUUUUUGUGCUGAUUUUUUUUGAUAUAUUAUGUGUUUUUUUCGACAUUGUAUGCAAAAGAUAUGGUCGUUUUACUUUUUCCUAACACUUCUUUGCAGAACAUGUCGAAACAGAAAAGGCNNNNNNNNNNNNNNNNNNNNNNNNNNNNNNNNNNNNNNNNNNNNNNNNNNNNNNNNNNNNNNNNNNNNNNNNNNNNNNNNNNNNNNNNNNNNNNNNNNNNNNNNNNNNNNNNNNNNNNNNNNNNNNNNNNNNNNNNNNNNNNNNNNNNNNNNNNNNNNNNNNNNNNNNNNNNNNNNNNNNNGUCCUUUAGUCCCGGUUUGUGUCUCCAACCGGGACUAAAGGUUAGACCCCUUUUGUCCCGGUUUGUGACACAAACCGAUGAUGUAGGUUAGACCUUUAGUCCCGGUUUGUGUCACAAACCGGGACUAAAUGUGCUCGUGGGGCCCCGGCCUGACGCCAGCCUGCCACCACCCCUUUAGUACCGGUUUGUGGCACAAACCUGUAUUGAAGGUUCAACACGGACCGGGACUAAUGCAUAGUCAUUCGAACCGGGACUAAUGGUACCAUUAGUGCCGGUUCAUUUACAAACCGGGACUAAAGAGCUGAACAUUAGCUAGUUUUUCUACUAGUGAUGGUACAUUAUGCUAAAUUACACCUAGCCAUGCACUAGUACUAGUUUUUUGCUAACUCAUGAAAAUGGCAACAUAGGGAUUGAUCCUUGUUUGAGCUAACACUGAAGAUCACCAUCAUGUAUAUGAUUUCUUAUACAACAUUUUUUUGUCUUCUAUAAUGUGCGCAUACAAACUUGCAGAAUAUAGUGACAUUUGCAUACACAUAAACAAGUAAAUUCACAUCAUGGAAACAGUAUGUUAUUAACAUAUAUGAAAUCAAACAUAUGUGUAUAAAGUUAGGUGUCUACAUAGUUUGGUUGUUUACAAACAUGUGCCUGGAAACGAUAAUGGUCAAUGGUAAGAUCACAUUGUUGCAUAGAGGUAGUUUUAAUGUCUCUAGGAUGAGUGCUGGGCCAAGGGUAGCGUAGAUAUUGUUCUACUAUUUCUACCAAAUAUUUUCAGACAUUAUUUGUUUCUCACAUAUGUACCAUUUACAGAUGUCAAUGAGUGUUUGUUGAUGAAUAUUUGCAACGGCCCUUGCCUAAAUUAUCCUGGAGGCUAUAGUUGCAGUGAGUGCACGCAUGGAAAAGAGUUUGAUCCAAUAGAACUCAAAUGUGUCAUGUCAAAAAAGAGACACAAUCUUCUCUUAGGUAAAUCAUACUGAAUUUACUCACCUCGGUACAAAUUGCAACUUGCAAAGUGGGAUUUUUUUUCAUAACAACAACUAUUUGAUGUAUAGGUAUCACAAUUGGAAUUAGUUGUGGCCUUGGUGCCAUAAUUCUUGUGGUAGGCGCCACAGUACUCAUCAACAAGUGGAAGAGAGGCAUACAGAAGAGAAUUCGAAGGACAUACUUCAAGAGAAAUCAAGGCCUACUCUUGGAACAACUAAUAUUAGAUGAAAGUGCCACAGAUAAAACAAAGAUAUUCUCUUUGGAGGAAUUAGAUAAAGCAACCAACAACUUUGAUGUCAGUCAUAUUCUUGGUCAUGGAGGACAUGGCACGGUUUACAAAGGGAUUCUAUCCGACCAACGUGUAGUGGCCAUAAAAAAGUCUAAGCUGGUGGAGCAAACUGAGAUUGACCAGUUUAUCAACGAGGUUGCCAUCCUGUCACAAAUCAUUCAUCGGAAUGUGGUCAAGCUUUUUGGUUGUUGUCUCGAAACAGAAGUGCCUUUGCUAGUUUAUGAGUUCAUAUCCAAUGGCACCCUAUAUGAUCUUCUUCACAUUGAUGUAAGUGUUCAGUGCUUACUUUUAUGGGGUGAUCGCAUUAGGAUUGCAGUAGAAGCUGCAGGUGCUCUUGCUUAUCUGCACUCAGCUGCUGCGAUACCAAUUUUCCAUAGAGAUGUCAAAUCUUCCAAUAUACUCCUAGAUGGCAACUUUACUACCAAGGUUUCUGACUUUGGUGCUUCGAGGUCUUUAUCACUUGAUCAGACACAUGUAGUGACAAUUGUACAAGGAACUUUUGGUUACUUAGACCCCGAGUACUACCACACUGGGGAGCUGAGUGAGAAGAGUGAUGUUUAUAGCUUUGGAAUUAUACUGGUGGAGCUUCUAAUGAGAAAGAAGCCAGUUUUUAUUAAUGAACAAGGUAUAAAGCAAAGCUUGGCUCAUUACUUUGUGGAAGGACUUCAGCAGGGAGUUCUCAUGGAAAUCAUGGAUCCCCAAGUUGCGGAAGAAGCGAACCAGAAUGAAAUUGAUGACAUUGCCUCAGUUGCGGAAGCAUGCUUGAAAACCAAAGGAAAAGAAAGACCUACCAUGAAAGAGGUAGAAAUGAAGUUGCAACUCCUGAAAACUAGAAGAUUAAGGAGUCAACUUCCUCCCAUAAAUGAUGGAGAGAUCGAGUCAUUUGGGUGCCUAAAUGGCGCUAGCUCUCAUGCACAGAGCAACGGCAUUGUCAGUAAUGUUGGCUUAACACCUACAUGCAGCUCCGGAAAGUACAGUCUGGAGCAAGAGUUUUUGAACUCGGCCAGCUUGCCACGCUAGCGAAGCACACAGUGGGAUGAUCAUAUGCUUACUAAGGUUCCCAGGUGCAUGUCAGUUACCCUACGUGUGCUUAUAUAGAAAAACUAUGCAAUGCACGUAGUUCCUUUUUGUGGGAGUAUGGCAUGUAAAUUUCCGAAUUGUGUUUGUAGCUUAUCUUAUGUGUGUAAUUUCUUUCGACGACAAUUAUUGCAAUUAAGCUACAGUGGUGAAUAAAGUUAUUUUAUCGUUGUUUUUUUUCUUUUUGAAAUUUCUUUUUUACCAUACACAUUUCUCACUACUCAUUAGCAAUAAUACUCGAACCUGUAAUACAUUAGUCAUUGGUAAUGAGCAAUGGUGAAUAAAUGUUGGUUUAACGCCUACUAUUAUAUUAUGGGACGGACUACAAUUGAUGUGAGUUAUGUGUGUUUGUUAGAUAUAUAGAAGCCCUACUUCGCCAGAAAAGAAUGCGGAAACAUAAUUAUGGAUUUGUAAAGCCUAAAGCCCUGUUACUAUGGCUUCUUAUUGUUUAUUUUUAUGUUUUAGGGAAAAAGAAUAGUCAUUCCUUUUAUCUGCGAUAUCCUUUUCCCCUCCCCUUCCGUGCCGCCGCGUGUGGUGGCCUCAGCUGCGAAGGGUGAUGCUUCUCCUGGUCGCCAGCCGGCCGGUAGAGUGCUCUGCCUUGGCGGUUUCCCAGAGGAAGGUUGGGGAGCCCGGCCGUCGAGAAGCAGCAAGCGGUUGGAAACGGGUGAGGCAGCUGCUCCGAUCGGCAUGCGCGCUCGCUGCACCGAGGUGCCCAUCGCUGUGCUGGGGGCUGGUGAUGAAGUCAUGUACCUAGGGUAGGGUCACGGGCCUGUCCAAAGUACCCUCCCCAAGGACAUCUUCAGAAGAAGCUACCUUCCAGUCGACCAAGAGGGAUUCCACUCGACGGACUCGAAGACACUCGACGAUGAAGACUCACUCGACCACCAAGAGACCAAGAGCCACUCUGCAUCCAAACGGUCUGUAAUUAAGUAGUCUUUAUAGUCAUGAUGACACUUUAUGUAAGGCGUUACCAGUAACGCCUAUCUUUAUGUACUUUAAACCCUGCAUAACUGAGGGCCGGAGGGGUCGGGCAGACACUAUAUAAGCCACCCCCUCCUCGGUGUAAAGGGUUCGUACCCCUGUAACUCAUAUGCACAUAAUCCAGUCGACCGCCUCCGGGCUCCGAGACGUAGGGCUGUUACUUCCUCCGAGAAGGGUCUGAACUCGUAAAUCCCUUGCGUAUACAACUACUCCAUAGCUAGGACCUUGCCUCUCCAUACCUACUCCCCAUUCUACUGUCAGACUUAGGACCACGACAGUUGGCGCCCACCGUGGGGCAGGUGUCUUAGCGACUUUUUGGAGAAGUUGCAAUUUGACCGAUCACCUUCAUCAUGGUUUCUGGCGGAGUUCUGGUCGAGGGCCGCGAGAUCCGUCUCGGUGCGCUCGCUUUCAUCGCCGACGACUCCGCUUGGCUCCAGGAGGCACCACUCGACAUCGAUGCGCUCCCCGUCCGCGGUGCGACGCACUUUCGGGCGUGUGUCCGCGACGUCCUGCUGCGGCAGCCGUCGACCCCAUACCGGUCGACUCCUGUGCCGUCCUCCCUCCCUGUCUCCCGCCAGCGCAAGCGCUCCGGUCGGUCGAGGCUCCAGUGAUGGGUGAGACACGCUGUGGCUCGCCAAUCGGCAACCACCCAAGUCGCGGCAAUUGAGCCCGACGAAUCUCUCCACGGCCUGUUUGAUCUGUCGACUGGCUCCGUAGAGACUGCAUCUGAGUGCGACAGCAGUGAUCCAGCGGCGGAGGUCCUGAUGGUCAAUGGACCUCAUAGCCCUCCCGGCUUCCCCUGCAUCGACGGGAUGGACGAUGGAGGCGACCCCACUCAGGCUCACGAAGAAUAUCAGCCCGAGCCACUCACUUCUCAACAAAGAGAAGAUCUUCGCCGCCGGAACAUGGAUGCCCUACAUACUCCUAUCGCGGGAGAAACUCCCGAGGCUCGUGCCUUGGAAGAGGCGCGUUUGGCCAACUUGGCUGAAUGCACUCGACUGGAGAACCUCCAGCGAGCACUCGACGAGCGUGCGUGGCAACGAGUACCCGACUCCAGCCGACGUCAGCUCUUUGCACAACCCACUCAGGUAUAUCGGACUCCGAUUCAGAAUUUAGCAGCUGCAGCCCGUAUUGCGGAGUCAAUUCAGCCCUCUCAGUGGGAGGCUGGAAGAGGCUUGAUGCAGAUCAGGGAUUUGCUCUGGGCAGCAGGAGAUCAGAAUUCAGUUGUGUCACAGUAGCGCAACAAGAUCCACAGUCGAUCCGUCGCUGCGAAUACUGUUCAGUCGGCUCACAGCCCAAGGUCACCUCCGAGGCGCGUGGGACAUGAAGGCCGGCGGGACCACUAUGAUGACCGAUUUGUUCAUGAUGACAGGCGUCGAGUGCCCACUCCUCCCCCGAGAGGUGGGUCUAACGCCCAUCGGCAACAAGAUGACAGGCGCCAGCUCAGUGUUGGGCGGAGAGCUCCGGUCGACCCCAGAGAACCAGGCUUUGACGCGAGAUCCAUCAUCGUGCAAGGUUUGGUCAAUCGGAACAGAGCUCAUAGAGGUGGCCAUGACAGAGAUGCGCCCACUAGCAGCCGAGUCCAUGUUUCAGGUCCAGAAUGCUUUAGCAGAGCCAUCAGAGCCGCAGUGAUACCCCACAACUUCAGGUUGGCGACUGGGGUAAGUAAGUUCACCGGAGAGUCCAAGCCUGAAACUUGGCUUGAAGACUACCGAGUGGCGGUACAGAUUGGUGGCGGUAAUGAUGAGGUGGCCAUGAAGCAUUUGCCACUCAUGCUAGAGGGUUCGGCCAGGGCGUGGUUGAAUCAGUUAGCUCCUAGCAGCAUUUACACUUGGGAAGAUCUUUCCCGAGUGUUCGUCAGGACAUUCGAGGGAACUUGCAAGCGACCGGCCGGAUUGACGGAGCUGCAAGUCUGCGUACAAAAGUUGAGUGGAACAUUGAGAGAUUACAUCCAGAGAUGGAUCACUUUUCAUCAUACCGUGGAGAAUGUGUCGGACCAUCAAGCGGUUUGCGCCUACAAGGAUGGUGUCAAGAACAGAGAGUUGAGCCUGAAGUUUGGUCGAACCGGAGAUACGACCCUGAGUCGAAUGAUGGAGAUUGCCACCAAAUACGCUAACGGUGAAGAAGAGGACAGGCUCCGGAGUGGCAAGUAUAAGCCGAGUCAAUCGGAAAAAGGAAACUCCAGUCGGAAGCAGAAGCGGAAGGCCGAGCCAUCUGCUCCUGAAGAGGCUCUGGCCGUGACUCAGGGCAAAUUCAAAGGGAAGCCCAAAGGAUCUUGAAACCCCAAGAAGGUAAAGGAUAAAGAAGGAAAUGACGUGAUGGAUCUACCAUGUCACAUCCACACGAAGAAAGACGAAGAGGGUAACUUCAUCUACCCGAAACAUACCACUCGCCAGUGUCGGCUCUUAAUCCAGCAGUUUCAAGGAAAACAACCCAAGGACAAAGAGAAGGAGUCGGACAAGGCCGAGGACAAGGAGGACAGUGAUGGAGGGUACCCUCAUGUCAAUUCCACCCUGAUGAUUUUUGCUGAUGUAGAGAGCAAAAGUUGACUGAAAGUGAUCAACCAUGAGGUAAAUAUGGUCGCCCCGGCGACACCAAGCUAUCUGAAAUGGUCGCAAACUCCCAUUACGUUCGACCAGUCCGAUCACCCUACUCACAUUGCCACCCCUGGGAGGCAAGCGCUGGUGGUCGACCCAGUCGUCGAAGGCACUCGACUGACGAAGGUAUUGAUGGAUGGCGGCAGUGGGUUGAAUAUACUAUAUGCAGAGAUGCUCAAGGUAAUGGGCAUUCCGAUGUCCAGGCUCAGCUCCAGCAACAUGAGUUUUCAUGGAGUCAUUCCUGGAAAGAAGGCUGAGUCACUCGGCCAAAUAGCUCUGGAUGUAGUGUUCGGCGACUCGAAGCAUUUCCGCAAAGAGAAGCUAACAUUUGAAGUCGUGGAUUUCCAGAGCGCUUACCACGCUAUUUUGGGAAGACCAGCCUAUGCCCGCUUCAUGGCUCGACCAUGUUAUGUGUACCUCAAAUUAAAGAUGCCUGGCCCCAAAGGCGUGAUCACUAUCACUGGCAGCCGGAAGAAGGCAGAAGAGUGUUUCCAGAAAGGCUCGAAGAUUGCGGAUGCCCAGAUAACAGUGGUAGAGCUGGAAGGAUACAAGAAAAAUGCAGAUCCGAGUGAUGUGUUGCGGGCCAAGAAGCCCGCCACAGAGUCAGCGUUCCAGUCGUCUGGGGAGACGAAGCCAGUUCAUAUCCACCCAACUGACCCCAAUGCAGCUCCGACCCAUAUUUCCACAACACUCGACUCUAAAUAGGAAGAAGCGCUCAUCCAGUUCCUCCGUGAGAACUGGGACAUCUUUGCAUGGAAGCCAGCUGACAUGCCGGGUGUUCCUAGGGGGGCUGGCUGAGCAUCGCCUUAGAGUCGACUCAAAAGCGAAACCUGUUAAAGAACAUCUUCGACGGUCCGCCGUUCAGAAGAAAAAAGCCAUUGGCGAGGAGGUGGCUUGACUCCUUGCAGCAGAGUUUAUCCGAGAGAUAUACCACUCCGAGUGGCUCGCCAAUGUCGUCAUGGUUCCCAAGAAGGACAACUCACUUCGCAUGUGCAAUGAUUUCAAACAUAUCAAUCGGGCCUACCCAAAAGAUCAUUUUCCUCUCCCUCGCAUCGACCAAAUUGUCGACUCGACUGCGGGAUGCGAGAGAUUGUCUUUUUUAGACACCUAUUCCGGGUAUCAUCAGAUCCGUCUGUAUGGACCUGACGAAAUCAAAACAGCUUUCAUCACUCCAUUCGGGUGCUUCUGCUAUAUCACCAUGCCAUUCGGUCUCAAGAAUGCCGGAGCCACAUUCAUGAGAAUGAUUUAAAAGUGUUUACUCACUCAAAUCAGUCGGAAUGUGGAAGCGUACAUGGAUGAUAUCGUGGUCAAGUCACGAAAGGGUUCCGACCUGUUGACUGACCUAGCUGAAACAUUUGCCAAUCUCAGGAGAUAUGAUAUCAAGCUUAAUCCAUCAAAGUGCACAUUCGGAGUACCUGGCGGAAAGUUACUCGGUUUUCUUGUUUCAGAACGAGGAAUCGAUGCUAACCUAGAAAAAGUUGGCACCACACUCCGAAUGAAACGCCCUGUGCAUGUGCACGAUGUCCAGAAGCUUACUGGAUGCUUGGUCGCAUUAAGUUGAUUCAUCUGUCGCCUCGGUGAAAAGGCGUUGCCUCUUUACCGACUGAUGAAGAAGACAGACAAGUUCGAGUGGACUCCAAAAGCUGAUGCAGCGUUUGCUGAGCUAAAAGCUCUACUCUCCACCCAGCCGGUGCUUGCUGCUCCAAUCAGCAAAGAGCCUCUGUUGCUUUACAUUGCAGCCAUAGGACAGGUCGUCGGUACAGUACUUACGGUAGAGCGGGAAGAGGAAGGGAAAACCUUCAAAGUUCAGCGCCCAGUGUAUUAUCUCUCUGAAGUUUUGACUCCAUCAAAGCAAAGAUAUCCUCAUUAUCAGAAGCUCGUAUAUGGGAUCUACAUGACCAUGAAGAAGGUUGCUCAUUAUUUCUCUGAUCAUGACAUUACAGUCGUCAGCGACGCACCAUUGUCAGAGAUUCUGCACAACAGAGAUGCAACUGGUCGAGUGGCUAAAUGGGCGAUUGAACUCCUUCCCCUUGAUAUCAAAUUUGAGGCAAAGAAAGCCAUUGAGUCCCAGGCUAUAGCAGAUUUCCUUGCCGAGUGGAUUGAACAACAGCAACCGACUCAAGUUCACUUGGAGCAUUGGACCAUGUUCUUUGAUGGCUCUAAGAUGUUAAAUGGUUCUGGUGCUGGGGUAGUUUUGGUUUCCCCCCGAGGAGAUAAGCUCAGAUAUGUGCUCCAGAUCCACUUUGAUUCCUCCAACAAUGAAGCAGAAUAUGAAGCACUUUUGUAUGGGUUGCGCAUGGCCAUUUCACUCAGCAUCCGGCGCCUUAUGGUUUAUGGCGACUCAGAUUUGGUGGUCGAUCAGGUGAUGAAGGAGUGGGAUGUUAGAAGCCCAGCCAUGACUGGAUACUGCAAUGCAGUGAGGAAGCUCGAAAAGAAAUUCGAAGGGUUAGAGCUCCACCAUAUACCCCGACUGAAAUAUCAAGCGGCUGAUGAUUUGGCAAAGAUAGGAUCCAAGAGAGAAGCCAUCCCCAGUGAUGUGUUCUUGGAGCAUAUCCAUACUCCAUCAGUCAUAGAAGAUCCUUUUACCAAGGAAGCUCCGCAACCUAAGAGUGUUACGGAUCCGACUGAGGUUGAAGUUCCAGCAGUGGUCGACCUGAUCAUGGAAGCUUUAGUGAUCACUCCCGAUUGGACAGUACCAUAUAUCGUGUAUAUCUUGAGGAAAGAGCUCCCGAAGGACGAAGAAGAGGCUCGACAGAUCGUCUGCCGAUCUAAAGCCUUUACUGUGGUAAGGGGGCAGCUGUACAGAGAAAGCGCGACUGGAGUUGGUUAGAAAUGCAUAACGCCGGAGGAAGGUCGAAUAAUCCUUGAUGACAUCCACUCGGGAACCUGUGGCCAUCAUGCAUCUUCCCGGACCAUUGUGGCCAAAGCAUACCGAGCCAGAUUUUAUUGGCCAAGAGCGAAUGAAAUGGCAAAGGAGAUAGUCGACAAGUGUGAGGGAUGUCAAUUUUACUCCAAUAUGUCACACAAGCCCGCCUCAGUCUUAAAGACCAUACCACUCGUUUGGCCCUUUGUAGUAUGGGGGUUGGAUAUGGUCGGCCCUUUGAGAACAGGCAGAAGCGGUUUCACCCAUGUGCUGGUAGCAGUUGACAAGUUCACCAAGUGGAUUGAGGCCAAACCCAUCAAGAACCUCGAUGCCGAUACUGAUGUCAGCUUUAUCAGAGAAUUGAUAUUCAGAUAUGGAGUCCCGCACAACAUCAUCACUGACAACGGGUCAAACUUCGAUUCCGAAGAAUUCAGAGCUUUCUGCAUGUCUCAAGGCACACGAGUCGACUAUGCUUCAGUCGCCCAUCCACAGUCGAAUGGACAGGUAGAACGAGCCAACGUCUUGAUUCUCAAAGGGUUGAAACCCCGUUUGAUGCGUGAUCUCAAGCAUGCGGCUGGUGCAUGGGUCGACGAACUUCCCUCGGUGCUUUGGGGGUUAAGGACCACGCCCAACCGGUCGACUGGAAGAACUCCGUUCUUCUUGGUCUACGAAGUUGAAGCAGUCUUGCCGAGUGACCUUCUCCACAAUGCUCCUCGGGUCGAGCUCUACACCGAAGCUGAAGCAGAACAAGCACGGCAGGAUGCAGUCGACCUUUUAAAGGAAGAAAGGGAGAUGGCUCUGAUCCGAUCGACCAUUUAUCAACAAGACUUGCGUCGCUUCCACGCCAAAAACGUGAAGAGUCGAGCCUUCCAGGAAGGAGAUUUAGUUCUCCGAGUGGAUCAGCAGAAACCACACAAGCUUGCUCCUUCUUGGGAAGGUCCCUUCAUCGUCACCAAGGUUCUCCACAAUGGAGCAUACCGUCUUUACAAUGUCGAGCAUCAGAUCGACGAGCCCCGAGCUUGGAACGCGGAGCUUCUCCGCCCCUUUUACACUUAAGUAUUCACUCGGAUGAGUUGUAAUAAAAGUACUUCUGUAGUUUAUUUAUCAAAGACAAGAGCUUUAUAAUUUUCCCAGUAAUUGUUAUUACUUUUGCCCACAUAAAGCAAUCCCCCAGUGGGUGGCUUGGCUGCGAAUCUGAUUCGCCUAAGUCUGUAAAAAAAUCCAAACCGAGUGGUGAGCCAGCCUCCCACUUGAAGGCUUAGCUGCGAAAUCCGUUUCGCCUAAGUUAAACAAAAUCCUACCGAGUGGUAAGCCAGCCUUCCACUCGGAGGCUUAGCUGCAGUCCAAGUACUCGCCUAAGUUUUUGCAAAUCCUACCGAGUGGAAAGCCAGCCUUCCACUCGGAGGCUUAGCUGCAGUCCAAGUACUCACCUAAGUUAAACAAAAUCCUACCGAGUGGUAAGCCAGCCUUCCACUCGGAGGCUUAGCUGCAGUCCAAGUACUCGCCUAAGUUAAACAAAAUCCUACCGAGUGGUAAGCCAGCCUUCCAUUCGGAGGCUUAGCUGCAGCAUUGCGCUCGCCUAAGUUCAAAUACAACAUGCGCUCUACAAGGAAGACGAGGUGCAGGUCGACUGCUACCCUCUCCUUCCGAGGUACGCCAAAAAUACAACAUGCGCUCUGCAAGGAGGACGAGAUGCAGGUCGAUUGCUACCCUCUCCUUCCGAGCUACGCCACAAAAAAAACGUGCGCUCUGCGAGGAGGACAAGGUGCAGGUCGACUGCUACCCUCUCCUUCCGAGCUACGCCACAAAUACAACGUGCGCUCUCCAAGGAGGAUGAGACGCAGGUCGACUGCUACCCUCUCCUUCCGAGCUACGCCACAAAUACAACAUGCGCUCUGCAAGGAGGACGAGGUGCAGGUCGACUCCUACCUCCUUCUCUAGAGGUACGCCUUGAAAAUCCUACCGAGUGAAGAGCAGACCUCCCACUCGGGGGCUUAGCUGCAGCCCAGUGCUCGCCUAAGUUUUUGAAACUCCUACCGAGUGGAGAGCAAACCUCCCACUCGGAGGCUUAGCUGCAGCCCAGUGCUCGCCUAAGUUUUUGAAAAUCCUACCGAGUGGAGAGAAAACAUCCCACUCGGAGGCUUAGCUGUAGCCCAGUGCUCGCCUAAGUUUUUGAAAAUCCUACCGAGUGGAGAGCAAACCUCCCACUCGGGGGCUUAGCUGCAGCCCANNNNNNNNNNNNNNNNNNNNNNNNNNNNNNNNNNNNNNNNNNNNNNNNNNNNNNNNNNNNNNNNNNNNNNNNNNNNNNNNNNNNNNNNNNNNNNNNNNNNNNNNNNNNNNNNNNNNNNNNNNNNNNNNNNNNNNNNNNCUCGCCUAAGUUUUUGAAAAUCCUACCGAGUGGAGAGCAAACCUCCCACUCGGAGGCUUAGCUGCAUCCCAGUGCUCGCCUAAGUUUUUGAAAAUCCUACCGAGUGGAGAGCAAACCUCCCACUCGGAGGCUUAGCUGCAGCUCAGUGCUCGCCUAAGUUUUUGAAAAUCCUACCGAGUGGAGAGCAGACCUCUCACCCGGAGGCUUAGCUGCAGCCCGAUGCUCGCCUAAGUUUUUGAAAAUCCUACCGAGUGGAGAGCAGACCUCCCACUCGGGGGCUUAGCUGCAGCCCAGUGCUCGCCUAAGUCUAUUGGGGAACAAGUCGAUUGCAAUGAGCGCCUCGCUUUAGCCUGCAAAAGACACCUCAAACCAAAUGCAAACAUAUUCAACAUCGAAUCCAAGUUUGGAUAACACCUAACGGAACCGAAAGUGCUCAGGCGCUAAGCCUGUUAAGGUUUGUCGGUUACAAAACUCACUCGGCAUACCGAGGCAAAUUUAAAGUAUCAAGCUCAGAAGUUUUUUACCCCUCCUGUGGAGGGCUGGAAGGUGCAACAAACUCAUCCAGGUCAAUUCCAUCCGCAAUCCGAGUGGCAGCGGCGAUGAAGGUCUCCAUGAAAGAUCGGAAAUCGUGCUUCUUGGUGUUAGCCACCCUAAGGGCCGCCAGCUUGUCCUCUCGUGCAUCCUUGCAGUGAACGCGGGCCAGAGACAGAGCAAUAUCCGCGCCACACCUGGCAGAAGACUUCUUCCACUCCUGCACUCGACUUGGGACCUCGUUCAGUCGAGUCAUCGGAGACUCGAGGUCGUUCUGGAGCGUCUCUCUUGGCCAGAGUGUUGUGUCGAUGCGAGAAGUUGCGACCUUCAGCCUUGCGAGAUAGUCGACGACAGCAGCAACGCGAGAUUCAAGCCGGAGCACGUUCAUGGUGACUUCAUCUUUCACGGGGGAGUUGAUGGGAUCCAGGUUUAUUUCCAGUCGACCAGUCUCCUCUUCAAAGUUCUGGCAAAAUUCUGCAAGCACAACCACCGAGUCAAGACAACAGUUGGAUGGAAAGAACACAGUUAAAAUGUCUGUUUGAUACAAAAGAUUACCUUCAAGCAUGAGGAAUAGCUUCUUGGCGAGUCCACCCAGAUAAACCUCCAGAUCGUUCUUCUUUCCCACCAACUCACUGGCCUUGUCACUCAGGGAAAUCUUAUCACUUUUCAGUCGACUGGCCUCCUUGUUGGCAGCAUCAAGAGCAGCUUUCAGAUUGGUGUUUUCUUCUUCAAGCUUGGUGACUGAAGCCAGCUUCUCAUCUGCGAGCUUGGUCUUCUCUAAAGCCGCUUUCUGCAUCUCAGCCAAGUCAAGGUCUUUCUUCUUCAGGGCAUCCCUCACUUUGUCUGCAAAGUUACAGUGAGAUCAGACUCUGAAACAAACGAGAGGCAAAGGCAGUCGUCGAGGGCCUCACCAAACAUACCUUUAGCUUCCUCCUUCGCCUUCGUUAAGUUCUCUUGGGCCAGUUUCAGAUCAAGCUCAAGCUGGAUGUGUUUGUUCUCCAACUCAGUAUAAUGAGCCGCAAGGUCGCAGGAUUUCUACGAAGAACCAAUCGACAGAUGUCAAAGACAAUUCACUUCCGAGUGACUAAGGAAAAAUCAUAGCGUUUCUAAGACUACGGCCGAAUACAAACAUUCGACCAUAGUCUCGGGGACUACACCCAGUGGGUGCACUCAGCGUGCCCCCACUAGUUUUAUUAGUUAGAGUCGACCAGUCGACCAACAACAAAAAAAAGGGAGGUGUUCUUCAGACUAUAGUCGACUGCCAGUAGUCGACCGCAAUCUCGGGGACUACACCCAGUGGGUGCACUCAGCGUGGUCCCACCGGUCUAUGAAUCCAUUCGACCUAGUCGAGUAAAAAAACUUAAGACAUAAAGACUAUUGUCGACUGCCAGCAGUCCACCAUAGCCUUGGAGACUACACCCAGUGGGUGCACUCAGCGUGCCCCCACUAUCCCGGAAUUCCAAUCGACACACCCAGUGGGUGUAGGACAAACUCUAGGAAUUUCAGAAAGAAGGGUUUUCAGAUAUCAUAUCCUAACAGAACAGUCGGUGACUGACUGACCUGAACAUUACUCUGAAGAGCUGAACUGGCGUCAUAGGCUGCCUGGCUGGCUUCUCGGAUUGCCUUCACUUGCUCCAUCAUGACCCCCGCUUGGCGUAUUGCUUCUUUAGCAGCACUAACUUAGUCUUCUGGGACGUGGUGGGUUGAGAAAAGCGAGGGUUGAGCAGCACUCGACGAUGAAGAACGGGCACUCGUCAAUGGCACCGCAAAGGAUACGGUAGGCCGAGUGACAUUGUCUCCCUCCACGACCAAUGUCUCGGGUGCUGGCACGUCCUGAGUUGCCUUGCCAGCAGACGCUUUCCUGUUCCUUCUUUGCCUCAGUGGUUCCUCGUCGUCGUCGUCGGGAAGGUCGAUAACGACGUUAGAUGAAGCUGCAGAAAAAGAAUCAAAAUUAGAGACAAGAAGCCAAUCGACUGAAGACGGAACUACAAGAGUCAUACCAGGUUUCGAAGUAACAGCAUCCUCCAUCUCCUGAUCUUCAGCCCUGACCGAGGUAUCAGAAGUAGCAGCACUGCAGUUCCAGAAGUCAGUCGAUUAGCUCCUGAGUCGACCAAGAAUAAGUUCAUGUGGAACAGGCAAACUCAAGUUACACCAUUACCCUGAGAUAGUGGGGAUCACCAUCUUCAUCUUCGGCAAGACCUACGCCGACUUCGACGGUGCCACUCGAGAUUGCUUCGGAGCUUUCUCAGUCGGCACCGGAGAAGUAGUCCGAGGGCGCUUGGUCGACUGCGUGACGGUUGCGACCCCCUUACCACGCUCAACCGCGGGAUCAUGGACAAGCUUCGAGCGUCUUUCCGAGUGAGGAGGUACAACUUCCUCCUCCUCCUCCUCCUCUUCCUCCUCACCAGAGUCAUCACCCUCAUCAUCGUCAUCAGCAUCCGAAUCCCACUCCUCCGGGCUUUCGCUCCCACUUCCUUCCUCCUCCUCAGUCGGUGUUUGCGCUCCAUUGGGCAUUGAGUAUAACUCAAUGGUGGCUUGUCAGACAACAAAACAAAACAAAGGUCAAUCGACCAAUUCGCAGCGAAGCAGAAUGAAUAAAGCAAGAUUACAAUUGGAGAUAAGUGGUCAUACCGUGUCCGGUGUGUAGGUAUAGUCGAGUGGUGGGAUCCUCCUAGCCCCUUGAGGGUUGUCCUUAUUCCCUGUGAUUGCGGCCACCCACCUCUCCAGUGUGGCGUCGUCGACCGCUUCUGGAUGGACCCGAGUGGUGUCUUCGGUACCACAGUACAGCCACAUCGGGUGGCCUCGGUACUGAAGCGGUUGGAUGCGCCGUCUAAGGAAGACCUCCGGAAGAUCCAUACCCGUCACUCCGUCCCGAACGAGCUGGACUACGCGCUCCAUCAACAUUUUUACCCUGAGCUUUCUCCUAAGGAAGCACCUUCAGAGAAGAGGGUUUGUCCACUCGGUCCAUGGAGAACGGAGGGAGACCAGUCGACUGCCCCGGCGUCGACUCGUCUUGGCAGUAGAACCAGGUCGACUGCCACCCUCUGACCGACUCAGGAAGGGUCAUGGCCGGGAAAGUACUCUUACUCCUCAUCUGAAUCCCAAGACCCCCGCACAUUUGGAUAACCUUAGUGCUCUCAUCAUCCGGACUCGCCUUUUUCACCGUCUAUGAGCGACAGGUGAAUAUGUGCUUAAAGAGACCCCAGUGUGGUCGACAACCUAGGAAGUUCUCGCACAUGGACACGAAAGCAGCAAGAUAGGCAAUGGAAUUGGGAGUGAAAUGGUGGAGUUGCGCCCCAAAAAUGUUCAGAAACUCUCGGAAGAAAACACUCGGCAGCAGAGAGAAUCCACGGUCUACAUGAGUGGCUAGGAGAACGCACUCACCCUCCUGCGGCUGCGGUUGCCACUCGGUCCCCGGAAGCCUUGCUGACCCGUGGGAGAUCAGACCCUCGUUGGCCAGGUCAUUGAGAUCCGCCUCGAUGAUGGUCGAGCGGAUCCAAUCCCCUUGGACCCAACCUUGCGGCAGGCGGGACCUUGAUGAAGAUCCGCCCCGACUGGACGCUCUUCCCUUCGCUUUCCCCGUCGCCGUCGCCUUCUUCGCAUGCUCCAAGACCGCCGUCUUCUCCUUCACCAUUGUUGCCGGCGAAGCACGCGAGGAGUGGAUAGGCGGAGGCGAGAGCAGGCACAGCGGGCGGAGGUGAAGAGGGCAGAGAGGAGAAUGAGACGGCACUGUUCAAAAACCCUCGCCUUGCGCUUUAUGUAAGGACGCUUCCGAGUGGCUGACAAGUAGGCCCGGGCGGUCCUGUCACAUCCCGAAACAGUCGCGCACGUGUGAUACGUGGCGAAAAAGGCGGCGCGGAAAUCGAGGCAUCCACGCCUUAUCCCUUCCGAGUACCGCGGUCCGCCCCGCUUCGCGCGCUUCCCAAAAUUCGGAUCCCACAAAAUCCGCUAACGGCAGAUCAAUCUGUCAGACGAUAGAUUUCCUGCGAUCCGUCGCUCGGAAGUUCACUAAGUUCAAAAGUUCACUCGACAGAAGAAAGGAAUGGAUCAAGGCGACUGAAAGAAAAAUUGCUGCCAUCAUUACAAAAGAUUAUUGAUCCAAGAUGAGACAUGUUCGGAACACAAAAACUGGUCGGAAAGAUUAUCAACUCCUUCCUCACUCAAACCUCGAUCCAUUCGGGGGCUAAUGAUGAAGUCAUGUACCUAGGGUAGGGUCACGGGUCUGUCCAAAGUAUCCUCCCCAAGGACAUCUUCAGAAGAAGCUACCUUCCGGUCGACCAAGAGGGAUUCCACUCGACGGACUCGAAGACACUCGACGAUGAAGACUCACUGGACCACCAAGAGACCAAGAGCCACUCUGCAUUCAAACGGUCUGUAAUUAAGUAGUCUUUAUAGUCAUGAUGACACUUUAUGUAAGGCGUUACUAGUAACGCCUAUCUUUAUGUACUUUAAACCCUGCAUAACUAAGGGCCGGAGGGGUCGGGCAGACACUAUAUAAGCCACCCCCCUCCUCGGUGUAAAGGGUUCGCACCCCUGUAACUCAUACGCACAUAAUCUAGUCGACCGCCUCCGGGCUCCGAGACGUAGGGCUGUUACUUCCUCCGAGAAGGGUCUGAACUCGUAAAUCCCUUGCGUAUACAACUACUCCAUAGCUAGGAUCUUACCUCUCCAUACCUACCCCUCAUUCUACUGUCAGACUUAGAACCACGACAGCUGGGGCUACAGUUCCUCUCCGGUGGCGAUGCCUAGGACUUCGAAGGUUCGACCUUUCCUCCCCACCAUCUUCCCCUCCGACCAACUAUUCACUGCUCUGCAUACUGUCUGAAAUACGCUUUGGUAGUACACUACAGACUAACACUUUUUAACCCUAUCAUCGAUGUAGAUGUAGAACCUGGAAGUUAGUGAUGAGCCACACUGUCAAUUAAACGAAUGCACGGCAAGUGUACGCCAAAUGACCCCAUUGCUCUUCGUCGGUAGUGUAGUCGUAGUAUCUAGAAACCUCACGCGGUCACAACAACCAACAAUAAUAGAUCGAUAAAUAUAUGGUUGAGUAUUCCCCCUUCCGGCCCGCUGGCCACUGCUCUGCAUACUGAAAUGCAUUAACUAGUACAACAUUAACAAUGGUUAAUCCCAUGUCGCUGUAGAGUGUAGAAUCUAUCCACUGAUGAGUCACUCUGUCAGUUAAAGAAAUGGGCGGCGAAUACACGCCAAAUCCUUGCUGAAUGGUGCUGCUGAAUACGCCAAAUUUGCCUCACGCAGCAGGCCAGAACAACCCACAAUAAUAGAUCGAUAAAUGGUUAAACUUUGCGUUAGCCGCUAGACAGCCAUAUGCAUUGUCGUCACUAAAUUUCAAUCCGCUUGGUUCAGGCAGCGGCUGUAUAUACAUGUGGUUGGUAGUGAGCACAACUACCGUCGAUAGAAAUACAAAUUUGGCAAUGCGUACUUGUAUAUAUGGGUGCGUUGAGGCGUCGCUGUAAAGCCUAACUAACGACUGAGUCUCUAGACCAAAAGGCAGCCUAACUAGGCGAGUGAACCCGUCCAGUGACGAGAUGCUGCCAAUUAAACUAAUUUGCGAUGAGUACACGUACGCGAAAAUCCUUUGCUUAAUGGAGCCGCCGGUUACGCCAAAUGCCUCAUUGCUCAUCGUUGAUCGUGCAUAGGACCUCACAGUAAAUGGUUAAAAUUUGUGUUAGCCGGCAAGCAGCCUUAUGGAUCACAGCUGCAAGCCUUUUCACUAAAUUCCGAUCCCUAAUGCAGGCUUUCGUUCAGGUAGCCAAAUUAGGUGGGUGUGGUUGUUCUUGCCAUUAUAUAUACAUGUGGUUGGUUCGGCGUGCAGCUACUGUCUAUAGAAAUAUUAUUAGAAAUGAACAAUGGAUACUUCUAUGAGUGCAGUGGGGCGUCGCUGUAACUGCCUAACUAACGACAAAGUCCCUUGAUUAGAAAGCGUCAAUGAUGAGUGUCACACUGUUAAACUAAUUUGCAAUGCGAUGGAGACUUGGCAAGUCUUGAUUUAAAAAGAGUAAUUUCCAAUAUCUACCUAAAAAGAGGGCCAGACUAAAAGAUGGUUGUGGAUAGCAGGCUGUGAAUUAAGCUGGCCAUAGUGAGGAGUAUCAUAUACUAGUAUCAUGCAUAUGAUACUAGUGUAUGAUACUACAUCCAUAGUGCAUAGUAUCAUAGAUUAGUAUCAUAGAUGGUCUCAUUUAUUGCUAUACAUUACACAUAGUAGCAUUACAUUCAUUAUGAUACGAUAUCUACCUAUGUUACUAUAACCCCUCUUUCUUUUUUAAUUGUCUGCCACAUAAGCAUCUUUACGAGUCCCAAGUGCAUGAUACCAUUACUAUGGCCAGCCUUAGCAUCAAUCAGCGAGGUAAUUGCCCAAUCAUGACCCGAGAGCCUUAGACCUGUUCUCGGAUCCAUAUCCAUACACAGAAAACCUAGCUAGUGAUGAGUCACACUGUUAAUUAAACUAAUACGCAGUGCUAUCUUGAGUACACCAAAUUCGUGAUAAAUGGAGCUGUUGGGUACUCCCUCCCUUUUUAUUUAUUUUAUAUAUUAGAGUUGACUGAAGUCAAACUUCGUAAAGUUUGACCUAGUUUAUAGAAAAUAAUAUAAAUAUUUACCAUAACAAAUCUAUAUGAUGUGAAAAUAUAUUUAGCCAUGAAUCUAAUAGUAUUGAUUUGUUAAUGUACCUGUUAAUAUUUUUGUCUACAAACUUUGUCAAAAUUUAUAAAGCUUGACUUUGACCAAAGCUAAUAUGCGAAGUAAAUAAAAACGGAGGGAGUACACCAAACCCGCCAAAUCCGUAUAAAUUAUCAGUAAAAUUUAAGCCAUGAUGAGAAAUAGAGAUGGGAUUCCCAAGAGAUUAACAAUGUUACUCAUAUGAGUGCGGUGAGGCAUCGCUGUCUAACCUUAACGACAGCCUGACACAAAAUUAACUAAUAUGCAAGGACGUGAGGGCCGGCAAUGUCCUGAUUAAAAGAUACUCUCUCCAUUCUGAAUUACUUGUUUUGGAUUUGUCUAUAUACGGAUGUAUCUAGCACUAAAAUGAGUCUAGAUACAUGCAUAUCUAGACAAAUCCAAGACAAGUAAUUCGGAACGGAGGGAGUAGUUGUGAGUGAACGGGCUGCGAAUCAACAUCAAUCAGCUAGGCCAUUACUUCAAUAUGCCCUGAGAGCCUGAGGCCUGCAUCUCAAAUCCAUCCACGCAAACGCUCGCUGGGAGAGGUAGAGAGAGAAGCUCGUUUGGUACCGAUGGAGGUCACCAUGGUGAGCAUUGGCAGGUCCGUGCUCAGCGGGGCACUUGGCUUCGCCAAGUCCAACUUCGCCGAGGAGGUGGCCCUGCAGCUCGGAGUAAAUCGUGACAAGGCCUUCAUCACCGACGAGCUGGAGAUCAUGCAGUCUUUCUUGUUGACUGCGCACGAGGAGCGAGACGAGCACAGCAGGGUGGUCAGGAUCUUGGUGAAGCAGGUCCGUGACCUUGCCUACGACGUCGAGGAUGGCCUUCAGGAUUUCUUCCUCCAUGUCCACCGGAAAUCCUGGUGGCGCAUCCCUCGCACACUCCUCGACCGGCAUCAUGUCGCAAGGCAGAUGAAGGAGCUGCGUGCCAAGGUUGAGGACGUGGGCCAGAGGAAUUUGCGCUACCGCCUCAUCGAUGGUACUUCCGAAGCUUCCCAUCUCUCCAUCACCACUGUUGCUCCCACGUUUGAUGUUUCUAAAGCACUAAGGCAAAUCACGGAUCAGCAUCAAUUAAGAUUAACAUUCAGUCUUGCCCAGCUGAUCAUCGCGCAAGAAUUGUUCUCGAAUAAUCAAAUCAGAGUGAUCGGAAUUUGGGGGGCAAGUGGCAGCAUUGGGCAUGCCUCCAUCAUCUGGGAUGCCUACUAUAAUCCAGAUGUAAAGCUAAAUUUCCCUUGCCGAGCAUGGGUCCGGCUGGCAUCCCCUUUCCACCCAAAAGAAUUUGUUCAAAGUAUAGUGAGACAGUUCCGAGCAACUGCCGAAGGAUUGGUUGAUUUUCCAUUGGAGUUGGAGCUGGAUGAGGCAAAAACGGGGCAAGAGUUGGCUGACGAAUACAGUAGGUAUGUCGAUGAGAAGAGGUACUUGAUCGUGCUUACUGGCCUAUCCACCAUUGAAGAAUGGCUUCAGAUCAAGACUUGCUUCCUGGAAAACAAGAUGGGGAGCCGAAUCGUAGUGUCCACAGAGCAAGCUGAAGUUGCAAACCUUUGUGCAGGCCAGAAAAGUAAGGUUUACAAGCUCGAACAAUUGUCUGAUGAUCAUACCAUCUAUGCUUUCUACCUGGAGGUACUGGUUCAAUUUCAGACACACCCUUUUGUUAUCCUAUCUUGCUCAAAAUAUCACCUAUAAAAAACCAUUAUGUUAUGUUGAAUUUUAGUUCCGUUAUUUAUAUGUUUGCCUCAUAUAAUCCUUCCCGGAACCCCACCUGGUGUGGGAGCUUCUAGCACUGGGUUGGUACCUUCUUUUUAUUUAUAUGCUUUUGCGGGGAUGCUAGCACUAGUAACCUUCUAUUUUAUACUCCCUCCGUUCCUAAAUGUAAGUCUUUGUAGAGAUUCCACUAUGAACCACAUACAGAUGUAUAUAGAUGCAUUUUAAGUUUAGAUUCAUUCAUUUUUGCUCCGUAUGUAGUCCAUCUAGUGGAAUCUCUACAAAGACUUACAUUUAGGAAUGGAGGGAGUGUGUUCCAUAGAUGUAUGUGUAGAUAUCAGUUGUACAUUUUUUGUUCUCUUCAAACAGAUUACCGAGAAUAUGGGUAAGGGUAUAUCAGCUUGAUCCUCCCGUUCAGAAUAAUUUCUCUGUUUGGACAAGGCCGGGAAGAAGAACUUCCUGGUCCAGCCGAUCUCUCAUGCUCAACAAGCUUGAAAGCUUCUCUCGUUGACUCUCCUGGGCAAUAUUAGAGACAUUCCCAGCCUCCCUGGAUUAGCCUUCGACCAUGUAUUCCUUGCUGGUACCACUGCCCAGUUCCGAAGGAGAGGUCACCAUGUUGAGAUGGGGACGGUGCCAUCUAGUGGAGAUUUCAUCCAAAAUACAAGCAUCACGUUGCAAUGCUACAAAAAAAAAACCUCUGAUCCAUAAUAAGUGUCGCAGUUUUGAACCAACCCCAGUUCAAAACUGCGACACUUAUUUUGGAUCGGAGGGAGUAUGUGGUUCAUGAAUAGUUUCUUUUUAUCUUUGUGUAUGAUUACUUUUCUAAAUUCCCAUUUGCUGAAUUUUUCUAGCAAAUUCAAGCCCGAUCUGAGCAAACUGACUUCUAUACAUGCCAAUUUUUUUCCUGUUUAUCUAUUUUUUGGUUCUUUGUCUCGUUAAUAUUAGUGUGUAGCAGUAGGACAUAUGCACUGACAUGAUUCACCAAUUUUUGUCUGGAGUGAUUCAUCACUGGAAACAUGACUACUAUUGCUUGCUUGUGUUCAGUAUUUCUACAUGACAUUGGACUGCACCAAGAAAGUGAUACAAGAAGACCAACCUAAUACAGAUGUUGAUGGAAAGAACGAGAUACAAGAAGACCAAGAUGAGCUCACACACUCCAACAAGAUGGGUUGUGUUCCAAGGGAAUUUCAGCUUAUUGGACGGGAGAAAGAAAAAUCUGAUAUUAUUGAACUGAUUCGAGAACUCUCUAGCAUCAGACAGUUUGAGGUGAUUGCGGUGUGGGGAAUGAGUGGUUUUGGAAAAACCACUCUGAUCAAAGAUGUUUGCCAGGGACAAGAGGUCAAUGACAUGUUUGACAAAACUGCUUUUGUCACGGUCUUGCAGCCUUUCAGGCUUGAGGGGCUCCUUAGGAGCUUGGCAUUGCAACUAGAUGCAAGCAAGGGAAAUAUUGCUUCAAUGGGAGUUGCAGAUCUGACUAGAGUGUUGGGUAGGCAUAUAAAAGGAAAGAGUUGCUUGAUUGUUCUUGACGACCUCCCAUCUACUACGGAAUGGGAUACAAUAAUGGCAAGUUUAGGUGCAAAGGGUACUUCAAGCUUGGUCAUUGUGAUCACCACAAGGCGGGAGGAUGUUGCUAAGCAUUGUUGCAAAAAACCAGAAUGCAUACGCUUGCUCAACGGUCUAGAAGAAAAGGAUGCGUUGUACCUGUUCACAAGAAAGGUACUGAAAUUAUUUACUUUAUCAUUGGCAAAGAAAAUAUUUACUUUACCUCAAUUCAAUUUUAUAUUUGAGAGUUUAUAUUUCAACCUAUUUUUUGCCGUUUCAUAUUUCAGCCUGUAUUUUGUAAGGCACAACACUACCAACGACCCUUUCCUGGAAGAGAUUACUUCAAAGUGCCACGAGAAAACAUAAAUUGGGCCAUCGUGAUAGAAUGUACAAAAUAUGUUUGAGAGAUGCGCAGAAAAUGUUAUUACUUAACUUGUACUCUAGUUCAUUUUAUAGUAAUAGAUAGAAUGUUGUUUCAUAUUUACAUAUAUAAUUAGUGUGUACAGAACUAUUUCCUAGCCACUCUAAUAAAAAAACUGAUAGAAAAAUUGGCACGUCUCCCGCUCUGAAGUUUAUUGCCAUGACACUAUAAAACAUAGCCUAGUGUGUAUUCAACACUCAAAUAGGGACAACCUAGUGAAUAAAUAUACUAGGUAGACUGGUUUUCCUGCACUUGAUUCAUUUAACUGUAGAGUGACAACAAGACUACUUGUAUUUUGGACAAUUGCAGGUAUUUAAGAAUAAGAAAACAGAUUUGGCUCGGGAGUAUCCUAAGCUGGUUGUACCUGCAAAACAAAUCCUGAACAAGUGCAUUGGGCAUCCCCUUGCUAUAAUCUCCAUAGGUAGUUUCUUGGGAAGCCAACCACAAAAAACUGUUGCCGAGUGGAGGAAAGUGAAUGAGCUUCUCAGUGUUCAGCUGGAGAUGUAUACAUUGUUUCAUGCCAUAAAACUAGUCCUUAUGAAAAGUUAUGAUGGCUUACCCUAUUACCUCAAGUCUUGUUUCCUUUACCUAUCCAUCUUCCUUGAGGACCGCAAUGUUAGCCGAAGACGUCUGGUGUACCGAUGGGUUGCGGAAGGUUACUCAAGGGAUAUAGCUGUAGCGGAUAGUUACUUCAUGAAACUCAUAGAGAGAAGCAUGAUAUUACCAACUCAGGUUUCACAUUGCGGCGUACAAGGAAUUGACUCCUGUGAGCUACAUGAUCUGAUCCGUGAAAUCUGCAUUGCAACGUCAAUGGAGGAAAAUCUUGUUUUGAGGCUGGAGGAAGGGUGUAGCUUGAACAUGCAUAGCACAGUGCGUCACCUUGCCAUAAGCAGCAAUUGGGACGGAGAUGAGACUGAGUUGGAGAACACCGUGGAGCUGUCCCGUAUACGGUCGUUGACAGUGUUUGGCAAGUGGAGGCCAUUUUACAUUUCUCACAAGAUGAGGUUUCUUCGGGUGCUGGAUCUAGAAGGAGUAGAAGGUCUAGCUGAUCAUCACCUUGAGCACAUCGGGAAGCAUCUCCAUCUGAGAUACCUUUCUCUAAGAUGGUGUGAAGGCAUCACUUACCUCCCAGAUUCCAUCGGUAACCUGAGACAUCUCGAGACACUAGACAUCAAAGGGACAGAAAUAUUUAAACUGCCCAAAACCAUCACCAAGCUUAGUAAGCUACUUAAUCUCAAAGCUGGUCGCCCAUCCCUUUAUCCAUGUGAGCUUCACAAGGGGGCGAAACUACUAUGCUGCAUACCUAGCCGCAUGAGAUUUAACUGGCGUCAUGGUGCAUGCACUCCUUUUGCUAGGUGUAUAGAGGGAUACAAUGUUGGUGUUAAGGUGCCAAGAGGGACAAGGAAAUUGAAAGCCCUGCAUACACUGCGGUAUGUGCACCUUGCCUGGGGAAAUGCCAUUAUAAAAGAGAUAAAAUGUCUCACCAGCCUGCGAAAGCUAGGAGUGGUCGGCAUCAACAAUACAAACGGUCUGGAGUUCUGUUCAGCCAUUUCCAGUCUCUGCCGUCUUGAAUCGCUGUCAGUGCUGGCGCAUGAUAGCUUAAAUGGCUGUUUGGAUGGCAUGUGCACAGCUCCAGAAAAUCUCCAGAGCCUCAAGCUGUCCGGCAGCUUGGAAAAAUUGCCGGUAUGGAUCAAGGGGCUUCAGAAUCUGGUGAAGCUGAAGCUCCAGUUCACCACACUAUCAUGCAACUGGGCAGCCAUGGAGACCCUUGGGUACCUGCCAUACCUAUCCAUUCUGGGUUUGCAUGAGGGGGAGUCUAUGAUGGAUGUAAUCAGGUUCCAGAGUGGUCUGUUUAGAAAACUCACGGUGCUCGAUCUUCUCUACUUUAGCAUGGAAAUCAAAUCAGUGGAGUUUGAGGAAGGAUCAAUGCCCAAGCUUGAGGUGCUGACCCUUUUCCUUGAAGAUACUGAAACUGCCUUCUUUGGGCUAGAACAUCUGCGAAGCAUCAAGGAAGUACGGCUCGGGGUUCAGUUUAACGAGAAUUCAACCAAAUUCUCAGAAAAUAUGAGCUUAGAAGAAAUGGAGAAAGCAGAAGAACAGAGUAAAGAAGCAGAGAAGAAAACAAAACUCGUCAAAGACAAACUGAGGAAGGAGUUGCAGAUCCAACUUCAUAGGGAUGAAAACCGGCCCAUCUUGAAGGUGGAAUGAGUUUAGAAACACGGGGUUACUUCUGUCUUAAAUAUCCUGACCGAGUCCCUGCCAUGCCAUGCUACCGUGAAGUCUAUCUUCUAUCUGCUCUCUUGUUUUCUUAUCUAAUGCAUUGCUUGUUAUAUUGUAAUAAUGGGUUGAAAUAAAGCCCACGCAUCGACAACAUUGUUGUUCUGCGGCCGUUAUAGGCGGUUUUCCAUUUUGUGCUUAGGUUAUCUCUUUGAGUUGCUGAAAAAUGAAUGUCCACUGCAAUUUAUAUAUGCUAUACUCUGUAACUGUAUGUUCUGGCGGUGCGUGCCCACCAUUGCUGGGCUGCUUAAUAAGGGUGGUGUGAUAUCUUAGGCAAUUGUAAACUGUCUGGAUUAGAUGCAGGAAUCUCGUCAGUACUCUUUACUAGUAUGUUCUAGUAUCGUCUGCGAUGCAAUGUAACCCUUUUUCUUUUACCCUCGGUGGUCAUGAUGACAUUUCUGCUUUUGGGCUCUGCUUUGUUUCUGCGAAGGAUGAGUGGGCACACUGCCAUACAAUACAACAUGCUAUCUGUCUGUAUGUUCCGGCGAUGUGUAUAUACCAUCGUUGGGUGCUCUGUUGUAAGAAGGUGGUGGUAAUACCUUUGGUAAUUGUUUGGAUUAUACAUGCAUAAAAGUUGUGAGUGUUUUGCAUCAUAUGCGAUUGCUUGAUUGCUAUCCUGUCCUUGAUCAUGUCAUGCCGGUCGCUCGGCUCUGUGUUCCACCUGUCAGCAGAAUGAAAUGAAUGAUGUAACCACAUGUAAUCCACGUAGUCAUCUGCAGCUUAGAGAUGAAGGGAGGGAGCACCUGCGCAUGUAGGGAUGCAGGGUGGCGCCCGAUCUGAUCCGCCCCGCUUCCAGUUCAAAACGAGAAAAUCUGUUUUAGCUGGAGUAGAGCGCAUUCCUUUGUUUUUAUUUUAUUUUCCUACUCUUAUUUAUAUUUCUGAAAAAAUGUUUUACUUAUGUUUUUAAAAAUUCAACACGUUAAAAAUGGUAUAGCAUUCAAUAUUUUACUUAAUUUUCCUACUUUGUUUGUGCAAUUUUUCAAAAAAAAAACAUUCAAAGAAAAUGUUCACACAUUUAAAAUUUUGUUCAUGCCAUUUUAGAAAACAUUCAACUGCAUUUCAAUAAAUUCGUGCAGUGUAAAAUAUAUAUUUUCUCACAUUUAUUAAGAUGUUAGUACCAUUUAAAAAUGUAUUUUUGAUAUUUAAAAAUGUUCACACGUUAAACUUUUUGUUUGUGACAUUUUUCAAAAUGUUAAUGAAAAUGUGAAGUUUAGUUAACAUGGUUUGAAAAAAAAACGUUCAUACCACUCAAAAACUUAUUCACAAAAUUUAGAAAGACGAUCAUGCGUUAUUCAUGGAAACACAAACAAAUGUUUAUGCAAUUUAAAAAAUAGUUAUAUGUAUGUUUAAAAAGUGUUUUCUGUAUAUUUGAAAAUGUUUAAUGUAUAUUUUACAAAUGUUCACCACAUAUUAGGUUUCAACAUGUAUUAAUAAAUAUUCAAAACAUAUCCAAACGGGCGAGCUCCUUCGCCUGGUCUAUGGUCAGGCUGCGCCACCAUCCUCCCGGCGAGGCUGCAGUGUGUUGUCGACUUCUACCAUCCUCUCGAGUGCCACAAAGUCGUGGACCGGCCCCUCAAAUAAAAUGUCGCGGGUGGCCAGUUAACUGGUCAACCACUGACUUGAAAAAAAAAUACGAUUUAAAAAAAUAAAAAAUAAAAAAAUCAUGAAUUCAAGAAAAAAUUACAGAUUUUGAAUUUUUUUUGACAAACUUGAAAAAUAUUCAUCGAAUGUGAACUAAAAGUUCAUUGAACUUGAAAGAAAGUUCAUCCAAUUUUAAAAAGUUCAUCAUUUUUGUAAAGUUCAUCAAAUUUGAAUAAUCAUCAAUUGCAAAAAAGUUCAUCAAUUUUAGAAAAAGUUCAUCGAUUUUGAAAAAAAGUUCAUCGAAAUUGCAAGCAAAUCGUUGAUUGUGAAAAAGUUCAUGAAUUCAAAAAUGGUUCACAAAAAAAAGUUCAUCAAUUUUUAAAAAAUGUUCAUCAAUUCCAAAAAAAGUUUAGAAUUCAAAAAAGGUUCACAAGAAAAUGUUUGCGAACUCGAUAAAAGUUCGCAAAAUCGAAAAAGGUUCACGAAAUUAAAGAAAAAGGAAAAACAGAAAAAAAACCGGUCAAAAAGAAAAAAAAUGAUUCACGUCAGUUAUUUGAAGAACUAUAAAUGAUGCUUUCAAUCACAAACGGACGCCGCUCAUACACAGCCUGUGGGGUGUAGGGUUCGUAAAACCGCGAUUGCGCGUGGUGAAGGCGGCUGUGGCGGAUAGGGCAGUAUACAGUAGGGCGGCAGCAGCCAGCGGCGCGCUGCCGCCUUCGACCAUCAAGGUGGCAACCGGCGACUUAGCGAGGCCGCAAGGGUGAACAGAUCUGCAGGUGGCGCCGAAAAGAAGACCGAGUACUUGAAUGGUAGUGUUUCUGAGUUGCCGUCGAUUGAAAUUGGACUACAUCUGGUAUUUAAAUACAUACGUACAUUCUCCAGUUUUAGAUCCAAUCACAUAAGUACAAUAGUAGAAAAGGGGGCAAUGGUCCAGGCCAGGUCAGCCCAUUAGUCCCGGUGCAAUCCAGAACCGGAUCAAUGGGGGCAUUGGACCCGGUUCGUUAGCCCCGGGGUCCGGCCGGGUCACGUGGGCUAUUGGUCCUGGUUCGUCUGGACCUAUUGGUUCCGGUUGGUGGGACGAACCGGGACCAAUGCGCCUCGCUCCUGGGCCACCACCAUUGGUCCCGGUUGGUGGCAUGAACUGGGACCAAAGGUUUCCCUUUAGUCCCGGUUCAUACCACCAACCGGGACUAAAGUGUUGGUCCUCGUUGCGUCCAGAGUUUAAUCCCACCUCGCCAAUCGAAGGAGGCUCACACCGGUUUACAAGCCCCUCUCUCUCUGCCUUGUUAAGCUGCUCUCAAAGUGAAAAUAGAUGCCCUUAUACAGGAAAUUUGACCUAAAUUCAUAUUGAAUUUCUCCGAAGUUAGUAGAAAUUUAUUAUGAAUUUAGGUCUAUUUUUCUCUAUAAGCGCAUCUAUGCUCAUUUCUGAGUAGUUUUUUAUAUAGUUUUUUUUCUUUUUUGCNNNNNNNNNNNNNNNNNNNNNNNNNNNNNNNNNNNNNNNNNNNNNNNNNNNNNNNNNNNNNNNNNNNNNNNNNNNNNNNNNNNNNNNNNNNNNNNNNNNNNNNNNNNNNNNNNNNNNNNNNNNNNNNNNNNNNNNNNNNNNNNNNNNNNNNNNNNNNNNNNNNNNNNNNNNNNNNNNNNNNNNNNNNNNNNNNNNNNNNNNNNNNNNNNNNNNNNNNNNNNNNNNNNNNNNNNNNNNNNNNNNNNNNNNNNNNNNNNNNNNNNNNNNNNNNNNNNNNNNNNNNNNNNNNNNNNNNNNNNNNNNNNNNNNNNNNNNNNNNNNNNNNNNNNNNNNNNNNNNNNNNNNNNNNNNNNNNNNNNNNNNNNNNNNNNNNNNNNNNNNNNNNNNNNNNNNNNNNNNNNNNNNNNNNNNNNNNNNNNNNNNNNNNNNNNNNNNNNNNNNNNNNNNNNNNNNNNNNNNNNNNNNNNNNNNNNNNNNNNNNNNNNNNNNNNNNNNNNNNNNNNNNNNNNNNNNNNNNNNNNNNNNNNNNNNNNNNNNNNNNNNNNNNNNNNNNNNNNNNNNNNNNNNNNNNNNNNNNNNNNNNNNNNNNNNNNNNNNNNNNNNNNNNNNNNNNNNNNNNNNNNNNNNNNNNNNNNNNNNNNNNNNNNNNNNNNNNNNNNNNNNNNNNNNNNNNNNNNNNNNNNNNNNNNNNNNNNNNNNNNNNNNNNNNNNNNNNNNNNNNNNNNNNNNNNNNNNNNNNNNNNNNNNNNNNNNNNNNNNNNNNNNNNNNNNNNNNNNNNNNNNNNNNNNNNNNNNNNNNNNNNNNNNNNNNNNNNNNNNNNNNNNNNNNNNNNNNNNNNNNNNNNNNNNNNNNNNNNNNNNNNNNNNNNNNNNNNNNNNNNNNNNNNNNNNNNNNNNNNNNNNNNNNNNNNNNNNNNNNNNNNNNNNNNNNNNNNNNNNNNNNNNNNNNNNNNNNNNNNNNNNNNNNNNNNNNNNNNNNNNNNNNNNNNNNNNNNNNNNNNNNNNNNNNNNNNNNNNNNNNNNNNNNNNNNNNNNNNNNNNNNNNNNNNNNNNNNNNNNNNNNNNNNNNNNNNNNNNNNNNNNNNNNNNNNNNNNNNNNNNNNNNNNNNNNNNNNNNNNNNNNNNNNNNNNNNNNNNNNNNNNNNNNNNNNNNNNNNNNNNNNNNNNNNNNNNNNNNNNNNNNNNNNNNNNNNNNNNUCACAACUAUUUUUGCUUCUAUUUAUUUCUGAGUAGUUUUCUAUAUAGUUUUUUUUCUGCUAUAUUUAUUUUUUUCUUUUUAUUUUUGAAUUGUAAUAAGUCAUUAAAAAUAAGCAUCUAAGCUAAUUUUUUUAGUAAAGUUAAUCACAACUAUUUUUGCUUCUAUUUAUUUCUGAGUAGUUUUUUAUAUAGUUUUUUUCUUUUCUGCUAUAUUUAUUUUUUCUUUUUAUUUCUGAGUUGUAAUAAGUCGUCAAAAAUAAACAUCUAUGCUCAUUUUUUAGUUAAGUUAAUCAUAACUAUUAAAAAUAAGUCAUUAAAAAUAAAAAAAGAGGCGCAAUGCUCGUUAAUUUGCUUCAAGCCUUUCGGAAUAGUGUCAACUACACUGCACAUAGCCUGUGCAGUCUACUCUAUUCCUCAAGGCUUGAAGCUAACCAACGUGCAGGUGAGCAUUGAGCCUCUUCUUCAUCGUCUCUGCACUCAGGGCUUAUAAACAGCUGCGAGUGCCUCUCCCUUGGCGAGGUGGGACUAAAAAAACAGCUGCAAAAAGAAUGCACUAAAAAACAGUUGCAGAAAAUAAAAAAUUAGACGGGUCCAUUUGGUACCGGUUGGUGGCACGAACCGGUACCGGUUGGAGCCACCAACCAGGACCAAAGGUCCUCGUUUCCCGCCCUUUGCGCUGCCGAAAUGAGGCCUUUGGUCCCGGUUGGUGGCUCCAACCGUGACUAAAGGGGGAGCAUUGGUACCGGUUUGUCGUAUGAACCGGGACAAAAGCCUUUGCUAUAUAAGUAGCACUGCCGCCCCGCCCCGAGUUCGAUCUCUCCCGACGCCGAGCGCCGUCCCCUGUCACCACCUCGCNNNNNNNNNNNNNNNNNNNNNNNNNNNNNNNNNNNNNNNNNNNNNNNNNNNNNNNNNNNNNNNNNNNNNNNNNNNNNNNNNNNNNNNNNNNNNNNNNNNNNNNNNNNNNNNNNNNNNNNNNNNNNNNNNNNNNNNNNNNNNNNNNNNNNNNNNNNNNNNNNNNNNNNNNNNNNNNNNNNNNNNNNNNNNNNNNNNNNNNNNNNNNNNNNNNNNNNNNNNNNNNNNNNNNNNNNNNNNNNNNNNNNNNNNNNNNNNNNNNNNNNNNNNNNNNNNNNNNNNNNNNNNNNNNNNNNNNNNNNNNNNNNNNNNNNNNNNNNNNNNNNNNNNNNNNNNNNNNNNNNNNNNNNNNNNNNNNNNNNNNNNNNNNNNNNNNNNNNNNNNNNNNNNNNNNNNNNNNNNNNNNNNNNNNNNNNNNNNNNNNNNNNNNNNNNNNNNNNNNNNNNNNNNNNNNNNNNNNNNNNNNNNNNNNNNNNNNNNNNNNNNNNNNNNNNNNNNNNNNNNNNNNNNNNNNNNNNNNNNNNNNNNNNNNNNNNNNNNNNNNNNNNNNNNNNNNNNNNNNNNNNNNNNNNNNNNNNNNNNNNNNNNNNNNNNNNNNNNNNNNNNNNNNNNNNNNNNNNNNNNNNNNNNNNNNNNNNNNNNNNNNNNNNNNNNNNNNNNNNNNNNNNNNNNNNNNNNNNNNNNNNNNNNNNNNNNNNNNNNNNNNNNNNNNNNNNNNNNNNNNNNNNNNNNNNNNNNNNNNNNNNNNNNNNNNNNNNNNNNNNNNNNNNNNNNNNNNNNNNNNNNNNNNNNNNNNNNNNNNNNNNNNNNNNNNNNNNNNNNNNNNNNNNNNNNNNNNNNNNNNNNNNNNNNNNNNNNNNNNNNNNNNNNNNNNNNNNNNNNNNNNNNNNNNNNNNNNNNNNNNNNNNNNNNNNNNNNNNNNNNNNNNNNNNNNNNNNNNNNNNNNNNNNNNNNNNNNNNNNNNNNNNNNNNNNNNNNNNNNNNNNNNNNNNNNNNNNNNNNNNNNNNNNNNNNNNNNNNNNNNNNNNNNNUGUAAUUUAGAUAUGUAGUUCAUAUUGUGUAAUUUAGAUUGUGUAAUUAAUUUGUUCAUAUUAUGUUAGAUUUUUUUUUUUGUUAGUAGAUUUUUUUGUUAGAUUUUGUUAAAUUUUUUAUGAUUUUUGUUAGAUUAGUUAGAAAAAUACUAGUUAGAAAAAUGAAAGUACUUUAUUUUUAGAAAAAAACUAGUUAGAAAAAUACUAGUUAGAAAAAUGAAAAAAAUAAGAAGAGAAAGUGUUUAAUAUAAUUAGUUGUUGAACUAGCUAGUUGAUUUAAUAAACUACUUUAUUUUACUAUAUAUAGAAGUAGUUUGUUUUUAGUAAGUACUACUUUAUUUUCAUUCUUCAAAGAAUGUGCGGAAGAUGGUAGACAGAACCUACUACACCGAAGGCUCCGAAUUAACUUAUCAGGAGAAAACUCAUCUGGUCGCAUUUUGUACUGAUAUUGAGAAUUACAAUAUCUACAAUCAAACUCCUCAACAUUAUGGUCAAUACGUGCCACUAGUGCACGUGUUGAACUACGGUAACUAUCAUGGAGAUACCCUGGUAAGACUUUUUUACUAUUACGACAUACGUGAUCUUUUUGCACACUUCUAAAACUAGUACAUCAUUGCUAACUACGAAGUUAUUACUAUGUUUUUCAACAGAUAAUCCCGAAUGAUUGUGUGCCUCAUCUGAUGUAUACGCAUGGUAGCCUUCAUGUUUUGAACAUACAACCAGGUCGUCCUACGAAUCUCAACUGUUCAUACCGGGUUUCUAAAAGAAGUGGAGACAUAACAAUCAAAGAAUGGAAAAAAUGUAUGGACAGUCGUAAGGAGCUUCUUGAAAGCAACAAGCAGCGAAGGGCAAGAAUUGGAGACAGGAUGAUCGCCAUUCUUCAUAAUGGAGAGUCAGGGUCUAUAUUGUUUUAUGCUAUUUUACCUUAAGGAUGUUUAGGUCCUACCCGAUACUGAUGAUCAUGUGCUAAGAACAAUUAUGUAGGGUUGGGUUCGAUGACUAUGAGGAUGAUCGUAUGACUUAUUAUUAAUAACGAGUAGAAGUUGUAUGAUGAUGCAUAGGACUUGUUAUUAUAUAUGAUGAUGUAUGAUAUUGCGCAUGCAUGAGCAUGUUAUAUCAGCGGGUGAAAUGACAUAGCAGCAGCGUUGAUAUAAGAGAGAACUCUCUAUUAGCUAGCUAAUAACAAUCUAAAAAUAACCCCCAAAACCCCUAAAGCAGCCACAUUUGUAAAAAAAAUGAACUUUUGGUCCCGGUUGGAGCCACCAACCGGGACCAAAGGCCCCCCUGACUGGGCUCGGCAGACCGGCCACGUGGAGGCCCAUCUGUCCCGGUUCGUGUUUGAACCGGGACUAAUGGGUGGAGGUAUUAGUAACGACCCAUUAGUCCCGGUUCAUGAACCGGGACUAAAGGCCCUUACGAACCGGGACUAGUGGGUGUUUCUCUACUAGUGGUACUUGUGCAUUACAUUUAUUCUCUGCUAUCAUCUAGUUGAAAAAUUAAUUGAUCUUUUUUCCGCUUGUAGCUGGUAUAUGGAUAUUUAAAGGAAUUAAUCUUUAUGAAACUAAGAAAUAAAUUCAAAACAGGCUGAUAAGAAUGCCAUUGCCAUGGUGUACUUAAUAAAAGUAAAGCUUUAUUAUAAGAUGUAUUCUUUCUAACUAUCUUCAUUGGUAUAAAGUGUUUUCUAUGAUUUUAUCCUAAUAAUUACUAUUUCAUGAUUUACCAUGUGCAUCUUGUUAAUAAAGUUGAUAAAUUGAUGAUCGGUAAUCCAUGUAAUAUUCAUCGGUUGAGGUAUUUUGAUUACCAAUACUUUUUUUUUCAUCUAGCAUACGGAUAAGCAUUUUUGGAUUUCUGUUUGAUUUGUUGAAGAUAAAGUAAUUAAGGACAGUAUAACCGAGCCUAAACCGAGCUCUCUCAGCGAAUUAGGGUUUCACGAUCUGAUCUUUACUAGCCGUCAGAUUUCACGUCCAAAGCGAUCUGCCCCGUAAUCUGGGUAAUCUGGCCCAGCUGUCCUCUGGGCUGCUGCUCCAGAGGCCGAAACGAAGGGCUCUCGUGCAUUGGGCCGUCGGGCAGCCCAUUAUACCGCCUGGGCUUCGAGCGACAGCGUACAACUGACGAUGCGAGGAGAUGCUUAAAAAAACUGCCCACGGCCUCUCAUCUAUCUCAAUCAAUUCCCACACCCGAUCUCUCCUCUCUCUCUCACUCGCCCACGAACAGGUUGCGCCGCCACCGUCGUCGUUUCGUUUGGCUCCCACCUCCUCAUGGCGCAGUCCAUGCCCACCCCGUUGGAAUGUCGCCUCCGUCUCCGUUUAGCCGUCGAUGUCCUCCAUCUCUUGUCUUCCGUCUGAUAGGCCAACAGAGAGCAUCUAUUUCUGGGGGCGGCCGGCCACGAGAUCCAUCACCAGAUCGGUGGCGCACCGCACCCCUGAAGCAUGUAUCCAAUUUUUUUCUGGAGUCCUUGGGCGGGCCGCUGCCAGAUCUGCCACGCUCGUGUACACUAUAGCGAUGCAGUGGUGAGCAGCAAAAAGCAACAGAGAGUUUCGGGGACCGCCGGCGAUGUCGUCGUCAUGGAAUAUGUUGGGGCUGGAGGUGCUCUACUAGGUCAUCGAUUAGGUGGACCGCCUUCUCGCCCGGUCGUUCAGCAUCUACCCGCUGGUCAUCCUCAACUACAAGUGCAAGAGGUGCUCCUUCAAUCCCUUCCGUUUGUCCUUGGCUAUAUAGUGUUCUUGGGCUAAAUCUGUUUGACCAGCUGUUUGCUUGUUCCUCAGUCUGUGCAUGAGGAUUCACUUAAUCUUUUCCACACAAAAGAGUCUUUGCUUCCUUUGUCAUGUAUACGUGUCUUGAUUUUGGAAAUAAAAUCUUCAUAUUGAUGGACGGACCUGAGAAAUUUGUCCAGUACAGUGUCAAAUAUUUAUAAACUGCAGUUUUCUUUGAGCUGACGAUGAAUUGUGUCUUCGGGCAGCUGGAAAUUGUAGGAAUUGCCUUGAUUGCUUUCCUCCUAUGGCAAGAUAAUGGCCCUGUUUACAGGAGGGUGGCAUGUGUGGAAAGUAUCGGGAAAACAAAAAGUAUUUAGUACCGAGUAAAAUGAACAUUGGCAUAUAGUAGAAAAUGUGGUGUAUAUACACACUGCAGUUGGUUGUGGUGCUUAUAAACUAUUUAAUUUAUGAUCUGUUGUCCAUCUUAUCAUGAUUGUUGUAUAUCAAUUCCUGCAGUUAUGGCUAAAUAAAAAUCACGACUGGGAAGAAGACUCAGGGAAUAAGAACAGACCAUUAGGAUAUUUGGAUCAGAUCAAAAUCAGAAAAUCGUCACAAAACCGAAGAUACUGCAAAAAAGGUUUUUAAUUACUAAAUUAAGAGUUUUGGUGGUUUCCACAAUUGUAUGAAAAAUUGGAAUUUAAAUUUUUGACCCAUCGAGAUUUGUACUUGUGGCAGUAUGGUCUGAUUGUGUUUAUUUUAGUAACCACAUCCUCCACAACACGGCUUUUCAUAGGUAUUGCUUUCCCUUGACCAUUCCGAUAAUUAAUUAAGCUUUAUCCUAAAAGCCAAUUUUAUCAUUCAACCCUUAAGAAAAUGUGUUAUGCACAGAGAAGUGGCGUUCAAGUGUGAAGUCAGAAACAAACUAACACAUGUUGAUGCAGUUGUUCCCACAUACACACUCUUAGUUAUUUUCCUAUCUGACCAAAUGAUAUCUACUCUUUGUCCAGUUCUUGCAAAAAGGAAUGGAUUAUUGAAUGUUUGCUACUCCAUGGUAUGCUUGAUUGUUGUGUGCUUUUUUGAGCAAAUUGGAUAAUUUGUGGAAAAUCUGAAUUUUAUAUGACGGUCUGAACUUUCUUGUGCAUGAUUGUUGAUAAAUUAUUUUAUUUGAGAUUUGCUAAGCCAAAUUUAGGUGAGCAUACCAUUCCAGCACAUCAAGACAAAUGUAUAUUGUAGUAUUUCCAAAUUAUCGAUAUGGGAGGUUACCAGAGUAGUGUUGUUAAGGGUGUUUUGUUCCCACUACGAUUUGUCUUUCUGUUCUUAGACUUUUUGCAUGUUUUGUACUGGUAUUACAAAGCUUUCAUCAAGGUCAAUGCACACAGAGGUGACGCUGGAGCUGUCUUGCUCGAGGUUAAUUUUAUCCUACUUCGGCUCCAUUGCGCAAAGAUGAACAACAACCCAAGCAAAUUCGGUGCAAAAGACAAUAAAAGUAAUAAGUUAUCACCACUAUGAGCCCCCCUUUGGUUAAAGAUAACUUUACAUAACAACAUUGCAUGAUAAUUUGGGGUUUAAUCCUAAGAUACUCAUUUUUUAUGUGAUAUAAAGUGUUUCAUCAUCCCUUUAGCCUAAUAACACACUUUCUCACUAAAGGUUUCUUCUAUGCUUUCUAAUUAAUGGAGUGACUGUCGAGAUUUGAAUAGCGAAUGUUUUCAAUGUUUGAACGCCACAAUCUCCGUGGAAGGCAUACAGAUAGAACAAUUGUUUUAUUUUAUUAAGCUGAAGCAUGUCAAAGAUUAUUUAGUUACUUUGAUGGGAAAAACAUUGUAUUCACUUAGUACUCAACAUAACAGAAAUUAUGUUGAACUUCCUAUCAUUGAAACAUGAGAUGUUCCAUUGAAAGUUUAUUUAUGUGUCCUACAACAACUUUCAUUAGCAUAUCCUCCAUCCUAUCUUUUUGUUCUGUUAUUCGUUGAGGAGUUCUGUGGGGGUCGUUCGUCUAUUGGAGAAUGUGGGAGAGAGAAAGCAAGGUUGUUCUUCUUAAGUUGCUUACACGUUUGUAGGUUAGCCCCAUAUCUUUGUACAAGUUAAUCCGUGCUCUCUCACAUCAACUUCUUUUUGUUUGAUGGAUAAAUCUUCAUUCAUUAAACAACUCUUUAUGAACUAACUCAAACAUAUAAUCUUGUAGGUACCUUCAUGGCACGAGAUGGACAAUUUCAAUCCACCCUUUAUUCCAAAUUGUCUUACUGAUUCAUGCUAAGCAACUAUGAAAACUUCUGGAUGACCCUUUUUUAUAUAUUGUGUUUGAUGUAUCUAUAUUUCAGAAACCUAGAUCAUGAAUGUGGAUGGAAGCAAAUGGCUUAAAUUGCAAAAUAAAGAAUGCAUUAUACAAACUAUACAAGUUGCUUUGUAUCACUAACAAGAGCCAAAAUAGACGGGCGCAGCAACGCGCGCCAUCAAUGAUCUAGUAUAUAUCUAGUAUUGUAUCGAGUUCUUGCACAAACUCCGCCACACCUCAAAAUUACUCCUGCCUUCGCCACAUUGUCUGUGAGGGCCAAAGCGGCUUGGAAGAGCGGUGCCAAGGACGACAGGUAGACGAGGGGGUAUAUAUGGGGAGGGGGGUGGUAGGAUGGGUUGAGUGAGUAUCGGGUGAUACUGGAGCUUAGAUGCUCCCGCGAUACGAACUCCCGCGAACCGUUCGGUCAGAUAUCCAACGGUCAAAAAUAGAGCUCCUGCAACUUUGCAGAAAAAUCCUUCAAGAAUCUGGUAUUUACUUGCAAGUCCAAAAGCAUGGCUUACACCCGUAGAUCUCUGAUCCAAUGGCUCAGGAAAGCUUGUAUCAUGGUAGCACCUAAACUCUUGUACUCCCUCCUUCCAUCUAUAUAGGGCCUAAUGUGCUUUUUAAGACCGCCUUUGACUAUUGACAAGAUUAAUAGUACAUGACAUGCACAAUGUGAAAAUUAUAUUAUUGAAAACUUCUUUCACACACGAAUUUAACGGUGUGCUUUGUGUAAGUUGCAUGUCAUAUAUUAUUGCUUUAAUAUUUGGUCAAAGUUAGUCUCGAAAAAUGCAUUAGGUCCUAUAUAAAUGAAAGGAGGGAGUAUCACCUGAUAUUUUCUCAGGUUAGGGCCGGUGGUCGGCGAAUGCCACAAUUAAUGGCGGCGCAUUGAUGCGUAUGGCAGACAUCAGGUAGCCGUGUGGGAAACCGCUGCGUCAGGCCGACACACCCACUCGGCUCAUAGUACUAGGCGACGUAUAGCCGACGUAUAGCCGCUACUUUUUAAAAAGUGACCAUCGUUAUUUUUAUCAAGGGGUAUGCACCAAUCUUCGCUGUUGCUGUGUUAGGUUGACCGAAACAGAAUUCACUAGCACGGGAAAAAAAGUGUCAUUUGUAUUUUGGGGGCUUCUUUGAUUCUCAGCCUAAAAUUGCCACGCCUAACCUUAGUCAUGCCACAAUAUUUUAGGCAUGUAUUUGGUUCAUUGCCAUAUUUGUGGCUUGCCACACUUUUCUAGUUAUAUGGUGUCAUAGGAUCAAUUUUUUACCAAAUCUUGCUACACUUAUGGUGGCCAUUUUGUUAGCCACACUUUGCCUAACCUUAGUUUUUCUUUUUUUAAACCAUCACAUAUAUUGAUUAACCAAGAUUGUUAUUACAAUCAUUCAUUACAAUAUUCACCAUGCAGGGCUGAACAUCGUUAACAAGGAUACCAUCCCAUCUAUUAUCGAAACUAAACUUUGCAAUCAUAUGGGCAACAACAUUAGCCGAACAAUUAAUGUUGGAGUAUUUAAAAUUAUUUAUAAGCUUUGAUAAACUCCUCGCUUCCUUUUUCAAAUCAGCCAUUGAAGACCUGUCUCCUAUUUCAUUUGCAAGGGACGCAACCACAAACGCAUAGUCAGUCUCCAAAAUUAUAGGAUUGUGAAAGGUAAUACCUAUAUAUAGACCCGCAAUGCAUGCUCGUAGUUCCGCCUCCUCCAUGCUUUUACAAAGCCCAAUGUAAUCCCAGGAAGAGACGAGGACCUUCCCCGAAGAGUCUCUGACCACCACACCCACACUUGCAGCGCUAAUGCUCUCCAUAAAGCUUGCAUCGACAUUGAUCUUAAUAUACUCCGAAGGAGGGGGUUGCCAUAACACCUGAGUUUUCAUAGGGUUAGGAACAAUUUGUAAACCAGACAGCAGACCUUUACCUUUAUUUUUCGAGUCCACCUCUGGGCAAGAUUGACUUGCGACAAAUGAUGACCGAUAAUUCUCCACAAAAUUAGCAGAGGCCAAGACAAGUUCCUUCCCCGUACCAAAUAUCAAGUCAUUCCUCAAGUGCCAGGCUCUCCAGAAAAUGAAAAUAAUUUGGUCACACAGAUUAGCAUUCAAUUGCUCCAAAAGAAUAAGAAACCAAUCAGACCCCGAAUGCUGAAAAACCUCCUCCCCAGGAAGAUCCCAUAUAUCCCUCAUUGCCAUAUGCAACGCAUAUGCCUUAGGGCACUUGACUAGCGCAUGAAACGUAUUUUCAUCUUCCAGUCCGCAAAUAGAACAUGUGCUAAGAGUGGCUUGGUGGUGCAUGACUCUGUUUACCUGGACGUCCAAGUUAUUCGUAGCGACACGCCAAGCAAAAAUAUGAAUCUUCUGAGGAACAUUUGCCUUCCUAAUAAUAUCCCAAAUCUUCCUCUCCCCCAACACCGCGUCACUAUAUUGCCCUUCAUCUUCUUUACGUUCCUUUAGAUUAAGCGCAAGAAUGUACGCGCUUUUAACCGAGAAUAAACCAUUCUUCUCAAAAUGCCAACUUAAAAUCUCCUAUGCAUCAUGUGGAUAAAAUAAGUGCCUAACCAAAUUCUCAUCCCGUCUCCUCAGUCCACUCAAAAUUAAGUCAGACACCCAUUUGAUCAUGUUCAUGUUCUUCUUUGCAGUAACCUUAAGACCAGAGAUUCUUGGUAGCCAAUUAUCUCUCCAAAUAUUAAUAUUAGAUCCAUCACAUACUUGCCAAAUAACACCCGAUUUAAGCAGGUCCAAAACAUGCAGAAUACCUUGCCAAGGAAGCGAAGCUAAUUGUGGAAAAACAGUGUCAAGGAUAUGCCCAUGGAGAUAAUAUUUCGCCUUCAUCACCUUUGCGCAUAAGGAUUCAGGGUUAACCACCAAUCUCCAAGCCUGCUUAGCUAGCAGAGCUUGGUUAAAUAAUCUGAGAUCACAAAAACGCAUACCUCCCUCACUUUUAGGCCUUGUCAGUUUGUCCCAAGUCAACCAGUGAGUUUUCCUCCUAUCAUCCUCGUCACCCCACCAAAAGUUCCUUAUAAUAUGAGAUAGCUCCUCACAAACCGAUGCCGGGAAUUUAAAGAUGCCCAUGGCAUAAACUGGAAGAGCCUGAAGAACUGAUUUGAUCAAUGUUUCCUUCGCCCCACUAGAUGCAUAUUUUUCAAUCCAAUCCGAUAAAAUUUUAAUAGCUUUUUCUUUAGUAGAUUGAAAUUUACCCACCUUCAUUCUUUCUUGUGGCACCGGAAGCCCAAGAUAUUUGUCCUCAAAACCUUCAGCGGUAAUAGUCAAGAUUACCAUGACAGACACUUGGUUUUCCAUCCUACACUUCUUCCCGAACAUAAUAGAGCAUUUAUCUGCGCUCAAUAACUGUCCAGUCCCCUUCUCGUAAGUUGAAAUGAUAUUUUUAAUUGUCAACGCUUGAUCAAUGGACCCCGUGAAAAACAUAAGGCAAUCAUCGACAAAUAAAAGAUGAGAGAUACCCAGAGCAUGCCUAUUCACCUUGAAAUCUUGGAGAGCUCCUCUAGCACAUGCAUCCUCAAGCAACAAAGAAAGACCUUCCGCCACCAACAAAAAUAGGUACGGAGAUAAAGGGCCCCCUGCCUGAGACCACAAGAAGGGGAGAAAGUUUCCAGAAGUUGACCAUUAAAGCGCGCAGAAAAUUUGACAGAUGUGACACAAGCCAUAAUCCAUUUUAUCCAAACUGCAUCAAAGCCCAACGCCCCCAACACAUGCGGGGGCCAGCACGCGGCGGCUGCACUCGGAUGCUGCAACUACACGCAGCGGCGGCCACAACGCACACGCUGCCUGCACGCCUGGUGGCCACCAGGCACACGCCGAAGCACAUGAUGCCUGCGGCUGCACACAGUGGCCACCAUGCAGCCAUUGGGGAGGGGUGGUAAGGCGAGGGAAGUGACGCCUAUGAGCCUGUAUUGCUUCGGCAGCCCCUUCCAGGGCGGCCACCGUAGCUCCAGCGCCCAGGUCACCGCAACCACCUCCUCCUUCUCAACAUCCUCCGCGUCUGCAUCCACUCCUCCCUUCUUCUCCACUGACGGAGCGCUUCUCCAUGGUGCCCGCGGAUCCACCCCGUCCCUGCCAUUACCAAAGGGGAACCGCCUCACGGCCCCACGCCGUCGGUGCGGGAGGACGCCGGCGCACGACGGUGGAGAAGGCCGAGGUCGACAAAGCAUCGCUGCUGCGUCCUGAGGAUGCCGUCGGAGGAGGGGAGAAGGCGGCCUGUACAAGAGAGAAGGGGAUCAGACAGACGAGGGGAGGAGGAGACGUGCCUAUGAAGGAAGAGGAGAGAACGAGAGGCUCGAUACGGGUGCCGUCGGCACGCAACUUCUUUUCCUCCCACCUUUUUUUUCAUCAAUCUUUUCCUCCCACCUGACCGAGCGAUUUUUCCCAGCGCGUCUUUCUCUCCGACACACUAAAUCGAUACAGUAGAAUUGGGACAGGUGGAUAGCGCCAGGAUGCGCCCUUUGCACCAUCGUUAAUGGGUUGUAUUGCCGCGCCUAUCAGUGACUAUUCAGUCCUUUAAAUGUCUGCCAAGCCAACCACCGUCCUCAAUCCUCGUCCUCUCAACCACUUUGAGGUUGAGUUGCUUCCCGCUGCUGCGCUCUCCGUCUCCGCCUCCUGCUUCCGCCGGAUCUGCCAAUGGAGGCGGUGGAAGACCCCACCCUGGAGCCUGCGAUUGGCUGGCUUGCCAACACCAUCCUUGCAAAUCUCCUAGCCGGCGGCAAGCUAGACUCCUGGAUCCACCAUGCUGGCCUCGGCAACGACGUCAAGAAGAUCAAGUCCGAGGUGGAGGAGGUGGAGAUGGUGGUUUCUGCUGUGAAGGGGAGGGCGGCCGGGAACAAGCCGCUGACCCGGUCUCUCACAGCCGUCAAGGAGCUGCUCUACGGCGCCGACGACGUGGUGGACGAGCUGGACUACUGCAAGCUCCAGUAGGAGCUCCAGCCAGGUAAUUUUGGUAACACAUUCUUUUAGAUCCAAGUAGCUGCUGAAUUGCUUGCUUAUUCGCAGUUCCAACUUUUUAUUCUGCCUUAGAGACACUACUUCAAACGGAUGGGCAUGGACCGCUGCAAACUGUUCAUGAUUCCAGAGAAAAUGAUGAUGAUGUACAGAGUAGCAGUAAUGGCAGGUUACGGUCGAAGGAAUGGGUUCACUUUGACAUCAUAGAGUCUGAACAAAACGGAGGGCCUUCCAGAGCAAGAUGCAAGUAAUGUCAAAAAGAGAUCAUGUGCAACACAAAAAUGGGGACAUCAGUUGUGCGCAAUCAUCUCAAGAGCAAAGGUUGUAGCAAGAGACGUGGAGCAGCUGACCCUUCUUCAAGGUACCUAGAUUAUUUAGUGCCUUUGCACAUGCACAUUUCUUAGAGUCUCUUCUUUCAUACAUCUGCUUAAGUGUGCAUUAAGGUUCUCACUGUCAAUCCUGUGGUCUAUUUCUUAUUGCAGCACCGCCGAUGCUACUACAAUUCCUAUGCCUGUUGCAACCGGCCGCAGAAAAAGGAUGAGAACUGAUCAGGAGUCAACACACAUCACCACAGCUAACCCAAACGGGUGGAACAAGGAGGCAUUUUUUGAAAGGAUACAAGACAUCACUAGUCAGCUGCUAGUCAAGCGAGAGGCUGUCACAACGCUUCUCAUGAUACUUGGGUCAGACUCUGGUGGUGCAAGUUCAAAUCACUUUCAGCAUACAAUCUCAGAUCCACGACGAAGAACAUCAAGUCUUUUCCAAGGGAAAGUGUAUGGGAGAGCUGCAGAGGAGAGAUCCAUCAAAAAGUUGAUUGAAAAACACAAAUCAACUGCAGGUGUAACUGUUCUGCCUAUUGUAGGCAUCGGAGGAGUUGGGAAGACAGCUCUCGCACAGCUUGUGUACAAUGAUCCAGCUUUGAAAAGUGAAUUUGAUCACAAGAUAUGGAUUUGGGGGCCUAACAAUUUUGAUGAAAUGAGACUCACAAGGGAGAUGUUAGAUUGUGUCUCCCAAGAAACACAUGAUUGCAUAUGCAGCUUUCCCAAGCUUCAAGAGGUCUUGAAGGGUCAUAUUAAAUCAAAGAGGAUUCUACUUAUUUUAGAUGAUGUCUGGGAAGGCAUGGAUGACGGACGAUGGAACAAAUUGUUGGCUCCUUUCAAUUCUAGUGGUGCAAAUGGCAAUAUGAUUAUUUUGACAACUAGAAAACCGUUUGUUGCCAAAAAGAGAGGUACAACUGGACCAAUUUACUUACAUGGUUUGAAAAAUGAUGAUUUCUGGCUAUUGUUUAAGGCAUGUGCAUUUGGUGAUGAGAAUUAGGAAGAGCAAGCGAGUCUAAGUGACAUAGGACAGAAAAUAGCACAAAACUUAAAAGGAAACCCAUUAGCAGCACAAACUGCUGGGUCACUAUUAAGAGAUCAACUUACUGUGGAUCAUUGGAGUAACAUUUUGAAGACUGAAGAUUGGAAAUCCUUGCAACACAUUGGUGGCAUCAUGUCUUCUUUGAAGCUUUCCUACGAUGACCUACCAUACCCUGUACAACAAUGUUUCUCAUAUUGUUCCAUAUUCCCCUACAACUAUCAAUUUACUGCUGAGAAGCUAGUUAGUCUUUGGAUUUCACAAGGAUUUGUGAAGCGUGAUCAUUCAAGCAACAGUUUGGAGGAGAUGGAACAAUACUAUCUGAAUGAUUUGGUGAACCUGGGCUUGUUUCAGCAGGUUAAAAGUUAAACUUACUACAUUAUGUGUGGCCUGAUGCAUGAUUUUGCACGGCUAGUUUCAAGAACUGAGUGUGGAGCUUUGGAUGGUUUGCAGCACAAUGACAUUUUGCCAACUGUACACCAUUUAUCUAUAGCAACCAAUUUUGUAUAUAGGAGGGAUGGCCAGACUGAGAACAUACCUCGUAGUGAGAAGUUUGAAUUUUUCUUGCAAAAUAUAGUCACACCAGUGAGAAAGUUGAGGACAUUGGUGUUGAUUGGGAAAUAUGACUCCUUUUUCUUCAACACAUUCCAAGAUGUGUUUGAAAAAUCACAUAAUCUGCGUCUGCUGCAAAUGUCUGCAACAUCUAUUGAUUUUAAAUCUUUCUUAUGUAGCUUGGUAAAUCCUACACGUCUCCGGUAUCUAAAACUUGAGGAUGAUAAUGCUGAGCAGCAACCUUUGCCUCAUGUUUUGAGCAAGUUUUUCCAUCUUCAGGUAUUGGAUGUUGCUUUCUUUAUGUCAUUGCAUACAGUUCAUCUAGACGAUUGCGGAGAAGGGGAGAUACUUUCAUCUCUGGAAAUGCUUCGGUUUCUGAAAAUAUUGAAGUUGAGAAACAUGCGGACUGCAACAAAAGUAUCGUUUCCAUCAUUGGAGGAGCUUGUUUUAUAUAAAAUGUCAGAUUUACGGAGAUGUUCUUGUACUUCCGUGGAUGAUAUGAAAUCUAGUUUAAGGGUGCUGGAGAUCCAGAGUUGCCCUGCACUUGAGGUGUUUGAUCUAUUUCAGAAAGUUCAUAGCUACAAAAGUGAGUAUAAGUCAUGGUUGCCCAAUCUGAGGAAACUUAUUAUGCGCAACUGUCCUCAUCUGCAAGUACAGACCCCCCUUCCACCUUCAGCCAUAUUUUGUAAACUAUCAAUUAACGAGGUUUCACCAAUUAUGACAAUGGAGGGAUCUUCCAUGGAAAAAUUAGAGUUUAGCGGAUAUAAACUUUUGUGUGAUACACUUCAUGACAAAAUUUUGGCAUUCCAUAAUCUUAAGGAUAUCAAAUACUUGGAGAUAUUGAAUUGCUAAAGCUUAACAUCCAUUUCAUUCAAAGGCUUAAGUCAGCUCAUCUCCUUAAAGAGUUUGAAAAUAGUGAACUGCAGAGAACUUUUCUCAUCGGAUGAUGUGCCAGAGCAGACCCAUGAUGACAUGAUAACUGCAAAUGACGACGUUCUCUCGUCUCUUGAAAGUCUUGAUAUUGAAGGAUGUGGAAUAACAGGGAAGUGGCUAUCUCUGAUGCUGCGACAUUCACCGACCCUAAAGGAAUUGUGUUUAUACGAUUGCCCACAGUUGAAACAAUUGAAGAUAGAAGAGGAAGGAAAUGUUCAACCAAACCUUCUCCUAGUUUUCGAGGCUUUAUCAUCAGGGUAUGCAGAUGGAGUCGUGCACAUUCCGAUUCCAUUGAAUCUCAGAAAGAUAAAAAUUGGUGGAUGCCCUCAUCUAAUAUUUGACGGGAGUAGGGAAGGCUUUGCUGGAGUCCUCACAUGUAGGGAACGGAAGAUGUCUCCUCCGGCUUGAACAACUUGUUUGGUCUGAUUAUUCCCAAAAAACUCUGCGGCCCUGCUUUGUGGAAAAUCUCAAAAAAUUAAAUGUAAGCAGCAAAAGUUUGGAAUAUCUACAACUGGAUUCCUGUAAGGCAUUGGACGAUUUGGAAAUUAAAUUUUCCAAUCAGCUCGUCGCAUUAGAGGGCAUGCAAUCGCUUGGAAUCCUCAAGUCUUUGGUAUUAGCUUAUAACUCAAGAUUGAAAUCUCUACAGCUGCAUUCCUGCACGUCGCUGGAACGUUGGGAAAUUGAUGAUUGUAGUUCGCUUGUCACAAUAGAGGGCUUGCGAUCCCUCGUGAACCUCAAGAAUUUGAAAAUAGUCGAUUCCCCUGCCUUGGGUUCCCUUAUCUCAUUUGACAGUUAUGAGCCAACUGAGAGAUUUCCAAGUCAUAGCUAUGAGUUAUUCCCUGCACUUGAAAGUCUCGAGAUCGAUGCCUUGUCUCCCCUUAACAUGUCAUUCUGCAAGGACCUCACCUGCCUCCGAAGCCUAAAGCUUUUUUACAUGAAGGAUGCAACGAGACUAACAGAUGAGCAAGAGAGAGCGCUUCUGCUCCUCAGGUCCCUGCAAGAGCUCUGCUUUCAGGCUUGUAGGCAUCUCGUACAUCUUCCCACGGGGCUGCGGAGCCUCCCUUCCCUCAAGACGUUGAAGAUCAUAGAUUGUGAUGGCAUCUCAGGGCUUCCGAAGGAGGGCCUACCACCUGCGCUGGAAGAACUGAAAAUCUUCUAUUGCAGUGCCGAGUUAUCAAAACAAUGCAGAUUGCUAGCAACAAGCAAGCUAGAGGUCAAAAUUGAUGAGGACUAUGUGGACUGAUUACCGAGCAUCUUUCCAAGGUAUACUUCUACCAUAUACCCAGUCAUUUUUCGCCUAACCACCAAAACCAUACAGUUAUAUGCUAUUCAAGGGAUUGCCCAGGCCAUCCCCGUCCUGGGUCACCUGUUACAGUACUUAUAUUUGAAGUGGGGGAAAAUGCUUAACGUAUUUUUCUUGUGAUAUAAACAGGUUUGGUUUCACUUCAGGGCCUCACCCUCAACCUCAUGUGGUCAUGAUAAUGGUGUGUUCUGUUCCAGCCUUUUCCGUAUCACCAUUCUGAAUUUCUCACUGCUUGCUGAACGAAUCCAUCAUCUCGCUCUCGAGUGCCUCCUGUACGUUCCAGUGGGCCAAAAUACAAAACUGGAUUCCCGUACAAUGAUGAGACUGUAGUCUGAAACCCGUGAGUUAAGAAACUGUAUAUGUAAGUUGUUGUGCAAUGAUGUUGUAUUUUCAAGAACUGAUGCAGUUUUCGUCAGAGUACUUCCAUUUUUUCCGGGCCGGUGGUGUUGUCUGGGUGGAUAGCAGCGACAUAUGAAAAUGCUUGAUCUUUUGUGAUCUUUCUCAGAUUUUUUUCGACCACACUUCGUUCAUGGGUGUGCAGAUUUCUGUUCUUGAAAAUAAUUCUGAGCACCUUGAAAUGCUUGGGGGUGUACAAUCACAACAGAUGGGUUUUUCUAGCUCCAUUUGGGCAGCAAUCUGAACAGUCCGCACUGACUGUUACUAUCUUUGUUUUUCUUUUCAGAAAUUGUUUCAGAUUUUUUUUUCCAGAGUAUUGUGGUGUGUAAGAGUAGGAGUAUUAGCAGGUGACACUAUUCUUUACAACUGGGAAUUCCUUGAGAAAAUUCGAGCAUCCUGCAUUUUUCGGGUCCGGCGGUGGGCAGCAAGCAGAACAGAGGAUGCAUCUUUCUAGCUCUGUCUGUGAUCAAGUUUUAACAGUGCAGUCACUGAAUGUUUGUUUUAGUGGUGAUUUUUCUUGGAUUAUUCUGAGCACUAUGAUACUAGUAUAUUUUUCUCAAGUCCGGCUGUGUUUUUUUUUUUGAACAAGGUGUACAACAAUUGACAGUUGAUGCAUGUGUCGAGCUCUGUUAUAUUCUCUGUUAUAUUUGUUCUCCAUUUUGGUUUUCGUGGAUAGAAAAAAUACUGUAACUUGCAUCAUCAUUCUCAAUAAACAUGACUGAGAGCCCGAGACUUGUCUCAGAUGCUAAACUCGAAUCAGCAUCGAUGGAGCUGGUCGUUGGAGGGAGGGCGUCAUAGGCAUGCUUGGAUCGAACAUCUUAAUUGGCGAGUGAGUUUGGUUUUCAUCGAGAGAAAUUUUCAAUCUAUUCAUUGAUCAUUGCAGUACAGAAAACACUAUAGGUAAUAAAAAUUACAACCAGAUACAUAAACCAUCUAACAAUGACUACAAGCAUUGUAAUAAGCCAAAGACGCGUCACCGUCAUCAUCACUCCCUCACCGGAGAUAGACAGACUUAUUUUUUGAAAGAAGGCCAUCAUGGCUAGCUUUAUUAACUCAACAAAACGUUUACAUCAUCGGCUAGUUUAUGAAGGAGGAAACUAGGGGAUCAUCAUCCUAAAUACUAGAAAGUUUGAGAACUAGGUUGUAGCCUAGUGGCAAGGGAGCGCAGUGGCGUCUCCAUACAUGAUUGACCAUGUGAUAAGUCCCUUGAUUAAAAAGCGUAAUGAUUACUGUCAUAUUGUCAAAAUUGCUCAAAACGGAACCCGGAAAAAUCCCAGUUAUACGUAUUACUUAGCGUAACUCGAUAUUUAGUAAUUUUUCAUCCAAAAUAAAAUAAAAUAUUUGAGUGCUUUUUCAUGUAUACACUUUUUUUUAUUCUCCACCCGCGACGCGAACCACACUCAUCGCCUCUGUCUCGUUCCCCUUUCGCCCCGUGUUCGGCGCCAUGGAUUCGAUCUGCCGUCGGAGCCCACCGCCGCCGCUGCCUGGCCCCAGCCGCGAAGCGUGGUGCCCCUCCUCGCCGCCAGCCGCCUCCCCUUUUUGCUGGGCGGUGCCUCCGGAGGCCCCGCUGUAGGGCCGCAGCGCGGGCGAUGGUGGCCCGCGGCUCGAAGCAAUGAAGGGAGGGAGGGGGCGGUGGCCGUGGCUGCCCCGACCGGCGUGCUGGGGCCGCGCUUCCUCCCCGGCGGCGACGCCUAGGAUCUCCGAGGUUCGACCUCUCCUCUCCUCUCCACCACAUUGUUCCCCUCCGGCGGCCCGGGGGUGCUCUGCAUAUUGAAAUUAACAAUUAUAAUCCUGUCAGCUGCCAUCGAUGUGAAGCCUAGCAGCCAGUGAUGAGUCCCACUGUCAAUUAAACUAGUACGCGAUGCGAUCUUGGUGCUGAACGGGAGCACAUGCCUCACCCUAGUCCCAGCAACCCAUAAUGUGCGUGCAGAUCCAUAACUAGGUUUAAAUUUGUGUUAGCAUGUACACUUCAUCCUUGAACAUCGAGUUAGUAUAACAAGGUGCAAUGUGAAUGUGAUCUUGGGUACGCGAAAUCGGUGCUGAAUGGAGCAUAUGCCUCAAACAAGUCCCAACAACCCACAAUUUCUGUGCAGAUCGAUAGAUAGGUUAGGCUUUGUGUUAUAUGUAAUUGAUCCUUAAACAUUUGCAUUUGUUAUAUGCCUUUGUUUUACCCAGGCAGUGCCUCCGAAGGCAGCCUGGAAGCAGGGGAGGGAGGGGGUUAUUGACGGGGGUUGUGGCUGCUUCCACCGGCAUCCGCGCUCGCUGUGCUGGGGUUGUGAUUUCUCUCCAGCAGUGACUCCUAGAAACUCCAAGGUUUGAACUCUCAUCUCCACCACCUUCUUCCCCUCCGGUGGCCCGGGGUUGCUCUGACUAUUUAGAUUAACAGUUAAUCAUGUCAUUGUUGUAAAGCCUAGCUAGUGAUGACUCACACUGCUAAUCUAAUUAAUAUGCCUCACGCAAGUUCCAACAAUCCACCUAGCAUGUGCGUUCAAACUCCUUGAAUCCACAUCGACAUAAAGUCAAACACUGUGUUAGCAUAUACUGAAAGUUUGAUCCUUGAUGCUUGCCAAGUUGAUCCUUAAACAUUGCGUUACCAUGUGCAUUUAUAGUAGAUCAAUAAAUAGUCAAACUUCAAGCCAGCCAAUUGUUUAUUAAGAUUGGAAGUUGUGAAACGAUCGAGGUCUCGGUCGCUAAGUAAACUUCUGUUACGUAUCUGAACAGGACCUCGGAGCCUGAAAUCUGCAUCUCUCUGAGAUUGGCAAAUUCGUGUUUAAUGGAGUGCUUGGGUAUCCCACCAUGUAUUUGGAUGUUAGCUUUUCUCACCCAACAAACAUACUAUGGGAGGAUGUUAAGACUGAAAAAAACGAAAAAUGUUAUAUGUGGGCACGCGAAACAAACUAGAAAUACGAAGUGUUUACGCAAAUAUUAGAAGUUCAGUAUGAACCGAUUAGCAAAUCGAUUUAUCUGACAUAAAUCAGAAAUCGUCAAAUGGGACCGUUCAAUUUAGAUUCAUGCAAGUCAGAAGAUAUGGAACUUAUUUGGGUUUGAUUUCUAGGACUCAAAUCAUGUUCAGGGCACACCACUGCACAUAUAUCAGCACCUUUUUAGUGUUUAUUUUUAUUACCCUCUAGCGUGUACAGAGAGGAUGCAUAUGUCGUAGGUGUAUACAUAUACAUGUGGUGUGUGCAGCUGGCUUCUAUAGAAAUACAAAUUAAACAAUGGAUAGUGGAUAUCAUACAAGAGGGUGGUGAGGCAUCACUGUCUAUCCUUCUAACUUAGAGUCUGGUGCAGAAUUAACUAAUGAGUCCCAUUGUUGGAACUAAUAUGUGAGGACUUGAGGUCUGGCAAGUCCCAAUUAAGAAUGAAAGUUGUGAACGAGCAGGUCGAUCUGUAAAUUUUCAUUAUCUAAAAAGGACAUGCGACCGACUAAUGAAUACAUAUAAUCGUUAGAUUGUGUACGCAAAAUCGGUGCUGAAUGGGCCACAUGCCUCACUCAAGUCGCAACAACCCACAAUGCACAGUUAACAGUUAACAUGCCUCAUGCAGAUCGAUAGAUAGGUUAGCCUAUGUGUUAUAUGCAGUUGAUCCUUGAACAUUGCAUUAGCAUGUGCGUUCGUAGUGGGUCGAUAAAUAGUCAAACUAGUGAAAUACGCUUAGUGCAAAUUAACAGUUAAUCCUAUCUACAAUCACUGUAAAUACUAACUUGAUGAGUCCCACUGUUAAUUUAACCAAUAUACGAUGAGAUUGAGGCCUGGCAAGUCCUGAUUAGAAAAGAGUGGCUCCCAUUAUCCAUCUACUAUUAUUAAACAUGGCUUAAGAGUCUGAGGCCUGCAACUCAGAUCCAUUUCAAAUCUGCCAUGAUUAGUUGUGUCUAGGACUCACAUGCCUUGUGGGAGUCCCCAGAACUCACGACGUGCAUGAACGUCUGUAGCGGAUCGAUAGUCAGAACUCUGCGUUUGAUGUAUAUUCUGUUCACGUAUCGCAGCUGGCAGACAGCUAUUAAAGUUUUUUUAGUAAAUUUGAAUUUUAAGCUGUAAUGUAGGUUGUUGAAGGGAGGAGGCCACAUUCAGGCUUGGUUCACACAGUUUAAUUAGGUGAGUGAUUACAUGUGGUGGGAGAGAUUACAGCUAGCGCCUAUACACUAUAGAAAUACAAAUUAAUAACUUGUCCUUAUAUGAAAGGGUGGUGAGGCAUCGCUGUGCCUUGGAAUGAGAGCUUGGUGCAGAAUUAACUAUUGAGUUCUGCUGCUAAAACUAAUAUGCGAGGACUUGAGGCCUGCCAAGUCAUGAUUAAAAAUGGAAGUUCUGAAACGAUAGAGGUCGCUGACUAAACUUCCAUUAUCUAUCUAAACAGGACCUCAGACCCGCAUCUCACAACUCAGAUCCAUCCACGCAAACGCUCACAGGAGAAAGAGAGAGGAGAGGGAAGCUUGAUCGGUACCGAUGGAGGCGACCGCGUUGAGCAUCGGCAAGUCCGUGCUGAGCGGGGCCCUUGGCCUCGCCAAGUUCGCCGUUGCGGAGGAGGUGGCCCUGCAGCUGGGAGUACAGCGCGACAAGGCCUUCGUCACGGAUGAGCUGGAGAUGAUGCAGUCUUUCUUGAUGGUGGCGCAUGAUGAGCGAGGUGAGCACAACAAGGUGGUCAGGACCUGGGUGAAGCAGGUCCGCGACGUCGAGGAUUCGCUCCAGGAUUUUGUUGUUCGUGUGGACAAACAGUCUUGGUGGCGCAUUCCUCGCAUGCUUCUCGAUCGUCGCCAUGUUGCCAAGCAGAUGAAGGAGCUGAGGACCAAAGUCGAGGACGUGAGCCAGAGGAACUUGCGCUAUGGCCUCAUCAAGGGUUCUAACUCCACUCAGUCUGCCGCUGAUGCUGCCCCUGCCGUUGAUGCUGCCAUGUUUGGUGUUGAUGAAGCAAGGCAUGCCGCGAAGAAACACCAAGCAAGAUCGGAUUUGGCCCAGCUGAUCAACAAGGAUGGUGAUGAUCAUGUUGGAGUGAUCGGUGUGUGGGGAACAAGUGGCACUGUUGGGCAUAACACCAUCAUCUGGGAGGCCUACGAGAAUCCAGACGUCAAACUGAAUUUUCCGUGCCGAGCAUGGGUCAGGGUGAUGCGUCCUUUUUGUCCAACAGAAUUUGUCCUGAGUAUGGUGAAACAGUUUCACACAGCGGUGGGGGUUGGUGUUCUGCUGGAGGGGGAAAGGAAGGAGCAAGAUUUGGCUCAGGCCUUCAAUGGAUAUGUCAAUGAGAAGAGGUGCCUGAUUGUGCUUACUGGCCUGUCCACAAUUGAAGAAUGGCACCAGAUCAAGACUUGUUUCCCAGAGAACAAACUGGGGAGCCGGAUCAUAGUAUCCACUGAACAUGUUGAAGUUGCAAGCUUAUGCCCCGGGCGGGAAAGUACUGUAUCAGAGCUCAAACAAUUGUCUACUGAACAAACCAUCUAUGCUUUCUACUGGCAGGUACUACUUCUGUUUUAAACACAUGUUUUUGAUUUUCAAAAGGACAGCCCAAAAUCUGAACCAUUUAUCAGUUAGAUGUAGUAUAUAGUGGCCAAGGGUAAUCACUAUGGAGCGUCUCGUGGGUAGGAUUAAAUUAAUUUGCAUGUUUGGGCAAGGCGGGGGAAGGGGACCUUCCUGGUCCAACCCCUCCUGUUCCAUGCGGGAAAGAAUAACCCCCCUAGGUGUGGGACAAAUCUAGCUCUCGAAUUGGAAUCUCCCCGGACUACCAUGAUGGUCUUAACCGGAUGCAUUCUCAGCCUCCAUGGAUUCCUCAUCGACCUGCGGAUACAGAUGUCCUCUGCCCAGGUCCCUGGAUGAGGUAAUGUCUGUUCAGUGCAGAGGUAUUAGCGGGUAUCCAAUGUGAAUUACCAAAGCAUUCCUGCUCGCUGGCUAGUGCCUAGGCUUGGCAAUGUGUCUCCUCUAGGCUUCACGCCAGGGGUGUGCAGGGAGCUGCCCAGAAAAUGGGUGUAAAUAUGGAUAUUCCAUCCGACAAAUAAGCGCUAUGUUGCAAUGCUUUGAUAAAAAUGGCAACACAAGGAUUUUUUUGCAUUCUGUUCAUACCUGCUGAGGGCUAAGGUUUCCAAUAACUUUAUGUUCUCUUGUAGUAGUAGCCAACUUUUGAUGUAAUUCGUGAAUAAUUUGUGCUCUAGUUCUUUUUCGCCUUUUAAACUUCUAGACUGCUUUCAUUAUUUCAUUAACUUGUUGCAUACCAUUGGUAUACUAUUUCUGGUUCGUUGUCACAUUAAUAUUCCUGUAUAGAAACUGACACGCUAGAGAUGACCUGGCAUUUUUUUUGAGUAUCCAUCAUUAAAUUUUCAUCUAACUAUUGUUUGCUUGUGUUCAGAGCUCUCAUGAUGUUACAUAUCCAUCAAAGCCAGCAUCUAGGUCAAAGUUAUCCAACAUCCCUGAGAAUGAGAUACAAGAAGACCAAUCCAAUGCUUUUGUUGAUGGAAAUAUGAUAGCGCAAAAGAGGUUAACACGCGCCCACACAAUGGCAGGUGUCCUUGAGGAAUUUCAGCUUAUUGGGCGAGAGAAAGAAAAAUCUGAUAUUAUUGCACUAAUCGUAAAACAAGAUAGCACCCAUCAAGUUCAGGUGAUAGUAGUAUGGGGAAUGGGUGGUCUUGGAAAAACCACUCUGAUAAAAAAUGUUUUCCAGAGCAAAGAAGUCAGUGGCCUGUUUGGGAAAUAUGCUUUUGUCACAGUCUUGCGGCCUUUCAAGCUUGAGGAGCUCCUUAGGAGCUUGGCAUUGCAAUUAGAUGCAAACAAGGGAUCCAUGGACUUUGUAGGUGACACCCAAAAAAACAUUGGUUUGAUGGGAGUUGCAGACUUGAUUGAAGUGUUGGGCAGACGUUCAGCAGGAAAGAGGUGUUUGAUUGUUCUCGAUGACCUCUCAGCUAUGGUAGAAUGGGAUAAAAUAUCGGCAAGUUUAGGUGAAAUAAAAAAUCUGGUUAUUGUGAUCACCACAAGGCGAGAGGAUAUUGCUAAACAUUGUUGCCAAAACCCAGAAUGCAUACGCUUGCUCAACGGUCUUGAAGAAGAGGAUGCAAGUAACCUGUUCAAAAGAAAGGUAACGAAACAGUUUCUCUAUAUUAUUCACCUUAUUUGUUAGCAAAAAAUAUUAUCCCUAUAUCUCAUUUCAUUUCUUAGUUUUGAAUGGUCAUCUCGAAUUAGUAUAUUGUAAGCACAUCACGACCAACCAUCCUUGGCGCACAUACUUCAAAGUGGGUUGUAAAAGGAGUAAAUUACUCAAAACCAUCACAUUUGUGGCCAGGGUAUUUCAAAACUACCGCUUUUUGCCAAAAAUCACAAAAGACCACCGCUUCUGCACCAAGUGAAUAACAACUUGCACUAAACUUGUUACCAGCCGUGACUAACAGCAAAACUGCCGGGUAGGACCUGUCUGUCGGGCUGAUUUGGCAUGCGUAUGUGGACAAUAUGAUGAGGUGGAAAGAUGGCCCCACUAGCCAGCCUCUCGUCUCUUUUCACUUUUUUCCUUCCACGGUUGACGCCAUGCCCGCCAUCCGCCAACUCUGAUCUGCGGCGCGCGCCCGAUCAGCCACACAUGUGGUCGCGUCGUCCCUUGCAGCUCCCUCCUCCACCGCCUUCCCUCCAAGCACCGGCUCCGGCUAGCUUCCCCCGCGCGGCUGCGCCACAAAUCCGCACCGUCCACUGCAUCUACCUCCGACGCCACCGGCCAUCCACUCCAUGGCCCCGACCGAGCUUCCCCCAGUGGCCUUCGCCGUUGAUGGAGUCGACGGGAUGGGCACCCCACUGCCUCAUCAAGCCGCCUCCAGCCGCUGGCGGUGGCAGCCACAGUGAACUGCCCAUGACCACGACCGCUCUUGCUCCGGGCCACCUCGUGAGCCCCUGUGUGCCGCGUGCGCGUGCUUCUGCAAGCCCGAAGCGCCACGUGCGCGUCAUCAGGUGCUCACUCGCCUGCUCCGGCGAGCAGCCGACGCGAGUUCAGAGCACGACUUCGUCAAUGCCACGGGCACUACCGUUCCCGUGCGGAGAUCGGACUCACCUAGGAAGCAGACUCGUCAAUUGGGCCAGAGCCGGCGAGGCGUUGCCCGACACCAUCGAGCUCCACGUCCUGUGCGCGGAUGGAGGCAAGGCAUGGGUUGGCGCCGUCGAUCUCCUACAAGUCCCACCACAUCCAGGAGGCAGACUUAGCGCGCGGUUGGGCCGGUGCCGGCGAUGCGAGCAGGGAUGGCUGCGGAUGGCUGCAAGUGCAUGACACGGUGGUGGCGGUCAGCAUGGUGCGGUAGUGGCAGGAGGAAGAAGAAAAGGGGGAAAUAAGACAUGUGGCUGGCAGGUGGGCCGCGUCCACCUCAGUGGGUCAACACAUUGACUAGGACUAGUUUUCUCCACAUCAGGGUGACAGGCGGGUCCCACUCAUCAGUUCUGUUGUUAGUCACAACUCACGUUUUUGAGAUUUUUGGCAAAAACGGUAGAAUACCCUAGCUAUAAAUGUGGUGGUUUCGAUCAAUUUACUCUUGCAAAAGCAUAAAAAUAGGGCACCGUGACUCAUGUUGUAGUCUCAUUGGUUACGAAAGAUAUAGUUUCAUCUGUUUUAGCAAUUAAACAAAAAAAAAUUGAUUACAUCACACGUUACUCUUGUUAGGACAGGUUAGUAUUAGCAACAAGUCGGCAAUAUUCCACGAACUCACCACUUUCCUUAUCAAAUUAUCACGAACCACUUAAUUCAACAAACCAGUAGGAGCUCUGCAUUUUCAUUAAGUAGAAUAAGAACUGGCCAGUUUAAAUGGAAAACUAGCCAAAAACUAACAAAUGAACCACAGACGCACACCAGCCCCGAGGCCAUGCACCAACCGAGAUGACUUCUUCCUCACGCAAGUGAUUGAAACCAACCUUUACAACAUCGAUUUUGCUUCCACACUGGCCCUGGUCCACACACUAGUCUGAGUCAACAACUCUUAUCACCUGGCGACCAAAGUUGAUACCCUAUAAUAGUAUGAUUUGGCCUCCGAAUCUGAGCUCUACAUGCACACGCUGAGCCCAAUGUCGUGCAUCUGGUGAGUCGACGACUCUGCCACCUAAGCAACUCGGCAUCACCCUACAUAUAUGACAAAGAUUUCUAGAGUCACCACUCCUGAUUUCGCACCAGUCCACGGUAGUGUACCAACUGAUCGACGAUUAUGUCACCCAUAGAACUAGAGUUGAUGCCCUUCUUUUGAUAAAGGGUGGGUUUUAUUAAUUCAAAAUGAAGUACAAGUGGAUACAAACAUGAUGAGUACGCAAUCAACAUCAAUGCGCACACAAAGAAUAAUCCAAAGCGGUCGGCAAACUACAACAACAACCAUUCACACCAGCGAUCUCUUGACAUCACGAGGGCAACGAGGAAUGUUCUCCAGUAGCAAUACCUCUAGGAAGGGAUGAUGCUCAAGCGCCACAAUGUCCAGGUCCAACCACUAGAAGCUAGAUAUUGGGUUUGCACCCUAAAGACCAUGUCCGAGUAAAUCCGAUCAAUGCCUUCAAUGAGGUAAUGAUGCAAAAACAUCACCAUUUGCCAGUUAUAACCAACUAGGGUCAGAUCUAGGGUUUUGAAUCCCGGAGCUCGAGACCGGGUACUCGAAACAACACCAAAUCAAAGUCAUCAUGUCGUGUUACCACCGCUUUCUACUCUCCAAUUAGAUAUACGCUUUCCGCUAUCCCACCAAAUGCACACAUAGCACGACAUAUGUGAGAUGCCACACAAGUGAAUACCAUGAUCACACAAGAAGGGAGUUGAGCCGUGACUAGAGCUAAUCAUCACCAAAGCCUUCGAGCAAUGAAGGUCGUCGUCACUAUUGAUGAGGGAGGAAAGUCAUUGACACCGCCGAAAUCCAAUUCAGGAUGCUCCGGCAGUCCUGGGCCGUCCCCUUCUCUACCUUCCUUGAAUGGGGCAAGCUUUAUGGCAGCCACGUGUGAGCAGCCUAUGGUGAAUCCGAUUCUCCGUCGUGAUCUAGCUGGUUCGACCACUGGCCACUGGAAAAAAAACCUGCAGAUCUUUUGCGCCAACCGUGUCCGAUGGUCACCGCCUAGUCUCUAGUGUGCACUGACACUGCUACUAUGCAUGUAAUGCAGCCACAUUUGCUCGUCAGUUGCUCCAAGUCGAAGGAUAAAAUUUUACCUGGUACUCGUUCGGCAACGACGCCCACAUCUGCGAUGGAUGCACACCAACAGCUGCCAUGAUCUUGUUAGACCUUUCAGCCUGAGCAUUGAUAGUUGUGGAUGACACUAGGAGAGUUGGGACAAUUUUCGUUGGUUUAUUUCUCACACAAUGCCAUACCAACCUGAGGGGUUGGGGAUACAUAUUUAUAGGCUGCUAGCCAGCCAAGGCAUAUGCUAAGAUGCUGCUAAGAUGCCAGUCUAAGAUGCUAGUCUAAGAUGCUAGUCUAAGAUGCUAACUGACAGUCCUUGAUGGUCAAGAACAGAACUCUAUCCUAACAGCCAGUCCUUGAUGGUCCAGGACUUUAUCCUCCUAACUGCCACAAGGACCAUGUGCUGCAGCCCCACAAGGACCCUAGUACACAGACUUAUCCAUCAUUCUCCCCCUAAGUCUUGUACGUCGUCUUGUGGGAGAGUUGAAUCAUCCCAAUCCUGGAGCAAAGUUCGAGGAACUUGACCCUCCCAAGGGGCUUGGUGAGCAGGUCUGCGAGCUGAUCCUUGGUGUUGAUGUAGCUCGCCUCGAUGCUCCCUUCUUCCACACAGCUGCGGAUGAAGUGAUACCUCAGUCGGAUGUGCUUGCUCCGUUCGUGGAACACGGGGUUCUUUGCCAGGGCCAGGGCGGACUUGCUGUCCACCAGGAGCUGCACCGUUCUGGUGUCUUGAACGAGAAGAUCACCAAGCAGUCGAGCAAGCCAGAGCGCCUGAGUACAGGCGGUGGAGGCCGCUAUGUACUCAGCCUCACAGCUGGACAGGGCCACCACCUGCUGCUUGACUGAUUGCCAGCUCACGAGACACUUGCCGAGGAAGAGGAGGAUCCCGCUCGUGCUCUUGCUGGUGUCGAUGUCGCCGGCGUGGUCGCUGUCGCUGUACCCGACGAAGUGUGCCGCCCCAGGGCACCUAGGGUAAUGGAGGCCGUGGUCGAGGGUCCCUGCUAUGUAGCGGACAAUCCUCUUCACUGCCUGCUGGUGUUCCGACGUUGGUCGCUCCAUGAACCGACUGACAUAGCCAACGGAGAAUGCCAAGUCCGGCCGUGUGUGAGUGAGGUAGCGAAGGCUCCCCACAAGGCGUCGGUACUGCGUAGCAUCCACUUCCUCCGUCGUGCUGUCGCGACUUAGUUUCAGCCUCUCCUCCAUCGGAGUGAGAGCUGGAUGGCAGUCGGUGAGCCCAGCUAGCUCAACGAUGCGCUUGGCGUAGGCGGACUGUCGAAGCGCGAUCCCGGAGUGGUCCUGGUGCACCUCAAUCCCUAGAUAGAAAGAGAGGAGCCCCAGGUCACUCAUCUGGAACGUGGCCUUCAUGUCUUCCUUGAACGCCGCCACCUCUGCAUCUUUGGUGCCGGUGAUCACCAGGUCGUCAACGUAGACGCCCACCAGCAGGGCAUUUCCUCCACUCCCCCGUCGGUAGACGGCAGCCUCAUGCGGGCUCUGCUCGAAACCCAUCUUCUUCAGCGUGGAGUCCAGCUUGGCGUUCCACGCCCUGGGUGCCUGCCGCAGGCCAUAGAGAGCCUUGCGCAGGCGGAGCACCUUGCCCUCCUGGCCGGGAAUCGUAAACCCCGGUGGCUGAUGCACGUAGACUUCCUCCUUCAAGUCGCCGUUGAGGAAUGCCGACUUAACGUCCAUGUGGUGGACACGCCAGCCCUCCUGGGCAGCCAGCGCAAGGAGAAGUCGCACGGACUCCAUCCGUGCCACGGGAGCGAAAGCGUCGUCGAAGUCGACUCCUUCCUGCUGCAAGAAGCCUCGAGCCACCAAACGAGCCUUGUGCUUGAUGAUGGCGCCCGCUCCAUCCCUCUUCAGCUUGAACACCCACUUAAGGGUGAUUGCGCGGUGACCUCGAGGGAGAUCAGCAAGCUCCCAUGUGCGGUUUUGCUCGACCGCAUCCAUCUCCAACUUCAUCGCGGCGCGCCAUGCCGCGUCUCUCUCGGCCUCUGCAAAGGACCGUGGUUCGCCGUCUUCACACACGAGCUGUAGCUGCGCCUCCAGGUCACGUGGCACCAGUCCUGGCACCGGCUGGUCGCCGAGCACAUUAUCCAUCGUACGGUACCGCAGCGGUUCGCCUCCAUACCAUGCGUCGACCCGCUCCUCGUCGUGAGUGAGCGGGGAAGCGAACUUCAUCGGGUUGUGCUCUGUGUGAGCUGGUGCUGAUGAAGACGAGCCCGGAGUGGCGACCGUCGGGGCUGGAGUAUGCGGCGUCGUCGGUUGUGGUGUCGUCGGUGUAGCAGGCGCCGGAGUCGAUGUAGUUUUGGGGGCCGGGGUAGACGUGCCCGGUGAAGAGGAGCUGCUUGCUCCCCCAGCUUCCUUGAAGUGAGCGUACUCGACAAUGAAGUCGUCAUACGUCGGCGUCGAGCCGUCGUCCACCGCCUUGUCCCAUUGCCACCCUCGCCCUUCGUUGAACACGACGUCUCGCGCUGUGCGCACACGUUGUGUCUUUGGGUCGAGGAUGCGGUAGGCCUUUGAGCCCUCCGCGUAGCCGAUGAAGACUCCCGGAGUGCUCCUGUCGUCGAGCUUGCCGAUGUGGCCGAGCUCCUUGGCGAACGCAAGGCAGCCAAAGACCCGCAAAUGAGAGACCGCCGGCUUCCGCCCAUGCCAGGCCUCGUACGGAGUUCUGCCGUCGAGUGCCUUAGUAGGAGAGCGGUUGAGGAUGUAGACGGCCGUUAGCACCGCCUCUCCCCAGAAGACAGCCGGCAUCCCUCUCUGCUUGAGGAGAGCCCGAGCCAUCCCCACAACCGUCUGGUUGCGCCGCUCGACGACGCCGUUUUGCUGUGGGCUGUACGGCGCGGAGUAGUGGCGCUGGAUGCCCUCAUCGGCGCAAUACGACGCGAAUUCGGCCGCCGUGAACUCGCCGCCGUUGUCAGUGCGCAACACGCGCAAUUUGCGGCCGCUCUCCGCCUCCACACCAACCUGCGCGCGCCUGAUGGCGUCCGCCGCUUCUCCCUUACUGCCGAGGAUCAUCACCCACAUGUAGCGGGAGAGAUCGUCGACGAGCAGCAGGAAGUAGCGUCGACCUCCUGGUGUGGCUGGCGUCACCGGGCCGCACAGGUCUCCGUGCACGAGCUCCAGCUUCUCCUUAGCCCGAAAACUCGCCUGUUGGGGAAAGGGGAGUCGUCUCUGCUUUGUCAGUACGCAGAUGUCGCAGAACUGCUCCACAUGGUCGAGGCAUGGCAGGCCUCGCACCAUCUCCUUGGCACUUAGACGCUUCAGGGCCUCAAAGUGAAGGUGCCCAAAGCGCUCAUGCCACUGCCACGCCUCGUCGUCUCGACGGACAGCGAGACAGACCGGCUGUGCCACCUGCACAUCAAGGACGUAGAGUCGAUUUUCACCUCUGGGCACCUUGGCGAGAAGGCGACGCUGGCGAUCCCAGAUGCGUAGGACCCCAUGCUCAAUCAGCACGCGUGAGCCGUUCUCAUCCAGCUGUCCCAAGCUGAUGAUGGAAUUCCUUAGCGCGGGGAUGUAGUAGACACCGGUGAGCAGCCGGUGCUCUCCCAUCUUGGUGGUGAAGAUGACGGAGCCGACGCCCUUUAUCUCCACAGCGGAGGCAUCCCCGAACUUGACGGAGCCUCGCGCAUCGGAGUCGAGCUCGGCGAAGAAUUCCCUUCGACCGGUCAUGUGGUGGGUGGCGCCGGUGUCGAGGCACCACCCCGUAGCCUUGUCCUUCCCGAAGCCAUCGCCGAGAAGAGCAUGUGCUUUUGGCUCAUCGAGGUGGAUGAAAGCCUUUGCGACUGGAGUCGCCGAGGGUAGCUCAAUGCUUGCAUGCGCCAUGAACAGAGCCGUCUCCUCCUCCUUCGCCUGUGCGACGUGAGCCUGGCCUUGUCGUGGUUGCCGACACUCAUUGGCCCAAUGGCCAAACCGGCCACAGUUGUGGCAACUGUUGCCUUGUGCCGGCCUGGGCUUGCCAGCGGCGCCGUCCUUGGCGCCUCCGCGGGCGUCACCUUCGGCACGUCCUUGUGCCCUGCCCGGGGGGCCUCUUCGCGCCUUACGCUGCUUGCCACGCUUGCGGCCGCCCGUCGAGGAGGAAGGCUCCCCCUUCUUCUUGUCACCAAGGCUGGGAUCCCACUGCUCCCGAGUUAGGAGCAGCUUCCCGCCGGUGGUGACGGGCCCCGAGGGGGGCUGUGGCUCGUCGGUGUCGACGACCUUGAGUCGACCUAUCGCCUCCUCGAUCGUCAUCGUGGAGAGGUCCAGCAACGACUCGAUCGAGCGAGCCAUCUGCUUGUACUUCUCGGGAAUGCACCAAAAAAGCUUCUCGACAGCUCUCUCCUCGGUGUAGGUGGCAUCGCCAAACUUCACCAUCUUCUGCAGCAGAGUGUUGAGACGGAGAGCAAAGUCAUCAACGUCCUCACCUGGCUUGAAGCCCAGGUUCUCCCACUCCUUACGAAGUGCCUGCAGGGUGGACUUGCGAGCACGGUCGCUGCCGAUGCGUGCUGCGGCGAUGGCGUCCCAAGCCUCCUUGGCAGUCCGCUUGUUGGAAAGCGAGAACUGCAUCUCGGGCGGGACUGCGGCGAUGAGGGCGUCCAGUGCCCGUCGAUCCUCUAGGUGGUCGACGUUGCUGUCCUGGACUGCCUCCCACAUGCGCCGCACCUGGAGCCUGACCUUCAUGAUCCCGGCCCACUCGACGUAGUUGGUUUUAGUGAGGGUAGGCCACCCAACACUGGCACCAACAUCCCUGACCACAGUCCGGACCUCGUAGAGGCCGCGGUCCUGGUCGUUGCAGCCGCCGUCGCGGUGGGCGCCUCCACCUGGAGCGCGGGCGUGCUCGGCUGCCCACUGCGCCGUCCGCUCCUGCGCCACUUUGGCGCGAUCUGCGUCGGCGCCGUCGUCCGCAGGCGCGGAGCUGCUGGAGCUGCCGGGGCUGCCGCGGAGUGCCUUGGCAUCCGCCGUAGCCUCACGGGCUGCUUCUGCUGCUGCUGCUGCUUCUACCUCCGCCCUGGCUGCUUCUACCUCCGCUCUGGCUGCUGCCAGCUCCGCUGCAGCCAGCCUCGACACCCUUGCCGCCGCAGCAGCCGCUGCUACAGCCGCUCGCUCACGCUCCUCUGCCACGGCGCGCUCGGCCUCUUGCCGGCGCCGCAUGCUCGAGGUAGCCGUGUGCUGAGAGCGACCUGCAGACAUGGCUCGCUGCAGGGGGGCUGUUGCGUGAAGAGGAGGCUGAGGAAGACGAGCUGCUGCUCGACAGUCCGGAGGGAGGAAGGUAACCAGAGGCAGACGGAGCAGCUGCUGCUACCGACUUGGGCUGCUCACAGGAAAUGCUCAGGGUGCAGGUUAACGAGGCUCUGAUACCACUUGUUAGACCUUUCAGCCUGAGCAUUGAUAGUUGUGGAUGACACUAGGAGAGUUGGGACAAUUUUCGUUGGUUUAUUUCUCACACAAUGCCAUACCAACCUGAGGGGUUGGGGAUACAUAUUUAUAGGCUGCUAGCCAGCCAAGGCAUAUGCUAAGAUGCUGCUAAGAUGCCAGUCUAAGAUGCUAGUCUAAGAUGCUAGUCUAAGAUGCUAACUGACAGUCCUUGAUGGUCAAGAACAGAACUCUAUCCUAACAGCCAGUCCUUGAUGGUCCAGGACUUUAUCCUCCUAACUGCCACAAGGACCAUGUGCUGCAGCCCCACAAGGACCCUAGUACACAGACUUAUCCAUCAGAUCUUGUGCUUUAUGCCAUGUGUCAUCGCCAUCGAAGUAUCCUAAGUUGCCACCUUUGUUGGCGUGAAACCACAUUGAUGCCAACCAAGGGCGGCAAGAGAGCCUUCACCACCCCUCGAGCAUCGUUGGCCGCGCAGGAUUCCCCUGGGGGCGGCAUGGGAGGAAUCAGAAACAAGGAGGCAUUAGUAGGAUGAAUGAGCACCACCCUUGUUGCCCCUAUGGUGACGUGUAGAGUUGAUGCCCUACAACACCGAAGUACCAGGUUGGUUUCCGAAGCCACCGAUUCAACUUCAUCUCAACACACACCUGGUGCCCAAACCCGUUUCGCCGAAGCACAACUUGACUAGGUUUUUGCCUCCUAAGGCGACAACUCCAAGGAGGAAGCAACAAGAAACGUUACGACCACCUAUUCGAGUAAGGGACGUAAACUUAGAUCCUUGCAUGGAGGAUCCAUAAAACGUUGCUGGCUGGAGAUGAGAUGGAGCAUGACGCGUGCAAGGAGGGGAACGAUGACUGUGGGCACUGUCAUCAUCCCUGCAACCAAAGUGGAGCUGAUUUUCACCUCGGGCUCUUCUGUUCCCACAACCGCCGCCUACCAAGUGACAUGCGACACAACACUUCAUUGUUGCCACGCAUCUGCCACUUCCCACACAUCACCACUUGGUGCCCUACCUCCCACACCCACAUGACCAGCGAUCGACACUUCAACCUCCGCUUUCCCCUCCCUUCUCUUCUCUUUCGCUGCCCCUUUCCUGGGAGAUGUCCAAGGCUGCCCGACCCGAUCGAAUGGCUCGUCCGACGGUGAUGCCAGCCGUUGAUGGCUGCGGACGUGCUCAGGCCUUCCAUUUUCAUAUCAGAGUAGUAGUUGUCCUAGUAAGUCUUGGCGUUAUGUUGUGGUUUGGUGUUAUGCCAGAUGCAUGCCUUGCUCUGUUGCCGACGAGUAUCGUACGGAGGUUGCCUUCCUCCUCCUCUAGAUGACUUCCAUGGUGGAUGAUGGUGGCGGGGGGUGGAUUUUACGGAAGCAUCAUCAAUAAGUUUGGGAUAGCCCUUGUUCGGCCAGAUCUGGAACCAUCUGUUCUUCACCGGCAUGGUGCCGAGCGGACAAGAAGAGGUGGAUCCAGCUGGUUCCUUUGCCAUGCAUUGAUCUCGGCCACCGCCACAGAAGGUGCGGAUCAACAAAGGUAUUGCUUUUGGUGUGCCAUCUUCAACUUCCAAGUGAGGCCCUUAUAACCUUGCUCGUCAUUGGCAAGGUUUUUGUCAAAGACGGUGAACAUGAAGUCUCCGAUGUGGUUGCUACAUGCGAUAUGACUCAAUUGUGUUCCAUUUGUAUGGUUUGUGGUCCUAUUUGCAAUAAGGGAGUGUUGUAUUGAAUUUUAUAUGAAAUGACAGCUUCAGGGGCCUUUGAGUCCCAACCCCUGUUUAGGAAAAGCAAGCCAAGGCAGGGGCCUAGCCAGAUCUGGAGCGAUACUCAAGAACAGAGCCACAUGAUGCAAUACUGCCGCUGCUACCUGUCGACUUGGACGACGCAUUGUUUUUGUCAAACCAUGUCGAAACACUUGUUUUCAGAUUCAUGUUUUGUGAGGAUUUUUUCUCUCACAUUGUUAAUUCCUUUCACAUCAGGGACCUAUUCGGUUCACAGGAAUAGAAAACAUAGGAAUGGAGAAAAUCACAGGAAUGAAAUAGGAAUUGAGGUGCAAACCAGAGGAUUCAAAAACAGAGGAAAACCAAUGUAACACACGUUCGGCAUAGCAUAGAAAAAACGGAGGAUAACUUUCAUCGCCUGACGCUAGAGAAACAACUUUAUCAAUACUUUAUUUUGUUGCAUCGCUGUUCUCUCACGCGAAGCACCUAGUUGCUGCGUAGUUUAUUUGGAAAGUGAUAGGUUUGCCUCGGGUACGCGACAAAUGAGGUUCGACUGGAUUUUCUUUUUCCUGAGGAAUCAUGAGGUUUAAUCAGCGUUUUGGAGGAAACUGGAGCAACGAUUCCUUCGAUCCGAACGACUAGUUUGCUGAAAUUCCUCUGGAACACAUAAUCCUGUAGAUUUCCCAUGAAAAAUCCUUUGAACCGAACAAGGCCUAGAUAAAGAUAUUGAUAAAUCCAAUGUAUUCACAAUCAUUUCUUUUGGGAAAUUUUCAUUUGAAAUUGUUUGGUUGGUGUAUUGACCAAUUUAUUAGCAUGUUGGCUGUGACAAACAACUGCAUCCCAAUUUGUUUUGGCAAUAUUCUUAUUUCGUUUUGUUGAGACUUCAUGAUCACAUUCGUGGUUUUGUAGAUCCGUACUUAUUACUGUGUUUAGCAGAUUUUACCGCCUGAUUGCACUGAUUUUUUGGUUGAGUUACUUAAAAUGUGGUUCAUCUUGAGAGUUGAGUAGUACUUUGGAAAAGUUGAGGAAUCUAGAGUUUUAGAAACAAUAUUUAAUCCCGAACUUACAUUUUGCUUGAGAUUAAUCUUGCUACUCAUUACUAAAUGUGGUUCAUGUUCAGAGUUGAGUGUGUUGUCAAAAAGUCUAUGUCUACAAUUUUACGAGCAAUAUUUAAUCAUGAACAAUAUUAGGUGAUUUAGUUAGUGUUUGUGAGGAAAAUAUCAGUGCUGAUUCCACCAUUUUGUUGCUGAUAUACGUUUAGUAUAUAAUACAGUGUACACUUAAUGUGGUAUUUAAAUGUUAAUAAUCAUUAGCAGCGCUAUACUGUCCCAUGUCCAUUCGUCCUUCCCAUUGACGUGACCUGUACAUGAUGCCUACAGUGCUUGUUUAUGGACCUGUUGUGCUAAUGGUGGGUCAAUGAACUGUACAAAUUACAAAAUGCAUGUCCAUUUAGUAUAUAUUGUACUGAUGUUAAUAUGGUCUCAAUGUGACAGAGCAGCUGACAACAGAGCUACCUGUCGGCUAGCUCUCAUGUAAACUAGGAAAAGUGGUUUGGAUGCACCUAAUUCAUUGUUAGUUAAAUGACUAAUUAUAUUUCCUACAAUUGCAGGUAUUUAGGAAUAUGACUACUGAUUUGGUGGAGCAAUAUCCUGCAUUGGUCGAACCAGCAAAACUAAUCCUGAAGAAGUGCAAUGGACUUCCCCUUGCCAUAGUCACCAUAGGUGGUUUCUUGGCUGAUCAACCAACAAAAACUGCUGCAGAGUGGAGGAAACUGAAUGAGCAUAUCAAUGUUGAGCUGGAGAUGAAUCCAAAGUUUGAAGUCAUAAAAACAGUCCUCAUGAAAAGUUACGAUGGCCUACCCUAUUAUCUCAAGCCUUGUUUCUUGUACAUGUCCAUCUUCCCUGAAGACCGCAAUGUUAGUCGGAGGCGUUUGGCUUACCAAUGGGUUGCUGAAGGUUAUGCGCGAGACAAGUCCACAGCAGAUAGAUACUUCAUGGAACUCAGAGAGAGAAGCAUGAUAUUACCAACUCAGUAAUCAGUUUGCAGCAGACAAGGAUUCGACUCUUGCCAGCUACACGAUCUGAUUCGUGAUAUCAGCAUUGCAGAGUCUUUGGAGGAAAAUCUUGUUUUCAGGUUGGAGGAAGGCUGCAGCUUGAACACCCAUGGCGCAAUGCGUCACCUUGCCAUAAGCAGCAACUGGGAGGGUGAUGAGUGUGAGUUGGAGAGCACCGUGGAGCUGUCCCGUAUACGGUCAUUGACAGUGUUUGGCAAGUGGAAGCCAUUUUACAUCUCUGAAAAGAUGAGGUUUCUCCGGGUGCUGGACCUGGAAGGAACAGAAGGGUUAAGAAAUCAUCAGCUUGAGCACAUUGGGGAGCUCCUUCAUCUGAGAUACCUCUCUCUGCGUGGGUGUGGGUACAUCCGUUCCCUCCCAGAUUCGGUGGGUAAUCUGAGACAACUUGAGACACUAGAUAUCAAAGAGACGAGUAUAACUAUGUUACCCAGAACCAUCAUCAAGCUUAGGAAGCUAUGUUGUCUCCAUGCUGGUAGAGGUCCAGGGGGUAUUGAGGACAAUUGUUUCUCAAAGAGUAAAUACAUCUGUGAAAUACAACUUAGAUUAUGUGUAGCAUGCUGCUCACUGGAUCUUCCAAAAAUGGAGGGUUUUGGCAGGCGCGAGGGUUGCCAUAUUGCUUGCUGCUUCGUUUACCCUAAUAUCAUUAGGGGCAUAGAUGGUUCUGGCGUUAAGUUGCCAAGAGGGACUAGGAAACUGAAGGCCCUGUGUACACUGCGGUAUGUUCACCUUGCUUGGGGAAAUGCCAUUAUAAAAGAGAUAAAAGGUCUCACUGGCCUGGAGAAGCUAGGAGUGGUCGGUAUCAACAAGAAAAAUGGUCCAGGUUUCUGUUCGGCCAUUUCCAGCCUCAGCCAUCUUGAAUCAUUGUCAGUGCUGUCAGCGGAUAGCCUAAAUGGCUGUUUGGAUGGCAUGUCCACAUCUUUGGUAAACCUGCAGAGCCUCAAGCUAUCCGGCAGCCUAGAAAAAUUGCCGGGGUGGAUCAAGGGGCUCCAGAAUCUCGUGAAGCUCAAGUUAGAACUCAGCGAGCUAUCAGGGAACCUCGAAACCAUGCAAGUCCUUGGGAACCUACCAAACCUAUCCAUUCUGGGUUUGUGGGAAGAAGGGUUUGAGAUUGAUGUGUUCCAGUUCCAGACUGGCCUUUUCAAAAGGCUCACGGUGCUUGACCUUUUCUACUCAAAUAUGAAAAUUGAAUUAGUGGAGUUCCAGAAAGACUCAGUGCCCAAUCUUGAGAUGCUGACCCUUAGCCUUGGAAGUACCCAAAUUGCCUUCUCUGGGCUAGAACUUCUCGAAAGCAUAAAGGAAGUAUGGCUUAGUUUUCAUCAUCCCUGGGUUGGUACACCCAAAUCAUCAAAAAAUGGGGAAAAUGAAAAAAUGAGUAAACAAUUGUAUGAAGAGGUGAAAGAAGAAGAAAAGAGAAACAAACCCGGGCAAGAUAAAUUCAGGGAGGAGUUGCAGAUGCAGCUUGAUAGGAAUGAGAAUCAACCCGUCUUGAAGAUGCAAUGAGCUCAGAAACCCGGGGCAACUUCUCUCCUGAAUAUGCUGACUGAGUGGCUGCCAUGCCAUGCCAUGCCAUUCCAUUGGAAAAUCUAUCUUUUACCUACCCUCUUUGUUUUAUCAUUUGCAUUCCUUGUUAGUAUGUUGUAAUAAUGGGCUGAAAUAAAGCCCACCCGUCAAGUACAUUGUUGUUCUGCAGCUGUUAGAGGUGGUAUUUCUCUUUUCUGCUUUGGUAUCUCUUUGAGUUGCUGAAGAAUGGAUGGCCACUGCAAUAUAUAUGAUGCUCUGUAUCUGUAUCCUCUGGCGGUGUGUGUGCACCAUGGCUGGGCAGCUUAAUAAGGGUGUGGUGAUAUAUUACACAAUUGUAAACUGUUUGGAUUAGAUGCAGAAAAUUCGUCAGUACUCUAUACUAUGUUGCAUCUAUGCUGCGCCUGUAAUCCUUUUCUUUUGCCCUUGGUGAUGAUUCCAUGUCUGCUUCGGGGCUCUGUUUUGAUUUGGUGAAGAAUGAGUCGGCCCUGCAAUGUAAGAUGCUUUGCUAGCCUUUGUAUCUACUAUAUAUCUGUAUGUGCACGCCAUCGUUGGGCGGCAGUGAUAUCUUUGGUAAUUGUAUAAACUACGUAUAGUACGUAUUUAGAUUAGAUGCAGAAACCUUGUCAGUAAUUUGCACCGAUCGUACUCCCUCCCUCCGGAAAUACUUGUCAUCAAAAUGAAUAAAAGAGAAUGUACCUAGAUGUAUUUUAGUUCUAGAUACAUUCAUUUUUGUCUAUUUUGAUGACAAGUAUUUUCGGACGGAGGGAGUAUGUAAUUGCUUGUUUGCAAUCCUAUUCUUCUGUCCUCCUUGGUGAUCAUGUGGGUCGCUCGGCUCUGUCCCUUUCAUCUGUCAGCAGAAUGGAAUAAAUGAUGUAACCACAUAUAAUAAUCUAUCUUACUCAUCUACAGCUUACAAAUGAAGGAAGGGUACUAGUACUCACUACUCAGGCAGCAUUUUUUUUUGACUUGACUACUCAGGCAGAUUGUUUUUUUUUUUUUUUGAGGUGUGACUAUUCAGGCAGAUAAACUGCUUCAGAUGGCGAGACGGACGCCCGCCUCACCUCAAGAGAGACUCUGGUGGACCGGCCCAGUAAUAGUUCUUUCUUUACGCUCGUUUCUUUGACUCGUUUGUUUUUCUAUUCCUUUUGUUUUCUUACAUGUAUUUAUAUUUUUUUAUCUAAAUUGUAUACAUACAUUUUCAAAAAAGUUCAGUAUGCAUUUAAAACUGUAACAGAGUAUAAAUUUUUGUUUGUGCAUUUUUUUGUACCAUUCAAAAAAAAUAUUCUUGACAUUUCCAAAAUGUUUGCAUGUUGAAAAUUUUAAAUUUUGUUCAUCACAUUUGACAAAAUGUUCACCGGCAUUAAAAAAAUGCUCAUGUAGAGUAGAAAUAUCUGUUCGCCCCAUUUUCAAAAAUAUUGGUACCCAUUGGAAAAUAUUCACAACAUCUAAAAAUGUUCACAUGUUUAAAAAUUUGUUCAUGAAAUUUUAAAAAAUUCAUAUAAAUCUAAAAAUUUGCUCACAUUGUUUGAAAAAAAUAUUGCAGCACUCAAAAUUGUUCGUAAAAAAAUAUUCACGCUUUUAAAAAUAAUUCUUGUGAUAUUUUAAGAAACAGUUUUUUAAAACACAAAAAGUUGUUCAAGAAAUUUUAUAAACAGUUCAAGAUGUGUUUAAAAAAUGUUUGUCGUAUAUCUUACAAAUGUUCAACAUGUAUUGAAUAAAAAAUUUAAGUAUAUCUACAAAAUUUUCAACCUAUAUAUGAAAAAUGUUUAGCGCGUAUUAAAAGAGUCAACACGAAUUUUGCAAAUAAAAACAAAAUAACAAAGGAAACCAAACAUACAAAAAACCAUAAAAAAUUGAUUAAGAAAAACAGAAAAAAGCAAGGAGCAACUAAUCAGGGGUUACCCAUUGGAGGGUACCCGAAGCGUUAACUUUCUUAGGCCCGGGAGUGUGCCAAGUGGUGCAUCCAGCCGCCGCCACAUGUUGUUGCACUAGGUGGACAGUGGGGAUUUCGGUUUUUUUCUCUACAAGCGUUUUUGGGUUUGCUUUGAAUACAUAUUUCUGGUUUUUUGGCUUUUUCUUGGCUCUACAUUUUACAUAUUUUUAGAGCUCAUUUGUUGCAUGUUCUCUACAUAUAUCAUCUCACGCUGAACCUAAUAUGUGUCCAUCAUGCAUGAUUUCUGGUUUUUACUCUUUUCACUAGGAGCACUGCAUGUUAGUGUUAUUAUUUUUUUCUUUUACCAGUUUCCUUUGUUCUCUCAUAUCUAUUAGUGUUUUGGAGCAACCUAGGACCGAACACAAUGAAAGGGACAAGGUUGGUCCUAGGUUGGAUUCAUCACGGAGGACUUUGACACAGAAUUUAGAUGUUUUCAAAGUUCCCCAAAUCAAGAUUGAAUACCACGGGUGCGUAGAGGCGCCGCUCUCAUGGUUCCAAUGGCCCCACCUCGGGCGUUUCAGAGAGAGAUGGGGCUCAGAUGGGUAGGGUUUGUGGUGUGUCCGACCGACUUUAAAUAGCAAGCCCCGAGUUGGCUUCUCAUCCACCGCAUCGGCUUGAAUGCCGGGCAGGAGGUAACCGGUAUGAUUGCGGUAGAAAUCCGUCAUGUCGCCCCGUCCACUCUGAUUCACGCAUGAAGAGCGAGCGGACGCGGCGAGAGAGAGAGGAGGAAGAGUUUUUUGGAUGGUCCAAAACCCGCAAACCUUCCUCAACUUUGAUUUUGAUUUGUGAGAUUUUGAACAUCCAAACAUGUCCGGACAGAUUUGAUGACCGAUAUUGGAUGGCAAAAAAUGUUCGAACAAUCUGAUCCAGACAUUUGGGGGCGCUUUGAUGAACUGCGUCGGAGUAGAGUGUUGUAUACCUGUUUGUGACCACGUUGCACAUAAACAAGUAUAGGCCUUCUUAAAACGAAUACCAAGAAACCACAAUAGUUUGAUUGUAAAAUUUGGAUGACCACAAUUUUCCGGUGCAAUGCAAUUGGAGUGAAUAGCAUAAAACUACCGCAAUUCGCGUUAGGGUUCCAAAAAACUACCAACAAUUUGUUUGUGAUUAAUAACUACCAGAGUCGGCGUCGGCUGUCUCAAAAACCCAAAACCUCCGUUGCUAAGAAAUUAAACCGAUUUAUGACAGGUCGGACCCGCACCUAAACGAACCGUAUGUUUGACCGUUAACUGACAUGUGAGGCCCACAUGUCAAUUAUCUCUUAUUCUCCUUCUUUUCCUCCUCUCCUCCUUAUCUCUGUCUCUCUCCGCACGAGCCUGGCGGAUAUGCACACCGGCCACCCCUCCUCCUCCCUCUCCCCCUCUCCGUGAGCUAGCCCUACUUCCCCAGGGCGACCCUGCUCCUCCAUCUCCCCAACUGGCCUGAGUACGUUUUCCAGUAGGGCGGCAGUGAGCCCCUCCAUUACACGCGGCGGUGCCCCUCUGGCCAAGCACGACGGUGCGCCCCUAUGUUAAAACACGACGGCGGCGAGCCCCUCCAUUGCACGCGGCGGCGCCCCUCUGGCCAAGCGCGAUGGUGCCCCCAUAUGUCCGGAACACGACGGCGGUGAGCCCCUCCAUUGAAAGCGGCAGUGCCCCUCUGGCCAAGCGCGACGGUGCGCCCCUAUGUGCGGAACACGACGACGGUGCACCCCUACAUUGCACGCGGCGGCGCCCCUUUGGCCAAGCGCGACGGUGCGCCCCUAUGUCUGGAACACGAUGACGGUGCGCCCCUCUUUGCUGGUCGACAAGGUAAGGAGCAACAACAACGGUGGCCGGCAAGGCAUAGCAUCAAGCGCGGCCGGCAAGGAGCAACAUCGCAGCCUGCAAGGAGCAGCACUGCAGUCGGCAAGCAUCAGAAGGAGUAGCAGGCGCGACCGGCAAGGAAGUCCACCUGGACCGAGCCCGUCGCCUGCCUGGAGGAGCCCCGCCUCUGCACCGAGGCCGGCGCCACCAGCUCGAGCGGGCGCCGCCAUGGAUUGCUUUUACGGUCACAACCACGGUCGGCUUAUACAGGGACUGGAUUGCUUUUUUGAAAAAUGAUGAGGGACCCGAUCGCUUUUUAAAAAUCUUUGCAGGGGUUAUGCUGUAAAAAUAAGGAUACAUUUUUAAAUUUAUAAAAGAACCAGGGGUUGAAAAAAACAUUGCAUGAGAUUUUUUUCUAUGAGUAAGAGACAUUGACAUGUGGGCCUCACAUCUCAGUUAAUGGUCAAACAAACGGUCGAACAGACGGUUCGUUUAGGUGGGGGUGCGGCUUGUCAUAAACCGGUUUAAUUUCUUAGCGACGGGUGUUUUGGGUUUUUUGAGACAGCCGACGCCGAUUCUGGUAGUCAUUAGCACAAACAAAUUUUCGGUAGUUUUUUUGUAACCCUAACAUGAAUUGUGGUAGUUUUAUGCUAUUCACUCAAUGCAAUUGACAUGUUUUUGACCGUUGUGACCCAAAAGUCAGGCCAUGGCGAUUAGAACAACAGCCCCGCAUAAAACGGCAGAUGUGGCCAUGGAUGUGGAAUUGCAUCGGCAUUGAUAUGUAUCACCUGUAGUGAUAACAAGCUCCCACUCAUCGCUCAGGGCAUGUACAAUGAUUGAUAAGGUAGUUUUAUCUUAAAUCUUGCAUGUAAUUUAGAGAUGACAAAAAAACAUAUCUACAAUAGGUCAUCUCUUGGCCUUAUCUUUAAUAACUAGUUAUUUCUAAAAACAUGGUGAGACAUAUUGUGCUAAAAGAUCAUCUCAUGUCUUCUAUUAAUUAAGAGAAGACAAACCUUCUCUUAUAAUUUGUUUCUCCUUUACUUCAUCAUUUAUCCUAUGUGACAUUACUAAGAGAGAACCAUUGUACGUGCCCUCACGCCUCAGAGAGCUCCUAAUUUGCACUCUUUGCGCCAGUUAACGAGCCGACGCUCACGCGCGCCACAGGCUGGGCCAGCCUAACACGUGAGCUCAUCGCACGUUCAAUCGUUGGCUGACAGUUUGACGGUUGACCGGUUGACUCUAGACCUUUAAGAACAAAAUUGUGGAUUCGGAAAAGUUCAUGAUUUACCAAAAAUAUUCAUGAGUUUGAGAUAAUAUUAUGGAUUGAAAAAAAAUUGUGCAGUUGAAAAUUGUUUCCGAUUGAAAAAGUUCAUGCAUUUAAAAAAAAGUUAUCAUAUUUUAAAAUAUUGAAUGUGGCAGGCUGCAUAGGCGGCUGACCUUUUCUAAGAUCAGCCCAGAAGCAUAAAGGUACGCUGGCAAUAGAAAGAAACCAGAUGCAAACUAAGUCAGGCGUGCAGUAAUCAAGCUAAUCUUUGCAUUGCAAGGCCUGGCCGGUGUUUUCGGGCGGCUAGCAUCAUCCGCCAUUACUCGGCACCGAUGACAGCCGACGACCGCCCGUGGGUCCGCCGACGACCAUCACAUCCUAUGCAUGCAUGGGACCGGCAUCGGCGUCAUGAUUUAAUCCUUGGUUGAUCGAUAUGCACAGAUACAAGAUUUUUUCAUAAAUAUUACGCUGGAUAAAAAAAUUUCAAAAAUAAUAUAUCGUCGGCCCGCUGCAGGCCGACCGGGCCUAGUCGGCUCACAGAAGGCCGAUUGGAUUCCAGUCGGCCUACAGCUAGCCGACUGGCCCCUGUCGGCCCACUGUGGGCUGAUUGCGUCCUGUUGGCCCACUGUGGGCCGACUGGAGCUAAUUGGCUCGCUGUGGGCAAAUUGUUUUUGCAAAAAAAGCAAGCAUAAAAAAUAUAUGUUUAAAAAAUGUUAAUCAUGUAAUUAAAAAAUGUUAAACGUGUAUAAAAAAUAUUUCUGAUGUAUACAAAAAAUGUACAAUAUAUAUGCAAAAACGUUGACAUAAAAAUGUGUUUUAAAAUGUGUUAAGCAUGUAUUUAAAAAUUGUUAAAUGUGUGUAUCAAAAAUGUUCCUUAUUUAUACAAAAAAUAUAGAAUGUGUAUGAAAAAAAGUUGACACCAAAAAAAUAUGUUUGAAAAAUAUACCCGUGACUGGACCCGUCAAUUGGCACGUACUAUACCCGUGAAGGUGGCCCGUGGAUUAAUUGGAUGGUUCUCAGUAGUUCCCUGCACCGCACGGCCACAAGCAUAAACGUAUCAUUCUCCUUGGCCACAAAACCUGACGUACCUUGACUGUAACUUUUUUUUGCCAGGCGUAGCGUUACCAAGCGGCUACCAUCACCAGCUGGCCAAGCCCAAGCUGCACUCGGCAUAUGCAGCGACAGGCGACGACCGCACGCGGGUCAUGCACGUCCUAAGUACUGGUGGUAACUUCCCGCAAAAAAUAUAUAAUAAAAAUAGAUAGUGCUAACUUCCACACGUAUUAAAGUUAAGCAAUAGAUCCGCACGAUUCCUUCCUUUUCUAACUUGCAUGCAUGCAUUAGCUUCAUCUUAUUUUCUUUGUUUUUCCUGUGUGUGUCCAUUAUCCAUUAGCAGUUAAUUAGCAGCUACUAAUCAUAUACAUGCAGAAAAAAUAAAAUUGAUGAUGUCAUCAAAGAUUCUUCUCAAUGCGAAAAUUCAAAAUAUUUUGUAGCUCAAACCGUUGGUCCGAUUGAAAAACCGUUUGCACAUAAAAGAUUCGUCGCGACGAGACCUCCGAAACUAGAUCCCGCGUUGAUAUGCUUCGAUGAAUUUUUUUCGGGUCAAAAGUUAUCGGGCCUAGGCUAAAUAAGUUAUCACCUAUGUGUACGCCAGUUACCAUCCUAUUUACAUGGAAAUUACCGGGGCAUAAAAAUGGCUCCACCAACAUUCCCUUCACAUGUAAAUGCAGUAGAGCACAGGAAAUCUGAUCUCAUUGUAAAUUCUCUCUAUUUCGAAAAUGUAAAUAUUUUAUAGCUCAAACUGUCGUUUUUGAUUGAAAAAUCGUUCUCACAUAAAAAAUCCAUUGCGAUGAGUACUUCAAAACUAGAUCUCAUGUUGACAUGUUUUGAUCACUUUUUUGUCAAAAGUUACCAUAAAUUUAUCAGUUAUGUUAUAUGUAUAUUAACACGUUAUUUAUGCAGGAGUUACCGGAGAUGUGUUUUCAACGACUUCUUUCCCCUGGGUCAAAUUUACCAUGGUAUUUAUACCUAACUUAUCAGCUCCGGAUGCAUACAUUACCGUGCUAUUUGCACAGAAGUAACCGGGGUAUGUUUCAAUAACUUUUUAUUCAGAUCUAAAGUUACCGCGUUGUUUAUACCUAAGUUAUUAGGUCUAUGAUGUGUGAGUUAUCAUGCUAUUGACAAAAAAGUUACUGGAGGUAUAUUUCAUCAACAACCCUCCCCCACCCCUCACGACCGUCACCAAACGUUACCAGGACUAGCGCACAUAAGUUAUCAUGUCUGCGAUGUGUGAGUUAUCAUUUUAUUCACACAAAAAGUUACCAAGUGUAUACUUCACCAACCACCCUCCCCCCACCCGGUUAGCAAAUUUACAAAGACUGGUGUACAUUAGUUAUCAGGUCUACAAUGUGUGAGUUACCGUGCUAUUCACAUAAAAGUUACCAGGGGUAUAAUUAAUCACCCCUCUCUCGCGAAAAGUACCAGGACCGGGGUGCAUAAGUUAUUUCAGCCAAAAGUUACCAAGCUAAGUAUGUUACCAGCUUAUGCGUGUAUUGCCAUGUUGUUUACACAGAAGUAAUCACGAUACAUUUUUUGAUAACUUUUUCACAGGAUUAAAAGUUACCAUGGUGUUUGUACUAAGUUAUCAGGUCUGCGGCAUGUAUAUCACCAUGCUAUUUACAUAAAAGUUGCCCGGGAACAUUUUCAACAAAAAAAAACUUGGGGUGAAAGUUACCGCCGUCUUUGUACCUAAGUUAUCAGGUCUAUAGUGUGUAUGUUAUCGUGCCAUUUAUAGGGUAUGUUUUCAUUAAUUUGUUUCUUUGGAUCAAAAGUGGCGGUGUUUGUAUGUAAUUUAUUAGGUCUAUGCUUCGUACAUUACCAUGCUCUUUACACAAAAGUUAGAGGGGUAUGUUUCAACAUUUUUUACCUCGGGUCAAGUUACCGCGAUAUUAGUAACUAAGUUAUCAGGUCAGUGGUUUGUAUGUUACCAUGCUAUUUACACAGAAGUUAUUGGCGGUGUGCAUUGAACAGUACUUUUUCAGGUAAAACUUACCGCAGUGUUUGCACCUAAGUUAUCAGGUAUGCGGUGCUUUUAUUACCAUGAUAUUUAUGCAGAAGUUAUUGAGGUUAUAUUUUUCGACAAAAUUUCCCUUGGUGUCUAAGUUAUCACGGUGUUUGUACCUAAAAUACCAUGUAUGCGGUGCUAUAUUAUCAUGCUACUGUACAGAAGUUAUUAGGGGUGUGUAGUCAACAACUUUUUUUCUUGGUCCAAAGUUACCGCGGUGUUUGUAGCUAAAUUAUCAAGUCUGUGGUGCGUACUCGGUCCAAGUUAUCGUGGUGUUUAUACUUGAGUUAUCAUGUCCGCGAUGCGUAUAUUAUCAUGCUAUUGAUAUAUAAGUUACCAGGGGCGGGGUUGACAACUUUUUUCUUUGGAUCAAAUUUAUCGCGGUGUUGGUACAUAAGUUAUUAUGUCUGCGAUGUAUAUAUUUUCAUGUUAUUUAUACAGAAGUUAAUGGCAUGUGGUCAGCUGUGCGUAUAAAAAGGGUCUGAUUGGGUCAUCUAUUAGGAUGUUGUUAAUUUAGAAUUCCACUUCUCACGUCAUUUUACACUUAUUCGAUUAGCUUGUGUGAUGUUCAAAAAAGAAUAAGCAUUUCCUUUUCUUUUUGAACACAAUGAUAAACAUUCUUCUUUCAACUAGAAAGCAACGAGGCAUACAGGAGGAGUUGGUUAAUGCACAACCUACAGGACCAAGGAUCGAAUCUGUUUCACAGCCCUAUUUUUCUACCCACAUUUUCUCCUCUAACGAUCUUGGACGACUUCACGCAAUAAAAUCAUUCACAAGAAAAAAAAGGGAAAGGAAUAUACGCGCGAAGGAAACCAAUCACGAGAAAAAAAGGGAAGGAAAGUACGUUCGAAGGAAACAAAUCACGAGAAAAAAAAGGGGAGGGAAAGUACGUUCGAAGGAAACAAAUCACGAGAAAAAAGGAAGGGUCGCGCUAACUACCACACGUGUGGCAGGAAGGGAGACGCACCACCCGUCUCUAAUGUAAACAGAUUGCCACGUCAUCGCAUGCAUGCAGGAAUCUUUUUGGAUUUUCAGUUUUUAAAAUGUUUUAUCUCUUAAACGAAAAAUCCGAUUGAAAAUCCGUUUUCACCAUUAAAUCCCUCGCGAUGAGAUCUUCGAAACUAGAUCCCAUGUUGAUAUGUUUUGAUGAAAUUUUUUUGGAUUAAAAGUUGCCAUGUCUAUUGCAUAUGAAUUGCCAUGAUGUUUACACUGAAUUUGCCAUGAUAUGUUUCAGCUAUUUUCUUCUAUAUUUAAAAGUAAAUUUUGACAUUUAUAAAACGGGGAAUUAAGAAACUAGACUUGCCAUGAACCAUAAACUAAAAUUGCCAUGAUACAUGCACGUAAAAUUGCCAUGGUUCAUACAAAAAAUAAUUUUCAUGGUCAAAUUACUGGAGUUGCCAUCAUCAAAAUACUAAAAUUGCCAUGAUCUACAAACUAAAAUUGCCACAUGGCAACUUUAGUUUAAGCCCUAUGGCAACUGCAGUGUAAACAUCGUGGCAACUUCUGGCAAAAAAAAAUUCGUCGAAACAUAUCAACAUGGGGUCUAGUUUUGAAGAUCUCAUUGAGACGGAUUUAAUGGUGAAAAAGGAUUUUUAGUUCGCUUUUUUAUUUAGGAGAUACAACAUUUUUAAGCCGAAAACCAAAAAAAAUUCUGCUGAUGUCAUCUAUUCAUACGUGGCAAAAUGAGUGGUGAUGAAGGCGUGUGGGCGAUGUGCAAACGCCCACACAUGUGAGCGUUAACAUUUCCGAAAAGGAAAAGAACGUACGUGCAUAUCCAGCUGGCAGACCGGUCGUUCGAGCUCCGUGGGAAUUGCCAGCGAAACUAAUCUCGCUUUAAUCGCGUGCCGAUGGAUGCAAAUCGGACGGUGACAAUAUCGUUCGGAUCUGUUACUAAUUUCCGUACGUCUGGAAAUUAGCUUUUACGAAUAAAAAUAAUACUCCCUCCGUUCCUAAAUGUAAGUCCUUUUAGAGAUAUCACUACAAACUGCAUACGGAUGUAUAUGGACAUAUUUUAGAGUGUAGAUUCACUCAUUUUGAUCCGUAUCUAGUCCAUAGUGAAAUCUCUGAAAAUACUUAUAUUUAGGAAUGGAGGGUGUGAUUCCUUGUGGUAACUAACCCGGGGAUGACCGUAGACUACCCUGCAUGGCAUCCUGCUUUUAAUACGCGAUCGAUGCGUACAGAGGUAGCAUACAUACACGCUCAAUAGCAUCGAUCGGUGUAUCCAUCUACUAUCUGUUAUUGACCCUAUAUAUAUGGCCACCAUAACACGAAACCAACCACCAACACCUAGAACAAACUUGCCCGCCGCCGGUGCCACGAUGAGCGCCAUGUGCUUUUUGUUGGCAUGCUUGGCGGCAGCCAUGCGGCCAACGUCGGCCGCCGAGGCUGGAAGGAGUGGGAUCUUGAAUAUCCCUUCCGCCGGCGACCUGGCUCGGGCUCGCUGCCCUUCCAGAUGCGGUGGUGUUGCCAUUCACUAUCCGUUCGGGAUAGGGCCAGGCUGCUUCCGACAAGGCUUCGAGCUCACCUGCAACAUCACCGCAGGUUAUAUGAGGCUCUUUCUGCCCAACACUACCACUGAGAUCCUUGAGUUACCUCCUGGAGAUACUUUGCUUCGGGUCCCUCCUAUCCACUUCAACGUCCCCAUGAAACCAGGUAUGACCGACACCUAUAACAUGUCAUGGGAGGUCCCUGUUAAAGGUGUUAUGAUCUAUGGAGGAGAAUCUAGCUUGUUCGUUGUUGGUUGUGGUGUGAGUGUUUACUUGUUUGGCCAUGAUACCGACGACCCCAUCGGUAGUUGCAUGAGUAUUUGCCUCGACGACAAAGUGGCCAUGAAGGAGGCAAAUGCAAACAACUUCAAUGGCGAUGGUGGGAUGGGAUACUGUUCCAUCCCUUUGCAGCAGGACGUUCCAGCAUUCGGGUUCGUAGUUGACGGCCUCAAAGGCGCAUCUGCACUAGCAGGUCAAGGUCAAGGGCUCUCUAAUAGUAGUAUCAAAGUUUUCUUGGCGGGAGAUUACAAAUUUCAUACGGUUGACAUAUAUUCAAGUAAGAUAGACGAACGAAAUGUUGCAUGGCCAUAUUUUAGCAUGACCAUCACGGAUCAACCCAACUGUGAAAGUGCUCAGAAGGAAAAGUCAAGCUAUGCUUGUAGCACUGACAGUGAUUGCCUGGAUCUGCCAUCUGGAGGCUACUCCUGUUUCUGCCGCCGUUACACAAACAACGACAACCCGUACCUUAGGGAUGGUUGCCAACAACAAGGUCAGCAAUCUACUCUUUAACCAGUAACAUAAAAAUAUUGAACUGCCAUGUCAUGAAUACGGGACUCAUAUAUGCAUCAUUGAAUAUUAUGGUAAUUUGUGAACCAAGAUUGUUAUUUUUCCUCUCCUUUUUUAUGUGUGUCGUCAUUUUUCAUAGAGAAAAAAAACCUUUUUGCAUCCUAGUUAAAAUAGUUCUACAAAAAAGGACACGGUGAUCAUCGUGGCUCCGGCGGCUGGCAAGUUUGUCCUAGGUGUUGGUGGUUGGUUUCGUGUUAUGGUAAUGGUAGAAACCUUUUUGCCGGGUGUAAUUGGUAUCUUCACGAUAUUAAUAUAUUCCAUUUGUCGAAAAAAGACUCUAAAUUACCUAUCAUGGAAGUUCAAAAAUCAGGACGAGCCUUCUGUUCAUAAUCCUUUCACACAUUUGAAUGUACUACUGUCUAUUGAAUAUUUUGUUUGCUAGUGCCACAUGGGGUAACAUAAUUUCUAGUUCUCAUAUUGUCUCUACUAAUGCAGAAUUCUUGACAAGUAGUUAAUAAGACCGAGAAUGAUUUUGGUAGUAUCCACCCAGUUAAUGGGUUUCGUUUUCCAUAAGUACCAUGUUUCUUUAUAAUGUUUUAGAUACCAAUUAAUCUUGGUAUUAUUAAUUAAUAAUAUAUCUCUAGUCUAGACAUGAUGACCAUCAAUUCCCAUGAUCUUAAGGCUGCCCGUAGUGGGUAGUAUCAUAAGUUAGUAUUACGCGCUCUAUAAUGCAUAGUAUCAUAGAUUAGUAUCUUAGACAACCUUAGUAUUGCCAUAUAAAAAACAUACUAGUAUAAUAUUUAUUAUCGUACGGUAUCAUGAUAUGAUACUCAACCCUCUCGUUCUUCAUUAAAUUUCAUGCCACCUCAUCAAAAUUGCCAAGUUGGCAUGCCUGAUACUAGCUAUAAUCCUCCUAUUAUGGGCAGCCUAAUGUAACUUCUCCCUAUGUCAAUCUACUUGCAGCGUACAACAAUUUCAAUCCUAUAGGAGGUUGCACCAGAUUAUGCGGGAGCACACAUAUUCACUUCCCUUUUGGGCUUGAAAAAGGUUGCUACGCCGCUGAACAGUUCAGACUUAUCUGUACAUUGGAAAACAUCACAAUUCUUUACAGAGGGGGCAACAAAUUUAAUCAAGGGGCCAAAUUCAUUGUGGCCAACAUUUCAGUGAAUGAAGGAUAUCUUAGUCUUAGAGGAGCACAAAAUAACUCAAUGUACGUUAAUGAAAGGCUUGCAGUAAUAGAUAAAAGCGACAUGGGUUUGGAAUUAGAAGACACCUCUUCAAAGGGUUAUUAUUUUUCUGAAGAAUACGAUAUGAGGAUGUGGUGGUCUGUCGAUAAUUUAACAUGUACGGUUGCUAUGAGCAAGGAAAGAAGUGCUAUGUAUGCAUGCCGUAGCGGCAAUAGCACUUGCGUUAUUGUCAAACAACAAGACUACAAGGAUGUGGCAAUGCAACUCGGCUAUCGUUGCCAGUGCUCUCAAGGUUUUGAUGGAAAUCCAUACACACUGGAUGGCUGCAAAGGUAAAUACACCAGAACUGUUAGUAUAAAUUGCCUUCCAACUUCAUACAUGAUUUUCCCUGUACAUGAAAUGAUUGACCGAAACAUUGACAAUGAUACAUCUAGCAUGAUUCAUGUGAUGCAAUUUCUUGGUCAUCUUGAUUGAAAGAGUUUAUUCCUUUUUAGUGGAUUUAGGCUAACUACAUGGAGUAUAGCUAUACUACUAGUCACCAAGCAAGAUAUGAAAAACACGCUACUCAUGUCAUACAACUCCCUCAACAUGGCCCGGUUUACACACACACACACACACACACACACACACACACACACACGCGCGCGCGCGCGCGCGCGCACGCAACACACACACACAGCGCGCGCGCGAUUUUAGCGAAUUCAUGAAAAUGAUAAAAUAGGCUUGAUCCUUGCUUGAGCUAACAUUGAAUAUCGUCAUGUUGUAUACAUUAAUCUUAUACACCAUUUUUCACACUUUUAGAAUGUGCGUACAUAAACUUCCAGAACUGUUCUUAACAUAUAUUGCAUCAAACAUAUUUGUGUAAUGUUAGUCUUCUAUAUAUUUUGGUUCUUUACUAACAUGUACGUAGAAAUAACCAACUGUAUAUUUUGGAGAUCACGUUACUCUAUAGAGGUGGUUUCAAAGUCUCUAGGAUGAGUACUAGGCCAAGGGUUAUCUAGCUUUGGUUUCACAAUUACUACCAAUUAUUUUGAGCCAUCAUUUGUUUCUCACAUACCUACUAUUUACAGAUGUCAAUGAGUGUUUGCAAAUGGAUAUUUGCAACGGCACAUGCCGAAAUUAUCCUGGAGGCUAUAGUUGUUGCACUCGUGGAGAAGAGUUUGAUCCGGUAGAAAAGAGAUGUUUCAGGUUAACAAAGAGACACAAUAUUAUCUUAGGUAAAUCAUACCAAAUUUACUCACCUCAUGAGAGAUUGCAACUUGCAAAGCGAAUUUUUCAAUAAUAACUAAUAUUGGAUGUAUAGGUAUCACAAUUGGAAUUAGUUGUGGCCUUGGCGCCAUAAUUCUUGUGCUAGGUGCAAUAGUACUCAUCCGCAAGUGGAAGAGAGGCAUAGAAAAGAGAAUUCGAAGGGCAUACUUCAAGAAAAAUCAAGGCUUACUCUUCGAACAACUAAUAGCAGAUGAAAGUGCCGCAGAUAAAACAAAGAUAUUCUCAUUGGAGGAAUUAGAUAAAGCAACAAACCACUUUGACGCCAACCGUAUUCUUGGUCGUGGAGGACAUGGAACAGUUUACAAAGGGAUUCUAUCCGAUCAACGUAUAGUGGCCAUAAAAAAGUCUAAGCUAGUGGAGCAAACUGAGAUUGACCAGUUUAUCAAUGAGGUUGCCAUCCUAUCACAAAUCAUUCAUCGGAAUGUGGUCAAGCUUUUCGGUUGUUGUCUCGAAACAGAGGUUCCUUUGUUAGUUUACGAGUUCAUAUCCAAUGGAACACUGUAUGAUCUUCUCCACAUCGAUGUAAGUGUUAAAUGCUUGCUUAUAUGGGAUGAUCGCAUUAGGAUUGCAGUAGAAGCCGCAGGUGCCCUUUCUUAUCUCCACUCAGCUGCUGCAAUACCAAUUUUCCAUAGAGAUGUCAAAUCUUCAAAUAUACUCCUAGAUGACAACUUUACUACCAAGAUUUCUGACUUUGGUGCUUCAAGAUCUUUAUCACUUGAUCAGACACAUGUAGUGACAACUGUACAAGGCACUUUUGGUUACUUAGACCCUGAGUACUACCACACUGGCCAGCUGAAUGCGAAGAGUGAUGUUUAUAGCUUUGGAGUUAUACUAGUGGAGCUUGUGAUAAGAAAGAAGCCAAUUUUUAUUAAUGACCAAGGUAUAAAACAAAGCUUAGCUCAAUACUUUGUUGAAGGACUUCAGCAGGGAGUUCUCAUGGAAAUCAUGGAUCCCCAAGUUCUAAUAGAAGCGAACCAGAAUGAAAUUGAGGGUAUUGCUUCAAUCGCAGAAGCAUGCUUGAAAACUAAAGGAGGAGAAAGACCUACCAUGAAGGAGGUAGAAAUGAAGUUGCAAUUCCUUAGAAGUAGUAGAAGGCUAAGGAGUCAACUUCCCUUCAGAUAUGAUGGAGAGAUCGAGCCAUUUUGGUGCCCAAAUACUAGUAGCUCUCAUGCACAGAGCAACAACAUUACCAGUAUCAUUGGUUUAACACCUACAUGCAUCUCCAGUAAGUAUAGUUUGGAGCAAGAGUUUCUGAACUCGGCCAGCUUGCCACGCUAGCGAAGCAAGUGGUAGGAUGAGCAUCAGCUUGAUAUGCAUCUGAGAUGCAUUUUGUGGCAUAUAAAAAAACAAUGUAAUGUAUGUAUUUCCCUUUAGUGGGAGUAUGCCAUGUAAAUUCCCGCAUUAUGUUUGUAGCUUAUCUCAUGUGUGUAAUUUCAAUUUAGAUGACAACUCAUUGAUGUUAAGCUAUGGUGGUGAAUAAGGGUAUAUUGCUGCUUUGCAUAAUUAUAAUACACAUUUAUCACCACCUAUUAACAGUGGCUUAAGUAUUCUCGCCACAUUAGGUGGUUGGAGAUUGGGACUCUCGCUUGGACCCUCUGGACGAUCCGCAGUAGGCUUGCGAUUCAGCGCAUUCUGCUUCGACAUGCUACUGAUGCCUUCUUCAAACUGUCUGGUUACUUGCAACUUUGAUGGCCGCUUAGCCGCCCACAGGACCGGGACGCCAUCUCUGCCUUCAUCGCAGACGUCCGCUCGAUGCCUAUCCGUUUGGCGCCGCCGCUUCCUCCGCCACCUCCCGAGCCGGAUUAGGGGUCGAGAGUGAUCUCCGACCUUUUUUGUUUUUUCUUUGGGCUUGUUGAGUUGUGCCCUCAGCAGAACCUCUUGUACUUCUUGUUGUGAUACUUGUGUGUGUGGUGUGAACCUUUCCGUGUACUGGUUGCUAGUGGCGAUUUGCUUUAUCUAUAAAACGGAACGAAAGUCUUUUUUGGUAAAAAAAGAUUUAUAUGACUGCUUGCAUGAUAUGCUUUGGCCUCCGGGAAAACUGCAGACCCUCAAACUGCUUGGCCGCCUAAAGUUUUUGCCAGAAUGGAUCAACGGGCUCGAGAAUCUCGUGAAGCUCAAUCUAGAAUUGAUCGGGCUACUUGGAGAUAGUGAAACCAUGCAAGUCAUUGGGAACGGAAAGUUGUAUACUAGCUCGAAGCUCGAGCUCCACGACACCUUGUAUCAUGGUCGUCUAUUGCUGUUGAGAUUUUUGCAGCAGGAAGCACACCGAGCCCAGUCCUCUGACAGUGUCAGGGUUAUUAACAGAGGUGGACAUAGCCAGAUUCACGGUAAUGCGAGGUAGUUUAGGUACUGCAGCCUAGUCUACAUGGGUCCAGUUUUUUUGGCAGCUUCCGUCCGUGUUCACGUGGCCCGGACCUGUGGCGUUCAGCGGCUUAUACUACUCUGGACUGCUUUUAAAGAGUGUGCUGUAGCAUCUGAUGUGAGUGGAAAGAAAAUCGAUUGAGCCUGUGGGUCUAAUGAAGAAAGUAAGAUAUUUAAGGUUUUUUUUCCCUCAAAAUCUCUGCACAGUCGGUUAAUUUAUGAUAAGAGAAAUCAAGGCGCAGCCUACAAUUACAAUUUGUAUUUACUAAUGUUUUAUGUUUAUAAUCAGAUCGCUGGCUGUGGUAGAACUUGCAAACAAUGAUUGUAUGAACACUUUCCAAGAGUAAUACAAGUUCUUUACCCCGCAAAAAAUAAUCAGAUCGCUGGCUAAGUUGUGCGAUUUUCAAUUUUUGUGGUCAGUCGCUAACACAUGCAAGAUAUAUAAUCUUGUUCUCCUUAAUAAUUUUAUUUUGAUGUACUAGAUGAAUAGUACGCAAUGGUAUAUGUGAUAGGACCCUCAUGUUGAUUUAUUCCCUGGAUGCUUGGGUUGACCACAUGAAGAGAAAAGAAUUUUGUUGGAGAGGAAUGGUACCCAGCACUAUUCCCUGGAUGGGGUAAUUGUUUAUCUGGCAUGCAGUGUAGACAUGCAAUUGUGUCAGAACCAACACCGUGGUGCUGAGAAAAUAUCAGGUGCUACGGGAGCACCUAAGUUUAGGUCCUCCAAGAGCUUCUCGGCCAUUGGAUCUGAAAUCCAACGGUCAUCUACAGAUGCGCUGGACCCGAUUUGCAAUACCAAAUUUCUGGGGGUGUUUUCUGAAUAAAAGCGUGAGCUCUCUCUGCUCCCGUAGCACCAGAUAUCCUCCCAUGUGGUGCUAGGAGCCCCGGUCAUUUUAUUAAUCGGCUAGGUAUCCGGCUGUGGUUACUGCUGAAGUAGGCAUGCAAUCCUUGUGACAGCUGAUGUACUUCGCACAAAUCUGAACACAAAUGCAUGGUGUAGAUAGAGGGUCUCGUGGAGCUUGAGCUUGAAAAAACCACACUCGGCCCAUUGGACCGUGAUAUUGAAGAACCUAUCAGAAUCACUUUCCAAGCUGGCCUUUUCAGAAGCCUUGUGGUAUUCUAUCUUGUUUGCAUGCAUGUGAAAAUCGAAUCGCUGCAGUUUGAGCCAACAUCAAUGCCGAAACUUGAGGCGUUGAGCCUGCGACUAUUUGAUUCUGCAACGGUCAUUUCUGGGCUGGGAUUUCUCCCAAGCAUCAGGCAAGUACAGCUCAUUGUGGAGUUUUACUCAUUUUAUAUCCAACGCACUGAAGAUAUGACCAAGAAAGGAGCACAAAAUGAAUUAAGACGCCAGGGAUACAAAGUCAAGGAGGGCAUCAGGAAGCAGCUUGCCAGCAAUAAAAAUGGUCCCAUUUUGAAGAUGCAACCAAUGAAUCGUCAGGAAGAAGCACAGAAGCAGUUUCUGUUAAAUUUUACACAGAUUUUUUCGUGGGUUCUUACACAGAUUUUUUUUAGCACUUUGAUUUUUUUUUUCAAGUUCGGAUGUGUGUCCAGUGUGUACAGAAACAAUACAGUAGAUGCAUGUAUUCUGAUGGAGAUUAACAAUAAAUGCAUGUAAUGUACAGUAUUAUUCCCUGGCACCGGUGAAGUAGAAGGACGUCUUCAGUGGGCUCGAACAAACUUGUCCUGGCCUCCAAUGAGCACAAUAUAUGUAAUGCAUUAUUUAACCAUCUACUAUCACUAUAAAAGGAAGAGAGGGGCAAAUCCAAACAAUCACAUCCAUUCAUUAUUAAAAUCUAAUGGCUCUUAAUCCUCUGGUGUUUAACGCUGCAAGCCACGCAUCAAGCCACUAACCCAUCGAUCGCUAACCCUCAUCAUCGCUAAAAAAAACACUGCGAACACGACCUUUAGCCCCAACAGACGCCACACCACGACCGCACGACCUCUCCCCCAACUGACGCCACAGCACGGCCGCGGGCCGCACGACCUCUCGCCGCUGGAGAGAGCCGCCGUGCCCCCCACCCCCCGCCGUUCGUCGUCUCGCCGCGGGAGGGAGCCGCCGCCCACCCGUCGUUCCUUCCUUCGCCGCGGGAGGGAGCCGCCGCCCACCCGCCGUUUCUCCCUUUGCCGCGGGAGGGAGCCGCCGCCCCCCGCCAUUCCUCCCUUGGCCGCGGGAGAGAGCCGCCCCCCGCCGUUCCUUCUCUCGCCGCGGGAGAGAGCCGUCGUGCCCUUCGCCGCGAGAGUUGAGCUUCAGCUUGGCCUCCGCACCGAUGUUCCUCUUAUGCUUCCCGUCGGCCACAAGUAAGUUUCUUGUACACUGAAGCUCAACUGUUCCUAAUCUGCAGACUACAGACGACCUACCUUUUUGCGUUCUGAUGAAUUUUGGCCCUCUUAGACUUUGUUCCACAUUUGCCUUGCAUUUCAACCAAAGGGAUUGAGUUGCCUUUCAACCAAAGGAAUUGAUACAAAUGCAUUGUGAACAACUAGGUGGUAACAAAGGGAUUGAUACAAAUGCAUUGUGAACAACUAGGUGGUAACAGAACAUCAAUUGAAGUGGGAAGAUGGGGCAGCGGCGGCAUGCUAUACUGUCUUGGGCUCCCGUCCCCUGUCGUAAUCAAAUCACAACCAUUGUUGGUGAGGCUUCAGUUAACAUUCCCAUCUUCCUAGCCACUACAACGAUAAUCGGGUAACUAUGAGUCAUCAAACUGAAGUUGGCUUCUUCAUCUGUAUUUCUUAGAUGUGUGCCGAGAUAGUAGCGAGGCUUUGUUCUUAUUUCUAAUAAUUAGAUGCAGAUAUUUAGACAUUUGCUUCAGUGAUUACAAACUGAAGAAUGUGGACUGAUUUGUUAAUUUAAUUGUCAAAUUUGGUGUUGUCGGAUUUCUAUUUGUAGGUUAAUAUUCAGUGCAUGAGAAGCAUGUAUUGUGUCAUUUUCUUCUGUCAAUAUUCAGUUUGAACCAAUUAGGCGACCAAUUUGUGCUAAUUUCUAUUCAUACGUGGUCUCUGUGUAUAGAGGCUCCAAGAAAGAAGGAUGGGUGUGUAAUACGUAGUCAUGUAUUGGUUCAUUCUUUUCCACUUACAAAUGUUUUAAGAAAUCAACUAGCCUGCUUCGAAGCUGGGGACCCAUGAGUGUUAUUGUGCAAUUCCAGCUUCCAGAUUAUAAUGAGGAUCAUGGAGCUGUAGGUAGAAUGCAAUGACUUACAGUAAUGUCUACUGACUUGGCAAGAGGUUUCUUAUCAAACUAUUCACAUCUUAUUUAUAUUGUCCAUGCUAUUUGAAGGUGAAUAACUAUCUUUCAGAAUUGUGUACAUUUGGUAAAUUAUUAUUGUCCCUACGAAGCGACUUUCAGUUUAUAUAGAGAAAUUAUUUUAUGACACUACAUGAUUAAGGGAGAACAUACAUACGAUUGGGGAAAAAAAAGCAUGGGGUGACGACAAAUGGGUGCCUCUCUCAGAAGGGAUCAGGUGGAGGCUCACCGGCUGCAGCGAUGGCCACUAGCGUGAGCUGUGAAGCGCGUGGAGGCGAGAGCCUCAUGGCCUGUUGAUACGGCGCAUAAUUGCAACCCUCCAAUUCAUGUAAGUUUGUUGAUUGUGUUCUCAGUUGUCUAAGUUGUUAUAGACGCGGAUAGUGUGCAAAAUGGUGGAAUGGAAAGACCAAUAUUCUGACAGUGUGUGAGAGAUUUAUACUGAUACUAAAUUGCUAGCUGCUUGCUGAUGGGAAGCUAUCAUUGAUAGAGCAUUCAGUUGGGGGCUUACGCUCACGCAAGUACAUGGAGGAAUUCGAGACGCCUGACCUAAGUUUACUACUCCCUCCACUUAAAUGAAUAAGGCGCACACACAUUUCAAAAUCUAACUUUGGCCAUCAAUUUAACAGCCGGGGGUAUUCCUCCUUUUCGUAAAAAAAUCAAUUUAACAAACCAAAUGUGGGUUAUACCUAAUAAAAGUUAUACCGUUGAGCUCAUUUUUGAGAAAAAAUUAGUACUGCCUUCGUGCGGAAAUACUUAUCGCUAAAUGGAUGUAUCUAAACAUAUUUCAGUUCUAGAUACAUCCGUUCGAGUGACAAGAAUUUCCGGACGGAGGGAGUAGUAUAAUUUUCAAGUCACAUAAGUUGCUUGAUCUCUCCCUACUCCAUGUUAAAGAAUUCUGAUUCAGCCGAUUCCCCUGCUGAAUGCUUGUGUUUCGUACUUUCAUUUAAGUUGCCUCUUAAAAAUAAGUGUACUGUCUUUUGUGUUCCACAUAUCACAUUUGAUUUGAUCUCUGUGGGGCAGAAUAAAUACUGUAUGUUUUACAUGUGGGUUGAUGCACAGAAGUCAUUUGCUGCACGUCUUUAUUCCUACAAGCUUUACUAUUAUAACUUGAUAGCAUGUGGAAUUUUGGAUAAUUGCAGCGCCUCACCCCGCUCCACUCCAUGCCAGCCCCACAGUCAUGUUAUUGAACAUUGGAGAGAAACCGAGCACCACUUUUCACUUGAAUUAGAAACACCAAAGGUUUGGGAUUAUGCUCGUGACGACUAUGUCCAUCAUGUAUCGUGUCCAAAGCAGAUGGUAUGUGUUCAUAUGUAAUGGUGGUGCAGUAAUGGAUCAAGCUCUAUUGAACAGGAAAGUUAAGCUGUAAUCUAUGGUAUGUUUCUGUAUAUUUUCUUUUACAAACGUGCUACUUCUCUUCUUUUAGAUUGUUGGAUAGUACAAUGAUCUGGUCAACGUUUAUUACCAGCUUAUAAGUUCAUUGUGACUCUGGUUUUGUGCUAAUGUAGUACUGAUAUGAGUCACUUCUGCUAGAAAUCAAAGAGAAUUAAAUGUAAGUUUCUGCUACUGCAUGAUACCUCCAAACGUUACACACAAAGCUUGAUAAGUGCACUGAAGAGAAACAUUUUCUUGAUGAAGUUGUUCCGGGUUGUAACUUUUGUAGGCAUAAACAAAAUCUGGACACUUUGGUUUAGCGGUGAAGUUGUUUCAUGCCAUUGUAAUUUAUAGUGGUUUUGAAAAAACAAAGUUGCAUGUGCUGGCUAAUUCUGCAUGUGUGUAUUUUCUUGUAACUUCUAUGCCUUUCUUUUUUGCUCUUUUAGGAAAACCAUACGAUGAUUUUGAUGAUGCUUUUAUAAGUAAAAAAACAGAUUAUAUCCUUCAAUUCCAUUCAUUUUAUGUGGUGUCUUUGUGUGGGUUUCAAAGGCAAAGAGUUGUGUGGUACACAUGAUGAGACUGAAUACUGCCAUAUGUUUUUAAUUGAAGUCCCUAAAGCUUAUUAGGGUCUCUUUGAUUCACAUGAUUAUCUGAUUAUCAAAAUACGGGAUUAAGAAAAACCUAGGUACCAUUAAUUGUGUUUUACCUAUCCCUUGUUAAGCCUAAAAAAUUAGAUAGUCUCUCUUCAGUUCUCUCUCCCCCUAAUUUUAGGCAUAUGUAACAAUUUUAACAGAUGAAAUCAUAACUAGAGGUUUGAGAGGAUGGAUUUUUUUCUCCAAUAUAGAGUACAAAGAAUACUUCAGGAAAAGAUCCUCGGGCUUCAUAUCCAUAGAAAAUCCUAUGGAACUCUUGAGAACCAAAGGAUCCCUGUAUAUAUCUAACUAUGUAGUAAUUCAUACAUUGUUCUUUUGAUAGACAUUCCAAAAUGGAGUACAAAGAAUCCUUCGGGAAAAUAUCAAACCAUCUCCAUAGGGAAAAGAUCCUUAAGAUUCGUAUCCUCGAAAAAUCGAAUGAAUCAAAGGAACCCUACCUAACUUUGUUUAUCAGUUGUUCUUAUAGAGACAUCAUACAUAUGUAGGUCAUUAGAUUGUUUAUUAGCACAUUGCUAGAGAAUCUUAAAAUGGGGUCCUCAUAUUGUUAAAUAUGCUAAAGAAGUGAAUAAUUGUGUAUCAGCACAUUGCCAAAAUCUUGAUUCUUUUGCUUUUAGUUUUAUGCACUCAUGGUACGGGGAAGAACUAAAUCAACCAAUUUGCAGGGUCUAUUCAUUGUUUCAUGAUUUUACAUUCUACUAAGCGAAAAUUCCCAAGACAAUGACUUUUAUUCUCAUUCACGAUGUUUGCCAGCUAAGGAAGCAAUUUGCGGUGCACCAUACUUAGCUUCAUCGACAAUGAAGUUGCACACAAAAUUUCUGUUGUUGUACAAGAAUUAAUUACAUGUAUUAAUAAAUAAUGAGAUAUUUAUGUUUUUUUUGACUUUGUGCAUAGCUUGCCAUGUUAAAGUGUUUUUUUGAUUUUUAGUACUUUUUAAUGCAAUCAAAAUACCUUUGUAUGCAUGUUAAUUCCGACAUAUCUUUGUAAUAUUAGUCGAGACGUGCAUUUGCACGUACAAGCUUACUAGUAUAUGAAGGUUGAACACAGACCGUGCGUAUUUAAGUCUCGGCACAAACCGCACGCUUAAAUACGCAACAGUGAAGGUACGUGAACGGCACGCUCGCAUGUCAUUCGAGACGUGUGGAAAAUCUGUAAGCACGCUUGGUCUGUGACUAGUCAACUAGGAGUAGUAAUUAGCACUCUGGCCGUGAAGGUGGCCCGUUGAUUAAUUGGAUGGUUCUCAGCAGUACCCUGCACUGCACGACCACAAGCAUAAACGUAUCCUUCUCCUCGGCCACAAAUGAGACUAGCCACACGGUAACUGUUAAAAACAUGCAAGGCAUAAUGUUCCCAAGCGGCUACCAUCAUCAGCACUCGGCAUGAGGCAACAGGCGACGACCGCCCUCACGCAGGUCAGGCACGUCGUAAGCCCCGGUGAUGACCGUAACAUCCGAUGAUGGGACUAUUGCUCUGCAUGACAUCAUGCUUUUAAAACGCGACCGAUAUGGAAGGCAGCAUAUAUACAUACGCCGAGUAUCUAUUAUUGAUACUACAUCCCCGCCAUAUGACAGGAAACCAACCACCAACAUACCUAGGAACAAACUUCAUGGAGGCCGGAGCCACGGUGAGCGCCGUGUCCUUUUUCCUGGCGUGCUUGGCGGCGGCUGUGCAGCCAACGUUGGCAGCCAAGGCCGGAAGGGGUGGGAUCUUGCAUAUCCCUUCCGCCGCCGGGCUCGCUCGGGCUCGCUGCCCUUACAGGUGCGGUGGUGUCGCCAUUUACUAUCCGUGGGGGAUAGGGCCUGGCUGCUUCCGGCAAGGCUUCGAGCUCACCUGCGACAACACCGCUGGUCAUAAAACGCUCUUUCUGGCCAAUACUACCACUGAGCUCUUUGGCCUGAAGCCCGGAUCUCGCAGUUUCUGGACACCUGCCAUCCAUUUCAAUGUCACCAUGAAGCCAGGUAUGAAUGACACCUAUAACAUGUCAUGGGAGGCCCCUGUUUAAGGUGUUAUGGCCUCUGAACAAACAAGCUUGUUCGUUGUUGGUUGUGGUGUGGGCGUCUACUUAUUUGGCCAUAAUACCAACGAUCCCAUCGGUAGUUGCAUGAGUAUUUGCCUAGACGACAAAGUGGCCAUGGAGGAGGCAAAUCUAACCCGCGACUACUUUCGUGAUAUUGGGAUGGGCUACUGUCGCAUCCAAUUGGCGCAGGACAUGCGAGCAUUUAGGUUUGUAGUUGACCGCCUCAAUGGUGGCGUCUUAGCACAAUCAGGUCAAGGUCAAGGUCUCCCUACUGGUAUCAAAGUUUUCCUGGCGGGGAAAUAUAAUUUUCAUGUUGCCGACAUCUAUUCAGGUCGGGUAGACAAAAGAAACAUUGAUGAUGCAUUUCUUGGAAUGGCCAUCACGGAUCAACCAAGCUGUGAUAGUGCUCAGAAGAAAAAGUCAAGCUAUGCUUGUGGCCAAAACAGCGAUUGCGUGGAUAUGCCAUCUGGAGGCUACUCCUGUCGCUGCCGCCCUGAUACAGACGACAAAAAUACGUACCUUAUGGAUGGUUGUCAACAACCAGGUCAGCAAUCUACUCUUUAGUCGGGAAUAUAAAAAUAUUGACCUGCCAUGUCAUGAAUAUUGGACUCAUAUAUGCAUGAUCGAAUAUUAUGGUAAUUUUUGCACCAAGAUUGUAACUUUUACUCUCCUUUUCUAUGCUCGUCAUCAUUUUUUAUCAUAAAAGCAUUUCUGCUUCCUAGUUUAAAUAUAACUAGUUCUACGUACAACAAAGCAAGCACUAAUUGUUUCUUGCCCAACACUCAAAAUUGCCAAUCAUAGGAGUUUGAAAAUUAGGACACGGCUUUUCUUCAAAAUCAUUUGACACAUUUUGAUGAACUAAUUAUAUUGUUUACUAGUGCCACAUGGGGUAACUUAAUUCCCAGUUCACAUAUUGUCUCUACGAAUAGAGAAUUCUUGACAAGGCGUUAAUAAGACUUGUGCUGUUUUUGGUACUCCCUACAUCUCGGUGCAUAAGGCAUGCUCGUAGUUCUAGGCCAUCAAUUUAACUAGCAAAAUGUGUGUUAUAUUUAAUAAAAAUAUAUUAAGAAACUACAUUUACAUAUUAAUCCAAUGAUAUACUUUUGAUGAGAUAAAACCACGUGCAUGCCUUAUGCACCGAGACGAUGGAGUAGUAUCCACCCAAUUAAUGGGAUUGGUUUCCCAGUUAAGAUAGUGGAGUAGCUCGUUUCUUUAGGCUGGUCAUAGUGGGAGUAAUUUAGCUAGUAACAUAGCGCACUUCAAGACAAGUUUGCUUCUGUGACAUGUAGUUAAUGAGGAAAAAGGUGUUUGGAGUAACAUUAUAUGUUACUGUAACAUAAUGCAACUCAAAGCAAAAUGAGUCUUCAAUCUAAUUAAUGCAAUCAUCUCUGAUACUACUUCUGUGUUAUUUUGCACUAUGAAGGCAAUAACUUAGACUACUGGCAUAUGCAUGACACUAGUAUAAGUUACUCCCCUCUAUGACUAGCCUUAUAAUGUUUUAGUUAUUAAUUAAACUAGGUAUUAUUAAUUAAUUAUUUAAUAAGUUGCAUCUCUAGUCUAGAUAGGAUGACCAUUAAUUCACAUAAUCUUAGUGUAACUUCUCCAGUGGCAGUCUCCCAGUGUGACUUCUUCCUCCGUCAAUCUACACAUUACAAUACCAAUCCUAAAGGAGGUUGCACCAGAUUUUGCGGGAACACAAGCAUUCCCUUCCCUUUUGGGCUUGAAAAAGGUUGCUAUGCUGCUGAAAUGUUUCGACUUAACUGUACAUCAGAAAAUACCAAUUUUUUUGAUCAAAGGGGCAAAUACAUUGUGGCAAACAUUCCAGUGAAUGAAGGAUAUCUUAGUGUUAGAAAAACACAAAACAACUCAAAGUAUGGUGAUGAAGAGCUCAUGGUGCUAGUUGUUGUAGGCAAGGAGGACUGGCAAGUAGGACUCAUGCCUCUAGAUGGCUUUUAUUUAUGUGAAGAAUACAAUAUGAAGAUGUGGUGGUCUGUCGAUAAUAUAACUUGUCCAGAUGCUAUGAGCAAGGAAAGAAGAGCUACGUACGCAUGCCGCAGUGUUAAUAGUAGAUGCAUUCCUGUCACCUGCGGCCACCGGAAUGGGACGAUGCAGCUCGGCUAUCGUUGCCAGUGCUCUCACGGUUAUGAUGGAAAUCCAUAUAUACCGGAUGGUUGCGAAGGUAAACACACUACAAGUUCCAUUACAAAUUGCCAUAUGCCAUCCAACUGCAUGCAUGAUUUUCCUAGUACAUGAAAAUGAUUGACUGAAAUAUUGAUAAUGAUACAUCUAGCAGGAUUCAUGUGUUGCAAUGCUUCGAUCAUCUUGAUCCAAUGAGUUGGUUUUUUUAGUGGAGUCACGCUAACUAGGUUGAUGUUCAAGUCACACUAGUCAUAUAGCAUGGCUCUAUUUAGUUAUGUGUAUCACAUGUUGUAGAGACCAGGGCAGUGAUCAUUUUAUUACUUCAAAAAUGGACAUUAUGCUAGAUGACAACUAGAGUUUAGCUAAUUCAUGAAAAUGCCAAAAUAGGGCUUGAUCCUUAAUUGAGCUUUGUUGGUGGAGCUAACGCUGAAUACCACCAUGUAUACAAUUAACCUUCUCUCGCAAAAAAAAGUAUACAACUAAUCUUAUACAACCAUUUUCUUUUGUCUUUUGGAAUACGUGCAGACAAACGUCUAAAACUUUAGUGGCAACGACACACACAUAAGCAUGUAAAAUGGAAAUGUAAAAAGAAUGAUUUUAACAUAUAUGGCAUCAAACAUAUUUGUGUAUUGUUAGUUUUCUAUACAGUUAGAUUGUUUACUAAGAUAUAGUUAGAAACAAUAUUGGCCAAUACAACAUUUUUGAAAACACGUUGAUGUAUAAAGGUAGCUUCAAUGUGUGUAGGAUGAGUAGUCGGCCAAUGGUAACCUAGCUUUGGUUUCACAUUUAGUACAAAUUAUUUCCAGGCAUCAUUCAUUGCUCACGUACUUACCAUUUUAUAGAUGUCAACGAGUGUUUGUUGAUGAAUACUUGCAGUGGCGUAUGCCAAAAUUUUCCUGGAGGCUAUAGUUGCGGAAGUUGUACUUAUGGAAAAGAGUUUGAUCCAAGAAAAAGGAGAUGUGUCAAGAGACGCAAUCUUCUCAUAGGUAAGUCAUAUCAAACUUACUUACCUCAAUAGAAUUGGAACUUGAAAAGGACAUGUUUUAACCAACUACUACCAUAUGUAUAGGUAUUGCAAUUGGAAUUGGUUGUGGCCUGGGUGCCAUAAUACUUGCGCUAGGUGCAAAGGCACUUGUUAGCAAGUGGAAGAGAGGCACAAAAAAGAGAAUACGAAGGGCGUACUUCGAGAAAAAUCAAGGCCUACUCUUGGAACAACUAAUAUUAGAUGAAAGCUCCACUGAUAAAAUGAAGAUACUCUCCUUGGAGGACUUAAAUAAAGCAACCAAUAAUUUUGAUGUCAGUCGUGUUCUUGGCUGUGGAGGACAUGGCACGGUUUAUAAAGGAAUUCUAUCUGAUCAACAUGUAGUGGCCAUCAAAAAGUCAAAGCUAGUGGAGCAAACUGAGAUUGACCAGUUUAUCAAUGAGGUUGCCAUCCUUUCACAGAUCAUUCAUCGGAAUGUGGUCAAGCUUUUUGGUUGUUGUCUCGAAACAGAAGUACCUUUGCUAGUUUAUGAGUUCAUAUCCAAUGGCACACUAUAUGAUCUUCUUCACAUUGAUGUAAGUGUUAAAUGCUUACUUUUAUGGGGUGAUCGCAUUAGGAUUGCUGUAGAAGUUGCAGGUGCUCUUGCUUAUCUCCAUUCAGCUGCUGCGAUACCAAUUUUGCAUAGAGAUGUCAAAUCUUCCAAUAUACUCCUAGAUGGCAACUUUACUACCAAGGUUUCUGAUUUUGGUGCUUCAAGAUCUUUAUCACUUGAUCAAACACAUGUAGUGACAAUUGUACAAGGAACUUUUGGUUAUUUAGACCCAGAGUACUACCACACUGGGGAACUGAGUAAUAAGAGUGAUGUUUAUAGCUUUGGAGUUAUACUGGUGGAGCUUCUGAUGAGAAAGAAGCCAAUUUUUAUUAACGAACAAGGUAUAAAACAAAGCUUGGCUCAUUACUUUGUGGAAGGACUUCAGCACGGUGUCCUCACGGAAAUCAUGGAUCGCAAGUGGUGGAAGAAGCGAAACAGAAUGAAAUUGAUGAUAUUGCCUCAAUCGCGGAAGCAUGCUUGAAAGCCAAAGGAAGAGAAAGGCCUACCAUGAAAGAGGUAGAAAUGAAGUUGCAACUCCUAAGAACUAAAAGAUUAAGGAGCCAACUUCCUCCCAUCAAUGAUGGAGAGAUUGAGUCAUUUGGGUAUCUAAAUGGCGCUAGCUCUCAUGCACAGAGCAACAACAUUAUCAGUAAUGUUGGCUUAACACCUACAUGCAUCUCCGGAAAGUAUAGUUUGGAGCAAGAGUUUUUGAAUUCAGCCAGCUUGCCACGCUAGCGAAGCACACAGUGGGAUGAUCAUCUACUUACUAAGCUUCUGAGGUGCAUGUCAGGUACCCUACACGUACUUAUAUAGAAAAACUAUGCAAUGUACAUAGUUCCUUUUAGUGGGAGUAUGCUGUGUAAAUUUCCGAAUUGUGUUUGUAGCUUAUUUUACCGUGUUAAGCUAUGGUGGUGAAUAAAGGUAUUUUACCGUGUUGUCAACUUCAGUACACAUUUCUCACCACUCAUUACCAGUGACUUACGUAUUACAGGUUCGAAUAGUACCGAGUUUAAUUUACCUAUACAAAGUAUAUAUGUCCUAAUUGAAUUUUUCCAAGUUAGACCCACAAAUCGGUCCCCUUGGAGCACUACAAGUGGGCUCCUUAAACGCAUCCUGUACUUUGGGGUGGACGGAUCGGUUAGUGGCCAAUCACAAAAUCGCGACUCCGUCUCCCCUCAAACCGGUUUUAUACGUCUAGAUUGAUCGGCAUCCCCACAUCCAGCUCAUAUCUAGGGGUGGAUAUAGAAGGCCCAGUCCCACCCGGAUGCGUCUGCCACGUCGGACUGAUGGGUGGGACUUACGCGGACAAACAUUAAAACACAUAUGUCCUGUGAAACCACAGCUUCGCUGCGCCGCUCGAGGGGCCAAAUCCAGCUAUUUAUGCCGGACGACGAGCCCCAACCCUACGCACUUCCAUUUCCACCAUCUCGUCGCAUCUGUGUCGCCACUCCCAAUCCACUUCGAGCUCACCGUCCGCUCUCAUCGGCUUCGAGCUCACCAGUAGCCAAGGUCCGCUGGCGGAUCACCAUGUAUAAGAUGCACGCUCUGCAAUGCUAGUUGGAACUCCUAGCAAAUAUACAGGAACGGCGCGCCGCUCGGGUUGCAACCGGCUUGCCUCCGGACACUCUAGAGCAGGAUGAGCGUGAAGCACCGGAGCAUGAGGACGAGGAUGAGGAGGAGGAUGCGAAACAGGGGGCACCGGACAUGGAGAUGAAGGACUAGUAGAUGGAGGACGGGGAAGGCGAGGCGGAUCCGGCACCUCCUGCUGUCGGACUCAACACCUUAAGCACAUUAGGGAGCUUCUUCAUCUCAAAUACCUCUCCCUAAGAGGAUGUUGCAAUAUCUAUAACCUCCCAGAUUCGGUAGGUAACCUAAGACAACUUGAGACACUAGACAUCAAACAGACAAGUAUAGCAAUGCUGCCCAAAAACAUCAUCAAGCUAAGUAAGCUAUGUUAUCUCCAUGCUGGUAGCAAUUACACAGGGGGGAAGAUAAAGAUUGUCUUACAAAGUGUCUAGAAAUUUUGGAGUUGCAAUGGGAGUUAUGUCCAUUUUGUUGCUUAUGUGAGCAGUUAGACAUGGAUGACUUCAGCAGGCAUGAUAUCUGCACUAUUGGUUGCUGCAUAAUGUUCCCUAAUAUCAUUAGGGGUCUAGAUGAGUAUGGUGUUAAGGUGCCAAUAGGGACCAGGAAACUGAAAGCCCUGCAUACACUGCGGUAUGUGCACCUAGCCUGGGGAAAUACCAUUAUCAAAGAGAUAAAAGGCCUCACCAGCCUGCGGAAGCUAGGAGUGGUCGGAAUCAACAAGAUAAAUGGUCCGGAGUUCUGUUCAGCCAUUUCCAAUCUCAGACUCCUUGGAUCCUUGUCAGUGCAGUCAGGUAAGAGCUUAACUGGUUGUUUGGAUGGCAUAUCCACAGCUCCAAAAAAUCUCCAGAGCGUCAAGCUGUCCGGAAGCCUGGAAGAAUUGCCGAAAUGGAUCAUGGGGCUCCAGAAUCUGGUGAAGCUGAAGCUAGAGUUUGUCAGCCUAUCAUGCAACCGUGCAGCAAUGCAGCCCCUUGAGAACCUGCCAAACCUAUCAAUUCUGGGUUUAUGGGAGAGACAGUUUAAGAUGGAUGUACUCCAUUUCCAGGGUGGCGUUUUCAGAAGGCUCACGGUGCUCGAUCUUUUCUAUGAAAGGAUGGAAAUUAAAUUAGUGGAUUUUGAGAAAGAGUCAAUGCCCAAUCUUGAGAUGCUGACCCUUAGGCUGACUGAUACUGAAACUGCCUUCUCUGGGCUAGAAUUUCUGCAAAGCAUCAAGGAAGUGCGUCUCUAUGUUAAUUUUACCUUCAUUUCGAUUCCCCGAGAAAAUAUGACAUUCGAAGAAAGGGAGAAAGAAGCAGAAAAGAAGACAAAAACCAUGAAAGACAAAGUCAGGGAGGACUUGCAGAUCCAGCUUGACAGGAACAAGAACUGGCCCGUCCUAAAGGUGGAUGUUGGCUUUGGUCCCGUACGUACUAACUCCGACGAGUACUUUCCGCGGAGACGCGUACGGAGGCAGCAGCCGUAGUUAACCAGGCACACAAAAGACAAUCCGGCGAGACGCACACGUAUGCUCGAAGCUAACGCCUUAAGCAGCUGGAUCGAUUCUACGCUUGUACACAGCGAGUUGAUGGCAAACAGGAGGGCCGUGUCGGUCCUGUGCUUUUUAUUGCUUUGAUUGAUCUGAUGUUACAGCGUAGGGGUACACGGGUAUUUAUAUUAGUUGCUAGCAAUGUUUUAAAUAACGGGCUAUUGAAAUUGAGUUAUUUUACUGUACCCCAGAAUUAAUGUAGACCCUCUAUUUUCACUGAUCCAACGGCUAACAUAAUUGGGUACUCCAUCGGUAGCCCUGCGGAGUACUGACUUGAAAAGUCAUGGAGUACCCUGAUCUAAGGGGCAACACCGUAAUCAAUCAACCAUGUCAUUAUCUCUUGUUAGGGUAUUUUGGUUUCUUGUUUACUAGGGCAUUGACGUCCGACGAGUUCUUCAUGUAGCAGCAAAUUUAGUAAUCAUCCGAUCAAUUGCCAUGCUACCACAUUCAGAUCAUCUAGAUUUUAUCAGCUAUUUUUUUGCUGUGAUAAAAUCCAAAGGGGUCGACAAAUCCUACUGUCCUCAACCCGGGCAAUGAUAUGGAGGGACGUCGAUCUCCAGCGGGCGGCGACGACUAGAAACGAUCCGCACAGGGGACGGCGAGGGCAGGUCGGUAUGAUCGCUGUCGGGAGAGAUUUCGGGGUGGGGUGGGGGUGCAGGGAAGGGGAAGGAGAAGGAGCGAUCGUGGCGGCGUGCAGCAGAAAAUGGAUCGGGAUGAGGCGCCCCCGCCAUUCGAUCGAGAUGCACAGAGAAACCGGGUCCUUGUUUUUUCUCCAGCCCUACCGAGAGAGCUCUUAGCCUCAAUCGGAAAUAACAAAGUUGCCCUUCACCAUGGACGGUCAGAUCUGUUUGGUACUCCGGGGUAUGUUCUUGGAGUACCAGGGUACAGUAAAAAAGCCAUGAUGCAACUACAGAGUACUGACGCAUUUUAUGCAUCUAAUCCAAGCAAUGUUUACAAUUGCGUAAGAUAUCACCACACCCUUAUUAAGAGCAUCUCUAGCAAACCCGUAAAACGCUGCGACCCACAAAAUAACUGUCAAAAUACAGGUCGGUGCAGAUAAUUCUGCCCGAGCAGGCCGCAAACGCGUCCGACCCGUAAAAGUUUUUGCGGGGCGAGGCAAAAGAUCGCCCUCGACCUUAAGACUCACGGGGUGGGAAGCCGACCCGAGCUCGCCCCCUAUCCGCAGCCAGAUUUGGCGCGAAGGAAAUUUCCGCGCGGCCAUUCCCUCAACCCCCCCCCCUUCCUCGGACGCCAUUGCCCCGCCAUCGCGUGCUCCGGUCCAUCUUCCCUGCCAUGGAAGCCUCCCAGCCGUCCCCCGUCAUCGUGGAGGUCGCGCAUGCACAAUCCCCUCCGGCGGAUCUCGUCGCCAGCCAUGCCAUCCCUGCCGUCGCCCAAGGCACCAACGCGCCUGGCCGCAAGCGGCAGGGCAACGUUGUCGUGCAGGGCGGCAAUCCGGCUGGCCCCGUCGAAAAGGCACGCGCGUCUGGCGCUGUCGCCGCUGCGCGAUCUGCCCGGCUGCCGGCGGAGAAGGUGAGAAAGGUUUCUGGCGUGAAGCGAAAGAAGGUUCCUACGAAAAGGCCGCCGCCUUCAUCCACUACUUCCGCCCCGGCAAGAUGUUCCCCGGCGAUGCCGUUCAACGACGCUGCUUCAAACCGCAGGCGAGGUGUUCGAUGAAAUGGCCGGAAGGUAUGCAUCUUCGAUCCCUUAUUCGGCUUCGGGGGCGGCGAUGACCUCAAUGAAGGUGGUGCGGAGUGAAGAGCGACCAAGAUGAUGACGGACGCGGUCGUCGCAUUUGCAUGAAGUCCUUCUGCGUUUGCCCUACAAAACUAUGCUUUUAUUUGCGCGCGAACUGUGUUUUAUUGUUUGAAUUUGAACUCAUUUAUCGGGAUCGUUGUCAAAUUCGGUUAUUGGGGGUUUUCGGUUUGCGGGUCGACGCGACGGUGCCCGAGAAGACCCCACGUGACCGACCCGUAAAAGAGCAUCUUCUGCAAAUAUCCUUUUUACGGGUCCGUUUUGCGCGGUCUGACUCUGCCCUCGCCUGCGCCAGCCCGCAAAGUGUUUUUCCGUGAACUGUUAACGCGUUUUGUGGGUUGGCGAUAUACGGGAUCUGUCAGAGAUGCUCUAAGCAGCCCACUGAUGGUGCACACAUCGCCAUAACAUACAGAUACAGAGCAUCAUAUAUUGCAGUGGCCAUUCAUUCUUCAGAAACUCAAAGAGAUACCCACAGCAGAAAAAGAAAUACCACCUCUAGCAGACUCGUGUGGGCUAUAUUUCAAUCCAUCAUUACAAUAUAUAACAAUAUGCAAAAGAUAAAAAUAAGAGAGUGGAUAUAUAGAAGAUAGAUUUUCAAUGGCCUGGCAUGGCGGCCACUCAGUAAGGAUAUUGUAAGUGCAUCUAGUGCCCCUUAGAGAUUUCGGUGUAUUGAAGACUUAUAUGUUAAGGGACUAAUGUGUUUGUGAGUGUACACAUGUUUUAUAAGUCUAUGAGAAGUUUGAUAUUUACGAAGAAAGUCGACCCUAAAAAUGAAUGUCUUCAGUUGAAGACUUUGGUUUUCUUGAAGACUUUGAAAAUGAGGAAAUUGAUGUGACCUUGAAGACUUUGAUAUUGAUGCGAGGAUUAUGAGGCGUGAAGACUUUUGUUUUUGUAGUUUCAUUUUUUCUUUCUUGAGUAAUAGGAAACACUAUACUGUUAAAGAGCGUUGAGGUAAAACUAACGAAAAGUUUUCAAGUGAUGCUCAUCUCAAAGCUUACUCAUACACAAUACUUUCGAGUGAAGCCAUUAGAAAUCUCAUACAGUUCAUUCAAUUUCUUCAGUGAUAGAGACGAAGAUCUUCUGGUCUCUGAGGAAUUUGUUCUGACCGAGGAGUUAGGAAUUCGCCGGUGCAGAUUGCCUACAAAUGAGGAACAUGAUAGCCCUGAGGAAUUUAAGAGCUCAAAUUUCCGACCGUUGAUGUGCCACGCGCCAGCUGUCCCAAAAUAUCAUAUCCACCUAAUGAUCAUAUCAUUGAAGGACAUUUAUGUCUUAUCAUGUCGAGCUCCUCCCCGGCUAUAAAUAACCGUCCUUACAACCACUAGCCGGUUGGCUGCUCCCAGAGAAACUGGCAGUUAUCAUUUAGAGCAUAUCAUCCUCCGAGGACUUUGAGAGAAAAUCAUCAGCGAGGAAAAACCCAAACCCAACACCUAAAACCCAAAGUGAUUGAGCAUCACUUAAGAGAUUGUUCCUAUGUGGAAACGAUGCUUGUUAUCUUUGAAGACUGUGCAUCUUUCAGACGGUUAGGCGUCAUGGUCUAGAGCAUUCAAGAGGAAUUGUGGAUCGCCGAGUGACCGAGUCUGUGAAGGUUUGGAAGUCACCUGAAGACUUAUCAUGAGUGAUUGGGUGUGGUCUGUGUGACCUUAGCUCAAGGAAAAUAGGGCGAGCACUGUGUGUCUGGGACUGGGUGUCCUCAGGUUUAAAUACCUAGCCGCUCCAACCAGAAGUACAACUGUCACAACAGUUGAAACUGGUCUACCAAAUCAUCGUCUUCAUUAAGCUACUGGUUCUAUUUCCUCAACCCUUUCAUUUUCUCAUUCAUGUGUUGAUGAACUUGAUCGUUACUAUUUGAAGACUUUGACUGAAGACUUUCUCAAUUUCCUUAAUCCUGAUUCUUUAGUCAUCUUGUCUUCUGCCUGCUCAUCCUGUUUACACGCUACCUGUCCUCUGUGCUUGUUUCAUUUCAUCAUGCUGAUUGUGUUAUUACCAUGUUAUGCUUGCACCUGAGUACUUAUUCCGCUGCUAAUAGUUCGUCACUUAGCAAAUUCCUCAAGUUGUAUUUCCCCAAUGACGAAUUUGUAAAAAUCGCAUAUUCAUCCCCCUUCUAGUCGAUAUAACGUACUUUCAGAUAUUUAGGACAGAAGUAGGCCCCAGGUUUCUGAGCUCAUUGCACCUUCAAGACUGGCCAAUUCUUAUUCCUAUCAAGCUGUGUCCGCAACUCCUCUCUGACUUUAUCUUGCAUGGGUUUGUUUUUCUCUUCUUCUUUUUUCAUAUAUUCAUACAAUACUUACCCCAUUUUUUCAUUUCCCCCAUUUUUUGAUGAUUUGAGUAUACCAAACGAGCGGUUAUGAACACUAAGCCGUACUUGAUGCUUUGGAGAAGUUCUAGCCCAAAGAAGGCAAUUUCAGAACCUCCAACGUUAAGGGUCAGCAACUCAAGAUUGGGCACUGAUUCUUUCUCAAACUCCACUAAUUUAAUUUCCAUACUUGUAUAAAAAGGUCAAGCACCGCGAGCCUUCUGAAAAGGCCAGUCUGGAACUGAAGUAUAUCGAUCUCAAACCCAAGAUCCCACAAACCCAGAAUGGAUAGGUUUGGUAGGUUCCCAAGGACUUGCAUGGUUUCAAUGUUUCUUGAUAGCUUGCUGAGUUCUAACUUUAGCUUCACGAGAUUCUGGAGCCCCUUGAUCCAUUCCGGCAAUUUUUCUAGGCUGCCGGAUAGCUUGAGGCUCUGCAGGUUUUCCGGAGCUGUGGGCAUACCAUCCAAACAGCCAUUUAGGCCAUCACCUGACCACACUGAUAACGAUUCAAGACGGCUGAGACUGGAAAUGGCUGAAGAGAGAAACCUGGACCAUUUUUAUUGUUGACAUCGACCACUCCCAGCUUCUGCAGGCCAGUGAGACCUUUUACUCUUUUAUAGUGGCAUUUCCCAAGCAAGGUGAACAUACUGCAGUGUACGCCGGGCCUUCAGUUUCCUGGUCCUGCUUGGCACCUUAACACAAGAAAAAGCUAUGUCCCUAAUGAUAUUAGGGUACAUUAUGCAGCAAGAAAUAGUGCAAGUAUCACAUCUAUCAAAAUCAUCAGUGUCUGUAAAGCCAUCUGAGCUGCAUACUGCACAUUGCAGUGCAAAGAUGUGUCGACACUUCGAAAAACAAUUUUCCUCAUUAUCCCCUAAACCACUACCGGCAUGGAGAUAGCAUAGCUUACUAAGCUUGAUGAUGGUUCUGGGCAACAUAGCUAUACCCGUCUCUUUGAUGUCUAGUGUCUCAAGUUGUCUCAGAUUACCCACCAAAUCUGGGAGGGAAAAGAUGUACCUACACCCACGUAGAAAGAGGUAUCUCAGAUGAAGAAGCUCCCUCGCCUCCCCUGACUAUCUACAACAUAUCCAUGAUCGCAAAUCAGCAAUACAAUGGUUCAAUUUGGUGUACAAAUGGUAGUUUUUUGGAGUGGGAAAGAGGAGAAGAACACGAAGAAGAACGAACGGGAGGUUAAGGGAGAGAGGAGGAGGAGGAAGGCGCCGGGCGGGUGGGGUCACCAUCCUGUUGCCCUGCGGGUGGACAAUCGUCCACCGGUACAGUGACAGGGGGCUGUCGGGGGAACCCCCGCACCGACAAUGGCUGUCGGCACAAGGGGGGCGGGGAGCGGCGACGUGGCCUGGCCACUAAUCGUGCAACACGUGGUCGAAAGGCCACCUGUCAUCACACGGUUUGCCGGCGAGCGCCAGCCGUCCCGCGGUCGGGCGACAGCUUCCAGUCGUCCUGUAGUCCGACGACUUUAUAAUAUUUUUAGAAAAAAUAAAAAUGGCGUAGUAUUUGUGAAAUUUAAUAAAUAAAAUGUAUUAUUUAAAGCACUCCUGCAUGUGCUCCUUAUCGUCCCCCGCCCUUCUACUUUUUUCCUUCUUUUGAUAUAUAUGAGAAUAAAUACCCGCCCUCCUACUUCACCUGUUGAGCUGCACCCCCGCUCCGGCUGCUCUCAUAGCUCAAAGCACAAUCCGUUUUGGCCGGUGCGCUACUUCACGUCCACCAUGUCAUCCCUUCAUCCCUAAGCUGCAGAUGAGUACGUAGAUUCUAGUAUGUGAUUACAUCAUUCAUUUCAUUCUGCUGAGAGAUGAAAGACAGAGCGCAGAGACUGACAUGAUCACCACAGGAAGAAGAAAAGGAUUGCAAGCAAGCAAUCACAUAUGAUGCAAAACACUGACAAUUUGUAUGCAUCUAAUCCAAAUAAUUUACAACCACCAAAGAUAUUACUGCCGCGUUAUUAGAACAGCCCAACGAUGGCAUGCACAUCGCCGGCCGGAACGUACAGAAUUACAGUUACAGAGCAUCUUGUAAUGCAGUGCCUGACUCAUUCUUCAAGAAAUCAAAGCAGAGCCGAAAAGCAGAAAUGGCAUCCUGACCACCAAGGGCAAAAGAAAAGGGUUACAUUGCAUCGCAGAUGAUACAACAUAGUACAGAGUACCCACGAAUUUUCUCCAUCUACUCCAAACAGUUUACAAUCACCAAAGAUAGAUAUCGCCAUACCCUUAUUAUGCAGCCCAGCGAUGGUGCACACGUCACCGGAACAGACAGUUACACGGCAUCAUAUAUUACAGUGGCCAUUCAUUCUUCAGAAAAUCAAAACAGAGCCCCAAAGCAGACAAGAAAAACCACCUCUAACAUGCGCAGAACAACAGUGCCGUCGACUCGUGUGGGCUUUAUUUCAAUCCAUUAUUAGAAUAUAACAACCAAUGCAAGACAUAAAAACAAGAGAGUGGGCACAAGAUAUAUUUUCCAAUAGCAUGGCAUGACGGCCACUCAGUAAGGAUACUUAGGACAGAGGUAGCCCCAGGUUUCUGAGCUCAUUGCACCUUCAAGAUGGGUCGAUUCUUAUUCCUAUCAAGCUGCAUCUGCAUCUCCUUCCUGACUUUAUCUUGCACGGGUUUGUAUUUCUUUUCUUCUUCUUUCAUCCAUUCAUGCAUUCUCUUACUCAUUCUUUCAAUUUUCCCAUUUCUUGAUGUUUUGGGUGUAAACCAGCUACAAUGAACACCAAGCCGUACUUCCUUGAUGUUUUGGAGAAGUUCUAGCCCAGAGAAGGCAAUCGCAGUAUUUCCAAUGCUAAGGGUCAGCAACUCAAGAUUGGGCACUGAUUCUUUCUCAAACUUCACUAAUUUAAUUUCCAUACUUGUGUAGAAAAGAUCAAGCACCGUGAGCCUUCUGAAAAGGCCAGUCUGGAACUGGAGUACAUCGAUCUUAAGCCAGUGAUCCGACAAACCCAGAAUGGAUAGGUUUGGUAGGUUCCCAGGAACUUGCAUGGCUUCAAGGUUCCCUGAUAGCCUGCUGAGUUCUAACUUGAGCUUCACGAGAUUUUGGAGCCCCUUGAUCCAUUCCGGCAAUUUUUCCAGGCUGCCGGAUAGCUUGAGGCUCUGCAGGUUUUCCAGAGCUGUGGACAUGCCAUCCAAACAGCCAUUUAAGCUAUCACCUGACCGCACUGACAACGAUUCAAGAUGGCUGAGACUAGAAAGGACCGAACAGAAACCCGGACCAUUUCUCUUAUUGAUGCCGACCACUCCUAGCUUCUGCAGGCUUGUAAGGCCUUUUAUCUCUUUUAUAACGUCAUUUCCCCAGGCAAGGUGCACAUACCGCAAUGUACGCAGGGCCUUCAGUUUUCUAGUCCCUCUUGGCACCUUAACACCGGAAGAAGCUAUGCCCCUAAUGAUAUUAGGGUACAGUAUGCAGCAAGCAAGAGUGCAAACAUCACAUCUAUCAAGAUCAUCUUCAAAAAACUCAUCUGAGCAGCAUACUACAUAUUGCACUGCAUAGAUAUUUCGAUGCUUUGAAAAAUAAUUCAGCUCAUUGUUAUCCCCUGAUUCUUUACCAGCAUGGAGAUAACAUAGCUUACUAAGCUUGAUGAUGGUUCUGGGCAACAUAGCUAUACCCGUCUGCUUGAUGUCUAGUGUCUCAAGUUGUCUCAGAUUACCCACCGAAUCUGGGAGGGAACAGACCAAACUAGACCCACGUAGAGAGAGGUAUCUCAGAUGAAGAAGCUCCCCAAUGUGCUCAAGGUGAUGACUUCUUAACCCUUUUGUUCCUUCCAGGUCCAGCACCCGGAGAAACCUCAUCUUAUCAGAAAUGUAAAAUGGCUUCCACUUGCUAAACACUGUCAAUGAUCGUAUACGGGACAGCUCCAUGGUGCUCUCCAACUCGCGCUCAUCACCCUCCCAGUUGCUGCUUAUGGCAAGGUGACGCACUGCACCAUGGGUAUUCAAGCUGCAGCCUUCCUCCAACCUGAAAACAAGAUUUUCCUCCAUCGACUCUGCAAUGCUGAUAUCACGAAUCAGAUCGUGUAGCUGGCAGGAGUCAAAUCCUUGUAUGCUGCAAGCUGAUUGCUGAGUUGGUAAUAUCAUGCUUCUCUCUACGAGUUCCAUGAAGUAUCUAUCUGCUGUGGCCUUGUCUCGUGCAUAACCUUCAGCAAUCCAUCGGUAAGCCAAACGUCUCCGGCUAACAUUGCGGUCUUCAGGGAAGAUGGACAUGUACAAGAAACAAGACUUGAGAUAAUAGGGUAGGCCAUCAUAACUUUUCAUGAGAACUGUUUUUAUGACCUCAAACUUUGGAUUCAUCUCCAGCUCAACACUGAUAUGCUCAUCCAGUUUUCUCCACUCUGCAGCAAUUUUUGUUGGUUGAUCAGCCAAGAAGCCACCUAUGGUGACGAUCGCAAGGGGAAGUCCAUUGCACUUCUUUAGGAUUAGUUUUGCUGGUUCAACCAAUGCAGGAUAUUGCUCAGCCAAAUCAGUAGUCCUAUUCUUAAAUACCUGCAAUCGUAGGAAAUAUAAUUAGUCAUUUGACUAUAAUUGAAUUAGACCACUUUUCCUAGUUUAUUUAAUAGCUAGCUAGCAUUCCCCCAGCUUGGGUGGCGAGUACACAGGUAGCCUUGUUGUCACAGCCCCUCAGUCGCAUUGAGAUCAUAAUCCUGUCGGUAUCUGGACUUUGCAUUUAGUGCAGUAUAUACUAAAUGGACAUGCAUCUUCUAAUUCGCACAGUUCACGGACCCACCAUGGGCACAGAAGCAUCCAUACAAGCACUGUAGGCCCUGUUCAAGAAUGUGUCCGAUUAACCAGUUACCUUGCCGAUUAAUCCCUACUCAUAGGGUCACCGACUAGCCGAUAAACUGAUAAAUUGACCGAUUAAUUGACUAAAUGGUUGAUUAAUUUGCCGAUAGCCUAUUAAUGCCCUACUCACCGGCCCACCGAGCAGCUAACAAUUAACGAUUUCCUCAACAAUGACUGUAGGCAUCAUGUGCACUAGGCCACAUCACCGGGCAGGAUGACUGUACGACAUGUGCCGGUACAGCGCUGCUAAUGAUUAUUAACAUUUAAAUACCCAUUAAGUGUACAGUUUAAUAUACUAAAUGCAUACCAGCACCAAAACGGGGGAAUCAGCACUGAUAUGUUCCUCCCAAACAUUGACUAAAUUAUCUGUUUUUUUCAUGAUUAAGUAUUGCUUGAAAAAUUGUAGACUCAUAAAUAUUUCCACAAAAUUACUCAUGUCUGAAGAUGAACCACAUUUAGUAAUGGGUAGCAAGAUUAAUCUCGAGCAAAACUUAAGUUCAUGAUUAAAUAUUGCUUCCAAAACUCUAGAUUCAUCAACAUUUCCAAAGUACCACUCAAAUCUCAAGAUGAACUGCAUUAAGUAACUAGUAGAAAGAUUAAUCUCGACCAAAAAAUGAGUGCAAUCUGGUAGUAAAAUCUGUUAAUCACAGUAAUAGUAUUGAUCUACCAAACUAUGAAUUGGGAUGCAAUUGUUGUCAGAACCUCCAUGCUAAUAAAUUGGUUAAUACACCAACCGAACAGUUUUUUAAAUGAAAAAAAUUCAAAAACAAAUGCUUUUGAAAAUGUACUGGAUUUAUCACAAUUUUCAACUCGUGUAAUAGGAAUUGGCAAUGUGAGACAAAAAAAUCCUCACAAACAUGAAUUGAAAAAAAAAGUGAUUCGCCACGGUUUGACAAAAAAAAUGCGCCGUCCAAGUCCAUGGCUGGCAGCGGCCAUGCUGAUCACGUGGCUCUGAGCUGCAGGUCCAGAUCUAGCUAUGCCUGCCUCGGCUUGCUUGGGGGCUUGUUUGUGCACUCGUGAAAGCCGGAGCGGCGGCUCUGGGAUGAGGUGGUUGCUGCACGCGGUGGCUCAGCUUUUGCCACUAGGGUGAUAGAGUAGUUGACUCGACUGGUGUGUGGCCAGGGGCCAGUGUGGAAGCAGAAUUGUUGGCUUUGGAAACCGUUGCCAUGUUGGAGAGGUUGGCUCCGUCACACACUGACGGAGCCAUCAGCUCGGCUUGUGCACGGCCUCGGUGCCGGUGUGUGUGUGUUGUUCAUGUAUUGGUUUUCGGCUAGUUUUUCUUAUAAACUGGUCAUUCAUUAUUCUACUUAAGGGAAAUGCAGAGCUCCUGCCGGUUGCUCAAAAAAAGCGAGUCACAUAUAAUUUUAUAUGGAAAGUGGUGAGUUCAUGGAAUAUCGUUGGCCUGUUGCUAAUACUGUCCUAACCCAAGCAAUGUGUGAUGUAAUCAGUUUUUUGGUUUAAUUGCUAAAACUGCUGAAACUAUAUCAUUUGUAAAUGAUGAGUCUACGACAUGAGUCAUGGUGGCCUAAUAUUAUGCUUUUGCAACCCGCUUUGAAGUAUCUUUUAUAAAGAUAGUUGGCCAUUAUGUGCUUACAAGAUACUAUUUUGGAAUGACCAUUCAAAACUAAAAACUGAACUGAGAUAAAAAGAGACAAUAUAUUAUUUUGUUAGCAGAUAAGGUGAAUAAUAUAAAGAGCACUAUUUGUUACCUUUCUUGUGAACAGGUGACUUGCAUCCUUCUCUUCAAGACCAUUGAGCAAGCGUAUGCACUUCGGUUUUUUGCAACAAUGCUUAGCAAUAUCCUCUCGCCUUGUGGUUAUCACAAUGACCAGAUUUUCCAUUGCAUGUAAACAUGGCAACAUUUUAUCCCAUUCUGUGCUAGAUGACAGGUCAUCAAGAACAAUCAAACAACUCUUUCCUUCUGAACGUCUGCCCAACACUUCAAUCAACUCUGCAACUCCCAUCAAAGCAAUGUUUUUUUGGGUGUCACCUACAAAGUCCAUGGAUCCCUUGUUUGCAUCUAGUUGCAAUGCCAAGCUCCUAAGGAGUUCCUCAAGCUUGAAAGGUCGCAAGACUGUGACAAAAGCAUAUUUCCCAAACAUGGCAGUGACAUCUUUGCUCUCGAAAACAUUUUUUAUCAGAGUGGUUUUUCCAAGACCACCCAUUCCCCAUACUACUAUCACCUGAAAUUGAUGGGUGCUAGCUUGUUCUACAAUUAGUUCAAUAAUAUCAGAUUUUUCUUUCUCUCGCCCAAUAAGCUGAAAUUCCUCCAGAACACCUGCCAUUGUGUAGGUGCGUGUGAACCUCUUUUGCACUGUCAUAUUUCCCUCAACAUCAGCAUUGGAUUGAUCUUCUUGUAUCUCAUUCUCAGGGAUGUUGGAUAACUUUGUGGUAGAUGCUGGCUUUGAUGGAUAGGUAACGUCAUGAGAACUCUGAACACAAGCAAACAAUAGUUAGAUAAAUCUUUAAUCAUGGGUACUCAAAAGAAAUACUGAUGGGUAAGCUCAACCUUGUCUAUUUCUACACAGGAAUGUUGAUGUGACAACAAACCAGAAAUAGUAUAUCAUGCUCGAAUGGUAUGUAUACAAGUUAAUUUAGCUAGGAUGACCUGGUCAGACUGGACUUCGCCAAAAAUAAUGAAAGUAGUCUAGAAGUUUAAAAGGCAAAAAAGAAGAAGCACAAAUUAUGCAUGAAUACAUCAAAAUUUGAUUGGUACUAGAAGAGAACAUAAAGUAUUGAAAACCUUAGCCCUCAGUAUGGUAUGAACACCAUGAGCAACCGACAAAUACAAAUCCUUUAGAUGUCACUUUUACCAAAGCAUUGGAACAUAGUGUUUAUUUGUAAGAUGGAAUAUCCAUAUUUACACCCCACCCAUGAAGGCUCAAGGAGACACAUUGCCAAGCCUCACUAGCCGACGAGCAGGAAAGCUUUGGUAUUUCACACUAAAUGCCCGCUAAUACCUCUCCACCGAACGGCCAUUACCUCAUCUAGGGACCUGGGCAGAAGACAUCUCUAUCAGCAAGGUCGAUGAGGAAUCCCGGGAGGCUGAGAAUGUAUCCAGUUAGGACCAUCAUGAUAGUCAGGGCCUCAGGGGAGAUAAGUUCCCGACUUGCAAGCUCAGUUGAACAAGAGAGCUGGAUUUGUUCCACACCUAGGGGAUUCUUUGCCGCAUGGAACAGGGGGGCAGUACCAGGAAUUCCCCCUUCCUCACCUUGUGCAAACAUGCAAAUUAAUUUAAGCCUACCCAUGAGACGCUCCAUAGCGAUUACCUUUGGUCACUAUAUAAUACUACUCUAACUGAUAUAAUGGUUCAUAUUUUGGGUGGUCCUUUUGAAAAUCAAAAACAUGUGUUUAAAACUGAAGUAGUACCUGUUUGUAGAAAGCAUAGAUGGUCUGAUCAGCAGACAAUUGCUUCAACUCCGACACCGUACUUGGUUGACCUGGACACAGGCUUGCAACUUCAACAUGUUUUGUGGAUACUAUGAUCUGGCUCCCUAGUUUGUUCUCUGGGAAGCAAAUCUUGAUCUGGUGCCAUUCUUCAAUUGUGGACAGGUCAGUAAGCACAAUCAGGCACCUCUUCUCAUUGACAUAUCCAUUGAAGGCUUGAGCCAAAUCUUGACCCUUCCUUUCGCCCUCCAGCAGAACACCAACUCCUACUGUUGCAUGAAAUUGUUUCACCAUACUCUGGACAAAUUCUGUUGGACUGAAAGGGCGCAUCACCCUGACCCAUGCUCGGCACGGAAAAUUCAAUUUGACGAUUGGAUUCUCGUAGGCCUCCCAGAUGAUGGAGGUAUGCCCAACACUGCCAUUUGUUCCCCAUACACCGAUCACUCCAAUUUGGUUGCCACCCUCCUGGUUGAUCAGUUGGGCAAGAUCCGAUCUUGAUUGGUGUUUCUUUGCGGCGUGCCUUGCUUCUUCAACACCAAACAUGGUGGCAGCAGCUGUAGCAGCAGGCUCAGUGGAGCUAGAGCCCUUGAUGAGGCUGUAGCGCAAGUUCCUCUCGCUCACAUCCUUGACCUUGGUCCUCAGCUCCUUCAUCUGCUUGGCAACAUGGCGCCGGUUGAGGAGUGUGCAAGGGAUGCGCCACCAGGACUGCUUCUUCAUAUGAACGACAAAGUCCUGGAUGCCAUCCUCGACGUCGUAGGACACGUCGCGGACCUGCUUCACCCAGGUCCUGACCACCUUGUUGUGCUCAUCUCGCUCAUCGUGCGCCACCAUCAGAAAAGAUUGCAUCAUCUCCAGCUCGUCCGUGAUGAAGGCCUUGUCGCGCUGGACCCCGAGCUGCAGGGCCACCUCCUCUGCUACGGGAGACUUGGCGGAUCGAAGCGCUGCAUUCAGCACAGACUUGCCGAUGCUCAACGCCGUGGCCUCCAUCAGUGCCGAUGAAGCCUCUCUCUCCUUCUCUUCUAUGAGGGUUUGUGUGGAGUGGAUCUGAGAAUGCAGGUCUCAGGCACACAGGUCCUGUUUAGAUAGAUACUGAAAGUUAGUCUCUGGUAAUCAAAAGGCAUGCAUGGCAGGCCUCGACCAUGUUGCAGAUUAGUUUAAAGUGGGACUCCUAACUACUCCCUCCGUUCCCAAAUACUUGUCUUUCUAGGCAUUUCAAAUGGACUCAACAUACGGAUGUAUGUAGACACAUUUUAAAAUGUAGAUUCACUCAUUUUGCACCGUAUGUAGUCACUUAUUGAAAUCUCUAAAAAGACAAGUAUUUAGGAACGGAGGGAGUACGUAGUAAGCUUUACACCAAUGCCCACCACGCUUUACAGCGAUGCCUCACAUGCGAGGAUUAAUUGUUAACCAGUACCACUACCGAUGGAGCUUCCCCCUCUUUUCCCUUGAGCAUCUGAGAACAGGUCUCAGGCUCCUAGUCAUGUUCAGAUAGUUGAUGGUGGAGGUUAUUCUUUUUUCAAACAAUACUUGUCAGGCCUCGAUCGCAUCACCACGUAUUAGUUCAAUAGACAGUGGGACGCAUCACUAGUAAAUUAACAGCCAAACCUCGGCUUUACAGCGAUGCCUCACAUGACCGUACUAAUUAUCAAUUUGCAGAAUUGUUUCAAUAGAUGCUAGCUGCACUCACCGGGGUGAUCAGUUCCAUCAUUACCCGAUGGAGCCUCUCUCUAUGUCCUCAUGAGCAUUGAACAGGUCAAGUUUAGCAACAUGAUGAUGAUGGAAGUUAUUCUUUCUUUCUUAAUGAAGAAAUGCCAGGCCUCGAUCGCAUUGCACAUUAAUUCCAAUUCACAGUGUGGGGCACACUCAUCACCGGUUAAUUGACUGCCAGCCGUCGGCUGCAGCACUGGUUAGGCUAGCCAUAGUGGGAGUAACGUACCGGUAAGAUGCAUUUGGGACUAGUAAACAUGUUUAUGUGGCACACAAUUAAAGAAGAAAGAGAGGGUUAGAGUAACAUAGGUAGAUACUGUAUCAUGUUAAAUGCUAUGCUACUUUGUGUCAUGCAUGACAAUAAAUAUAAUAAUGUGUAUGAUACUAAUUUAUGAUAUUAUACACUAUGAAAGUAAUAUCAUACACUUGUAUCAUAUGCAUGACACUAGUAUAUAUGAUACUCCCCACUAUGAGUAGCUUUAAUUGACACCCAACCGAUCAUUAUAUGCCAACACAAAGUUUUAGUACCAUUUAUCGAUCGGCAUAUAUACAUGAUGCACUUUGUGGGAUGUCGGGACUCACUUCCGUGGGGCAUGUGCUCCGUUCAGCUCCCAAGAUCGCAUCGCGUAUUAAUUUAACCAACAGUGGGACUCAUCACUGGUUAGGCUUUACAGCGAGGAUGCAACUGGUCUAUCUACUGAAGAAUAAAGUUUAUGCUUGUGCUAAGAGAAAAACAGUAAGACUCAUCACUGGUUAGGCUUUACAGCGAUGAUAGGAAUGGGAGUAACAAUUGUCAAUUUUGUACUACUACGCAUAUUUGUUUAGCAGUGGUAUUGAUCAGGUACAUCCAUGAUAGGAUUAACAACUAUUAAUUUGUACUAAGCUUUCAAUGUGCAGAGUAACCCCCGGGCCGCAUCCCUCCCUCACCACUGCUCAAUUUAAUCUAUAAUAUCUAUUCUCUAAUCACCCUCAUCCUUCCAAAGUGUCUAACUUCCCGGCCGGUCACCCAUCCUGUCAGUACUGUAGUCUGAGCACGCUUAACUUUCGAGUUCUAUUCCCCCUAGUUUCCAAGUCUGCACUUGUUGUUUUCCUGACAAUAGUAAGAUGUCAAUUCUAUUAACCAACAGGAGUUUAGCUUGAGCAUGAAGUCACACUUUUCACUGUUUGAGUUUGAAACUAUUAUUUUAAAAAACAAUAAUUAUUUAGUAACACUAAUAUUUCUUGAAUAAGUAGUUUGACCACAGUUUGACCAAAAUUCAAAAAAACUGAAAUAAUUAUUUAGUAACACUAAUAUUCUUGAAUAAUUAUUUAGUAACACUACUACUUCUUGAAUAAGUAGUUUGACCACAGUUUGACCAGAUUUAAUCAAAAUUCAAAAAAAAAUAAAAUUUGAGCAUAACUUUUUUUCCUCUUAGAAUUUGAGGAUUCUAAAAAUUUGCAAAAUGGUCUACGGCGGACUAAAGGGCAUCGCACCCUUUAGUCCGGUUCGUGUCUCAAACCGGGACUAAAGGUCCCAUUUGAAUCGGGACUAAUGCCUUCCGACGCCCUAGCCGCUCGAACCGGGACUAAUUCUCACAUUAGUCCCGGUUCUUAAUGCAACCAGGACUAAAGGGUGCAUUGAGUUGUGACCAAAGCCCUGCUUUCUACUUGUGUCCAACCUCGGAGGUCCUAGGCGUCGCCGUCGGAGAGGAAGCAUGUCCCCAGCACGUCAACGGGCACCUCGGCGCGGCACUCAGCCACAGCCCCAGCUCCGGCCCCCGCCACAAACCCCCUCCUUCCUUCCGUUCCUCGAGCGGCACACCACCCGUGCCCGCGCUGCUCCCCUACGGCGCGCGGGGCCUCCGGAGUCACCGCCCAGGCAAAGCACAGGCGGCUGAUGGCAAGGAGGUGCGCCACGCUUCGCGGCUGAGGCCUGGUGGCCUCGAAUCCUUGGGCUCCGACGGCAGAUCAAGUCCAUUGCGCUGAAUUUUCAAGAGCACAAAGAUGAGCCAGGUUCGGGGUCGUCAGCGGCGACGAGGAACCACCUCGGUUGAACACGGCUGCGGAAGGGGGACGAGACAGAGGCGAUGAGCUUUGGUUCACAGCUGGAUAAACGAAAAAAAUGCUCAUACUCCCUCCGUUCCACAAUGUAGUGUAUAUAGAUUUUUCCAAAAGUCAAAUAUAAUGAAGUUUGAGCAAGUUUGUAGUAAAAAAAUAUUUUUUUGGAAAGGGGCUUUUUAUUACUAAAAAUAUUUAAGCAUUACACUCGGCCUCUUCAUAACUAAGAUGCACGCAGCCAAACAAAGUCCUCUCACAUAAACGAAAAAAAAACGAAAUACACUAGUAAGGCAGCUUACUGUUUCGCAUGGACGGUGCCCUACUGUGAAAUGUACUACUUGCCAUGUGAAACAGUUGCUGCCUGACUCUUCGAGAUCAUGGUGAUCACCAAGGACAGAAGAAAAGAGUUGUAAACAAGCAAUCACGUAUGAUGCAAAAAUACUGACAAGUUUUCUCCAUCCAAUCCAAGCAUUUUACAAUUGCCAAAGGUAUUACCACCACCUUAUUGCAACAGCCCAACGAUGGGUGCACAUCGCCGGCUGGAACAUACAGAUACAGAGCAUCUUAUAUUGCAGAGCCGAUUCAAUCUUCACCAAAUCAAAAUAGAGGCCCAAAGCAGAAUUGGCAUACACACCAAUUGCAAAAGAAAAUGGUGACAAGCGUAGCAUAUGAUGCAACAUAGUACAGACUACUGACGAAUUUUAUGCAUCUAAUUCAGAUAGUUUUACAAUCGCCUAAGAUAUCACCACACCCAUAUUAAGCAGCCCAACAGAAAAUACGGUUACAGAGCAUCAUAUAUUGCAGUGGCCAUUCUUUCUUCAUAAAAUCAAAGAGAGCCCCAAAGCAGAAAAGAGAAGAGAAGUACCAGAUCUAACAGACGCAGAACAACAAUGUCGUCGAGGCGUGGGCUUUAUUUCGGACCAUUGUUACAAUAUUACUAACGAGGAAUGCAAAUGAUAAAACAAUGAGAGUAGGUAAAAGAUAGAUUCUCCAAUGGCAUGGCAUGGCAGCCACUCAAUCAGAAUAUUUAGGAGAGAAGUUGCACCAGGUUUCUAAGCUCAUUCCACUGUUCGAAUCAACCACGUAGUGAAAGUCCUGUCCGGUACGGACUAGUAGCAGUCACCGAGUCGGUAUUGUAAUAGGCUAGCAGCCAAUGUUUUAAAUAGCCGUCCGCUAUAGCCCUUUCAGCAGGAUGCCGUUAAAUGGUUGCCUUCACAAAUAGCCCGCUAUAUCCCGAUAUAAACCGCUAUAGCUCCACUAUAGCUGUUUUUGGAGGCCUGCCGCUAUUUUCAAUGAGCUUUUUUACUGUACCCUGGUACUCCAAGAACAUACCCCGGAGUACCAAACAGAUCUGACAGUCCAUGGUGAAGGGCAACUUUGUUAUUUCUGAUUGAGGCUAAGAGCUCUCUCGGUAGGGCUGGAGAAAAAACAAGGACCCGGUUUCUCUGUGCAUCUCGAUCGAAUGGCGGGGGCGCCUCAUCCCGAUCCAUUUUCUGCUGCACGCCGCCACGAUCGCUCCUUCUCCUUCCCCUUCCCCGCACCCCCACCCCACCCCGAAAUCUCUCCCGACAGCGACCAUACCGACCUGCCCUCGCCGUCCCCUGUGCGGAUCGUUUCUAGUCGUCGCCGCCCGCUGGAGAUCGACGUCCCUCCAUAUCAUUGCCCCGGUUGAGGACAGUAGGAUGUCGACCCCUUUGGAUUUUAUCACAGCAAAAAAAUAGCUGAUAAAAUCUAGAUGAUCUGAAUGUGGUAGCAUGGCAAUUGAUCGGAUGAUUACUAAAUUUGCUGCUACAUGAAGAACUCGUCGGACGUCAAUGCCCUAGUAAACAAGAAACCAAAAUACCCUAACAAGAAAUAAUGACAUGGUUGAUUGAUUACGGUGUUGCCCCUUAGAUCAGGGUACUCCAUGACUUUUCAAGUCAGUACUCCGCAGGGCUACCGAUGGAGUACCCAAUUAUGUUAGCCGUUGGAUCAGUGAAAAUAGAGGGUCUACAUUAAUUCUGGGGUACAGUAAAAUAACUCAAUUUCAUUUGGCUGCCAUCUAGUUUUACCGUUCCAAACUCUGUUCCGAUUAUUCCACCAGUGCCACCAGAAAUUGAAUAGCAUGGCAACUUUGUCUACGUGUAUCGUCCAUAGGGCAUCCAUAGCUGCAUACACAGAUGAACACUUCUCCAACUUUGUUCUCACCUCCUCUAAGCCCAGCAUUCGCCACACUUCCUUGACCUCCUUACACCUAGACCCGUCAAUUGGCAGGUACUAUACCCGUCAAGGUGGCCCGUGGAUUAAUUUGAUGGUUCUCAGGAGUUCCCUGCACUGCACGGCCACAAGCAUAAAAGUAUCCUUCUCCUUGGCCACAUAACCUGACGUACCUUGACUGUAAAUUUUUUUGCCAGAGCGCGCCUGGGAGUGUUCCUCGUUGAGCAGGACGCGCUCCACGCCCGUCUCUGUGGACACGGUAAGCGCGCACAGGCUCGCCAGGACGAGCGUGGACUUCUCGGUGCCGCCCUCCGUCAGGUGGAUCUGCUCCUUGCGCUCGCGCCAGGGCUCGGUGCAGUCCCGCGAGAAGUGUCCCAGCUUGUUGCAGUCGUAGCACUUGACUUUGCUCAUGUCACGGCCGCCGCCGCAACCACCGGAUCCCCAGGAGCCGCCAGGGUCAGCAGCAUUCUAAGGCAGGCGAGAGUCGUUCCUCUGUUAGAGUAAAUCCGAGGCGCUCCGUCGAUGUACCGAGUACCAAGCAAUCACACAAGCACGACAUCGAGAUUUGUUAACGAGGUUCACCGAUAUGGCUACAUCCCCGGGGCAUGACUACGGGCGCUCCUCCCCAUGACACCGUCACAAUACCGCACACAGGCUGCCCGGGCGCCGGCACACGCCGCCGGCUCCCCCGCGUACCCGUACUAUUAUGUUGGCAUAGGUUACAUCGUGUGUCUACCCCGCUAUAUAUGAGAGGUCUAGGAUACAAGUGUCCUACUUGGACACGACUCCAUAUCCUAUCUACACACCGUACGACUUCAAGUCCAACUGUAACCUAACUUGUACAAUAAUAUUCGACACAACUCUAACAAAUUCCACCUUGACGAAUAUUCUCCACCACCUUGAAUUCGUCCGUGCGUCGAAUCUUCAUGUACAUUGGACUUGAGAUACGCCAUGAGCACUGCUGCCCUUCUCGUCUUCUUCACAGUCAACACUUGAGCACAGUUAAGUUUUCCAUUACUCUACUUUGUGCUCCCAACUUUCGGAGAAUCCGUUCAACACCAUCACGCACCGACCACUGUCUACGUGAAAGUGAACAACUCAAGUGUUAGACGCCACAUAUAAGAGUUAGCUGAACUCAACAUCCCCACUCUUUCCUGACCGUCUGUCUGAAACUUGAAGGAAUUUCACCGUCGCCCUGUGUCACCUUGAUUCAAAUUUGCAGUUGUCUCACCCUUCUUUUGGAUAGUCUCUGGCAUGUCUCACAGCUAUAGCACUCCGCCCCCUUCUGUAUUUGUCAUCUGCACUUUGCCAUGUGCACUGAACACCACAGAAUAUACGACCAUGUACUCUCUCAGCUUUUGACAAUUUCAGACUUUCCGCCACUUUCUCAGAUUCUCCACGGUCAACUCCUGUCCAUCAACUAGCACCGAUAGACCCAGUCACCAACUUGAAUCCGGUACUCGUCAACACUGCUUCAGCACCCCCUGCACAAUUUGUGUGACCAAACGUCUCACCAUUAGUGCCUUGGUCUAUCGCUGUGUCCCGUGCUUAACGCACGCCUCGCCGUUAUGACCGCGUCGAGCCUCUGCUGUCCUGGUCGAGUCUCCCAGGUAGCUAGCCCACACUGCCUCAACCCCCACUGCAGAGAACCACCGAUCAUCAUCAACCGAUGCCGAGUAUCACGUCUCCAUCAGACCAUUGGGCCCCAGUCCGAUCCACGUGUCUCUCGCUAUCCCGCUGAAAUAGGCUUCAAUUCUCUGAUAUCUUACACUGUAGCCCCUUCAUCAGCACAGAGUGAAGUCACCCAUCAGACUCCAACUCCGCCUUCAACAUGACUCCAUGGUGGUUGUACAUGCCACCCACGCGCCCUGUUGACUUCAAGCUCUUAUGUGUACACUGCCUUGAAUCAACCAUGCGUCAUAGUCCGUCGAAGCAGCACAAGUCCUCAGACCUGCACCAUGUGUUUCCACGCCCCAGAAGUCGGCCACCAUCAGCAUCACGCUCCUAUGUCGUCGUCGCUGAAAUCACCACCAUCUUCUGCUUUGACCGACAUCCCCGUCGAUCCAUCAGACAGUCCAGUCUGACCCAGCCAAAACUAUCCGACUGCAACCAUACUCCACCCUGCGUCGUGUCCGCCCGCACAUCUCCGUGCAUCGCUUGACGCCCCGUGUAUGCAUGAUCCUGCCACGGCAUGCUCCAGACUCCUCCGACGCUUAUACGCAUGUCGUCGUCCCUGAUUCCUGUUUAAUUGCUCGUGUUGAACAUCGCUCCUGCUGCCAUAAUGCCAUCUCCGAUCCAUGUGCAAAACAAAGAAUCCCAAAAAAGUAGUCCCUCGUAGCCUUGUGCCCGUGUAGCAACUAGCUCAAUAUAAACUAUCAGCUCCAUAAUAAACAACACAUGUGGCCACCUUUGCUAUCUUCCUUGCUCUUUCCUUUUUUCCAAGAUCUUCAUCCAGUGUGCGCAGCUAUUUUCAUGUUCUGACACACUGCAAAGUCUCCCGGAACCAGACUUCUUUUUCUUUAAACAAAUCUCGCAUGCAGCGGCUGCUGGUUCCUAUUCGGGCAUGGCCAACGGUAUUGAACAUAUAAAGCCUGCUAUGCUACCCGCCAUUCUAGAGCAACCGCGUGCGCUGCUCCUGUUGGGCCGAACGAUCUAUCUACUGUAGCUGUAUUUUGGCUGCUGGCAGCAGGUCAGCCGUCGGUUGUUUUUCACGUUUCGUAGUUGCUUCAUAAAUGGAUGAUGAGUGGGGCUGGCUAUGCGUGGGGUCAAUACAACAUAAUGAUUUUUCUCCUGCCCUGCGUAAAAGAAAAAAAACAUAGACCGACGAGCGGUAAAAGGAAAAGGCGACGCAGCUUCCUCCUCCCCUCGGUCUUUUCUCGCCUUCUCCUCUCCGCCCUCUCGCUCGCCGUCGCCACCAUGGCCUCCCCUGCCGCUCAUCUCCACCUCCUCCUGCGGGUCCAAUCCCUGCCCACUCCAUCCCCUCAGCCCAUGGAUUCCGGGGCAUCCCCUCUCGGCCACCACCUCUCCUUCUCUCUUUGUUUCCCCCAAGUCCCGAUCUGGAGCGGGAGAGACAGAUACGGCCAAAAGCGCCGGUGCCGGCGUGGGAUGAUAGAGGCCGCCACCUCUCCUCACCUCCUCCCAUGUUCCGGUGGCGGCACCGGGGAAGAAAGGAGCAGCAGCCAUAGCAGGCGCGGUGCUGGCAAACGCGAGCGGCAGUUAGCCGCAGCAGGAGGCGGUGUUGAUGAGGUGGCGGUCUGUGCCGUCGCCGCCGCUGUCGUACUCUGGGAGAAGGUCAAGACAACAUGAAUCAACAACGCCACGGCGAGAGAAACGACCAUGGGUCCUGGAGCCGAGGUAACCCUCACAUCCCCUUCAUCCAUUCUCAUCCCUCCCUCCCUCACUCCUUUUUGCUUGCUGCCGCUGCAGCUCUCUCUAUCUCUCUCACCUGAUUUGCUCUCUCCUCUCUCUUCCAUUCAUUUCUUAUGAUUUAAUCCCCAAAAAAUUCAUCUUUGUUUGUUCUAUGCCUACAAGGUGUUCGAUAAAAUUUUAGCUUGGCUUUAGCGAAAUAUUAAUGCUAAUAAUGUAUGUAAAUUUUAUCCUCUGUUGACUUCCACUAAUUUCUUUUUCCCGAAAUUUAGCUGCAGAUUUUAUGACUUGUCUGUACAGUAUAUUACGUUCUGAUUAUGUGGCUUGCAUGAACUAUCUAUGGCCUCUGUUAUAACUUUUUCUUGUCUUAUUCAUCACACUGGAAUCGAUUGUAUGUAAAUUAUCUUCUAAGUGAUGUUGAUGGAAAAGAAAGUUCAUCCAAAAAGAAAUAUAUGUGCUCCAUCGCAGGAAUUAUAUUCCAGGGAUUAGUUCUUCAAGCAUUUAUUUUGAUUAGAAUUUGCAUGUAAGCGUAAUAAAUAAAUAAAUAAAUGUAUAUUCAAACUUAACUGAAAUUACUCUUAUCUGUUUCUCUAAUGUUGACAAGUGCAUGACCUAAAAUCAGAAUUCUCUGAAAGCUUUGUUACCCUAAUGAGACAAAGUAAGACUGCUCGGUGUGUUGAUGAUGUAAUAGAUUUAACAUAUAUUUCAGACCUUCGCAAUAAGCAUCACACGGACCUGGAGAGUUUAGCGUUGACGUCACGGACAUUGAGAACACUUUGCAUUACCCUCAAAAAAGAGAACACUUUGCAUUAUUUGUGCUAGCCAUUGGAGAGAGUAUAAGAAGCACAUGUUCCCGUGUUCUGAAAGAAGUUGUUGGUUUCGCUACCUGUUUGCUUCUCUUGGUAAAUGAGGGCUCACAUGAGAAGGUAUCAUCAUCUUUCUGUUUUAGUACAUUUAUGUAUUUCAAAUUAGACGAAUUGAGUGGCGGUAUAGUGAAUUGAACUGCAAGUAUGCAAAUUAAUAGAGCACUACUUUCACAAUCUCUGGAUAUGCAUGUGUUGCUUUUGAAUGGUGAAAUCACUGAAAUGUAUUAUAUAUUUUUCUGAAUGAGAAGGGUUAAGGUUUAUACCCUGCAUUUUUUAAAAUUAGGUAGCUAGAUGUUAGACUCGAACCUAUGUGAGUGGGAGCAUUCGUCUACCCUGCCUAUGGUGCAUGAGCUCUUGCAGCAGGAUAAACCAUUAUAUUUCGUCUACAAUGCAGCAUAUGCAGGAACUGCUUUGGUAUACCAGAUUUGUAUUAUCGUGCAACUAAGUAUUUAUCAUUGCAGUUCAGUUCUCAGCACGUCAUUUAUUUUUGCAGGCUCUGGCUUGCACACCUUUGUUGUAUUUAGGGCCUCAUAUUGCCCUUUUCACAAUGAAAGUGGUUCAGUGUGGCCGGGUUGAUUUAAAGAGUGCUCCUUCUGACACUAUUCUUUUUAAAAGUAGGCCUUCAUGGUUGGAGAAAGACUGUCCGGAGUUUGGAUCUCCAGUGUAUCAGGAAACAAUCCCAUUUAGCAAAAUACUCCAUGAAGUUCAUCUUCAAGUUGUUCCUUGGGGCAUUGGGACCGCACUUGGAGAGCUUCCUCCAUAUUUUGUUUCUAGAGCAGGUUAUGUUUAUAAUGUUUUGCUCUUGCCAACUCGAACAUAAUGUACCUUUGUAAUCAUCUCAUGCUAUACCUCAUUAUUCUUUAAGUUUUUAUUCCAGGGCUUCAUUGUGAAUUGCUUAAAUUAUGUAUAAAUGCUUCACCGUGUCCAAACUUACAUGAACACAUCACAUGUGUAAUUAAGUGUCAGAAAGAAGUGCAUAGUCCUAUUAGCAAGAAGCUUCUUGAUUGAUUACAAAUUAAUCAAACAUCUAUCUAUAGCACACUUUGAUCAGUGAUGACAGUUGGAUUUUUAUUUGAUUAUUGCUUAUUUGUGUGCCAUCUUCCAGUAUAGCCUUCAAUGAGAUAUAUAGUUAUCCUGUGUGCAGAGCAGAGUAUAUAUAAAGUUUAGUUUUAUGGUCCUGCUCAGAUGUUAGAUCUUGAAUGCAUUUAAGUAACAUCCAUGCUCCCUCUUAAGUCUUUUGUGAGUCUUCCUUUGCUACUUCUCUGAUGGUUCUGUUUAAAUGACAAUCUUUUUGUUCCCAUUUUUUUGUGAUUAUGUCUAAUAACUAUACGAUAAGCUGACUUAUCUGGCUUAUAAGUGUUAGAAUCUCGACCUCAUAAGUGAUCAUUAAAGAUUAGCCUAAAUUAAGGCUAAACAAUCCUUGAUCUUAGUGUUCUCUUUGGAAGAAUUACUGAUGUGGACAAUCCAUGUUUCUAGCAUUUUAUUGUACCUCUCUAAAAUUCCCACUCACAUGGUUAGAUGCUAUUCCAUUCGUCUCCAUUGUCAUUGACGCCGUACAGGCUUAAGCCUCUUUGUCCCUCUACUGUAAUCUAGCAAUAUAUCAAUGCUUAAUUUGAUUCAGUUCUUGCAGCAUAGAUAGCAUUAAAAUGCUUGAUGUUUUGCCUCUUUGGGUGGCCUUGCUUGAUGUUCUCCUGAUGUCUAUAGAUUGUUACAACGGAAUGACUUGUCAGACUCUUUGUAUGCUUAUAAGCUUAUCAGUUCAUUUUUCAAGAUUAGAAUGUUAUCAAUGAUGGCCACUUCCAGGUUGUUGAUAAUGCAUUUGCAGAUCAUUGGUGUGUGUGUGUGUGUGUGCUUACCCCUUUGAUAAUCAAUAUGGUGCAGAUGCGUCUAUCAUAGAUUUCAUUUGACAUUUGAUGUGAAUACUACAUGUUGCAACGAUAAAAGGUAUCCAUGAGGUUCUUCCCAUCAAAUGUAUUUAAAAUUCACUAUCCGGUUUUUGCCUAUUUAGUUUGUUUGCAGAUUAUUUUUGGGUGGUUGUGUUGAUCUCUUGGCAAUUUAUCGAUAGCCUUGGAAGCUUCAAUUAAGUUAAUCAGGAUUAGAAGAUUAUUCAUUAAUUAAAUUAUGAGUUUAGUAUUCCCAUAUGCUUCUUUGGUCAUAAAAGAAAGUAAUAAAUUGGCUGUUCUGUAUAGGUUUUAUCAGUUAAUUGUAUUCUGGACUAGAAGAUUUUUCAUUCACUUAUCUGAAUUUUGUAGCUCACUAGGUACCUCCUGUAAUUAGGUGUACACAAGUCUUCUGUAGAACCUGAUUGUUGAUAUCUCCUAAAAAUAGGAAGGUUAUCGUUCAUUACCAACUGUAUCAGGACACUUUUGUAGAAGAUAUGGCUUAUUGUGCAUUAAAACAGUAGCCACAAAGUUUGGUCUUUCUAUUAUUUCUCUAUACAUUUGAUUUGGAUUGUCCGAGAAGCCUCCGUCAAUACUAAAAUGUUUGUUGUUUGUUUUGUUGUUGGUCUACAAACAUUUAUAUUUUGAGAAUCAUUCUGAAACCGGGGUUCAAAGCACUGAGGAAAUAUGUUCUAUUUCUGAGUCUUGUGCUAAUGCUUCAAAGGGAGAUGAAGAAAAAGAAUCAGAACUAUUGACCCACUGUAUCUACUAGCAGACUAAAAGGUUUGGUUCCAACUCCAUUCAAUGUCUGUGAUUAGCAACAUGGCACACAUCUCACUCAUAAUUUUCUUUGUUACUAUGUUUUGCACAGGAACACUGUAAUGCCCAGUAAGGUACUGACGUGUUAUGCAACUGCAGUCCUAUAAUGAAUUAAAGUUUCAGUUCAAGUUGUUCACCAGGUUGUUCUUCCCCCAUCAUUCCCUAUAUUUUCUUUUUGUAAAUUACAUACUGAGCUAUAGGUUGAUCGGGUUUGUUGCAUGAGGCAGAACAAGAAUAAGAACAUUUGUUAGCUUUUCAUGUGUAGGUUCAGCAGUGGGCAAUGCUUGAGACAGAGUUGGGCGCACAACAUAUAUAUAAAUAUGUCGUCGCUUCUGAAUAAACAUAGAUGAGCUGCAGCAGGGAUGAGAUAUCUGUCCGACUGUCAUCCUUCGCUGAUUUGGGUUUGUCAUUUCUGUCAGCGUCCGCUUCCUUCGUUGGUUGUCAAUUGUUUGCACGCUGCUGUAGUUCAGAGAUCAUAAUAUAUUUUCCAGGGAUACAAUCGACUAUGUCACCCAGUUGCUAAUAUAAUUGUUCAGUUCUAUCUCAUAGAGAUUCUUACAAAAUAUCAUGCAUACAAGUCCCAGUUUAAGUUGAAUAUAACCACUGGAUUAUUCAAAUGCAGAUUCUUUUGUAACUUAAGAGGUUAUACAUAGUUGCAUGCACUUACUUUAGCUAAGAGGAGCACAACAUUGGAGAGAAAGGAAAUGAUCAAAGUUAAUCUAUUUCAGGUACAUAUUUUGUACUGAUUGAAACAUAUGAGCAAGGUUGUCGCUGUGAUGUUCUAUGUCAUAGUUUUCCCAUGUAAUAUGAUUACAUGUUCCACUUUUAAUCCAAACAUGCUAAUACUGUUCUUUCAUUCAGAAGCUGUCACUAACACUUAAUAACAAUGAAAAUUUAUGUUCUAAAAAAUCCGACUAAACUUUAUUAUCCUAUUUAUUAGUGCAUUUUAUAAACCUUUGUAAGCGUCAUGAUUUCUUCUGUUAAUACAAUUUGGUUGUUCCAAUUCAUAUUUAUAUUGUGUUCUGGGCUUACAGAAGAGGAAAAAUCAUAAGUUCUGGUAUAUACCGGGCCGGCACGGGAUAUUGGACGAGGCGAGGUUGUUCCACUUGCUCAAUUGCUAUAGACUUGACCUUUUCCAUCCCUUUCUUCUCCUCUCUGUGCACCAGCAUUCUCUCACCCACCCUCUCUUCUCCAUUCCAUCGCCAGUGUUCCUCUGCAUCGGAAAGAUGAGUUUGAUUGCAAGAUCUGCUUCCUCACCCGCAAGAUCAGCUCCCUCCCCUUUAUGCAUCGUGCCGGCAGGUCAAUUCUUCAGGUGAAUCAUCACCAGAUCAAGCUGGCUCACCCACUUCCAGGCAUACCUUGACCAAUAGCACGGUAUUAUUUCAGUUUUCAGUCAUUGUUUUUCCUAGAGACAUGGUCAAAAUAGAAAAGUUUUACUUCUGAGACAAACACAGAAGUGUAGUUAUUCUUCGUGAUUGAAAUCGAUAUUUGUUUCAUUGUUAACAAGAAUAGAUCGGUCGUUCAUGCGGAUGACUAACCUGUUGAUCUAUUUAUGGAAAUUGCAAAAAUGUCCGAUUCAUCCUAGCUAAUUCAAGUUAACUUGACUACAACAGUAUAUAUCUUUAUUUACAAGCUCUGCUCCACAUGGACAACAAUAAUAGUGGAUAGGCAGUGUAAUUCAGAGAGAAUCAGACAUCAGUCUGAUGGUACUUAAUAUUUGCUUCUAUAACCUGAUCUGAUAAAUGCUAUCAUAUCAAGUGUGAGAGAAUGAAGUUCCUUCUCUGGUUAAACUACCGGUUCCUGUUGCGUGUCCUAAACAUGGAUAUUGCAAAGAAAGGUACGGCAUGGUAACCAACACGAGCAACAAGAUAGUAUAAUCCUUCAACAUAAGUAAAACAUAAGAUAGGGAAUUCAUGAUGCUUGCCUUCCUGGUCAAUGUCCCAAUGAAGCUGCAGAUCGAACUCGUAAUUCCCCUCAUUGCCUGACUCUAUUGAAACGAUGAAGAAACCCUGGAAAAAAACCAAACGGAGGAAAAUCAAUAUUCAUGAAUUUCCAAAACGUGUACAGUGCAUGAAUUGUAUUCGUUGUCAUCCAGAAAGUUGAAUAUGAAGCUACUGAAAUUGGGAAUAACAUUUUCUUAGAGUUCUACAAUGCAAGUUAUGAAUUUUUAAAGAUUUAAAGACAUUUUGUUAAAGUGCAUCUUCCUUUAUUUCUAAGCAACAAUACUGACUAAGCUUAUAUAUGUCUGUUCCUUAGAAAGGGGAUAUGGAGUAGUACGAGAAAGGGGAUCCAGGAGCAACCAACAUAUACAAGCUUAGUACUACUACAAACCAAACUAGAAUGAUUUUGUUAUGGAUUUUACAAGUUCAACGGGUUGAGCAUUUUUAUGUGAUUUUCCUGAUAAAUCAAAUGUUAGAAUGAAAACUUUUAUACACAGGGAAGUAUAUCCUUUGUCUGAUAGUGUGAUGAGCAAGUAAAUUAAACAGUGUUGAAUAUGACCAUGUUUUUUCAUGCAAAUCAAUCUGUCUUUCUAUAAUCUACAGGCAGGUCAUGGCUAACAUCAUCAAGCAUCAACAGCAAGCAACAAGCAGCCAGCAGCAAAGAAGGGACAGGUUGAUAAAAAAAGCAAAGAAGGGACAGGAGCAAAGCAGCUAGCAGCAAAGAAGGGACGGCAAGCAACAAGCAGCCAGCAGCAAAGAAGGGACAAGUUGAUAAAAAAAGCAAAGAAGGGACAGGAGCAAAGCAGCCAACAGCAAAGAAGGGACAGGAGCAAAGCAUCCAGUGGCAGCAAAUAGAAAACAACAUCAGCAGCACGCAGCCAGCAACAUGCAGAGGUGAUUUCUCACCAUGCUGCAAGUGGCAAGGUCGUACGGAGCAGAGCAACGAGCUCCGGACAACGACAAUGGCGGUCAACGUCAGGGAAGAAGUAGGAGGGACCCGCGGCUUCGAGUCCAUUGUCCAGAGGAGAUGCGGACAACACGGAGCCCGUCACAAUCUCUGGAACUGUUCGGUGAGGAGGAUGACUGCGAUGUCGUAGUGGCGGCCGGCAGAAUCGACGAAGGUGGCCUGGGUCCAAGGGGCUGCUGCACGUUGGUGCCCGGAAUCACCAUUAAAGGAACAAUGGAGCUAAGGGAACUACCUAGGAGCAAGAACGCACCGGAAAAACAAGGUGGUUCACGGCGGCGUCCAGCGGGCCUGCAUGUCGAAGCCGGAGGCACGGACGUUGAUCCGGACUGAGGGCUAGCGUAUCCCGCCGAUUCCUGAGGCUGGUGUUGCAACGGCGACCGGCUUCCGGCUUCCCCAGCGAGCUAGACGAGAAAGGGGAUCCAGGAGAACAGGAAAUGAAGUGAGGGAAGUAGUGGGCUGGAGUAAGAGAUAAGGUGAAGGGGCAUGGGUUCACGGACGCGUGUGGCGUGUCCCUGCGAGACGGUGAUAAGGCGAUUUUGUCCUGACCUGGAAGACCCAUUGCUAAGUGGCAAACGGACGGUUUGGGAAAAAAUAAAAAGAAAAUGAAAUUGGCUGGAAUAUUCCUCCUCUACUCCUUCAUAAGCUUUGCUCUAAAAUUUUAAAUAUCUACUUAUAUAAUAUAAUUAUGAAAUUUCAGUAUAUAUACAGUAUGCAUAGAUCUUAUUAUUCCACAUGUUUUUUAUGAUGAAAACACAUCCAGAGAAAGGUUCUAAUGUAAUGAAGUGCAUUUAUUUAUGAUAGCUCUUCCAUCCUAAUAAGCACCGGUGGAGCUUAGUGUAGUGUUGGGGGGUCUUCACCCUUGCACAUUUCUCUGAAGAAAAAAUAAAUAGAGGGUUAAGAUGGAAGCAAAAUUAGUAUUUCGCCCCCUCUGAAGAAAAAAUAAAUAGAGGACUAACAUUUAUCGGGUUGUUGAUCCAUGCAAUAUAUGUUAUGAACAGGUUUAAAAAAAUGGUCUUGGUGAAAAGUUUUGUUGUAUAAAUAGCUUUAUGCCAUUUUUUAGCUUUUCUUGAUUUUGUUAUGUUGGCUUUUAUUAAAUUUUGUUUUAGUUGACUAAACCUUCUAUUCAAUCAUUUUGUAUGCUUGGGUUAGAAUCUAACAAAGCUGCUUCUGGAUGCUCUGAUGCACAUGCAAACACACGCCGCUUUCGCCCAAAGUUGGUCCUGAAUCAAUCUCAUAUGUAUUGUUUGAAUACUCGGCUACCUCUGGCUUUGGCACCACAGGCGCACGGGUCAUCUAGAGUCAUGAAGAAAAGGGCGAGAGCCCAGUAAAUAGAUAUUCUAAAAGUCCUGAAUCAAGCAAGAUAAACACAUGAUGGUGAAGUGAAGGAACUUUACCGCAUAAUAAAUACAAACUUCAUAGCAAGAUCAACACCCAAAGCCAACAAUCUAAAAUAUAUUUUAUCACAGAUAAGAUAUGUUGUUGAUCGUCUUAAUGGUAUAAGUUUAAAACCAGAAGCCAUUGUACAGAAAACAAACAAGUAUUAUUGAGCUUGGAUGAUGAUAUUGAAGAAAUUUCUGCUCUGAGCAAUGCAGGCCAUGAAGAACAAUGGCUAUGAAGACUUGCCAUAAGUUUAUAAUCAGAAGCCGUUGUACCAAAAACAAACAAGUAUUAUUGGAGCCUGGACGAUGAUAUUGAAGAAAUUUCUGCUCUGAGCAAUGCAAGCCAUGAAGAACAGCAGCUAUGAAGACUUGCCUCAAAGAAAUCGUUCUAAACAUCCAACAAUACAUUUGUCUAACAUAUCUCUGCCUAUCUACAAGUCUUGCUCAUAACAUUGUAAAUGAUCGUCAGUAAGCUUCUUAGAAAACAUGUAUCAUCAACAACCAUCUAUCUAUCAUCAAUCCGUACUUAUUUUCAUAUGUUUCCCUCUGUGUCUACAUAUUUUGAUGCACACUCUUUCUAUACUUGGCUUUCUCUCGGCCUUUGCGCCAUGGGUGCAACGGGUCAUCUAGUGCUUCAGAACAGAUGCCCCGCAGCCAACUAGGCUCGGAUUUCAGCGUGGAGCAAGUUUAGUAGCCUCGCAGUCUGUCAGGGUAGCUUGCAGAAGAGAUCGCUGCCCCAUGAGAAAGAGAAGAAAAAGAGAAGAGAGAGAAGAAAAGCAUAUGGAGAGAUGGCGCUGCAUGCCUGGUUGAAAGCAGGAAGAUGACGAUGUUGGGGCCCAUAGUACCGAUCGCUUCAGCCAUAGGCGUUGGGUGAAAAUAACUUAAUGGGUGCCUCAUCUUUUCUCUAUCUAGCUGGAGGGGCUGGGGCAGCACCUUGGUGCAGCCUCCAUUGUACAUGCCCUUCGGCGCUAAAGCAUUUUCGCUAACGGGCGCAUACCGCAUACCCACCCUUCGCGCUGGGCUGGCCCAUCUGCUCUUUUCUCUCUUCUGUUUUUUGCAGAAAAAAUGCGGCUAAGGUGAGACUCGAACACAGGACCUGCCGCCUUAAAUUAGCUCCUACUUACCAUCCCGCAACCAAUUCUCAUGUGACUACUAACAUCUUUCCCUUCUAUUAUUGUUUGCUUUUCUUUUUUCUUUUCUUCUUUAAUCUUCUUCCUGGUUCGAUGUUUUUCAAAAAAAAUCGUGACUAUUUCUUAAAAAUCGACGAACUUCUUAUCAAAUUCAAUGAUCCUUUUUCAAAAUUGAUGAUUUUUUCUUCAAUUCGAUGAACGUUUCUUGACUUUGAUGAAAUUUUCUUCAAAUUUGAUGAACUUUUCUGAAAACUUGAUAUGAACUUUUUUCAAAAUUGAUGAACUUUUUUUCAAAUUCGAUGAACUUUUUUCAAGUUUGAUGAACUUUUCUUCAAAUUUGAUGAACUUUCCUUCAAAUUUGAUGAACUUUUUUGAAAACUUGAUAUGAACUUUUCUUCAAAUUUGAUAAACUUUUUUCAAACCCGGUGAACUUUUUUCAAAAUCGAUGAACUUUUCUUCAAGUUUGAUGAACUUUUUUCAAGUUUGAUGAACUUUUUUUCAAAAUUGAUGAACUUUUUUCAAACUAGGUGAACUUUUUUAUAAAUUGAUGAGCUUUUCUUCAAAUUUGAUGAACUUUUUUCAAAAGCGUUGAACUUUUUUCAACAUCGACGAAGCUUUUUUUGAAGUAUUUGAAUUGCUCUUAAAAAAUGACGAACGUUUUUAAAUUCAUGAUUUUUUUAAAUAAUUCAAACAAUGGUGGGCACUGCGCAAUAAAUAGCGCAGCCGCACUUGUUCUUAUAUGUUUGGUGGUUUAUAUCAAUCAAGAACGUGCAGUUGGUGUAGUGGUUAGCGGACAUGGCACAAUCACCGAGCGACCUGAGUUCGAAUCCUGGGUAGGCACAUCUCACCGAGACGGCCUCGAGUCGCUGCACACCGCUGAUGAUGCGGCCUGCUGCCUCUGAUUGCUUCGGACACGAACAUAACUCCUGCUCAAAUCGAACCUUGCUCAUGAUACCACUUGUUAGAAUAAAUCCGAGGCGCUCCGUCAAUCUACCGAGGACCAAGCAAUCACACAAGCACGACAUCGAGAUUUGUUAACGAGGUUCACCAAUAUGGCUACAUCCCCGGGGCAUGACUACGGGCGCUCCUUCCCAUGACACCGUCACGGCUACAUCCCCGGGGCAUGACUACGGGCGCUCCUUCCCAUGACACCAUCACAAUACCGCACACAGGCGGCCCGGGCGCCGGCACACGCCACCGACUCCCCCGUGUACCCGUGCUAUUAUCACCAGUAGAAAAAUACCUCCACCCAUUAGUCCCGGUUCAAACACGAACCGGGACCAAUGUGCUUACACGUGGCAUGUGCGCCGAGCCCAGUCAGGGGGGCCUUUGGUCCCGGUUGGUGGCACCAACCNNNNNNNNNNNNNNNNNNNNNNNNNNNNNNNNNNNNNNNNNNNNNNNNNNNNNNNNNNNNNNNNNNNNNNNNNNNNNNNNNNNNNNNNNNNNNNNNNNNNNNNNNNNNNNNNNNNNNNNNNNNNNNNNNNNNNNNNNNNNNNNNNNNNNNNNNNNNNNNNNNNNNNNNNNNNNNNNNNNNNNNNNNNNNNNNNNNNNNNNNNNNNNNNNNNNNNNNNNNNNNNNNNNNNNNNNNNNNNNNNNNNNNNNNNNNNNNNNNNNNNNNNNNNNNNNNNNUAGAGAGAAGUGUCCUCUCUUAUGUCCGUGCUUGGUCGACGCUACAUACUAUAUACAUAAGUGAUCGAGAGAACCAUUGAGUACAGAAGUUUGUCAUGCAUACCGAAAGAAGUGAUCGAUCGACCUCUCCUUCUCGGAGAGAUUGGUCGAACAACAAGUUUUCGUAUCAUGUAUCCGACACUACUGGCUACAUACAUGUACAAUAUGUAAGAUCUCUUAAUUACAAUCCCCUAGCAAUUGAAAUCAACUUUCACGUGGUAUUCUCCGGCUUUAUUGAUGACAUGGUCAAGAAAGAAUCCCGCCAAUUCCUCUUGAAUUGCUUUCAUGCGAUCUGGUUCUAGGAGUUCAUUCCGCAUCUGCCGCGUCUAGUUUGAAGAAGGGGGUUAGUUAAUACAUAUAUAUGAAUGAAAACUCAACAGAAAUGAUGGUGUAAUAAAAUGAAAUUGUGAAUAUUAUUGCUUACGCACUUCAUAUUGUCUUUGAGAGUAGCCCCGCUUGUUUUUCAAAGUCACGUUGUGGAUGAACUCGCACACGUAGUAUCCACAAAAAUCAUUCUCUUGUUCCUGACACAAGCACUUUACGAGAAAUAGAGGUCAAUCAAACUGAUAAUGAAGCAUUAUAAAUGGCAUUGAUGAAAGUAUAGCUAUAGAAUCAACGGGAGAUGCGCGCAACUAGCUAGCCAGUAGUACUUACUUUCGGGUAUGUAUAUCGCAGCUCCUUCGGCAGUCCCGGAGCUUCUGCGGUGAACUGUUUCCAAACCCUACAAGACAAAGAAAAUAAUUAUUAUUACUUGAGAUAUCGGGAAAUGAACAAAAAGUUGCCGAUAUGGUGCGAUAAUGAUCGAUUGAACUUACUUGUUGAGCAAUUCAGUCAUGUCCGCAUAGGUUUUGGGAUCUUUCCGUCUCGAGUCUAAGACGGUUACUAGUCCCCGCUCAAGCUUAAUCUCCAGAAGAACAUAGUGGUACCUGCGCACGCAUACAUAACUCAUCAAUUACAUUACUAUAACCUCGCUCGAGUAAUAAGGGAAACCGAAUAUGCACACGACAGUAACACACAUUUGCCGUUGUAAGGAAAGAGUAUGGUAUCUUUGUUUUGAUUUUUGAUCAACGAUCGUAGCAAGUUGUCCUGGGCCUCUUCGACGUCCUUUUCAACCAGAAAUUCAUCUAUGAUAUUUGUGUUAAUGAACCCAAUAUCAUAAAUUUCUUGUUUUUUGCACUCGACGAUCUUCAAUCUGCAUAAUAUAUUGAGGAUAAUUAAUUAUAAAUACAUGAAAUGAAAGAGCCGAGCUAUAUAUAAAGACUUAAUGACAGAAAUAGUACUUACAGACAGUAGCAAAAGACCAUUAGUUUAUCGAGGGCCUUUUGAUUGAAGAACGCGAAGAACUCAUCAAAUGGAACAGCCAACAGAUCAGUUGCAACGAGGUCGUGCUCCUCUUUAAUAUUCAGAUACAAAGCAUUUGUCCCCCCAGACUCUCUGCAGGUUUCCAUGUACCAAUUAUGGAAUCUUCGCAUCAUUGUUGUCAGAGAUUUUUCAUCUUUGACGAGAGGCUUCCCGUACUCGUAUUUGUGUUCGUCCACCUCCAAGAAAUCAGGAAGUUGAUCGUCAGGCAGGUAAUCUGCAAGAUUGCCACAACCGGCCACCGUCCUCGGAGCAUCAGACACAUUGAGCGGGGGGCACGAUUGUUGUGCUUGUUCGUCGAGCUGGGCAAUGUUUUCCCCUUUGCUCGUUAUUUUAACCUUUUAUCACUGACAGUAGUUCCCGAUAGCUGGGCUUGGAGAUAUGUCUGUUCAGUAAUGCGCUGAUAGUUGGUUCUCGGCGGAGACUUUGGUGGUUUCCUCAGGGCAUCGAUAGUGCGCUUUGCUUUCACCGGAUCUACCUUCUCUUCUGGAGGUGGAUGUCUCUUUGCUUUCACCCCUUCAAAGAACUCCUUCACGUGGGUCCGCACAAUCGUAUCGUUUUCCUCCUCAGUCCUCUCAUACGGUAACUUCUCUAGAGGCUUGAGAGGUGGACCGUAUCUGUAUUGCCUCCCGCCUCUGGUUGUGCUGCUAGACGCCGGAGCAGACGGAGCGGCUGCGGCGUCUGUCUUCUUUCGUGCUUGCUUACGAGGCGGAGGAGAAGGAGUACGACGCGCCGGAGCAGCCGAGGCGGCGACGGGUCUCUUCUGCCCUUGCUGGCAAGGCGGAGGAGGAGGCUGCUGGCUGCUCGGGAGCGCCGGCGCAGGCGGAGAAGGAGGCGGAGUGCCGCCACGCGCCGGAGAAGGAGGCGGAGUGCCGCCACGCAUGCCCUGAUCGUCACUCACCGGAGGAGGAGGCGGUGGAGUGCCCUGACUCGCCGGAGGAGGAGGAGGAGGCGGAGGCGUCCAGUUCGGAAGGUUGAUGAGCUCCUUCCGCCAUAGGCAUGGAGUCUUCAGAGCAGAACCCAGCCUAGUCUCCCCUUCACCGGUAGGGUGGUCAAGCACGAGGUCCUCAAAUCCCUCCGUUAUUUCAUCCGCCAUCACCUUAGCAUAUCCUUCUGGAAUCGGCCGGCAGUGAUAAGUUGCUCCGGAUCUAGUAGGAUAAACAGAGCCAACAGCCGCCUUGACCUUCAAAUUCAUCCAUCGCGCCAUAAUGUGGCAAUGUUGAGACUCCGUGAUAGCAUCCACGGGAUAGCUGGCAGGAGCCGUCAAGACAUGCUCCGGUUGAAGCAGCUCGGUGGAAGCCAUGCUGCUUCUCCGCUGAGAUGGCGGGGUAGCUUCGGGGGAAGCUUCGGCAGGUCGUUUGCUGCGAUCUGUUGCUUCUCGUUCCUCUUCUCAUUCCUCUAGCCCCAUUACCCUUUCGUGCAGCGCCUGCAGUUGGCCCUGCUCCAGUUUCUUCCUCCUCUCGUGGGUUUUGUAACCCCCUGCGUCCGGAAAACCAACAUUCCACGGAAUGGAGCCUGGCGUGCCUCGUGUCCGUCCAGGGUGCUCAGGAUUCCCGAGGGCCAUUGUGAGCUCGUCCUUCUCCCUGUCUGGUACGAACGUCCCUUUCUGUGCUGCAUUGAUAUAGUGUUGAAGGUUCUUGACUGGUAUUUCCAGUUGCUCGUCCUUCCAAUGGCACAUCCCUAAUACAGGGUCCAAGGUUCCGCCAGCCCCGAAGAACCAAGUCCGGCAAUGGUCUGGCCAUCUCAUCAUCUCUGGUUCGAUCCCUUUUUCAAGCAGAUCAUUCUCCUCCUUGGACCACUUAGGCCAGGCUUUGAGGUAGCCACCUGACCCCGUGCGAUGGUGAAGCUUCUUCUUCGCAGCAUUUUGCUUGUUCGUCACCGACAUCUUCUUACUCUUUUCCGAUGUCUUGUGGGCCACAAAUGCGGGCCAGUGAUCUUUGAUAUUCUCAUAUUUGCCGAUGAAUUCUGGUGUCUUUUUUUCGACAAAAUGGUUCAACUCUUUCCUCCACCUCCUGAAUAGGGUUGCCAUCUUCUUAAGAGCACAAGACUUGAUUAAUUGCUCGUUAACUGGCUUCUCCGGAUCCUCCUCUGGCGGUAGGGUGAAAUUUGCCUUCAGCUGAGUCCAAAGAUCUUCUUUCUGCAUAUCAUUGACAUAAGACACCUCAGGGUCGUCCUUAGGCUUAUACCAUUGCUGGAUGCUGAUCGGGAUCUUGUCCCUAACAAGAACCCCGCACUGAGCAGAAAAUGCGUUCUUUGUCCGGAUGGGUUCAAUCGGUUCGCCAUCGGGCGUGAUUUCUAUGAUCUCAAACCUUUCAUCCGAGCUUAACUUUUUCUUCGGGCCUCGUCUCCUUACCGAAGUUGUGCUCGAUCCGGAGGGCUAGAAAUUAAAAGGAAGAAAGACGAGAGUAAUUAAUAUGUGUACAUAUACCAAAACAAUGAAUGCAUCAAUUAACUAGUCAGUACGGGCUUAACAAAUAUAUAUAUACCUGGCCGGACUCGGUUCAGUGACCGGAGCAGUCAGCACGGUCUCCUUCUUGUACCUCCAUUGGGUCAUCACCGGAGCCAUCAUGAACAUAGCCCUGUUCUUGUACCGGCAUUAAUGGGCUAGAGCCAUCAUGAACAUAGCCCUCUUCUUCACCCAGUUCUUCCUGACCAACGACGUCGUUAAAAAAUGAUGCAAUGACAUCAGUUCCUUCUGCGAUUAUCUCCCACAACAUCGCUUUUGUUGCUUCGUCUCGGUAGUGCUCCAUAGUUUCUGCAAAUAUUUACAACAUGUCAAUUAUUAUUCAAACAUGGUACAGUUGGAUAUAUAUUAGUGGCAAACGUAGAACUAGAUAGCUAAUCACAAUAAGGAAUCAUGUUAGUGGCCUCGACGCUGCUUCUCUAGGGUUUGGGAUCGCCUCGACACAACGCUUCAAGGGUUUGGGGUGGCCUCGAUGACAAUGCUCUUUUAACUUGGUAAAUUUGGGUGGCCUCGAGAGUUUUGGUCGAGCGAGAGGGCCGAGGGGGGUGCUUCCAUUGUAUAGGUUAUCACGUUCGAGAGGGGGUAUAUAUAUCGACCGCCCCUCAUGUCGAAGUUAUCUCGAGGGGGCGGCGAGGGUGAAGGCGAGCAGCCUGACGGCGACAGACCCGAUAAAACAUAAGAAAAUGAAGAAGAAAUAAAAAGAGGAGAAGAAGAAAGGAAUAGAGGAGAAGAUCGAAGAAAAAAAAAGAAGAAGAAAAAUAGGAGAAGAAGAAUGGAAUAGAGGAGAAGAAGAAAAAAUAGAAUUUUCUAUUUUUUCUUCUUCACCUCUAUUCCUUUCUUCUUCUCCUCUUCCUUUUCUUCUUUUUUGUUCUUCUUAUUUAUUUCUCCUUUAUUACUUUCUUUCUUCUUCUCCUCUUCUUUUUCUUCUUCUCCCUCGAGAAAGGAAAAUAAUUAAGGAAAAGGAAGAAAAGAGGAAGAAGGAAGAAUGAAGAAGAAGAAGAAAGGAAUAGAGGACAAGAAGAAAAAAUAGAUUUUUUUUCUAUUUUUUCUUCUUCUCCUCUAUUCCUUUCUUCUUCUCCUCUUCUUUUUCUUCUUUUUUCUUCUUAUUUAUUUCUCCUCUUCUUUUCCUCUCCUCUUCUUAUCCUUUCUUCCUAUUCUUAUUUUCCUUUUUCCUCUCAUUCUUUUUCUUCUUCUUCUUUCUUCUUCCUUCUUCCUCUUUUCUUCCUUUUCCUUAUUUUACUUUUUCGUCUACACUAACCUAAUUAAAAUGCACUAACCUAAAAUCGUUAUCUACUAACAACCUAAAUAAAAAAUUAAUACAUAUAUGAAAAAACAUAUAUAAACAAAAAAAUGCUAUGAACAUUAUAUUCAUACAUACAUAGCCACAUCCAUUCAUCAUAUAGCUACCUCAUACAUAUAUACAUUAAUUAUAUAUAUGAAAAAAAUGCAAUGAACAAAAAAAUACACAUGUAUGUAUGAAAAAAAAGCACUGAACACAGAGCCUCGACGGCGGCGGCUCACAACGGGGGCGGCCGGCAAGGGCGUCGGCGACGACCACGGCAGGCCGGGGCAGGGGCGUGGCCGGAGACGACGGCGACAGUGACGACAACGACGGNNNNNNNNNNNNNNNNNNNNNNNNNNNNNNNNNNNNNNNNNNNNNNNNNNNNNNNNNNNNNNNNNNNNNNNNNNNNNNNNNNNNNNNNNNNNNNNNNNNNNNNNNNNNNNNNNNNNNNNNNNNNNNNNNNNNNNNNNNNNNNNNNNNNNNNNNNNNNNNNNNNNNNNNNNNNNNNNNNNNNNNNNNNNNNNNNNNNNNNNNNNNNNNNNNNNNNNNNNNNNNNNNNNNNNNNNNNNNNNNNNNNNNNNNNNNNNNNNNNNNNNNNNNNNNNNNNNNNNNNNNNNNNNNNNNNNNNNNNNNNNNNNNNNNNNNNNNNNNNNNNNNNNNNNNNNNNNNNNNNNNNNNNNNNNNNNNNNNNNNNNNNNNNNNNNNNNNNNNNNNNNNNNNNNNNNNNNNNNNNNNNNNNNNNNNNNNNNNNNNNNNNNNNNNNNNNNNNNNNNNNNNNNNNNNNNNNNNNNNNNNNNNNNNNNNNNNNNNNNNNNNNNNNCGCGGACGGCGUCGGGGCGGCACGCGGACGGCGUCUGGGCGACGGGCGGCGUCGGGGCAGCAGACGGCGUCGAUCUGGGCAGCCUGGCGGCGUCGAUGAGCUCGGCGUUGUCGGGCGGGCCGGGGGCAACUGACGAUGUGUUCGUCAAAUUUUACUAAGUGCUGUAUAUAUAGCAAGAGCAUUGGUCCCGGUUCGUGAAACCAACCGGGACCAAUACCCCCUUUAGUCCUGGUUGGUGCCACCAACCGGGACACCAACCGGGACCAAAGACCUCUUUUUAGCAGCCCAAAGGGCGGGAAGCGGCGGCCUUUGGUCCCGGUUGGUGGCACCAACCGGGACUAAUGCCUCCCCCUUUAGUCCGGGUUGGUGCCACCAACCAGGACCAAAGGACCCUGUGCUACCCGCGUCGGGGCCAAAGUUUAGUCCCACCUUGCUAGUUGAGAGGGGCGCGCAGUGGUUUAUAAGCCCCACUGCCGCACCCCUCUCCAGCGUAGACUUGCGGGCCUAUUUGCUACUGCUUUGCCUGAUGGGCCUUCUGGGCCUACUGCGGGCCUGAAUCCUGGCUCAUGGUAGGGUUUCUAGUCGUAUUCAGGCCGUGAGGGCCCAGUAGGAGGCAUUUUUUUUGUUUUUUUGUUUUUUUUCUUGCUUUAUUUAUUUUAUUUUGUUUCUACUUACAACAAAAUACUUAUUAUUGCUAUUUUUAAUUAUUUUCCAGUUUUUUGUUUUGUUUUCUGCAUUUUUUUUGUUUUUUGCUUUAUUUUUUUAACUCUUUUUGCUUUUAGUUUUGGAAAAAUUAUAAACUUUCUGUUAGUGCCAUUAGUUUUCAAAUUUGAAAACACUUUUUUUGUUUUCUUUCUUGCUUUAUUUAUUUUAUUUUGUUUCUACUUACAACAAAAUACUUAUUGUUGCUAUUUUUAAUUAUUACGAGGGCCGGACCAUAAGACAUUAAAGCAUUUCAAAUGAACUAUGAAAAAGUUGAAAGUUGGCAUGGUAUCAUAAAUUCACCCACAUAGCCUGUGCAUGUACAAAACGGACAAUGGUAUCAUACUCGUGUGUUACAAAGUUGACAUGGUAUCAUCAUAAUAGUUGCGGGAGAAAGUCUUCACUUUUUCUUCGCUUGUGUCAUUUGCUUAUUGCGCCGUAACCAUGGAUAAUCUUCAUCGCUUAUCAGGAUGUUGGGGUCAGCCUUGACUUUGAAGGGAGGAAUUUCAUGAAACUUUUCAUAAUUUUCAGACAUGUCUGUCUUGCCCUCCACUCCCACGAUGUCCCUUUUUCCUGAAAGAACUAUGUGGCGCUUUGACUCAUCGUAUGAUGUAUUCGCUUCCUUAUCUUUUCUUUUUCUCGGUCUGGUAGACAUGUCCUUCACAUAGAUAACAUGUGCCACAUCAUUGGCUAGGACGAACGGUUCGUCAGUGUACCCAAGAUUUUUCAGAUCCACUGUUGUUAUUCCGUACUAUGGGUCUACCUGUACCCCGCCUCCUGACAGAUUGACCCAUUUGCACUUAAACAAAGGGACCUUAAAAUCAUGUACGUAGUCAAGUUCCGAUAUGUCCACUAUGUAACCAUAAUAUGUGUCCUUUCCCUUCUCGGUUGUUGCAUCAAAGCAGACACCGAUGUUUUGGUUGGUGCUCUUUUGAUCUUGGUCAAUCGUGUAAAAUGUAUUCCCAUUUAUAUCCUUUCCAAAUCGUAACAGUCGAAGAUGGUCCCCUGGACAACAAGUACAGCUCAUCACAAACAGUGUUGUCACCUCUGAGACGUGCUUCCAACCAACUGCUGAAAGUCCUGAUGUGUUCACAUGUAAUCCAGUCGUCGCACUACUCUGGGUGUUUGGAGCGCAGACUGUUCUUGUGUCCAUCGACAUACGGGGUCACCAAGGUAGAGUUAUGUAGAACUGUGUAGCGUGCUUGAGACCAAGAAUAUCCGUCCCUGCAUAUUAUUGAGUCCCUUCCAAGCGUGCCUUUUCCAUUCAGUCUCCCCUCAUACCGCGAUUGAGGGAGACCUAUCUUCUUAAGGCCAGGAAUGAAGUCAACACAAAACCCGAUGACAUCCUCUGUUUGAUGGCCCAUGGAGAUGCUUCCUUCUGGCCUAGCGCGGUUACAGACAUAUUUCUUUAGGACUCCCAUUAACCUCUCAAAGGGGUACAUAUUGUGUAGAAAUACGGGGCCCAGAAUGACAAUCUCGUCAACUAGAUGAACUAGGACGUGCGUCAUGAUAUUGAAGAAGGAUGGUGGGAACACCAGCUCGAAACUGACAAGACAUUGCACCACAUCACUCCUUAGCCUUGGUAUGAUUUCUGGAUCGAUCACCUUCUGAGAGAUUGCAUUGAGGAAUACACAUAGCUUCACAAUGGCUAAUCGGACGUUUUCCGAUAGAAGCCCCCUCAAUGCAACCGUAAGCAGUUGCAUCAUAAUCACAUGGCAGUCAUGAGACUUUAGGUUCUAAAACUUUUUCUCUGACAUAUUUAUUAUUCUUUUUAUAUUCGACGAGAAGCCAGUCGGGACCUUCAUACUAAGCAGGCAUUCAAAGAAGAUUUCCUUCUCUUCUUUGGUAAGAGCAUAGCUGGCAGGACCUUCAUACUGCUUUGGUCGCAUGCCGUCUUUUUCGUGCAAACAUUGCAGGUCCUCCCGUGCCUCAGCUGUAUCUUUUGUCUUCCCAUACACACCCAAGAAGCCUAGCAGGUUCACGCAAAGGUUCUUCGUCACGUGCAUCACGUCGAUCAAAGAGCGGACCUCUAGGUCUUUCCAGUAGGGUAGGUCCCAAAAUAUAGAUUUCUUCUUCCACAUGGGUGCGUGUCCCCCAGCGUCACUCGGAAUAGCUAGUCCGCCGGGACCCUUUCCAAAGAUUACGUGUAAAUCAUUGACCAUAGCAAGUACGUGAUCACCGGUACGCAUGGCAGGCUUCCUCCGGUGAUCUGCCUCGCCUUUGAAAUGCUUGCCUUUCUUUCGACAUUGAUGGUCGGUUGGAAGAAAUCGACGAUGGCCCAGAUACACAUUCUUCCUGCGGCUUCCCAGGUAUAUACUAUCGGUGUCAAGUAAACAGUGCGUGCAUGCAUGGUAUCCCUUGUUUGUCUGUCCUGAAAGGUUACUGAGAGCGGACCAAUCGUUGAUGGUCACGAACAGCAACACCUUUAGGUGAAAUUCCUCAUGUUUGUGCUCAUCCCACGUACGUACACCGUUUCCAUUCCACAGCUGUAAAAGUUCUUCAACUAAUGGCCUUAGGUACACAACAAUGUCGUUGCCGGGUUGCUUAGGGCCUUGGAUGAGAACUGGCAUCAUAAUGAACUUCCGCUUCAUGCACAUCCAAGGAGGAAGGUUAUACAUACAUAGAGUCACGGGCUAGGUGCUGUGAUUGCUGCUCUGCUCCCCGAAAGGAUUAAUGUCAUCCGCACUUAACGCAAACCAUAUGUUCCUUGGGUCACUUGCAAACUCAUCCCAGUACUUUCUCUCAAUUUUUCUCCACCGCGACCCGUCAGCGGGUGCUCUCAACUUCCUAUCUUUCUUACGGUCCACACUGUGCCAUCGCAUUAACUUGGCAUGCUCUCCGUUUCUGAACAGACGUUUCAACCGUAGUAUUAUAGGAGCAUACCACAUCACCUUCACAGGAACCCUCUUCCUGGGGGGCUCGCCAUCAACAUCACCAGGGUUAUCUCGUCUGAUCUUAUACCGUAAUGCACCACAUACCGGGCAUGCGUUCAGAUCCUUGUACGCACCGCGGUAGAGGAUGCAGUCAUUAGGGCAUGCAUGUAUCUUCUGCACCUCCAAUCCUAGAGGGCAUACGACCUUCUUUGCUGCGUAUGUACUGUUGGGCAAUUCAUUAUCCUUUGGAAGCUUCUUCUUCAAUAUUUUCAGUAGCUUCUCAAAUCCUUUGUCAGGCACAACAUUUUCUGCCUUCCACUGCAGCAAUUCCAGUACGGUACCGAGCUUUGUGUUGCCAUCUUCGCAAUUGGGGUACAACCCUUUUUUGUGGUCCUCUAACAUGCGAUCGAACUUCAGCUUCUCCUUUUGACUUUCGCAUUGCGUCCUAGCAUCGACAAUGACCCGGCGGAGAUCAUCAUCAUCGGGCACAUCGUCUGGUUCCUCUUGAUCUUCAGCAGCUUCGCCUGUUGCAGCAUCAUCGUGCACAUCGUCUGGUUCCUCUUGAUCUUCAGUAGCAUCACCGUAUUCAGGGGGCACAUAGUUGUCAUUGUACUUUUCUUCUUCGCCGUCUUCCAUCAUAACCCCUAUUUCUCAGUGCCUCGUCCAAACAUUAUAGUGUGGCAUGAAACCCUUGUAAAGCAGGUGGGUGUGAAGGAUUUUCCGAUCAGAGUAAGACUUCGUAUUCCCACAUAUAGGGCAUGGACAACACAUAAAACCAUUCUGCUUGUUUGCCUCAGCCACUUCGAGAAAUUCAUGCACGCCCUUAAUGUACUCGGAGGUGUGUCUUGAACCGUACAUCCAUUGCCGGUUCAUCUACGUGCAUUACAGAACAUCAUGAAUAGAUAAUUAAGUGACCAAAUUAAUAGAAGUUCAUCAUCACAUUAAAACCAAAGUACAUACAUAGUUCUCAUAUAACAACAUAAAGCUCUGCAGAGCAUCUAAAUUAAUUAAACCAUACAUUGAAACUAUGUAAAACAUUUCAAUGCGAAAACAAAUGCGAUCAUAAUCGCAACCAAUGUAACAACUGAUCCAACGGCAUAAUGAUACCAAGCCUCGGUAUGAAUGGCAUAUUUUCUAAUAUUUUCCUUCAAGAUUACCAAUGCGAAAACAAUUUUUCUAAUUUUUUCCUUCAAGAAAUUGUUUUCUUCUUCAACUAAAUUUAACAUCUCAACAAUAGGGUCGGUUGGAAUUUCCGGUUCAAUAACCUCCUAGAUAAAUAAAAUCUAUGUCACGUUGGUCGGCAUAAUUGUCAUAAACAAUAGAUGAACCAAUAGUUAUGAAAAGAUAAUAUAUACCACAUCCGAAUCAUAGACAGGACGAGGGCCGACGGGGGCGGAUACCAAAACCAUCGCACUAUAUAAGAUGCAAUAAUAAAAGUAAGAAAAUUAUACAAGUAUCUAUAUAAACAUACAAGUAAGAAUUUUUUUUCCUUUCAAAAAGAAGAUAAGAACAAGAGGCUCACCACGGUGGUGCCGGCGACGAGAUCGGCGCGGCGAUCGACGGCGGUGAAGACGGGGACGUGACGUGACGGACCGCUAAAUCUAGACAAAUAUUGAGAAAAAUGGAGCUUGGAGGUCGAGCUUGGAGAGGAGAAAGCUUAAGUAGUGUGGCUCGGGCAUUCCAUCGAACACCUCGUGUGCAUAGGAGGUGAGCUAGAGCACCACAAAGCUCUCUCCUCGCCGGCCACGAAAAACAGAGCAGUGAGAGUGCUCUGCUCGCGGGCGAGGGGUAUAUAUAGGCAAUUAAUUGGUCCCGGUUCGUGGCUUGAACCGGGACUAAAGGGAAGCAUUUGGUCCCGGUUCAGGCCACCAACCAGGACCAAUUGUGGUGGGCCAGGACCAAGGCACAUUGGUCCCGGUUCGUCCCACCAACCGGGACCAAAAGGUCUAGACGAACCGGGACCAAUGGCCCACGUGGCCCGGCCGGCCCCCGGGGCUCGCGAACCGGGUCCAAUGCCCCCAUUGGUCCCGGUUCUGGAUUGAGCCGGGACUAAUGGGCUGACCCGGCCUGGACCAUUGCCCCCUUUUCUACUAGUGUAUGUUGGCAUAGGUUACAUGGUGUGUCUACCCCGCUAUAUAUGAGAGGUCUAGGAUACAAGUGUCCUACUUGGACACGACUCCAUAUCUUGUCUACACGCCGUACGACUCCAGGUCCAACUGUAACCUAACUUGUACAAUAAUAUUCAACACAACUCUAACAUCCUCCGCCCCUGAUUCUUCCCAUGGCGGUUGUUCUGCCAGCCACCGUUCCCGCCGCCGCCGCCACCAGAGCCUUGGCCCCUCCCGCGCGCCUGCUUGCGCGCCUCCCACUGCUACUCAGUAAGAUACAGCUGCCCGUCGCCUUGGCUCAGCGCGGGCGCGGCGCGGCGCUCCUCGGCGGUCCUGAGCCAGCCGAUGACUUCCACAACCGAGACAAGUCGAGAAGGUUUUCGAUCGCCAUUGCGAUCUGCGAGUACCGGGUGGAACAACACGCAAAAGCUUCUGCACGACGCGUACCUCCUCCACGUUCUCGCCGAGGGUGCGCAGCUGGUUGACGAGGCUGGUGAUCCGCAUGCCGAAAGCGUCUUGGGUUUCGCCAUGGUGGAAUGUGAUCUUCUCGAAUUCCGCGUGGAGCUGUUGUGCGGUGGCCUCACGCACACGGUGCACUCCCAUACGCAUUACCUUGAUGGUGUCCCAGGCCGCCUUGGCCGUCUCCUUGACGACGAGGACGCCGAGCAUCUCCGGCGGAACGGCUCGGAGGAGGACGCCGAGCGCCGCCUUGUCGUCGCGCACGCGUUGCGCAUUGCCUUCGAUCGCGUCCCAGAGCUCCCAGGACUCCAGGUGUACCUUCAUCACCAGCGACCACUCAAUGUAGUUGGUCGAGGUGAGGGUCGGGAACAUGGUGUCGGCGCUCGGCACGAACGGCGCACGCUCCGUAGCCGCCGCCUGGUGGAUCACCACCUGCCGCUCCCACCUGACGCGGCUUCGCCCGCGACCGCGCUCCCGUGGUGGAGUCUCCUAGCGUGCCGGACUGCCCGCGCCUCCGUUGAGGCCAGCCACGGCCGCCGCUGCAGCCGCGUCCGGCUGUACUCCGUGAUCGGACAUGAUCGCCGGGAUCGCUAAAAUGAGGCUCUGAAUACCACUUGUUAGCAAUCUUAAGCUCACGACCACAGAGGAGACAGUGGUUUGUGCCGCGUGCAAUCUUGCAACUUUUCUCAUUUUUCUUUCAGCUUUUUAUUCUGUUACAUGGAAGGACAGGCAGGUAGUGAUCCUAUCUAUGCGCUACGAUCCGGCGUGCUCACGCCAUCCCACGAGGGCCGAUCGUGCCUCCUAAGCCACCUGCGAGACUUCCGGGCCGAUCGUGGUGACCACGUCCAGCCCGCCGAAGCUAGCUACUUGCAUGGCACGCAUAUGUCGUGGCUCAUGCGAUCUGUUUAUUUGACAGAAAAACAAACUAGCCUAAAACCCAACGUCUAGAUUAGCUAACAUACACAUUUCAAGUGAGGCGAUAGUUGUCGACACCAGAGCGACGACAAACAAAUAUGGCCUCUUGGUCCUCCUGUUUGCGCUAUGGUUUCCAAUAAGUGUGUUUUUUAGUCUAAGAAGAUCUUGAUUUGCGAAAAAGAUUUCUCAAGAUUAAUUAUGUCUUUCUAAAACCUAAACCCCAGUUAUUAUAUCUCUUUUUACCAUCAAUAUUCUUGUUCUUUCUUCCAAGCUAAGGCGGCUAGGGUAAAGUUCUCUUUCCCUCCAAGCUCCGCCAGCCAGCCCAUGGAUUCUCCUCCCCUCUGCAUGUCACUUUGGCAGCUGUUGGCAAGGAGGGGAAUCUAGGUGCCUCGGCUCCGGCUAGUAAUUUAGGGUAGGGUUUUUAGUCCUCAUAGGGUGGCGCUCGAACAGAUGGUAGCAUAUCAUCUUCGAGUUAGUCUUCUGGCUUUCGAUCCUCCUCGAUGAACUUUUAUCAUAGAUCUGGGUAUUUAAAAAAAAAUCUCUCUUUUGUUUUUGAGUUGAAACCCCAGUUGUUAGUGUAAUUCAAUUUUCAGUUCUUUUUCAUGUACAUUUUCUUUAUCCUCCACCCGCGAAGAUCACUCAUCGUCUCUGUCUUGUUCCCUUUUCGCUGCCGCCGCUGCCUGUACCCAACCACGAACCGUGGUGCCCCUCCUCGUCGCCUGCCGCAUCAUGAGUCUAGGAAAACUUAAUGGAAUUUGAAAAUAAGUUCAGAAAUUUGAGAAAAGUUCAUGAAUAUGAAAAAAGUUUGCAAAUUGGAAAAAGUUUGUGAAGUUGGAAAUAUUUCAAGAAUUCAAAAAAAUACAAAUUUGAAAAAAAAAAUCACAAAUACGGAAAAGUUUGCGAACACACACACACACACACACACACACACACACAUACAUAUAAGAAUUUCAUUUUUAAUUGUGAAUUUGGAAAAAAAGUUUGUUACUUUAAAAGAGUUCAAGAGUUUGAAAAGAGUUACUAACUAUUUUAAAAAAGUAAAAAAUAAAAAUAAAGAAUGAAAAAAGCAACAAAAAGGUAAAAAAGACCAAACAAAAGCUUAGUAGAAAAAGGCAGAAAAAAGAAAAAGAUAAAAAAAUAGGACCGGGAGCUUCAGCUUCCAAAAACUGCCUGGAUAGAAGUCCCGCUGGAAUACACUUUAAUGUGCCGAUCCAUAGAAAGAGGUGCGUCAGGACAACAUAUGUAGAAGGCAUUAAGCAGCGCUCAAUGCGCUAAAUAGAAAUUCGCAAACAACCACUACUUAGUAUCACUGGCACCGGUGAAGUAGAAGGGCGGCAAGCCCGAAGACAAGGAGCAGGGACGGCCCUAGGUCCACUGGGGUUGAGCAAACCAAACCAUGCACAUACUCUCUCCGUUCCUAAAUAUAAACCUUUUUAGAGAUUUCAAUAUAAAUUAUGUACGGAGCAAAAUAAGUGAACCUACACUUUAAAAUAUUUUUAUAUACAUAUGUAUGUAGUUUGUAUUGAAAACCGAGGGAGUAGUCUUGAACGUUGAACAGCCUAUCCCUCUCCUUUGGGCCUUCACUCACUCAGUAGGGUACAAGUCUCGGCACAAACCGCGUAAUAUCGCAACGGUAGUGGUACGUGAAGGGCACGCUCACAUGUCUUUCAGUUUGAGAUGGACGUACGUGUGGAAAAUCUGUAUAAUUUGCGACUAGACCCGUCAAUUGUCACGUACUAUACCCGUCAAGGUGGCCCGUGGAUUAAUUUUAUGGUUCUCAGUAGUUGCCUGCACUGCACGGCCACAAGCAUAAACGUAUCCUUCUCCUUGGCCACAAAACCAGACGUACCUUGACUGUAAUUUUUUUGUCAGGCGUAGCGUUCCCAAGCGGCCAAGCCCAAGCUGCACUCGGCAUAUGCAGCGACAGGCGAUGACCGCGCGCGGGUCAUGCACGUCCUAAGUACUGGUGGUAACUUCCCGCAAAAAAAUAACAAAAAUAAUAAUUCCUUGUGGUAACUAACCCGGCGAUGACCGUAGACUCCUCUGCACGACAUCCUGCUUUUAACACGCGACUAAUACGUACAGAGGCAUCAUACAUACAAUCUCAAUAAUAUCUCUGUACUGUAUCCAUCUACUAUCUAUUAUUGAUCCUAUAUAUAUGGCCACCAUAACACGAAAGACGAAACCAACCACCAACAGCUAGAACAACCUUGCCCGCCGCCGGUGCCACGAUGAGCGCCGUGUGCUUUUUGUUGGCGUGCUUGGCGGCAGCCCUGCAGCCAACGUCGGCCGCCGAGACUGGAAGGGGUGAGAUCUUGCAUAUCCCGUCCGCCGCCGACCUGGCUCGGGCUCGCUGCCCUUCCAGAUGCGGUCGUGUUCCCAUUCACUACCCGUUCGGCAUAGGGCCUGGCUGCUUCCGGCAAGGCUUCGAGCUCACCUGCAACAACACCGCUGGUCAUAAGAGGCUCUUUCUGGCCAACAGUACCAUUGAGGUCCUUGACUUGUAUCCCAGAGGAAAUGAACUUCGAGUCUCUCCUAUCCACUUCAACGUCACCAUGAAACCAGGUAUGGACGACACCUAUAACAUGUCAUGGGAGGCCCCUGUUAAAGGUCUUAUGGCCUCUGAAGAAACUAGCUUGUUCGUUGUUGGUUGCGGUGUGGGUGUCUACUUGUUCGGCCGUGAUACCAACAAUCCCAUAGGUUAUUGCGUGAGUAUUUGCCUAGACGACAAAGAGGCCAUGAAGGAGGCAAAUGCAAACCACUAUAACGAUGUUGGGAUGGGUUGUUGUUCCAUUUAUUUGCAGCAGGACGUGCCAGCAUUUGGGUUCACAGUUGACCGCCUCAAAGGCGUCUCAGCACUAUCAAGAGAACGUCAAGGGCUCUCUAAUACUAUCAAAGUUUUCCUGGCGGGGGAUUACAGUUUUAAUGUUACCGACAUCUAUUCAAGUCGGGUAGACAAAAGAAACAUUGGUGUGGCAUUACUUGCAAUAGCCAUCACGGAUCAACCAAGAUGUCAAAGUGCUAAGAAGAAAAAGUCAAGCUAUGCUUGUGGCGAUAACAGCGAUUGCGUGGAUGUGCCAUCUGGAGGCUACUCUUGUCGUUGCCGCACUGGCACAAACGACAACAACCCAUACCUUAUGGAUGGUUGUCAACAACCAGGUCAGCAAUCUACUCUUUAACCAGGAAUUUAAAAAUAUUGAAAUGCCAUGUCAUAAAUAUUGGACUGAUGUAUGCAUGAUUGAAUACUAUGGCAAUUUUUGCUCGUCAUCAUUUUUCAUAGGAAAAACAUAUUUUUUGCUUCCGAAUUUAAAUAUAACUAGUUCUACGUACAACAAAGCAAACACUAAUUGUCUCUUGCCCAAAACUGAAAAUUACCAAUCAUAGAAGUUCAAAAAUUAGGACAGGUUUUUCUUCAGAAUCUUUUGACAUAUUUGGAUGUACUAAUGUUAUUGAUUAUAUUGUUUACUAGUUCCACAUGGGGUAACUUAAUUCUCAGUUCUCAUAUUGUCGCUACUAAUAGAAAAUUCUUGACAAGGUGUCAAUAAGACUUAAGUUAUUUCACAAAAAAUAAGACUUAUGUUAUUUUCGGUACUCCCUACGUCUUAGUGCAUAAGGCAUGCUUGUAGUUCUAGGUCGUCAAUUUAACUUGUGUAUUAACUAUAAUAAAAAUAUCUAUUAAGAAAUUACAUUUUCGUAUUAAUAUAAUGAUAUACUUUUGAUGGAAUAAAACCACGUGCAUGCCCUAUGCACCGAGAUGGAUGGAGUAGUAUCCACCCAAUUAAUGGGAUUGGUUUCCCAGUUAAGACGGUGGAGUAGCACAUUUCUUUAGGUUGGUCUUGGUCAUAAUGAGAGUAACUUAGCUAGUAACAUAGCGUACUUCAAGAGAAGUUUACUUAAGUGACAUGUAGUUAACAAGGAAAAAGGUGUUUGGAGUAACAUAAUAUGUUAUUAUAACAUAACACAACCCAAAGAAAAAUGAUUUUACAAUCUAAUAAAAUGCAAUCAUCUAUAAUACUAUUUCUAUGUUACUUUGCACUAUGAAGGUAGUAACUUAGACUAGUGUCGUAUGCAUGACACUAGUAUAAGUUACUCCCCACUAUGACUAGCCUUAUAAUGUUUUAACUAGCAAUUAAACUUGGUAUUAUUAAUUAAUGAUUUAAUAAGUUGUACCUCUAGUCUAGAUAGGAUGACCAUUAAUUCACACAAGCUUAAUGUGACUUCUCUUGUGGUAGUCUCCCAGUGUGACUUCUUCCUCUGUCACUAUACUUGCAGCGCAUUACAAUCCCAAUCAUAAAGGAGGUUGCACCCAAUUUUGCGGGAACACAAGCAUUCCCUUCCCUUUUGGGCUUGAAAAUGGUUGCUAUGCUACUGAAAAGUUUCGACUUAACUGUACAUCAGAAAACAUUACAAUUCUUGAUCAAAGGGGCAAAUACAUUGUGGCAAACAUUUCAGUUAAUGAAGGAUAUCUUAGUGUUAGAGAAACACAAAACAACUCAAAGUAUGGCGAAGAAGAGCUCACGGUGCUAUUUGAACCAGACGAGGGGGGCUGGGAAUUAGGACUUAUGCCUGGAGAAGGCUUUUAUUUAUCUGAAGAAUACGGUAUGAAGAUGUGGUGGUCUAUCGAUAAUUUAACUUGUCCGGUUGCUAUGAGCAAGCAAAGAAGUGCUAUGUACGCAUGCCGCAGUGUCAAUAGUAGUUGCAUUCCUGUCACCCGCGGCCGCAGGAAUGGGACGAUGCAGCUCGGCUAUCGUUGUCAGUGCUCUCAAGGUUUUGAUGGAAAUCCAUACAUACCAAAUGGCUGCAAAGGUAAACACACUACAACUGCCAGUACAAAUUGUCCUCCAACUAUAGGGCUGAUUUUCCAUGUACAUGAAAUGAUUGACCGAAACAUUGCAAUGAUAGAUCUAGCAGGAUUCAUGUGAUGCAGUUUGUCGGUCAUCUUGAUCCAAAGAAUUUAUUUCCUUUUUAGUGGGUUUAGGAUAAGCAUGUUAUUCAAGUCAUACAACUCAUUAACAUGCCUCAUUUUAGUUAUGUGCAUCACAUGAUGUAGAGACUAGAAGGGCGAUAACUUUAUUACUUAAAAAUGGUACAUUAGGGUACAUUAUGCUAAAUGGCCCUAGCCAUGCAUUGGUACUAGAUUUUAGCUAAUUCAUGACAAUGAAAACAUAGGGAUUGAUCCUUGUUUGAGAUCACAUUGCAUAUCACCAUCAUGUAUAUGAUUAAUCAUAUCCACCAUUUUUUUGGUAUUUUAAAUGUGCACAUACAAACUUCUAGAACUUUAGUGACAUUUGCAUAUUCAUAAACAUGUAAAUGCACCUCAUGGAAAUGAUACAUUAUUAACAUAUAUGGAAUCAAACAUAUUUUUAUAAUGUUACAUCUAUAUAGCUUGGUUCCUUACUAACAUGUGCUUAGAAACAAUAAUGUUCAGUGGUGUAUUUUGGAGAUCACAUUGUUGUAUAGAGGUAAUUUUGAUGUCUCUAGGAUGAGUUCUAGGCCAAGGCUAACCUACCUAGGAUGAGUUCUAGGCCAAGGGUAACCUAUCUAUGGUUCCACCGUUUCUUCCAAAUAUUUCCGGGCAUCAUAUGUUUCUCACAUACCUACCAUUUUGCAGAUGUCAAUGAGUGUUUGUUGAUGCAUAUUUGCAAUGGCCCUUGCCUAAAUUAUCCUGGAGGCUAUAGCUGCAAUGAGUGCACCCAUGGAAAAGAGUUUGAUCCAAUAAAUCUCAAAUGUGUCAUGUCAACAAAGAGACGCAAUCUUCUCUUAGGUAAAUCAUAUCGAGUUUACUCACCUCGGUACAAAUUGCAACUUGCAAAGUGAGAUUUUUCUCAUAACAACUACUAUUGGAUGUAUAGGUAUCGCAAUUGGAAUUAGUUGUGGACUUGGUGCCAUUAUUCUUGUGCUAGGUGCAACAGUACUCAUCAGCAAGUGGAAGAGAGGCAUGCAAAAGAGAAUUCGAAGGACAUACUUCAAGAAAAAUCAAGGCCUACUCUUGGAACAACUAAUAUUAGAUGAAAGUGCCACAGAUAAAACAAAGAUAUUCUCCUUGGAGGAAUUAGAUAAAGCAACCAAUAACUUUGAUGCCAGUCGUAUUCUUGGCCGUGGAGGACAUGGGACAGUUUACAAAGGGAUUUUAUCUGAUCAACGUGUAGUGGCCAUAAAAAAGUCUAAGCUGGUGGAGCAAACUGAGAUUGACCAGUUUAUCAACGAGGUUGCCAUCCUGUCACAAAUCAUUCAUCGGAAUGUAGUCAAGCUUUUUGGUUGUUGUCUCGAAACAGAAGUGCCUUUGCUAGUUUAUGAGUUCAUAUCCAAUGGCACACUAUAUGAUCUUCUUCACAUUGACGUAAGUGUUAAAUGUUUACUUUUAUGGGGUGAUCGCAUUAGGAUUGCUGCAGAAGCUGCAGGAGCUCUUGCUUAUCUCCACUCAGCUGCUGCGAUACCAAUUUUCCAUAGAGAUGUGAAAUCCUCCAAUAUACUUCUAGAUGACAACUUUACUACCAAGGUUUCUGACUUUGGUGCUUCGAGGUCUUUAUCACUUGAUCAGACACAUGUAGUGACAAUUGUACAAGGAACUUUUGGUUACUUAGACCCCGAGUACUACCACACCGGGGAGCUGAGUGAGAAGAGUGAUGUUUAUAGCUUUGGAAUUAUACUAGUGGAGCUUCUAAUGAGAAAGAAGCCAAUUUUUAUUAAUGAACAAGGUAUAAAACAAAGCUUGGCUCAUUACUUCGUGGAAGGAUCUCAGCAGGGAGUCCUCAUGGAAAUAAUGGAUCCCCAAGUUGUCGAAGAAGCGAACCAGAAUGAAAUUGAUGACAUUGCCUCAGUUGCGGAAGCAUGCUUGAAAACCAAAGGAAAAGAAAGACCUACCAUGAAAGAGGUAGAAAUGAAGUUGCAACUCCUAAAAACUAGAAGAUUAAGGAGUCAACUUCCUCCCAUAAAUGAUGGAGAGAUCGAGUCACUUGGGUGCCUAAAUGGCGCUAGCUCUCAUGCACAGAGCAACAACAUUGUCAGUAAUGUUAGCUUAACACCUACAUGCAGCUCCGGAAAGUACAGUCUGGAGCAAGAGUUUUUGAACUCAGCCAGCUUGCCACGCUAGCGAAGCACACAGUGGGAUGAUCAUCUGCUUACUAAGCUUCUGAGGUGCAUCUUUGUCAGUUAUCCUAUACGUAUUUAUAUAGAAAAAAAUGUAAUGCAUGUAGUUCCUUUUAGUGUGGGAGUAUGCCAUGUAAAUUCCCGCAUUGUGUUUGUAGCUUAUUUUUUGUCUGUAAUUUCAAUUUAGAGGACAAGUCAUUGCGAUUAAGCUACGGUGCUGGAUAAAGGUAUUUUACAGUGUUGGCAACUGCAGUACUCAUGUCUCACCGCUCAUUACCAGUGACUUAAUUACAGGUUUGAAUAGUACUACCUAGUUUAAUUUAAUAUAUACUUUGCCGAAUGCUGAUGGAGGAAGAUGAUGGCCUCGAUGAGGUUUCCUUGGUUAGAAAUGAGAUGCACAAGUCAGGUUGGGUUCGGCUUGUGAAGGUGCAUAGGAAAGACAAAGAGGGUCGAGCAGUCGCAACUCCAGGAGCAGCAAAGUCAGCCAUGCCGAUGCGAGCAUGCUCCCGGCGUGCUGAAUGCCAGAAAUGGCUCCUGACAAUGGCUCAAGGGCACAUUGCAUUUUGUUGGGGGAGAAGAGGAGAGGGAGAUGAGCUUUAGCCAAGGCCUCGACCCUUGAUGAAGAAAAUGAAAGGCGUGUAGGAGGUUUGGCACGCGUGUGUUGAGAAGUUCUGCUUUUGCGACAAAGAGUGUGAAAAAUAAUUAUCAUUUUUUUCAUCUGCCUGUCUUUGCCGUUUCCCCUUCGAAGCUGCCAGCCGGCCGGUUUCUCCAGCGGCAGGCUGGCCGUUGAGGAACAGUGGACCGCGCCUCUGCAGGAGGCAUGCGGCUGGAAGCGGAGGAGGCCGCCCGCCGUGUGUGUGACCGAGGUGCCCGACGUCGUUCUUCCUCUCCUGCGGCGACUCCUUGGACCACGGAGGUUCGAUCUCGCCUCCUCAACACAUUUUCCCCUCAGACCCACACUCCCCUAUUCAGUUCUCUGCCAUACAGAUUAACAAUUGUCAAUCCUAUCAUCACUGUAAAGCCCAUCUACUGAUGAGUCACGCUGUCAAACUAAUACUCGAUGAAUGUACGCCAAAUCAUUUGCUGAAUGCCACAUGCUCUUCGUUGGUCGCGCUUAGGAACCCACAUGGGACAUGCCUCUCGCAGGUCCCAACAACCAACGAUAAUAGAUCAAUGAAUGGUUGAGGAUUCCCCCCCUCCGUCCCACUGGCCACUGCUCUGCAUACUGAAAUGCACUUACUAGUACAACAUUAACAAUUUCUAAUCAUAUAUUGCUCUAAAGAGUGCAACCUAUCCAGUGAUGAGUCACACUGUCAUUUAUACAAAUGCGCGAUGAGGACACACCAAAUCCUUGCUGAAUGGUGCUGCAGGGUACGCCAAAUGCACAACGAGGUCCCAACAACCCAGAAUGAUAGAUCGAUAAAUGCUUAAACUUUGCGUUAGCCGCUGGACAGCCAUAUGCAUUGUCACUAAAUUUCAAUCCGUGAUGCCGGCUUGGUUCAGGGCUUCAGGCAGCGUUUGUUUGUACAUGUGGUUGGUCACUACAUCUACCGUCUAUUAGAAAUACAAAUUAGCAAUGUGUACUUAUAUGAGUAUAUAUGGUGAGACGUCGCUGUAAAGCGUAGCUAACAAUGCAUCCCUAGUAUAGAUUAAAAGGCGCUGAUGAUGAGUGUCACACUGUUAAACCAAUAUAUAUGAGAUGCGCGAUGGAGACCUGGCAAGUCUUGAUUAAAAAAGAAUCAACUAACUUCUGUCUAUCUAAGCAGGACCUAAGAGCCUGAGACAUGCAUCUCAAAUCUACCUCAUGUAAUUCCUUUAAAUCAUUAAUAAACUUUGUGUUGGAGAAUAGGAGUUAAAUUCUAUGUCAGCAUACAGGAGUAUAGUUUGUUCAGUAUCGCAGCUAGCAGAGCGCGAUGACUUUCAAAGCCUUAUACAUUUUCACUAAAUUUUAAGCCAUGGAGUACAGCAAUUCUGCAGAAAUAAAAAUUAACAAUGUGAGAGUUUGUUGAGGCAUCGCUGUCUAUUCAUGUAACGAGGGCCGGCCUGAUGCAUAGUUAAGUAAUGAAGUCUGCUAUUAAAAACUAACAGUUUUACUAGAACUCAUCUAGAUGAGAUAUAAUUUGGUCUCAUUCACCUUUUAUAGCCAUUGAAUGUGAUGCUAUAAGAUGCGUGUGUGCUGACGUGGGUUGUAUCUGUUCUUUUUUUCAAAGUGAAUGAGACCAAAUUAUGUCUCAUCUAGAUGAGUUCUAGGUACUCCCAAAAACUAAUGUGCAGCAAAGGUGAGUGAGUGCCAACUUAAGGGCAGCAACGUCUUGUUUAAAAGAUGGUUUCGACACUGAGCCCUGCAUCUCAGAUCCAUUCACAGCAAACACUCACGGGCAAGCGAGAGAGGGAAGCUUGAUCGGUACCGAUGGAGGUGACCGCGUUGAGCAUCGGCAAGUCUGCGCUGAGCGGAGCGCUCAGCUACGCCAAAUCCGCCGAUGCGGAGGAGGUGGCCCUGCAGCUGGGAGUACAGCGCGACAAGGCCUUCAUCACCGACAAGCUGGAGAUGAUGCAGUCUUUCUUGAUGGUGGCGCAUGAUGAGCAAGGCGAGCACAACAAGGUGGUCAGGACCUGGGUGAAGCAGGUUCGUGACGUCGCCUACGACGUCGAAGAUGGCCUCCAGGACUUCUUUGUCCGUGUUCAUCGGAAAUCCUAGUGGCGCAUCCCUCGCACCGUUCUCGAUCGUCGCCAUGUCGCCAAGAAGAUGAAGGAGCUGCGUGCCAAGGUGGAGGACAUGAGCCAUAGGAACGUGCGGUACCGCCUCAUCGACCGUGGAUCAAAACCCGCUAAUUCUUCUGACCUCACAACCACCACUGCUGCCAUGUUCGGCGUUGAUGAAGCAAGAAGGCAUGCUACAAAUCAGCACCAAUCAGGAUUAAGGUUGGAUCUUGCCCAGCUGAUCUUCAGCGACAAGAAAGACUUGGGAUCAUACCAAAUUGGAGUGAUCGGAGUGUGGGGAACAAGUGGCACGGUUGGGCAUACCUCCAUCAUCUUUGAUGCUUACGAGAAUCCAAAUGUCAAAGUCAAAUUCCCAAGUCUAGGGUGAAACAGUCGUGGCUUAGGGUGACACGCCCUUUCCACCGGAAAGAAUUUGUCCAGAGUAUAGUGGAACAGUUUCAAGCAACCACCAUAGGGGUGGUUGAUUUUCUGCUGGAGGCAGAGGGGGAGAAGAUUUGGCAUGAGUUGGCACAUGAGUACAAUGAAUGUGUCAGCAAGAAGAGGCACCUGAUCGUGCUUGCCGGACUAUCCACUAUUGAAGAAUGGCAGCAGAUCAAAGCUUGCUUCCCAGAAAACAAACAGGGGAGCCAUAUCAUAGUAUCCACAGAGCUAGCAUGUUGAAGUUGCAAGCCUGUGCCAGGGCCAGGGAAGUACCGUGUCGGAGAUCAAGCAAUUGUCUGCUAAACAAACUAUAUAUGCUUUAUACCAGCAGGUACUACUUCGAACACAAGUUUUUGGUUCACUCAGUUCGAAAUCUUGAGUUUAUUUAUUUCUUUAGAAAAAUAUCAUCCAAGAUGUAAACCUUUAGAUCAGCUAUGCAUGGAGUGCUUGAGGCGGGAUCAAUUAAUUUGUGUGUUUGGACAAAGCCAAGAAUGAGAAAUUUCCCGGUGCAAAUCCUAACACGCCACUGAGAAGAGAAUAAUCAGCAUGAAAUGAGUCCACUUCUCUCACCCAACCAAGCUCCCCCCGUCCCCUCCAGCGUCAUCCCUCACCAUAGACCUUCACAGUCCUCCCAGAUCUUUUGUCUUCGCCCCUAUAUUCCUUGCUGAUAUUGGUUUCCUCUGCCAAGAUCCCUAGGGACAGGUUACCACUCUCCAGUGGGAAAGGGCGGCAGGUGACUAGGUUCGGUGGUGAUGUGUUUCCUUGAGACAUAAUGACAAGGGUGAAGGGAGAAGAGAGGUAGAGUAGGGAAUCCAGUAGAUAGGGACAAAACUAGACUUGUUCUAUUCUUGCUUGCUUUACAUAUUGACAAAACUAAAUCAUAUUGGUCAUGACUCUUUAAUAGAACAAUAACUAUAUUUCUCCUCUAUUAAUACGGAUUACAUAAGAACUGAAAUAUUUCGCAGUUUUUGUCCUCCUUGAAUGCUAAAUGGUUGUAGCUUCUAGAGGUGGCUGAGGAGGGUAUACGGACGGCUAAGCGUAUAUGUCUCACCAAGUCACCAUACAUGACAUGUAGGUGGUCAUGCAAUGCUGAGUUCUAAUGUUUUUAGUAACUUUAUGUUCCCCCUGCUUGUAGUAGUAGCAAACUUUCUAUGUAACUCAUGAAUACUUUGUGUUCGUGUACUUCUCCGCUUUUUUCAAAUUUUGGACUGCUUUUAGUAUUUUCGGCAAAGGUCACCUCAGCACAAUUGACUUGUAUGCAUGCUAUCCUAGCUUCGAUUUACUAUUUGUGGUUCAUUGUGGUAACAAAAUUUUUGUGUAGCAACUGGAAAUGCAUUGAGCUGAUUCUUCAGUAAGUUUUUGGAAUGAUUCGUCAAUUAAAUUUCAUGUAGUUAUUGUUUGCUUGUGUUCAGGGGUCUCAAGACAUGACAUAUUCAUCAAAGCCAACAUCUAGCACAACGCUACCCUGCAUUGUUGAGGAUGAGAUAAAAGAAUACCAGUCUAAUAAUAAUGUUGACAGAAAGAUGAUAGUGCAAGAAGAGCACACACACACCAACACGGUUUCAUGUGUUUUUGAAGAAUUCCAGCUUGUUGGGAGAAACUAAGAAAAAAAAUGCUAUUAUUGAAGUCAUACGAGAACACGCUUCCACCUCACAAUUUCAGGUGAUCGCAGUGUGGGGAAUGGGUGGUCUUGGAAAAACCACUCUGAUCAAAGAUAUUUACCAAAGUCAAGAGGUCAAUGACAUGUUUGGUAAACAUGCUUUUGUCACAGUCUUGCGACCUUUCAAGCUUGAGGAGCUCCUGAGGAGCUUAAUAUACCAGUUAGAAGCAAAGAAGAGCGCCAUGGACUUUGCGUUUGGUACCAAAGAAGAUAUUGGUUCGAUGGGGGUUAAAGAGUUGACAGAAGUGUUAUGUAAACGUUCACAAGGAAAAAAUGUCUGAUUGUUCUCGAUAACCUAUCAUCCACCACUGAAUGGGAUAAAAUAAUGCUGAGUUUACUUGCAAUGAAGAAUCCAAGCUUGGUUAUUGUGAUCACAACAAGGCAAGAGGAUAUUGCUAAACAUUGUUGCAAGAAACCAGAGUACAUGGAACAAAAGGAGUGCAUACACUUUCUUAGUGUUCUACAAGACAAGGAUGCAUGUGAUCUCUUCACAAAAAAGGUAUUAGAGUUGUUACUUGUAUUUCUUUAGGAUGGGUCAUGUCAGAUCAGUGUAGUGCAGCUCCGCUGGACCACGAUUUGGAGGAGAUACUUCCAAAUAGUUGCAAAACGUAAGAUGCAGACACCACCAUGACCGAUGUCAUAGGGUCAUCAUGUUGGAAUGUUGUACUUUCAGUAAUUAAACAAAAACACUGAUUAUGUUAACCAUUGUCUAGUUAGGCCAGGUUAGGUUAGUAGCAGACCGACAAUAAUUACGGCUCCACCACUGCUCUUAUAUCAAAAUUAUACUUGAGGCAAUGGUUAAAACAAUGUCAUGUAAUUAGAACGAGUUUCAUUUCUUUGAAUUUUCCAAUUUGUUCAAAAUAGUUUUUUUUUUCUUCAGAUAGUUUAAUAUGAACACAUUACUGUAAUAGUAUAUUCUUUGUUUUCCAUUUUAUAACUUAGUGAUAUCACAUAGUUCAAGCUCUGAAUAUAUAUUUAAUAAAUGUGUCCAUGUGAAUUUUAUUACAAAAAUAUGUUAAGAGAUGUGCACAAUAAGUUAACACUUAACUUAUAUAUUGGUUUAUUUUAUAGUAAUCAAUAUAGUGUGAUCUUAUUUGUCUUACAUACAAAAUUACUCCCUCUGUAAACAAAUAUAAGAGCGUUUAGAUCACUACUUUAAUGAUCUAAACGCUCUUAUAUUUCUUUAUGGAGGGAGUACAUGUAUGGAACUAUGUUCGGCCACAUUGUAUGUUUACUCACCACCAAACUUAACUGAGACAAACUAGUUAAUAAACAAAGUAGAAAGAUUUGUUUUCUCGCACCUAAUUCAUUUGAUUGUAGUGUAGUAAAAAUACUAAUUAUAUUUCCCACCAUUGCAGGUAUUUAAGAAUAAAAUCACAGAUUUGGCUAAGCAUUAUCCUGAAUUGGUUGAACCAGCAAAACUAAUCCUAAAGAAGUGUAAUGAACUUCCUCUUGCCAUAGUCACCAUAGGUGGUUUCUUGGCACACCAACCAACGAAAACUGCGGCAGAGUGGAGAAAAUGUUGGUUCCAGCAAAAGAGUUUGCUACUUGUAGCAAGAAAAUAAAAAAGAACAAAAAUCAUGGCGGCCAUGUCGUUCGCCGCCGAGCACAUCAUCUGCCCGUUGCAACAGAAAAGCAAGCAGUUCCUGCAAAAAUCAAACAUGCUUCCAGCAAAAAAACAAAAUCGAAAAUAACAGCAACUUAUUCUCAGUCCCUCUCCUGCGGUGAUGCCUAGGACUUCCAAGGUUCGACCUUUCCUCCCCACCAUCUUCCCCUCCGACCAACUAUUCACUUGUCUGCAUACUGUCUGAAAUACGCUUUGGUAGUACACUACAGACUAACACUUUUUAACCCUAUCAUCGAUGUAGAACCUGGAAGUUAGUGAUGAGCCAUACUGUGAAUCCUAUAUACUUAAGAGAUUCAUCCCCACUACAAGUAUUUAUCUCAACAUGCAGGGCAUCCAACUCAGCAUCCUACCACUUCAGUGAACUCCUAAUAUACACGAUGCCACGUCGAACGUGUUGCUACCCGCGUAUAGAAAGGACCAAGGCACGACGUUUGGUUACCAUCCCACGUCUGCUUCAUCCGUUAACCACAGGCUCCUCAAUAAAAAAAUGUGCGUUAUCUUCUCCACCAUGCCAUUGGUAUUCUCCCACUUUAUUUCCCCCUUCUCUUCGUAUCCUCCGUCCGGUUCCACUCAUCGAAAUAAAUCAACCCAUUCAUACUCGCCGUGCAAAAGCUACCAUACACACCUCACCUUCAGCGGCGAUGAUGGUGCUCAUGGCGCGGUGCUGCUGCCAGCCCGGCGUUCGUGGGGGUGGGGGUCGCCCCCAAAUACCAGGAUGCUGCUGCUGACCCGGGCCCCCUGUGAGCCUGCAAUCCGUUGUCGAAUCAAGCCCCGCGGACAGUGCUGACCCAAGCCCGCGCCCUGAUGUCGACCAUAGCUCUAGGCGAGCCACACGUCUCACUGUUGUCGUCGUCCUCCAACAUCACCUGUGUCAAAAGGUGGGGGCUCUCCUUCCUCUCUAUCUCGACGAAUCCUAACGAUCUUGAGUUUGUUUGGGUUGGAAGCUCUGAUUUGUGUGGGGCAGGAAGCAUUUUUUAGAAGGCAGAUCUGUUAUGUCUCCAGCGUACUCUUCCGCCCACCAAGUCCGGUCAGUCUUUCUAAUCCCCAAUCCUCUCUAAUGCGAGCACUCCCCGCAAGCAUUAAACAACAAUCUCUGAUUCCUCUUCGUUUUAUUUUCUUUAUAUUCAUAGUUGGAAGGAAUAAACAAAUGAAACAACUUUGAUUGGAAACGAUGGGUCGUACUGUUCUCUCUUCUUUUUCUUUUGUAUAUAAGGCGCUGAUUGGAAGGAAUAAGUACGUGCAACUACAAUCCCGCAUCUCUCUCUCUCUCUCUCUCUCUCUCUCUCAUACAUGCACACACGUGUAGGUUAGUAUGAAUUUUAUUGUUUUUUUUUGCUUUGAUUGUUUUGUGAAUCAAGGCAUAUUCUUUUGGUCAUUUUCAGGUAUGUUCCUGACAGACAGUACUAUUCCACUAUGAAUGCCAUCAGAACGAUCCGAUACCCGAAUAGAUGGUUUAUUAGGCAUAUGUGUGUUUCAGUAGUACUGUUCUAUCUGAACAUCAUCUAGCCUGUCGAGCUAGCACAGUGAUAGAUUAGCCACGUGUUUCAGAUUUAUCAUUCAAAAUGGAAGAUUCUGUAAAUAUUGUUGCGGAUAUGAGUUGCAGGUUAAUCGACUAGCGGCUUCAAGUGUAAGUUUAAAAGGGAAUUUUUCCAGAUAUUAUACAAAUAAAAUAAAAUAAAUCAUAUUUGCAUUUGUUUUACAUAAUGAUGUGUUAUACAUUUCCUUCCAUAAAUUGAAGCUUUCAUAAUCGAUUGCAGGGUUGUAGCUUCUGUGCUAAAUGAUCAACACAAGAAUUUCUCUGUGCUGGGGCCGGAUGUUGAGGAGAUGAAGCUACUGUUUGUAAAUGAGGGUUCAUCGAGAAGCAAACACAACGGCACAUAUGAUGGCGAAGGAAGGGGUCUUGAAUGAUCUUCAUAAAGUAUGGCUGCAUGUGCCACCUGAUAGUAUCAUGCAUGUAAUUUGAAAUCCCUGAACUUCAUGAAUAAAUAGAGUGAGGAAGUUAAUCUAAAAAAAAUUAAGCUUUUAUUAAGUAUUUGCACCGUAUGAAGGUAACACAACUACCAAUAUGUUCACUCCAUGCAAUUGCCUCAUUCACGCUUCGGCAGAACAAACUGCUAUGCUUUUUUUUCCAUAAGAAUCCUUAAAGAGACUAUUAUUGCUAUUGGCAUUGUUAUUUCAAUUUUUCCUUUAUGCAAUUCGCCCAUGUUAUACUAAUUUUUUUUUGCAAAUGUUAGAAGAUUUUAUACCCAGUCAUGCAUGUCUACUCCCUGGGAUGUACAACUGUGAUGACAAAUAAGACUGUUGGUGUGUUUCUGGUUUGAAGAUAGAUGAUAUCAUUUUAUUAUUUAUCUAUGCUAGGAUAUUAAGUGAUGUUAUGUUUUCAACCAUGUGUGCAAAUUAUAAUAUACAAUCUUCUCUCGGGCAAUAGCUUCGUUUUAAAAAUGUAAGAAUAAUUUGGAAUAUCACUAUUUGAUUGUUCUGGUGUUAAUGACAAUCCUUGGUGAGAGGAUCAAGUAUGGCCAUUUCUGAUUCUCCUAAAGUUUAAUUGUUCUAUGCUGGAUAGCAGUCUUUUAAAUAAGAUGUUGAACAUGGAGUAUAUUUGUUGCCCUACUUAGUAACCAUGACAAUUUGUGUACCUUUGGUUACUUUUCCACCCAAAAUUAUUAUCAUAGUGGACAAUCGAAGCUAAUUUCUGUUUUGGCAUAUUAACACGCAAGGCUCGCAAAUUAGCAUGAAUUUCUUUUUGCUCUGAUGCACUUCUAAUAUAUAAUCAAAUUAUAUUACCUUGAAUUAUUAUCAGGAAAAUCUAAGCAAGUAUGUAGAUACUUUACAAUAUACGAAUUCUCCUAGCUUUUCAUAUUGUUUCAUCGAAGGUUAAAAAAUGCAUUUUUUAGGAUUUUAUUAUUUCUUACAUCAUAAAUAUUUAUCAUGUAGUGCUAAAAAUUCCCGCAGCAACGCGCGGGGUAUCAUCUAGUUAAACUAAUGCACGGCAAGUGUACGCCAAAUCCUUCUCUUGCUGAUGGGUACGCCAAAUGACCCCAUUGCUCGUCGUCGGUAGUGUAGUCGUAGUGUCUAGAAACCUCACGCGGUCACAACAACCAACAAUAAUAGAUCGAUAAAUAUAUGGUUGAGUAUUCCCCCUUCCGGCCCGGUGGCCACUGCUCUGCAUACUGAAAUGCACUUACUAGUACAACAUUAACAAUGGUUAAUCCCAUGUCGCUGUAGAGUGUAGAAUCUAUCCACUGAUGAGUCACGCUGUCAGUUAAAGAAAUGGGCGGCGAAUACACGCCAAAUCCUUGCUGAAUGGUGCUGCUGAAUACGCCAAAUUUGCCUCACGCAGCAGGCCAGAACAACCCACAAUAAUAGAUCGAUAAAUGGUUAAACUUUGCGUUAGCAGCCAGACAGCCAUAUGCAUUGUCACUAAAUUUCAAUCCGUGAUGGAGGCUUUGUUCAGGUAGCGUUUGUUUGUACAUGUGGUUGGUGAUUACAGCUACCGUCUAUUAGAAAUACAAAUUAGCAAUGUGUACUUAAUUAUAUGAGUGCGGUGAGACGUCGCUGUAAAGCUUAGCUGACGACGAAUCCCUGGAUUAAAAAGCACUAAUGACGAGUGUCACACUGUUAAACGCUGCCUUAGAGUGUGUUGAUAUCCCUGAAAUACGUUUUAGAAGUAGAUAACAAGUGAUCCUUAUAAGAGAGACACCAUAGUGUUGAUAUAUUGAUGUCUAUCUUUGUAAUAAGAGCCGACCUGAUGCAGAAUUAACUAGUGAGCCUGUUGUUCUAGUAAUGGGCAAGGACUUGAGGCCCGGGAAAGUACUGGUUAAAUGAUAUUCAGUAGUUGUGAGUGGGCAGGGUGUGAAUCAACAAUUCAGCAUUAAUAGGCGAGGUCAUUAACAAUCAUCGAAGCAAAACCGCCCGUCCAGUGAUGAGUCACACUGUCAACUAAACUAAUACGCGAUGAGUACAUGCCAAAUCCUUGCUGAAUGGAGCCGCCAGGUAUGCCAAAUGCCCCAUUGCUCUUCUUUGAUCGUGCCUUGGAACUCAAUAAUAAUAAGUAGAUCAAUAAAUGGUUAAACAUUGUGUUAACUGGCAGACAUCCAUAUAUUAGGACCAAAGCCGUAUGCUUUUUCACUAAAUCUUAAUCCCUGAUGCAGGCUUUGGUACAGGCAGCUGAAUUAGGUGGGUGAUGUUGUUCUUGCUAUUAUAUAUACAUGCGGUUGGUACAGAGUGCAGCUACCGUCUAGAUGGAAAUGAACAAUGUAUAUUUCUAUGAGUGCGGUGAGGUGUCGCCGUAAUGCCUACCUAAUGACGAGUCCCUUGUUUAGAAACCGUUAAUAAUGAGUGUCACAUUGUUAACCUAAUAUGCAAUGAGAUGGAGAUCGGCAAGUCUUGAUCGGAAAAGAGUAACUUCCAUUAUGUGUCUAGGCAGUACCUAAGAGCCUAAGACUUGCAUCUCAAAUCCAUCUUAAUUGAUCCUUAUGAAUACUUAAACUUUGUGUUAGCAUAUAGGAGCAUAUUAUGUUCAGUAUCGCAGUUGGCUUCGACAGCUAUUAGCAUCAAAGGCAUAUGUAUUUUCACUAAAUUUUAAGCCAUGAUGUGGGUUGUUUAUGUUGGAGGAAGGACGCCACAUGUAGGCUUUGUUCGGGCAGUUCGAUUAGCUGAGUCAGUGCAGCUAGAGUCUGUAGGAAUUGAAAUAAACAAUUGAUCCUUAUGUAAGAGUCUCUUGAGGCAUCACUGUCUACUGUCUAGUAUUGAGAGCCGGCCUGAUGCAAAAUUAAGGACUUAAGGGCAGCAAAGUCCUGAUUAAAAGAUAGUUGUUAGUGUCAGUGAGCAGGCCGUCAUAAACCAGCAAGGUCAUCACCUAACCAUGACCUGAGAGCUUGAGCCCUGCAUCUCAGAUCCAUUCACACGCAAACACUCACGUGAAAGCGAGAGAGGGAAGCUUGAUCGGUACCGAUGGAGGCGACGGCGUUGAGCAUCGGCAAGUCCGUGCUGAGCGGGGCCCUUGUCCUGGCCAAGUCCGCCGUUGCGGAGGAGGUGGCCCUGCAGCUGGGAGUACAGCGCGACAAGGCCUUCGUCACGGACGAGCUGGAGAUGAUGCAGUCUUUCUUGAUGGUGGCGCAUGAUGAGCGAGGUGAGCACAACAAGGUGGUCAGGACCUGGGUGAAGCAGGUCCGCGACGUCGCCUAUGACAUCGAGGAUUCGCUCCAGGAUUUUGUCGUUCGUGUGGACAGACAGUCUUGGUGGCGCAUCCCUCGCACGCUUCUCGAUCGUCGCCAUGUUGCCAAGCAGAUGAAGGAGCUGAGGACCAAAGUCGAGGACGUGAGCCAGAGGAACUUGCGCUAUGGCCUCAUCAAGGGCUCUAGCUCCACUCAGCCUGCCGCUGAUGCUGCCAUGUUUGGUGUUGAUGAAGCAAGGCAUGCCGCGAAGAAACACCAAGCAAGAUCGGAUCUGGCCCAGCUGAUCAACAAGGAUGGUGAUGAUCAUGUUGGAGUGAUCGGUGUGUGGGGAACAAGUGGCACUGUUGGGCAUAACACCAUCAUCUGGGAGGCCUACGAGAAUCCAGACGUCAAACUGAAUUUUCCGUGCCGAGCAUGGGUCAGGGUGAUGCGUCCUUUCCAUCCAACAGAAUUUGUCCAGAGUAUGGUGAAACAGUUUCACACAGCGGUGGGGGUUGGUGUUCUGCUGGAGGGGGAAUGGAAGGAGCAAGAUUUGGCUUAGGCCUUCAAUGGAUAUGUCAAUGAGAAGAGGUGCCUGAUUGUGCUUACUGGCCUGUCCACAAUUGAAGAAUGGCACCAGAUCAAGACUUGUUUCCCAGAGAACAAACUGGGGAGCCGGAUCAUAGUAUCCACUGAACAUGUUGAAGUUGCAAGUCUAUGCCCCGGGCGGGAAAGUACUGUAUCAGAGCUCAAACAAUUGUCUGCUGAACAAACCAUCUACGCUUUCUACAGGCAGGUACCACUUCUGUUUUAAACACAUGUUUUUGAUUUUCGAAAGGACCGUCCAAAAUCUGAACCAUUGUCAGUUAGAUGUAGUAUAUAGUGGCCAAGGGUAAUCACUAUGGAGCAUCUCGUGGGUAGGCUUAAAUUAAUUUGCGUGUUUGGACAAGGCAGGGGAAGGGGACCUUCCUGGUCCAACCCCUCCUGUUCCAUGCGGGAAAGAAUAAGUCCCCUAGGUGUGGAACAAAUCUAGCUCUCGAAUUGGAAUCUCCCCGGACUACCAUGAUGGUCUUAACCGGAUGCAUUCUCAGCCACCCUGGAUUCCUCAUCGACCUGCGGAUACAGAUGUCCUCUGCCCAGGUCCCUGGAUGAGGUAAUGUCUGUUCAAUGCAGAGGUAUUAGCGGGUAUCCAAUGUGAAUUACCAAAGCAUUCCUGCUCGCUGGCUAGUGCCUAGGCUUGGCAAUGUGUCUCCUCUAGCCUUCACGCCAGGGGUGUGCAGGGAGCUGCCCAGAAAAUGGGUGUAAAUAUGGAUAUUCCAUCCGACAAAUAAGCGCUAUGUUGCAAUGCUUUGAUAAAAAUGGCAACACAAGGAUUUUUUUGCAUUUGUUUGAAAAGUAGUUGUCCAUGCUGUUCAUGCCUGCUGAGGGCUAAGGUUUUCAAUAACUUUAUGUUCUCUUGUAGUAGUAGCCAACUUUUGAUGUAAUUCGUGAAUAAUUUGUGCUCUAGUUCUUUUUCGCCUUUUAAACUUCUAGACUGCUUUCAUUAUUUCUGGGGAAGUACGUCAAGUCUGACCAGGUCAUCCUAGCUACAUUAACUUGUUGCAUACCAUUGGUAUACUAUUUCUGGUUCGUUGUCACAUUAAUAUUCCUCUAUAGAAAUUGACACGCUGGAGCUGACCCGUCAAAUUUUUUUUUGAGUAUCCAUCAUUAAAUUUUUGUCUAACUAUUGUUUGCUUGUGUUCAGAGCUCUCAUGAUGUUACAUAUCCAUCAAAGCCAGCACCUAGGUCAAAGUUAUCCAACAUCCCUGAGAAUGAGAUACAAGAAGACCAAUCCAAUGCUUUUGUUGAUGGAAAUAUGAUACCGCAAAAGAGGUUAACACGUGGCUACACAAUGAGAGGUGUCCUUGAGGAAUUUCAGCUUAUUGGGCGAAAGCAAGAAAAAGAAGAUAUUAUUGCACUAAUUGAAAAACAAGAUAGCACUCAUGAAGUUCAGGUGAUAGUAGUAUGGGGAAUGGGUGGUCUUGGAAAAACCACUCUGAUAAAAAAUGUUUUCCAAAGCAAAGAUGUCAGUGGCCUGUUUGAAAAGAAUGCUUUCGCCACGGUCUUGCGGCCUUUCAAGCUUGAUGAGCUCCUUAGGAGCUUGGCAUUGCAACUAGAUGCAAACAAGGAAUCCAUGGACUUUACAGGUGACACCCAAAAAAGCAUUGCUUCGAUGGGAGUUAAAGACUUGAUUAAAGUGUUGGGCAGACGUUCAGAAGGAAAGAGGUGUUUGAUUGUUCUCGAUGACCUCUUAGCUAUGGAAGAAUGGGAUAAAAUAUCGCCAAGUUUAGGUGAAAUAAAAAAUCUGGUUAUUGUGAUCACCACAAGGCGAGAGGAUAUUGCUAAGCAUUGUUGCAAAAAACCGAAGUGCAUACGUUUGCUCAACGGUCUUCAAGAAAAGGAUGCAAUUACCCUGUUCACAAGAAAGGUAACGAAAUAGUAUUCUUUAUAUUAUUCACCUUAUUUGUUAGCAAAAAAUAUUAUCCCUAUAUCUCACUUCAGUUUUUAGUUUUGAAUGGUCGUCUCAAAUUAGUAUAUUGUAAGCACAUCACGACCAACCAUCCUUGGCCCACAUACUUCAAAGUGAGUUGUAAAAGGAGUAAAUUGCUCAAAACCAUCACAUUUGUGGCCAAGGUACUUCAAAAUUACCGAUUUUGCCAAAAAUCACAAAAGACCACGCUUCUGCGCCAAGUGAAUAACAAACUGCACUAAACUUGUUGCCAGCCGUGACUAACAGCAAAUUGUCGGGUGGGACCUGUCUGUCGGGCUGAUUUGGCAUGCCUACGUGGACAAUAUGCUGAGGUGGAAAGAUGGCCCCACUAGUCAGCCUCUCAUCUCUUUUCACUUCUGUCCCAUCCAUGGUCAAUGCCAUGCCCGCCGUCCGCCAGCACUGAUCUUCGGCGCGCGUGAUCAGCCGCACAUGUGGUCGCGUCGUCCCCUGCAGCUCCCUCCUCUGCCGCCUUCCCUCCAAGCACCGGCUCAGGCCUAGCUUCACCCGCGCGGCUGCGCCACAAGCGCCACAAACCCGCGCCGUCCCCUGCAUCUACCUUCGACGCCACCUGCCAUCCACUCCCCGGCCCCGGCUGAGCUUCCCCCAAGUGGCCUUCGCCGUUGGUGGACUUGACGAGAUGGGCACCCCGCUGCCUCCCUUCGCUGCCUCAUCAAGCCGCCUCCAGCCGCCACCCCCGGCCACAACAAACUGCCCACGACCACGACCGCUCUCGUUCCCGGACACUUCGUGAGCCUCUGUGUGCCGUGUGCGCGUGCUUCUGCAAGCCCGAAGCGCCACGUGCGCAUGCUUCUGCAAGCCUGAAGCGCCACGUGUGCGUCAUCAGGUGCUCACUCGCGUGCUUUGGCGAGCAUCCGACAUGAGUUCAGAGCACGACUUCAUCAAUGCCAUGGGCGCUGCUGUUCCCGUGCAGAGACGGGACUCACCCAGGAAGCAGGCUCGUAGAUUGUGCCAGAGUUGGCGAGGCGUGGCCCGGCACUGUCGAGCUCCACAUACUGUGCGCGGAUGGAGGCGAGGCAUGGGUUGCCGCCGUUGAUCUCCUACAAGUCCCACCACAUCCAGGAGGCAGACUUAGCGGUUGGGCCGGCGCCGGCGAGGCGAGCAGAGAUGGCUGCGGAUGGCUGCAAGUGCAUGGCACAGUGGUGGCGGUCGGCAUGGUGCGGUAGUGGCAGGAGGAAGAAGAAAAGUGAAAAAUAAGACAUGUGGCUGACAGGUGGGGCCCCGUCCACCGCAGCGGGUCAACACAUUGACUAGACUAGCUUUCACCACAUCAGCGUGACAGACGAGUUCCAGUCAUCAGUUUUGUUGUUAGUCACAGCUCACGUCUUUUGUGAUUUUUGGCGAAAACGGUAGAGUACCGUAGCUAUAAAUGUGGUGGUUUUGAUCAGUUUACCCUUGCAAAAGCAUAAAAAUAUGCCACCGUGACUCAUGUUGUAGUCUCAUUGGUUAUGAAAGAAAUAGUUACUGGAACCAACCUUUACAACAUGAGAACGGUUUCCGAAGCCAUCGAUUUUGCUUCCACACUGGCCCUGGCCCACACACUAGUCGAGUCAACAACUCUUAUCACCUAGCGACCAAAGUCGAUACCCUAUAACAGUAUGAUCUGACUUCCGAAUCUGAGCUCUACAUGCACAUGCGGAGCCCAAUGUUUGCAUAUGGUGAGCUGACGACUCUGCCACCUAAGCAACUCGGCAUCACCCUACAUAUAUGACAAACAUUUCUAGAGUCACCACUCCUGAUUUCGCACCGGUCCACAGUAGUGUACCAACUGGUCGACGAUUUUGUCACCCAUACAACCAGAGUUGAUGCCCUUCUUUCGAUAAAUGGUGGAUUUUAUUAAUUUAAAAUGAAGUACAAGUGGAUACAAACAUGAUAGUACGCAAUACAUCAAUGCACACACGAAGAAUAAUCCAAAGCGGUCGGCAAACUACAACAACAACCAUUCGCACCAGUGAUCUCUUGACAUCAUGAGGGCAACGAGGAAUGUUCUCCGGUAGCAAUACCUCUAGGAAGGGACUGACGCUCAAGCGCCACAAUGGCCAGAUCCAACCACUAAAAGCUAGAUAUUGGGUUUUCACCCUAAAGAUCAUGUCCGAGUAAAUCCGAUCAAUGCCUUCAGUAAGGUAAUGAUGCAAAAACAUCACCAUUGCCAGUUAUAACCAACUAGGGUCAGAUCUAGGGUUUUGAAUCCCGGAGCUCGAGACCGGGUACUCGAAACAACACCAAAUCAAAGUCAUCAUGUCGUGUUGCCACCGCUUUCUACUAUCCAAUCAGAUAUACGAUUUCCGCUAUCCCACCAGAUGUACACAUAGCACGACAUAUGUGAGAUGCCACACAAGUGAAUACCAUGGUCAAACAAGAAGGGAGUUGAGCCGCGACUAGAGCUAAUCAUCACCAAAGCCUCCGAGCAAAUGAAGGUCGUCGUCACUAUUGAUGAGGGAGGAAAGUCAUUGACACCGCCGAAAUCCAAUUUAGGAUGCUCCGGCAGUCCUGGGCCAUCCCCUUCUCUGCCUUCCUUGAAUGGGGCAAGCUUUAUGGCAGCCACGUGUGAACAGCCUAUGGUGAAUCCAAUUCUCCGUCGUGAUCUAGCUGGUUCGACCAUUGGCCAGUGGAAAAAAAACCUGCAGAUCUUUUGCGCUAGCCGUGUCCGAUGGUCACCGCCUAGUCUCUAGUGUGCACUGGCACUGCUACUACGCAUGUAAUGCAGCCACAUCUGCUCGUCAGUUGCUCCAAGUCGAAGGAUAAAAUUUUACCUGGUACUCAUUCGGCAACGACGCCCACAUCUGCGAUGGAUGCACACCAACAGCUGCCAUGAUCUUAUGCUUUAUGCCAUGUGUCAUCGCCAUCAAAGUAACCUAAGGUGCCGCCUCUGUUGGCGUGAAACCACAUGGAUGCCAACCAAGGGCGGCAACAAAGCCUUACCAUCCCUUGAGCAUCAUUGGCCGUGCAGGAUUCCCCUGGGGGCGGCAGGGGAGGAAUCAGAAACAAGGAGGCAUGAGUAGGACGAAUGAGCACCACCCUUGUUGCCCGUAUGGUGACGCGUACGUAGAGUUGAUGCCCUACAACAGCGAAGUACCAGGUUGGUUUCUGAAGCCACCGAUUCAACUUCAUCUCAACACACACCUGGUGCUCAAACCCGUUUCGCCGAAGCACAACUUGACUAGGUUUUUGCCUCCUAAGGAGACAACUCCAAGGAGGAAGCAACGAGAAACGUUACGACCACCUUUUCGAGUAAGGGACGUAAACUUGGAUCCUUGCAUGGAGGAUCCAUAAAACGUUGUUGCCUGGAGAUGAGAUGGAGCAUGACGCGUGCAAGGAGGGGAACGAUGACUGUGGGCACUGUCAUCGUCCCUGCAACCAAAGUCGAGCUGAUUUUCACCUCGGGCUCUUGUGUUCCCACAACCGCCGCCUACCAAGUGACAUGCGGCACGACACUUCAUUGUUGCCAUGCAUCCGCCACUUCCCACACAUCACCACUCGAUGCCCUACCUCCCACACCCACAUGACCAGCGAUCGACACUUCAACCUCCGCUUUCCCCUCCCUUCUCUUCUCUUUCGCUGCCCCUUUCUUGGGAGAUGUCCAAGGCUGCCCAACCCGAUCAAAUGGCUCGUCUGACGGUGAUGCCAGCCGUUGAUGGCUGCGGAGAGGUGCUCAGGCCUUCCUUAUGCAUAUCAGAGUAGUAGUUGUCCUAGUAAGUCUUGGCAUUAUGUUGUGGUUUGGUGUUACGUCAGAUGCCUGCCUUGCUCUGUUGCCGACGAGUAUCGUAGGGAGGUUGCCUUCCUCCUCCUCUAGCCGACUCCCAUGGUGGAUGAUGGUGGCUGGCGGUGGAUUUUACGGAAGCAUCAUCAAUAAGCUUGGGAACCAUCCGUUCGGCUAGAUCUGGAACCAUCUGUUCUUCACCGGCAUGGUGUCGAGCGGACAAGAGGUGGAUCCGGCUGUUUCCUUUGCCAUCCAUUGAUCUCGGCCACCGCCACAGAAGGUGCGGAUCAACAAAGGUAUUGCUUCUGGUGUGCCAUCUUCAACUUCCAAGUGAGGCCCUUAUAACCGUGCUCGUCAUUGGCAAGGUUUUUGUCAAAGACGGUGAACAUGGAGUCUCCGAUGUGGUUGCUACAUGCUAUACGACUCAAUUGUGUUCCAUUUGUAUGGUUUGGGGUCCUAUUUGCAAUAAGGGAGUGUUGUAUUGAAUUUGAUAUGAAAUGACAGUUUCAGGGGCCUUUGAGUCCCAACCCAUGUUUAGAAAAAGCAAGCCAAGGCAGGGGCCUAGCCAGAUCUAGAGCGAUACUCGAGAAUAGAGCCACAUGAUGCAGUACUGCCACUGCUACCUGUCGACUUGUACGGCGCAUUGUUUUCGUCAAACCAUGUCGAAACACUUGUUUUCUGAUUCAUGUUUUGUGAGGAUUUUUUGUCUCACAUUGUCAAUUCCUUUCACAUUAGGGACCUAUUCGGUUCACAGGAAUAGGAAACAUAGGAAUGGAGAAAACCACAGGAAUGAAAUAGGAAUUGAGGUGCAAACCAGAGGAUUCAAAAACAGAGGAAUACCAAAGUAACACACGUUCGGCAUAGCAUAGAAAAAACGGAGGAUAACUUUCAUCGCCUUACGCUAGAGAAACAACUUUAUGGAUACUUUAUUUUGUUGCAUGGCUGUUCUCUCAGGUGAAGCACCUAGUUGCUGCAUAGUUUAUUUGGAAAGUGACAGGUUUGCCUCGGGCAUACGCGACAAAUGAUGGUUCGACUGGAUUUUCUUUUUCCUGAGGAAUCAUGAGGUUUAAUCAGCGUUUUGGAGGAAACUGGAGCAAUGAUUCCUUCUAUCCGAACGACUAGUUUGCUGAAAUUCCUCUGGAACACGUAAUCCUGUAGAUUUCCCAUGAAAAAUCCUUUGAACCGAACAAGGCCUAGAUAAAGAUACUGAUAAAUCCAAUGUAUUCACAAUCAUUUCUUUUGGGAAAUUUUCAUUUGAAAUUGAUUGGUUGGUGUAUUGACCAAUUUAUUAGCAUGUUGGCUGUGACAAACAAUUGCAUCCCAGUUUGUUUUGGCAAUAUUCUUAUUUCAUUUUGUUGAGACUUCAAUGAUCAGAUUCGUGGUUUUGUAGAUCUGUACUUAUUACUGUGUUUAGCAAAUUUUACCGCCUGAUUGCACUGAUUUUUUGGUUGAGUUACUGAAAAUGUGGUUCAUCUUGAGAGUUGAGUAGUACUUUGGAAAAGUUGAGGAAUCUAGAGUUUUAGAAGCAAUAUUUAAUCUCGAACUUACAUUUUGCUUGAGAUUAAUCUUGCUACUCAUUACUAAAUAUGGUUCAUGUUCAGAGUUGAGUGUGUUGUGAAAAAGUCUAUGUCUACAAUUUUACGAGCAAUAUUUAAUCAUGAACAAUAUUAGAUGAUUUAGUAGUGUUUGUGAGGAAAAUAUCAGUGCUGAUUCCACCAUUUUGUUGCUGAUAUACGUUUAGUAUAAUACAGUGAACACUUAAUGUGGUAUUUAAAUGUUAAUAAUCAUUAGCAGCGCUAUACUGUCCCAUGUCCAUUCGUCCUUCCCAUUGACAUGACCUGUACAUGAUGCCUACAGUGUUUUUUUAUGAACCUGUUGUGCUAAUGGUGGGUCAAUGAACUGUACAAAUUACAAAAUGCAUGUCCAUUUAGUAUAUAUUGUACUGAUGUUAAUAUGAUCUCAAUGUGACAGAGCAGCUGACUACAGAGCUACCUGUCGGCUAGCUCUCAUGUAAACUAGGAAAAGUGGUUUGGAUGCACCUAAUUCAUUGUUAGUUAAAUGACUAAUUAUAUUUCCUACAAUUGCAGGUAUUUAGGAAUAUGACUACUGAUUUGGCUGAGCAAUAUCCUGCAUUGGUCGAACCAGCAAAACAAAUCCUGAAGAAGUGCAAUGGACUUCCCCUUGCCAUAGUCACCAUAGGUGGUUUCUUGGCUGAUCAACCAACAAAAACUGCUGCAGAGUGGAGGAGACUGAAUGAGCAUAUCAAUGUUGAGCUGGAGAUGAAUCCAAAGAUUGAAGUUAUAAAAACAGUCCUCAUGAAAAGUUAUGAUGGCCUACCCUAUUAUCUCAAGCCUUGUUUCUUGUACAUGUCCAUCUUCCCUGAAGACCGCAAUGUUAGUCGGAGGCGUUUGGCUUACCGAUGGGUUGCUGAAGGUUAUGCGCGAGACAAGCCCACAGCAGAUAGAUACUUCAUGGAACUCAGAGAGAGAAGCAUGAUAUUACCAACUCAGCAAUCAGUUUGCAGCAUACAAGGAUUCAACUCUUGCCAGCUACACGAUCUGAUUCGUGAUAUCAGCAUUGCAGAGUCUUUGGAGGAAAAUCUUGUUUUCAGGUUGGAGGAAGGCUGCAGCUUGAACACCCACGGCGCAAUGCGUCACCUUGCCAUAAGCAGCAACUGGGAGGGUGAUGAGUGUGAGUUGGAGAGCACCGUGGAGCUAUCCCGUAUACGGUCAUUGACAGUGUUUGGCAAGUGGAAGCCAUUUUACAUCUCUGAAAAGAUGAGGUUUCUCCGGGUGCUGGACCUGGAAGGAACAGAAGGGUUAAGAAAUCAUCAGCUUGAGCACAUUUGGGUGCUUCUUCAUCUGAGAUACCUCUCUCUUCGUGGGUGUGGGUACAUCUAUUACCUCCCAGAUUCGGUGGGUAAUCUGAGACAACUUGAGACACUAGACAUCAAAGGGACGAGUAUAGCUAUGUUGCCCAGAACCACCAUCAAGCUUAGUAAGCUAUGUUAUCUGCAUGCUGGCAGCGGUUCAGGGGAUAAGGAGAAAACUUGUUUUUCAAAGUAUGAAGACAUUUGUGAAAUGCAACGUGAUUUAUGUGUAGGAUGCUGCUCACUGGAUCUUUCAGACAUGUAUGGAUUUGGCAGGUGUGAGGCUUUCCAUCUUGCUUGGUGCACAUUGUACCCUAAUAUCAUUAGGGGCAUAGAGAAUUCUGGUGUUAAGGUGCCAAGAGGGACCAGGAAACUGAAGGCCCUCCGUACACUACGGUAUGUUCACCUUGCUUGGGGAACUGCCAUUAUAAAAGAGAUAAAAGGCCUCACUGGUCUGCAGAAGCUAGGAGUGGUCGGUAUCAACAAGAAAAAUGGUCCAGGUUUCUGUUCGGCCAUUUCCAAUCUCAGCCAUCUUGAAUCAUUGUCAGUGCGGUCAGGUGAUGGCCUAAAUGGCUGUUUGGAUGGCAUGUCCACAGCUCCGGAAAACCUGCAGAGCCUCAAGCUAUCCGGUAGCCUGGAAAAAUUGCCGGAAUGGAUCAAGGGGCUCCAAAAUCUCGUGAAGCUCAAGUUAGAACUCAGCAAGCUAUCAGGGAACCUUGAAGCCAUGAAAGUACUUGGGAAACUACCAUACCUAUCCAUUCUGGGUUUGUGGGAUGACGGGUUUAAGAUCGACGUCCUCCAGUUCCAGACUGGCCUUUUCAGAAGGCUCACGGUGCUUGAUCUUUUCUACUCAAGGAUGGAAAUUAAAUUAGUUGAGUUUGAGGAAGAAUCAGUGCCCAAUCUUGAGUUGCUGACCCUUAGCCUUGGAUCUACUGAAAUUUCCUUCUCUGGGCUAGAACUUCUCCAAAGCAUCAAGGAAGUACGGCUUAGUGUUCAUAGCUGCUUGUUUGGUACACCCAAAUCAUCAAAAAAUGGGGGAAAUGAAAAAAAAUGGGGAAAGAAAAAUAUGAAUACAUGAGAAGAGAAGAAAAGAUGUACAAACCCAUGCAAGAUAAAGUCAGGGAGGAGUUGCAGAUGCAGCUUGAUAGGAAUAAGAAUAAGAAUCGGCCAGUCUUGAAGGUGCAAUGAGCUCAGAAACCUGGGGCUACUUCCGUCCUAAAUAUCCGGACUGAGUGGCCGCCAAGCCAUGCUAUUGGAAAAUCUAUCUUCUUUUUAUCUCUUGCAUUGAUUGUUAUAUGUUGUAAUAAUGGAUUGAAAUAUAGCCCACACGAGUCUGUUAGAGGUGGUAUUUCUUUUUCUGCUUUGGGUAUCUCUUUGAGUUUCUGAAGAAUGAAUGGCCACUGCAAUAUAUGAUGCUCUGUACCUGUACCAUCGGUGGGCUCCUUAAUAAUAAUGGGUGUGGUGAUAUCUUCGGCAAUUGUAAAAACUGCUUUGAUAUGGUGAAGAAUGCUGCAAUAUGUAUCAUCGUACUUUGGUAACUGAAUAAAGUGUUUGGAUUAGAUGCAGAAACCUCGUCAGUAUUUUGCAUCAUAUGCGAUACUUGUUUGCAAUCCUUUUCUUCUGCAUGCCCUCGGUGACCGUGUCAGUCGGGGCUCUGUUCCUUUCAUUUGUCAGCAGAAUGGAAUGAAUGAUGUAACCACAUACAGUAUAAUUGUUUCACGUAGUCAAGCAGCUUACAGAUGUCACGAAGGGUCAGUCCAUCUACGUAGUCAAGCAGCUAAAUUGUUUCACGUAGCACAUACUUUUAUUUUUGAGCCUGGUAAUAGUUAUUUCCUUCGUUACGUUCGUUUCAUUACUUUGCUUUGCUUUUUUAUUACUUUUCCCAAUUUCCUACUUUUAUUCAUAUUUAUUUCUCAAAUAGAAAUUUUUUUAAUUAAUUUUAUUUAAAAAAUUCACCACGCGACUAAGAAAAUGUUCAUAUAUUAUUUGCGCAAAUUUUCGAAACACUUCAUAUCAUUCAAGAAAAUGUUGGUCACAUUUCAAAAAUAUUCACACGUUUCAAUUUUUUUUCAUGACAUUUUAGAAAAGGUUCACCGACAAUCAAGAAAUUCAUGUAGUGUGAAAAAACUAUUUUCUCAAAUUUUUUAAUAUUUUAGUACCAUUAAAAUGCAUUUUGACAUUUAAAAAUGUUCACAUGUUUAAAUGUUUUUCGUGGCAUUUCUAAAAAUCUGCGUAAAAAUGUAAAAAUUAGCUAACAUAGUUUGAAGAAAACAAUGUUUGUACCACUCCUUAAAUUAUUCAUGAAAUUUAAAAAUGCAUUCACACCUUGUGUUCAUGGAAAUACAAAAAAAAUUGUUCAUCCAAUUUUUUAAAAAGCGCUACUCAUGUUUAAAAAAAAUGAUCAACAUGUAUUUAAGAAUGUUUACUAUGUAUUAAUUUUUUUUUAAUUUAUAACUUACACAUGUACAACACAUAUUAGGAUACAUGUUUCACAGGUAUUUGAUAAAUAUUCAGCAUAAAUCUAAAAAAUGUUCGACGUAUGUACAAAAAUGUUCAACGUGAAAAAGAUGACCAUGUAUUUUUAAAAAUAAAAUAGAAAAAAAGAAAAGAAAGAAAAAAUUAAAUAGGAAAAGGGGAACUAAAAAUAAUACAGCCAAUAAAAAAGAAAAGGAAAAGCCUCGUGGAAUCUUCCCAAAAUCGGCUGGAAGGUUCGACGAGCUGGUCCUCAUAGAGCUUAAAAAAAUGCUUGUAUCACACUUAAUGGCUAGCUCAUUUUGUCGAUUGCUUGGUGACGCUACAAUUUUCGCAGUAAGAGUAGACUAGCGUUUAUCGAAAAAGGCUUUCACCCCAUGUGUUGUAUGUAAACCAUGAGCUUCAAGGCGGUGCGCCAUGAAGGGCACGACAGUAGAGAGCCACCCCCGCCCGAUUUAAAGGACCAAGAUUUUCAGCUACAUCGUGAUAGGAAUAAGAAUAAGAAUCAACAUGUCUUGAAGUUGGUUGGAAUGAGCUCAGAAACCUGGGGCUACUUCUGUCCAAAAUAUACUGCGCGGGUCUGUGCCAUGCCAUGCUAUUCGAAAUCUAUCUGCUACCCACUCUUGUUUUUAUCUCUUGCAUUGAUUGUUAUAUAUAGUAUUAAUGGACUGAUAUAAAGUCCACAUGAGUCGAUGGCAUUGUUGUUCCGUGGUUGUUAGAUGUGGUUUUUCAUUUUGUGCUUUGGCAUCUCUUUAAUUUUGUGAACUGCAAUGCCUGAUGUUAUGUAAUGUAUGUUCUAGGGAUGCGUGCACACCCUGGCUGGGCUUGCUUAAUAAGGGUGUGGUGAUAUGUUAGGCAAUUGUAAGCUAUUUGGACUAGAUGCGGAAAAAUUGUCAGUAUUCUAUAGUAUAUACUACUGCAUCCGUCCUGGUUUAUUGGUCGUCAUUGUAUUUUGUGUCAAUUUUUGACCAUAAAUUUCUAACAAAAUAUACAUGCAUGUCACCAAAAAUUAUAUAAUUGGAAACUAUGUUCAAAUAUGAAUCCAAUGAUAUAAUUUUUGUUGACAUGCAUUAAAAUUUUGUUAGUUAAAUGUUUGGUCAAAAUUGGCACAAAUUACAAAGGGGACUAAUAAAGCAGGACGGAGAUACUAUGUUGUAGUAUCAUCCACGUUGCAUGUAACCCGUUUAUUUUGCCCUUGGUGAUGAUGCCGUUUCUGCUCUAGGUUUUUGCUUCGAUUUGGGGAAGAAUGAGCCAGCACUGCAAUACAAGAUGCUAUGUAUCUGUAGUUUUGUAUGUUCCGGACGACAAUGUGCAUGCCAUCGUUGGGCUGUUCUGAUAAGGCGACAGUAACAUCUUUGGUAAUUGUAAACUGUUUGGAUUAGAUGCUUAGAACUCGUCAGUGUUUUGCAUCGAUCAUAUGUGAUUGCUUAUUUGCAAUCCUUUUCGUCUGCCCUUGGAGAUCAUCCUAUUAGUCUCUCGGCUAUGUCAUUCACGAUUUCACUUGUCAGAAGAAUGAAUUGAAUGAUGUAACCACAUAUGAUCUAGGUAGUCAUGUUCAUGUUUCAAUUUUUUCAUUCUUUUUUCAUUUUCCUUUUUCCUUUUUUAAAUUCACACACUUUUUAAAAAAAUCUUCAACUUAUCUCAAAUUCUUGAACUUUUCAGAUUUGUGAACAUUGUUUCAAAUCCAUGGACAUUUUUUUAAAUCCUUGAACAUUUACUAAAAUUCGCAAAGAAACUAAAUCAAGAAUUGUUUUCAAAAUGCAGGAAUGUUUUUCAAGUCCACAAACACAUUCCCACAUUUAUGAACUUUUUUCUAAUUUGUGAACUUUUUUAAAAUUCAUGAUUUUUUUUUGAAAACAGAGACAUUUUCUAAAUUUUGAACAAAAUUUGGAAAAGUGUACACUUUUUGGAAUUGUGAACAAUUUUUGAAAAUGGAAACACCUUUCAAAACUCUGUUCAAAAUUUGACAACGCAAACGUUUUCUAGAAUUUACGAACAUUUUUUUUCAAUUCUGAUUUUUUUUUUGAAAUUUUGAACAUUGACUAAUAAGUAUGAACAAAGAAUGAAAAACUGAACAAAACUUGGAAAUUCGCAACAGUGUCUUCCUUUUUGUAACCUUGAUUAGUAAGUAUGAAAAAAUAAUCAAAAUUCUGGACAUUUUUGUUGAAAACAUGCACAGUUUGAAAAAAUCAACAAAAACUGAAAAAACAUGAUUUAAAAAAAAUUCAAACGAAUUUGUGAAAUUUUUGAAUUUGAGAAAAUAGAAACAAUAAACAGAAGUUUGGUAAGAAAAAUAAACAUAAAAAGGAAAAUUGGUGAGAAGAUAAAAAGAAAUAAAAUGCCAUGUAUGCCACCGUUGGAUACGCUUUUAUCCGCCAUCCGUCAAAUGGCCCGAAUUUUUUUCAUGAUCUUGUAUUAUCAAUUCAAGGUGUCAUGACAAGUUUAUUGGGUUUUUGUCAAGUUGUGCAUUUUUUGGAGUUUUCCUGGUCUAAAAAGAAAGAUAAAUGGCCAGACGUGUCGCAACUUGCAUACGUUGUCGAAAGUCGUUUAAAUCAGGCAUGGAUGCCUACCAUGAACAUGCUCACAUGAUGGCAAAAGUUGGGUCCAUUUCAAGGAUGUCCACAAAAACACCAUGUUCAAUGGAGGGUGUUCAGGCAACAAGAAGGGUCGGUUUGAGAGAUGUUGUUUUUAGACAUACGUGAAAUGACCUUAAUUUUUUUCAUGGCGUAGUAUGACCAAUUCAAGGCACCAUCCCAAGUAUCUUGGGUUUUCUUUUCUACAAGUUUUGCAUUUUCUGGAGCUUUCUCGGUAAAAAAAGAACGAUAAAUGGGCGGACAUGUCGUAACUUAGAUACGGUGUCAGUAGUCAUUCAAACCUAUCGUGAAUACCUACCAUGAGCAUGCUCACCUUCUGGAAAAAGUUGGGGUCAUUUUAAGGAUGUCAAAAAAACACCAUGUUCAAUAAAGGGUUUUCGCGUAGGGCCAGAAGGGUCCAUCUGAGAGCAUGUUGUUUUUUGACAUCCUUAAAUGGCCCAAAUUAUUUCCAUGGCAUUGUAUGACACUUCUAGGCACCAUGCCAAGUUGUUUGGUUUACGACAAAUUUUGCAUUUUCUAGAGAUUUCUCGGUCAAAAAGGCCGAUAAAUGGUCGGACAUCUCAGAACUUGCAUACAGUGUUGGAAAUGGUCCAAACCUAACAUGGAUGCGUGCCGUGGGGAUGCCCACCAGCUUGCAAAAGUUGGGAUAUUUUUAAAGCUGUCCAAAAAUAGACUAUGUUGAACGGAGAGUAUUCAGGUAGGCCAAAAGGCUCCGUCCGAGACCAUGUUAUUCCUCUACAUCCUUGAAACGACCCUAAUUUUUUCCGUGGCCGUGUAUGACCAAUUCAAGCGACCAUGACAAAGUUGUUUCGGUUUUGACAAGUGUUGUAUCUUCUGGAGUUUUUUCAGUGAAAAAAGGCUGAUAAAUGGUUGGAUGUGUCGCGUGCAUAAGUUGUCAAAAGUCAUUCAAACCGGAUAUAGAUGCCUAACAUGGGCAUGCACACUUACUUGCAAAUUUUGGGGCAGUCCUGAGAUUUCCAAAAAAAUACCAUGUUCAACAGAGAAGGGUUCGGUUGGGAGCACCUCGUUGCUUGACAUCCCUUAAAUGGUUCCAGUUUGUUAUCAUGGCCUUGUAUGACCAAGUCAAGGCACCAUCCCAAGUUGUUUGUGUUCUUGACAAGUUCUGCACUUUCUGGUGUUUUUUUGGUUAAAAAAGGCCGAUACAUGGCCAGACGUGUCACAACUUGCAAAUGGUGUCGAAAGUCAUUCAAAUUUGGUAUGAAUGCCUACCAUGGGCACUCCCACCUUCUUGCAAACUUUGGAUUCAUUUCAAGGAUGUCUAAAUAUACACCAUGUUCGACAGAGUGUGUUCGUGUAGGCCAAAAUGAUCCAUUUGAAAGUACGUUGUUUUGUUGACAUCCUUCAAAUGGCCCAAUUUUUUCCACCAACUUCAAUAACCAAUUCAAGGCAUCCUGCCAAGUUAUUUGGAUUAUUAAUAAGUUUUGCAUUUUCUGGAAUUUUCACAAUAAAAAAGGGCCGAUAAAUGGACGGACGUGUCACAACGUGCAAACGGUGUCGGAAGUCACUCAAACCUGGCAUGGAUACCUCAUAUAUCCGUGCCACGCUAAUGCAGGAAGUUGGGGUCAUUUAUCCAUAGUUAAAAAAACCACCAGUUGAGAGGAGUGUGCCAGACUAGGCCAGACGGGUGCAUCCAUGAGCAUGUAGUUUUGCCUAACUUAAAUACUUAUGUUAUUUUCAACUUCCAUCAUCAUGAACAUUUUUCUUAUGUCCUAACCAUUAUUUUAAAAAAUUCCAACAUUUUUUCUGAAUUGUGUUUGAAAAUUUUACAAACUUGAACACUUCUUCCAAAAUUGUUAACAAAUUCCCAAAAAUUGAUGAAAAUUUGAGCACGAAUUGCAAACCACAUGCUUUUGUAAAAUUUAUCAACUUUUUUGAAUUGUGAAUAUUUCUUAACUUUAUGAACAAAAAUAUUCGAAACAGGAAUAUUUUACAAAAUUCAAGAACAUUUUUAAAAUUGUAAACAAUAUUUGAAAACAAGAAUAUUUUUAUUGAAAAUAAUUUUGCAAAUUUCGAAACAGGUUUGAAAAAUAAUAAUAAAGUUCAAAUAGGGGAAAAAUGAAUUGAUCAAAAAACAGAAGGAAAAAAUUGAAAAGAAAAAAAACUCUUAGACUUUGGCCCUGUUGGGUGGCCCAUGUGUUUGCGGAUUUUUUUUAUAUUUUGCAGUUUGUUUUAAAAACUUCUACCUAUUCAUGAGCUUUUUCUCAACUUUGUUAAUAUUUUUGUAAAACGAUUUAUACCUAUACAAUAAUUUUUUAGAUUUUCAAAAUAAAUUCACUAAAAAUGUUGCAAAAAGUUCGAGAAAUUGAAAAAGAUUCACAAAUUUGAGAAGAAGUUCACAAAUUUGAUUUUUAAUUUAUUUUAAAAAGUGCACCCAUUAUAAAAAACAAAAAAAGAGAAACAAGAAAGAAAGAGUAAAAGAAAACAAAAAAGGAAACAUAACCCGGUUUAGGAAAACACGUCAAAAACAGGCCUGGAUGUUUAUGAAGUUGUCUUGUCCACAUAAGAAGCGAAAAACAAAGCAAGUGGGCACAACAACUAACCUGUCCUGGUUGGUUAGUAGAACAUGAAGUAAACCUUGAGGGUUAGAGUUUGAAUCUUCCGUCAUGCAUUUUUUUGAAGAUUAAAAAGAAAGAGAGAAAAAGCUGACGACGCCAAAUACGGUUUGGGUAUCCCACGUAUGCCAGAUAGUAUAUAGGCGGUAUGUAUGCCGGUCGUGUAUAUGCAAGGUCGGCAUGGGAGACUUACUUUUUAAGAAGACUAUCUUAAUUUUUAUUAUGAAGGGGUAUGGAGAGAUCUCCUCCUUCUUGGUACAAACUCAUGCUUUCAUGGGCCUAACUAACUUACAUCAUAACAAGACUAGCGUAAGCACCACCCAGGUAGAAGAUUCCAGAGCCCUUCCAUAUACUCUAGAUUUUUCUAUUUGCAUAGAAGUCUAUGUCUAAUUGAAGAUCUUUAUCAUGAUAGUUCUUAUACCCUUCACUGUUAUAAUCUCAACUAAUAUAUAGAGAAUACACAAAACACAUAUACCCAAUAUUCAUGCAAGUGUCACAAAUUAUUGGAAGAAGCAUAUCAUAUGUCAUUUUUUCUCACAUUUGGAUUUGGUUCAUUUAUAUUUUAAGAUACAAUACAAUAUAUGACUUCAAAAUAGAUCUUAAAAUUAUAAUUACUCAUUGCGAUGUUUGUGAUUCAACAUAAAUAAUUUAUAAACAAGUACUAAAGUUCAGUAUAAAUAAUUUAUGAACAAGCAUUAAAAAAUAAUUUGAUAUUUUCAUUUGUAACCGGCGUUAUUUGUACACCCGGCUGCUCAUGUCGGCGUAUUGGAAUAACUGCAUAAAAGUAAUUUGAUUUGCACUCUGCUAGUAAUAACUCCAUCAAAGUAAAAACACCAACCAACCAUAAAGCUCACGUGUUUGCUCCACUGAUACUUGUGCUCCAAUCUAGUAGAGUGGAUCUUUUAACAGAAAAGGUGGAGGACCCCCGGCCUCUGCACACUACUAGAAACUACGAUUUUACCUAGGGCCAAGUUCUUCACCUAGAGCUAAUUGUCCUCCUCGAAGGAAAGAAAAGUAAUGAAUAGUACACCCUAGGUAAAGAUGGAUUUCAAGGCAAAAAAAAUUGGUAUAUACUUUCCCUAGGGUCGGGAAUAUGCAAAUGCCAACUGGUUCGCACCAUUUAUCAUCUGUGGUGUAUGUUGGACCCACUGCUCAGUGAGAAAGAGCACAUCGGCAACGACUGACGAGUGGCGCAUAGAAGGAAAUAAUUUCGACCAAGUCAGGUCUCCUUCUUCUCCACCGGAGCGCUGCGCCGUACCCAGACCCAGUUUUCUCUCCCGAACCAACUCCUUCUCUCGAGUUACCCUCCGCCGCCGGCAGGGUGACGACGCCCCCAGACCCGCCCCACCGUUCCCCACCGCCGUCUGCCUUGCCCAACCGUUUUCCCUUCCCUGUUGUUUCCCACUGCCGUCCACCCUGCCCCGCCAUCCCGCCCCACCGUGUCCCCGCCACUCCGCCGAUAUCCCCGCCACUCCGUCGAUCUCCCACCCCGCUGUGCUCUUCAUCGCGUCCCUCACCCCGAUGUGCUCUUCGCCGCCCAUCCUGCCGCGUCCCUGCUUCUUCCCUUUCUAUAUGGCUGUCGCUCCGGUGGAAAGAUGACCGGGACGGCCAUGGAGACCAUGGCCACUCGCGCCUGGGUAAUGGUGCCGCCCCGUCCGUGGUGACCUUGCCGCGCCUGCUAGUUGACCGUCGCUAGCCGCCAUCGAACCCCUGCAUCUCUCCAACAGGUUCCCUCUCUAGUCUGUACCUCCCUCACUCUCUGCUAAUUUUCGAGCAAAUCACUCUGUGUUAGUAAGUCUUAUUAACGCAGUUAGCAAGUUGCGAUCCAAAGCCUAUGAUGUCCAUGCCUGGGAAGUGGCAAUUUCUGCAAUGUGUAGCAUAUUUGGCUAUGUAUGAAAAAUCCCAGUGUCUGUCCAGGAUAGUAGUUGUCUUGUGUAAACUGUGUUUUCCCUUAAAGUAUAUGAUGGUUCUAAGCUAUGCUUGCUCUUGCUCACUAUGCACUCAAGUUUGCAAUAGUUAUGCAUAGGAAUGAUAGAUCUAACCUUAUGCAUAAGAAUGAUAGUUGUAACUGAAGCAAUCCAACAUUGUUAAUUGUUUUGUACAUAUUUUCAGAACAGACAAGUGUUGGGCGCUGACCGGUUGAAGAAAAUUCCCAUGUUCUUCGUGUCGAAGCAACGGAGAGGAAAGAGAUUGACAAAGCUAAAAUCAAGUAGGUAUUUUGAUAUCUUCUUUGCACGAAACAAAUGUUGAUUAAUGUGUUGUUCACUUUUAUUAUGUGUGGAGGUAGAAUUAUUUUUUGUUGGGUGAUGAGUGAUUUUCUGUUUGAGUGUGUAUGAUGCAUUCACUGUCUGUUGGGAUGUGACUAAUACUCGUAGCAUUUCAUUUUUAUUACAGACUUAAGUAGAAAAUCAAACCAUGUCUUUGGAUGAUCAACGUAGUUGGAUGUAUAGUGGGUGGAAGGAUAAUGGAAGGCAUUCUGAUGAGUGGAUACGUAAUACAAAUGAUUUUGUGAACCAUGUUUUCCAGGGUAUCCGGAGUGCGAAGUUUGGAGUUUCCUGUCCUUGUUCAAAAUGUUGCAAUGGUAAUAGAAGAACAAAACAAUUGAUAACCUCUCAUCUUUGUCAUUGGGGGCUCCUGUCGGGUUACUUUAGAUGGACUACACAUGGGGAGCGUCAUGUUCAUGUAGAUAGAGUGGAGUCUGUCAAUACUGAUUGCUUAGAGGACAUGUUGUGUGACAUUGGGGAUUCAAUGCAUGUUGAUAAUUCAGAUGAGGAGCUAACACCAGAUGCCAAAGCUUUUUAUGCCAUGUUGUCAGCUGUUAGAGACCCACUUCAUGAGUUCACCCAAACCUCACGCUUUCCUACUGUUAUAUGCUUGAUGGGCAUUAAGUCACAAUACAAUCUAUCGGGAAAUGCGUAAAUAGUUUACUGAAACUUUGGCAAGAUACACUUCCACAAGGCAACAAAAUGCCGUCAAGCUUGUAUGAGUGCAAGUGUAUCUUAGCUGGUUUGAAAAUGCCACUCGUGAAAAUAGAUGCAUGUGUUAACCAUUGCACGUUAUACUAUAAAGAUAGAGAGAACAAACUGGAGUGUGAUUUCUGUGGUGAACCAAGGUAUAAGGUGGUUAACAAUGACUGCCCAAAUAAGAAGCGUAAACCCAUCCCACGGAAGGUUCUAUGAUACCUCCCUUUUCUACCAGGAUUGCAAAGGAUGUUCACGGAGCCUGAAUUUGCUAAGAACAUGAGAUGGCACAUGGAAGGCAUUCGGGAAAAUCCAACAAUGAUGGUGCACCCACGUGAUAGUGAAGCAUGGAAAUCUUUCAAUGAGGAUGGGUUUGCAAGUGAUCCACGCAAUGUCAAGCUGGUCUUGUCUUCUGAUGGCUUCAACCCUUUUAAUUUUAGGUUAACACAAUACUCUUGUUAGCCCGUCUUUCUUGCUCCUUUGAAUCUGCCACCUGCUCUUUGCUUGAAAACCCAAAAUAUUUUCUUAGCAUGGUAAUCCCUGGACCAAAGGGUCCCGGCAAGAACUUCAAUGUGUACAUGGAGCCUUUAUAUGGCGAGCUGAAGGAGGCAUGGCAGGGGGUACCAACUUAUGAUAGUUUCCUUAAGCAAAAUUUCAAUAUGAGGGUAACCUUGCAUACAACUGUCCAUGACCGUCCUGCAUUUGGAAUGGUUGUUGGAUGGUCUACCCAUGGGGGGUUGGCUUGUUACGAGUGUGGGGCUGAUACACAAACAAUUUGGCUAGAUAAUGGUCACAAAUGUCAAGCCGGUUGGCCGGCUAGAUAAUGGUCACUUCUUUGUACCUUCCUGCUGAUGUGCCUACCUCAAGAAAUCUCCCCCAACGUUAUGCACAACCUAGCACUUCUAGGACAAGUACUUUUAGUUUGUUUGAUGUCAAGGGAUGGAAUAUUGGCAGAGGGGAGCCUAGGAUGUUAUCACACGAAGAGUAUAAGACAACCAUGAUUUUUAUCUUAACAAACAUGCCUGAAAUGGAUGAUAUUGUGAAGUAAGUUCUCUGAAUUAGCAUUUCUAGUACAUGCAUGUACAAUAAAUAAGGUUGGUACUGAUGGCUUACACAAAAAUGUAGAUAAUUUGAACUUGACCAAUGGAGGCGCCCUCGACAACCAACUACAAAACAACUAGAUAAACUUAGGCAGGAUGGUGCUGGUUCAGGAAAACCAAACUUGUUGGAUUGGUUCAAAACAUUGGUAAAGUAUCUACACACUAGCAAAUAAAACACCCUAUAGUUUACAACACAAAAUAACUAAUUUUUUGGUCUUCUUGCAGUGCAUCAAGGAUGCAUCAAUUAAUACUGAAUUACGCAAUCUUUCAAGAGGUUGUAGCAUGAGAGUGAAUUCAUAUGACAUGUAUGAAAUUAAUGGGUUCAGAUUUCGAUCAGACGAAUAUGAAAACCAUAGAGAUGGGGACCUUUUGUCUAGAAAUACCGGCAUUCUUGCUCUUAGAGUUGAUGAUGCAACCAACAAUGAGCUUGAAUACUGUGGUGUUAUAAAGGAUAUUAUAGAACUUAAAUUUGAUGGAGAUGAGGACUUUAGUCUUGUGAUGUUUGAUUGUCAUUGGUUCCAUCCAACUAAAGGAGUGAGGCAUUUGAAUAGAUUUGGCUUAGCUGAAGUAGCACCUGCCUAAACCAAUCCAGCCAAUGAGCCUUUUGCUAUUGCCAGCCAAGUAAGCCUAGUCUAUUAUCUUCCCUAUGCUUGCACUUCUGUUGCAAGUCUUGUUGAUUGGCAAGUUGCCUACAAGGUACCACCUCUAGGCAGUCUGGACACUCCGACGGAUGAUGUUUACACAACAACAACACCCACAAAUACUGAUGUCUUCAAGGAGAAUAAUUUAGAUGUGAAUGAUUUUAUUGUACAACUAGGAUCACAGCUUGACAACAUAACAACAAGUGGUUCAGAUGAGGUGGUUGAUCCAACUGAAUUGUCUGAUAUUAGCAACCGACAUAAUUUGGGUGGUGAAAAGAUUCAAGAGCAAGUUAUCGAGGAUGAAGACUAUGAUGAAGUGAUCGUUGAGGAAAUUGAAGAAGAAGAAGAUUUCUAGGCUUUGUAGCCUAUUUUAUAUUUUCUUUCAAUUGAUUGUUUGUAAUUUGGGUGGUUGAAGGACUUAGCAGGAAACACUUAUCUAUUUGCUAUUAUUAUAUUUCUCACGGGCUCCGUGUUGAUUGUAUACUGUUCUUUGACAUCUCUAUUCUUGUUUGUUUCAAGAAUUGCAAAUUACAGGAUGACACUUGGAAGAAGAGCAUCUCGCACCGUUGGAUCCAUCCAACCAGCACCUACUGCUCGGAAGAUUACUGCUCCUGAUGGCACUUAUGAUGGGUACAUAAGAGGAGUUUCAAAUCUUCCACCUGAUAUCCCGAAUAAUGAAGACCGCCCAAUCAUUCAACCAGUUGGAAAGAUGUAAAUCUCAUUAAUUAGUAUAAGUAGUUUCCUGUUCUACAAUCUGUAUUCUUUUGAUAAUAUUUGUUGCAUUUACAACUUCCUUGUAGGCAUUGGAAAGACAUUCCUGUUGUUCGAAAGGGCAGACGGCCUUCAAGUGUAUUGACAUGCCUUCUGAAACGUAAUCAUCCAGGUGUUGUGGAUUAUGAUGGUGCUAAGGUGCUUGCCACAGAGUGGGAGCAUUAUCAUGAAGUAAAGGACACAAAUGGCCAUUCUGUUGCAGACAAAAUUGAAGAUGCCUUUUGGGGGUAUAAACUAUUUAAAUUGCUCUUGUUUGUUGUCAAAUGAUUUCCUCUCUUGUAAUAAACCAUCUAUACAUUCUCUUUUUAGCUAAGGUACAAGUAUGGAGAUGCAUACUCAGAGAAGGCAAAGCAACAUGUUAGAAGAUGUUGCAAGAUACUUUUGCCAAGUAUCUUUUAUUAUGCAAGAAUCCAAGCAAUAAUUGAGCAUUUUUGAAAAACUGAGAGCAUUAACUUGAAUGAUAAGCUUGCUAGGCAAUACUAUUUGGAUAAAUCUUUGUAUUUGGUACAAAGGCAAGGUUGGUUACAAGAAGAAGCUUGGGGUUAUUUUAGUUGAUGAGUGGUGUAGUGAAGAGUGGAUUGCAAAAUCUAAGAAACAUCGUGAAAAUCGUGUUAGCUCAAAGUUCAAGCCUCACAAAGGUGGUUCCAACUCCAUGACUACUAUAAGUCAAAAAAAUGGUUAUCAACUAAACUUAAUUGUUUAUCCUAUUACCAGUUUAUCAUAUGAAUAAUUUUUCAUAUUUGUUAUGUAUUGAAUCUUGUGCAAUGCAGUCUGAGCAAACCGGCGAAGAAGUUAACCCAAUUCAAGCUUGGGUGCAUACACAUAGAGGAACUGACAAGAGCAAAACUCCGAUUCUCAACACACCAGAAGCUACUAAAUGUCUGGUAUGUGCUUGUGCCCAUUCGUCGAUCGAAUGAAUGAAUAUAGACUAUUAAUAUGUGGAUGCCACAUGCUCUUAGUUUUCUAUAUGAGUCCAAUAAUAAAAAUGCGUUAGAUCAUUUACUUUGAACGGAAUAAUGCUGAAAUACCUUGCUGUUGCAACCUGCCAUGUUCCUAUGUUCUGUUGUAACUAUGUGCAACCUGUCCUGUUCCUUGCAACAUACACCAGGAGAUUUGUACUACAUAUAACUCUAUAGAAGAGUUAAAUGUCAUGUUCCUUGCAACCAUCCAUUUAUGCAAUUUUGUAAUAGAAUCUUUACUCAUUUUGCUGAAAUUUCUGAACAUUUGUGUACCUUUGUUUUCUUGUUGAAUAGGCGCUUUACACAAAAAAGGCUAAAGAGUUAAAUGGAGAGAACUAUGAUACUCUAAAAAAAUGUUGUUAGUCCUAAGGAAUUUUAUGACUGCUCUAAUGGGAAACCACAUGGCAAAUGGCCUCUCUUCAAUGGCAUUGUCAAUGAGACCGAGGUAAUUGCUGAGGUCAGAGCUACUGGUACAUCUUCAACGGCCUUGAAGUGUCGACGAGCUGAAGAAAUUGAAGAUGCGCUUCGAAAGGAGUCUGAGAAGGCUUGAAAGGCAGAGGGUUAUGCCAACAAUAUCUUCUCAUGGGGUGUUGGCAUGUAUGAGCACUGCAAUGGGAUACAAAAGUUUCUUCAGGUGCUGGUUAACCACUUUAUGUUCAUCAAUUAACUUGCUAGCAUUUGGAAAUAACCAUCAUGAAUCUCUUCUUGUUUAACAGGAUUUUGCAACUAACCAAGGAGUACCUCUUGGUGAAAUACCACCGCCGCCAGUUCCACCUCCUGCUCGUUCACGGUCUCCUCCUGGAUCCCCAUGACAAUCUGCUAUCCAAAGUAUGUAAUCAUCCAUCUCAAGCAUAACACUCAAGCCUUAAUAUAUUUAAAUCAUGAUAUAUUUUUUACAUGCUCUUGUUACUUCAAGCUCAAUUUAACUAUCAUGCUCCUUAAGAUUGGAUGGUGCAGAAUUUGAUGUUUAGUCGAUCGUCAAAUGCAGUUUCUUUAUGGAUGUACUCUUGCCAUUGGCCUGAAUUAUGUUCACAUGGAUGUUUAUUUGUAGCUGUCAAGUAUAACAUUUUUACUUUCCCGUUCAGAUUAAGAAAUUUCUAUGCUUGCCUAUUUGUGAGUUGAGUUGUGUAGUAUGCAAGAGUAACUAUCUUUAAAACUUGACUCUUCUUUUGCAGAUUCUAGAAAAUAGCGAAGAACUGCCCCCUUUGUGUGCUCAUCAACAAGCAAAUCCUAGCUCUGAUCAUGUAUGCAUUUCUUAAACUUAUCUCAAAUGAUACAACUACUGAUGGCCUCUUUGUUGUGAUGUUCACAUAGUUGUGACAAUAUGCAUGCUCUAUAAUGUGUUCACAUAGCCUGUGUGGUGUUGGCUCAUUUGGGGGAUCAAUAUUGAUUAGUGGGGCUGCCAUAAUCUGUACUGCAACACGUAGUGUUCAAGUGUAGUACAUGCUAUUGUAUUUGGAAACAAAGAUCAUGCCUUAUUUUCUGAUUUUGUGUACACUAAAAAUAAUAUAUCACAACAUAGUUACAUUUUGGUGUGAGAGGUAUUUACUAUGGAUGAUGCUCCUGCAUUCUUUGCCUCCUGCUUUUGCCUUUUCUGCCAACAUCUCUUCUCCUUUUCUUGUUUAUUUUACUGAUUUUAUGUAUUUAUCACAGUAUCAUGUGAUGAAACCUUGAAACAAUCUUAGGACACCUUUUGACACAGUGCUGUUAUCUUGUGAAUGAGAAGUCAUAUUUUUCCUGAUGGUACUACAUGUACACAUUCUGCUCGUUGCUGCAUAUGGUUGGUCCAUGAUGAGAUUUCCGAUUAGCUCCAAAUAGCUCUUGCUCUUUUUGCAUAUUCCCUGGAACAAUUUCACUUGCUUCAAGAUCAUUUCUUUAUGCUUUCUAGUUAUUUCUGUAACAAGUUACUGUUGUCAUCUUCUAGCCUCUAAAAAUAUGUUAAAUCUUACUUUUCAGGAACAUGUUGGAUCAAAUGAUCGUGCUGCAGCAGGCGAUGAAGGGAUGUUUGGGGGAUUUUUCAGCGAGUGUGGAACUGGUGCACUAAGCUUAUCACUACUGGGCACCCAACGAGUCCAUUGAUGUUCUUGGAUGUAUAGUGCGUGAAGUAACAUUUUGGUGCAUGUAUAGUUAACAUGCUGGUACAGAUGAAUGGUGGAAUGAGUCUCGCAUCUAUUCCAAUGAGCAGUCUGUUACAUAUACACAGCGGCACGAAGCCUAACUCCCUACAUGCCAGGAGUGGAUGGCGUGAUCAGGCGGAAGACUAGGCCUAAGUACAACAACCAUCACAACUCAUACAAAGCAGAUACAGAUACAUACAACGGUACAAUUCAACACCCCCCCGCAGUCCGAACGUUGCUUGGCAAAACGUUGAGACUGGACCGAAAAUCAUUGAAGACCGUCGAGGGCAGCCCCUUGGUGAAAAUAUCUGCAAACUGCGACGUGGUAGGAACGUGAAGCACCUUGGCUUCACCGAGAGCCACCCGAUCCCGGACAAAAUGAAGAUCAAUCUCGACGUGUUUCGUCCGUUGAUGUUGCACGGGGUUGGACGAGAGAUACACCGCACUGACAUUGUCGCAGUAGACGACGGUGGCGCGUGUGGGGGGUCGCCGGAGCUCGGUGAGAAGUUGCCGGAGCCAACAAGAUUCUGCCACACAGUUGGCGACGGCGCGAUACUCAGCCUCCGCACUAGAGCGAGACACCGUACGCUGUCGUUUGGACGACCAGGAGACCAAGUUGGAGCCCAAGAACACACAAAACCCGGACGUCGAUCGGCGGGUGUCAGGGCAUCCUGCCCAGUCGGCAUCACUGUAAGAGAUCAGCUCGUGCGAGGAGCCACGAUGAAGCUGGAGGCCGAAAUGAGCAGUACCACGAAGAUAACGUAAGACACGCUUGAUCAACUGAAAAUGGGUGUCGAGAGGGGCGUGCAUGAAGAGGGAAAUUUGCUGGACAGCAUGGGUGAUGUCGGGGCAAGUGAGUGUAAGGUACUGGAGAGCGCCGGCAAGACUGCGGUAUUUCGAGGGAUCGGAGUAGGGUGUACCACCGGAGAGGGAGAGUUUGGAGCUAGUGUCUAUCGGCGUAGAAAUAGAGUGGCAGUUCAGCAUGUUGGCACGGUCCAAGAUCUCGAGAGCAUAUUGCUCCUGGGAUAAGAAGAGCCCAGCGGUGGUGCGGUGCACGGUGAUGCCAAGGAAAUGGUGGAGGUCACCAAGAUCAUUGAUGGAAAAUUCCUUGGCGAGAGACGCGACGAGGGAAGUGAGGAGAGAGGUGGAGCUAGCUGUGAGGAUGAUAUCAUCAACAUACAAGAGCAGGUAGGCCAUGGCAUCUCCUCGAUGAAGAAUGAAGAGAGAGGUGUCACACUUAGAGGAGACAAAACCGAGCGAGUGAAGGUGGCGUGUGAAGCGAAGGAACCAUGUCCGCGGAGCCUGCUUAAGACCAUAUAAGGAUUUGUUGAGGCGACAAACGUGUGUGGGAUGAGCAGAAUCAACAAAACCGGAGGGUUGCUGACAGUAGACGGUUUCAGCUAGGUCGCCAUGGAGGAAGGCAUUCUUGACGUCCAGUUGCCGGAUGGGCCAAUUGCUCGCCGUGGCGAGGCUGAGAACCACAUGGAUCGUGGCAGGCUUGACGAUGGGGCUGAAGGUCUCCCCAUAAUCAACACCGGGCUGCUGUGUGAAGCCCCGAACCACCCACCUCGCCUUGUAGCGCGCCAAGGUGCCAUCAGGAUGUAGUUUGUGCCGAAAAAUCCACUUGCCCGUCACCACAUUGACACCUGCAGGACACGGCACCAAAGACCAAGUGUCAUUCCGAAUUAGUGCAUUAAACUCGUCUAACAUAGCGUCAUGCCAAUGGGGAUCCUUGCGAGCCGCACGGUAAGAGGAGGGAAGUGGUGAUGGUGCGGUGGUGACGGAUAAGUCGAAGUGUUGUUUGGGCAUGGCAAAACCAGUUUUCCGGCGCAUGACCAUCUGGUGCGGAUUGGCGAGCGGGGUAACGGGAACAGCGCGAGGGGGUAUAUGUCGCGGCGGGGGAGACCGAUUGCGAGGCGGGGAUCGGGGAGCAGACGGCAAUCCCAAGGAAAGGUUGCGCCCUGCCGAGGAAGUGGGGAGUGAUCCCGGGGUGCGUGGGCUGCAGCUGGUGGGGUGGGUGGACCGAGGCAUGCAGCUAGCGGGAGUACGUGGGUUGCAUGGGGAUGUAUGGGUGGCGGGCCCCGCAGGGCUGGGCGGGGGCGUGGCGAUUGGGUGGAGGAGUGGAGGGUGUCGUGGGUGUUGUGGGUGAGAGCGACCGGUCGGGACGUGCGUGUACGCGGAGCAGUCGUGUACGCCGAGUAGGCGUAGUGGGGCGCUCCCGGACGCGGGCCGAGGACGCCCGCAGAGUUGGGUGGAAUCCACGGGGAGCGCGGCGGUGGGAAGGGCAUGCCCAUGGGAGCGAAGUAGCCCAGCCACGGCUGCGGUCCGCGGCCACCGCCAACAGAAUCGCCGCGACCCCGGCCACGGCCGCCACAGCCACGGCCGCCACGCCCGCGGUUUCCACCGCCCGGAUGACCGCCGCCCUUGCCGCCUGGAGGGCCGCCACGGCCGCCGUUGCCACCAUGCAGAGGGCCACCGCCAGGAGGGCCGCCACCGCGGUCACCGCGGCCGUCGGCGCCUCUGGCGUCGUCGUGGAGGACGGCCAGCACCUGCGCGCCCUCGGUGCGCGCGCGCUUGUCGAUGGCGAGCUCGGCGAGGACCAAGCGCGACCGCGCCUGGGCGAACGUGGGCAGCGGCACGGUGGACUGGAUAAUGGCGGCCGGCAGUUCGAACUUCUUGCCGACGCCAUCGAGCAUCUGCAGGGUCAGGGUGCGGUCGGUGACCGGCUCCCGGACGUCAGCGAGGGCGGCGGCGAUGCCCUGGAGGCGGCGACAAUACUCGUUGAUGGUGAGGUCACCGCGGACGCAUGCCCGGAACUCCUGGCCGAGGUGCAUCGCGUGCUCGGCCUCAUUGGCGAGGAAGUACUCGUGAAGACGCUGCCAAAUGGUGUAAGCAGUGGAGUCGGGCGGGGCGACGAGGUCGAGAAGAUCACCUUCGAUCGUGGAGAAGAACCAGAGGCGGAUAGUGUUGUCGUCGUCGCGCCACUGCGGAUCGGAGAGGCGCGCCGCGGCGCCGGCCUUCACAUGCGUCUCCACGUGGUACCGCGCGAAGAGGAGGUUGAAGUAGUUGCGCCAGCGAGUGAAGUUGGUCCCAUCCAGGGCCAGCUUGAAGUUGACGACUCCGGCGAUGCUCGGAGGAAGGCCGCUGGGAGGUGGAGUGGUGGUGGGCACAGAAAGAGGGAUCGGGGGAAUGGGGUUGGGUGGGGACGUAGCGAGAGGCAGGCCGCCGGAGUUGGAGAGAUCCGGGGUGAGCGACGCGUGUGGGCGCUCAGAGGCGGCGGCGGCGGCAGCAAGAUCGUCGGCAGAGGGGUUGUGGCCGAGGCCGCCGUCGACGGGAGAGGAGGGAGGGCUGGUCGACAUGAGAAGGGAGAGGCCUGAGCUCUGAUUACCAAGAUGAAUGGUGGAAUGAGUCUCGCAUCUAUUCCAAUGAGCAGUCUGUUACAUAUACACAGCGGCACGAAGCCUAACUCCCUACAUGCAGGGAGUGGAUGGCGUGAUCAGGCGGAAGACUAGGCCUAAGUACAACAACCAUCACAACUCAUACAAAGCAGAUACAGAUACAUACAACGGUACAAUUCAACAUGUACAUGUUUGGUGAUGUAGGAAACUGUAGUUGAACUACAACAAGCAUGUACAUGCUGGUCGAGAUGUUUAUUGGUUAGCUGUAGCAAACACUAGCUAUAGCUUAUUUUUGGACAAACUUGAUGGCUGGUGAUUUGCAUCUGAUGUAUGCAUGUGAUGAUUGAUAUCUAGAGAUAUCUAUAUUAAUUAUGCGAUGUUAUUUUGGGUCAGAAUUAUGGCUCCUAUUUGAAAUAUUCUAGUUAUGGAUUCAAAUUCGAAUUGCAAAUUGGAAUUAUGGCACAUAUGAAUCUGGUGUUUCCCUACGGUAUAAUUCAAAUUUGGUAGGGACAUAGCUCUAGGGAAAGUGUAUGAUUAUGUGACAUUGCAAAAGGGUCCCAUGAUCUUUCCCUAGAGCUGGCUAUAGGUGAAACAAACUUUACACGGUGGAUGCAUCAGCCGUGUGAAAUUCUUUCCCUAGGGCUUGUGCCCCUAGGUAAAGAACUUUCCCUAGGGCUGGUUAGAUGCACCCUAGGGUCCCGUGUAGACUUUACCUAGGGCAAACCCAAGGUAAAGUCUUUACCUAUGGUUUUCCCUAUUUCACCUAGGGUAUAUGGCCCUAGGUAAAAUUGUAGUUUUUAGUAGUGGCAUCUGGACGAUGCAUGCAUCCAUUUUAUUAAUUGUUCACACAAGACCUUACAAAGUAAUACAACAGUAAGACUAAAUUCACCGUCUAGGCAACAUCUGUCGCUACUCCUAUACAAUUGAUGAAAGGGUGCUGAUAGUCUAGACCUAAUACCAAACAGACCUCGCAGCCAAACCUACCAUCUAAGACCGGAGGUCCCAUCCAGGACGCUUGCCGGGUACAGGGCACCCCCCCGGUCUGGCGCACUCCUCAACCAGGACGCCUGCCAGGUAUGAGGCUACCGCAGCCACCUGCCACCAAUCCAUCUUCGGAACUGUACUGCUGCAUCUACCUUGCCCGGUCUAGCUGCCGUUGACACCACCACGACGCCAGACCGCGUCACCCUCCUGCGCGAGUCCAUCUGCGCGCAUCGGACGCCGAGUCACCACAACGCCAUGCCGCCGAGAUCCGCAGCCAUCAAUGAGUGAGAUGACGCACCGCUCCACCAAAGAAUCCGUCCUCUAGUCCCUCGAUCACGUGUGUACCUCCAAGAAUGACGCCCCAAAGGAGGGAACGGCAAUAGAGCGCUGCCGUCAUCCGAUCUAGGGUUUCCUCCGGAGGUAGCAGAAAGUGGCCUUGAGCUUCUCCACGGCAAUGCCUUCAAGAAGGGAACAAUGCAGAUAGCGCCGCCACCGCCGGCCUUGGCAAUAGCCGAAAGCAAGUUUUCACCCAGAUCUGUUUGAAGGAAUCCUACUCCCGUGCACGGCCGCCGCCACCACCAGGCUAAGCACUCGCCGCCGCCGGCACCUCCACGAUGCCCAGAGGCUGCGAGACUCGCCGCCACCACGCCUGUGCCGCCGGCCACCGCUGCCAACACCAACCCCCACCAUCCACUGGAUCUGGGUAGGGAUCCCAGAUCCAUCCCCCACCACCCACCACCACGGAGGGGAGGAGGCGGUGCUAGCGAGGGACGCCGGGAGGGGGAGAAGGAGCCGAGGCAGGGCCAGCCCGACGCCCGGCACCACUAGGCAGAUGGGAACGCCCCGCGGAGUCCCCAACUGCGUGCGGGAGAGAGCCGCCCCGCCGCCGCCAACCCCACACGGCCUUUGGCCGGUGACGCCCUAGGCGGCGGCGAGGGAGGGGGUUGAGGCAAAGGGGGCGGCGCUAGGGUUCCUCCCGGGGGCGCCCGUGGGAGCGCCUCGGGGAGGGGAGCGGACGUAUAGAAAAUCUGCAGUACGCGUUCCAUUUGCGACUAGCAAAUUUAUAUUAGCAGGACCAGAAGCAUAAACACACGCUCCUAUCCUUAUCCUUGUCCUCAGUCACAAAUUUAGAACCAGACAUACGCUGGUAGUUGAAAGAAACCAGAGGCAAGUUAUGUUAUCCGUCCAUUAAUAAUUAAAAUCAAGCUAGUCUUUGCAUUGCAAGGCCUGGUGUUUCCGAGCGGCUAGCAUCAUCGGCCAUUACUCGGCAGCAACGACAGCCGACGACCGCGCGCGGGUCGGGCGACGACCGUCACAUCCCAUGGGACCUGCAUCGCCGUCGUGCUUUUAAUCCUCGAUGGAUACUUACAAAGGGAAGGCAGCAUAUACACAUGCAUUGUGAAUGUCUAUCUACUGUUGAUCUUAUAUCUCGGACAUAUAUAACAAGAAACCAGCCACCAAACUUGCCGGGGCCGGAGUAAGCGUACGAUGAGGGCGAUCAUUACCGCCGCCAUGUCCUUCUUAAGUUCUUAUUGGCAUGCUUGGCAGCGGCUGAGGCUGUAGGGGUUGGGAUGCUGCAUCUUCCUUCCGCCGCCAACCUUGCUCGGGCUCGCUGCCCUUCCAGAUGCGGUGGUGUUGGCAUUGACUACCCAUUCGGGAUAUGGCCACUUCAACGUCACCGGCCAUGAAACCACGUAUCGACAACACCUAUAACAUGCCAUGGGAGGCCCCCGUGAAAGGUCUCAUGGUCAAACGAGAAUCAAAAUUGUAAGUUGUUGGCUGCGGUGUUGGUGUAUAUUUUCUGGGCCAUGAUGCCAAUAAUCCCACAGGUUAUUGUGUGCGUAUUUGCGUAGAUAACAAAGGUCCACGAAGGAGGCAAAUGCAAACCGCUACGAGUCAAUACAGGGAUAGGGUCAUGUUCGAUCCUUUUGGAACAUGAUGUGCGAGCCUUUGGCUUCAGAAUUGCCCGCCUCGUUGAUGGCGUCUCAGCACUAUCGGGUCAAGGGCAAAGCCUCUCUACUAAUGUCAAUGUUUUUCUAGUGGAAGAUUACGUACAAUUUUCGUAUGUCAGAUAGAGGAACCAAAUGUUGAUGGGUCAUAUUUUAGCAUGCCCAUCACAGGCCAACCAAAUUGUGAAAGUUCUCUGAAGAAAAAGUCCUAUAUGCAUCAAAGCGAUUGCCAGGAUCUGACAUCUGGAGGCUACUCAUGUCUGGUGCCACAGUUAUGCGAACGACAACAAUCCGUACCUUAUGGAUGGAUGUCGAGGUCAGGGAUUUGCUUAUUAUUCGUAAACAUAAAUAUAUCGAACUGCCAUAUAUCAUGAUUAUGAGUAUAUGUAUAAUUGAAUAUUAUGGUAAUUUUUGCACCAUGGUUGUUGGUGACAACUUUUCUUCUCCUUUUUUAUACCCGCCGUCAUUUUUUUUUUGGGAAAAUCAUCAUUAUGUGUUCUCCGUAAAGUAUAGUUAAAAAAGAAAGCACUAAAUAUUUUCUUGCCCAAGACUCAAAAUUGCCUCUCAUAUAAGUUACAAAAUCUGACCGUACUUUCUUUAGAACCUUUCGAUACAUUUGGAAGUAGUACUAUUUUUUGUUAUAUUGCUUCCUAGUGGCACAUGGGUUACAUAGCAGCUAUGUUGUCUUUACGAGCGGAGAUAAGAAAAAUUGUGGGAAACCACUCGAGAAUUCUUGAAAAGGUGCUGAUACAACUUAAGUUGUUUUCGUUGAUAUUCACCCAAUUAAUGAAUUUGCUUUAUUACAAGUAGCAUGUUUCUUGAUAAUGUUUCAUCUAGGAAUUAAACUUGGUAGUAUUAAUUAUUGAUAUGACGAGUGUACCUGUACUCAAGAUAGGGUGACCAUUAAGUCCGGAGAUCUUAAUGUAACUUCUUCCUAUGCCAUAUACUUGCAUCAUUCACUUCCCUUUUGGCCUUAAAAAAGGUUGCUAUGCUGCUGAAAAGUUUUAAGUGUACAUUGUAAAACAUCACAAUUCUUGAUCAAGGGGAGAAAUGCAAUGAUCAAGUGGCCAAAUACAUUGUCACCAAGAUUUCAGUGAAUAAAGGAUAUCUUAGUGUUAAAGAAACAUAGAACAACUCAAAGUACGGCGAUGAAGACCUCAUGGUACUUGUUGCUAUAGGCGAGAGUGGUUGGCAAGUAGGACUCCGUGCCUCUAAAUGGUUUGUAUUUAUCUGAAGAAUACGACAUGAAGAUGUGACACUCAUGUCGAUAAUUUAACCUGUCCGGUCGCUAUGCGCUAGGAAAGAAGUGCUACGUACGCAUGUUGCAGCAUAAAAUAAACACUUGUAUUAGUAUCACCCACAACCACAUGAAUGGGACGAUGCAGCUCGGCUAUCAUUGCCAAUGCUCUCCGCGUUACGAGGGAAAUCCAUACGUACCAUAUGGCUGAAAAGGUAAAGACACUGCAACUUCCAUUCCAAAUUGCCAUCCAACUGGAUGCAUGAUUUUCCUUGUACAUGAAAUGAUUGAUCGAAAUAUUGACAAUGAUACAUCUAGCGGGAUUCAUGUGUUGCAAUACUUUGACUUCUUGAUCCAAAGUGUUUGUUUCCUUUUUAUAGUGGAGUUAUACUAUCUAGGUGGAUUCUGAAUGAUGUCCUCGAAAGGGUUGGCUUCUCCUCUCAUAAGAAAUGCACUGCCACUAUUCAGAUGCUUGCAUAUGGCAUUCUCGGUGAUCUUGUGGUUGAGUAUGUUCGCAUGAGUGAGUCCACAUGCCUUGCUUCAUUGUACAAGUUCUGGAAAGUUGUGGUUGCAGCGUUUGGCCCGGGGUACUUGAGAGAAACCAAAUGGCGCAGAUACAGCUCGGUUGUUGGCGACCAAUGAAUCCAGAGGUUUUCCGAUAAUGUUUUGUAGCAUAGAUUGUAUGCACUGAAAGCGCAAGAACUGUCCAUUUGCUUGACAGGGGCAGUAUAAUAGUUAUGUUAAGCUUGCAUGGUCAUACUUGGAGCCGUGGCAUCACAAGAUCUUUGGAUUUUGCACUCUUUUUUUGGCAUCGCAGAUUCUCACAAUGACAUCAACGUGCUUCAGUAAUCUCCGGUGUUCGCACAACUUGCAGAAGGCAACUACCCGGAGGUCAACUUUGAGGUCACUGACCACCACUAGAACAGGUGAUACUACCUAGAUGGUGGUAUCUAUUCUCAGUGGUCAACCCUUGUGAAGACAAUCUCUGACCCGGCGGGAGAGAAGCGGGCUAGGUUUGGCCAAGCACAAGAGACUGCUAUGAAGUAGUGGAGUUGCUUUCGGUGUACUCCAAUCUUGAUGUGCGAUGGUUCCAUACCCUGCUAGAACAUAGAGCGAGCGGAACAUGUGGGAGCUGAUGCAUACUUGUGUGAUUAUGCACAACAUGAUUUUACAAGGUGGGCAUAAUGACAACAUCUUCGACCAACGUUUGAUUUCCGGGGUGAAAAUAUUGAGCUUGGGCAUCAAUCGACAACAUUUGCCGAGUUUACCUAAUUUCAUCAUGAAAUGUGUGAUUGGACAACUCACAUUCAAUUUCAAAACUAUUUGGUUGAGCAUAUAUAUAUGGACUCACCUAGGCAACCAAUAGGUGUAUCCGAUUUUUUUCUUUCAAUGUUUUUGUGAUAAUUUCAAAUUUAUUUGGUUGUUAUUUGGUUUUAAACUAUUUAUUGUGAUGUAAAACUAUGUGACCUUCUAUUUGUCAUCGUAUACAUAGAAUGUAAUGUUAAAAUUUGGAUAAAAGUUGGCUGGACGGACCAAAUGGGUCGGCCGGUUCGGCGCAUUGGCAGGGUAAUCACGGACAAGGGGGAAUGCCGCCCCUUCGGCCGAUCCAGACGGACAAAAAUCGAACAAAAAUCUGCAUCCGUUCGCGUAGGCCGGUUGGAGUUGGCCUAAGGGAUUGUACAGACUUCCACUCAUCCGUACGUAACACCUGCCACAUUCGAUAGUUCUUUUUUUUGGAAAGUAUGCCUAUAUUCAUAACACGAAACAAUUACUUCCGAACACGUACAAGCGCACACUAACACACUCAUGAUCAAGCAAAAUAACAAAGAGCACCUAACACAACUAGAAAAACACGAAGAUGUCCUCAACUCUGUGCCAUUACCCCUGAACCUUGCGAAAGACCCCUGGAACAAAAUAAUUUACAACCAGCCCUAAGCAGGACAUCAUCUUCAACCACAACUUCAUCAUGGCCACAUUGCUCCACCUUUUCUUUGCUCCGGCGUCAAAAGGACAUGGACACACCUGUUAUCCAACAAGCCUGCACCAGCCUUCACCAUCUGUGGCUUUGAGUACCGCCAUAUGUGCCCCUUCCGGUUGAAAGAGAGCUAGAAUCCGGUUUCGACGCCGCGGUCGGGCCAAUCGCCCGGGCAAAGCAGGACGUCCCUCCAGCAACGACACAAAGAAAAAGGAUAAACAACAACAAUAGAUCAUACCGACGAGGAGGAAGAAGAAGCUCCAUCUCCGCAGAGCCACCAACCAUCCGAGGACUUGCCCGGCCAGUGCCGAUUGACCUCGAGACACCAUAGCCCACGACCUCAAUGAGAUCCAGGGAUCCCCCACCCCCACUGGCUCCUAGACGGAGGCAAGAGCCCCGCUUGACUGCGUACGAAGCCCGGGAAAAUUUAUUCAGACGCGACGCCGCCGCAACGGACUUGGCAACGUCUCCCUCAAACCCUAACUCUACUAUGAACAUUUGAUAUUUCUACGUGGUGGGGGAAGGGAGGAGAGAGCUGGAGGCGGCAGACAGUGAAUAACCUAGAAAAUUUGCUAGGUAUCCAUAGGCUACUCCCGUUAUACGCUCGGGCGUCUGUAGCGGGUUGUUCCCAACCAUCGUAUUUGAGAUCAACAAUAUUUUCUAAUUUUUGGGAGCUAAAGUUAGGAAAAGAGACGGCCUACUGUACGGGCUGUUUUUACGGCUAUCUACAACUGACGUGGAGGACACCUAAGGGGUGAAACUGGGGCAACUGGUAUUUCGCGUUGUACUCAUCUGGAAAGAGGUACGAGAGAGUGCCCAGGAACAAAGAUCUGCUGAGCUAUGGUGCAGAAUUUUCUUGGACUAAUGAGUGCGGUGGGUGAGUGGCAGCGUCAACUAGCAAUGAUGUAUACUUCAAUGUAAAAGCAUAUGUCAGAGGCAUCGCGGUCGAUCCCUCGACAUAGAAUUAAUGGACGAGUAUGAAGUUUAAACUAACAAGUACUGGAGUACUGGUACGUAGUACACAUGGAAAACUGUAAGCUUGGACCUUGUAGUUUAUCUCAACAGAACCUACUCAAAUGCAAGUUAGCUAGCGAGACUACUCCGCUCUAGUGAUCGAGGCGGCGGAGCGCUUGGGUAUGCCAAAUCUGCCGUGGCUGCCUUGCAGUUCGGAGUCCGGCGCCACAAGGCCUUGUCCUAUUCUGAAGUUUCAACGGCACCUUUUGAGUACUCCCUCCAGCCCAUUUUACUCCGCUUAUUGGAUUUGUGUCAAGUCAAAUUUUACAAGNNNNNNNNNNNNNNNNNNNNNNNNNNNNNNNNNNNNNNNNNNNNNNNNNNNNNNNNNNNNNNNNNNNNNNNNNNNNNNNNNNNNNNNNNNNNNNNNNNNNNNNNNNNNNNNNNNNNNNNNNNNNNNNNNNNNNNNNNNNNNNNNNNNNNNNNNNNNNNNNNNNNNNNNNNNNNNNNNNNNNNNNNNNNNNNNNNNNNNNNNNNNNNNNNNNNNNNNNNNNNNNNNNNNNNNNNNNNNNNNNNNNNNNNNNNNNNNNNNNNNNNNNNNNNNNNNNNNNNNNNNNNNNNNNNNNNNNNUACUACCGGGUGUAGUUACAUCCAUUUCUCAUAUACUACCAUGUGGUAGUAUAUACUCUACUUUAUUACUUUUAGUAUGCUCAUAUACUAUAUUUAAGAUACUCCAAAGCGAAUUAUGUGAAAAAAUUGCAUGUGAGCCCAUGUUUUUAUAAUAUUUGUGAAAUACGUACAUAUUUAUACGUAAAAAGGAGUAUGCUCAAAAUAUACUACAUACUACAUAAAAAAUAGUAUAUAUACUACCUAAACAUUCUUACAUACUACAUACUACGCGUACAUAUCCUCCGAUAUGAUAGAUACUACCUAGAACGUAUGAAACAAAAGUAGGAGUAACUACACCCGGUAGUAGGAAAAAUUUGUCAUAUAUAUAUAUAUAUAUAUAGAAACUCUAUUAAUAACCCAGGAUGAAGAAUAAGUAAUUCUUCACCCUGGUCGAGCGACCCAGCCAGUCGACACCAUCGCACCCGCUUUUGACCCGCACCACUCUCCUACCCACCUAAAAAAAUUUACCAACGUUUCUGCCCACGUCCCCACAUUUUUUGGGUCGAUUCGAUUUGUGAGCGGAAAGCUGUGAGCAGUUCUGGACGCGAGCGGCGGCAGAUUUCGGCGACGAGCGGGUGGCGGCAUAUUUCGGGUGGAGGCUGCUGCUUGCGGUGCUGGGGUGACCCCGUGGACCGGUGGCAACGUGGAGGUGAGCAGCGAUGCGGAGGAUCCGCUGCGGGUGGCGGCCUCGUCGGCCGGCGACAUUUCGGUGGCUGCCAGCAGGAGAAUAAGCACCUUGCUCUCCUCUGCGACCUCAUCAUCAAUUGGAAUCGAGAAGGUCACAUCCUGUUGCUUACUCUCCAUCAGAAGCCGCCAGAAUCGAUCGCCACCAGUCGCCCCAACUUCCAGAUCCCGCCCAUCAGCGCCUCAAAAGGUCAGUAUUUUUUUUCUAUUUGUGCAUGAAUUCUCGUGAAAUAGUAGCAGUCUCGAUUGUGCAGAAGCACCAAGUGCGUCAAAUUUUCUGUUCCUUGCAUUUAACUGUUUGACCCAAUUUUUGAUAUGGUGUAUCAGAAAUUCAGAAUAGAAUAAGUUAUGAUGAUUGUAGGAGUGAUCUGCGGCUCUGAAAUUAUGUGAUUUAGGUAGAUUUCGAUACAAAAGCUCUUCUUGGGUAAAUCAAUUAGCCAACAAAUCUGAAAGAAAUUUAAAGGAUGCUAAUUAGAGUCUGAUUUGCGUCAUACUAGUAUAUUCUGAAGAGCAACUUGCUGCUUGUUACUGCAAAUGGCAAGAAGAGUACGCAUUCAAUGCUUUUACUACUGGUCUGGUUUGCUUUUGGAGUAGAUUACAGCUUUAAUAUGUAGUUAGUUCAUUUUUUGGGCGGUUCAAGCGAAUCAUUGUUUUUGAAUUCACAGUGUCUAUUUGAUUUUCAUGGGGUUGAAAGGGUCUGUCUAAAGUAUUAACCUAAUAUAACAAAACUCUAAGGCAUAAUCAAGUUUGUUAUUGAGUCCAUGGAAUCCAAUUUCUACAAUAAUUCAACUUUCAACACAUAUUCUUGGAAAACAGUUUGUGUUCUUUAAUCCAAUUUGUACAUUGCCCACUAGUGAUUUUAGUGCCAUAAAAGGAGCUGAUAAGUUGCAUAUUUUCAGUGAUGUUUCAGUUUAUGCUGUAGCCCGAUGUGGCAUGAGAUGAACUCAAACCUAAUUUAUUUCUACUGAAUCUGACGAGCUUUUUACACUUGUGUUACUGUUUCCAUCUGGGGAUGAAAAAAUUCUAUCGUCAGAUUUCAGCUGACAAGGUAAAUAUUGCCAGUCCCUCAUCGCCGCGCUGGUGCUGCUGCCUCCAUUCCUGGUUCCUCUUUGUCGUGCAAGGCAACAAAGGAGAGUCACCAUGAAUGCGAGGCUCGCCACCCCCGUGUUCACGACUGCUCCUGAGUCCUGACGAGGCAGAGGUCGUUGCUGGCAAUCAUUCAGCGAGCAUGCUGUAAUAAAAUGAUUUUUACAAACAAAACUAUAAAAAAUGAAUCUGAGAAAUGUUCCGAGAUCGCCGUACUGUGUUUCAAAAACAAAUGUAGUUGAUCCAAGUCAGCGAGCAUGCUGUGAUGAAAUGUAAAAACAAAUAUGGUUAAACAAAUCUGCCGAGAUCGCCGCACACCAAGUAUUUUAAAUGUGCUCACCAUUGGGGUAUGAUCAUUGUUCCUUUUAGAUGUCUAUAGUACAAUUUACAUCAACGCUUCUAGCCAAUUUUAUGUUGGAUGGUUAGGAUGCGAAGUUAAUUUAAUAUCUGAUACCACUUUGAAAGUUCAUGUGGUAAAAAAUGGAAUGAUUUACAAGGCUACUGAAAUAAUCCUUUGCUUACUGGUCACAACCACAAGAAAAGCAGCAGCUGCUCAUGAACAUGAAUUAAUAAGUAAAACAUAUGAAGAAGAUGAUUCUCAUUGUUAUGUGUCCCCCUUGGUUAUACACACUUUUUUUCUUCUAAAUUCUUCCCUCCUCCUUCCUUUUUCCUGUAUAUAAUUUUGGGAUACGUCUGGUAGAAUAUUUUGUGUAAUCAUAGGUACAAAGAGCCAAUUACUCGCCAUUAAGAGAAGAAAUGCAUAGCUCCGACUUUAUUUGUAAAACGGGGUGAAAGCCUAUUUCGAGAGAAAUGCAUAGCUCUGCUUGCCACUGUGUCUGGCAAUUAUGGAAAUCCAUAAGAAACUACUCCCUCUGUCCCAUAAUAUAAGAGCGUCACGCUCUUAUAUUAUGAGACAGAGGGAGUAGAUGUCAUUUGCUAUUCUGCAUCAGGUUUGGCAACAGAUAGAGUGGUACUACAAACUGGUGCUGAGACACGGAAGCAAGCUCUUUUGGGUGAAGUGAAGCUCACCCUUCCUUUCCUAACAAUCAGCAGAAAAAUUCAGGAUUGGUGCAAAGAAAGGUAAACCUGAAGGCUUCAGUUCUAUUAAUAGGAUAUGAAUGUUUUAAUUGCUGCAGAGAUUGUAGGACACAUGAAAUUGAUGGGCAAUCUGUGGCCACCCGCAAAUUAAGUUGCUUGAAGACCAAGUUUAAACCUGUACGAUGUUAGUGAAGUUGCGCCUCCAUGUCUCUUCACUUCCUGAUGUAAUUAGUCUGGUAGUAUUCAGUUCUGUAAUAACGAUUUAUGAUAUAUUUUUUAUGCUGCUGGUUACCGAUUUGCCAAGUGAUAUUCGAUGUUCUCCAAACGAAUUUUAGUAGUAUCAUACGGAUGCUUUUUAUUACUUGAGAUAUUUACUGGAAACAUCAGUUACUUUCUGUAUGGAAUCUAUUUAUCAUAUGGCUCAGUUGUGGUUUUAGGAUUUAAGGCCACCAGGCAGAGUUCUUGUAUUGGCUCUCAGUUUCUGUACAUUAAUGCCUUUCACGGGGCUGAUUUUCCCCUUUUAGAUUGGUUAUUAUCAUAAUCUGUACGUUGCCUAAUAUAGCUUUUUCUUAAGUCAUGGUUGUACAAAUGCCUCAUGUACGCUAUGACGUCAAAAAAAUGCCUCACACUACAUUGGUCAUCACUUCUUUAAGCCUGUUCUGAAAUUUUCUUAUGCCAAAAGUGCCUUGUGUGCAAAAUGAAUUAAUGGACCAUUAUCGCUACCAAAAUUACCUUGUACAAAACGAUUAGUGGAUCAGGUGCAGAACGACUAUUAAAAGACUAGUGAAAAUACCUAAUGUACAUUAUAGGAAUGCAACUUUAUCCUAUAUGAAAGAAGUCAGGAACGCCUUCCCAUUCGUUGCCGUAAGAUUACAUCAGCAUCGUUCGUUUUUAUAUUGUGAUCUCGUUGGACGAUACACAAGAGGACGUAACAUUCAUUCUGUAAGAUUACCUCGUAACUCACAGGCAUGCAUUCUGUAAGAUUACCAAGAUCCUUUUUGUACGGCGGCGGUACAACUUUCCUUCCAUGCCAUUGUAAUCUUACCUCAAGUCUUUUAUUUCUUAUGUUUUGAAGUUUCUGAGCGUGGGAUUGGACUGGGGUGAGGAAUAAGAAUUCCUCACCCAGGGUGACGAAUAGCGCGACCAUAUAUAUAUAUAUAUAUAUAUAUAUAUAUAUAUAUAUAUAUAUAUAUAUAUAUAUAUAUAUAUAUAUAUAUAUAUAUAUCAACAUAUACAAUACCAAAUAUAUAUACCAUGAAUCUACAUUUCGUAAUGAAUCUAAUAAUAUUAAUUUGACAUUGUGAAUGUUGAUACUGUUUUCUAUAAGUUUUGUCAAAUUAGAGAUACUUUGACUUUGAACAAAACUUCUAUGCAUACUAAAAAGGACUGGAGUGAGUACUAAACCAAGAUGGAGUCUGAUAAGAGCUACAGCGAAAUAAAUAUCUCCACCCAAAAGCUUUGUGACAAGUAACUUUAAUAUCAUCAGAUUUUCAUGUUUGGGAAUCAUUGAUGGGUUUUCGUUUUCCAAGUAGGGGUGGCUUUUCUAGUUGGCAUGUAUCUAUUUCUCCAUUAUGGGAAGACACUUGGUUGGGUGACUCCCCCUCUUUGUCAGGAAUAACCCCUAUCGGACAAUGUUGUCCAGAGAAACCAUGUGUUGUUAGCCAAGUCUAUGUUUAGUCGGUUUGGAUGGUAGUCCAGCAAUAGUAUUGAUGUUGCAUAGGUGUACUAUGUAAAUUUCUAUUGCUGUUGCCGAAGCCUCGAUAUUUUACAUUUUUUCUUCUUCUUGUACCACUUGAUAUAUACAAUUAAAGAUGAUUGUAUGCAUCAAUCUGUGCAGAGGCCAAGGAUUAUUUUCUUUGUCAAAAAUGAAUAGUUCCAAACUAUAGAAGAGCUCAAUAUAAAGCACACUUUCCCAGUUCAAAUGAGCACAAUAGAGCCGACAUGCAAUCAAUUAGUUGACGCAUGUGGUUUCAUUAUUUGCAGGAGGCAGGACAGGUUGGAAUUCCUCUACGAGUCAGGGUUGGGUGUCGGUAAUGGGAGCUCGGAUGGAUUCCAAGCACUGCAUCAACCUGACCCGGCGGCAGCUGUCGCCUCCUCUUCUGCUCCAACGAUUGCUGGAUCUUGCAAGGUAUCUCGGCUGUUCCUUAUCUCCCUGGUGAAUCUUGUCCAUUGUCUUCGUGGAUUUGCACGUAUACCUACACAAUUGUCAAAUAAAUAUCAGUGUUGCUUAUGUAAUUGUAUUUUUUUUUCUUUACUUUUGAAAAUAGAGCUACUUGUUUGGUGGUUUCAUAUUGAAUUGUACUAUAGAAAUGAGCACAAACAGAAAUGUGGGAAACUAGAUUUAAUGGGCCAUGUUGGUUGGGGGUCUGUAUGGUUGAUUGACUCCUAAAUGAAGUCCAACACAAAAUAAAACUCCUAAUUAGAGUGGGAUUGUGGGACACUUGAUUUCAUGGUUGAUUGCAUGCAGGGAUUGCACGCUUCAUGUCAUUCUUACUAAGACAAAGGUUGCUACAUGCAAAUUAAGCUCUAUGAUUGAUGUUGUUUAAAGAGAAGCCACCAGUGGUAGUUGUUGCACGUUUCAUUCAGUGGGCAUACUGACAACCAAGGGGGAGAAAGACAUGCACAUACAAGCGAGAUGAUGAAAUAAAUCAUUUAGAAUGCUGUGUUAUUUUAUUUUAUUUUCAAGCAUGACAGUAUGCGUUAAUCUGUUUUUGAACGAAAAAAAAUCAAGGGUGUUAAUUGAACACUUUUGAAGUGAUGGAAUUAACAAAAUUUUGCAAGUUCCACAAAUUUUUUCCUCCAUUAUUCAUUCUAGGUAUUUCUCUUUGUAUCUUUUACUGAAACUAAGGUAGACAUGCAUGACCGCAAUAAAAUUAUUUUUACACUAUCAGAUGGCAAAGCCCGUAUAAUAAAUAGGAGACCUCCUCUGUUCCAGACAUCCCUAAGUAGUACAACAACUAUACCUUGGGCAAGCUGCGAAACCCACCACACCGGCGAGGCGCACGCAGCCGACCGAGCUCCAAAAAUGGCAGCCACGACAGCGACACCACAGGUGCACAUCGAGUCCAUACAGACGGUCUUGCCGACUCGCGCCGUUGAGCCAGACAGGACGCGCCGCCGCUCCCGGAGACCGCGCUGCAGCGGCGCCUCCGCGUGGUGCUGUACUACAGCGCCGAUGGUCACGCGCCGUGGGAGGAAGGUAUAUGGGUAAGGGAGUCGCUGGGCGAGGCGCUGUGCUUCUUCCCGGAGCUGGCGGGCAGGCUCCGGCGCCGGGCCGACGGGGACGGGUCGUGGGAGGUGAAGCUGAACGACGCAGGGGUGAGGUUGCAGCAGGCGACGGUGGAGAUGAGCAUGGAGGAUUUCCUGGCAGACAAGGACCGGGCGCGGAAGGAAGCCGCGCUGGCGCCGUGGGUGGACGUGAGCGCCGAGGAUCCUGAUAUGUGCUCGCUCCUCUUCAUGCAGGUAUUUGCACGCGCAUUGGGAUACUUGUGAAGUUUCAGUUUUUUCUUCUUCUUGAAUUUGGUCAGUUUCUCAACUUUUAGAUCAACGUCUAACCAUUAUAUCAUUUUCAUAUACUCCCUUCUUUCUAUAUUAAAUUUUCGCUAAACGGAUAUAUCUAGUACUGAAAUACGUCAUGAUUUAUGAAAAUAUAGAGACUAACAACUUGCUAAAUUUGCACACUUUAUUUGGAUGUCCGAAAACUCUAAUAGGGAGAAUUAGGUAAAAGAUUACGAUGAAAUGUAGUGCCCAAAUGAUUUUGGCUAAUUAUUGCGAAAAUAGAGGGUUAUCUGUCAGUCACAUUUAAGUGGAUGCCGACGGAUCCCACCGUACAUCCGUGGCGUCCAUUAUAAAUCUGGUGGCCCAUGUAGGAAUUUUUGGAUUUUCACUAGGAAACCAUUUUUAUUAGAUACUUUGCCUUUAAUUAAAGUCACAUAAAGUGGUUUGAUACAAUUCAAGAGAAGUUGCCUUAGCGAACCAACCUGUGGUUGGAUGGUUAGAGGGACCGUGGUAUACCCAGCCCACCAGGGUUCAAAUGCUGGUGCUCGCAUUUAUUCCGGCGAUGCGCAUUCAGUGGGAGGAGACGUUCCCGUCGACGACGAGGCGCCUACGGUGACUUUGUAAAUCUCAAGAUAAUAUGCCGGCUCAGUAUUUCGGAGGUGCUCAUAGGGGUAGGGUGUGCGUGUGUGCGUUUGUAUGGGUGAGUGUACGCGCGUGUAUAUGAGCGCUUGUGUCUGUACUGACGUUCACAAAAAAAAGAAAAGCUGCCUUAAAAAGCUAUACAUGUGUAAUAUCUGAACUCUAACACACGCCUCACUCACACUACAGCCACCCACAGACUGAGCUUCUAUGACUUAACUACACCUGCCUUUGAAUGUAUGACAUAUGGGCCCACAUGUCAUACACCCAAAGGCAGAUGCAGUAAGUCAUUGAAGUUGCUCCCCUGUAAAGACAUCUGGUGCGUAAGUUAGGCCUACGAAAUUUCGGUGUGAAUUUUGGGGACAUGGGUCCACGUACGCCUAUUUGAACAAAAACAUAAAAAUAACAAGAAGAUUGAUUCUAUUUUGUGACAAACAUAGUGUAGCAUAAUACGCAAAUUGCGCUACGGAUGGAAUUGAUUCAGUACACUACAUGGUUGAGUGGACAUGUUCAUGAGUGACAAUGGCUUUAUACUCCACUCUUCUAGUAAUAACGUACGUAGUGCGUAAUAUUUAUUUAUUUUAUUUUGCGAAAAUUAUAUUUGUAGUGAUAUUAUAUACGAUUACUUCUGUUUAGCCAAAAAAAAAAGUGCAUGAAUUCUGAUGCCCUGUCCACUACAGCUGAAUCGGUUCCAGGACGGGGGAUACGCCAUGGGAGUGAGCUGCACGGUGCUGCUGUCUGACCCGUUGUCGCUGGCGAGGUUCCUCCUCACGUGGGCGCGCACGCACACGGAGAUGAAGGGGCAAAACAAGGUCGUCCUCAGGCCGAUGAUGCAGUACAUGGCAUACUUCGAGCGGCCGGAGAUCUGCUGCAAGCGCAUCAGGUCCUUCCCCAUCGACUCUGUCGCCGCCGACGGUGCCCACGCCCAGACCGUGCUCUUCAGGAUCGCCGCCGGCUCCGCGACCGGCGACUUCCGCACGCUCGCUGCGGCCUGUAUCGACCAGGCGAGCAAGGAGCUCGAGGUGGACAGAGUGUCGCGGUUCACGCUCGUCGUCGCCCCCCGAGACUCCACCUGCGGAGCGACAACCGUCGAGACAUCGGUCAUGGCGGAUGGCCUGAAGAAGGGUGGCGCCGGCCAUGCGCUGGAAGCCGUGGAGUGGAGCGAGCUGAGGCUGGACGAGCUGACUCUCAGGGACGUCAAGCCCGUGCAUGUGUCGUACGGAAUUGUGGCGGGCGGAGACGAAGGGCUCGUCGUCGUCAUGCCUGAUGGUGAUGGUUUCCUCGUCACGGCAACUAUUCCGAAGUAGGCGCUGGCUAGGAGUAGGAGGUGAUGGUUUCCCUGUCUCGUCAAGGCACCAAAGUUUGGAAGUCGUCAUGGAUUCAUGGUUAGUUGUUUCCUUGUUUUUGUUUAUUGAUUGAUAGAUGUGUAUGUUACCUUGAUUAAAGGAUUUGAGUGGUGCUGUGCGACUUGCUAAACAAAUCUAAAAAACGAGAUAAAUGGUGAACGUGAGCGUUGGAUGGACGGCGGUAAUCCACGUCCUCGCUUUCACUUGGUGAACCUGCAGCGCGGCAUUUUUGGCCGCCAAUAUGCUUCCCCGUUUCGUUCCAUGGUCCAAUGCUCGUCAUCAAAACUAAAACGCUCAAUCACGCGCGACGGGCAGUUCAUCACGAAAAGGAUAUAUGGACCCCUCCCCUCCCCUCCCGUCCAAGAGGAAAAACGAGAGAUGAGUCCAACUGAAUCCCAUUCUUCGCUAGAUUUUGUUAGUCCUAGCUAAUCUCAUGCAUAUAGCGUAGAGUUUUCUUUCUGUUUAAAAUAAUGCGUGUGCAUGGGUCGGAUGUGACCUGCGCAUGCACGCACGUAGUGGGGAGGACUGCACUCGCACGCAUCUCUCCUUAGCGCGUUUUCCUCCCGGUCUGUUGGCUUUGCUUGUGAUCCAGUCGCUGGAUGGAGCGACAGAUACGGAUCAAGGCAGCUGGGGCCGGGAGGUGGUUAGCUUCACUUUGUAGUCGACAGAAGGAUAAGCAAUACAGAAAACAGAAAACGAUGCGCAGUGUUGGCAGCACAAACCUCACGAAUUCAUCCCCUCUCGUCUACCUCUCUCUCUCUCUGUGACUCGUUCGAUCGGCAACAACAGAUUUCCCUUGCUCUUCAUCCCGUUGCAAGGGGAGGAUGAAGUAGAUCUUUCAGAUGAGCUGAAGGAUUUGGGUAUGAACUAAUUAUUGUAUGCAGUGGCGAAACUUGCUAAAAAAUCAAUCUAAGCUUGCCCAAAUUUUUUUCCCUUCACAACUUGAUCCAAGGCUGGGGGCCAAUGCCCCCCUCCCCUGGUAGUGCACGAUCUUCCGCAUGAACGAGGGGUUUCGUGAGAAGAGCGUUGAUGAAGCAGGGCUAACGAUCUUCUACCCAGACGGCGAUGCUAUUGCAGCAUUCGUCCCGAGGUUCAACAAACUCACUGUCGAUGGCCAGGCCGAUGCUUCGGCAACGAUCUUCAUUCUGCACUCGCUCUCUGCUCGUUCGUACAACCGCAACCGUGCUCCUCUCUGAUCGUUGUUGGUGUGCACAAGCAUGGCUCCCGCUGUUGGAAAUAUGCCCUAGAGGCAAUAACAAAUAAGUUAUUAUUAUAUUUCCUCGUUCAUGAUAAUAGUUUAUUAUCCAUGCUAUAAUUGUAUUGAUAGGAAACUCAGAUACAUGUGUGGAUACAUAGACAACACCAUGUCCCUAGUAAGCCUCUAGUUGACUAGCUCGUUGAUCAAUAGAUGGUUACGGUUUCCUGACCAUGGACAUUGGAUGUCGUUGAUAACGGGAUCACAUCAUUAGGAGAAUGAUGUGAUGGACAAGACCCAAUCCUAAGCCUAGCACAAAGAUCGUAGUUCGUAUGCUAAAGCUUUUCUAAUGUCAAGUAUCAUUUCCUUAGACCAUGAGAUUGUGCAACUCCCGGAUACCGUAGGAAUGCUUUGGGUGUACCAAACGUCACAACAUAACUGGGUGACUAUAAAGGUGCACUACAGGUAUCUCCGAAAGUGUCUGUUGGGUUGGCACGAAUCAAGACUGGGAUUUGUCACUCCGUGUAAACGGAGAGGUAUCUCUGGGCCCACUCGGUAGGACAUCAUCAUAAUGUGCACAAUGUGACCAAGGGGUUGAUCACGGGAUGAUGAGUUACGGAACGAGUAAAGAGACUUGCCGGUAACGAGAUUGAACAAGGUAUCGGCGUACGACGAUCGAAUCUCGGGCAAGUACAAUACCGCUAGACAAAGGGAAUUGUAUACGGGAUUGAUUGAGUCCUUGACAUCGUGGUUCAUCCGAUGAGAUCAUCGUGGAACAUGUGGGAGCCAACAUGGGUAUCCAGAUCCCGCUGUUGGUUAUUGACCGGAGAACGUCUCGAUCAUGUCUGCAUGGUUCCCGAACCCGUAGGGUCUACACACUUAAGGUUCGAUGACGCUAGGGUUAUAAAGGAAGUAUGUAUGUGGUUACCGAAUGUUGUUCGGAGUCCCGGAUGAGAUCCUGGACGUCACAAGGAGUUCCGGAAUUCUUCGGAGGUAAAGAUUUAUAUAUGGAAAGUUGUUGUUCGGGUUCCGGAAAAAGUUUGGGUUUUUUCGGUAUUGUACCGGGAAGCUUCCAGAAGGUUCCGGAGGAUUCCGGAGGGGUCCGGAGGUCCGGAAAUUGUUCCACCACGUCCAAUACAGUAGCAUGGGCUGUAGGGGGGCGCCCUAGCCUCAAUGGGCCAGGGGCACCAGCCCCCCCCCCAAGGCCCAUGCGCAUGGGAAGGGGAAAACCCUAAAGGGGAGGCCUCCACUUGACUUGGGAGGCACUCCUGCCCCCUUGGCCGCCGCCCCCCCCCCUAGAUGGGAUCUAGGGCUGGCCGCACCCCUUGGGGUGGGAAACCCUAAAGGGGGCGCAGCCCCCUUCCCCCCUAUAUAUACUUGAGGUUUUGGGGCUGCCAUACAUAUGAGUUCUCUCCCUCUAUUGGUGCAGCCCUGCCUCUCCUCCUCCUUCUCUCCCGUGGUGCUUGGCGAAGCCCUGCUGGAUUGCCACGCUCCUCCACCACCACCACGCCGUUGUGCUGCUGCUGGAUGGAGUCUUCCUCAACCUCUCCCUCUCUCCUUGCUGGAUCAAGGUGUGGGAGACGUCACCGGGCUAUACGUGUGUUGAACGCGGAGGUGCCGUCCGUUCGGCACUAGGAUCUCCGGUGAUUUGGAUCACGACGAGUACGACUCCUUCAACCCCGUUCUCAUGGACGCUUCCGCUUAACGAUCUACAAGGGUAUGUAGAUGCACUCUCCUUCCCCUCGUUGCUGGUUUCUCCAUAGAUAGAUCUUGGUGACACGUAGGAAAAUUUUGAAUUUCUGCUACGUUCCCCAACAGUGGCAUCAUGAGCUAGGUCUAUUGCGUAGAUUCUUUGCACGAGUAGAACACAAAGUAGUUGUGGGCGUUGAUUUUGUUCAAUAUGCUUACCGUUACUAGUCCAAUCUUGUUUCGACGGUAUUGUGGGAUGAAGCGGCCCGGACCGACCUUACACGUACUCUUACGUGAGACAGGUUCCACCGACUGACAUGCACUUGGUGCAUAAGGUGGCUAGCGGGUGCCAGUCUCUCCCACUUUAGUCAGAACGGAUUCGAUGAAAAGGGUCCUUAUGAAGGGUAAAUAGCAAUUGUCAUAUCACGUUGUGGUUUUGCGUAGGUAAGAAACGUUCUUGCUAGAAACCCAUAGCAGCCACGUAAAACAUGCAAACAACAAUUAGAGGACGUCUAACUUGUUUUUGCAGGGUAUGCUAUGUGAUGUGAUAUGGCCAAGAAGAAUGUGAUGAAUGAUAUGUGAUGUAUGAGAUUGAUCAUGUUCUUGUAAUAGGAUUCACGACUUGCAUGUCGAUGAGUAUGACAACCGGCAGGAGCCAUAGGAGUUGUCUUUAUUUAUUGUAUGACCUACGUGUCAUUAAACAACGCCAUGUAAUUACUUUACUUUAUUGCUAACCGGUAGCCAUAGUAGUAGAAGUAAUAGUUGGCGAGACAACUUCAUGAAGACACGAUGAUGGGGAUCAUGAUGAUGGAGAUCAUGGUGUCAUGCCGGUGACGAUGAUGAUCAUGGAGCCCCGAAGAUGGAGAUCAAUGGAGCUAUAUGAUAUUGGCCAUAUCAUGUCACUACUAUAUAAUUGCAUAUGAUGUUUAUUAUGUUUAUGCAUCUUGUUUACUUAGAACGACGGUAGUAAAUAAGAUGAUCCCUUACAACAAUUUCAAGAAGUGUUCUCCCCUAACUGUGCACCGUUGCUAAAGUUCGUCGCUUCUAAGCACCACGUGAUGAUCGGGUGUGAUGGAUUCUUACGUUCACAUACAACGGGUGUAAGACAGAUUUACACAUGCGAAACACUUAGGGUUAACUUGACGAGCCUAGCAUGUACAGACAUGGCCUCGGAACACAGAGACCGAAAGGUCGAGCAUGAGUCGUAUAGUAGAUACGAUCAACAUGAAGAUGUUCACCGAUGAUGACUAGUCCGUCUCACGUGAUGAUCGGACACGGCCUAAUUGACUCGGAUCAUGUAAUCACUUAGAUGACCAGAGGGAUGUCUAUCUGAGUGGGAGUUCAUAAGAUGAACUUAAUUAUCUUGAACAUAGUCAAAAGACCUUUUGCAAAUUAUGUCGUAAGCUCGCACUUUAGUUCCACUGUUUAGAUAUGUUCCUAGAGAAAAUAUAGUUGAAAGUUGAAAGUAGCGAUUAUGCGGACAGUAGAAAGCUUAUGUCCUUAAUGCACCGCUCAGUGUGCUGAACCCCAAACAUCGUUUGUGGAUGUUGCGAACAUCGGACAUACACGUCUUGAUAACUACGCGAUAGUUCAGUUAAACGGUUUAGAGUUGAGGCACGAAAGACGUUUUCGAAAUGUCGCGGAACAUAUGAGAUGUUUCGAGGGCUGAAAUUAGGAUUUCAGGCUCGUGCCCACGUCAAGAGGUAUGAGACCUCCGACGAUUUUCUUAGCCUACAAACUAAGGGAGAAAAGCUCAAUCGUUGAGCUUGUGCUCAGAUUAUCUGAGUAUAACAAUCACUUGAAUCGAGUGGGAGUUGAUCUUCCAGAUGAGAUAGUGAUGUUUCUCCAAAGUCAUUGCCACCAAGCUGCUAGAGCUUCAUGAUGAACUAUAACAUAUCAAGGAUAGAGAUGAUGAUCCUUGAGGUAUUCGCGUUGUUUGACAUCGCGAAAGUAAAAAUCAAGAAGGAGCAUCAAUUGUUGACGGUUGGUGAAACCACUAGUUUCAAGAAGGGCAAGGGCAAGAAGGGACACUUCAUGAAACGGCAAAUCAGUUGCUGCUCCAGUGAAGAAACCCAAGGUUGAACCCAAACCCGAGACUAAGUGCUUCUGCAAUAAGGGGAACAGCCACUGGAGCAGAAUUACCCUAGAUACUUGGUAGAUAAGAAGGCUGGCAAGGUCGAUAGAAGUAUAUUGGAUAUACAUUAAGUUAUUGUGUAUUUUACUAGUACUCCUAGUAGCACCAGGGUAUUAGAUACCGGUUCGGUUGCUAAGUGUUAGUAACUCGAAAUAAAAGGCUACGGAAUAAACGGAGACUAGCUAAAGGAGAGCUGACGAUAUGUGUUGGAAGUGUUUCCAAUUUUGAUGUAAUCAAACAUCGCACGCUCCCUCUACCAUCAAGAUUAGUAUUAAACCCGAAUAAUUAUCAUUUGGUGUUUGCGUUGAGCAUAGACAUGAUUGGAUUAUGUCUAUCGCAAUACGGUUAUUCAUUUAAGGAGAAUAAUGGUUACUCUAUUUAUUUGAAUAAUACCUUCGAUGGUCUUGUACCUAAAAGAAUGGUUUAUUGAAUCUCGAUUGUAGUGAUACACAUUUUCAUGCCAAACGAUAUAAGAUAGUAAUGAUAGUACCACGUACUUGUGGCACUGCCAUGUAAGUCAUAUUGGUAUAAAACGCAUGAAGAAGCUCCAUGUUGAUGGAUCUUUGGACUCACUCGUUUUUGAAAAGUUUGAGACAUGCAAACAAUGUCUAUUGGUGCAUACGCAUGAAGAAACUCCAUGCAGAUGGAUCGUUUGGACUCACUUGAUUUUGAAUCACUUGAGAUAUGCAAAUCAUACCACAUGGGCAAGAUGACUGAAAAGCCUCAGUUUCAGUAAGAUGGAACAAGGUAGCAACCUGUUGGAAGUAACACAUUUUGAUGUGUGCAGUCCAAUGAGUGCUGAGGCAUGCAGUGAAUAUCGUUAUGUUCUGACUUCACAGAUGAUUCGAGUAGAUGUUGAGUAUAUUUACUUAAUGAAACACAAGUCUGAAUUAUUGAAUGGUUCAAAUAAUUUCAGAGUGAAGUUAAAGAUCAUUGUGACAAGAGGAUAAAAUGUCUAUGAUAUGAUCAUAGAGAUGAGUAUCUGAGUUACGAGCUUUGGCACGCAAUUAAGACACUGUGGAAAUUGUUUUACAAUUAAUACCGCCUGGAACACCAUAGUGUGAUGGUGUGUCCGAACAUCAUAGUUGCACCCUAUUGGAUAUGGUGCGUACCAUGAUGUCUCUUAUCGAAUUACCACUAUCGUUCAUGGGUUAGGCAUUAGAGACAACCGCACUCACUUUAAUAGGGUACCACGUAAUUCCGUUGAGAUGGCACUGUUUGAACUAUGGUUUGGAGAAACCUAAGUUGUCGUUUCUUAAAAGUUUGGGGCUGCGACGCUUAUGUGAAAAGGUUUCAUCGUGAUAAGCUCGAACCCAAAAUGGAUAAAUACAUCUUCAUAGGAUACCCAAAAUGGUUGGGUAUACCUCCUGUCUCAGAUCCGGAAGCAAAAGUAAUUGUUUCUAGAAACAGGUCCUUUCUCGAGGAAAAGUUUCUCUCGAAAGAAUUGAGUGGGAGGAUGGUGGAGACUUGAUGAGGUUAAUGAACCGUUACUUCAACUAGUGUGUAGCAGGGCACAGGAAGUUGUUCCCAUGGCACCUACACCAAUUGAAGUAGAAGCUUAUGAUAGUGAUCAUGAAGUUUCGGAUCAAGUCACUAACGAACCUCGUAGGGUGACAAGGAUGCGUAGUACUUCAGAGUGGUACACAAUCCUGUCUUAGAGGUCAUGUUGCUAGACAACAAUGAACCUACGAGCUAUGGAGAAGCGAGGGUGGGCCCGAAUUCCGACGAAUGGCUCGAGGCCAUAAAAUCCGAGAACGGAUCCAUGACUUUGGAAGAAAGGCUUGAUGGUCAUAAGGCCAUUGCGUACGGAUGGAUUUUAAAAGGAAGACAGACAAUGAUGGUAAGAAUUACCAUUAAGAAAGCUCGACUUGUCGUUAAGAUGUUUUCCGACAAGUUCAAGGAGUUGAUUACGGUGAGGUUUUCUCACUCGUAGCGAUGCUAAGAGUCUGUUGGAAUUGGAUUAGCAGUUACUGCAUGAUUGAUGAAAUCUUGCAGAUAGGAUGUCAAAACAUUGUUUCCUCGAUGUUAUACUUGAGGAAAGGUUGUAUGUGAUACAACCAGAAGGUUUUGUCAAUCCUGAAAGAUGCUAACAAGUAUGCGAAGCUCCAGCUAUCCUUCUAAGGACUGGAGUAAGCAUCUCGGAGUUGGAAUAUACGCUUUGAUGAGAUGAUCAAAGAUUUUGGGUCUAUACCAAGUUUAUGAGAAACUUGUAUUUCCAAAGAAGUGAGUGGGAGCACUAUAGAGUUUCUGAUGAGUGUAUGUUGUUGACAUAUUGAUGAUCAGAAAUGAUGUAGAAUUUCUGGAAAGCAUAUAGGGUUAUUUGAAAGAUGUUUUUCAAUAGAAAACCUGGAUUAAGCUACUUGAACAUUGAGCAUCGAGAUCUAUAAGGAUAGAUCAAAAUGCUUAAUAAUACUUUCAAAUGAGCACAUACCUUGACAUGAUCUUGAAGGUGUUCAAGAUGGAUCAGUCAAAGAAGGAGUUCUUGCCUGAGAUGUAAGGUAUGAAGUUAAGAGUUAAAGCUCGACCACGGCAGAAAAGAGAGAAAGGACGAAGGUCGUCCCCUAUGCUUCAGACAUAGGCUCUAUAGUAUGCCAUGCUGUGUACCGCACCGGAAGUGUGCCUUGCCAUGAGUCAGUCAAGGGGUACAAGAAUGAUCCAGGAAUGGAUCAUUGGACAGCGGUCAAUAAUUGUCCUUGGAGUAAAUAAGGACAUGUUUCUCGAUUAUGGAGGUAAUAAAGAGUUCGGCGUAAGGGGUUACGUCGAUGCAAGCUUUAACACCUGUCCGAGUGACUCUGAGUAGCAAACCGGAUACGUAUAGUGGAGAAACCAUUUGGAAUAGAUCCAAGUGGAGCGUGGAAGCAGCGUUUACAAUAUGACCUAGAAAUUUGCAAAGCACACACGGAUCUGAAAGGUUCAGAUCCGUUGACUAAAACCUCUCUCACAAGCAAAACAUGAUCAAACCCCAGAACUCAUUGAGUCUUAAUCACAUGAUGAUGUGAACUAGUAAACUCUUUGGAUGUUGGUCACAUGGCGAUGUGACCUGUGAGUGUUAAUCACAUGGCGAUGUGAACUAGAUUAUUGACUCUAGUGCAAGUGGGAGACUGUUGGAAAUAUGCCCUAGAGGCAAUAACAAAUAAGUUAUUAUUAUAUUUCCUCGUUCAUGAUAAUAGUUUAUUAUCCAUGCUAUAAUUAUAUUGAUAGGAAACUCAGAUACAUGUGUGGAUACAUAGACAACACCAUGUCCCUAGUAAGCCUCUAGUUGACUAGCUCGUUGAUCAAUAGAUGGUUACGGUUUCCUGACCAUGGACAUUGGAUGUCGUUGAUAACGGGAUCACAUCAUUAGGAGAAUGAUGUGAUGGACAAGACCCAAUCCUAAGCCUAGCACAAAGAUCGUAGUUCGUAUGCUAAAGCUUUUCUAAUGUCAAGUAUCAUUUCCUUAGACCAUGAGAUUGUGCAACUCCCGGAUACCGUAGGAAUGCUUUGGGUGUACCAAACGUCACAACGUAACUGGGUGACUAUAAAGGUGCACUACAGGUAUCUCCGAAAGUGUCUGUUGGGUUGGCACGAAUCAAGACUGGGAUUUGUCACUCCGUGUAAACGGAGAGGUAUCUCUGGGCCCACUCGGUAGGACAUCAUCAUAAUGUGCACAAUGUGACCAAGGGGUUGAUCACGGGAUGAUGUGUUACGGAACGAGUAAAGAGACUUGCCGGUAACGAGAUUGAACAAGGUAUCGGCAUACCGACGAUCGAAUCUCGGGCAAGUACAAUACCGCUAGACAAAGGGAAUUGUAUACGGGAUUGAUUGAGUCCUUGACAUCGUGGUUCAUCCGAUGAGAUCAUCGUGGAACAUGUGGGAGCCAACAUGGGUAUCCAGAUCCCGCUGUUGGUUAUUGAUCGGAGAACAUCUCGAUCAUGUCUGCAUGGUUCCCGAACCCGUAGGGUCUACACACUUAAGGUUCGAUGACGCUAGGGUUAUAAAGGAAGUUUGUAUGUGGUUACCGAAUGUUGUUCUGAGUCCCGGAUGAGAUCCCGGACAUCACGAGGAGUUCCGGAAUGGUCCGGAGGUAAAGAUUUGUAUAUGGAAAGUUGUUGUUCGGGUUCCGGAAAAAGUUCGGGUUUUUUUGGUAUUGUACCGGGAAGCUUCCAGAAGGUUCCGGAGGAUUCCAGAGGGGUCCGGAGGUCCGGAAAUUGUUCCACCACGUCCAAUACAGUAGCAUGGGCUGUAGGGGGCGCCCUAGCCUCAAUGGGCCUGGGGCACCAGCCCCCCCAAGGCCCAUGCGCAUGGGAAGGGGAAAACCCUAAAGGGGAGGCCUCCACUUGACUUGGGAGGCACUCCUCCCCCCUUGGCCGCCCCCCCCCACUAGAUGGGAUCUAGGGCUGGCCGCACCCCUUGGGGUGGGAAACCCUAAAGGGGGUGCAGCCCCCUUCCCCCCUAUAUAUACUUGAGGUUUUGGGGCUGCCAUACAUAUGAGUUCUCUCCCUCUAUUGAUGCAGCCCUGCCUCUCCUCCUCCUCCUCUCCCGUGGUGCUUGGCGAAGCCCUGCUGGAUUGCCACGCUCCUCCACCACCACCACGCCGUUGUGCUGCUGCUGGAUGGAGUCUUCCUCAACCUCUCCCUCUCUCCUUGCUGGAUCAAGGUGUGGGAGACGUCACCGGGCUGUACGUGUGUUGAACGCGGAGGUGCCGUCCGUUCGGCACUAGGAUCUCCGGUGAUUUGGAUCACGACGAGUACGACUCCUUCAACCCCGUUCUCACGACGAGUACGACUCCUUCCCCUCGUUGCUGGUUUCUCCAUAGAUAGAUCUUGGUGACACGUAGGAAAAUUUUGAAUUUCUGCUACGUUCCCAACACCCGCAACUGUGGUCCUGGUGGUCGUGCUCACCGUCCUCGCCGCCGCCCGGAACAUCGAGGAAUACGCUUCCAGGCGAGCACGGUGAGGAGCAGAUCGAGGCCACUAUCGUGAGCAGCCAUGGAACUACCUCGACGCCCGCGCCACCUCCUCCUACCUCCUCAGCUCUCCCGCCCGCCCGCCUCCACCUUCCCGACGAGACUAGUGCAGAAUCAGGCUUUAGUCCCAGUUCGUAAGGGCCUUUAGUGCCGGUUCACCACUAGGAUUAACGGGUGCGGACUAAAGCCCCCCUCCCCUUUAGUCCCAGUUCGUCACAGCCCGGGACCAAAGGUCCACCACAUGGCACGAGCCCGCGCCGGGGGCUGGGGGGCCUUUCGUCCCGGUUGGUGACACCAACCGGGACUAGAGGUUUAGGGGUUUAGGGUAUGGAUUUAUGAAUUAUUGUUUAUUUUUCCUUUUCGUUUUGUAUGCGUUCGAGACCACGCCCGUAAGUACGUACGUGGUCGUCUUUUUUGCAGCGUGACUGUUGUAUGUGUACAAGAUUUAGACGGGAUUGCCUAAACAACUGCCCCUCCUUACCGGGCCACGGUUCAUCGUGGCAGACAGACCGAUGGACCAGUAUGUACGUAUAUGUUUGCGACCAGAAUGACAACGCUACAUACGCUUUGACCGGGUGGGUUCCAGUUGUCACGGAGGAUAAGGAGACACUUCCUUGUGUGCGAAGAUAUAGGAGGUGGGCCCGAGCUCUCAGGGGGAGGAUUCAUUUUUUUGCGCGUAAUAAGGAGACACUUCCUUGCGUGCGAAGAUAUAAAUGGUGGGUCCGAGGUGUCAGGAGGAUUCAUUUUUUUGCACGUAAUAAGGAUGCACUUCCUUGCAUGCGUCCAUGGACCAUACGGGUCCCUACUGCCAGCCUCUCCACGUACAUCCCUCUUCUGAUGUUGUCGUUUAUUGACAACGUUGACCACACCGUGCCGAGAACACCAACACGAUGGACGACGGCGAAACCCAGGAAGGGAAUGACUCGGGGGCGGCGAAGCCACAACAGUGAAGGGAUGUGGUUGAGUAGAUGGAUGGCCUGGCCAGCGGUGGGUGUAGUAGGGGCGGUGAAGCCUGCGUGGCAGCACAGCCGGCCACGGGAGGUAAAAAAUUUAAACGAAAUUUCGCAUAUUUUGGUGGGGUACAAAAUAUUUUUAAUAAUGAAAUGUCGAGCAAGAUUUAAAGUACUUUCAUGAUAUAUUUAAAUUAGUUUCAAACCCAAUGAAAUUGGAAUAUGAAAAUGCGAAAAAAAAUCAAAAAUGUGAAAACUAUUGCCAAUUUGCCGUGUGUCUUUUAUAUUUACAGCCCAUUUCAUAUUACUUUUAAUAUUUGCAGUCGUCUUGAAAGAGUUGCAGCUUAGCAUGGCGGAGAAAAAUAAGUAGGCCUGGAUUGGAUAUGCCUGGAUUGGGUAUUCUUCAGAGAAAAUAAACUGGUUUAGCCAUUUUCACAAAGAAACAAAUGUAGGCUGGUCAUGUGGUGUACGUAAAUUAGAAGCCUAGGCUAGAUGGGUCACAACCCAGUUAAAACCCUGCUCCGUCUCAACAAUAACAAAAAAAAAUUUACUGCUCAAGCAACUACGUCCUAGGUGUCAGCCGUUCUUGUGUAGUUCUCUUGUCUAUUAACUACUCCCUCCGUCCUUUAAAGAGUGUACUUCCAACUUUGUAUGCCCAUUUAUACAAUAGUACACCAACAUUUAUGCCAUCAAAAGAGUAGAUUUAGAUUCAUGAUAAAAUAUAUUUUCAUCGUAUGCCCAUUUGGUUCCAAAAACAUUGAUAUAUUUUUGCAUAAACUCGGUCAAAGUUUGAGAUAGUUUGACCCUCCAACAAAGUUGGAAGUACACUCUUUAAAAGACGGAGGGAGUAUACGCUAAAAAUGUCGUGGGUCCCAGAUGUCGGCAAACCAUUAAGACGUGGCAUUUUCUUUUUCUAUACGCUGAAUAUGGAGUUUAUAACAAAAAAGGGGAACUUGCUUGCGUAUGGCCAUGGACAUGGUGCGUCCCUACUGUCAUCCUCACCACGUAUAGUCAUCUUCCGAUUCCUCUCGUUUGUUGACCAUGUUGACAACGCGAGAGGACGGCGCCGCGGGAGCGCACCAAAGCGCGUGAAGGACAACGGCGAGGCCUCGGACGGGAACAAACUGGAGCCGGGAAAGAUGCAGCGAUGAAGUCGCGGGUGAAAGGGAGUACAAGGGUUGACUAGUUCGGGUGUGGGGUGGUGUUGACGUCGACAUUAACGAUUCAGGAGACGAUGCGUGCGCUGAGGCGCAGUCAGCCAUGGGAGGCGGGAGCAGGCGGUCCCGCCAGCGUUGGUUUGAUAUUGACGGCUGGAGGAAGACGAGACUGAAGAAACAUGAUAGACUUUAAAGCAGCAAGAGUACUUAACAUCCUUAAGGGGUUGUUUGGGUAGCUGGUUUAUAGAUAAUCAGUUAUAUAUAAACCCGUUUGAGGCUCUAACAAACUUAAAACACUGUUUGGCUAAUCUAACUAAUUCCUGGAUAAGCAAAAAUUGGUUGUCGUAAUACCCAAAAUAGGAAUUUUUGGAAAAACGGGUCCCGGACGUUUUUAUGAACAUGCCUUCCAAGAAAGCCGGGCGGGCUGCGUCGUUGACUCGCCGUAACACCUACACGCCCGCCCCUUUAUUCAUGCUACUUCCUGUUGGUAUCCUAGCCACAUCACCGCAGUAUGCAUCGAUUGAUGCAGAGGCCGAGGGUCUUAACCUCCUUUUCCAACAAAAAAAAGGGAAACGGUUGGGACCGGCGCACCGGCGGAAGAUUGGGCCGGUCUCCCUCUUCCUCGCGCAGCUUCCACAUCUCGCGCAGCUUCCCGGGCGCGCGCCGCCCCUCUUCUUCUGCCCCCUCCUCCCCACCCCUUCCCCAUCCCUUUCCCCUCCCUCCCUCCCCCUGCCCGCCCCCCGGUCGCCGCACCACGCCUCCCCUCUCCCCGCUCGAAGCUCGCCAUGCCUCUGCGCGGUGACCAUCCCAUCUCGCCGGCGACCGGGGGGGGGGGGGGGUGUGACCACGGGAGAUGCUGCAACCGGAGCGACGGGGUGCUACCACGGCGACGCUGAUGCAACCCCGCGGGAGGCCGGGGUGUGUGACGGCAAUGACCGAGGUGACCGUGGGCUGCAACCACGGCUUUUCUACCGCCGGUAGCCGGUUGAAGCUUUUUCUAUAUACGGUUGAAGCUUUUUUGUCAAUGUUUGCAACUUUUUCUCUGGUCGCAGGUCUGGUUGAAGCUUUUUUUCUUAACGGAUGAAGCUUUUUUAUACACGAUUGAAGCUUUUUCAAACCACAGUGGAAGCUUUUCUGAAAACGAUGAAAACUUUUUUCGUUCUUUUGUGUUUGCUACAACCACGUCAUUUUUUUGCUGCAAUCGGCAACCACAUAAGCUACAUCCAGUUAACAAUUUUGCUACAAUGACGACAGCGGGCUGCAGCGAUAAGCUUUUUUUGCUGGAAGCGAUACACUUUUUUGCUACAACCGGUGUCGUUUUUUGUUGGAACUAGCAAGUGCCUCGAGUGGGCACACGGCGAGGUACAACGCGAGCACAACGACAGGUGCUGCGGCCGGCGGCCGGCGCCACCGGAGAUGCGGCCAUCUCCCCGGGAGCUGCAAGCCUGCAACCACGGGGUGCAACCAUGGGCGCACGCUGCUGCAUCUACAAAGGGGAGAAACGCACGAAGGCGGCAUAGGUGAGGGCGGCGACCAACGGCGAGGGCGGCGACCGGCGGCGACGACGGCGAGGCAGCGAGCCGGCAGCAGGGGAGGAGGUGCGGCGGCGCGCAGGGGGGGGGUGGGUAGUGAGUCGGGCGGGGAGGAGGAGUGGGGGAUUCGCAAGGGGCAAGGAAGACGAUGACCCAGUCCAGAUCGAGCGGUUACGCAGCCUCUGUGUUAGUCAGAUCGAACGGCUGGCGCUGGACCGGCCGAAACGUUUCGGCCGGCGCACCGGCGCCUAUCAGCGCCCAAAAGCCACAUCGCCGCAGAUUAGCUCAUCUAAGGUGACUAGUAUUGCCUCCCGAAGCCGUGGACGAACACCUCGAUGGAGCAGCACACGGUGCAACAACGCGCUUGGAGGCAGGGAUGUACGGUUACGUCAAGGCCUCCAAGGUGUUGCUUGACGUGGCCAUGGGCGCUCGGCCCUACGACUUUGGCUCCGCGCUCGCCGGGUUCAUGGCGGCCUUCCGCCCGCCGUGAUAUGUGCCGGCUCUUCCGCAAUGUCAACCGUGCCCGCACUACAUCUGCUCCGGCUUGCUCACCAGAGCGGACGUAUAUAACCUCUCGGCUCGAGCUGCUCACCGGCAUGCAAUGGUUUCACGACCGACGGCUCCUGAUUUCCGCCGUUGACCGUCGCGUCGAUGAUUAAGAACAGAUCGUGCGACUACGCGCAUAGCCUUGUCGACCAGGCUAUCUGUGGUUAACGACCGCACCAGCAGCACUGCAGCUUGUGAACAAAAGACUGUAUGUACGUGCAUCAAAGCAUCAUAGAAUAUUCGCAUGUUGAAAAGUUUAAAUUUUGUUCAUCACAUUUGAUAAAAUGUUCACCGGCAUUAAAAGAUGCUCAUGUAGUGUAGAAAUAUCUGUUUGCACCAUUUUCACAAAAAUUGGUACCCAUUAGAAAAUAUUCACAACAUCUAAAAAUGUUCACAUGUUUAAAAAUUUGUUCAUGAAAUUUUAAAAAAAUCAUGUAAAUCUAAAUAUUUGCUCACAUUGUUUGAAAAAAAUGUUUGCAGCACCCAAAAUUGUUCGUAAAAAAUAUUCACGCUUUUAAAAUUAAUUCUUGUGAUAUUAUAAGAAAAAGUUCAUGAAAACACAAAAAGUUGUUCAAGAAAUUUUAUAAACAGUUCAAGAUGUGUUUAAAAUAUGUUUAACGUAUAUUUUACAAAUGUUCAACAUGUAUUGAAUAAAAAAUUUAAGUAUAUCUACAAAAUUUUCAACCUAUAUAUGAAAAAUGUUUAGCACGUAUUAAAAGAGUCAACAUGUAUUUUGCAAAUGAAAAACAAAAUAACAAAGGAAACCAAACAUACGGGAAACCAUAAUAAAAAUUGAUUAAGAAAAACAGAAAAAAGCAAGGAGCAACUAAUCAGGGUUUACCCCUUGGAGGGUACGCGAAGCGUUAACUUUCUUAGGCCCGGGAGCGUGCCAAGUGGUGCAUCCAGCUGCCGCCACAUGUUGUUGCACUAGGCGCACCUUGGGGAUUUUGAUUUUUUUUUCUACAAGCGUUUUUGGGUUUACUUUGAAUACAUAUUUCUGGUUUUUCGACUUUUUCUUGGUUCUACAUUUUACAUAUUAUUAGAGCUCAUUUGUUGCAUGUUCUCUACAUAUAUCAUCUCACGCUGAACCUAAUAUGUGUCCAUCAUGCAUGAUUUCUGAGUUUUACUCUUUUCACUAGGAGCACUAGCAUGUUAGUGUUAUUAUUUUUCUUUUAUCAGUUUCCUUUGUUCUCUCAUGUCUAUUAGUGUUUUGGAGCAACCUAGGACCGAACACGAUGAAAGGGAUAAGGUUGGAUUCAUUACGGAGGACUUCCGACACCAGAUUUAGAUGUUUUCAAAGUUCCCCAAAUCAAGAUCGAAUACCAUGGGUGCGUAGAGGCGUCACUCUCAUGGUUCCAGUGGACCCAUCUCGGGCGUUUCAGAGAGAGAUGGGGCUUAGAUGGGUAGUGUUUGUGGUGUGGCCGACCGACUUUAAAUAGAAAGCUCCUAGGUAGGCGAAGCAGCUGCUGCAAUGCGGGCGCCCGAGUUGGCUUCUCAUUCACCAUGUCGGUUUGAAUGCCAGGCAGGAGUUAACCGGCAUGAUUGCGGUAGAAAUCCUUCAUGUCGUCCCAUCCGCUCCGAAUCACACGUGGAGAGCGAGCGGCCACGGCGAGAGAGGAGGAAGAGUUUCUUUUUUUGGAUGGUCCAAAACCCGCAAACCUUCCUCAACUUUGAUUUUGAUUUGUGAGAUUUUGAACAUCCAAACACGUCCGAACAGAUUUGAUGACCGAUAUUGGAUGGCAAAAUAUGUUCGAACAAUCCAAUCCAGACAUUUGGGGGCGCUUUGAUGAACUGCGUCAGAGUUGAGUGUUGUAUACCUGUUCGUGACCACGUCGCACAUAAACAAGUAUAGGCCUUCUUAGAACGAAUACCAAGAAACCACAAUAGUUUGAUUGUAAAAUUUGGAUGACCGCAAUUUUCCGGGGCAAUGCAAUUGGAGUGAAUAGCAUAAAACUACCACAAUUUGCGUUAGGGUUUCAAAAAAACUACCAAAAAUUUAUUUGUGACUAAUAACUACCAGAGUCGGCGUCGGCUGUCUAAAAAAAAUCAAACCCCCGUUGCUAAGAAAUUAAACCGGUUUAUGACAAGUCGCACCCCCGCACCUAAACGAACCGUCUGUUUGACCGUUAACUGACAUGUGAGGCCCACAUGUCAAUUAUCUCUUCUUCUCCUUCUUUUCCUCCUCUCCUCGUUAUCUCUGUCUCUCUCCGCACAAGCCCGCCGAAUAUGCACACCGGCCGCCCCUCCUCCUCCCUCUCCCCCUCUCCGUGAGCUAGCCCUACUUCCCCCGACCGACCCUCCUCCUCCAUCUCCCCAACUGACCGGAGCACGGUCUCCCGCAGGGUGGCGGUGAGCCCCUACAUUGCACGUGGCGGCGCCCCUCUGGCCAAGCGCGAUGGUGCGCCCCUAUGUCCGGAACACGACGGUGGUGAGCCCCUCCAUUGCACGCAGAGGCGUCCCUCUGGCCAAGUGCGACGGUGCGCCCCUAUGUCCGGAACACGACGGUGGUGAGCCCCUCCAUUGCACGCGGCAGCGCCCCUCUGGCCAAGCGUGACGGUGCGCCCCUAUGUCCGGAACACGACGGCGGUGUGCCCCUCUAUGCUGGUCGGCAAGGUAACACUACUAGGGAAAAGCCUAUACACAGGAUCUUACCAGCAGCGAGUUUUAAAAUAAGGCGUUGCUGCAAUUUAUCACUAGCGCGCUUCACCAGCACUCGCUGCUGAAAGAAAAGUAGCAGUAGCGCGCCACCUCUAAGACACGCUACUGCUACAAUUCCCACGACCCCGCCACGGAGUUAGUUAUAGCAGCAGCGCGUUAAAUAGAAGGGCGCUACUGCUAGGUAGUUUAGUAGUAGCGCCUUUACGUGCAUCACGCUACUGCUAAAACUAGCUAUCUCACCACCCACUCUCCUCUCUAUCCGAUCCACACUCACUCGAUCUCCCCCUCAACCCCCCCUGCGCCGGUCCUCCCCUAUCAGCCACCGUCGCCUACCCCUCCUCCCUCUGCGCCGCCGUCACCUCCUCCUCCUCACUGGACUCGAUACCACCCUCCUUCCUGGACUCGCCGCCGGCCGGCCCCUCCUCGCUCCGCCUUUCCUCCCCCGUCCUACUCUCUCCUCCCUCCUCCAGUUGCCCCUCCUUCUCCCUCCUCCCUCCUCCCUCCUCCAUCCACAACCCCUCCUCCCUACUACAUUUUGAUUUAGUAGGCUAGGUCAUAUGCAACAUUUUGAUUUAGUUCAUAUGAUUUAGUUGAUUUAGAACAUUUUAGGCAAGUUGAUCUAGUAGGCUAGUUGACUUAGUUGAUUUAUAAAACAUUUUGAUUUAUUUGAUUUAGUAGGCAAGUUGAUUUAAUAGGCUAGUUGAUUUAUAGAACAUUUUGAUUUAGUUGAUUUAGUAUGCUAGUUGAUAGCUCUGAAUAUUUGGCACCACCUAGCUGUGAAAAUAUAAGUGAAGAAGAACCAAAAAAAUCACAUGCUACUGUUUUUCUUUCGUGUGAAAUGGAUCGUUAAUCCUUUGCUCAUAUUGCUUUAGAAAAAUGGCGCCACCACCACCACCACCACCAUGUCGAUUGUGCAAGUCAAGGUGCGCCAGCAGCCUUGCAACUGGCAAGCUGUUCGGCAUCUACUUCCAGCCGAGUUUUCGUCAUGCGGCAGUAAUAAAUUAUAUGAAAUGUAACAACUAUUUUAUUUUUAGUGUUGGCAUUACUGCAUUGUGUCAUUUUGCUUUUUUACACAGAUCAUCCCAUGCAAUGUGAGGUUGAAAUCAACAAGCUGACAGGAGACACUGUGACAUUUGAGGCUCCUGGGGGGCCGUACACUAUGGAGGUCGAGAAAAGACGCAAUAUUUCACAAAUUGGAGGAGAUGGAUGGGCCCGUUUCCUUGCCCACAUGCGUCUUACUGGUGGUGAGUUGAUCAGCUUCUCCUUCAGAGCAGAAAGACCCAAACUGGCUGUCAUUUAUAUCAACCUGGUGGAAGAUGAUGAAGAUGGCGAAGAUGAUGAAGAUAAUGAGGACCCACUUGAUGAAGAUGAUGAGGACCCACUUCAUGAAGCCAUCGUAGCUCAAAGAAUGAGGCUGAGCGAGGAGGAGGUGUGCAACCUAUGGGACAUAAUGCCGCCACGUGCUGACUUUGUCGGGGUGCCAUUCGUGACCCGCCUGACAAGUACCAUGGUCGAUCGACAUGAUAUGGUAUGUUAUACUUACAAAUGCAAAUUAUCCGAUGAUAUGCUUAGCGUAGAGUCCAAUGAUAUGUUGUGUGGAAUCUAGUCGAUGAUAUGCUUAUUAGUGUAGAAUCUAAGGAACUAUUAAUAGUGUAGAUAAUCCAUAUAUACUUAUUUGCAAGGGUAUGUGCGAGGCUAUUUAUUAAUUGAUAUGUUUUUUCUUUUUCAGAAAUUGGCAAAGAGCCUAUCUGUGAGUUAUGGUAUCGAGCCUGAUGAAGAAGGCUCAGCUGGACUAUGCCUUACCGCAAGGGGCUUCAUCACAAUCUGUAAUUAUCGCGUGGACACGGACGGUCGCACACACUUAACUCGGUUGGGUGGAAGAGAUUCCUCGAUGGCAAGAAUCUUCGUGUUGGACAUGCCAUCCUAAUUACUAUCAGGAACACCAACCGCCCAGGCUUCAGGAUGAUGAUCGUCUUCGAUAUCAUCUAGAACUACAUAUGUGUGUGUGGCUAUAUCAUCUAGAACUACAUAUGAUGAUCAUCGUCGAUAUCAUCUAGAACUACAUAUGAUGAUCGUCGUCGAUAUCAUCUAGAACUACAUAUGAUGAUCAUGGUCGAUAUCACCAAGUACUGCUUGAGGAUGCAUGUUGACUAUAUAUGAAUUUUUUAUCUAGUACUCCCUUCGUUCCAAAUUACUCGCGACGAGUAACUUGGAACGGAGGGAGUACUACCUAUUACCUACAAUGCUUUAUGAAAUUGAUAUCUAGUAGUACCUAGUAUCUGGACCGAAACCACCGAAACGGGGGAGGAAGCUGGGGAAAAUGAUGAAAGAUAUAGCAGUAGCGAUGGGCUAGGAAACCGCUACAGCUAACUAAUAGUAGCGCGUUCCAUAAAAGCGCUGCUGAUAUAGUUAAUAGUAGUAGCACGGGUACGGACCGCGCUACUACUAAGAGUUAGCUGUAGCGCCUUACUAGUAGCGCUGCAUCCCGCGCUGCUGCUAGCGUCAAAACCCGCGCUACUACUAGGAUUUUCCUUAAUAGUGUAAGGAGCAACAACAACGGUGGCCGGCAACGCAUAGCAUCCGGCGCAGCCAGCAAGGAGCAGCAACGUAGCCAGCAAGCAUCAGCAGGAGUAGCAGGCGCGACCGGCAAGGAGGUCCACCUGGACCGAGCCCGUCGCCUGCCUGGAGGAGCCUCGCCUCCGCGCCGAGGCCAGUGCAACCAGCUCGAGCGGGCGCCGCCAUGGACAACUGCGGCUGCCGGCCACAGCCACAGUCGGCUUUUAUAGGGACUGGAUUGCUUUUUUUAAAAAUGAUGAGGGACUCGAUCGCUUUUUAAAAAUCUUUACAGGGGUUAUGCUGUAAAAAUAAGGACACAUUUUUAAAUCUAUAAAAGAACCAGGGGUUGAAGAAAAAAUUUACAUGAGAUUUUUUUUAUGAGUAAGAGACACUGACAUGUGGGCCCCACAUGUCAGUUAAUGGUCAAACAAAUGGUCAAAACAGACGGUUCGUUUAGGUGGGGGUCCGACCUGUCAUAAACCAGUUUAAUUUCUUAAUGACGGGUGUUACGGGUUUUUUGAGACAACCGACGCCGAUUUUGGUAGUUAUUGUCACAAACAAAUUUUGGUAAUUUUUUUUUGUAACCCUAACAUAAAUUGUGGUAGUUUUAUGCUAUUCACUCAAUGCAAUUGACAUGUUUUUGACCGUUGAGACCCAAAAGUCAGGCCAUGGCGAUUAGAACAAUAGCCCCGCAUAAAACGGGAGAUGUGGCCAUUGAUGUGGAAUUGCAUCGGCACUGAUAUGUAUCACCUGUAGCGAUAACAAGCUCCCACACAUCGCUCACGCCCCAGAGAGCUCCUAAUUUGCGCUCUUUGCGCCAGUUAACGAGCCCCACAGGCUGGGCCAGCCUAACACGUGAGCUCCUCGCACGUUCAAUCGUUGGCUGAUAGUUCGAUGGUUGACCGUUUAGCAUUUGCUAGUCAACCAUUGACCGGUUGACUCUUGACUUUUAGGAACAAAAUUGUAGAUUUGGAGAAGUUCAUGAUUUACGAAAAAUAUUCGUGAGCUUGAGAUAAUAUUAUGGAUUUUUGAAAAAAAUUGCGCAGUUGAAAAUUGUUUCCGAUUGGAAAAAGUUCAUGCAUUUAAAAAAAAGUUGACGAAUUUUAAAACAUUGAAUGUGGCAGGUGUUACAGACGGCUGCAUAGGCGGCUGACCUUUUGUAAGAUCAGCCCAGAAGCAUAAACGUACGCUGGCAUGCAGUAGAAAGAAACCAGAGGCAAACGAAGUCAUGCGUGCAUUAAUCAAGCUAAUCUUUGCAUUGCAAGGCCUGGUGUUUUCGGGCGGCUAGCAUCAUCGGCCAUUACUCGGCACCAAUGACAGCCGACGAUCGUCACAUCCCAUGCAUGGGACCGGCAUCGGCGUCAUGCUUUUAAUCCUUGGUUGAUCGAUAUGCGCAGAUACAAGUCAGCAUAUAUACAUGUGCACUGUGAACGUCUAUGUUUUUUUCUAUCUACUGUUGAUCUUACAUCCCGGACAUAACCACUGAGGUCUUUGGCCUGUAUCCCGGAGACAAUGGAAUCUAUACCUAUGCUAUCCACUUCGACGUCACCAUGAAACCAGGUAUGAAUGACGCCUAUAACAUGUCAUGGGAGGCCCCUGUUAAAGGUCUUAUGGCCUCUGAACAAACAAGAUCGUUCGUUGUUGGUUGUGGUGUGCGUGUCUACUUGUUUGGCCAUAAUACCAACAAUCCCAUCGGUAGUUGCAUGAGUAUUUGCCUAGACGACAAAGUGGCCAUGGAGGAGGCAAAUCUAACAACGACAAAGUGGCCAUGAGUAUUUCAACAAAGGGCCAAAUAAAGAAUUCUCUCUGAAGUAGAAGGGCGGCAAACCCGAAGAUAAGGAGCAAGGCCGCCCCUAGGUCCAUUGGGCUUGAGCAAACCAAACCGUAUACUUGAACGUUGAACAGCCCAGCGCUCUCUUUGGGCCUGCACUCACUCACUAGGGUACAUGCAUGUGGCCUCAGAUUGCAAGGUGAUGGUGCAGGACUUGAAGAAGGAUAACUCUUUAGUUUACGGAGCUAUCAUACAUGAAAUAACUCAUCACUCAUCGGAUUUUGCUUUUUGUAAAUUUAACCAUUAAUUUAUGCACUCAAAUGUUGAAGUUCACAACUUAACAAAGAAUACUAUAUCUCUCGGGGGUGGCCGUCCUGUGUGGUCGGGUCACCGUGGAGAUCUUCCCUCCGUCCCUGUAAACAUUGCAACGAAUUAAUAAAAGCUUCGUGAGGUUGUCUUAAAAAAGGUAGUGGUAUGUGAAGGGCACGUCCCCAUGUCUAUGUCUUUGGGGUGGAUGUACGUGGGGAAAAUCUAUAGAAUUUUUUGUGAUUAGACCCGUCGAUUGGCACGUAGUCUGCCCGUCAAUGUGGCCCGGGGAUUAAUUGGAUGGUCCUCAGCAGUUCCCUGCACAGCACGGCCACAAGCAUAAGCUUGUCCUUCUCCUUGGCCACAAAACCAGACGUACCCUUCACCAUUGAAAAUUUGCAAGGCGUAGUGCUCCCAGGCGGCUAGCAUCAUAUCAGCUGGCCAAGCUGCGCUCGGCAUGCAGCGACAAGAUGACGACCGCGCAGGUGGGUCAUGCACGUCGGAAGUACUGGUGGUAAUUAACUUCCCGCCAAAAUUAAAAGAAUUUCCUCCGGAUUUUUUUUAAAUAAUUUAAAAAUACUGGUGGUAACUGACCCGCGAUGACUGUAAUAUCCGAUGGGGCAUCAUGCUUUUAAUACGUGAUCGAUGCGUACAGAGGCAGCGUACAUACACUCUCAAUAGCAUCUGUGUAUCCAUCUACUAUCUGUUAUUGAUCCUAUAUGGCCACCAUAACACGAAACCAACCACCAACACCUAGAACAAACUUGCCCGCCGCCGGAGCCAUGAUGAGCGCCGUGUGCUUUUUGUUGGCGUGCUUGGCGGCAGCCAUGCGGCCGACGUCGGCCGCCGAGGCUGGAAGGGAUGGGAUCUUGCAUAUCCCUUUCGCCGCCGACCUGGCUCGGGCUCGCUGCCCUUCCAGAUGCGGGCAUGUUAACAUUUACUACCCAUGGGGGAUAGGGCCGGGCUGCUUCCGGCAAGGCUUCGAGCUCACGUGCAACAACACCACUAGUCAUAAGAAGCUCUUUCUGGCCAAAACUACCACUGAGGUCCUUGCCCUGUAUCCCGAAGACAAUAUGAUCUAUUCCCCUGUUAUCCACUUCAACGUCACCAUGGCACCAGGUAUGAAUGACACCUAUGAUAUGUCAUGGGAGGCACCUGUUAAAGGUCUUAUGGCGUCUGAAGAAACAGGCUUGUUCGUUGUUGGCUGUGGUGUGGGUGUCUACUUGUUCGGCCAUGAUACCAACAAGCCCAUAGGUUCUUGCACGAGUAUUUGCAUAGACAACAAAGAGGCCAUGAAGGAGUCAAAUGCAAACCAGUUCGAUAGCGAUGGUGGGAUGGGAUACUGUUCCAUCCGUUUGCAGCACGACGUGCGAGCCUUUGGGUUCAUAGUUGGGCGCCUCAAUGGUGGCUUCUCAGCACUAUCAAGUCGAGGUCAAGGGCUCUCUAAUAGCAGUAUCAAAGUUUUCUUGGCCGAAGAUUACAAAUUUCAUAUGGUUGACAUCUAUUCAAGUAGGAUAGACGAACGGAAUGUUGACGGGGUAUAUUUUAGCAUGGCCAUCACGGAUCAACCAAACUGUGAAAGUGCUCAGAAGAACAAGUCAAGCUAUGCUUGUAGCGAUAACAGUGAUUGCCAGGGUCUGUCAUCUGGAGGCUACUCCUGUCGCUGCCGCGGUUACCCAUAUGACGAGAAUCCAUACAUCAUGGACGGCUGUCAAGGUCAGGAUUUACUCUUUACUUAGGAUUAUAUAUAUAAAUAUUCAACUGACAUCUCAUGAAUAUUGUAUUCAUAUAUGCACAAUUGAAUAUUAUGGUAAUUUUUGCACCAAUGUUGUCGAUUAAUACAACUUUUCUUCUUAUUUAACGCUCGCAGUCAUUUUUUAUUGGGAAAAAUCAUUGCGCAUCCUAGGUAAAAUAUUUACUUAGUAGUGCUACCAAAAAAAGUACUAAUUGUAUUCUCGCCCAAGACUAAAAAUUGCCUGUCAUAGAAGUUCGAAAAUCAACAGACCUUUUUGCAGAAUAUUUUGACCCAUUUGGACAUAGUACUGUUUUCGAUUAUACUUGUUCACUAGUGGCACAUGGGUUACUUUGCAGCACUCCUGCGGUCUCUACUAGUGGCGAAUUCUUGACAACGUUCUACUCCCUUUGGAUGUGAAUAUAAGUUGAGCACAGGUUCUUAGGUCUUUGAUUUGACUAGCGAAACAUGUACUGCAUGUCACAAAAAAUAUACAUCUUUAGAAUCAUCCUCCACUGAAGUUUCUAAUCAUUAUGUUUGUGAUAUAGUACACGUGCUUUGCUUGUUAAAUUGACGACCUAAUAUACCGUGUCCGACUUAUACUACCACCGGGAAUAAAGACUUAAGUUGUUUUCAUCAAUCUCCACCCAAUUAAUGGGUCUGGUUUACCACAGGUAGCACGUACCUUUAAAAUGUUCUGGCUAGCUAUUUUGGUAUCAUUAAUUAAUGGUAUAAUAAAAGUGUAUCCCUAGUCUAGAUAGGAUGGCCGUUAAUUCUCAUGCUCCUAACGUAACUUCUCAUGGGUCAAUAUCCCAGUGUAACUUCUUCCCGUGUCAUUCCAUCUGCAGCAAGUUACACUCCCAAUCCUAAAGGAGGUUGCAAGAGGUUUUGCGGGGACACAAACAUUCCCUUUCCUUUUGGGCUUGAAAAAGGUUGCUACGCUGCCGAAAAGUUUCGUCUUAAUUGUACAUCAGAAAACAUCACAAUUCUUGAUCGAAAUGCCAAAUACAUUGUGGCCAACAUUUCAGUUAAUGAAGGAUAUCUUACUGUUAGAGAAAUACAAAACAACUCAAGGUACGGCGAUGAAGAUCUUGCGGUAGUAGGUUAUACAAAUGAUGGGCACAUGGAACUAGAAGACAUCGUCGGUCAAUAUGGUUUUUAUUUGUCUGAAGAAUACGACAUGAAGAUGUGGUGGUCUGUCGAUAAUUUAACCUGUCCGGUUGAUAUGAGCAAGCAAAGAAGUGCUACGUACGCAUGCCGCAGUGUCAAUAGCACCUGCAUUCAUGUCACCCGCCGCCGUGGGAAUGGGACGAUGCAGCUCGGUUAUCGUUGCCAGUGCUUGCCCAAUUAUGAGGGAAAUCCAUACACACCGGAUGGUUGCACAGGUAAACAUGCUACAACUUCCAUUACAAAUUGGCAUCCAACCGUAUGCAUGAUUUUCCUAGUACAUGAAAUGAUUGACUAAAAUUUUGACAAUGAUACAUUGAGCAUGAUUCAUGUGUUGCAAUUCUUCUCUCAUCUUGAUCCAAAGAGUUGGUUUCCUCUCUUUCUUAGUGGAGUUAUGCUAACUAGGUGAAUGUCCAAGUCAUACUACUCAUACAACAUGGUUCAGCUUAGUUGUGUGCAUCACAUGAUGUAGAGACCAGGAGGGUGAUAAUUUUAUUACUUAAAAAAAGGCACAUUAUGCUAAAUGACUAGGCACCAGAACUAGAGUUUGGCUAAUUCAUGAAAAUGCUAAAAAUAGUGCUUGAUCCCUACUUGAGCUUUGUUGGUUGAUCUAAGGCUGGAUACCACCAUCAUAUAUAUGUUUAUUCUCGUAGAACCAUUUUUCUUUUGUCUUUUAAAAUAUGUGCAGAAAAACUUCCAAAACUUUAUUGGCAAUGGCAUACACAUAAGCAUGUAAAUUCGCCUCAUGGAAACGGAAAAGGAAUGUUAUUUACAUAUAUGGCAUCAAAAAUAUUUUUAAUAUUAGUUUUCUAUACAGGUUGGUUGUUUACUAAGAUAUACUUAGAAACAAUAAUGGCGAAUGCAACAUUUUGGAGAGCCCGUUGAUGUAUAGAGGUAGCUUCAAUAUGUGUAGGAUGAAUGGUAGGCCAAGGGUGACCUAGCUUUGGUUCCACAUUUACUACAUGCAUCAUUCAUUGCUCACAUACCUACCUAUCAUAGAUAUCAACGAGUGUUUGUUGAUCAAUACUUGCAAUGGCACAUGCCAAAAUUAUCCCGGGGGCUAUAGUUGCGAAAACUGCACUCAUGGAAAAGACUUUGAUCCAAUAAAAAGGAGAUGUGUCACAUCAGCAAAGAGACGCAGUCUUCUCUUAGGUAAGUCGUAUUGAAAUUACUUACCUCAAUAGAAUUGCAACUUUAAAGUUAAGGACAUGUUUUAACAACUACUACUAGAUGUAUAGGUAUUACAAUUGGAAUUGGUUGUGGCCUUGGUGCCAUAAUACUUGCGCUAGGUAUAAUGGCUUUCAUCAGCAAGUGGAAGAGAGGCAUACAGAAGAGAAUACGAAGAGCAUACUUCAAGAAAAAUCAAGGCCUACUCUUGGAACAACUAAUAUCAGAUGAAAGUGCCACCGAUAAAAUGAAGAUAUUCUCCUUGGAGGAAUUAAAUAAAGCAACCAAUAACCUUGAUGUCAGUCGUGUUCUUGGCCGUGGAGGACAUGGCACCGUUUACAAAGGAAUUCUAUCUGAUCAACGUGUAGUGGCUAUCAAAAAGUCAAAGCUAGUGGAGCAAACUGAGAUUGACCAGUUUAUCAACGAGGUUGCCAUCUUAUCACAGAUCAUUCACCGAAAUGUGGUCAAGCUUUUCGGUUGUUGUCUCGAAACAGAGGUGCCUUUGUUGGUCUAUGAGUUCAUAUCCAAUGGCACACUAUAUGAUCUUCUUCACACUGAUGUAAGUGCUAAAUGCUUACUUUUAUGGGAUGAUCGUAUUAGGAUUGCAACAGAAGCUGCAGGUGCUCUUUCUUAUCUCCACUCAGCUGCUGCAAUACCAAUUUUCCAUAGAGAUGUCAAAUCUUCCAAUAUACUCCUAGAUGGCAACUUCGCUACCAAGGUUUCUGACUUUGGUGCUUCGAGGUCUUUAUCACUUGAUCAGACACAUGUAGUGACAAUUGUACAAGGAACUUUUGGUUACUUAGACCCCGAGUACUACCACACCGGGGAGCUGAGUGAGAAGAGCGAUGUUUAUAGCUUUGGAAUUAUACUGGUGGAGCUUCUAAUGAGAAAGAAGCCAAUUUUUAUUAAUGAACAAGGUAUAAAACAAAGCUUGGCUCAUUGCUUUGUGGAAGGACUUCAGCAAGGAGUUCUCAUGGAAAUCAUGGAUCCCCAAGUUGCAGAAGAAGCGAACCAGAAUGAAAUUGAUGAAAUUGCCUCAGUUGCGGAAGCAUGCUUGAAAACCAAAGGAAGAGAAAGGCCUACCAUGAAAGAGGUAGAAAUGAAGUUGCAACUCCUAAAAACUAGAAGAUUAAGGAGUCAACUUCCUCCCAUAAAUGAUGGAGAGAUCGAGUCACUUGGGUGCCUAAAUGGCGCUAGCUCUCAUGCACAGAGCAACAGCAUUGUCAGUAAUGUUGGCUUAACACCUACAUGCAGCUCCGGAAAGUACAGUCUGGAGCAAGAGUUUUUGAACUCGGCCAGCUUUCCACGCUAGCGAAGCACACAAUGGAAUGAUCGUCUGCUUACUAAGCUUCUCAGGUGCAUGUCAGUUACCCUACGCAUGCUUAUAUAGAAAAACUAUGCAAUGUAUGUAGUUCCUUUCAGUGGGAGUAUGCCAUGUAAAUUUCCGAAUUGUGUUUGUAGCUUAUCUCAUCUGUGUAAUUUCUUUCGAUGGCAACUUAUUGCAAUUAAGCUACAGUGGUGAAUAAAGUUAUUUUAUCAUUGUUUUUUUUCUUUUUCAACAAAUUUCUUUUUUGCCGUAUACAUUUCUCACUACUCAUCCUAUAUCCUAUAUACUUAAGAAGUUCAUCCCCACUACUUGAUUUAUCUCAACAUGCAGCAUAGACACGUCAGCAUCCAAUCACAUACUGCCACGUCACCCUUCACCCACUUAAGCCCUCCUCAAGUCUGACCAAAUAUGUUCGCUGAAAGAAAAAAAAUUCCUAAUCACUCCCUACUGUCCGCACCCCUGGUCAGACCCGAAGCCCCCCGUGAUUGUUCCACUUCGGUUCCUCCUCCCGCCGCCGGCCUCCCUCGCCGGUGGUCGGAGCCACUUCCUCAUCCCGCUCCCCGGCUCCGGAUCCUCCUCGCGGCGACUCUCCGGUUACUCCUCGCGGCGGCGGCGGCGGCAGCGACGGCACCAGACUCCGCCUAUCGCGGGCCCCGGUUCCCGCGGGAUCCAGCAGGAUGAUUCCGUGGAUGCGACCGCCGGUCCCUCCUCGCGCCAUCGGCCUCCGGUCGCCCCAGUACGCCCGGGCGGCAUCGGGAAGGAGCAGGCCACCGAUCAACCACUGCCCCUCCCCCCCCUCCUCGCUCCUCCAUGGCCUGAAGCGGGCAUCCCCGAGCAGCGCCUCCCCUCUGGUCCCUCCUGACGCCGCCGGCCUCGGACCGGACGAGGCCGUCCCCGCCACGGUCGGCCUCGGUUCCAGUGGGAUUAGCUCGGACAUAUCAGUGCCUGCAAGCCGGUGAGCAUGCCUCCUUACUGUGGUUUGGUUGGUCUGUUCUUCCCAUACGAUGCCUAUUAUUUUUGGUGCUUGCGUUUGCUUCCCAGGUGGUUUGUCAUGUGCUGUUUUCUUCACGUUUGCUGGUGUCUCCGCACCUUACCUUCAAUCAUUGGGUCAACGUAUCUGCAGUUCAAGGUAAUAUCAUCUUGUUUUUCUUAGUUUUUCCUUUGCUCUCACCAACCUAGACAGCCCACUACUUCAAAUCAUGUGCAGCCCAAUGCUCGAAAUGACCCAUACUAAAAGUAAGAAAAAACAGUUUUGCUCCAAAUAAUUGAUGAUUGACGCUCCACUUCCUCUCCCCACGAUCUCCAGAAGAAACUGAAGAAUUCCCCUUUAAAGUAUGCCCCACCUCAGCUCCUUUUCCCAUCAUCUUCCGACAUGGGUGGAUGUCUGCCAUAGGGUGUUCAUACUGCUUCCACUGGUCAGAUACUCUAUCCCCUCUCCUUGCCAUAACCUCUUGACAUAUUGCUGAUUCAGUCACAAAUUCGGACUUUACAGGUGCUGAUCACUUCAGUUCCCAGUCAGUCAUCUUCGUUGCCCACGCGCCUCAGCUCCUACUGGUAUACAAUGUUCCCAUCCAGUGCUACUUCUGAAUUUUUGUGUCUUUGGUUAAUAUAUGUAGCCUGCUUGAUUGAAUGCAUAACUAUUUGACUUGUAGCCUUGCAUUUUAAUUCCUUGCCUAUUACAGAUUCUGGUUUGCUUCAUCCAAAUCUGAAUUGUAUCUCUCUGAUCAAGGUUACAUUACAUCUAUGAGCAUGGUUUUUUGUAGGCCGAGCUAUGUGAUACCUCCUAUCUAUGCCAUUCACUGAACCGUCUUGUUCCUAUAGAUUCACGCAACAGCUGACCGGUUUUGCAGGGUUGAGUAAUUUGUUACGCAAAUCUAAAGCUGAUCAAUUUUGUCGGAAUCUGCCUGCGUGCAGGCCCGUGACUACUCCCACCUCUACUCUCUCCUAGAGUCUAUUGCAUGCAAGAUUUAAAAACUGGUACAGUGCGAGAAAGAAUAUUGCCAGCUCUCUCUCUCCUUCAUCUUCCUUUCUCUCUCAAGCCUCUCACAGCCACACACUCUCUCUUCUUCUUCAUGUCCUUUCUCUCACGCGCGCCUCUGAUUCUUGGAGAGAGAGAUCCCUUCCUCAACAGCACCCCUCUCUCUUAUUUUUUUUCCCAGGUACAACACUUAUCUCUUCUCACAACACCUCUCCUUUUCUCUUCUCCUAUUCUCUCUCUCUCUCUUCUCCUUUUUCCUCAGCAGCAGUACCGGAAGGACGUCCGACGAGCUGUAUAUCUGCAAGGAGAUGAAGCGGACUGGUGUGCUACCGAUAGGAGAAGAUGGGUGGCUGAAAAGAUGUGUCAGAGGUGAGUGCCACGACGCACACAACUCGAGAAACAUGUGGACCCGACAGGACUAGCAUGCAAGACCUAGGAGGAAAUCUCAAACUGUUCAUGUAGCCUGCCUUUUGAGACUAAUCAUACUGUGGCUACAGGGAUACUACUGCUGAUGCUGGUACUAGCCCAAAUCUUCAUAGCGUGACCAACGGCACCGAUAAAAGGCACCGUGUAGGACGAGCUACAAAGAAAUUUUGCGUACAUCUAUUAUGUACAUUAAAAUCAGGGUCGAAGCAAAAAGAAGAAUUGAUUUAAGCGAGGAUGAUGCCGACAAAUCUAACAGGGAUGACAACACUCACAAACUCUUAGUGCACCAUGGUUCUCCAAUUACUAGAUAAGGUACACAGGUACAAACUUCUUGGUAGCAGUUAGAAGUAAGUAUCUACAACUAUCAAAGUACACAAUAAUAAAAUCACCUAAAUCAUUUGGCAGUAACUCAAGCAUCAUAUUUCCUCAAUUGGUGUUAGGCAUCAGUUAACUAGCAUUUUCAUGUCACACUAAUGUUUUUUUAGUGUGGAGAUUACCAAGCUUUUAAUCAGUAAAUGUUAAUUUCACCAAAUCAGUACUGAGUCACAAUUAUUUGCAGUCUCUUUACAAAAUCAUUACUGGUCAUGCAAGUGAAUGCUAACUUAUACAUUCUAUGUGUUGUUCAAUAUUGGGAAUAUGAUAUAUUCAGGAUAACAUCUCAUCCAUGCUAUGUUCGGCCAAAUGCCAACUUAUUUAAAGUACAGGGAGGUUCUUGGGUUACAUUUAUAUUCUCUUGCCUUGUUUAUUUUCUAAUGUGAUUCAUGCUUUUAUUACUUCACUUCUUCUUCGGUACAACCCCCUAAACACAUCAACGCACGAGAUUUCUUCAUACCCCUUCAUUAUAAAGGGCAGGAUGAUCCUUUUUAAAAUACUAUAUGGCGUUGGAGACACCCCUCAACUGGGCCGGCCCAUUGAUAAAAGGCUGCAGGGAGCGCGACCCGAGAUGUAAAAAUUCACAAAAUACAUGCCGCUGCUAAGAAUCGAACCACAGACCUCUUACACAUGAAGUUUAGUCACUCACCAAUUGAGCCGACUAAUGUUUGUGAAUAAUUAUGAGAGUGCAAACUUAAGAAUCUCUCCGGACGGAUUUAUCGGGCCUAUGAGCCGAUAUGGGAAGGCCACGAAAAACGCAUAGAAGAAAUUGGAAAUAAAAUCUCAACUAAUCACCGUUAUUAAUUAGGCCUAUUAACUAACCUUUGCAUGCAAUGGCUACUGCCUGAUCCAAUCAAGAAGACCCAUGCGCUAGCUUCCAUAGAGAGACGAGGGAAUGAAGGGACGUGCUUAAAUGCAGCAGCCUAAUUUUUUUGUGAUAAACUAUGCAGCAGCCUAGUAAACAUGGUACAAGUUUUGGUGCCUCUCAGACCCGAUAAACCUUAGUGGAGGGAGUAACACAAAGGAAAUUAUGAAUGAAUUUUUAAAAAUUGAAUAAUGUUUCAUAAUCCAACUUUUUUUAAACCACUUGAACUCAUUUUGAAAACGUCAUUUUUCAUAAAAGCAUGAACAUUUUAAAAAAAUGAAUAAUGUUUUUACAAGCAUGAACAUUUCAAAAAAUUUAAGGAGAUAUGUUAGUUCAAAAUGUUAAGAACAUUUUUUCCAAGCAACAUUUGAAAACUUUUAAAGAAAUAUGAGGGGCGUGCAAACUUCAGGACUAACAUUUUGAAAAAAAUGGUUGAACACUUCAUUUUUUGGCUUCUUAUAUGUGGCUAAUGUAACUUUGUGAAUUUUCGGGAAAAAAAUUCGUGUGUUUUAACACCGGAUUUUGUUUUGUUUUAUUCUGGAUUUUUUCUUUUCCAUUUUUUUCAUUUGUGGGAAUUUAAAAAAAAUUCUUGAACUUUCUCAUUUUCUCGAACUUUUUGGGUGAUUUUUUUUAAAUCUGCAAAAAAAUUCAAAUUCGUGAACAUUUUUUCAACAUCGAUGAACUUUAUUCAAAUCUGUGAACUCUUGGGCCGGCCCAACACGCGCCCGGUCGGAGCGAUGCCAUCGCUUAUCCGGGUGGUAGAAACCAAAAAUUUGGUUUUGUACCCUUCAUUCAUUUUACAAUUUUGGUUAGCAAACCUAAAAACUAAAAUGUCAACCCCAUACAACAACUGAAGAUGUCGACAAACAACGUGCUCCUAGACAGAGCCUUUUGGCCUACACGGGCACCUUUCGUUGAACAUGGUCUAGUUUUAGACAUUCUUGAGACCACUCUAAUUUUUGCUAGCAGAUGGGCAUGCACAUGGUAGGCAUCUAUGCAAGAUUUGAACGAUUCCGACACCUUAUGCAAGUUGCAUGACUUAUUGGUCAUUUUCACCAAGAAAACUCCAAAAAAUGCAAGAAUUGUCGAAAACUCGAACAAUUUGAGAUCGUGCCUUGAAUUGGUCAUAAAAGCUCAUGAAAAAAUUUGGGGUCAUUUGAAGAUGCCAAAGAAAGUACUCUCAGACGGAUCCCACGUGACCUACCCGAACAACCUCCAUUGAACAUGGUAUACUUUUAGACCUGCAUGAAAUGACCCCAACUUUUGCCAGUAGGUAGGCAUGCCCAUGGCAUGCAAUCAUGCCAGGUUUGAGCGAUUUCCGACACCAUACGCAAGUUGCGUCACGUUCGGCCAUUUGUCGUCCAUUUUUCAUCGAGAAAACUCCAUAAAUUGCAAAAAAAAAACUCAAACAACUUGGCAUUGUGCCUUGAAUUGGUUAUAUAAACUCAUGGAAUUUUUUGGGUCAUUUCACGAUGCCGAAAAAAACGAGCUCUCAUACAGACCCAUCUCGCGUACCCGAACAACCCCCGUUGAACAUGGUCUAUUUUUUGGACAUGCGUGAAAUGAUCCAACUAUUGCCAGUAGGUGGGCAUGCCAUGGUUUGAACAAAUUCUGACACUAUAUGCAAGUAACAAGUUGCAUCACGUCCAAGCACGUAUCAGCCAUUUUUCAUCGAGAAAACUCCAGAAAAUGCAAGAAUUGUUAAAACCUCAAACAACUUGGCAUGGUGCCUUGAAUUGGCCAUUUAAGAUUAUGGGAAAGAAUUGGAGUCAUUUGAAGAUGUCAAAAAACACAUGCUCUCAUUACGGCCCCUUCUGGGCUCCCCGAGCACCUCUGUUGAACAUUGUCUAUUUUUCGGACAUGGAUGAAAUGACCCCAACUUUUACAAGCAGGUGGGCAUUCUCAUGGUAGGCAUCCAUGCCAGGUUCGAAUUAUUUCCGACACCAUAUGCAAGUUGCGUCACGUCCGGCCAUUUAUCGCCCUCUUUUUACUAAAGAAAAUCCAGAAAUUGCAAAAUUUGUAGAAAUCCAAAACAACUUGGCAUGGUGCCUUGAAUUGAUCAUACAAGUCAAUAAAAAAUGAAGUCAUUUAACGGAUGUUGAGAAACAACGUGCUCUCAACGGAGCCUUCUCGCCUAUCUGGACACCUUAGGUUGAACAUGCUAUUUUUUGGACAUUCAAAAAAGGACAUCAACUUUGGUCAACUGGUGGGCAUGCACAUGGUGAAGAUGUGAACACUUUUUUUAAAUUUGCCAGCAUUUUUUCAUAUUUGCGAAUAUUUUUUGGAACUUCUUUUAUUUUCUAGGGCCUAAGCAUUUUUUUCUUUUCUUAAUUUUUUGUUAUUCUUUUCUUUUUCGUUAAUUGAUUUUCUCCUUCUUGAACUUUAUUAUUCUUUUUGAAACCUGUUCAAAAAUUUGAAAAUUUCUUUAGAAUACCAGAUUCUUUUCUCAAUACAAAUUUAAAAAAAUCUGGAAUUUCACAAAAUGUUUGUGUACUCUCAUACGAACCCUUCUCUCCUGCGUGAACACUAUCUGUUGAAUAUGGUUUAUUUUUGGACACCCAUGAAAUGAUCUAUCUUUUGCCAGCAGAUGAGCAUGCUCAUAUUAGUCACCCAUGUCAGAUUUGAAUGAUUUCUGACAUCAUAUGCAAGUUUUGUCACGUCUGGCCAUUUAUCAAGUAUUGCUCACUCAUAAAACUCUAGAAAAUGCAAAAAAGUCAAAAACUCAAAUACAUUGGCAUGGUUCAUUGAAUUGGUCAUAUAAGCUCACGAGAAAAAUGAGGUUAUUUGAUGAUGCCGAAAAAAUGUGCCCUCAUACGGACCCUUCUGACCUUUUCAAAUUCUUUCAUGUUCCCUUUUUCAUUUUUUAUUUUCUUUUCAAAUUUAUUUACCUUUAUAAAAACUAUUUGUGAUUUUAAUGUUUUUUUUGGAAAAUUCAAAAUUGGUUCGUGAUUUUAAAAAGUUGUUCAGCAUUUUUAAAAGUCUUUGUUUUCAAUUGUUUUCACAAAUUCAAAAAAUGUACAGGAUUUUCGAAAAAUGUUAUUUUUGUCUAGAAAUUGUUCUGAAUGUUAAAUUCUUUCUGUUCACAAUUUUUCUCAAUACUCUAAUAAUGUUCAUGUUUUCUCAUAAUGUUUGAAACUUCAAAAAAAAUGUUCAGGUUUUUUAAAAAUUGCUUGCGGUUUCCCAAAAAAAUUGAGUUUUUAGAAAAUUCAUAAAAAUGCUCGUGUUUUCAUAUUUUUUUCGUAAAUUCCAAAAAUAUACAAGAAUUUCAGAAAAGGUUAUUGUUUUCUAGAAACUUUUGAGAAUGUUAAAAUUAUUCAUGUUUUCAAUUUUUUCUCAAAACUCAAAAAAUGUUUGGGAAUUACUUAUACUUUUAGCGCUUUUGAAAAAUUGUUCAGAAUUUCCAAAAUGUUCCCCUUAACAAUUUUUGUUCUCUAAGUUCCAAAAAUUUCCUCAUUUUUUCAUAAGUAUUUAGGAUUUUAAAAAAUGGUUCCUGUCAAAAAAGUUAAAGUUUUAAUUUUUUUUGAUUUUUCAAAGUUUGUUAGAGUUCUUGAAACAAUCACUGGAUUUCAAACAUUACUCGCUUUUAAAAAAAUAUUCACAAUUUCCAAGAGAAGAUGAAAAAUCCGAAAAGUGCCCGGAUUCUACGUUGGAGUUAAUUCUUAAAGUGGUACGCUCUUUACUCGACACAAAAGUCUGUUGGGUUGACUGGUAAGUAGGUGCUUUUUGUAAGGUUGAGGUGAAGAAUUCGAAUCCAUGCGAGGUCGCUCUUAAUUAUUAUUUUUAGCGAUCAUAGCGUUGUAGUAGGUGCGAGCGCUACUGCGGGCACCUUCUUGGGCCGGCCCAGUCGGGGGUAUGCAGAGCGUAUACAAGUACAAAGUGGGUAUACCAUGUCAAAAGUCCAUAUUACCCUUUAUACGUUUUAUGUGGGGGGUUGUACCGAAGCGGAAGUCUACUUACUUUCAAUAUUAACAAAUGGAACCAAUUUUCUGAAUGUUAGCUUAGAGGAACCGGAAAAGAGUACUAUAAAAAAGCACAAGCAAGAGUAUGUACUGUUUCUCACACCCUAUAUACAAAUUUAGCCAACAAUAUGAGUUUCUUCCUACAUAUAUUUACUGUUCCAACAAGUCUCCAUCAACAGCAAUGCAAACAAUUAAACUGUCGCAAGCAACUAUGCACAGCCAGAGUAAAACAACAUUUGGACGAUAUAAGUAUCUGUUCAUUAACUAUAUAAACUUACAUUUUCUGAUUUAAAAUUCCAGUAAUUUAUUGCGUUAUUUACUUUUUUUCAGUGCUGUAUUUUCCAAUACAUGUAGGACAACUUGCACUCUGCUACAAAUGAGGAAUAAAAUCCAUCGCGUACAACCACAAAUAACAUAGUGCUUCUGUUCAUACCACUUUGCUCAGCUUCUGCUGUAACCAAGGAACAUUUAAACUUUUGUGUUCAACGGAAAGCUGUAUCUUAAAUCAAGUACCAACUCAUGAAUGGAUCCAGUUUAUGUUCUUUGGUGCACUUACGUUCUCAAUAGAAGCAUACAGUGUGUAUUAAAAUAAAUUCAUGAAUGGACCAGUUCAUAUUCUUUGUUGCAAUUAGGAUCUCAAUGGAAACCUACACUCUUUAUUAGGAUACAUUAAUUUCUAACUUGAUUUUGCAUUAACCAUUUCUUAAACAUCGUUCGGUUAGACAUUCUUUCCCCUGUAAGACACCUAUAUAAGACCACCCCAUAACAUUGUAGUCGCUACAACUUUAUCUCUGGAAUUAGAUUUUUUUUACUACAGGCACAACCAUAGACAACCAACAAGAAGGCUACAGGUACGGCUACUACAUAUACAAUUUUGUUUUCUACCUCCCUAUCUGCUGCAAAUAACAAUACACAUGAAUCUUUCUCCAGGAUACAAUAUGAUGAACCAAAUAAUGUUCUGCCCCACUCAACAACUCAUCCAUCAAGGGAGGCUCAGAAGAAGUACAUGGAAGCAAUUGCAAAAAUGAAAACUACUAUGAAACAACCAAUAUGUAUCACUUUUAGAGAAACCAUUCCAUUUGAAGACAAGACAAAACUAUCUGAGGAUCAUCCAUUCAAGUCCAGCAAAUACAUCUUAGAGUACAUUAAGAAAGGAACACCACAUGUCCAAAUAGUUCUCGACGAAGAACACUCCAACUACAAAAAAAAAAUAAGCAUGUAUUAUGUUCUUUUUAUGAUCAAUAAAUAAUUAUGACUACAUAUGUAUUUUGCAAUUUUCAAUAAGUAUUUAUGAUUAUACAUAUGUAUUUCCCAAUUUCAAUUAUCAUAUCAUUGAUCCAAACAUUCUUUCAUAUGUAUCUUUGAAUUUUCAAUUAUCAUAUUGUCCAUCCAAAAAUCCGUCUUCUAUAGAACCAAAUAUCAUCUAAAUGUAUUGCAUCCAAUUCCCGCCGCAACGCGCGAGGUAUUAUCUAGUUAGCAAUAAUACUCGAACCUGUAAUACAUUAGUCAUUGGUAAUGAGUGGUGAAUAAAUGUUGGCUUAACACCUACUAUUAUAUUAUGGGACGGACUACAAUUGAUGUGAGUUAUGUGUGUUUGUUAGAUAUAGAAGUUCUGCUUCGCCAGAAAAGAGUGCGGAAAAAUAAUUAUGGAUUUGUAAAGCCUAAAGCCCAUUUACUAUGGCUCCUUAUUGUUUAUUUUUAUGUUUUGGGGAAAAAGAAUAGUCAUUCCUUUUAUCUGCGAAAUAUUUUCCCCCUUCCCUUCCGUGCCGCCGCGCGUGGUGGCCUCAGCCGCGAAGGGUGAUUCUUCUCCUUGUCGCCAGCCGGCCGGUAGAGUGCUCUGCCUGGGAGGUUUCCCAGAGGAAGGCCGGGGAGCCCCGCUGUCGAGAAGCAGCAUGCGGCUGGAAACGGGGGAGGCAGCUGCUCCGAUCGUCUUGCGUGCUCGCCGCACCGAGGUGCCUGUCGCUGUGCUGGGGUUGCGGUUCCUCUCUAACGGCGACGCCUAGGACCUCCAAGGUUCGACUUGUCCUCCCCACCAUCUUCCCCUCCGACCAACUAUCCACUGCUCUGCAUACUGUCUGAAAUACGCUUUGAUAGUACAUACUGAUUAACACUUUUUAAACCUAUCAUCGAUGUACUCCCUCCAUUCGGAAUUACUUGUCGCGAAAAUGGAUGUAUCUAGACGUAUUUUAGUUCUAAAUACAUUCAUUUCCGAGACAAGUAAUUCCGAACGGAGGGAGGUUCCUAAAUAUAACUAUUUUUAGUUAUUUCAUAUGGACUACAACAUACAGAUGUAUGUAGACAUAUUUUAGAGUGUAUAUUUACUUAUUUUAUUCCGUAUGUAGUCGUUUGUUGGAAUCUAUAGAAAGACUUAUAUUUAGGAAUGGAGCGAGUAGAAGUUAGUGACGAGCCACACUGUGAAUUAAACUAAUGCACGGCAAGUGUACGCCAAAUCCUUGCUUAUGGGUACGCCAAAUGACCCCAUUGCUUUUAGUCGGUAGUGUGGUGUCUAGGAACGUCACCCAGCUCCCAACAACCAACAAUAAUACUCCCUCCAUUGGGAAAUACUUGUCAUAGAAAUGGAUACAAACGGGUGUAUCUAGAACUAAAAUACAUCUAGAUACAUUCCUUUGUUGGACAAGUAUUUUCGGACAGAGGGAGUAGAUCGAUAUAUGGUUGAGGAUUCUCCCUUCAGCUCUGAAAUACUGAAAUAUGCUUAGUAGUACAACAUUAACAAUUGCUAAUCCGAUAUCGCUGUGAAGUGUACAACCUAUCAAGUGAUGAGUCACACUGUCAAUUAAACAAAUGCGCGGUGAGUACACGCCAAAUCCUUGCCGAAUGAUGCUACUGGGUAUGCCAAAUUCGCCUCACGCAGCAGGUCCCAACAACCCACACUAAUAGAUCGAUUAAUGGUUAAACUUUGCGUUAGCCGCCGGACAGCCAUACACAUUGUCGUCACUAAAUUCAAUCCCUGAUGCGGGCUUGGUUCAGGCAGCGGUUGUAUAUACAUGUGGUUGCUGGUGGGUACAGCUACCGUCGAUAGAAAUACUUCCUCCGUCCGAAAAUACUUGUCAUCAAAAUGGAUAAAAAGAGCCAAUAUGUACUUUAUAUGAGUAUGGCGAUACGUCGCUGUAAAGCGUAGCUAACGGUGUAUCCCUAGUAUAGAUUAAAAGGCACUGAUGAUGAGUGUCACACUGCUAAAUCAAUAUGAGAUGCGCGAUGGAGGCCUGGCAAGUCAUAGUUAAAAACUAAUCGAGUAGCUUCUGUCUAUCUAAGCAGCAGGACCUAAGAGCCUGAGACAUGCAUCUCAAAUCCACCUCAAGUAAUUCCUUUAAAUAGUUAUUAAACUUUGUGUUAGAGCAUAGGAGUUAAUUAAAUUCUAUGUCAGCAUAUAGGAGUAUAUUCUGUUCAGUAUCGCAGCUAGCAGACAGCUAUGACUGUCAAACCCUUAUGCAUUUUCACUAAAUUUUAAGCGAUGGAGUGGGUUCUUGGAGGAAGAUCGUCACACCCGGGCUCUGUAGAAAUUGAAACCAACACUUGAUCUUUAUAUGAGAGACUGAGUGUGUUGUUGAGGCAUCGCUGUCUAUCCUUGUAAUAAGAGCCGGCCUGGGUGUGUUCAUGCAUCGCUGUCUAUCCAUGUAAUGAGAGCGGAGCAGGCAGAAUUAACUAGUGGCCCCGCUGUUAUAAACUAGUACUCCUUUCGUUCGGAAUUACUUGUCGCAGAAAUGGAUAUAUUUAAACGUAUUUUAGUUCUAGAUACAUUCAUUUCCGAGACAAGUAAUUUCGAACGAAGGAAAUAAUGGGCAAAGACUUGGAGGCCGGCAAAGUCAUGAGUGGGCAGCGCGUGAAUCACAAUUCAACAUCAAUUGGGGGAGGCCAUUAACAGUUAACAAUUAAACAAAUAUGUUGAUCAAUUAGCACAACAUUAACAAUUAACACCUGUUAAUCCUAACAUCGAAAUAAAACCCACGCAAUGAUGAGUCACACUGCCAAUUAAACUAAUACACGAUGAGUGCUCGCCAAAUCUUUGCUGGAUGGAGUUGCCGAGUAUGCCAAAUGUCCCAUUGCUCUUUGUUGAUCAUGCAUAUAUAUAAUCCAACUAUUGACGUAGAAAUGUAUUGCCUAGUCUCUUUCAUCAGAUCGGUGUUCUGGUUGCAUUAGCUAGAGCAUGCACUUUUACAUGGUUUCUGAGCUAAGAGGUCUUGAGUUCAAGACCCGGCCGGCGCAAUUAAAUUGCAGCCCACUUUCGGUCCAUGUUUAGGCGUAAGAGAACCUAGUAUUUAACAAAAAACUACCACAAUUCAUGGAAACGUGAUCAGAAACUAUCACUUUACAAAUUUGUGCCGAAAACUAUCACUUUUUCUUUAAUCUUUAACUAAAAACUACCAUGUCUAUACAUCGACCCAUUUGUCCAUUUUAAACGCACUUACGACAGGUCUGGCCCGCAUGUAAGUGCUGGCAUCAUUAGUCAACGCCGUUUGUACCCGCUGCUGCUCGCCCGUUCUGCCGCGCGCCGUGCCUGUCGCUCGCAGCGCCCGCAGACACAGGCGUACGACGAGCGCAGAUUGCGGCGGAGGCGGCCAACAGGGAGGAGGCCGAGAAGGCGCUCCGAGCGCGCGCAGGAGCACUUCCUCGCGGGCAACAUGGCGGGGGCGCGGUUGCUGACCGCCAAGGCCCGGCGGAUCUCCCCCUCGCUCCCCGAUGCCGCGCACACGCUCGCCGCCUACGACGUCCACGCCGCCGCGGCCGGGACCCAGCACCGCGCGGGCUACUGGGACGAUGUCAUCGGCAUGGCCCUGUCCGCCUCCGCCUCCGCCUCUGCCGUGAAGAGGCAGUUCCGGUGCCUGUCCCUCGUCAUCCACCCCGACAAGAACCGCUCCGCCGCCGCCGAGGGCGCCUUCAAGCUGCACGGACAGGCCUGCGACGCCCUCUCCUUCUGCUCCGGCGCUGGCCACGUCCCCUACUACAGCAGCGCCGCCACCACCGCGGCCUCCGCGCACGAGUGGUACCGGUCUCACCACGCGGGCCGCUCGCAGCGCUCGACCGCCUCAUCGACCGUGGAUCAAAACCCGCUAAUUCUUCUGACCUCACAACCACCGCUGCUGCCAUGUUCGGCGUUGAUGAAGCAAGAAGGCAUGCUACAGAUCAGCACCAAUCAGGAUUAAGGUUGGAUCUUUCCCAGCUGAUCCUCAGCGACAAGAAAGACCAAAUUGGAGUGAUCGGAGUGUGGGGAACAAGUGGCACGGUUGGGCAUACCUCCAUCAUCUUUGAUGCUUACGAGAAUCCAAAUAUCAAAGUCAAAUUCCCAUCCCGAGCGUGGCUUAGGGUGACACGCCCUUUCCACCGGAAACAAUUUGUCCGGAGUAUAGUGGAACAGUUUCGAGCAACCACCAUAGGGGUGGUUGAUUUUCUGCUGGAGGCAGAGGGGGAGAAGACUUGGCAUGAGUUGGCACAUGAGUACAGUGAAUAUGUCAGCAAGAAGUGGUACCUGAUUGUGCUUGCCGUGACUAUCCACCAUUGAAGAAUGGCACCAGAUCAAAGCUUGCUUCCGAGAAAACAAACAGGGGAGCCAUAUCGUAGUAUCCACAGAGCAUGUUGAAGUUGCAAGCCUAUGCCAGGGCGAGGGAAGUACCGUGUCGGAGCUCAAGCAAUUGUCUGCUGAACAGACUAUAUAUGCUUUCUACCAUCAGGUACUACUUCAAUUUUGAACACAAGUUUUUGGUUCACUCAGUUCGAAAUCUUGAGUUUAUUUAUUUCUUUAGAAAAAUAUCAUCCAAGAUGUAAACCUUUAGAUCAGCUAUGCAUGGAGUGCUUGAGGCGGGAUCAAUUAAUUUGUGUGUUUGGACAAAGCCAAGAAUGAGAAAUUUCCCGGUGCAAAUCCUAACACGCCACUGGGAAGAGAAUAUUCAGCAUNNNNNNNNNNNNNNNNNNNNNNNNNNNNNNNNNNNNNNNNNNNNNNNNNNNNNNNNNNNNNNNNNNNNNNNNNNNNNNNNNNNNNNNNNNNNNNNNNNNNNNNNNNNNNNNNNNNNNNNNNNNNNNNNNNNNNNNNNNNNNNNNNNNNNNNNNNNNNNNNNNNNNNNNNNNNNNNNNNNNNNNNNNNNNNNNNNNNNNNNNNNNNNNNNNNNNNNNNNNNNNNNNNNNNNNNNNNNNNNNNNNNNNNNACCAUAGACCUUCACAGUCCUCCCAGAUCUUUUGUCUUCGUCCAUAUAUUCCUUGCUGAUAUUGGUUUCCUCUGCGAAGAUCCCUAGGGACAGGUUACCACUCUCCAGUGGGAGAGGGCGGCAGGUGACUAGGUUCGGUGGCGAUGUGUUUCCUUGAGACAUAACGACAAGGGUGAAGGGAGAAGAGAGGUAGAGUAGGGAAUCCAAUAGAUAGAGACAAAAUUAGACUUGUUCUAUUCUUGCUUGCCUUACAUAUUGACAAAACUAAAUCAUAUCGGUUAGGACUCUUUAAUAGAACAAUAACUAUAUUUCUCCUCUAUUAAUACGGAUUACAUAAGAACUGAAAUAUUUCGUAGUUUUUGUCCUCCUUGAAUGAUAAAUGGUUGUAGCUUCUAGAGGCGGCUGAGGAGGGUAUACGGACGGCUAAGCGUAUAUGUCUCACCAAGUCACCAUACAUGACAUGUAGGUGGUCAUGCAAUGCUGAGUUCUAAUGUUUUUAGUAACUUUAUGUUCCCCCUGCUUGUAGUAGGAGCAAACUUUCUAUGUAACUCAUGAAUACUUUGUGUUCGUGUACUUCUCCGCUUUUUUCAAAUUUUGGACUGCUUUUAGUAUUUUCGGCAAAGCCAAGCCUUAACAGGUCACCUCAGCAAAAUUGACUUGUAUGCAUGCUAUCCUAGCUUCGAUUUACUAUUUGUGGUUCAUUGUGGUAACAAAAUUUUUGUGUAGCAACUGGAAAUGCAUUGAGCUGAUUCUUCAGUAAGUUUUUGGAAUGAUUCGUCAAUUAAAUUUCAUGUAGUUAUUGUUUGCUUGUGUUCAGGGGUCUCAAGACAUGACAUAUUCAUCAAAGCCAACAUCUAGCACAACGCUACCCUGCAUUGUUGAGGAUGAGAUAAAAGAAUACCAGUCUAAUAAUAAUGUUGACAGAAAGAUGAUAGUGCAAGAAGAGCACACACACACACCAACACGAUUUCAUGUGUUUUUGAAGAAUUCCAGCUUGUUGGGAGAGACUAAAAAAAUGCUAUUAUUGAAGUCUUACAAGAACACGCUUCCACCUCACAAUUUCAGGCGAUCGCAGUGUGGGGAAUGGGUGGUCUUGGAAAAACCACUCUGUCAUGGUUCUAAGUCUGACAGUAGAAUGGGGGGUAGGUAUGGAGAGGCAAGAUCCUAGCUAUGGAGCAGUUGUACACACGAGUGUUUUACGAGUUCGGGCCCUUCUCGGAAGAAGUAACAGCCCUACGUCUCGGAGCCCGGAGGCGGCCGACUGGAUUAUGUGUGUGAAAGGUACAGGGGUGCGAACCCUUCUACCAGUGGAGGGGGGUGGCUUAUAUAGUGGACGCCAGGAGCCCAGCCAGCCCACGUAGCAGAGGGUUAAAGUACAUUAAGGUCUGGCGUUACUGGUAACGCCCUACAUAAAGUGUCAUCAUGGCCAUUAAGACUACUUAAUUAUAGACCGUUUGGAUACAGAGUAGAUCUUGUUCCGAAAGGAGGUCCAAGCUCGCCCAUGACCCUGCGGCUGAUCGUGGCAAGGGAGUCGCGCCUGCUGGGCAGUCGACUAAACGUCCUCAGACAACUUCACCGGCGCCGACUGAAAAGGCGUCGAAGCAACCCCGAGCGGCCCCGUCAAAACCGGCGAAAGCCCUACCGAAGAUGAGGAUGGAGAUUCCGACUGUCUCUGGGUAACGGUCAUAAUCAAUGUUUUUCAUUCUUGGUCGAUUCGAUCGCUGACCGACUGAUAUUUGUAAAUCAUAGUGCUGCUACUUCCGAGACUUCAGCCAGGCAUGAGGAUCAAGAAAUGGAAGAUGCUGUGACUUCUCAGCCUGGUAUGAUCUGCGCGGUUUCUCUUUCGGUCGAUUGAAUCUUUAUUUUUGAUUUUGAACUUUUUCUGCAGCUCUGCCUAACGUUGUCAUCAAUCUUCCUGACAAUGACGACGAAGCGCCUCUGAGGCAGAGGAGGAGCAGGAAGGCGACUGUUGGCAAGGCUGCGCAGGUUAUGUCAGCACCUGGACCACAUAUUCCCGAGGGGGGCAAUGUUGCUCGGGCUACCGUGUCCUUUGCGGAGCCGUUGACGGUUGCCCGCCCUUCGUCGUGGAGUGCUGACCCGCCUUCUCUCUUCUCCACCUACCACGUCCUGGAGGACCAAGCAAGCGCUGCUAAGGAAGCCAUACGCCAGGCCGGAAUUAUGAUGGAGCAGGUGAAGGCGAUCCGAACCGCCAGCCAAGCAGCUUAUGACGCGAGCUCAGCUCUCCAGAGCAAUGUCCAGGUUAGUUGAACACCGACUGAAAAUCUUGAUAUUUGUCAUGCACCCACUGGGUGUGUCAAUUCUACAGUGGACUGCUGGCAGUCGACUAUAGUCUUUGUGUCUUGAGAUUUCUCGCUCUACUUGUUCCACUCGACCAUGGUCUAGUGGAACAAUUAAACUGGUGGGGGCACGCUGAGUGCACCCACUGGGUGUAGUCCCCGAGACCAUGGUCGAUUGCUGGCAAUCGGCUAUGGUCUGAAAAUUUCUCCCUUGUUUUUUUUAACAGUCAACUGCUUCCGGUCGACUGGUCGACUCUGAGUCUAGCUGAUAAAACUUGUGGGGGCACGCUGAGUGCACCCACUGGGUGUAGUCCCUGAGACUACAGUUGAAUGUUUAGAUUCAUAUGUAGUCUUAGAAAUAGUACGAUUUUUUCCUUUAGUCACUCGGAAGUGAUCUGUCGUUUGAUGUUUGUCGACUGAACUUUCAUAGUAAUCUUGUGACCUUGUUUCUCGUUAUACCGAAUUGGAGAACAAGUAUAUCCAGCUUGAGCUUGACCAAAAGCUUGUCCAAGAGAACUUCACGAAGGUGAAGGAGGAGGCAAAAGGUAUGUUCGGUGAGAAUCUUGACGACUGUCCUCCCCUCUUGCCUGUCUCCGAAUCUGAUCUUAUUGUGAUUUUCGCAGAAAAACUGAGGGAUGCUCUGAAGAAGAAGGAUCUUGACCUUGCCGAGGCGCAGAAAACGGCCGCAGACAAGACUAGGCUUGCAGAAGAGAAGUUGGCUUCCAUCAACAAACUUGAAGAAGAAAAUACUAAUCUGAAAGCUGCUCUUGACGUGGCCAACCAAGAAGUCACUCGACUGAAGAAUGCCAAUAUGGUCCUGGACGACAAAGCUGGUGAACUGGCAGGAAAAAAGAAUGACUUGGAGCUUUAUCUGGGAGGACUCGCCAAAAAGAUGUUCCUCAUGCUCGAAGGUAACCUCUUAUCUCUGAUUGGUAGUUACUGACUGGCUGUAGGGCAUUAGCUUAUUCUUGCAUCAUGUCCACAGAAUUCUGCCAAAACUUUGAAGAGGAGACUAGUCGAGUGGAAACUGGUUUGGAUCCCAUCAAUUCUCCGGUGAAGGACGAAACUGCUAUGAACGUGCUCCGCCUCGAGUCCCGCAUUGCUGCAGUGGUCGAUUACCUUGCAAGACUGAAGGCCGCUGUAUCGUGCAUCGACACAUCGCUCCGGCCAGAAGAAACACUUCAGAACGACCUUGAGUCGCUGAUGACUCGACUGACCGAGAUUCCGAGUCGAGUGCAAGAGUGGAAGAAGUCUUAUGCCAGGUGCGGUGCUGACGUCGCUCUGUCCUUGGUCCGCGUCCACUGCAAAGAAGCAAGAGAAGACAAGCUGGUGUCUCUCAAGGUGGCCAACACUAGGCAGCAUGACUUCCGUUCUUUCAUGGAGACCUUCAUCGCGGCUGCUACUCGGAUCGCAGAUGGGAUCGACCUGGACGAGUUUGUUGCGCCUUCCAGCCCUCCGCAGGAGGGGUAAAAAACUUUUAUGCUCGAUGAUUUGAAUUUGCCUCGGAAUGCCGGGUGAUUUUUGUAACCGCCAAACUUUAACAGGCUUGAUGCCUGAGCACUUUUGGGUCCGUAGGACGUUAUCCAAACUUGAUUUGCCGUUUGAAAUACGUUUGCUUCUUUCGGAUAACCGUCUUCUUUGGGUUGGAAUAUAUGCUAGCAUCUGAAAUGCUCUUUUGCAGGUAGGAGUGAAGCACAAAUUGCAGUCGACUUGUGCUCGUCAUGUUUGGGCAAGUGCUUGGUUGCAACCAAGCCUCCGAGUGAGAAGCUUGUUCUCCACUCAGAAGGAUUUAGAAACUUAGGCGAGCACUGAGCUGUAACUAAGCCCCCGAGUGGGAGGUUUGCUCUCCACUCGGCAAGAUUUUUAGAAACUAAGGCGAGCACUGAGCUACAGCUAAGUCCCCGAGUGGGAGGUUUGCUCUCCACUCGGCAGGAUUUUAGAAACUUAGGCGAGCACCGGGCUGCAGCUAAGCCCCCGAGUGGGAGGUUUGCUCUCCACUCGGCAGGUUUUUAGAAACUUAGGCGAGCACUGAGCUGCAGCUAAGCCCCCGAGUGGGAGGUUUGCUCUCCACUCGGCAGGAUUUUGGAAACUUAGGCAAGCACCGGGCUGCAGCUAAGCCUCCGAGUGGGAGGUUUGCUCUCCACUCGGCGGGAUUUUAGAAACUUAGGCGAGCACUGAGCUGCAGCUAAGCCCCCGAGUGGGAGGUUUGCUCUCCACUCGGCAGGAUUUUUAGAAACUUAGGCGAGCACUGGGCUGCAGCUAAGCCCCCGAGUGGGAGGUUUGCUCUCCACUCGGCAGGAUUUUUGUGGCGCGGUUUUGGAGGAGAAGGUAGCAGUCGACCUACGCUUCGUCCUCCUUGCGGGACGCACGUUGUGUUUGUGAUGUAGCUCGGAAGGAGGAAGCGGGGGUCGACCUGCGCCUCGUCCUUCUUGCGAAGCGUACAAUGUUUUUUAUUCUUAGGCGAACACAAGGUUGCAGCUAAGCCUCCGAGUGGAAGGCUAGCUCACCACUCGGUAGGAUUUUCAAAAAACUUAGGCGAGCACUGGGCUGUAGCUAAGCCCCCGAGUGGAAGGCUGGCUCACCACUCGGUAAGAUUUUGUUUACUUAGGUGAGUACUUGGACUGCAGCUAAACCUCUGAGUGCGAGGCUGGCUCACCACUCGGUAGGAUUUUGUUUUAACUUAGGCGAAAUGGAUUUGCAGCUAAGCCUCCGAGUGGGAGGCUGGCUUACCACUCGGUAAGAUUUUUUACAAGCUUAGGCGAAACGGGUUCGCAGCUAAGCCACCCACUGGGGGACAGAUUUAUGAGAGAAAAAGCAAUAACAAUCACUAAGAAAAUUAUGAAACACUUGUCUUUGAUGAAUACACUACAUGAGUACUUUUAUUACAACUCAUCCGAGCGAAAAACUUAAGUAUAGAAAGGGCAGAGUAAGUCUGCGUUCCUUGCUCUGGGCUCGUCAAUCUGGUGCUCGACAUUGUAAAGGCGGUAUGCCCCAUUAUGGAGAACUUUAGUGACGAUGAAGGGACCUUCCCAAGUAGGAGCAAGCUUGUAUGGUUUUUGCUGAUCCACUCGGAGAACUAAAUCUCCCUCCUGGAAAGCUUGACUCUUCACAUUUCUGGCAUGGAAGCGACGUAAGUCCUGCUGGUAAAUGGUUGAUCAGAUCAAGGCCAUCUCUCUUUCUUCUUCUAGAAGGUCGACCGUGUCCUGUCGGGCUUGCUCUGCUUCAGCUUCGGUGUACAGUUCGACUCGGGGUGCGUUGUGAAGCAGGUCACUCGGUAAGACUGCUUCAGCUCCAUAGACCAAGAAGAACGGAGUCCUCCCAGUCGAUCGGCUUGGCGUGGUCCUUAACCCCCAAAGCACUGAUGAAAGUUCGUCGACCCAUGCACCGGCUACGUGCUUGAGGUCACGCAUCAGUCUGGGUUUCAACCCUUUGAGAAUUAAGCCAUUUGCGCGUUCUGCUUGACCAUUCGACUGGGGGUGAGCGACCGAAGCAUAGUCGACUCGUGUACCUUGAGAUGUGCAGAAAGCUCUGAAUUCUUCGGAGUCGAAAUUUGACCCAUUGUCUGUGAUGAUGCUGUGUGGAACUCCAUAUCUGAAUACCAACUCCCUGAUGAAGCUGACGGCGGUGCCGGCAUCCAGAUUCUUGAUGGGUUUAGCCUCAAUCCACUUAGUGAACUUGUCGACUGCUACCAACACAUGGGUGUAGCCGUUUCUGCCUAUCCUCAGAGGUCCAACCAUAUCCAGUCCCCACACAGCAAAGGGCCAGACGAGUGGAAUGGUUUUCAAGGCUGAGGCGGGUUUGUGUGACAUAUUGGAGUAAAAUUGACAUCCUUCACACUUGUCAACUAUCUCUUUCGCCAUCUCAUUUGCUCUGGGCCAAUAGAAACCAGCUCGGUAUGCUUUAGCCACGAUGGUCCGAGAAGACGCAUGAUGGCCGCAGGUCCCCGAGUGGAUGUCGUUGAGAAUCAUUCGACCUUCUUCUGGUGUUAUGCAUUUCUGGCUGACUCCAGUCACACUUUCUCUGUAUAACUGUCCCCUCAUGACGGUGAAGGCUUUGGAUCGGCGGACGAUCUCCCGAGCCUCUUCUUCAUUCUCGGGGAGCUCUUUUCUCAGAAUAUAGGCGAUAUAGGGCACUGUCCAAUCGGGAGUGAUGACCAGAACUUCCAUGACCAAGUCGACCACAGCUGGGACCUCGACUUCAGUCGGAUCUGUGGCGCUUUUUGGCUGCGGGACUUCCUCAGUGAAAGGAUCUUCUUGAACCGACGGCGUGUGAACAUGCUCCAAAAACACACCACUCGGAAUGGCUUCCCUCUUGGAACCUAUCUUCGCCAAGUCAUCGGCUGCUUGAUUUUUCAGUCGGGGAACAUGAUGGAGCUCUAAUCCCUCAAAUUUCUUCUCCGGCUUUCUGACUGCAUUGCAGUAUCCAGUCAUGGCUGGGCUUCUGACGUCCCACUCCUUCAUCACUUGGUUGACUACUAAGUCCGAGUCACCGUAGACCAUGAGGCGACGGACGCCGAGUGAAAUGGCCAUACGCAACCCGUACAAGAGUGCUUCGUAUUCUGCUUCAUUGUUGGAGGAAUCAAAGUGAAUCUGGAGUACAUAUCUGAGCUUAUCUCCUCGGGGGGAAACCAAGACCACUCCGGCACCGGAACCAUUCAGAAUUUUGGAGCCAUCGAAGAACAUAGUCCAGUGCUCCGAGUGAACUUGGGUUGGUAACUGCUGUUCAGUCCACUCGGCGAGGAAGUCUGCUAUUGCUUGGGACUUGAUGGCUUUCUUUGUCUCUGUUGUGCAGAAUCUCUGAUAAGGGGGCGUCGGUGACGACUGUGAUAAUAUGGUCAGAGAAGUAGUGAGCAACUUUCUUCGUGGUCAUAUAAAUCCCGUAUACAAGCUUCUGAUAAUGAGGGUAUCGUUGCUUGGAUGGGGUCAGGACUUCGGAAAUGUAAUACACUUGGCGCUGAACUUUGAAGGCUUUUCCUUCCUCUUCCCGCUCGACCGUAAGUACAGUACUGACGACUUGUCCUAUGGCUGCAAUGUAAAGUAGCAAAGGCUCUUUGAUGAUUGGGGCAGCAAGCACCGGCUGGGUGGAAAGCAGGGUUUUAACUCUGCAAACGCUGCAUCAGCUUCUGGAGUCCACUCGAACUUGUCUGACUUCUUCAUCAGACGGUAAAGAGGCAAUGCCUUUUCACCGAGGCGAGAGAUGAAUCGACUUAAUGCGGCCAAGCAUCCAGUAAGUUUCUAGACAUCGUGCACACGCACGGGGCGUUUCAUUCGGAGUAUAGUGCCAACUUUUUCUGGUUUAGCAUCGAUUCCCCGUUCGGAAACGAGAAAACCGAGUAACUUUCCACCAGGAACUCCGAAUGUGCAUUUUGAUGGAUUAAACUUGAUAUCAUACCUCUAGAGGUUGGCAAAUGUUUCAGCUAGGUCAGUCAGCAGGUCGGAACCUUUCCGUGACUUGACCACAAUGUCAUCCAUGUAUGCUUCCACAUUCCGACUGAUUUGAGUGAGCAAACACUUCUGAAUCAUCCUCAUGAACGUGGCUCCGGCAUUCUUGAGGCCGAAUGGCAUGGUGACAUAACAGAAGCACCCGAAUGGGGUGAUGAAAGCCGUUUUGAUCUCAUCGGGUCCAAACAGACGGAUCUGAUGGUACCCGGAAUAAGCGUCCAAGAAAGAAAGUCGCUCGCAUCCCGCAAUCGAGUCGACUAUCUGGUCGAUGCGGGGAAGAGGAAAAUGAUCUUUCGGGCAGACCCGAUUGAUAUGCUUGAAAUCGAUGCACAUGCGAAGAGAAUUGUCUUUUUUGGGGACCAUGACGACAUUGGCGAGCCACUCGGAGAGGUAAAUCUCUUGGAUAAACUCCGCUGCUAGGAGCCGAGCCACUUCUUCGCCAAUGGCCUUUCUUUUCUGGACGGCCGACCAUCGCAGAUGUUCCUUCACAGGUUUUGCCUUCGAGUCGACAAGUAGACGAUGCUCAACCAGUCCCCUGGGUACACCCGGCAUGUCAGAAGGUUUCCAUGCGAAGAUGUCCCAGUUCUCAGGAGGAACUGGAUGAGCGCUUCUUCCUAUUUAGGGUCGAGUGUUGUGGAGAUAUGAGUCGGAGCAGCGUUUGGGUCGGUCGGGUGGAUGUGAACGGGUUUUGUCUCACCGGACGACUGAAACGCUAAUUCCAUGGCAGGCUUCUUGGCUCGCAACAAAUCACUCGGGUCUGCGUUCCUUUGGUGUUCUUGCCACUCUUCUGCCACCAUCUGAGCAUCGGCAAUUUUCGAGCCCUUCUGGAAGCACUCUUCCGCCUUCUUGUGGUUACCAGUGACAGUGAUCACGCCUUUAGGGCCUGGCAUCUUUAGUUUGAGAUACACGUAACAUGGUCGAGCCAUAAAAUGUGCAUAAGCUGGCCUGCCCAAAAUUGCAUGAUAGGCACUCUGGAAAUCCACAACCUCAAAUGUCAGCUUUUCUUUGCGGAAACUCUUUGAAUCACCAAAAACUACGUCAAGAGAAAUCUGGCCGAGUGAUGCGGCCUUCUUGCGAGGGAUGACUCCAUAAAAACUCAUGUUGCUUGUGCUCAGCCUGGACAUCGGAAUGCCCAUCCCUUUUAGCGUCUCAGCAUAUAGUAUAUUCAAACUGCUGCCGCCAUCCAUCAACACUUUGGUCAGUCGAGUGCCCUCAACGACCGGGUCGACCACCAACGCUUGCCUCCCAGGGGUGGCUAUGUGUGUGGGGUGAUCAGAUUGGUCGAACGUAAUGGCGGUCUGAGACCACUUCAGGUAAUUGGGUGUUGACGGAGCAGCCAUGUUCACCUCUCAGUUUAUAACUUUCAGUCGGUUUUUGCUUUCAACAUCGGCAAAAAUCAUCAAGGUGGAAUUGACCUGCGGAUAUUCUCCGUCACUAUCCUCCUUGUCCUCAACUUUGUCUGACUCUUUUCCUUUGUCCUUGGACUGCUUUCCUUGGAACUGCUGUAUCAGGAGUCGACAUUGUCGAGUGGUAUGCUUCGGGUAGAUGAAAUUACCCUCUUCGUCCUUCUUGGUGUGGAUGUGACAUGGCAAAUCCAACACGUCAUUUCCUUCUUUAUGUUUUACUUUCUUGGGGUUCCAAGGCCCCUUGGGUUUCCCUUUGAAUUUUCCUUGGUUCAGGGCUAAGGCUUCUUCAGGUGCAGCUGGCUCAGCUUUGCGCUUUUGUUUUCGACUGGAAUUUCCACCUCCGGUGUCUUGGGCGACUGACUUAUGUUUGCCACUCCGGAGCCGAUCCUCUUCCUCACCAUUGGCAGAUUUGGUGGCUAUUUCCAUCAUUCGACUCAGAGACAUGUCUCCUGUUCGACCGAAUUUCAGGCUUAGCUCUCUAUACUUUACACCCUCCUUGAAGGCGCAGACCGCCUGGUGGUCGGAUACAUUUUCUACUGUAUGAUGCAGUGUGAUCCACCUCUGGAUGUAAUCUCUCAGAGUCUCAUUCGACUUCUGCACACAAGACUGCAGCUUUGUCAGUCCUGCUGGCCGCUUGCAUGUUCCUUCGAAUGUCCUGACAAACACUCGGGAGAGGUCCUCCCACGUGUAGAUGCUGCUGGGUGUCAACUGAUUCAGCCAUGCCCUGGCUGACCCUUCCAACAUGAGAGGCAAAUGUUUCAUGGCCACCUCGUCAUUUCCACCGCCGAUCUGAACAGCCACUCGGUAGUCCUCAAGCCAAGUGUCGGGCUUGAACUCACCGUUGAACUUGCUGACCCCAGUCGCCAACCUGAAGUUGGGAGGAAUCACCGCGGCUCUGAUGGCUCUGCUGAACCACUCUGGUCCGGAGAUGUGCACUCGGCUGCUGGUGGGUACAUCUCUGUCAUUACCCUCUCCAUGGGCUCUGUUCCGGUCGACCAGGCCUUGAACGAUGAUGGAUCUUGCAUCAAAGCCUGGUUCUCUGGGGUCGACUGGAAUUCUUCGCCCGCCACUGUACUGGCGUCUGUCGUCCUGCUAUCGAGGCAUAUAUGAUCCACCCCUCCGGGGAGGAGUGGGCGCUCGACGUCGAUCGUUGCGAUCGACUCGGUGAUCAUCAUGCUCAUAGUUCCUGUACUGAUCGUGUCGGUCACCACGCCCUUCACGCCUCGGGGGCGAUUUGGGGCUAUGCGCUGACUGGACAGUAUUCGCUGCCACGGGCCUGCUAUGAAUCCUGUUCCGCGACUGCGACAUAGCUGAAUUCUGAUCUCCAGCUGCCGGGAGCAAAUCCCUGAUCUGCAUCAAUCCUCUGCCAGCCUCUGACUGGGAAGGCUGGAUCGACUCUGCUAUACGUGUUGCAGCUGCUAAAUUAUGGAUUGGAGUGCGGUAUACCUGAGUCGGAGGUUUAAAGAGUUGGCGUCGACUGGAGUCUGGAACCCGUUGCCGCGCGCGCUCGUCGAAUGCCUGCUGAAGGUUCUCCAGUCGAGUGCGCUCAGCCAGGUUGGCCAAGCGCGCGUCCUCUAAGGCGCGAGCCUCAGGGGUUUCCCCAACGAUCGGAGUAUGAAGUGCAUCCAUGUUCCGGCGGCGAAGCUCUUCCCUCUGCUGUGAGUCGAGGGGCUCGGGGCGGUACUCCUCAUGGUCGUGCGACGGGUCGCCUCCGCCGUUGCCUCCCUUGGUGCCAGGAAAGCCGGGGGGAACGUGCGGUCCAUUGACCAUCAGGACCUCCGUCGCCGGAUCACUGCUGUCGCAUUCGGAUGCAGUCUCUGCGGAGCCAGUCGACAGGUCGAACGGGCCGUAGAGAGAUUCGUCGGGCUCGAUUGCCGCGACUUGGGCAGUGGUCGACUGGCGAGCCACUGCGUGCCUCACCCACCGCUGAAGCCUCGACCGACCGGAGCACUUACGCCGGCGGGAAGCUGAGAGGGAGGAUGACACGAAAACCGGCCGAUAGUGAGUCGACGGUUGCCGCAGAAGGACGCCGCGGAUGCACGCUCGAAAAUGUGUAGCUCCGCGGACCGGGAGCGCAUCCACGUCGAGCGGGGCCUCCUGCAGCCAGGCAGAGUCGUCGGUGAUGAAUGUGAGCGCGCCGAGACGGAUCUCGCGGCCCUCAACCAAAACUCCAACUGAAACCAUGAUGAUGGGAAUUUGAAAAGAUUGCAACUUCUCCAACAAAUCGCUAAGACACCUGCCGCACGGUGGGCGCUAAUUGUCGUGGUUCUAAGUCUGACAGUAGAAUGGGGGGUAGGUAUGGAGAGGCAAGAUCCUAGCUAUGGAGCAGUUGUACACACGAGUGUUUUACGAGUUCAGGACCUUCUCGGAAGAAGUAACAGCCCUACGUCUCGGAGCCCGGAGGCGGUCGACUGGAUUAUGUGUGUGAAAGGUACAGGGGUGCGAACCCUUCUAUCAGUGGAGGGGGGUGGCUUAUAUAGUGGACACCAGGACCCCAGCCAGCCCACGUAGCAGAGGGUUAAAGUACAUUAAGGUCUGGCGUUACUGGUAACGCCCUACAUAAAGUGUCAUCAUGGCCAUUAACACUACUUAAUUACAGACCGUUUGGAUACAGAGUAGAUCUUGAACUCCUGGUGGUCGAGUGAGUCUUCAUGGUCGAGUGUCUUCAGGUUCGUCGAGUGUCUUCUAGCCGGUCGAGUGGAAUCCCUCUUGGUUGACUGGAAGACGGCUUCUUCUAAGAGAUGUCCUUGGGGAGGGUACCUUGGACAGGUCCGUAACCCUAUCCUAGGUACAUGACUUCAUCACACUCUGAUCAAAGAUAUUUACCAAAGUCAAGAGGUCAAUGAAAUGUUUGGUAAACAUGCUUUUGUCACAGUCUUGCGACCUUUCAAGCUUGAGGAGCUCCUGAGGAGCUUAAUAUACCAGUUAGAAGCAAAGAAGAGCGCCAUGGACUUUGCGUUUGGUACCAAAGAAGAUAUUGGUUCGAUGGGGGUUAAAGAGUUGACAGAAGUGUUAUGUAAACGUUCACAAGGAAAAAAUGUCUGAUUGUUCUCGAUGACCUAUCAUCCACCACUGAAUGGGAUAAAAUAAUGCUGAGUUUACUUGCAAUGAAGAAUCCAAGCUUGGUUAUUGUGAUCACAACAAGGCAAGAGGAUAUUGCUAAACAUCGUUGCAAGAAACCAGAGUACAUGGAACAAAAGGAGUGCAUACACUUUCUUAGUGUUCUACAAGACAAGGAUGCAUGUGAUCUCUUCACAAAAAAGGUAUUAGAGUUGUUACUUGUAUUUCUUUAGGAUGGGUCAUGUCAGAUUAGUGUAGUGUAGCUCCGCUGGACCACGAUUUGGAGGAGAUACUUCCAAAUGGUUGCAAAACGUAAGAUGCAGCCACCACCAUGACCGAUGUCAUAGGGUCAUCAUGUUGGAAUGUUGUACUUUCAGUAAUUAAACAAAAACACUGAUUAUGUUAACCAUUGUCUAGUUAGGCCAGGUUAGGUUAGUAGCAGACCGACAAUAAUUACGGCUCCACCACUGCUCUUAUAUCAAAAUUAUACUUGAGGCAAUGGUUAAAACAAUGUCAUGUAAUUAGAACGAGUUUCAUUUCUUUGAAUUUUCCAAUUUGUUCAAAACAGUAUUUUUUUUCUUCCGAUAGUUUAAUAUGAACACAUUACUGUAAUAGUAUAUUCUUUGUUUUCCAUUUUAUAACUUAGUGAUAUCACAUAUUUCAAGCUCUGAAUAUAUAUUUAAUAAAUGUGUCCAUGUGAAUUUUAUUACAAAAAUAUGUUAAGGGAUGUGCACAAUAAGUUAACACUUAACUUAUAUAUUGGUUUAUUUUAUAGUAAUCAAUAUAGUGUGAUCUUAUUUGUCUUACAUACAAAAUUACUCCCUCUGUAAACAAAUAUAAGAGCGUUUAGAUCACUGCUUUAAUGAUCUAAAUGCUCUUAUAUUUCUUUAUGGAGGGAGUACAUGUAUGGAACUAUGUUCGGCCACAUUGUAUGUUUACUCACCACCAAACUUAACUGAGACAAACUAGUUAAUAAACAAAGUAGAAAGAUUUUUUUUCUCGCACCUAAUUCAUUUGAUUGUAGUGUAGUAAAAAUACUAAUUAUAUUUCCCACCAUUGCAGGUAUUUAAGAAUAAAAUCACAGAUUUGGCUAAGCAUUAUCCUGAAUUGGUUGAACCAGCAAAACUAAUCCUAAAGAAGUGUAAUGAACUUCCUCUUGCCAUAGUCACCAUAGGUGGUUUCUUGGCAGACCAACCAACGAAAACUGCGGCAGAGUGGAGAAAAUGUUCGUUCCAGCAAAAGAGUUUGCUACUUGUAGCAAGAAAAUAAAAAAGAACAAAAAUCAUGGCAGCCAUGUCGUUCGCCGCCGAGCACAUCAUCUGCCCGUUGCAACAGAAAAGCAAGCAGUUCCUGCAAAAAUCAAACAUGCUUCCAGCAAAAAAACAAAAUCAAAAAUAACAACUUAUUCUCAGCCACCGCCACCACCGCUGGCAACCACCACCAUCGCUGGCUGAAGCAAAAUACCCCUGGUCGGGUUUCAGCACCACACAUGUAAAUGCCUAAAUUCAAAUUUGCGGUCUGCUGGCGGGGCCGUGUCAUGUGGUCUGAUUAUCAAAGUGAACUCCCAGCAUAUGUGGACCGAACUUCUGCAUCUAGUCAAGGACCCGAGAAACAAUCAUCUCUUUUGAUUCAGAACAUGAGAUGAAAUUACUUGUCGUACAGAUGGAUAUAUGUAGAUGUAUUGUGGUUCUAGAUACAUCCAUUUUUAUCCAUUUCUGCGACAAGUAAUUCGGGACGGAGGGAGUAUAUAGACAACAGAAAGACAUGAUUUAUCUCGUGACUUUUGGUUUUCGAUAUGACAGAGAAAACACUAGUCUUUGCCGACACCAUAAUCAUGACCACGCGAGAAUAAGGUUCGGAAGUGAAACCAAACCUAUUGACAUCACAAGAAAAAAAUGUGUUAAACAAUUUCCCUCCCUUCAAAUAUAAGUGCCGCAACAGGUGAGCCAGCACAUGGAUGGCCCGGGCAAUCCCUCAAUAGUAUAUAAUUGUACAAUUUUGGUGUUUAGGUGAAAGAUAACCGGGUAUACGGUAGAAGUAUACCCUAGAAAGAUACUCGGUAAUCAAUCCACACAGUGCCGACCAAUUUCAACCUCUAGCUUGCUUGUUGCUAGCAACCUGCACCGUUUUGAUAACUCGACGCUGCAAUGGCGGAGCACCAGUUCUUCCAGGGAAGGUGGGAGACCCUCCUUCAGAAGCCCUGAGAUGUGGUUACAACUUCAGAUCUUCAACCUCUUGAGGGAAAGGAAGUCACGCAGCCCCACAGGAAGAUCUACGAGAUGCCUACAAUACUCAAACUGGAGCUCGAACUGAGCUUCAGAAUGCAUCAUCUAGAUAUCCUGAUGACGAAGCCUCGAAAGCUAGGAGAAGGUAUGAUUACAUCUUUCUUUUCUCUUCUAUCGUUAACCGCUUCAGUUGUGGCCAGUAACGUAAAUCUAGUUCUUUUUGGGUUGGCAAAUGUCGCAGUAUCAGAGAUAACUACUUCCCCGUUAUUCUAUAUCCUCUAAUAUCAAGACUUUUAAGAGCUGGGAGAGCAGCAUCAUUUGUAGUUAUCAUGUCUUCGUAGGUCUGCUCUGGCACAUCAUCUGAAGAGAAAAGUUUCAUAUAGUUCACAAUUUUCAAACUCUUUAAAGAGAUGAGCUGACUUAAACCUUCGAAGGAAAUAGAUAUUAGGUUUUAACACUCCCCUAUUUCCAAGUAUUUGAUAUCCUUAAGAUUAUGAAAUGCCAAAAUUUUCUCAUUGAGUGCCAUCAUCUCACUAGAAGGCUCACACAAAAGCCUACUUUUACUAAUUUUAAUUAUUUCUAUGGAACAUCCCUCCAUUGCCAUAAUUGUUGAAACUCAGCGGAUUAAUAGUUCAGAAAAUAUGACUUAAGGCGGAAGGGCGAUAUAUACUUGAAAAUAAGGACAACCACACAUGACGAGUUUCUUUAGAGUCUGGGUGACCAUGCCUUAUGCACAAUUUCGUAGUGAUGACCUUUCCGAAACAGAUCAAACACGUAAGUGUAGGACAACUCUGGAUCCCCAUCACCCUUAAACUAUAGACUUCUUAUCCCCCACAGAAUUACACGAAUAAAUCUAGCAUUCCAUCUAAACCAGCUCCUCCAAUGAUGAUAUCAAUACUUCCAUUACUCUUCGCAGGUUGCUCAACUUCAACUUUUUAAGAAAUCGAAGCAUUUCCAGAUAUUGAAGUAUUCUUCACUCUACGCAAUCCUAUAGAUGAAGCAUAUGUAAUGACUCAAAGAAAGCAACAUCCAAUACAUGAAGAUGGAAACUUGCUCAAAACAUGAGGCAAAUCCUUGUGCUCACUUUUCUUAAUUUCCACUAAACCAUUCCGCAAACCUAUUAAUUUCUCUUGCAAUCUUCCUAUCUAAUCAUAAGUCCGUGAUAAAUGGGACCGAUACAUGUGUUGGCACCGUAUAUACAAUGACGAAACAAAUAUUAGGCUCGAAGUGAGUUAAACCAUAUAACAUUGUACUAAACUUUCAUACUUACUUAAAUUUAUUAUGUUAAUCUAUAAAUUUAACUAUUAUAUCUUUUUAUAUAGAAACAAUUAAUCUUAACAUUCUUUCAUAUAAAUUUCUAGCAUCUAUCAUUGGAAGAUACACCACACGCAUACCAUACUAAAUGUAAACCAUAUCACGUAGCCACAAUUGUUUCUCUAUUUUCAAAUAAUAUAUCUUAAAAAUAUAUGUUGGAACCCCUUAAACCUUCAAAAUUAAAAAUAAUGGACUAUCAUAGCACCACCGAUUAUUAUAUCAAACUCGCGUCUAAUUAUAGUGUAUGUAUGUGUAUCAUGGCGCGUAUAAAUUAAUUCUUAAAUAUCUCGACGCAGAUACAUAAAGCAUACAAUUUUACAUAUAUCCCAAGAUGGUUUCUGGUGUAAUAGUCACACACAAAUAGAAUAUAGUAUAUAAUGUUUUUUAUGAGGAGACUACCACCUAAUAGCUGGCAUGAUGCUUUAACUGUGAUCAAAUGGUUUCAAUGGUAAUUUCAAAUUAUACACGAAUCACUCANNNNNNNNNNNNNNNNNNNNNNNNNNNNNNNNNNNNNNNNNNNNNNNNNNNNNNNNNNNNNNNNNNNNNNNNNNNNNNNNNNNNNNNNNNNNNNNNNNNNNNNNNNNNNNNNNNNNNNNNNNNNNNNNNNNNNNNNNNNNNNNNNNNNNNNNNNNNNNNNNNNNNNNNNNNNNNNNNNNNNNNNNNNNNNNNNNNNNNNNNNNNNNNNNNNNNACGAAAAACCAACCUCAGAAGAGAAACUUUACAGUGGGUUGCAAAAGCACAAGAUUAGGCCACCAUGACUCAUGUUGUACACUCAUCACUCAUGAAUAGUAUAGUUUCAACUGUUAGCAAUUAGACCAAAAAACUGUACAUCACACAUUGCACGGGUUAUUAGCCUCAAGCCAACAAUAUUACAUGAACUCACCGCUUAUCAAAUUAUACAUGACUCAUUUUUUUUGGAGCAACUGGCAGGAGCUCUGUAUUUUUGGGUAGACGUUCACAAGGAAAGAGUUGCUUCAUCUCAACACACUCCUAGAGCACAAACACAUUCUGUCAAACCCAACUUGACCAGGGUUAUGGCCUCCUAAGGCGACACCUCCAUAAGCAACGGGAAAGGUCACUGCCGCCCAUUCGAACAAGGGCCGUAAACUUGGGCUUUUGCACGGAUGAUCUGGAAAACGUUGUUGGCUGGAGAUGAGACGGAGCAUCCAUGACGCCUCCAAGGAGGAGAACAAAGUCUGCGGGCACUGUCAUUCUGUGCCAACCAAAGCCGAGCUGAGUUUUCACCUGGAGCUCUGGUGUUCCCACAACAGUUGCCUACCAACGCUAUUCCCAUUCACCACUUACAAGUUCCAACGCAUUACCACUCGGUGCCCUGCCGCCCACGUCCACACGACCAGCGACCGGAACUGCAACGGUCUCAUCCUAGAACCGCCGCUCCUGCUUCCAUGUGUGCAGCAAACAAGCCCCCAAUUAAGCAAGCUGAGGCAGACGCAGCCAAAUCUGGAGCCGUUGCUCCAGAAUAGAGCCGCGUGAUGCAGCACUGUUGCUACCACCCGUCGACUUGGAUGGCACAUUUUUUUGUCAGACUCUGGUGAAUCAUUUCUUUUCCGAUUCAUGUUUUGUGAUGAUUUUUUUGUCUCACAUUUUCAAUUCCUUUUACACUAGACGAAAACUGUGAUAGAUCCAUCGCGUUCUCAAGCUCUUUGUUUUUGAAAAUCUUUCACUUAAAAUUGUUUGGUUGGUGUAAAGACCAAUUUAUUAGCAUGGGGAUUGUGAGAAACAACUGCAUCCUAAUUAUUUUUGGUCAAUCUUCUUAUUUCUUUUAGUUGAGGCUCCAUUAUCACAUUCGUAGUUUGGUAGAUCAUACUCAUUUUUUGGUUGAGAUUAAUCUGUCUGCUGCAGUGUCUUUACCUCCUUGAAGGCAUCAACGUGGAGAAGCUCCAGACCUCUGUCCGCUACCUCCGCUGGAAAACCUAGAUCAGUAGAUCGAAUGAGGCAGCGCUCUGGUAUCGUUUCCCCCUUGGGUGCGUCAUUCUUGAAGAUGUACACGGGCUCGAGGGACCAGUGGAUGGCUUCUUUGGUGGAGCGGUGCUUUAUCUUACUCGUUGAUGGCGGCGAUCUCGGCGGCUGGCGCAGGGGAGACUCGGCGUCCUAUGCGCGGAGAUGGACUCGCAUAGGAGGAGGACGCUAUCUGGUGCCAUGGUGGCAACGAUGGCGAAGAGGCCUAGCAAGGUCUUUAGUUUCUGCUCUGAAGAUGGAUUGGUCGAAGACGGCGGCGAUGACACAUGAGAGUGCGUCGGACCAGUUUGUACCCCAAACCCAGUAUGUGGCUCGAUUGGUGCCUCCCGCUUUAUAUGUUAGGCUUUGGUGCGAAGUCUGUUUGGUAUUAGGCUCGGACUAUCGGCACCCCUUCAUCAAAUGGAUAGGAGUAGCGACAUUUGUUGCUAAGAUGGUGGCUUCAGACUACCUGAUGUACUAUUUUGUAAUGCCCUCGUGAGCAAUUAAUAAAAUGGCUACAUGCAUCACCCAGAUGCAGAGGCCGGGGGUAAUCCUCCUUUUUUUUAAAUAACUUAAUGUGGUUCAUCUUGAGACUUGAGUGGUACUUUGGAAAUGUUAACAAUUCUAGAGUUUUAGAAGAAAUAUUUAAUCGUGAACUUACAUUUCACGAUAAAAGGGUUUUCUCUACUUUAUAUUAUAAAAUAACCAUCCGAUACAUUUAGCUCGCUGGGUCCGCAGCACAAACAAUCCCAAAAGGAAAAACAAGAGAAAGGAAAGAGAAACAAAUGCCGCCACCGACAGAUCAACGAAGCGAAAAAGACCGACUAUAUAUUUAUUAUGUGUGUUGAAAAAUAUAUGUUUAGAAACCUACAUCCGCUAAGAAUCCGAUGACAUGCUUUUGGUGAUAUAUAACUCAUAUUUAGUUAGUCAAAUGAAUGACGUAGAACUAUGUGCACACUCUCUAAACCGAGACUGAGGGAGUAGUGUAUGGCAGAAAAUGAGAAUAAAAUGGUCCCACCAGCACGCAUCUUGGCGCGCGCAAUGAAUGGCGGAUUUGUUGCGGCAAGGUAGCAUCACGGCGCAAAAUGACUUUCCGCUGAUCCUUGGCCGCUCUCGAUGAUCCUUGGCCGCUCUCGAUGUUGACACCGUGGAGUUGGUCUUCUGGUUUGACUCAUUUCUUCUCCUUUGCCUUGUAGUCGCCGCAGUCUGGCUCCAACUUGGUGCACGCCUUGGUCGUGAAGGGCACGCUCGCAUGUCUUUGUCUUUCGGGUGGACGUAUCGAUCGUGUGGAAAAUCUGUAGAAUUUUUUGUGAGUAGACCCGUCAAUUGGCAGGAGUCAGGGUGGCCCGUGGAUUAAUUGGAUGGUUCUCGGUAGUUCCCUGCACUGCACACGGCCACAGGCAUAAACGUAUCCUUCUCCUUGGCCACAAAACCAGACGUACCCUUGACCAUUGAAAAUUUGCAAGGCGUAGUGUUGCCAAACGGCUACUAUCAUAUCAGCUGGCCGACAAGCUGACGACCCGCGGGUCAUGCACGUCGUAAGUACUGGUGUGGUAACUGACCUGGCGAUGAUCGUAAUAUCCGAUGGGGCAUCCAGCUUUUUAAUACGCCAUGCAUGCGUACAUAGGCAGCAUGCAUACACUCUCACUAGUACUAUUAUUGAUCCUAUCGCCACCAUGACACGAAACCAACCACCAACACCUAGAACAAACUUGCCCGCCGCCGGAGCCACAAUGAUCGCCUUGUCCUUUUGGUUGGCGUGCUUGGCGGCAGCUCUACAGCCAACGUCGGCUGCCGACGCCGGAAGGGGCGGGAUCUUGCAUACCCCUUCUGCCGCCGAGCUGCAUCAGGCUCGUUGCCCUUCCAGAUGCGGGGAUGUAGACAUUCACUAUCCGUUCGGGAUAGGGCCGGGCUGCUUCCGGCAAGGCUUCGAGCUCACCUGCGACAACACCACUAGUUCUUCGAGGCUCUUUCUAGACAACAGUACCACUGAGGUCCUUGAGUUGUCUCCCGGAGAAAAUUUGCUUGGAGUCUCUCCUAUCCACUUCAACGUCACCAUGAAACCAGGUAUGAACGACACCUAUAACAUGUCAUGGGAGGCCCCUGUUAAAGGUCUUAUGGCCUAUAAAGAAACAGGCUUGUUCGUUGUUGGCUGUGGUGUGGGUGUCUACUUGUUCGGCCAUGAUACCAACAAGCCCAUAGGUUCUUGCACGAGUAUUUGCCUAGACAACAAAGAGGCCAUGAGGGAGGCAAAUGCAAAUCAGUACUCUGGCGAUGUUGGGAUGGGAUACUGUUCCAUCCGUAUGCAGCAGGAAGUGCGAGCCUUUGGGUUCAUAGUUGGCCGCCUUAAUGGUGGCCUCUCAGCUCUAUCAAGUCAAGGUCAGGGGCUCUCUAAUAGUAGUAUCAAAGUUUUCUUGGCGGAAAAUUACAAUUUUCAUACGGUUGACAUCUAUUCAAGUAUGAUAGACGAACAGAAUGUUGACGGGCCAUAUUUUAGAAUGGCCAUCACGGAUCAACCAAACUGUGAAAGUGCCCAGAAGAACAAGUCAAGCUAUGCUUGUAGCGAUAACAGUGAUUGCCAGGAUCAGACAUCUGGAGGCUACUCCUGUCGCUGCCGCAGUUACGCAGAUGACGAGAAUCCGUACAUUAUGGACGGCUGUCAAGGUCAGGAAUUUACUCAUUACUUAGGAUUAUACAUAAAAAUAUUCAACUCGCAUGUCAUGAAUAUUGGAUUCAAAUAUGCAUGAUUGAAUAUUAUGGGAAUUUUUGCACCAAUGAUAUUAAUAUAACUUUGCUUCUCUGUUUAACACUCGGUGUCAUUUUUUAUUGGGAAAAAAUCAUUAUGCAUCCUAGGUAAAAUAUAUAGCUACUAGUGCUAAGAAAAGGCACUAAUUGUAUUCUCGCCCAAGACUCAAAAUUGCUUGUCAUAGAAGUUUGAAAAUCAGCACGCACCUUUUUGUAGAAUAUUUGACACAUUUGGAUGCUAUAAUAAAAGCAUAUCUCUAGUCCAGAUAGGAUGGCCAUUAAUUCCCAUGAUCCUAAUGUAACUUCUCAUGGGUCGAUAUCCCAGUGUAACUUCUUCCUAUGUCAAUCCAUUUGCAGCAAGUUACACUCCCAAUCCUAAAGAAGGUUGCAAGAGAUUAUGCGGGAACACAAACAUUCCCUUUCCUUUUGGGCUUGGAAAAGAUUGCUAUGCUGCCGAAAAGUUCCGGCUUAACUGUACAUCAGAAAAUAUUACAAUUCUUGAUCAAGGUGCCAAAUACAUUGUGGGCAACAUUUUAGUGAAUCAAGGAUAUCUUACUGUUAGAGAAAUACAAAACAACUCAAGGUACAACGAUGAAGAUCUUGCGGUAGUAAGUUAUACAACCGAUGGGAGCAUGGAAAUAGAAGACAUCAUCGAUCAAUAUGGUUUUUAUUUAUCUGAUGAAUACGACAUGAAGAUGUGGUGGUCUGUCGAUAAUUUAACCUGCCCGAUUGAUAUGAGCAAGCAAAGAAGUGCUACGUACGCAUGUCGUAGUGUCAAUAGCGCUUGCAUUCCUGUCUCCCGUCACCAUGGGAAUGUGAUGAUGCAGCUCGGCUAUCGUUGCCAGUGCUCUCCCAAUUACGAGGGAAAUCCAUACACACCGGAUGGCUGCACAGGUAAAUGCGCUCCAACUUCCAUUACAAAUUUCCAUCCAACCGCAUGCAUGAUUUUCCUAGUACAUGAAAUGAUUGACUAGAAUUCUGAUAAUGAUACAUCUAGCAGGAUUCAUGUGUUGCAAUUCUUCUAUCUCUUGAUCUAAAGAGUUGGUUUCCUCUUUUUUUUAGCGGAGUUACGCUAACUAGGUCGAUAUCCAAGUCAUACUACUCAUACUACAUGGUUCAGUUUAGUUGUGUGCAUCAUAUGAUGUAGAGACCAGGAGGGUGAUAAUUUUAUUACUUAAAAAAAGGUACAUUACGCUAAAUGGCUAGGCGCACACCAGUAAUAGAGUUUGGCUAAUUCAUGAAAAUGCCAAAAUAGGGCUUGAUCCCUACUUGAGCUUUGUUGCUUGAGCUAAGGCUGGAUACCACCAUCAUGUAUACGUUUAAUCUUAUACAACCAUUUUUCUUUUGUCUUUUAGAAUAAGUUCAGACAAACUUCCGAAACAUUAGUGGCAAUGGCAUACACAUAAGCAUGUAAAUUCGCCUCAUGGAAAUGAAAAAAAUGUUAUUAACAUAUAUAAGCAUGUAAUAUUAGUUUUCUAUACAAUUUGGUUGUUUACUAAGAUGUACCUAGAAACAGUAAUGGCCAAUGCAACAUUUUGGAGAGCACGUUGAUGUAUAGAGGUAACUUCAAUGUGUGUUGGAUGAAUGGUAGGCCAAGGGUGACCUAGCUUUGGUUCCACAUUUACUACUAAUUGUUUUCAGGCAUCAUUCAUUGCUCACAUGCCUACCAAUUACAGAUGUCAACGAGUGUUUGUUGAUGAAUACUUGCAAUGGCACAUGCCAAAAUUAUCCUGGGGGCUAUAGUUGCAAAACCUGCACUCAUGGAAAAGAGUUUGAUACAAUAAAACGGAGAUGUGUCACAUCAGCAAAGAGACACAGCCUUCUCUUAGGUAAGUCAUAUCGAAAUUACUUACCUCAAUAGAAUUGCAACUUGAAAAUUAAGGACAUGUUUUAACAACUACUACUAGAUGUACAGGUAUUGGAAUUGGAAUUGGUUGUGGCCUUGGUGCGAUAAUACUUGCGCUAGGUAUAAUGGCAUUCAUCAGCAAGUGGAAGAGAGGCAUACAGAAGAGAAUACGAAGAGCAUACUUCAAGAAAAAUCAAGGGCUACUCUUGGAAUCACUAAUAUUAGACUAAAGUGCCACAGAUAAAACAAAGAUAUUCUCCUUGGAGGAAUUAGAUAAAGCAACAAACAACUUUGAUGUCAGUCGUAUUCUUGGUUGUGGAGGACAUGGCACAGUUUACAAAGGGAUUCUAUCCGAUCAACGUGUAGUGGCCAUAAAAAAGUCUAAGUUGGUGGAGCAAACUGAGAUUGACCAGUUUAUCAACGAGGUUGCCAUCCUAUCACAAAUCAUUCAUCGGAAUGUGGUCAAGUUUUUUGGUUGUUGUCUCGAAACAGAAGUGCCUUUGCUAGUUUAUGAGUUCAUAUCCAAUGGCACACUAUAUGAUCUUCUUCACAUUGAUGUAAGUGUUCAAUGCUUACUUUUAUGGGGUGAUCGCAUUAGGAUUGCUGUAGAAGCUGCAGGUGCUCUUGCUUAUCUCCACUCAGCUGCUGCAAUACCAAUUUUCCAUAGAGAUGUCAAAUCUUCCAAUAUACUCCUAGAUGGCAACUUUACUACCAAGGUUUCCGACUUUGGUGCUUCGAGGUCUUUAUCGCUUGAUCAGACACAUGUAGUGACAAUUGUACAAGGAACUUUUGGUUACUUAGACCCCGAGUACUACCACACUGGGGAGCUAAGUGAGAAGAGUGAUGUUUAUAGCUUUGGAAUUAUACUGGUGGAGCUUCUGAUGAGAAAGAAGCCAAUUUUUAUUAAUGAAGAAGGUAUAAAACAAAGCUUGGCUCAUUACUUUGUGGAAGGACUUCAGCAGGGAGUUCUCAUGGAAAUCAUGGAUCCCCAAGUUGUAGAAGAAGCCAACCAGAAUGAAAUUGAUGAAAUUGCCUCAGUUGCGGAAGCAUGCUUGAAAACCAAAGGAAGAGAAAGACCUACAAUGAAAGAGGUGGAAAUGAAGUUGCAACUCCUAAAAACUAGAAGAUUAUGGAGUCAACUUCCUCCCAUAAAUGAUGGAGAGAUCGAGUCACUUGGGUGCCUAAAUGGCGCUAGCUCUCAUGCACAGAGCAACAACAUUGUCAGUAAUGUUAGCUUAACACCUACAUGCAGCUCCGGAAAGUACAGUCUGGAGCAAGAGUUUUUGAACUCGGCCAGCUUGCCACGCUAGCGAAGAACACAGUGGGAUGAUCAUCUGCUUACUAAGCUUCUGAGGUGCAUCUUUGUCAGUUAUCCUAUAUGUAUUUAUAUAGAAAAAAAUGUAAUGCAUGUAGUUCCUUUUAGUGUGGGAGUAUGCCAUGUAAAUUCCCGCAUUGUGUUUGUAGCUUAUUUUUUGUGUGUAAUUUCAAUUUAGAGGACAAGUCAUUGUGAUUAAGCUAUGGGUUUGUCUAGGUCUUAGUCGACUGAGACUUCGCGAAGUCUCAGUCAAGCAAUGUAGUAUGCAAGAAGAAAAGAAAACUGAAAAAAAAAUUGUUUGCAUAAAUCUCAAUGCAAGAUCAACAGAUUGUAGUAUCGACUGAGACUUCGCGAAGUCUCAGUCGAUUGAUUUUUAGCAAAGCCGUUAAGCUAUGGUGCUGGAUAAAGGUAUUUUACAGUGUUAGCAACUGCUACUCAUGUCUCACCUGUUGGUUUUGUCGACGGAUCAAAUCACCAGGACCUCUGCACACUCACGUACAAAACAACCAAGCAAGCUGCCUAGCAGGUUUAUUGAUAAACAGUGUACGUGUGUAUAGCCACGUACUUCUGUACGUGAGGGUGGCUUGGGCUAGUAACGACGCGAUCGAUCGAUCGAUCUAGGCGGAUUCUCUCGUAACUUGCGAAUGGAAAACUGAUCGAUUUUGAUGGCUAAAGGCCCGUGUCGAGCCUUUGCUUUGUAUUGCUUUUCUCUUUUCUUGUGAUUACAAGGGGUAGGAGUACACGCAUAUAUAUAUAUAUAUAUAUAUAUAUAUAUAUAUAUGCUGAACAUAGCCUAGGAGCAAACCUAGUCGGCUACUACCUGUACCUGGAGUACUACUCGGAUGCUAAUACAAGUACUACUCAGACUCUAUUGCACGAUCGUGUUUAGCUCUCACAUUCACCACCCUAAACACGACGUCCUCGGUGCGACUUGGAUCCCAAAUGCGACUGCUGUUACUCGUAUGCUUUACUCUUGGCAUUUCUUUUGCCGUUCCUCGUAGCAUUUCAGGGACCGUCUUUGGUGUCGUCGGCUUGUCGAAUGCUUGACACCAACACUCCUUCUUGAUCGCAUCUUCAGUCUUCACCUGUUCUUCGGUACUUACUGGACUAUCUUUCAGAUCCUCGAGAGAACAUCUUUUGAACUCGAGCGAGACCAAACUUCGGUCUAACUUUGAGUUCCUAACUCUUGGCACUUGCUUCAGCCGGUAAAGUACCUUCUUAAGCUUGUAAACUUUCCCUUCUUCGCCUUUCUUCUCGUAGCCAAGGGGUUGUUCCACGUACACUUCCUCUGUGAGGUCAUCGUUGAGAAAAGCGGAUUUAACAUCCAUAUGAUGAACCUUCCAAUCCUCUUCUGCUGCCAAAGCUAGGAGCACUCCCACCGUCUCGAUUCGAGCAACCGAUGUAAACACCUCCUCAUAGUCAACUCCUUCACGUUGUACGUACCUUUUGCAACGAGUCUUGCCUUGUACUUCACAAUGGCACCCUUCGUGUCCUUCUUUAACUUGUAAACCCAGUUCAAACAUAUGGCCUUUUGGUUCGGAGAUCGGGUUACCAAAGUCCACGUGCCAUUGCUCCCGAUCGCCUUCAUCUCCUCAUCCAUGGCGUGCAUCCAACUUGAACUUUUGCUCGCCUCUACGAAGUUCGCCGGCUCCUCAACUCCGAGUAAACACAAAUCGGAGUACUUGAGUGUAACUGGUUUUGCGUACUUGUAGACUUUCUUGAGGGGCUUGUAGCGACGAGGCCCGGAAGAAUCCGUUGUGGCUUGCGAAGGGGGCGACAAAAAUUCUGUCGGCGUCGAUGCACUUGAGGAAGACCGUUGAGUCUCGGGCGUGGUAGAUGCCGGAUCGUUGGCAUCCUCGUCGUCGGCGUAGUCGUCAUGACCAUAACCAUCAUCUUGAUUGUCAUCGUCACUAUGCGCCUCGUUGUCGAGAUCUCCGCCCGUGUCAUGUGCGUCGUUGUUGCUAUCAUCUUGCGACCCAUGCGCGUCGUCGUCGGUGUCGGCACCAUGGUGAUCACUGCCGUUGCGGUCACCUUGGUUGGGCGUCUUGCCAACCACCUGGACGUCUUCCCUUGCAUCAUUAUCAGUUGGAAAUUCAAGUGUGAAUAUGUUAUCAUUUGGAGCAUCAUGGGCUGCUGCGCUCCAAUUCCACGCUUGGUUUUCUUCAAACACAACAUCGCAUGAAAUCCGUAGACGCUUGGUUUGUGGAUCGUAGAAGCGGUAUGCCUUGGUGCCGGAACCCCUCUCGUAUCCGAUGAACACCAUCUUGGUGCUGCGAUCAGCAAGCUUUGAGAGAUGCGGCUCCGUCGUCUUCACAUGCGCCACACACCCAAAUGUCCGUAGAUGAGACACAUUCGGCCUCCGUCCAUAAAUUGCUUCAUAUAGAGUCUUGCCGAUCACUGCCUUCGUUGGAGCCCGGUUGAGAAUAUAGACCGCCAUCGAGACAGCUUCUCCCCAAAAAGUCCCCGGCAAGUUCUUGCUCUUGAGUAAACUUCUCGCCAUGUCAACGACGGUUCGAUUGCACCUUUCAACAACCCCGUUCUAUUGUGGCGUAUAAGGUGCCGUGAGGAACCUCUUUAUGCCAAUCUUCUUGCAGUAGUCGUUGAACUCGUUUGACGUAAACUCUCCGCCGCGAUCUAUCCGUAGAGCGCGAACCUUCAGCUUGUGUUCCAUCUCCGUUGCAGCCUUCGGCUUCUUGAAUGCUUCAAACGCCUCAUCUUUAGAUCGUAGGAGAACGACCCACAUAUAUCUCGAGUAGUCAUCUACCACAAGGAAGAAGUACUUCUUUUCUCCGUGAGUUGCUAGGGUGAUAGCGCCACAUAGAUCACCAUGGAGCAGCUCGAGUGCAUCACUUGCACGAUAGGUAGACUGAGCAGGGAACGGCCUGCGGUGCUGUUUUUCAACCAAGCACCCAUCACAUACUCGAUCAACAUGGUCGAUAAACGGCAUCCCAGAUACCAUCUCUAUCUUCGACAUCUUCUUCAAGGCAUAGAAGUUAACGUGUCCAAAUCUAGCAUGCCAUAACCACAAAUCAUCAUCACUCUUGGCGACCCAACACUCCGGUUGAGAUUGAUCAAUGUUGAGAAUAUAGAGCAUGUUCCGCGUGCGUUUCACAUGCGCUAGCACGUUUCGGAGGUUGUCGAAGAUCGUCAUCACUCCGUUCUUGAUAUCCACCUUGCAUCCAUUCUCGUCAAGUUUCCCGACAGAGAUGAUGUUGUUGUGAAGCCAUGUGAUGUAGUACACUCCGGUGAGUAUGCGAUGUUCUCCUGUGAGACCCUCAAAGAGGAUAGAACCUUGCCCACAAAUCUCCACAUUUGAACCAUCACCAAACUUGACCGAGCCUUGAACAUCAUAUUCUAGCUCGAAGAACUUCUCCUUGCACCCCGUCAUGUGGUUACUGGCACCCGUGUCUAGAUACCACGACAUGUUCUGGCUUCCGGAUAACUUUGGUGUUACUUUUUUCUCAUGAAGUAGCACCUUCCGGCUUGGUUUCACAACCACCAUUUGAACGAGAUCACAAACUUCGGCCAUCAGAAGACCUGGACGUUCGUCUUCUUGCUUCGCCAAAUUUGCCUUGAUCUCACGCUUGUUAGACUCCACGAGAUCACAAACUUUGGCCAUCAGAAGACCUGGACAUACGUCUUCCUACUUCGCCAAAUUUGCCUUGAUCUCCCUCUUGUUAGGCUCCGGACAAUCCUUUGCAAAGUGACCCAUCUCGUUGCAGUUAUAGCACUUGACCUCGGACGUAUCCAAGUUUCGUGGCUUCCGCUCUUUAGAUCGGUCCACCUUACCACGACCUUGUGGCUUGCCUUUUCCUUUUCCUUCUUCAUUUUGUCCGCCGCGCUUCGCGUUGCUUGAGCCUUCGCCAACGUUGCGCCUUCCUUUGCUACUUGGGGACUCCCAAUCUGCGCGCGAGUACAUGAGUUGGUCAUCACCUCCUCCUUUGCCUUUCCGACAGCCACGAGCAUUCUCUUCCCAUGUUCGCAGGCGUCCGAUCGCCUCCGUUAUGGUCAUGUCGUCGAUGUCGUAAAGCUGCUCGAGCGUGCCGAUGAUGUACAUGAAUUUAUCAGUCACCGAACUGAAAAACUUCUCCACAAUCUCGGUCUCCUCGAGCUUUGCACCAAGCGUGCGGAUCUCUCCCACCAAGGUAGUCAGACGCAUGGCAUAGUCGUUCACCGAUUCAGUUUUCUCCAUCUGCAACUUGUGAAAUUGGCGCUUCAGCACUUGUGCCCGAGCCUUCGUGACACGAUCUUCUCCGAUCCUCAUCUCUUUGAGUGCGUUCCACGCCUCUCUUGUUGUCUCAAACUCCGCCAAUGUCAUCAGCACGGAAUCCGGCACAGACUGGGCUAUGGCGGCCAUGGCACCUUCGUCGCACUCCUCGUCGACGUCGUCGUCCGUGAUGGCCUCCCACACUCGAAGGGUUCGGAGAAUGAUCUUCAUCGUCAUCGUCCACACGUCGUAGUUGGCGUCGGUGAGCAUCGGGUACUGGAUGGGGAUGUUGCGAUGCGCCAGUACGUUGGCGCCGCCCGUUCCGCCACCACUAGUCGCUGACUUGCCGCCCUUCUUCACCUUGUCGAUGUUCUUGUUCGCCUGGGAACCGCCGUUGCCGGACUUGUUCCCCUUGGAACCACCAUUGCCGGACUUGACUGACUCAGCGUUGCUGUCCGUCAUCGUAGAUCGUCGAGGCUCUAGAUACCAAUUGUUGGUUUUUGAUCGAUGAUCUGAUUAUCACCGGAGAUAGCGCGCAAGAAAUUGAACGUUUCAAGGCGCGGAUGAAGAAGAAGUUUAGCAUGAGCGAUCUGGGAUUACUCAGCUAUUACUUGGGCAUCGAAGUGAAGCAAAGCUCCGGAGAGAUUUCCCUAUGUCAAUCGGCUUAUGCGAUCAAGCUAUUGGACAAGUGUGGCAUGACAGAAUGCUAUGAGACACAAGCUCCAAUGGACCAACGACACAAGUUGAGCAAGCGUAGCUCAAAUCCGCCGGUGGACACCACAAUGUAUCGAAGCGUUGUGGGAAGCCUAAGAUAUUUGGUGCAUAUCCGACCUGACUUGGCUUAUUCAGUCGGGAUCGUGAGUCGUUUCAUGGAGAAUCCGACAACCGAACACACGAGCACGGUCAGGCAAAUCUUGCGGUAUGUGAAAGGCACUAUUAAUCUUGGCUGCACGUACAGAAAGGGAAAGGAAGGAUUGAUCCUUCAUGGAUACUCAGAUAGUGACAUGGCAGGUGAUGUGGAUGACCGAAAAAGCACAACGGGCAUGGUAUUCUACCUUGGCCCAAAUCCUAUCAGCUCAAAUUCUCAGAAGCAAAAGGUGGUUGCGUUGUCUUCAUGCGAGGCAGAAUACAUAGCGGCAAGCACGGCGGCUUGUCAAGUAGUAUGGCUGAGAAGACUCCUAGCUGAUCUUGCAAAGCGGGAGGUGCAGAAGGUGUCAUUGAAGAUUUAACAACCAAGCUGCAAUCUCUUUGUGCAAAAAUCCGGUUCAUCACGAGAGGAGCAAGCACAUAGAUACUCGGUUCCACCAUAUCCGGGAGUGCAUUGAGGAAGGGAUGAUCGAAGUUCAGCACGUGAACACGAAGGACCAGCUUUCCGACAUUCUCACGAAGCCUCUCGGUCGACAGAAGUUCAUCGAGAUGAGGAAGAAUGUGGGAGUACAAGCAAUGGAGACAAAGCAACUAGAUUAAGGAGGUGAAUGUAAGAGUUAACCUAAUUGUAGUCACGUAUUAGUUUCAAGAGUCCUAGUACGAGUUGGUUGUGUUUUUCACGUGAGUAAACCGGACAAGUGCCUGUACCUGGAGUACUACUCGGAUGCUAAUACAAGUACUACUCGGACUCUAUUGCACGAUCGUGUUUAGCUCUCACAUCACCGCUCAUUACCAGUGGCUUAAUUACAGGUUCGAAUAAUACUACCUAGUUUAAUUUAAUACACUUUGCCGAAUGCUGAUGGAGGAAGAUGAUGGCCUCGAUGAGGUUUCCUUGGUCAGAAAUGAGAUGCACAAGUCAGGUUGGGUUCGGCUUGUGAAGGUGCAUAGGAAAGACAAAGAGGGUCGAGCAGUCGCAACUCGAGGAGCAGCAAAGUCAGCCAUGCCGAUGCUAGCAUGCUCCCGGCGUGCUGAAUGCCAGAAAUGGCUCCUGGCAAUGGCACAAGGGCACAUUGCAUUUUGUUGGGGGAGAAGAGGAGAGGGAGACGAGCUUUAGCCAAGGCCUCGACCCUCGAUGAAGAAAAUGAAAGGCGUGUAGGAGGUUCGGCACCACGGAGGUUCGAUCUCGCCUCCUCAACGCAUUUUCCCCUCCGGCCCACACUCCCCUACCCUAUUCACUGCUCUGCAUAUACAUACAGAUUAACAAUUGUCAAUCCUAUCAUCGCUGUAAAGCCCAUCUACUGAUGAGUCACGCUGUCAAUCAAACUAAUACUCGAUGAGCGUACGCCAAAUCAUUUGCUGAAUGCCACAUGCUCUUCGUUGGUCGCGCUUAGGAACCCACAUGGGACAUGCCUCUCGCAGUCGCAGGUCACAACAACCAACAAUAAUAGAUCAAUGAAUGGUUGAGGAUUCCCCCCUCCGUCCCACUGACCACUGUUCUGCAUACUGAAAUGCACUUACUAGUACAACAUUAACAAUUGCUAAUCCUAUGUCGCUCUAAAGAGUGCAACCUAUCCAGUGAUGAGUCACACUGUCAUUUACACAAAUGCGCGAUGAGGACACGCCAAAUCCUUGCUGAAUGGUGCUGCUGGGUAUGCCAAAUGCGCGACGAGGUCCCAACAAUCCAGAAUGAUAGAUCGAUAAAUGCUUAAACUUUGCAUUAGCCGCCGGACAGCCAUAUGCAUUGUCACUAGAUUGACGUCACUGUAAAGCGUAGCUAACAAUGCACCCCUAAGUAUAGAUUAAAAGGCGCUGAUGAUGAGUGUCACACUGUUAAACCAAUAUGGGACAUGCGUGAUGGAGACCUGGCAAGUCUUGAUUGUUACAAAUUAGAAAAGAGCAAAUUCCAUCCACCUAAGAGCCUGAGACCUGCAUCCCAAAUCCACCUCAAGUAAUCCCUAUAAAUAGUACUUCCUCCUUAAUGAAAUAUAAGAGCGUUUAGAUCACUACUAUAAUAGUGAUCUAAACACUCUUAUAUUUCUUUACAGAGAAGUAUAUUUUGUUUAGUAUCGCAGCUGGCAGACAUCUAUUACUUUUGAAGCCUUAUGCAUUUUCACUAAAUUUAAGCAUUGGAGUGUGUUCUUGGAUGAAGGACGUCACAUGCAGGCCUUGUUCAGGCAACCUAAUUAGGUGAUUGUGUGCAGCUAGCUUCUUUAAAAAUUACAAAUUAACACUUGAUCCUUAUCGGAGAGACUGAGUAUGUGUUGCGGCAUUGUUGUCUAUCCUCGUAACGAGAUCCGGCCUGAUACGCAGUAGUUGUGAGUGUGCAGGCCGUAAAUUAGCAAUUCAACAUCAAUGGGCAAGGUCAUUAGCAGUUACUCCCUCCGUCCCGUAAUGUAAGACGUUUUUUUGACACUAGUAACAUAUAAACAAAUACGCUGACCAAUCAGUACAACAUUAACAAUGAACAAUUAUUAAUCGUAUCAUCAAAGUAAAACCCAUCCGGUGAUGAGUCACACCGUCAAUUAAACUAAUACGCAAUGAGUGCACGCAAAAUCCUUGCUGAAUGGAGCCGCCAGGUAUGCCAAAUGCCCCAUUGCUCUUCGUCGAUCGUGCAUAGGACCCCACAAUAAUAAAUCGAUAAAUGGUUAAACUUUGUGUUAGAUAGCGGGCAACCAUGUAAUAGGAUCAAAGCCGUAUGCCUUUUCACUAAAUUUCAAUCCCUGAUGCAGACUUGGUUCAGGCAGGCGAAUUAGGUGGGUGGGGUUGUUCUUGUCUUUAUGCAUCCUCACUAAAACGUGUUAGAUACAUUCAUAUCUAGACAAAUCUAAGACAAGUCAUUUGAAACGGAGGGAGUAUUAGAAAUGAACAAUGUAUACUUCUAUGUUUGCUGUAGGGUGUCACUGUAAUGCCUAACUAAUGAUGAUUAUUCCCUUAAUUAAAAAGCGCUAAUGGUGAGUGCCACACUGUUGAAUUAAUAUGCAAUGCGAUGGAGGCCUGCAAGCCUUGAUUGAUAAAAAAAGAGAGUAAUAACUUCCAUUAUCUGUCUAAGCAGGACCUAAGAGAUUAAAACCUGCAUCUCAAAUAUGUCUCAACUAAUCCUUGUGUUAGCAUAUAGGAGUAUAUUCUGUUUAGUUCACAGCCACCUUGGACAACUAUUAGCAUCAAAGUUGCAUCUAUUUUCACUAAACUUUAACCGUGAUGUGGGUUGUUAAUGUUGGAGGGAGGACAGUCACAUGCAGGCUUAGUUCAUUAUCAAUAGGGGGCUUGAUUAGAUGAGUGAGUGCAACAAGCUCCUGUAGAAAUAGAAAUCAACAAUAUGAGUGUGUUAAGGUAUCGCUGUCUAUCCUUAUAAUGAGAGCCGGCCUCAUGCAGAGUUAACUAAUGAGUCCAUUGUCAAAAACUAAUGUAUAAGGACUUAAGUGCAGCAAAUUCCUGAUUAAAAGAUAGUUGUGAGUGAGCAGGCCUUUAAUUGCCAUCAAUCAGCAAGGUCAUUACCUAACCAUGACCUGAGAGCUUGAGCCCGGCAUCUCAGAUCCAUUCACACGCAAACGCUCACGGGAAGCGAGAGAAGGAAGCUUGAUCAGUAGCGAUGGAGGCGACCGCAUUGAGCAUCGGCAAGUCUGCGCUGAUCGGGGCACUGGGUUUUGCCAAAUCCGCCGUCGCGGAGGAGGUGGCCCUGUAGCUGGGAGUACAGCGCGACAAGGCCUUCGUCACCGACGAGCUGGAGAUGAUGCAGUCUUUCUUGAUGGUGGCACAUGAUGAGCGGGACGACCACAACAAGGUGAUCAGGACCUGGGUGAAGCAAGUUCGCGACGUCGCCUACGACGUCGAGGAUGGCCUCCAGGACUUCUUUGUCCGCGUUCAUCGGAAAUCCUGGUGGCGCAUCCCUCGCACUUUGCUUGAUCGACGCCAUGUCGCCAAGCAGAUGAAGGAGCUGCGUGCCAAGGUGGAGGAUGUGAGCCAGAGGAACGUGCGGUACCGCCUCAUCGACCGUGGAUCAAAACCCGCUAAUUCUUCUGACCUCAUAUUCACAACCACCACUACAGCCAUGUUCGGUGUUGAUGAAGCAAGAAGGCAUGCUACAGAUCAGCACCAAUCAGGAUUAAGGUUGGAUCUUGCCCAGCUGAUCCUCAGCGACAGAAAAGACUUGGGAUCAGACCAAAUUGGAGUGAUCGGAGUGUGGGGAACAAGUGGCACGGUUGGGCAUACCUCCAUCAUCUUUGAUGCUUACGAGAAUCCAAAUGUCAAAGUCAAAUUCCCAUCCCGAGCGUGGCUUAGGGUGACACGCCCUUUCCACCGGAAACAAUUUGUCCGGAGUAUAGUGGAACAGUUUCGGGCAACCACCAUAGGGGUGGUUGAUUUUCUACUGGAGGCAGAGGGGGAGAAGACUUGGCAUGAGUUGGCACAUGAGUACAGUGAAUAUGUCAGCAAGAAGAGGUACCUGAUUGUGCUUACCGGACUAUCCACCAUUGAAGAAUGGCACCAGAUCAAAAUUUGCUUCCCAGAAAACAAACAGGGGAGCCAUAUCAUAGUAUCCACAGAGCAUGUUGAAGUUGCAAGCCUAUGCCAGGGCCAGGGAAGUACCGUGUCGGAGCUCAAGUAAUUGUCUGCUGAACAGACUAUAUAUGCUUUCUACCAGCAGGUACUACUUCAAUUUUGAACAAAAGUUUUUGGUUCACUCAGUUAGAAAUCUUGAGUUUAUUUAUUUCUUUAGGAAAAAUAUCAUCCAAGAUGUAAACCUUUAGAUCAGCUAUGCAUGGAGUGCUUGAGGCGGGAUCAAUUAAUUUGUGUGUUUGGACAAAGCCAGGAAUGAGAAAUUUCCCGGUGCAAAUCCUCACACGCCAUUGAGAGGAGAAUAAUUAACAUGAAAUGAGUCCACUUCUNNNNNNNNNNNNNNNNNNNNNNNNNNNNNNNNNNNNNNNNNNNNNNNNNNNNNNNNNNNNNNNNNNNNNNNNNNNNNNNNNNNNNNNNNNNNNNNNNNNNNNNNNNNNNNNNNNNNNNNNNNNNNNNNNNNNNNNNNNNNNNNNNNNNNNNNNNNNNNNNNNNNNNNNNNNNNNNNNNNNNNNNNNNNNNNNNNNNNNNNNNNNNNNNNNNNNNNNNNNNNNNNNNNNNNNNNNNNNNNNNNNNNNNNNNNNNNNNNNNNNNNNNNNNNNNNNNNNNNNNNNNNNNNNNNNNNNNNNNCAUCACCAUAGACCUUCACAGUCCUCCCAGAUCUUUUUUCUUCGUCCCUAUAUUCCUUGCUGAUAUUGGUUUCCCCUACGAAGAUCCAUAGGGACAGGUUACCACUCUCCAGUGGGAGAAGACGGCAGGUGACUAGGUUCGGUGGCGAUGUGUCUCAUUGAGGCAUAACGACAAGGGUGAAGGGAGAGAAGAGGUAGAGCAGGGAAUCCAGUAGAUAGGGACAAAAUUAGACUAGUUCUAUUCUUGCUUGCCUUACAUAUUGACAAAACUAAAUCAUAUCGGUGAGGACUCUUUAAUAGAACACUAACUAUAUUUCUUCUCUAUUAAUACGAAUUACAUAAGAACUGGAAUAUUUUGUAGUUUUCGUCCUCCUUGAAUGCUAAAUGGUUGUGGCUUCUAGAGGUGCCUGAGGAGGGUAUACGGACGGCUAAGCGUAUAUGUCUCACCAAGUCACCAUACAUGACAUGUAGGUGGUCAUGCAAUGCUGAGUUCUAAUGUUUUUAGUAACUUUAUGUUCACCCUGCUUGUAGUAGUAGCAAACUUUCUAUGUUCCUCAUGAAUACUUUGUGUUCGUGUACUUUUUCGCUUUUUUAAAAUUUUGGACUGCUUUUAGUAUUUUCGGCAAAGCCAAGCCUUAACAGGUCAUCUCAGCAAAAUUGACUUGUAUACAUGAUAUCCUAGCUUCGAUUUACUAUGUGUGGUUCAUUGUGGUAACAAAAUUGUUGUGUAGCAUCUGGAAAUGCACUGAGCUGAUUCUUCAGUAAGUUUUUGGAAUGAUCCGUCAACUAAAUUUCAUGUAGUUAUUGUUUGCUUGUGUUCAGGGUUCUCAAGACAUGACAUAUUCAUCGAAGCCAACAUCUAGCUCAACGCUACCCUGCAUUGUUGAGGAUGAUAUAAAAGAAUACCAGUCUAAUAAUAAUGUUGACAGAAAGAUGAUAGUGCAAGAAAAUCACACACGCAUCAACAUGAUUGCAUGUGUUUUUGAAGAAUUCCAGCUUGUUGGGCGAGACGAAGAAAAAAUUGCUAUUAUUGAAGUCAUCCGAGAACACGCUUCCACCCCACAAUUUCAGGCGAUAGCAGUGUGGGGAAUGGGUGGUCUUCGAAAAACUACUCUGAUCAAAGAUAUUUAUCAAAGUCAAGAGGUCAAUGACAUGUUUGGUAAACAUGCUUUUGUCACAGUCUUGCGACCUUUCAAGCUUGAGGAGCUCCUGAGGAGCUUAAUAUACCAGUUAGAACCAAAGAAGAGCGCCAUGGACUUUGCAUUUGAUGCCAAAGAAGAUAUUGGUUUGAUGGGGGUUAAAGAGUUGACAGAAGUGUUAUGUAAACGUUCACAAGGAAAAAAAUGUCUGAUUGUUCUCGAUGACCUAUCAUCCACCACUGAAUGGGAUAAAAUAAUGCUGAGUUUACUUGCCAUGAAAAAUCCAAGCUUGGUUAUUGUGAUCACAACAAGGCAAGAGGAUAUUGCUAAACAUUGUUGCAAGAAACCAGAGUACAUGGAACAAAAGGAGUGCAUACACUUUCUUAGUGUUAUACAAGACAAGGAUGCAUGUGAUCUCUUCACAAAAAAAGGUAUUAGAGCUGUUACUUGUAUUUCUUUAGGAUGGGUCAUGUCAGAUUAGUAUAGUGUAGCUCUGCUGGACCACAAUUUGGAAGAGAUACUUCAAAAUGGUUGCAAAACAUAAGAUGCAUCCACCACCAUGACCGAUGUCAUUGGGUCAUCAUGUAGGAAUGUUAUACUUUCAGUAAUUAAACCAAAACACUGAUUAUGUUAACCAUUGUCUGGUUAGGCCAGGUUAGGUUCGUAGCAGACCGACAAUAAUCUAAGGCUUCACCACUACUCUUAUAUCAAAAAUAUACUUGAGGCAAUGGUUAAAACAAUGUCCUGUAAUUAGAACAAGUUUCAUUUCUAUGAAUUUUCCAAUUUGUUCAAAACAAUAUUUUUUUUCAGAUAGUUUAAUAUGAACACGUUACCGUAAUAGUAUAUUCUUUGUUUUCCAUUUUAUAACUUAGUGAUAUCACAUAUUUCAAGCUCUGAAUAUUUAAUUAAUGUGUCCAUGUGAAUUUUAUUACAAAAAUUUGUUAAGAGAUGUGCACAAUAAGUGAACACUUAACUUAUGUAUUGGUCCAUUUUAUAGUAAUCAAUAUAGUUUGAUUUCAUUUGUCUUACAUACAAAAUUACUCCCUCUGUAAACAAAUAUAAGAGCGUUUAGAUCACUACUUUAGUGAUUUAAAUGCUCUUAUAUUUCUUUACGGAGGGAGUACAUGUAUGGAACUAUGUUCUGGCCACGUUGUAUGUUUACUCACCACCAAACUUAACUGAGACAAAUUAGUUAAUAAACAAAGUAGAAAGAUUUGUUUUCUUGCACCCGAUUCAUUUGAUUGUAGUGUAGUAAAAAUACUAAUAUAUUUCUCACCAUUGCAGGUAUUUAAGAAUAAAGUCACAGAUUUGGCUAAGCACUAUCCUUAAUUGGUUGAACCAGCAAAACUAAUCCUAAAGAAGUGUAAUGGACUUCCUCUUGCAAUAGUCACCAUAGGUGGUUUCUUGGCAGACCAACCAACGAAAACUGUGGCAGAGUGGAGGAAAUUGAAUGAGCAUAUCAAUAUUGAGCUGGAGAUGAAUCCAAAAUUCGAGGUCAUAAAAGUGGUCCUCCUGAAAAGUUACGAUGGCUUACCCUAUUACCUCAAGUCUUGUUUUCUGUACCUGUCCAUCUUCCCUGAAGAUCUCAAUGUUAGCCGGAGACGUUUGGUGUGCCGAUGGAUCGCAGAAGGUUACUCGUGGGAUAGAUCGGUAGCCGAUAGAUACUUCACAGAACUCAUUGAGAGAAGCAUGAUUUUACCAACUAAACAGUCAAUUCUUAGCAGGAAAGGAUUCGAUUCGUGCCAGCUACAUGAUCUAAUCCGUGAUCUCAGCAUUGCAAAGUCAAUGGAGGAAAAUCUUGUCUUUAGGUUGGAGGAAGGAUGUAACUCAAAUGCUCGAGGCACAGUGCGUCACCUUUCCAUAAGCAGCAAUUGGGAGGGAGAUGAGCAUGAGUUGGAGAACACUGUGGAGUUGUCCCAUAUACGUUCAUUGACGGUAUUUGGCAAUUGGAGGCCAUUUUACAUAUCUGACAAGAUGAGGUUGCUUCGGGUGCUGGACUUAGAAUCAAGGGAAGGUCUAGCUGAUCAUCGCCUUGAGCACAUUGGAAAUCAUAUCCAUCUGAGAUACCUUUCUCUAAGACGUUGUGAAGGCAUCUUUUACCUCCCAGAUUCGGUGGGUAACCUGAGACAACUUGAGACACUAGAUAUCAAAUUUACAGGGAUAUUUAUGCUUCCCAAAAGUAUCACCAAGCUUAGUAAGCUACGUUUUCUGCAUGCUGGAAAUGUAGAAGGUUAUCCAGAAGAAUCGUCGGCACUAUCAUGUUGCAUACAUACCCCCAUGCACUUUAGUUGGCGACGUGGUGCAUGUGCUCCUUACAUGUGGUACAUGUUGGGUGAUGUACAAGCUUUUUCUCUGAAGGUGCCAAGAGGGAUAGGGAAACUGAAAACCCUGCAGGCGCUGGGGUGCUUGGACCUUGAAAGGGGAAAUGCCGUCAUAAAGGAGAUAAAAGGUCUCACAAGCCUACGCAAGUUAGGAGUACAGUUUGGCAUCACCACAGAAAAUGUGUCGGAAUUCUGUUCGGCCAUUUCCUGUCUGAGACACCUCGAGUCCUUGUCACUGCAGUCACGAGGAGAAAAUUUGUAUGAUUACUUGCAGGGAAUGUCCUCGCCUACGGAAAACCUCCAGAGCCUCAAGCUAUGCGGUUACGUGAAACAACUGCCGGAAUGGGUCAAAGGGCACCGGAAUCUCGUAAAGCUCAAACUACAAUACACCAAUUUGUCAAGCAACUGUGAAACCAUGCAUGUGCUUGGGAACCUACCAAACCUAUCCAUUCUGCUUUUGGAGGAUGAAGCAUUCCAGAUGGAAGGGCCUAUCACUUUCCAGAGUGGCCUUUUCAGAAGCCUCAUGGUACUCGAGUUGUAUUACAUGUCAAUGGAAAUUGUGUCACUAAAGUUUGAGGAAGCAUCAAUGCCAAAACUUGAGGUGCUGAGGCUGGAACUUAUGAAUUGUACAGCUGGCUUGGUUGGGCUGGAAUUUCUCCCAAGCAUCAAGGAAGUGCGGCUCUUUAUCGGUAUUUACCUAGAUGGUAGUAUAACAGAAGAAUAGGCAGAAAAGGAAACAAAUUGUAGGAAGAAGAAAACCACGGAGGACAUUAGGAAGCAGUUCGCCAACAGGAAAAAUAAACCCAUUUUGAAGGUGGAAUGAACUAGCUAGGUGGAGGCACUUGUGUCCUCAUAGGGGUGGAGGCUCAUGCAGCAGGCUGUGUAUUUGUUUUUUCAGAUCCUACUAUGUAGCUUGUUACUACUUUCUUGUCGUGCUGGCUUCAGGGCAGUAAUUUUGUAAUAAACACUACUUCUCUUCGUGCUGAUCUACAUAGCUUGUCAUUAGGAAAAGUCUCUAUGUCAUGUAUCAGCAAACUGCAAAAGCAUGUAAUCAUUUGUGAGGAACAUUACCCACCAGGACCAGCCUCUGCAAAAGCAUAUACUCUGCUCUCUGAAGAACUGUCUUCCUGAAGGAUAUCUGUGAUAAGUAUUGGUUCCCUCGGCUCAUCGGUCCCGUUGGGCAUAGAACACCUGGUAUGUUCUGUCUUCAGAAGCGACAGAGGGAAGACCCUGAAAGGUGAGGACUCCCCUUUGUCUUUGUGGCAUUCAGGCCAGGAGUUGUUAUGGAGCUAUAAUUUGGCUUAAUGUAGUAAUUAACCAACAAUUUAUCCUUUUUCAUCCGAAGGUUCUUGAGCAGAGAGAGGAUAAAGUUGCAUCUGGGAGUACCAUCUAUGGAUCAAGCCAUACGUAUGUAACGCUGACAAAAAAAUCUAGUCAUCUGGACAAUAUUUUUUGAUGGUUUCCUGUUCCGAUCUAACCAUAUGGAGAACUCAUUUUGUAUUUUGCUACUUUUCUGAUGGUUUCCUGUUUCGAUCCAACCACAAGAACAGGAUAAACUUUUUUUUGAAGGUACGUCAAAGACGUACCAUAACUUUAUAAAAAAAGAGUAUUUGUAUAAGAAGUUACAAACAAGCUAGUAAGGCAUCGCCGAACGAUUCCUAAACCAGCAUCCACCCCAUCUUAAGCUAGACAACUACUCACUAUAAUGAGAAACUCCAGUGGCUACUGCCCUAGCCCAAAGUCCUAGCUCUUGACAAAUCAAAUUUAUGGUGCCCCAUUCAUCACAAAUCGCACUCCUCUCAAAUACCCUACCGUUCCUUUGCUUCCAAAGGCACCAAUAGAUGAGCGUGAUAAAUGUGUCAAAACCCUUCCGAUACAUUUUUGAGAUGCGCCUUCUCGCCGCCGACCACCAGUCCUCGUUCCUAGCAUGGACAGAUGGGCACAGGGCCAACUCGAUCCCCAAUCUGGAGAAAUAGAGGAAUCACACUUGCCGAACAAAGACACACUGCAGCAAAAUAUAUAUAGUCGACUGUGUCCUGAUAAAAAAAAGCAUGGUGAGCUCUGAUCUUGCAAGCCAUGUCCAUGCCUUCUAUCCGAAGCUCAAAGCUGCGGUUAAAAGGGUGGGCUUUUGAAUUCCUGUACCUGCUUUGGUGAUUACCGAAAAAGGGUUUCGCCCCACUUUAUAAAUAAAGCAAACUGCUCAAGCCAACAUCCAACAAGGUUUCACACACGUACACACACACACACACACGAAGGUCUCACAAGCACAAAUGAGUAUACAAAGGGUUAAUGCUGAGGGCACAACACAACAAGCCCAGAAAACAAAACACACACUCAGCCCAGCAACCCCGAGUAGCAUCUAGUCAGGCUCCGGGGGAGGGGUGGCAGCAGGGGCGCCACGCAGAAGGCCAUCGAGCGAAGGUCGGCGAGGAGGAUGUUGAUGGCGUCCUGAUCCUGCUUUGGUGAUUCAUCAAGAUUUUCUCAUGGUUCUAUAUUUGCAGUUUAAUAUUCUUGCGACAGUCGGUUAUUCUCGGGGUGUACAGAGCAACAGAAAAUGCAUUCUUUUAACAGUCCAUUAUUCAUUAAUUUUUGCGACAGUCAGUUAUUCUCGGGGUGUACAGAGCAACAGAAAAUACAUUCUUGCGACAGUCAGUUAUUCUUGCAACAGCCAGUUAUUCUUUUAACAUGCUUAAUUUUUGGCAAGUUAAAAAUUUCUGACUGCUUUAAAAUUUUGGAGUCCACAGUCCAGUAGGAUGCAUGGUGUUGGUGUGUACUAGAGCAAUAGAUGGACGUUUCAAGCUGCGUCUGUGCAGCAAUUUUAGCAGUCAACUCAAGAAACUAUGCUUGAUUUUCAACCCAACAACCCACAACGUGCAUGCACGUUCACCAUAGAUCUUGAUAAAUAGUCAAACUUUGUGCUGGCAUAUACUACUCCAUGAUGGACAGCUAUUAGCAUCAAAGCCGUAUGGAUUGAUUUUUUUUUCUAAACUUUAAUCCAUAACGUGGGUUGCUGGAUGAAGGGCCUCACAUGCAUGCUUGGUCCAAGCAGCUUGACUAGGGGACAUAAUAGAAUUAACUACUAUGCAAAUCUUGAUUAUAGGCCUGGCAAUUUUGAUUAACAAUUGGUUGAAGUUGUGAAUCAUCGAGGCCGCGCAUGAACUUCCAUUAUCUACCAAAACAUGGCAUUAGAAAAUGGAUAUACGAAUACAACGGUACAACAAAAGGGAUAUACGUGACCUGCUAUACAAUUAGAGCCCUCAGACCUGCGUUUUCAGAUCUCAUCCACACACAAAUGCUCACAGGGAGAGGUCGGGAGAGAGAAGCUCAAUCGACACCGAUGGAGUCCACGGCGGUGAGCAUCGGCAAGUCCGUGCUGAAAGGAGCGCUUGGAUGCGCCAAAUCCGCCAUCAUGGAGGACACGGCCAUGGAGCUCGGAGUCCAACACGACAAGGCCUUCAUCACGGACGAGCUGCAGAUGAUGCAGUCUUUCCUGAUGGUGGCACACGAUGAUGAGCAAGAUGACCACGUCAACAAGGUGGUCACGACCUGGGCGAACCAGGUCCGCGACGUCGCCUACGACGUCGAGGAUGGCCUCAAGGACAUCGUCGUCCGCAUCCACGGGCAAUCCUGCUGGGGAAUCCCUCGCACACUCCUCGACCGGCGCCAUGUCGUCGAGCAGAUGAAGGAGUUGCGUGCCAAGGUGGAGGACGUGAGCCAGAGGAAUGCAUGCUACCGCCUCAUCGACGGUGCGUCCAAAGCUCCCGACCUCUCCAUCAACACCGGCGCUGCUGAUGCCAUGCUCGGCGUUGAUGAAGCAACAAGACAUGCCAUGAAUCAGCAUGGAUCAAGACCAGUGAUAGAUCUCGCCCAGCUGAUCGUCAGGGAUGUCCCGGGCUCGGGCUCGGGCUCGGGCUCUGGCCAAAUUGGAGUGAUCGGAGUGUGGGGAACAAGUGGCACCGCUGGGCAUACCUCCAUCAUCCUGGAGGCCUAUGACAAUCCAGCCAUAAAAGUGCAAUUUCCAUGCCGCGCGUGGGUCAGAGUGACGCGGCCUUUCCAACCCCAAGAGUUUGUCCAAAGUAUGGUGGAGCAGUUUCAAGAAACUUUUGUAGAGGUGGCUGAUUCUCCUUUGGAGCUGGAGCUGGAGGAGGCAAAGCCGGGUCGAGAGUUGGCACGCCAAGACGGCGUGUACAUCAUCAACAAGAGGUACCUCAUUGUGCUUACGGACCUAUCCACCAUGGAAGAGUGGCAGCAGAUCAAGGCUUGCUUCCCUGAAAACAAAAUGGGGAGCCAAAUCGUAGUGUCUGCGGAGCGAGUUGAAGUUGCAAGCUUGUGUCCAGGCCAGAAAAGUAUGGUUUCCAAGCUGAAGAAAUUGUCUGCUGAGCAGACCAUCUAUGCUUUCCACCAGCAGGUACUAGCUAGUUCAAUUUUGGAAAUAGCUUUUUGUUAUUCUUUCAUCUUGCUCCAAAUCAUGGUUAUACCGAGAAAGGCUUUCGCCCCGCUUUAUAUAUAAAGCAAACCGCCACAGAGCACACAUUUAAUACCCUCAUUUAUUUGUUCUAUAGUCACGCUAGCAUUAGUAUCCUACUAUUAUAUAGAUUAGAUGCGUCUCUAGAUAUUAGCUGAAGUUUUUUUUUCUCUUUUAGACAUAUCACCGAAAAUAUGGGCCAGUAAACACCUGCGCAAAGCUAAAUUAUCUUGACGCGUUGUGGUCUUGUGGUACAUCCCACGCAGAUUAAUUUGUGUGUUGCACAAGGUUAGCCAAGGUGGCCAACUGGGACCGUUGUGGAACUCCUCUUGAUGACCCCGGUAACAGCCCCCUCACCAGAGACAUAUGCAACCUCCAAGAUCAGUCACCAACCCUGUAUUUCUUAUUGAUGCCACUGCACCGUUCCAUUGGAGAGGUUGCCAUGUUGGGAUGGGUAUGCUGCCAUCUAGUGUAGUACAUGGAUAAUGUUGUGAUGGUUUGAUAAAUUUGAAAAAAAAAAGGCAGCGGUGCAUGUAGCUCCCGCUUGCGCAGGGUCCGACCACUUUGGGUCUAUUGUACGCAGUCUUUCCCUACAUUUCUAUAAGAUGCUGUUUCCAGGACUUGGCGGCAGCUUUACCACUGCGCCAAGGCUCCCCUUCAUAAAUUUGAAAUUACAAGAACAAUUUUGGCAUACCUAUUGCUAAUAUGUAAAUGAAUUUCAUGUUUUCUUUGGUCAUGUGAGUGCGAUGUUUUUCAUUAACUUUAUAUUCUGUUGUAGUAUUGCUCAACUUUUGACAUGAUUCAAGAAUAAUUGAAGUCCAUGGUCAUGUAUGUUUUUCUUUACUAAUUACUCACCCGCUUUCAGAAUUUCUUGGCAAAAUCAAACGUGAUGUGAGCAAAACUGACUUGUAUACAUGCCAUUUGAUCUUGAUUUAAGGUCCAUUGUGACUUUAAUAUUGUUGUCUAGCUUAGGACAUAUAUAUGUGUUGAACAGAUGCAUAUUAUUAUUUCGAGUGAUUUAUAGUUGAAAACGUGUCUUCUGUUUGUGUUCAGAGCUUUCAAGACACAACAUAUUCAUCAAAGGCAACGUCGAGCUUAGUGUUACACCACACCAUUGAGAAUGAGAUACAAAAAGGCCAAUCUUAUUCUGAAGAUGAUGACAUGACAAUGAUCCAAGAGAGCCUCACACACACCAGUAAUGUGCUAGGUCCUGUAGAAGAAUUUCAGCUUAUUGGGCGGGAGAAAGAAAUAUCUGAUAUUAUUGAAUUGAUUCUAGAACACUCUGGCACCCAACAACAAAAUCAGGUCAUUGCAGUGUGGGGAAAGGGUGGUGUUGGGAAAAGCACUCUGAUCAAUGAUAUUUACCGUAGCCAAGAGGUCAAUCAAAUGUUUGAAAAGCAUGCCUAUGUCACAGUCUUGCAACCUUUCAAGCUUGAGAGGCUCAUUAGCAGCUUAGCAUUUCAACUAGAUGCAAGGAAAGUUGCUUCAACGAAAGUUGCAGACUUUACUAGAGUGUUGGACCGGUGUUUACAAGAAAAGAGUUGCUUGAUUGUUCUUGAUGACCUCUCGUCUACCAUGGAAUGGGAUAUAAUAUUGCCAUGUUUGCUGGCAAUGAAUAGUCCAAGCUUGGUUAUUCUGAUAACCACAAGGCAUGAGGAUAUUGCUAAGCAUUGUUGCAAAAACACAAAGUGCAUACGCUUGCUCAAUGGUCUAAAUGAAAAGGGUGCUUGUGACCUCUUCACAGAAAAGGUACUGAUAGAAUACUACCCAUAUUAUUCACUUUCUUAAUUGCAAAAAUAUAUAGUUCCCUUUAUCUAGAUCUUCGAAGGGUCAUAUUUCAGAUUAGCAUACUGUAAGCACAACACAACCAUCCCCCUUUACAAGAGAUAAUUCAGAGUGGGUUGCAAGAACGUAAAUUCGGCUAUCAUGUUGUAGGGCAAUAUUUAGGAAUCAUAUACAUUGACAUGCUAGGUGUGAAACCAAAAUACUGAUUACAUGAACCCAUUUCCCGAGUUAGGCCAGGUUAGCUAGCAUUAGAAUCAAGCUGGCAAAUUCCAUGACUUCACUACUUCCCUUACCAAAUUAUAUGGGAACAAUGUUUUGAAAGAAUCAUGUAACUAUAAUGAAUACAAUUUAAUCAUUUUUCCAUAUUUUUGAAACUACGUGCUCUCCAAACAGGUUGGUUUAUGUACAUGGUGCUAGAAAAGUACUUCUCCUUUUCCCCUUUUGUACAAACUGAGCCAAAUAACAUAAGCAUCUUUCCAAGAAUUACUAAAAAAAAUAUACAUAUAGAGAAUGGAUGGAAACAUGCGUUGAUGUUAAAUUUGGUACAAAGUAUGUUUGGGUGAUGAACAUGAUAAGUAUAACUCAACUUGUAUUAUAAUAACAGAUAGUGUUUCAUAUUUCAGUUUUAGAAUUCGUACAUACAGAACUAUGUCCUAGUCACUCCAAUUAAAAAAAUAGAUAAUGAAAGAAAUAUUUCUAAUUGCAUUCCUGAUGUUUAUUACCAAGUCAAUAGAAAACAUAGCCUAUUGCGUACUAGCCACCCAAACAUGCACAUGAUAGACAAAAAAAUAAACUCUGUACACUAGUUUCCAUACACCUGACUCAUCUUAAUUACACAGUGGUCAAAACUAAUUAUAUGUUAACCAAUUGCAGGUAUUUAAGGAUAAAGCCACAGAUUUGACUAAGCAUUAUCCUGAAUUGGUUGAACCCGCAAAUCUGAUCCUAAAGAAGUGCAAUGGACUUCCCCUUGCGAUACUCACCAUAGGUGGAUUUUUGGCGGCACAACCAACAAAAACUGUCGGGGAGUGGAUGAAACUGGAUCGAUGUAUCAGUCUGGAGAGGGAGAUGAAUCCAAAGUUUGAGGGUGUAAAAACAGUGCUUCUGAAAAGUUAUGAUGGCCUACCCUAUUACCUCAAGUCCUGCAUCUUGUACUUAUCCAUCUUCCUUGAAGAUCACAUAGUUAGCCGGAGACGUUUGGUGUGCCGAUGGGUUGCAGAAGGUUACUCAGAGGAUACAUCCACGGCCAAAAGAUACUUCAUGGAACUUCUAGAGAGAAGCAUGAUAUUACCAACUCAGAUUUCACUUUGCAGCAUACAAGGAACUAACUCAUGUCAAGUACAUGAUCCGAUCCGUGAUAUCAUCAUAGAAAAGUCAAUGCAGGAAAAUCUUGUUUUCAGGCUGGAGGAAGGAUGCAACUCAAACAACCAAGGCACAUUCCGUCACCUUGCCAUAAGCAGUAAUUGGGAUGGAGACAAAGGUCAGUUUGAGGCCACCAUGAAGUUGUCAUGUAUACGGUCAUUGACGGUGUUUGGCGAGUGGAGGCCAUUUUAUAUUUCUGACAAGAUGAGAUUUCUUCGUGUGUUGGACCUCGAAGGAACUGAAGAUCUAGCCGAUCAUCACCUUGAGCACAUUGGGAAUCAUCUUCAUCUGAGAUACCUUUCUCUAAGAGGGUGUGAAGGGAUAUAUUACCUGCCAGAUUCAGUGGGUAACCUGCGACAACUUGAGACACUAGACAUCAAAAAUACAAGAAUAACAAGGUUGCCAAGAACCAUCGCCAAGCUUAGCAAGCUAUGUCAACUGAAAGCUGGCAAUGAAUUCUAUAUCGGAGAAGAACGACCAUCACUAGCAUGUUGUGUACCUUUCGCUUCUUGUUGCGCGAUGGUCAUACAAGCUUAUGCUGUUAAGGUGCCAGUAGGGAUCGGGGAACUGAAAUCCCUGAACACACUGCGAUGUGUGCACCUUGAAUGGGAAAAUGCCAUCAUACAAGAGAUAGGAGGUCUCACCAACCUCCGCAAGUUAGGAGUGUUUGGCAUUGACAGGGGUAAUGGCCCGGAGUUUUGUUCAGCCAUUUCAGGUCUUGGCCGCCUUGAAUCUUUGUCAGUGCGGUCAGAGGUAUGGGAUUUAUGUGACAUCUUGAAUGGCAUGUCCUCGCCUCCAGAAAAUCUCCGGAGCCUCAAGCUUCUCGGUUGGAUGGAUGAACUGCCGCAAUGGAUCAAGGUGCUCCAGAAUUUGGUGAAGAUUAAGCUGGAAUCCACCGAGGUGUCUAUUAACGAUGAAGACAUGCGAAUCCUUGGGAACCUACCAAACCUAUCCAUUCUGUCUAUCAUGGAGAAAUCGUUCCAGAGUGCACUACCUAUCACUUUCCAUAGUGGCCUUUUCAGAAGCCUCGUGAGGCUCGAGCUUGUUUACAUGGACGUGGAGGUCGGAUCGUUGGAGUUUGAGGCAUCAUCGAUGCCCAAACUCGAGGUGCUGAACCUGCGACUUAUCGAUUGUGAAAUCAGCUUUUCUGGACUGGAAUUUAUCCCGAGCAUCAAGGAAGUGCGGCUCUUGGUCGUCGUUACCCCAACACUCAUCGCACGAAAGGAAAAUAUGACCGAAGAAGAAGCAGAAGAGGAGGCAAGACACAGGGAAGACAAAGUCAAGGCAGACAUGAGGAAGCAGCUCGCCAACAAUGAAAACUGCCCCAUUAUGAACGAGCUAGGUCCACAAAUUGUUUUCUGAACCUACUAUGCUGCAUAGUAGAUUCAACCCGCGGGCUUAUGUCGGCGAGGGGUCUCGACUUGUUGGCCUACUUGCCAGUGUGUUUCUUUAUGUUCCAGUUUAGGCAGCGGUUUCAUCUUAUGUUGUGUAGUUUCUGAGUUUUAAGUUCAUGUGUAAUUGUUCAUUUCAUUUUCCUUGAACUGGCCUUGGGCAAUAACUUUGUAACUGGACAUCACUUCUACUUUGGCUUGCCAUUACCUCUGUGUACUUCUUCUUCGACCAUAUUUUUCGACAAAUGUAAUUCAUGAACCUCAUCAACUUGUUACCAUUUGUUCAGAAGAAUGCUUCAUUAUAGAUGGUUCUGCAUGCCUAGAUGUUCAUUAGAGAUGAUUCUGCCUAGAUGAUUCCUGAACCUCAUGAACUUGGUAGACCAUGUAAUGUCACUCAUGUACUACUGAAGCGCCAUUAAUUUGACACUACAAAAGUUCAGUAUGGUAAUUGCCACUCAGUUACCACUGAAACACCAUUAAGCUAAGGGUACACAUUGUCCUAGCUGGUUCUGACUAGAUGUUCAUUGUCAAUCAACAUUUAUACAUGUGUGACAUGCAUCUGGAAUGAUUCAGCUUAGCUACCAUACACAGAUUUCCCGAUUGAAAGGAGAAUCGACAGAACACGACUGACCGAACUUGCUGCUCCCGGCUAAUUAACUACGCGGAGGUGGUUCUCUCCAUGCUAUUGGUCCUCGCGUUCUCCCGCAUCUUCUCAACGAUGUGCCGGCCCUUCUCCUCCACCUGCCGCCGCUUCUCCUCCAGCUUG
RNAcentral lists this long non-coding RNA (458436 nucleotides) under Triticum aestivum (bread wheat). RNAcentral describes it as "long non-coding RNA (TAES_LNC012749)". The stretch from base 447387 to 447473 matches the Rfam family "MIR1120/MIR1122 microRNA precursor family". The record is from RNAcentral. Lineage: Eukaryota; Viridiplantae; Streptophyta; Magnoliopsida; Poales; Poaceae.